Molecule: long non-coding RNA, 400370 nt
Filed under: Prunus persica (peach)
Lineage: Eukaryota; Viridiplantae; Streptophyta; Magnoliopsida; Rosales; Rosaceae
Description: long non-coding RNA (PPER_LNC001496)
Rfam family: Plant small nucleolar RNA R71 (bases 327522-327628)
Source: RNAcentral
UCACCUGCCCUGUGUAGCUCUGUGAUGCUGGGUGUGUUUAUAGUUGUUUGUACCAUAACUGACCGAGCAACUAGCUAGGCUAGAUCAUUCGAGUGCCAUGCUUUGAGAGGUCAUCACCUUAGCCAAAGAAGCAUCACCACAAAUCACAACUCUAAGCAAAGCAAGAGGAGUCCCACAUCGGAAAACUACAAGAGAUGAAGACUCCUCCUCACCUAUAAAAGAAGACUGCUCUUUCCUUAGAAGAGGAUCCGGGUCUUGGAUCUAGACUCUUAGGCCUUGGACUCUCUCUUCUAGAUCACUAGACUGGGCUUCUCACUUGUUAUCUUUAUAUUUGGGUCUAAUCCCCUUGUACAAAUGUAAACAAACAUUAUCAUAAUGAGAACACCCUUCUCCGUGGACGUAGCCCAUCAUUCGGGUGAACCACUUUGAGCAUCAACAAUAGUUUUGAGUUUCCUUGCAGCAAUUGGUUUCGAUGGUAGACAUGAAAUUCUUAUCAAAUCAACAAAAUGUUCCGCUUCAGGAAAACGUGUUGUCUGCCAAUCGACGUUUUCUGUUCCUUCCCUAUAGAAUGUAGUACUGAACACAAAGAAAGACUACUUAUUGAAGGCUUAUUAGUAGAAGCAAAAUAUUUAUCUGCGACAAAAAGGUGCUUCAGAAUGAAGAGUGGCAACUGAUUUUCAAGCAUCCGCAAGUCAACCAAUACUGAUACACAUCCAUGGCCUAUAAAAUAUGUAGUCAUCCUCAUCUCCAAUUUUUUCCUCACUGCACUUCAACAAAAACUCAAUAACGAAGACGGCAUCCACUAGAAUGAUUUUUAGAAAGUCUUCACUGCUAUACUCAAUCGGUUCUGCAUAACAACUUCUUAGUCUUGCUUCUUGGUCCCGUAGUUUCUUCUUAAGAAACUCCAAUGUUAUCGUGGUUCUACGUAGAAAACUUCGUAGAUACCUCUUUUUGUGAUAUUCCAUACCAUUUAAGUGUUCCUUUCCAUGGUGAAGUGGGCCUAUAGAGACUACCUGAGGUGUGUAGGCUUCAUCAUCGUUUCCCUGACGUAGUCGCUUAGGAACUCUGUAGAUACACCGCAAAGGGCACAAGGAGAAGCUAUCCAAUUCCUGCAUCAAAUCGUAUGGCAUACUUUCCUCCUGAUCAUCAUGCACAGCGAUUCAAAUAUUUCAUUAUGAACGUUGGAAUUAGAGCUUCAAAGCAAACUUUUGAAAAGAAUAAAAAAACAAAUGACAAAUCAAAGUAGAUGGUUAGAAAAUCUAGUCACUUAAAGCGACUGUCUAUGGACACUCUCCCUUUGUAGCCCACGUGUCCUUAAGUAUUCUGGAGAAACAUUAAAAAAAAUAAUUACGUUACGGCAUCACAUUGUUCACCAACUUUAGUGAUACCAACUUACGUGGCAGAUGACAUAGCAUCUUUUCUUAAUUAUUUAAUCCAAUUUUUUUUUUAACAUUUAUAAAUUUUUUUAAAAAUAAAUCUGAUGUGCCCUCCCUUCAUCCUAAGAUCUGCCAUGGCCUCUGUGCUUCCACAAAUAUGUCAUGGUUUCCGUCUAAUCAAAGGAAAAAAAAAAACAUAUCCAAAAUUUUUCACACUUAACAUAUAUACUUAUCGUUUGUUUGCAUCUAUAUAUAACCAGUUUAGAUUUUAUCAAUGUUGCAAACAAAAAAAGUUGAGAUAUUUAUAGGCCCUCCUUGAAACAACUAGUACUAGGAAGCUAUAUGGGGUUUUCUACGUUAUGUGGAGCUUCAUUGCUGCAUCCUUCCACUUCCAUUAUGUGUUGUUCUGAUUGUAAGUGAUGAGGGUAUUAUUGGCACGAUAAUAAACAAAUGUUUCAAUCAUUACAUACAUUUCAAGAUGGUUCCUUCAAAAAUUUAGAAAACAUGCAUCACAAAAUGCGAAAUCGUACAAUAGAUAGGUUGAGAAGAUCCACACAUUGCAAAUUGCAAUUAUACAUUCCUAUCCUCCUAUAAAUAGGUCAAUCUCUCUCUCUCUCUCUCUCAAAAUCGACAAAUUUUCAUGUCAAUAAGAUAAGAGAUCUCAUUGCAAGUGACUUGUAGAUGAAGUGGUAAAGAACAAAAAGUCAUAUUCUUCCAAUCAAAACGAAGAAAAAAAAGUACGUAAAACAUCAUAUAAGAAAAUGGAUAUGUGGAGAUGGGUUUAUAUAUACAACACAGAAGAAAGAUUGUGUAUUGAAAAACAAAGCAAAAAAGGAAGUGAACUCACACCUUCUAUGUAUUUAAAAACAAGAAGCAAGUUGUGUUUUUGCCUUUUGGCGGCUCAACACACAGAUUACUUUCUCCUGAGCGGAUAGAUGUAGUAAUAAAUUCUCUUAAUACAAUCAAAGCACAAUGAUGUACUAUAUAUAACAAGUUAUGAUUCCACCCUUAUCCUUCCGUGACCAUUAACAUAUGGUGCAUACAAGUCUAUGGCAGAACUUCGACUUGGAAUAUUGGCUCUCCAAAGACCUGUAGAAGACAAAGAUCUUGACCUAAGAUAAAGACCCAAGUAGACCUUCCUUCUAUAGUCAUGCACAUUCUAAGGAAAGAUAACCACAUUCAUGCAUGUAAGAAAGUUGAUUUCUUCCAAUUUUUUUAUUGUAUGGUCGCGAUUGAUGCCUGUAGAUACACGGUAGAAAGUUUGUGCCCACUUCAUAGUUGUUUCAUGUUUUUUUGUUUUGAAAGCAACUAGAGAGUCCCCACGCAACUCUUGAGGAACUUCUAAGAGGACCCAAAACAAGGUGAUUCUUACUUUCCCAUGACUGUAUCAGCCUUAUCAGAGACGACUCUGUCGAUAUUAUCCUUUUAAGUUAUUUAGCUCUUGUGCUUCCAAUCAAAACAUUGCGAAACAAAGACCAAAUUUCCAUUAAGAUUGAAAGAAGUAACCUUUUUUGAUUCAAUCCUUGUACAAUUUGUCUGAGGGAGAUUUGAACACAGUAGCUCAUAUUGGUUAUAAAAAAAAUUUCUUAGACAGGAUCCUGCAUUUGCACAUAUGUGAGAAGCCGGUCGACUAACCUUCUCACAUUCUAUUCUAUACAUGCGGGAUCCUUUGUAUAGCUAUGGGUAUCGAAUAUACACCUCAAGCAAAGACAAACAAAUAAACCAAGCACAGCACAAUAACAGUAUUCAAUGUAGGAAGAGCUCAUGGGGGUUCUUGCUAGCGAGGAAAGCCUUGCGUCUCUCUAGGGUUUUCUUCUUCCACGUCCAGCUGCCGUCUUAAUGGGUUUCCAUCUACCACUCAUCUUUGGUCUUCUCAGUGUAAGCUUUUUUUUUUUUUUUUUAGUACAAGAGGGGAGGGGGAUUUCUCAAUGUAAGCUUUGCAAUUUGAUAAUUAAUAUUUCCAAUAUCUCAUUGUUAGUAAAAUACGGAAGGGGAAAAGUAUGAAUAAAAUACGUACGUGUUUUAUUCGACAAAAUUUUGACAAGAUACAACUGAAAAGUUUGGCUACUAUAUAAUAUUUUUAAUAUAUAUUAUUUUUAUUCAAUAAUAUGUGAAUAAUAGGUGUAUAAUAUAUGAAUUUUGUAUGUAUCAUUCAAAAUCUUGUUAAAUUUUUUUUUUUUAAAUGUGAAAAAUAUGUACGCACAUAUAUAAAACGUGUAUUGUACAUUUAGUUUUUUAAAAACUUGUAUUUUACUGAAUCUUUAAAUCGUAUAUGGAAAAUGGAAGAAUUAUUAAAAAAUACAUACAUAUACGUGUAUAAUACGAGUAUUAAACAGAAAAAUGUGCUAAGUACUUAUCUUUUAAUUUAAUAAUUCAUUUCAUUUUGUGAUCUCAUACGUAGUAAUGAGAGUUCAAAUUAAUGUUGCAGCUGACGAUGGUGGCUCUGGCAAGCCAUGCUGCUCUCCCAGUACCUCAACUUUACUGGAACUCUUUCCUGCCAAACACACAAAUGCCAAGAGCCAUCAGUCAACUUCUAUAGCCUGGUUUCUAUUAAGGGACUUUUCGAGAGCUUAUCAUCUACCUAAAUUUUACUCAUGUGACGUAAUUUUAAAAGUGAUUUGAUCCUUCGGCGAAGUAAAAAAGAAGGGCACUCGAAUAGGCAUGCCAUUUGGUAUUACCCACCUAAUUUCUUUUUAAAUUUUAGUAACUGAUUUUUAAGAUUAGAAAAUGGGAAAAUUUCAAAACCGAAAAACUUGUUUCACUAAUCAUGUGGCCUUCCAAGUGCUCAAGGUUAAGCCAGGAACCGUUCCUAUCUGCCAUUUCCUUCCCAACUAUGAUCAUGUUGUCUGGGUUCCAACCCACAAAUCUACAUCAGUACCUGAACUAAUCAGUUCUGCGUGAAUGUUCAUUCAUGGCAACAUUGGGCUAAGUAUUUGAAUUUGUAUGCAUAUAUUGGAUAAGUUUGAGAUGGCAGUGGCUUGGGUGUGGAGAGGAAUUGCAUGGGUGUCGGCUGAGCUUGAACAAGUUUGGGUGUGCUGAGUGUUUCCAUGGGUGUGUUUCUGAACAUGGUUAUUCGAUUUGUGAUAGUUUGAUUAGUUUGGGCUCAAUUUCUACAGAACUUGUCUCAAGCCUAGAUAGUUGAUUCUUAAGUUUAUCAGGAUAAAAAAAUAAAAAAAUCUUAAGUUAAGCCCAAGGCGCCGAACUUGGACUUCUCACCAAACUUGUGAAUAAAUUGAAAUAUUUAAUAGAAGCCCAAGAUUUCUAAAGCACAUAAUAUCUACAAAAAUCUACAAAAUGUUAUACUUUACAAAUUUCCUAUGUGUACCAAUUUCUACUAAAAUUAAUUUCUCUGUGGUGCUGAGAUUCAUCAUAAUUUUAGUAGAAAUUGGAAGUUUUCAUCAUUUUUGCUUUAAGUCUCUCCUCCACUCACUAAUAAAGAUUACUCAAGUGAGUUUACAAAACAUUUUUUUUCUACUCUAUCCUGAAGACUACACUUCUUCUCAAAAGUUUAGAUCACUUCACAUCUUGUAUAUGUGAAAACUAAUGCAAAAAGUUGAAACUUUAUCAUAAAACCUCGACAAAAAUUAGCUUUGCUUAAAACGUUAAAUUUGGAUUCGUUGAUUUUAAUGUCAAUUUGACACUUCAUAGAAAUUUUUACAUACAUGUGUUAGUGUUUGAUCACUUCACUUGUUACUUACUAUAUUUAUUCCAUGCUGCAAGACUCCAAGCAACCAUGAGAAUUCAUCAAAGGCAAGAAUCCCCUCUGGAACCCUUCAAUUUCAUGCUUUGUUCUUCCAUCUUCCUCCUUUCUCUCUCUCAAAACCCACAUCCAGAGAGAGCAAGCAUCAUCUCUCAUCUCUGGAACCCUUCGAUUUCAAGCAUUGUUCUUCCAGUGCUUCCCAUUUUCUCUUCUGUCAAAUCACCUAGGAGCUUGACGAAGCUUUCAUCAAGUUGCUGGAAAUAUGCUAAAGCCACCCAUGCUGCCAUCUUCUUCCUCUCUUUCCAUAAACACACAUCCAAAGAGCAAGCUUCAUCUCUCAUCCUCUAAACCUUUGCAAUUUCAAGCCUCAUUCCUCUAUCUUCUCCCAUUUUCAGCGGUAGUGAGAACGAUUUCUGCUUGUGCAUGGGAAGGAUUGUGACUCAGAUGAGGAGGAGAUGGUUUGGAGUGGGGUGAGGCAGUUGGACAGAGCUCUUGGACUUUUCAAGUUUGUAUGGGAAAGAGCAGGGAUGAAAGAAGCUUUACAACUGCAAGGGCAUAUAUGGUGCGUAGGGGCUGAAGGCAGAACACUUACAUAUAGAGGAAACACAUUUUUUGUCCAUGGGAUUCAUUUUUGACAAACACUUGUCUUAGAAUAUGAGUUCAAAUUUCAAAACCUUUUUUUUUCUUUCUGAAAUCAGGAUCAGUGUGGAGAACUAGCAAGGAUUGGAGAAACAGAUUUUUGGGCGUCACUUGACCACAGAUUGUUGAUUGCUCAAAAGUGUAGAAUUGGCCAUCUUAAAUGUCAAAAUGAUUUAUCAAUUGGGGUUUUUUUAGAAACGUAUUUAUGUUUGUCAAUAGAGACAGAAGACAGAGAACAUAAACCUUUCUCAGCAAAUUGAAAUUCUCAGUGCAUGCUCUGUUCUUCCAUGGCUUUCAAACCUUCUCUGCCCUUGUAAUGUUCCAAUCGAGGGUAAUAACAUUGCUAGUUUUCUAUGACAUCCUAUUUCUAAUGCAUGUCUACUCUUGUAAUGUUCCAGUCUAGGGUAAUAACACUGCUAAUUUCAUAUGACAUCCUAUUUCUAAUGCAUGUCUACCCCUGUAAUGUCCUAGUUUAGGGUAAUAACACUGCUAGUUUACUAUCAUGUUGAUUAAUUCUUGUCAUGUUGCUAUUUCUAAUACAUGUCCAACAAAGAAAAGAUGAAGAAAGAACAAACCAGACCAACUCAAAAUAAGUUGAGCCCAAAUAGUUAAUACUAUUAUGUCAUAGAAGUACGUUGUUAAUACUCUGUAAUAGAAGUACAUUGUUAAUACACUGUCAUAGAAUUACAUUGUUAAACAAAAAUAAGAUCCAUAACUGAAAUAGUAAUAAAAGAUAAAUCGAUCAUCAAAAAUACAUUUCAAAAAUCAACUAAAAUCCGAAGAGAAACACAUAAUUGAAGCAAAACAUCAAAAAUCUAAAGUCCAAACCAAACAACGACGACGACGACAAUGAUGAUGACAAUGACAAGAACGACGUGGUGAAGAGGAGUAGAGCUCGAAGAUGAGGAGUAGAGCUAAGAGCAUUUGAUCAGGGUUCGUUCGAGGUCUCGAACAAUCAAAAAAAAAAAAUCAAUAGAAGCAAGAUUUUAGAACAAGAAUCGAAGGUGAAAUAUUGAAAAUUGUAGAUUAAAGAUGAAGAAUAUAGUUGGACCUGAGACUGAGCUUCAAUGGAAGCUCCUCUUGCUCCAACACCAGAGAAAGCACCAACAAGAAAGGAGAAAAUAAAUAUGAUUUGGAUUUUUGGCAGAUCUGGUUUUUUGGCAGAUUUGUUUUUUUGGCAGAUCUGAUUUUUUUUUCUCUCAAAUUCAUAAUGCAAGGGCAAUAUAGGUAUUUAACACACACAAAUAAACUAAAAAACAGCUAUUAAAUUGAAAAUUUUGACAGCUGUCAAUUUUGGGAUUUUUUUUGGGUGUGUUUAUAGUUUUUAAAUAGUAUAGGGUUUCUUUAUAAGACUAUGUCUAAGAUUGGGUAUAUAAUUAAAUUUAUAUUAUUAAAAAAAAAGGACCCUAGUAAAGCCGUGCGACGAUACUCCUUUUAUAUAUUAUAUGAUAUAAAUAUUAUAAUAUAUUAUCUAAUACUUGGAAUAUUUACUCUAAAAUAAACAAUAUAUUAGGUUCUUUUUAUCUACAAAUUGACCAUUAAACUUCUUAAUCACUCUUAUACUUCAAUUAAAUCUACUAGGUUACAAUAUUUGCACUAAAAACUCCUAAUUGUUUUUUCUUCUCUUUCUCUUGCUCUUUUGUUUAACUUAAGCUGAAGUUUUUUAAUUUUUUUCCCUCCAUUUUUACAUGUAUGAGUAGGGUACUUUAAUAUUGGGAUUUAUGAACUUUUUUGUAUUUCUUCUCUAUGCUGGAAUAUAAAUUAGAGAUAUUUAGUCAUAUACCCAUUCUUAGCACUAAUAUUAUAAAUAAAUCCUAUAUCAUUCAAUUCCUAUAAACAAACCCAAAAAAAAUCCAAAAAAUAAUAGUUGGCCCUAUUGAAUUUAAUUUUGAUUAUUAAAUUACUUUGAUACCCUAUUGAGUGUUUUGAGAUUUUUUUAUGAGAUUUUGGAGUUGAGUUUGUUUUAAGAAAUCAAUGGCAAUUUUGUAAUUUAAAAAAAGUUAAAAGGCUUUUUGUUAUGUUGUAAAUAGGUUUCGAGUGUGUUUCUAAAGUCCAUUUCAUAUAGGUUUUUUUAUAUAUAAUAAUUUGAGCUCCUAUAUUGGGUAUAAUAGUGAAUCUCCAUUUAUUAACUUUUGAGUCUUUAAUAGUGUAGAUGAUGAGAUUAAUAUUCAACCAUUUUAUAAUAUGAAAUUAAGGACAAUCAUGAUUGUAAUGAAUGGAUUAUUAAUCAAUAUGAAAUGAUAUUAUGAAGUAGGCUAAAUCGAGUAGUUAGUAUCGUAUUAACUUAUUAACCGAUUAGCGCUUGAGCCCCCUAAUUCAAAUUAUUUUAUAAAAUUUUGUGAAGGGCCCCUUCUAAUGCAAAUUCCUGGCUGCGCCACUGCCUAUAGCAACUUGGUAAUGUGUGUGAAACACCCCCUCCUUUUGUCGUUUAGACUAUCGGUUCGCUUGUAUUAAUAAAAUAAAAAAUAAAAUAAAAGAUAAAAUUAUAAAUAAAACAAAACACAUAUUAAAGCCUAACUGUUAAUAAUGGAUCCAACAUAAGAUCCAGCCCAAGCCCAUGAAUAAAGCCCCCGAAAACGGUUGGACCCAAUUUUAAACACGUUAAUGCGUUAUAGGUUUUUUCCCGGCAAACCGUUGGUCUCUCCACCUUCAGCUUUACACGAGCGGCAUAGUCUCUUUCGUCAUUUUCUGUACCCAAUAGAAGUGUAGGCAAGCUUUUGAUCUUGGCUCUCCUGUGCUUGCAUCUUACCUGUUUUAUUGCCGAGUAAGCCGUCUCAAAUGGUUGGUCGUUCAGUUCAUAUUUGAAAGCAACAAAUUGCACGCCAUGUGUUCGAUGUAUUGUCUUACCGAAUUCAAUGCCCUUUUACUAUUGCAGUUUUAACUUCGGAGCGUCAACUUGAAGGGUUAUUUGAGGUUUUUUUUUUCCGAGGUCACAAUGGCCUGUAGACAUGUAGACAGGUUAAUACAUGGUGCAAGGCAUCUAAUGGCUAAGCGAAAGGGAGCUGUCCAUUUGAAUGGGAUGCUACAUCAUUGCUCAGAGGAGUCUCAUGGAGAGCCUAUGCCCCGAGAAUGGUAUCAAAAGGAAUUCCCCAAGUUAACAAAACUAUCCCAAUUGUUAAAAAAUGUCGAUUUGGUUGAUGGAAGGCUUGUUAACAUCAGUGAUGGUUCAAUUAUCAUGGAUGACCGUAUUGAACACAGAAUGCUUACUUUCAAGUCACUUGCCAGGGAAUUUAUUGGUUCUCCAUUAGUUCAGCAAACGUUAAAGAAUGAUGUCGUGGCGUUGUCAGGUGGUAGAAUCUGUAAUCAAUUUGUGUGUUUCAGUAAACCAAAUGAAAGAGAGCCCAUGGUUGUAAAAACACUCUCCGUAGUAAGUGGCUUUCUGAACAUCACUGCUCAACAAAGACAGUCAGUACGUGUUACAUUAUCUCCACAGAUUACACAGCACCGCAUAUGGACUGGGACGCUUGAGGAGGUACUGAAUGGAUUGAAAUCUGAGUUGGAAUAUUUAGAUCAUCGGUGCCCAAGCAAAGGGACGAAGAUGGGACAGCAGAUAGUUGCUAGCUGUCUGAAGUUCUUGGCUGACACAUCCACAUCCAUUUCAUAUGAACAUGAUUGCUCUUCAUGGACGCGCCUAUCGCCUGCAAAAGUUACAGACUCUUCUGGUUUGCAAAAAUGGGAAGAUGUUCUCGAGAUGUUCAACGACCUCAUUGAUUGUUUGAAAAAUGAAAGGGAGUUACUUCUUUACGUAGCGAAGCUUAAGGUCUUGAAAGAGGGGCUGUCUCAGAUCAAGGAUGUGUUGACUGAUAGAAAUAUAGGACACAAGGAAGUUCGGCAUCAAGAAAGCCUAGUGCAGAAGAAGCUGACAAAGACAUUGGGUCAUUCGUCCAAGUGCCUGUUCACACUUAUGUUAUAUUACCUCUUUGGGCAUGUUAGAGAUAUUGAAGUGGACGUACGUGGCGGCAUUUAUAGCAGCGGUAGUGAGAACGAUUUCUGCUUGUGCAUGGGAAGGAUUGUGACUUCAGAUGAGGAGGAGAUGGUUUGGAGCGGGGUGAGGCAGUUGGACAGGGCUCUUGGACUUUUCAAGUUUGUAUGGGAAACAGCAGGGAUGAAAGGAGCUUUACAACUGCAAGGGCAUAUAUGGUGCGUAGGGGCUGAAGGCAGAACACUUACAUAUAGAGGAAACACAUUUUUCGUCCAUGGGAUUCAUGUUUGACGAACACUUGUCUUAGAAUAUGAGUUCAACUGCAAGGGCAUAUAUGGUGCACGGGUUUUCUAUUUUAUUUGCAGCUUCAUCAAUUCCUUCCAUUUUCCUCCUGAUCAUCAUGCGCGGUGAUUCAAAUAUUUCAUAAUGAACAUUGAAAUGAGAUGCUACAAGCAAACUUAUGAAAAGAAACAGAAUAUACCAAAAAGACAAAUCAAUGUAGAUGGUUUAGAAAAUCUAAACAUUGCAAUUAUACUCCUUUGCCCAACUUCUAGGAGCAAACGUACACAAAGACCUUAUUGCUUCCAACUUUUCCAACAGAAUUUCGUAUGAAUUGCUCCAAGUGAAAUCCGUAUGAAAAAUCGGUAGUUGGAUUUUCAUCCUUUAAUAAGAUUAUUUAACUACUAACAAAAAAAAUCUUAUUACUUGAGCAAGUAAAAUACCAUUCCAGGUUUCUCCUAGUUCUAUAUGCGCUUAUAAUUGGUAUACUCUAUAAAUACCAUAAUCUGAAUUUCUCUGUUUUGAUUACUUUAAUUUAUUACUUAUGUUUUAAUUAUUGUUUACUUAGUGAAUUAUUAGUAUUUAAGAGAAGGCCCUCCAUCGAUUAGGCACCACGUGUCUAUAAUAAGUAAAGCCGUCCGGCUAUACUUAAAAAAAAAAAAUCGUAGUAUAGCCGACCGGCUAUACUAUUUAAUACAAAGGUAUAGCCGCGCGGCUAUACUAUUUAAUAAAAUAAAAAACAAAAGAAAAAGAAAAAUGACCCUCCUAUUUGCAUUAGUUUGCACUUUAUAGAUAUUAAUUUGCUAGUUUCAAGAUAUCCAAAGUAGAUAUUAGACUUUCACUAUAUAAUAUUUCAAUAUAUUUUUUUUUAUAACAUGUGUUGUUCUUAUUCAAUAAUAUGUUGAGAAUUAUUUGUAUAAUACGUGAAUUUUGUGUGUCUUACUGAAUUUUUCUAAAUACGUGUAUUAAACGUUACAAAUACAUACACAUAUGUACAACACGACUAUUGUACGUUUGCUUUAUAAAAAAAAAAGUGAGAUGUGUAUAGAAACAAAUGUAUUAUCAAAAAAUAUAUAUGUGUAUAUAUAUGUAAAAGCCUAUAGCCUCUCACCUAUACUAUUUAUUAAAGACAAUUUAAAAAUUACAACAACAAAAAAACCAGUACAACCACAACGCUAUACUAUUUUUUUAAAAAAUAGAAAAAAUAUCAAGUACUGCACAGCGCAAAGGCCCAGUGUAAAAUAGUAUAGCCAUACGACUAUACGUUUUUAAGAAGAAUUUAAAAAACUGAGUAUAGCCCACUGGCUAUACUAAUUUUUAAUAUAAAAAAAGGACCAUCCAUUAGGCGCCACGUGUCAACAGAAGUUUAUUUUUUAAAAAAAAAUUAAAAAACACGGAGUAUAGCCGGGCGGCUGUACUAUUUUUUAUUUUAAAAAGAAGACAGUCCAUCGAUUAGGGGCCACGUGUCAAUAAUAAGUACGGCCGCUCGGCUCUACUAUUUUUUGACUAAUUUUUUUUAGAAAAAUCGUACUAUAGCCGCCCGGCUAUACUAUUUAAAUACAUUAUAUUUAAAAGGUAUAGCCGCACGGCUAUGUGUUGGAUAUUUUGAAACUAGCAAAUUAAUAUCAAUAGCCGGUCGUAACCUAUGCUGUCCACGUCACUCAUGUUUUACCAGCGUUAAAGUAUCCACAAUGAGCUCCCUAAACCAUCUCUUUAGACAAAUUUUAGGGAGGAAUUGGAAAAGUAUAACUCCAACCAUGCUCCCAAUCCACCAACUAAAAUAGGGAGACCUCUUGGAGCUCCUAAAUCUGAGGAGAAGGAAAGGACUCUUAGUGACUCCCUAUAAUUUAAUGUUGCUUUGUUUUAUGCAUAUUUUAAACUUUUUAUUAAAUCAAAUUAUUUUUUUAUAUUAUUUUGUAUACAGAUGGACCAAUUAUAUUAAAUAAAAAAUAAUUAAAGUAUUUAUGACUCUCUAAACUAGGGAGUAUGAUUAGAGUUCAAAUUUUAUAAAAAGCUCUUAAAAUAGCUUUUAUGUGUUUUUAGCUAAAUUUUAACUAAAAAAUAGGGAGCAUGAUUGUAGAUCAUCUUAUAUACCUUAAUUUGAAGAUUCUUUAUUUGGGUUUCUUUCGAGACAAAAACCAUAUCCACAAUUAGCAGACAUCUUUGGCUGUUCUUCACAAUUGAGGGACAAUGAAGAAGACAUAAGGGAGAGGCUGCCAAAUACUUAUCACCUUAGCCACCACCAACACCACAAGACCAAUAUGUGUAGGCCAGGAGGCUCUCCAAUUUUAACAUAUAUAUUAUAAAAUAAAGAUUAUUGCUCCAUCCUCCAUGCACUUGCAUGCCCUCUUACAAAGUGUGAAGUAGAUUUUGUAUGCUUAAAGUCAUUGACUAGAGCUGAAACAUGGUUAGCUGGAUUUAUAAGAUCUUUUGUUUUCUGGGAAUUUUCAGAAUCAAGGAAAAUCAAGUAAAAUUAAUAAAGCAUAAUGGAAAGGGAAAAGAUCUAGAGGAUGCAUUGUAGGAUUGCUCAUGCCAAUAAUUGUACCCUCUAAAUAUAUAGGGACAUAUAUUUUUUUUGUUUUCAUGACACGUCGUCCUAAAAUUUUGGCUCCUAGCGGGCUCUCCACCCCUUCUCGAUUGAAAACCCAUUGUGUUAAUCUUCAAUCCUGAACGAUGCAUCUAAAACUCAAGUGUCCCAGGCCAAUUAUUGCUCUCAUACCACUUGUUGCAAUGCACAUCCACCCAUUCUUAGGGAAAGAUACCCAUCGAUAUUAUCUCAAAUUUAACCACUUUAGUCCAUUAUGAUUAACUAUGUAUUUUAUGGACGAAUCCAGUUGUGAGGUUUUAUACCCAAUUAGAUCGACCAAUACAGAGGUCACAGGUGGACUAAAAAGCUCCAUCGGUAGGGGAGUGUUUGACACCCUUUACUGCCGAGCGCAACACAAGACCCCUUACAGGAACUUGCCUGCUAGGACACAUGGAGCCACCACAACUAAUAUCAACAGUCCCACAUCGAAGUUUAACAUAACAUGCACACUCCCAAGACUUAUAAAGUGGGCACAAGUCCCAAAAAUAGGGGAACUUGGACUUUCGGCAAUUCAGCCAUUACUCUGUCCAGAUUACUAUACACUUCGUACUUAUUUUUACUUGAGCAUUGGAGAGCCUUCGGCUGGUACCACACCGGUGCCCAAGGGCUUACCGAGCAUUCUCUAUCUUGCAAAUUGAUAGCUCUACCAAAGCCCAGAAAGAGCUGAAGGUCAAUACAUCACUAAGUUGAGCCCAAAAGUGCUAAACCGCAUCAAAAAUAUAUAUAGAUUGAAAAAAUAAAAUAAAAAUCAAUCUAUUAUCAUAGGGUUAAUCUUUUUAUUAGUCCCCUAACUUUGACCAAAUUUGCAUUUGAGUACCUCAAUUUCCAAAAUGGUACCCACAGUCCCGCAACUUAAGUUUCGUUUGGAUUACUAGUCCCAUCGUUACUUUUGUCAAUUUUUUCGUUACAUUUAGGGGUAGAAGGGUCUUUGCAUGUUGGUUUUGAGGGACAAAAAAGACUUUUACUCUUUUAGAAUCUCUGAUACGAGUAUAAUGGACCAGAGUACGAACCAAAGAAGAACGAAAAAGCAGAAGAAGGGUGAAAAGACGAAGCUUUCAUACGAAAAGGUUUCUGCAGAAGCUUUCAGACAAAAGCAAAAAAGUUGAAGAGUUUGAGUUGAUUUUGUUUGGGUCAUUGUGUAUUUAGGUCGUCUGGGUCGAUACAUGUUGGUUAUCUCAUUGUGGAGUCAAUAGGUGUUGUCGACAACUUUGAUAGAGUUUGAAUUCAAGACUUCUGGAGACCUCCCUCCCCUCCAUAUACAGUAUGCGAUGCUAAUGGAAGUACUAGAAAUGCUUUUUUUAUAUGUUAAUUGAUUUUUGUUGUUUUGGAAUUCUGUCUGUGUCUGCUCGAAUUGUGCAGCAAUUAAGGGUUUUAUUUUUGUCUCUCUUUUGGGCAAAUAAAAAACUGUUUUCUUUUGUCUUUAUGUCAACAUUGAACGCAUACCUUUUGUUUUGUUCAAACAUUGAGUGCAUACUUGGUCCUACUAUCCUUGGUUGAAUUUAAGGGUUUGUGGUCCUAUUGGUUUGAUAUAUGUGAAUUGAUUGCACAGUUGCACACACUAGUACAUUUGGUGGUCCUACUGGUAGAGAUUUGUGGUCCUACUGGUAGGGUUUAGUUUGAUUUGUCUUUAUUCAGGUGAGUAGAGAUUUUAGAAAUUGGUGUUGAAUUUACUGAAUUGAGAUUAUUGCUUCAUUUGCAGAUAAGGGUGAGUUCUGCAGUUUCAAAAUUCACCAUGGGGGUGUUGUAUAAGAUGAGGUGUAUAAGGGGGGGGGGGGGGGGGGGGCAUUUGCUUAUUUGGACAACGUGUGGAUAAUUAUCUAUCACUCUUGGAUUUAAGGAAAAUAGGUAUAGCGUUAGGAUAUGAAGUGGACCUUACUAAGAAGGAGAUAGGUUUGCAAAUAUAUUGUAAGAUGUAUGACAGUAAUGGUGAAGCUAUUGUAAAGUUCAUUGACAAUGACAAUGUUACAUGUGAGAUGGUUGGCUGCAUAACAAGUAACAAAGUGUUAGUGUUAUACUAUAUUGACAAAAAAACAAGUGAAAAGACAUGGACUCAAAAAUCUGUGGAAUGGCCUAGUUUGCAGAGUGAAGAAUACAACUAUGCGAGAUUUAAUGAAGACCACAUGAAGGAGGUUAAUGAGCCUUUAGAUACUGAUGAGCAUGUUGUUUCGCUUGGAGAUUGUGAAGCUGCAGUUGAUGAAGAAGAAGAAGAAGGGUCAGAGUUUGUGGAUAGUGAUUAUGAGUUUAGUGAAGAUGAGGAGGCAAACAAAGGUUGUAAUGUAGACAUCAAUAUGCCUUGUGAUGAAGAAGUGAAUGUUGAGACUGAAACACAAGGGCCAGGAGAGAUUUCUGAUGAUGGGGCAGAUUCUGAUACUUUAUAUUCUGAUGGGAACACCUCAGAUGAUGAGAAUACUAGUCGACAUGUGACAAAAAAGCAGAGGAUUAGCCUACCAAAGUUCAAGCAAUAUAGGAGAGCUACUGACCUUAAAAAUCUAGAGUUUUAUUUGGGGAUGCAAUUUGUAAAUCGGGAGCACUUGAAAGAAGCAAUAAAGGAGUAUGCCAUUGUAAACGGAAAGCUGCUGAAAUUUGAUAAAAAUGACAAGAGGAGGGUGAAGGUCAUGUGUCGUGGAUCUAGAAAUUGUGCAUUUGUUCUUUAUGCAUCUAGGAUUGAUAAAGAGGAAUCCACUUUUGUAGUAAAGGCUAUACAUGCUGAACAUACAUGUGGCAGAGUAGACAGGUUGAGAUAUGCUAAUUCAACAUGGAUUUCAAAAAGAUUUUGUGAUAAGAUGAGAAGAAAUCCUAAUUGGAAUGUGGGGCAACUUUAAGGUAAGGUGAGGGAACACUAUGCAAUGAAUGUUACACAGAACCAAGUGUAUAGGGCAAAAAAAUUGGCUAAGAAGGUCAUUCAAGGUUUGUACAAGGAACAAUAAGAGAGAUUAAGGGAUUUUGCAGAGCAAAUUAAGAAGACCAACCCUGGAAGUACUGUGGUAAUUAAAACUGAACUAGCAGGUGAUGAUGCAUUGUUUGAAUGGAUUUAUAUUUGUUUAGCUGGUUUUAAAAAGGGUUUCGUAGAAGGCUGUAGGCCUGUCGUAGGGGUUGAUGGGUGCCACUUAAAAGGACCCUGCUCAGGGCAGAUCUUAACUGCAGUUGGUGUUGAUGGGAACAACGGUAUGUUCCCAUUGGCCUAUGCUGUAGUUGAAAUAGAAAGCAAAAGUAGUUGGAUAUGGUUUCUAGAACUCUUAAUUGCAGACUUGGGGAUCCAAAAUGGUUUGGCAUGGGUGUUUAUAAGUGAUAAACAGAAUGGGCUAAUUCCUGCUAUGCAAACAGUUUUACCAAAUACUGAACACAGAAUGUGCGUGAGACAUUUGUAUAACAACUUCAGAGGCCAGCACACAGGACUUGCUCUUAAACAUUUGCUAUGUGCUGCUGCAAAGGCAACCACAUUGCCUUGGUGGGAACCAGAGAUGGAUAAUCUGAAAAAGGAGGAUGCAGAUGCUUGGAGGUGGUUAAUUGAGAAGCCUGCGAAACAUUGGUCAAGAUCUCAUUUUGCAACACACUAUAAGUGUGAUUUGUUGUUAAAUAACCUAUGUGAAAGCUUCAAUGCAACCAUUAUUAAUGCAAGGGAUAAGCCAAUCCUAACAUGCCUUGAGAGAAUAAAGAUGUAUAUUAUGAUUAGGAUGGCUAAUAGAAGGGCUUCUUGUCAACAUUGGAGGUAUACUGUUGGUCCUAGAAUCUUCAACAUAAUAGAGAAAAAUAAGUUGGCAUCAAGUCAAUGCAUACCAAGGUUGGCUGGGGAGAAGAAAUAUCAAAUAAGUCAUAUGUAUGAGGGAGAAUUUGCUGUAGAUCUAAGAGCAAAGACUUGCUCUUGCAGAAGAUGGGACUUAUGUGGGAUUCCUUGCCCACAUGCAAUUUCUGCUAUUUUCCAAAGAAGUGAAGACAUAGAGGAUUAUGUGGAUAAAUUGUACAAGAAAGAGGCUUACUUAAAAACAUAUGGUCCUAUCAUUAGACAUGUUCCUUUCAUUGACCAAUGGCCAAGGAGUUGUUUACUUGUAAUUAAGCCUCCCAACUUCAGAAUCCAACCUGGAAGGCCAAGGAAGGUGAGGACACAAGAACCAGGGAAGGUGGAAAUACCAGCUCCAGUACCUUCAAAUCCAAAACCACCGAACUGGAAACCACAACCUGCAAGGCUCCAGCUCUCCAAGGGCAAGCCGAAGCUCUAGCUCCCCAAGCUUAGGCUCCAGCUCCUCAAGCCUAAACUCCAGCUCCCCAAGCCCAAGCUCCAACUCCCCAAGCCCAAACUCAUGCUCUCCAAGCCAGGCCCAACUAGUAAGUGAUAUUGAACCAAGUCUGAUUUGUCAUUCAAUAACCUCAAUGUUUAUAACUGAAACUGAAACUUUGCUUAUAGGUGGCAGCAACCAGGGAUUGUAGAGGUAGAGGGAGAAUGAGAGGCUUAGGAAGAUCAUCAUCUCAACCUUAAGCCCAAGCUCAAGUCCAAGUCCACGCCCAAGUCCAAGCCCAAGGCCAAACUGAAGUCUUUUCUGCAAAUAUCCAAGCAAGGGCAGUAAUUGGACCAAAUCAAAUGGUCUAACAUGUAAGUGAUAUUUGAAGAUGGUUUGAUAUUCACAUGUUCUUAUGUCAUUUGUAUAACAUCAAUCACAUAUGUGAACAUUUGCUUGUAGGUGACAGCAACUAGGGGUGUACAAGUAGAGGGAGCAUGAAAGGCUUAGGAAGAUCAUCAUCUCAACCUCAACCUCAUGCAUUACCUCCAAAUAUCCAAGAAAGUGCACUAAUUGGACCAAAUCAAAUGGCCCAACUUGUAAGUCAUAGUUGAAUAUGGUUUCAUACUCACAUUUUCUUAUGUCAUUUGAAUAACCUCAAUCACUUCUGUCAAUGUUUGCUUAUAGGUUGCAUCAACUAGAGGUGGUAGAGGGAGAGGGAGAAUGAGAGGCUUUGGAAGAUCAUCAUCUCAACCAGUAAGCAAAGGCUCUAUCACUAGAACAACCAAUGGUGCAUCAUCUUCACAGCCACCAAGAUGAAUAGUGUUUUGUAACGGUUUUGGGGAUACCUUUUGGGACUUAAACUAUGUUGUGACUGCUAUUUUAGGGAUACCUUUUGAUAUUUGAACAUGGCUAUUUUGAUAAUUAAGUGUCUUUUGUACUCUGUUUGAGUAACAAGUUAUCAUUUUGGAACAUGUGGUGGAUCUGGGCAUGUAUUAAACAUGUCAUAUGAUUGCACUUUCCCAAAAAAGGCUCUAUCUGUGAACAUUUGAAUUUGUAAUGAAUGUAAGUUUCACUCUUCUGCUUAUGUGAAAGGUUGCUCUACUAUUUCAUGUGCAUUUGUAUGCCUUAAUUUGAACAAGUCUUGUAUGCAGAUUGAGGUCAAUGAAUCUGGAAUUACAACAUUGCAAAUAACCAAAGUUUUCAAAAUCCAUAAGCCUUUUGCAUAACUAAUAACAUUACAAGAUUGCAUAACUAAUUUCGGGAAUUACAUUAGCUCCAAAAUGGGUUUCACUGCCCUUACUCCCAUACAUUUUCCAGACAUGUUUGACACCAUGAUCAUCACCAUCACAAUGGCCACAAAUAAAACACAAGCACCCAUACUCAUCCUACAUUCUCUUUGUCGAUGCCUCAUCAUAUUGUCUUCCAGCAAAAGUCUAAGCCUUCUGUUGUCUCUGAUUGCAUAAUCCAACUCCUUAUUUUUUUCAAUUAUGCCCUCCAUUUCCAAGUUUCAAGCUUCUAAGGAUUGAAGUGUGUUGACCACAACAUUUUUUCUCUCUUCUGUCUCCCUCAUUUCAGUCUCCAUCAUUCUUAUUCUUCUAAGCAGACCAGGCACCACAUUCUUCCCUCUUGUACAUGUCUCCUUGUCCAACCACCUAAAAUAAUGCUCUCCAACUCUGUUUUUCUACUUCAUUAUUAUCAAAUUCUUCAUCACAACAAAAUCUGAACAUAAUACCAAUUUUGUGCAUAAACCCAAAAAUCUAAAAUUGUUUACCUGGUUGUUGUCACAAGCCUCAAAGCGUCUUCCUGGAUUCAUGUCCGUCCAUGAAGUCCUUAAUUUGAUCAAACUCCCACAAUGACAAUACUUCACUGAUUUGGGGCUUUGGUUAGAUUCCAUUGAUGAUGUUUGAGACAUAUCACUUGCCAUCCUUUGAACUAAUUUGCUCUCCAAGCUUCCAAACUUGACGAUUCCAACUUUUACUCAGCCAAUAUGCGAGCUGCAGAAGCGGAUUGCAACUUUUAGUUCUUUAGGUUUUCAACGGCAGACUGUCGAAGGUCUAUUUCAGAGGGAAGGCAAGUUGUAGAAGGGGGAUAAUAAACCAACCUGAAAAGACCCAUCUAUCCCUAAAUGUAACGAAAAAAUUGACAGAAGCAACGGCGGGACUAGUAAUCCAAACAAAACUUAAGUUGUGGAACCGUGGGUACAAUUUUGGAAAUUGAGGUACACAAAUGCAAAUUCGGUCAAAGUUGGGGGACUAAUAAAACGAUUAACCCAUUAUGAUAUAUAUUAUAUAAAAUAAAUAUUGGGUAAAUUACUCAAAUGGUCCUCAAACUUAUACUCGAUUUACAUUUUGGUCCCUCAAUUAUUAUUUGUUCAAAUGGUCCAUCAACUCUAUAUUAUUCUCUCCAUUGGUCCUACCGUUAUAUUUUGUCAAUAUUUCUGUUAAAUGUGAGGGCAAAUUGGUCAUUAUAUAACUAAAAUUAGGGUAAAUCUAACAGAAAAUUAGACGGUAGGAAUUCGGGGCGGUUCAUGUCAAAAAGCUAAUCAGAGGGGCGAAAUUGACAAAUAAAUUUAAUACAAUGGCUAAAUUGGUUGAAAGAUUAAUUCAAGAUGUAGAUUUCAACAAGUGUGAUAAUUCAUGGGGGUAUUCGGUAAUUUACUCCUUUUUUCCCCCUUGAUCUUCCGUAUUCAAGUAAUGGAAAUGUGUUCCACAUUUUCCAUUUAGUUGAUUAUAGAAAAGGAAGAGCAAACAUGAGUUAAGCCCAAGGCACUGAACUUAGGGUCAGUUUGGCAUUGCUGUGCUGUGAAAAUAAUCGUUGUCAGAUUUGCUAUGAGAGAAAAUAGUUUGGCGUUUGGUAAAAUUUUUGUUAAAAGUAUUAUUAGUAUUUAUUUUACACAUAAUCAGAAAAUAAUUGCCGCAUAAUCAUUAAAUUCAGCGCCUCUUCGAAACUGAUUCUUGCAUAAUCAGAAAAUGAAAGCACAUCAUUAGCUGCUUUCCUUUAUAACUUUCUCUCACAGCAAUUUUUAACAAUAGGUGAUUUUCUCACAGUUUACCAAAUGGGUUGGGCUUCUCAAAAUUAAAAAAAAAACACUUAUCACCCCAAAUAAACAAUGCCAAACGGGCACUUAGACUUCUCACCAAGUGAGGAAGAAAAAUAUGACAAAUUGAUAUAUUUAAUACAAGCUCAAACUGUGCACAAAUUAAUAUAUGCAAUGGAAGCCCAAGAUUAUUUCUGAAGCACAUAAUUUCUGCAAAAUCUACAAAGUGGUGGGAGGCAGACCAACAAAAAAAAGUAGCGAAGGCUUAUAACUCUGGUAAAACAAGAGUGACAACUGAAGAUUUUUGGGUUUCUUUAAUUGGUUAAGUUUAUAUACCUUCAUUUGAAGAUUCUUUAUUUGGGUUGCUUUCAAGAUGAAAACCAUAUCCACAACCACAACCACAACUGGCAGACAAUCUUUGGCUGUUCAUCACAAUUGGGCGACAAUGAAGAAGACAGAAAUUGGAGUAAUGUAUGUUACCAGCAAUCCACGAGAAACUGACGUCUGCAAGCUUUCGUAAUAUAAGGAGGAUGGGGAGGUUGUGCAAUACUUAUCACCUUAGCCACCACCUACACCACAAGACCAAUAUGUUGUAGGCCAGGAGGCUUUCCAAUUUUAAUAUAUAUAAAAGUAACGUAAAAAAGAAAUUAAUGUAGGGUAAAGUAGAAUAGAAAAGAGAAUAAACAAAAUUAAUAAAAAAAAAUUUUAAAAAGUAAAAGGGAGUGUAAAUGGAGAAAAGAGGAAUGGGGAAAUCAGCUCCCUAUAUAUAUAUAUAUAUACAUGGAUUGAAAAAUUAAAAUUAAAAUAAAUCUAUUAUCUUAUAUAUUAUAAAAUAAAGAUUAUUGCUCCAAGGAAAUGAGAUCUUUUGUUUUCUGGGAAUUUUCUGAACCAAGAAAUAUCAAGUAAAAUUAAUAAAGCAUAAAUUGGAAAGGGAAAAGAUCCAGAGGAUGCAUUGUAAGAUUGCUGAUGCCAAUAAUUGUACUCUCUAAUUAUACAUGGACGGGCAUUCAAAUCGGCAAAUCGGAAAUUCGAGCCGAACCACAAAAAAAAAAACCGAGUUGACCAAAAAGUCAAAAACCAAUCAAAAACCAAACCGAAUCGGUUUGGACUGGUUUUGGAUCCAGUUCUAUGUCUUCAAAAACUGAACCAGGCGGAACCGAACCAAUCAAAUUUAAAAAUAUAUAAUUUCAAUAUUUAUUUAUAUUCAAUGCUAUAUUUUUAAUCUCAUAACUAAUAUUUAUACAAGUUCAAUUUCAAAACAUCUAUCUUUUCUAGCUUUAAUAUUUAUUUUUAUAUGAAAUUAAAUAAUUUAUUAAUUUUCAAGUCAAAAAAAUAAAAUUUUAGUUGAAAUUUGUAUUAAAAAAUUAAUUUUAAUAAUCCAGUUCAAAACCAAAUCGGACCGGAACCUAAUCGAAACUGGUUCAACCUGAACCAGACAGUUUUUGAAUUUUUUUUGUUAAAACUGAACCGAACCAAACUGGAUAAAUAGUAUCGGACUUUGUUCUAAUUUGAGACAAAAACCGGUCCAAACCGGACCGUGCCCACCCUACAUGGACAUAUUUUUUUUGUUUUCAAGUCUUAGAUGACAUGUCGACCUAAAAUUAUCGUUCCUAGCGGCUCUCCACCCCCACUCAACCUAUUGUGUAUUAUUAUUUUCAAUAUUAUCUCAAAUUUAACUACUUAUGUCCAUUAUGAUUAGUCAUCUAUUUUAUGGACCAUCCAGCUGUGAGGUUUUAUCUCAAAAACCUUCAGUAACUUUUUCCCGCUUGCAACAAUUGUAUUUGAUUCAGAAUUAUGUCCUAUAUUGGUGGGUGGAGUGUUACUUCUGGGUACCCCUCAUCAUUCGUCUAUAAAAUGGUGAAGCCAGUUGCUACUGUUACCAUAAGAUCCAGCUCCGACUUUCUUUAAUUUCUUGCUUCAUAUCCACUAGCUACAUCUGUUGCCGAGUUAAUUUCAGUCCUAAUGGGGUUUCAUCUCCCACUCAUCUUUGCUAUUCUCAUUGUAAGCUCUGCAAUUUGAUUAACUUUUCCAUUCUCUCUCAUUGUACUUUAUAUAAUCCUCUCCGAAAGUGUCGUCCACUAAUUAAUUACACUUUGUGAUUUUAUUUUAAUUAGAGUUCAAAUUAAUGUUGCAGCUAGCAGCGGUGGCACUGGCAAUCCAUGCUGCGCAACCAGCACCUCAACUUUACUGGAACUCCGUCCUGCCAAACACACAGAUGCCAAGAUCUAUCAGUGAACUUCUGCAUCCUGGUUUGUGUUAAGCCAUUUAGAAUCUUAGAUAUUUUUUCUACCUGCCAUUUUACUGAAAUGUGUUCCGACCACAUAUUUAUCGGUUAACUACUGUUUUCCAAUUUAUUAUUAACCUCGACAAAAGUUAUUACAUGAGUAAUUAUAGUAUGGUACUAGAGUACGUACGGCUAAAAGACUUACGGAAAUGUGUUCCGACCACAUAAAAGACUUACGGAAGGCUGGUGAGUUCUCCAAGUUUUCUAAACGCAGUGCCUGUUGGAAGAACCUGUAAGAGAGUUCAAUUAUUGAAGGCUCCCCAGUCUGAGCACCUGUGAGAUUGUAAAGAUCCUCGAGAAUGAAAAAUGGCAGCUGAUUUUCGAGCAUAAGCAUGUCAGGCAAUAUAUUUUGUUGCACCCAUGGUUUUUUAAAUAUCCAAGCAUUAUCAUCCGGCAAUUUUUCUUCCUGAAAUUUUUCUUCGGAUUUAUUCCUCAACAAUAGCUCAAUGACAAAGGCGGCAUCAACUAGAAAGAUAUUCACAAAAGCGGCAAUGUUAAACUUCUUAGUGUCUUCAUAAUAAUGACGGAGUUCAACUUCUCUCUCCUUUAGGUACCUGAGUUUGUGAUCUUCCAUGGCUUCUAAGUUUUUGCUGCCAUGGUGAAGUGGGCCUAUUGAGACUACUUGUGGUGUGUAGGCCUUUUGUUUUACGUUCCGUAGUCGCUCAGGCACCCUGUAGAUAUUGCAGGCAGGGGACAGGGCACGCAAGUUUGUCAACUGAUUUUCCAUGGAAGUUGCUUGGUUUUCUAUGUCAAAAGAAGCUUCAUUGCUGCUUUCUUCCACUUUCUUCCUCCGCAUUAUGUGUUGUUCUGAUUGUAAGUGACGAGGAUGGUGAUGAUUCUAGACACCAUAAUCAACAAAUGUUUCAAUCAUAAUUGACAUUUCAAGAUGCUUCCGACAAAAAAUUAGAAAACAUUCAUCACAAAAUGCGAACUCAUACAAUAGAUGGGUUGAGAAGAUCCACACAUUGCAAUCAUACAAUCCAAUUGCACAGGGAUUACUCCCUAUUCUCCUCUCUCUCUAAAAAAGAUUUUCAUAUCGAUAACAUCUUAUUACAAGGGAUUUGUAUAUCAAGUGGUGAUGAACAGAAAUUCAUAUUCUUUCAAUCAAAAUAUACAAAUUUCGAAAAAGUUUGUUUGUUUUAUUUUUGGAGGAAAAAAAUCUGAGCAUAUAUAGAUGCAUAUUAUACGUAGACCUAAGGUGAAAACAUACCAGAUUUUUACUCCAUUUUUCAUGAGGUUUAAGUUCUUGAUGUAUAUAUUUAUCUCAAGUGUAACAUCCCACAUUGAUCAACGGAGAGGGGGUGAUGUGCCUUAUAUGUACAUGCCAGCCUCCAUCUAGCACGAGGCUUUUUGGGAGCUCAUUGGCUUCGGAGUCAUAGGAACUUCGAAGUUAAGCGAGUUGGAGCUAGAGCAAUCCCAGGAUGGGUAACUCAUUGGGAAGUUGCUUGUAAGUUCCCAGAAAUAAAACCGUGAGGGCAGAUAGGGGGCCCAAAGCGACCAAUAUCGUGCUACGGCGGAACCGAUUCUGGGAUGUGACAAUUUGGUAUCAGAGCCACUCUGCCGUGUGGUGCGAGUGUGCCGACGAGGAUGUCGAACCCUUGAAGGGGGUGGAUUGUAAUAUCCCACAUUGACCAACGAAGAAUGGGUGAUGUGCCUUAUAUGUACAUGCCUGCCUACAUCUAGCACGAGGCCUUUUGACAGCUCACUGGCUUCAGAGUCAUAGGAACUCCGAAGUUAAGUGAGUUGGUGCUAGAGCAAUCCUAGGAUGGAUGACGUGACAUCAAGAAUUUAUAUCCUCCCUUUUAGAUCUCAUGUUCCAGUCAAAACAUAUAGAAACAAACGAAACAUAAGAAACUAAAAUCUUGUUUAUACCCAUCCUCCCACCCACCCACGGCCAUCCACCCCUACUGAAAGGACCCGCCCCCAAUUUUCUCAAAACCCGAGACGAACCCUUUGGAAUUCCUGACAUCACCCCGAUGCCAGGCCCACUUACUAAAAACUGAGACUUCCUGCCGAAAUUUCGGCAGAGUCUCCCCUAUAAAUUGGACAUUUCCCAAAAUUUCAACCUGCAUAAAAACGCAUUUAAUAUUCCCAACUGGCAGCAUGCACAAUAUAAUUUCAUGCAAUUCACACAAAUGGCCUUCGGCCUUUCAAUAAUUCCUAUCCAACUACCAAACCAUUCAAAUACAAAUUAUGACUAAUAUUUAGUCUGCGGCUGCACCUAAUAACCUUAGGCUGCCUACGUACCCUCCUUGAGGGAUCAAGCCACACGUAGUUCUUCCCUAAAACCCAAUUCCACACUUGGGCGAUACCUUAUUUCAUUUCUCUGGAUUUCAUAUAAUCUCCCCAUACGCCGGUACAACCAACGCCACGUAUGGGGCCUGUCAACACGCCGGAUAACCUACGCCACGUGCGACCAUGCCAUACUAUCAUAAUAUCUCCCCAUACGCCGGUACAACCAACGCCACGUAUGGGGCCUAUCCCAACGCCGGAUAACCUACGCCACGCGGGACCUCAAUAUUCAUAUCACAAAUCUCCCCAUACGCCGGUACAACCAACGCCACGUAUGGGGUCUGUCGACACGCCGGAUAACCUACGCCACGUGCGACCUCAACACAAUAUCACAAUAUCUCCCCAUACGCCGGUACAACCAACGCCACAUAUGGGGUCUGUCUCAACGCCGGAUAACCUACGCCACGUGAGACCUGAACAUCAUAUUACAAAUCUCCUCAUACGCCGGUACCACCAACGCCACGUAUGGGGCCUGUCCCAACGCCGGAUAACCUACGCCACGUGGGACCUAACUUUUACUUGGUGGUGCUUGUAGUGAAUCCAAAAUCCGGGGAGGUACCUAAAGUAGUGCGUAUAGCACUCCAAACUGACACUCUAGACUCUGUUGUACCCUUGUACAACCAUAUAUAAUUAUAGUUAUAUAAAUUAAUUCUAAUAUUGUGUAACCCUCCACAAUAAUCUAGCUCCCGAUAAUCCCCCCCUUAGAAAGGUGAGAUUACUCCGGGAGACUCACGGUCAACCAAGGGUCAAACUACUCUAACCCUGGUCAACCGGACCUGCAGAACCCACGACCUCCAAUUUCUGAUCCGAAAGUCUCUAUGGGUUCUACUAGGUAUAGGACACUUGUCCUGCAAGUUUGGUUCAGAUCGGACGGUCGGAUUUCUCACGAUCGCACGAUCUGACGGUUAAUAUAAAAUAUAAACUUUAAAAUUAUUAUUCGGAACAUCCGGGGCUCCGAUUCACGAUCUGUAAAUUCCUACAUGAUCCUAGAAAUACCUUGAUUAACAUAUAUUAAAUUUGGGACCAUCCAACGGUCCCAACCUAUCGAACCCGGAUAACAUACACUAUGCGAUUAUCUGUUCGAUAGUCAAACGACGUCCGAAUUGAGAUCCGCGAAAUCCUACGCACUCGUGACAACCUAAGGAUCUCAUCGGAACACAUCGCUACUUUUUAUACAGUGCCCACGCGCCGCCGCACGCUCCGGCAGCGCGUGGGUGCCCAAAGCGAUAACGCUUCGCCGGAAAAUCUCAACAUCUCGGCUCCAAACUCCUACCCUAGGUAUAACACCCUAUUUGGAGCCACUUUUGUUCUUGGACCUACCCCAAAAAUUGGCCGGAAAUGGCCGAUCACGGCGGCCGAAGUUCGGCCGAUUUUCAAUUCGAAAAUCGAGUUGUCUACGCUAAGAAUCGAUCUAAUCCUACCCAACAGGCAGCUAGAGCAUGAAAAAUAGGUGAGAAACCAUACCUUGCUCGUCGGAUUUGGUGGCCGGAGGAGGGAGAUCGAGCUCCUUGAAUUUUGGGUUAAAAUCGGUCGGAUUUUUGCAUUUUCCGGCGAGCACAGGUGGUUCCGGUGGCUGAGAUCGGUCGGGAUGGAAAGAGGAGGAUGGCACGGUUCUUUUGGGACCGGUGCCACCCCGAGUGGUGGCCGGAUGCGGCGACGGCGGCCCAAAAAACCGCCGCUGUGAACAGUAACAGGGGGGGCUGUUCUGCGCGCAGGGGAGAGAGAGAGAGAGAGAGAGAGAGAGAGAGAGAGAAAAUCUGAUUUUAUAAAAAAUCCCAUUUCAAAAUAUUUACGAUUGUGCCACUGGACUUCUUUUGACCAUAUCUCUCUCGUUACAACUCCGAUUCGAGCCCACUACGUGUCUGUGAACUCGUCUCAGUACGACCUAUCCAAAAAUAUAAGUCACGGUCCCAAACUCUCUCUGGUUAAAAAUAUGACUAAAAUACCCUUAAAUAAUUAAAUAAUUAAAUGAGGGUAAAAUUUGGGAAAAUUUGGGGUCGGGGUGUUACACCUACCCUCUAUCUCCAUUAAAUCUACAAGUAGCUCAUCAAUUUAUCCACUAUCCCAAGUUCAAUAUACAACCCAACAACCAUCUUACCCAUCUUCUCAUUGAUCUUCCACCCAGCAUCCAACACUAUCUUCAUAAACUCUUUACCCUUUAAAAUAAAUAUGGCAAUAAACUAAAAAUUCUGAUUUAACGCAUGUUUUGCUCAUAAGAGAACUAAAACCUAAAAAUUCUAUACUCUUACACAAAAAAUAAAAAAUAAAAACUAAAAUUGAAAUGGUUAUCAAACAAACCCUUAUAUUACAAAAAACACUGUAAGGGAGGUAAAUAGUACGUUUACAGAGUUUAAGUGUAAUAAAGGAAUAAAAACAUGCCCAGAGGAUUGAUAAGUGAUAUCAAUUCUUGAAUAUACAGAACGUAAAAUAAAGCAACACGUAAAAAAUUAUUUUAUAUGGUAAAACUCCAUCUCUGGGGAAAAUCCAUGGGACUUCUUAGUCCAAAACAAAUCCAUUAUAGAACGAUGAUUAUAAGAAGUACUCACACACUUAUCCUAAACACAUUCUAGAUAAUGUUUAUUGACCUCUUCGUAACUCAACUUCUGUCUCGGGAUGAUCUUUCGACACUCUUUAUGUUGAAUGCAAUAUUGGUCACGGUUUCUUCAAGCUCGUCAGAGUUCUUCCAACUCUCCUAAUAUUGAAUUCGAUACUAGUCACGAUUGAUUCAAGCUCAUCGUAGAAAAACCGUCACAAUGGUCUUGGUGCCCUCAACCGUAUGAGUCAUUGAACAUGCAAAUGAAUACAAUAUGAAUGAUAAAAGUGUUUGAUAAAUCACCGAGUUAUGGAACACUUGAUGAUUUAUCUCAAAUAAAAACUCAGCUUUCCAAAAUUUAUGAAUUGAAAAUAUGAUCGUUAAUGCUCUCUAAACAAAGAAGACAAAGGUCUUAUUUUAGACUUUUUCUUUACAAGAAAGAAAAUAAGUUGGAAACCAAAUCUCCAAUUUCCAAGGCAAAAUCACAAAAGUAUCUUUUCUAGAGAUUGGUCACAUGUAGUCCAACCAAUAGGAAAUGAGAUAUUUAAGAAAGGAAGAUUUUGAUCAAUAUCAAUAUCAAAUGAAUUCUUAUACGCCUAGUCAACUAUUAAGGGUAUCUUGACUCCUUGAUAUUUUGAUAUGAUUGAAACAUGAUUUCCAAGUUAGAAAAUUAAGGGGAUGUUAAAACAUGAAAGUAAUAGGAGAAACAAAUUUAUUUGGACCAAAAUUGCCUAAAAAGAAAACACUCCUAAAUAAACUUCAAUUCACUUUAGUAAAACAUGAUUGAAUCGUUCGUUAAAACAAUUCCCUAAUAUACAUGCAUGAUAAUGACAUCACUUACUCCUGAAUCAAAUUGUCACGCCCCGGACCCGGGGGUUGAUGGAAAUUCCGCGCCCGGUGCGUAAGAAAAUAAAAAGUAAAAUAAAAUAAAAAGAAAGCCGAAACAAGGUGCUAAAUGAAAACUAUGAGAGAAUAUUUGUUUGUGGGAAUUUUCUGUGUAUUCUUCUCCUUGUAGGAGGUCAUAUUUAUAAUACAACGAAACCUGAAUGGGCAAGUAAAUAAUAAAUUCCUAAAUCUAUUUGCAGUAGGAAAUCAGGAAUUAAAGUAAAUCAAUUACAAUUAUAAUAGGAAUUCUUGGUGUGUAAGGAAAGUAAAUCAAUAUCCACAAGUCAAGCCAACACUCCCCCUCACGUUGGUGCAUAGAUGUCGCCAAUGCCCAACUGAUCUAGUGAAUUGUGGAAUGCUUUACUGGAAAUCGCCUUUGUCAAAAUAUCCGUCAAUUGAUCCACGGAUUUCACAAAAGGAAACUGAAACACUUUAGCCUCAAGCUUUUGUUUGAUGAAGUGUCGAUCCACCUCAACAUGUUUUGUACGGUCAUGCUGAACCGGAUUCUGUGCAAUGGCUAUAGCAGCCUUGUUGUCACAAAAGAGAUUCAUUGUGGAUGUAGGUUUAUACCCAAGUUCAGUAAGCAACUUUCUUAACCAAAGAAGUUCACAAAUCCCUUUAGUCAUGCCUCUGACCUCGGCUUCUGCACUGGAUAAAGCUACUACAUUCUGUUUCUUGCUUCUCCAUGUCACCAAAUUACCUCCCACGAAUGUGAAGUAACCCGAUGUGGAUUUUCUAUUUGUUACAUUACCUGCCUAAUCUGCAUCUGAAUAACCAUCAAUAUUUAGAUGACCAUGCUUUGAGAACAUAAGUCCUUUUCCAGGUGCAGACUUCAAAUAUCUAAGUAUCCGAAGAACUGCAUUCAUAUGGUCUUCACUUGGAGAGUGCAUAAAUUGACUGACAAUGCUCACUGCAUAAGCAAUGUCUGGUCGAGUAUGUGACAAAUAGAUCAAUCUUCCCACUAAUCUUUGGUAUCUUUCUUUGUUAGUUGGAACUUGAUCCGGAUAUUCUCCAAGAUGAUGAUUCUGAACAAUAGGAGUGUCCGCAGGUUUACAAUCUAGCAUUCCUGUGUCUGUCAACAAGUCUAAGACAUAUUUCCUUUGAGAGAGAAAUAUGCCUUGCUGCGAUCGAGCCACCUCAAUUCCCAAGAAAUACUUGAGUCCACCUAGAUCCUUCAUCUCAAACUCCGUAGCCAGAUAGCCUUGUAGCUGUGAUAUUUUCUGUUUAUCAUUCCCAGUAAUAAUCAUAUCAUCAACAUAGAUUAUUAAUGUUGUUACCUUCCCUUUUCGAUGUUUCAAGAACAGAGUAUGAUCUGAGUUGCACUGUUUGAAACCAUUGUUCUUCAUUGCCAUGGUGAACCGUCCAAACCAUGCACAUGGUGACUGUUUCAAUCCAUACAAUGCUUUUCAUAACCUUCAAACUGUUCCAGUCUGAGUAGUAUUAUAUCCAGGAGGAAUGUCCAUGUACACCUCCUCCGUGAGUUCGCCAUGUAGAAAAGCAUUCUUUACAUCAAACUGGUGUAGUGGCCAAUCCAAAUUAGUUGCAAGGGACAAUAAGACUCUGGGUGUUUAACUUUGCAACUGGAGCAAAGGUUUCUUCAUAGUCUAUACCAUAGGUCUGUGUGUACCCUUUUGCCACAAGUCUUGCCUUGUAUCGCUCGAUAGAUCCAUCUGCAUUGUGUUUUAUAGUAAACACUCAUCUACAUCCGAUAGUCUUUUUUCCUCGGGGUAUAGUCUCCAAUGUCCAAGUCUGAUUUUUCUCAUUGGGCUUUCAUCUCCUCUUUUAUAGCUUGGACCCACUUAGGAUCUUUCAAUGCUUCAGAGACCUUGGUUGGAAUAUGGAUAGCAAACAACUGAUACACAAAAGCCUUGAGUAGUUCAGACAGCUUCUCAGUGGAUACAUGAUUUGCAAUUGGAUACUUGGAUGUCUUGCCAAUAUCAGGUGAAUAACGGUUUGGUGGCUUCCCACGAUUUUGCCUGAAAGGUAAUUGAUAUCCAAUAGUUUUAUCAUCUAAAUGCAAAGUCUAGUAGGAGUAGUUACCUCAAGGAUAUUCUCAGGAGAUUGGUCUGUUGGUACUGUUGAGUUAGAGCGGGGGUCUUCAUCUUGUUGUUCUGUAUUGUCUGUAGGUGUGAGACUCGGAUCAGAAAUAUCUUCACAUGGAUCAGGUGGGUCAGGCAAUUGAUCGCUAUGAAUGGGCGAUUGGUCACUUUUCGACAGAGAGUAAUCUCGUGCUCCAGACUCAGAAUGAUCAAUCAUUUCUAUACAAAGGAGAAUUUCUUUAUUUUCCAAGUCGCUCCAAUUAUGCUCUUCACUUCGUAUCUCCCCCUGAAGUGUAGAAUUGGAUGAUGGGUCAUGGAAGAACAGCUUAGAUUCCAGAAAGGUCACAUCCAAAGUGACAUAGGUUCGUUGGGUAGGAUGGUGAUAACAGCGGUAGCCUUUCUGAUGAGUGGCAUAACCCACAAAAAUACAACAAAGCGCACAUGGAUCAAGUUUGCUACGUUGAUUUUUGUGGAGAUGAACGAAAGCCACACAUCCAAAGAUUCGAGGUGUGAGUACCAAAACAGAAGGCAGAGGUCUGUGUUGUGCCAGCACCUGUAAGGGAGUUUUAAAGGUCAGUACACUAGAAGGCAUGCGGUUGAUCAGAUGAACUGCGGUGACAAUAGCAUCAUCCCAAUGAUGGCGAGGACCAUGAGCGUCAAUCAGAAGCGGGCGGUUUCAAGAAGAUGUCGAUUCUUUCGUUCAGCAACACCAUUUUGUUGUGGUGUCUGAGGACAAGUCGUCUCAUGGAUAAUUCCAUGUUGUUGGAACUAAUUCUGAAAGUCAUGAUUGACAAAUUCUCCACCAUUGUCUGAGCGAAGAAUCUGAAUUUGAGCAUUAAACUGAGUUUUCAUCUGUUUGUGGAAGGACUGAAAAUAGGAAAACACUUCGUUUUUAUUUUUCAGCAAAUAAAGCCAUGUCAUCCGUAUACAAUCAUCGAUGAAUGUGACAAACCAUCGAACACCAGAAGGAGCAGUGACAGGAGAAGGUCCCCAGACAUCAGAGUGAAUUAACGUAAAUGGAGUAGUACACUUGUUCGUACUCAACGGGUAAGGCACACGGUGACUCUUGGCCAAAAUACAAGUAUCACAUGUGAAGUCAGAGUCCUUGAAACCUGAGAAUAAAUCUGGUAUAAGAUGCUUCAUAUAACUAAAAGACGGAUGUCCCAAUCGACGGUGCCACAACCAGAUUUGCUUUUGUUUGCUAUCAAAGGGAUGUGUCACGCUGUUAGCCAUGCGAGACUGAAGUCAUCGACAUAAUAUAGCCCCCCUCUCUUAGUACCACGACCAAGAAUCUCCUUAGUGUGAAUAUCCUGAAACAAAUAAAAACUCGGGUAAAUGAGUACACAACAAUUCAAUUGUUCAGUAAGCUGACUAACUGACAACAAUUUAGUGGAUAAAGAUGGAACAAGUAAAGUAUUAGACAGUGUGAGAGAGGAUGAGAGUGCAACAGUGCCAGCCCCUGUCACAGGAUAAGUAACACCAUUGGCAUUUGCAAUACAGGGUCGUCGAGGUUGUGUAGUAUUCAGAAAAUCAUCAGGAUCAAACGUCAUAUGAUCAGUUGCACCGGAAUCAAUUAUCCAGCUCCUCGAAUCAAUCUUAUCGGAAGUAUGAAAUCCAUAACCAGUACCAUUACUGGUCAAAUUGCAUUGUCCUUGAUCUGUAAGAGUAGCCCACCAAUUGGGGUAGCCAUGCGAUUUAAAACAAGUCUCAAAAGUGUGUCUCGGAUCACCACAAUAUGCACAAGCUGGUCCAUGUGUCGGGGUCGUUAGUCUAGAAGUCAUAAUCUGUGCAGCGGAAGAUGCAUAGGAUACAGGUUGAGUAGGAAUUGGGAUUGGAAUCUGAGCCUGAGUCGGGGACGGAGUCGGAGUCGAAAUCGAGAUCAGGGUCUGAAUCAGAGACAAAUUCGGGGUUGGGGUCGUCAUCGGAGUGGGGUCGGGGUCAUCUUCGGAGUCGGGGUCGGGGUCGUCAUCGUCAUAGUCGGGGUCGGGGUCAGGGUCGUCAAAAGAGGAUCUUGAUUCUGAAUCGGAUUCGGGGUCAAAGUCUGCAUCUGUAGGAGCGGAGCCAUCUGGGCACUCAACUCAACGAUGGUGGGUGGAGAAUGAGAGAAGGAGUCGGUGGUGCUACCUCCAUGAGGGUUGAAAAAAUCAUCAACCCCCAUAGCAGCGGUGGGGGUUUGAAACUAGAGUCAGCAAUUCCAAGAUUACCGCUCUGAUACCAUACUAAAAUAUGAAAACUAUGAGAGAAUAUUUGUUUGUGGGAAUUUUCUGUGUAUUCUUCUCCUUGUAGGAGGUCAUAUUUAUAAUACAACGAAACCUGAAUGGGCAAGUAAAUAAUAAAUUCCUAAAUCUAUUUGCAGUAGGAAAUCAGGAAUUAAAGUAAAUCAAUUACAAUUAUAAUAGGAAUUCUUAGUGUGUAAGGAAAGUAAGUCAAUAUCCACAAGUCACGCCAACACAAGGGUUUAAAAUAAACCUCUCUUAUAAAAUAGCUCCAAAAUCUUACAACUUUACAAGAAAUAAAUAAAGCUUUAUCAUUCUUAUCUAAUUAAGCCUCAACUUGUUUAGUCCUUGUCUUGCCCACUAAUUCGUCUGAAAAAUUAAAGGGACAUGCAUGAGACCUUACCACAGUAGAUUGAUAUAACUAAAAUUAUCAUAAACAUAGAAAUAUAUAAGUAUUAUUAUAAUAGGAUUCAUAAUAAUUAAUAUAAAAGUAUAACAACAAUAUUUACGUAUACGUACCAAGAUAAUUACACAUAUAAAUAUAACCAAUAUAUAUUUAUAUAUAUUUUAAAAUACGGGUCUUCACACAAAUGCCUUUCGCUGGUCAAGCCACAAGUCUGUGUUUUGGGGAUUGCUGAGCUGCAUCAAUCCUGCCAAUGUCAAUUCUGCCCCUAGGCUCUCUCAAAGCACGUUUACAACCUAUGCUAACAUAUACUAGAGUUUGUGCUAGUAUCUAGAAAAUGCCAACACUAAUUUCGUAACACGUAGAAAUUGUUAGAGAUUGGAAGUUUUUAUCAUUUUUUCUUCCAAUCUCUCCACCACUCACUAAUAUAGAUUACUCAUGUGAUGAGGUUAUAAAACCUAUUUCUCUACUCUCUCAUUUGUUAUUUACUUUUUUUUUCCUUGGAAAUAUGUUCCGCCAACGUGAGAAAGAAAAAUAUGCACAAAUUGAUAUAUUUAAUAGAAGCCCAAGAUUUCGGAAGCACAUAAUUUCUACAAAAAUCUACAAAGUGUUCUACUUUACAAACUUCAUAUGUCUACCAAUUUCUACUAAAAUUAAUUUCUCUGUAGUGCUCAGAUUCAUCAUAUGUGUAUCCUUAAUUCUAGUGAAAAUUGGAAGUUUCCAUCAUUUUUAUUUUCUGAGAAUUUUCUGAACCAAGGAAAGGGAAAAUAUCUAGAGGAUGCAUUGUAGGAUUGCUCAUGCCAAUAAUUGUACCCUCUAAAUAUAUAAAGGGACAUUUUUUUUUUUUUUUCAUGACAUGUGGUCCUAAAAUUAUUGUUCCCAGCAGGCUCUCCACCCUUCUCAAAUUUAAGUGGUCCAUUAUGAUUAAUCAUGUAUUUUAUGGACCAUCCAGCUGUGAGGUUUUAUCUCAAAAACCUGCGGUACCUUUCUCCCACAUGCCACAUGCAAAUGAAUUUAAGUGAGAGAGGCAGUGGGAAGUAAUUAAGCUCUAUAUUGGUGGGUGGAGUGUUACUUCUGGGUACCCCUCAUCAUUCGUCUAUAAAAUGGUGAAGCCAGUUGCUACUGUUACCAUAAGAUCCAGCUCCGACUUUCUUUAAUUUCUUGCUUCAUAUCCACUAGCUACAUCUGUUGCCAAGUUAAUUUCAGUCCUAAUGGGGUUUCAUCUCCCACUCAUCUUUGCUCUUCUCAGUGUAAGCUCUGCAAUUUGAUUAACAUUUCCAUUAUCUCUCAUUGUACUCUAUAUAAACGAAAGUUUUGCGUUCCUAUAAUCCUCUCUGAUUUUAUUUACCACAUAAGUGUCGUCCACUAAUUAAUUACACUUUGUGAUUUUAUUUUAAUUAGAGUUCAAAUUAAUGUUGCAGCUAGCAGCGGUGGCACUGGCAAUCCAUGCUGCGCAACCAGCACCUCAACUUUACUGGAACUCCGUCCUGCCAAACACACAGAUGCCAAGAUCUAUCAGUGAACUUCUGCAUCCUGGUUUGUGUUAAGCCAUUUAGAAUCUUAGAUAUUUUUUCUACCUGCCAUUUUACUGAAAUGUGUUCCAACCACAUAUUUAUCGGUUAAGUACUGUUUUCCAAUUUAUUAUUAACCUCGGCAAAAGUUAUUACAUGAGUAAUUAUAGUGUGGUACUAGAGUACGUACGGCUACAUAUUCACAAAUGUGUCACUCACUCUUCAAUCGGCUGACCACUUAUUUUCCAUUAUGGCGUGGAUAUAUAAUUUGCAGACUCCAAAAAUGAAGAAAAGAGCACAAAUGACGUUGGCAAACCUGAAACUUUCCCAUUGGGCAAUAAACGUUACUACAGUCAAAAAAGGUAUGGAAGAGGCAAUAAAAGUUACCGCAGUCAAAAAAGGUAUGGAAGAGGCAAUAAAAGUUACUCCGUUCAAAAAAACUAUGGAAGAGGUGCUUCUCCAUCUGACAAUCAACUACUCCAUUAUAAAGACUUGGCUAUUUUCUUCUUGGAGAAGGACAUGAGCCCUGGCACAACAAUGAAGUUCCAAUUCCCUAGAAAUUCAAACACGGCUACUUUCUUGCCGCGAGAAAGCGCUCAAUCGAUCCCCUUCUCCUCUAACAAACUACCAGAAAUUUUCAACCAUUUUUCAGUGAAGCCAACAUCUGAGGAAGCCAAAACAAUUAAGCAAACAAUCGAAGAGUGUGAAGCUCCAGGCCUUAAGGGAGAGGAAAUAUAUUGCGCCACAUCUUUAGAAUCAAUGGUUGAUUUUAGCACUUCGAAGCUUGGAACAAGAAACGUUGAAGCAAUCUCGACGGAGGUAUUGGAAAAAGGAGGCACCAUGUCCAUCCAAAACUAUACAACAAUGCCGGGACUGAAGAAGUUGGCAGGUGACAAAGUCGUUGUGUGUCAUAAGCAGAACUAUCCCUAUGCUGUGUUUUUCUGCCAUGCAAUAAAACAUACAGCAGCUUAUGCUCUCUCCCUGAAAGGCGAUGAUGGGGAGAAGGUUAAAGCAGUAACCAUCUGCCAUCUAGACACAUCAGAAUGGGACCCAGAGCAUAUGUCCUUCCAAAUCGUCAACGUUAAGCCCGGAACCAUUCCCAUCUGCCAUUUCAUUUCCACUGAUGCUAUUGCCUGGGUUCCGAACCACAAAUCUGCAUGAUCAUCACUUAGCACUGUACGUAUAAUUAUCUCCUUACUUAUUUCUGCCUCUUCAUCAUGUGGUGUAAGAUAUAUGAUGAGAUGAAGUUUUUGGGAUUAGUGGUUGGGUUGCCUGAAAAACACAGAUUACAGAAACUGCUUGAAAUUAACCCGAUCAUGUUUUCUCUUGUAACUAUAUAGACUUCAACUUGUACUCAUAAUAAAGCAUGCUAUAUUUAUGAAGAGAUAUUAAUCUAUAUAUAUUUUUUAUAUAUGCUUUGGCUUUGUGGUUCUACCCAAUGUUUGAGUGUUGAAUUGUUACGUUGGAAUAGGCUGCUAAUGCAUGUAGUUAGAGAAGCCUUCAUUUAUAUCAAAGUCCUCAAACUAUCAAGAACUAAUGUAUCCAGAAACAUAUACCAAGACGCAAAACAACAUAUUUUCCAUGCUCUGUCUGUAACACCAAAGCAAACUUCCUUGAUCACAAAAGGAUCAAAUUCCAGUACUAAUCUAAUCCAUCAUGUAAAGCAUACAAGUGCCUCCCUAAAUACUAUACUCUUUUUGUUAUUUCCUACUAUACUAUUUAAGUUUGCAUACUCAUAUAGCAUAUGCAAACACAAUUAGAAAUUCUACAAGAUACAAACAACCCCCUCAACUUUGACCAGUGUGUCAAUUUAGUUCUUGAAAUUUAGAUUACAAAGCAAAAUCAAAUCAUACCAUGAAACACAAGCGACUUAAACCUCCAGGCAAAUAGAUAUUAUGAACAUAUAUAGCAAUUUAUAGAACAAUACAUUAAUCCAGAAGAAAUAUUAUGAAAUGAAAAGAAUAAAAAGUAGAAAAACACAAGGAAAGGAAUUUGCACCUGCUCACUUGCAGAUUGCUUUCUCCGGCCGUAGAUGUAACAGAAAUUUUCUCUUAAUAAUACCACAAUGAUCGGGUAAUUGUAAGAACAAGUUGAUUUAAAAUUCCUUGACCCAAAAAAAAAAAAAGUUGAUUUAAAAUUCAGGUCAACCCAUAGAUUUCUCCCCUUUUUCUUCUUCAUCUCGUGGGGCUUGUCUUCUUCUUGAGGAUUGUAUAGGCCAAGGAAAUGCUUUGAGUUAGUUUUUACGCUUUUGCGUUUUGGGCCUUGGAAGUUGGGACCCAAACCAACUUCACAAAAAGAAAACGCUCAGACUAUAAUGAAUGGAAAGUUAUAAGGGGUAAGUUAUAAGGGGUUCACUUUAUAGCCAUCAGAUCAAUCCAAGGGCUGGGGAGAAUUGAGAUAAAGUUUUAAAAUCGGGUAGGUGAGGAACCCAAACCCGAAUUGAAUAUCCAGCACGUCCGAAAAAGAAGAAGAAGAGGCAAGCACGUCCGAAAAAGAAGAAGAAGAGGCAAGUUCGAAGUUUGAACAGAAAAAACUCAUCUCUUUAAAACCCAUAGCUCUGAGAAACGGUUGAAGGCAACGGUUAACGACGGUUAAAGGCAACGGUUGAAGCCACUCCGUUCUCCAGACCCUGAAAAAGUAUUUAUUUUGAGUAGAAGGGGCAAAGGUGUGGAUUCCGAAACAGUGAAGGGGCGAAGCAGUGGAAGGGGGAGGAGAGAAGCCGUAUUCGUUGGAAGUGGUAGGUUCCAUUUGUGGAGCAAAGCAACACAAAGACCCCGCACAGACACCUUGCGAUUGUUCAAUAACCAGCAUUUGGUGAGUAAUUUAUGGAAUUUGAGUUUAGGGUUAGAGUAAUGGUUUUCCCCAAUUUGUACCAUCAAUUUUGUUGGAUUUGGCAUCUCUUCUUUGUGCUUCAGUUGCAUGUUAAUUUUUGCUUGGGUAUAUGUUAAAAAAAGAAUGAAAAUCAAGUCAAUAACAAGUGAAUAACAUGUCAAUAAUGAUAUGAAUAAGAUAAUGGUGUUGAAUUGGAGGAGGCCCUCAAAACAUUCCACAUUUGAAGCAGUGCAUAGUGCAGAUUAUCUCUCUGGCGCUAGAAUAUAUAUAUAUUUUGAAAUAAAUAUGAUUUCCUUUGUUACUAAAUUUGCCUGAGAAACAUGAGAACAGAUAAUAAUAAACUCAUGAAUAGAAGUGCAAAGCAUUUGAUGAGUAAUUUAUGGAAUUUGAGUUUAGGGUUAGAGUAACGGUUUUUCCCAAUUUGUACCAUCAAUGUUGUUGGAUUUGGCAUCUCUUCUUUGUGCUUCAAUUGCAUGUUAAUUUUUACUUGGGUAUAUGUUAAAAAACAAAUAAAAAUCAAGUCAAUCACAUGUCAAUAACAUCUCAAUAACAUGUUAGUAAUGAUAUGAAUAAGAUAUAAUGGUGUUGAAUUGGAGGAGGCCCUCAAAACCUUCCACAUUUGAAGCAGUGCAGAGUACCUCUCUGGCACUAGAAUUUAUAUAUUUUUUUAAAUAAAUAUUAUUUCAUUUGUUACUAAAUUUGCCUAUGAGAAAUGAGAACAGAUAAUAAUAAACUCAUGAAUAAAAGUGCAAAGCAUUUGAAAUAAAGGUUGAUCUAUGACAAUUGUGGCUGACAGAAGAAAAAGCUAGAAAGAAAGAAGGAUGUGGCAAUUGCUUAGCAAGCAGAUAGCAGAGUAGAUGCUUUGCUUUGCUUCCUUCCACUAUAUUAUUUAUUUAUUUAUUUUGUGUUGUGUAUGAGAUGACAAUAAUUGUCAUGUGUGUGAAGUGCAGAACUUGCCUAGAUUGCACUCACACUCACUCAUGCAUCAACCAUUGAUUCGAAUUUGGAUCCAUGAAUAAAACACAUGAAAUUGUUUGUAAUUCACAUAAUCAUUGCAUUAACAGGUAUUUGCACAAAAUUUUUCAUAUUGCUUUGAUGAUGUUAAAGCCUGUGAUCAGUAAUCCCUAUGCUUAUGUACUUUGUAAAAUUUGUAAUGUGCCUGGUUGACUAGUUGUGUAAAUACCAAUGUGAUUGUGCAAAUACGUGGUAGUAUAUGUGUUCAUGUUAUUUCAUCUUGUAUUUCAGGAAAUGGGAUCCAAUGUGGAGCUGGUAUGGCCAGAGUCAGAGGCAUAUUCGUCACGGGUGAACAACUGCUCACAUGCAAAUUCAUCUCUAGCUGCAAUUCGAGCGAAGUUGAGUGCGGAACAAUUAGAACAAUUCAAGACAUCAUGCUUUGGCCAUCUUCUGAAUAUAGAUAAGAUUCAGUUUAGCGGGCAGAUUGUGCAUGGGGUUGUGUUGCGUAGAGUAGCGGGGCAGGGUGUGAAAGACUUGGAUGGACUGAGUUUCUUAAUAGGGUGUGACGUUGCUCAGUUCACUCGUCAAGAUUUCUGUUUGAUCACAGGGCUUCGUUUUGGGGAAGUGCCUGAAGUUUCCAGUGGAGAGAGUGAUGAAAUUAGACUUCAGAAAAGAUAUUUUAUAGACGAAUGAAUUACAUGCAAUGCUUUAGAAUAAACAUUUUUGAGGUGCACAGAGGAAGAUGACAUCUACAAGCUAGCUCUUGUUUACUUUGCUGAGUUAGUGGUUUUGGGAAGGGACAAACAUUUGAACAUCAAUCUAAAUUACCUGACCCUUGUAGAGGACUUAGAUGCGUUCAACAGGUAUCCGUGGGGUUCGGUGUCCUUUGACAAAACCAAAGACAGUCUAUUUUCUGCACCAACAAAGUAUGUGAAAAGCUUUGAAAAUGAAGAGGGAAGAGGGAAGGGGAAAAGUAAGGUAACAGGAACAAGCCGGAGAAAUGAAAAGGGCAAGAAGGAUAAGCAUGGUGAAGUGCAAAGGGGUGGUUGGAGUUUUAAAGGUUUCACGUAUGCUUUCCAGGUACAUGGUAAUAAUGUUCAUGUCAGUUAUGUCUUGUUUUUCUUUAAAACUUAAAUAAUGACUUUUGUCCUGUGAAUUGUGUAGAUUUGGGUAUAUGAAUUAAUUGCUAGAAUGGCAGACCUGAAUUACUGCAAGGUUGUUGAUCCGACAGCUGUCCCGCGUAUUUUGCGAUGGAGAACUACUACGUCUGUUCCUGAGAUGAGAAAGUUGAACAAUUAUUUUUUCCAGAGCAAAGAGGUUUGGUUUGCAGCCCUUAGAACUAUUUAUAAGAUUUAAUGAAAUUAUGAAGUAGAAUGAUUGAAUAUGACUCUUGUCUGUAUUCUGAAACAGUCAGUUCAGUUGCGGGCGCUAUGUCCGAGUGAAGAGGAAAUGAGACAACCAUAUUGGAGUUGGCCACAGGAUCGCCCUGCUGUUGUCUCGGCAGAGUCAAUUCCUUCUUCAUGUGCUGACCUUGAUGAGUUGAACAAGGUGGUAAGCUUGUUGAGGUCCGAGUUGUUUCAAGUAAAGUUGGAAAAAGACGUCCUUGAGUUAAAGGUCAUACGGAUGGAAAAACUUUUGGACCACUGUUUAGGUCCUCAAUUUGAGCAGGAAGUAAGGAGGGACCUAGCUUUACUGAAAGAGAGGACGAAUCUUUGUGUCAUCUCACAUCUAUUUAAGGGAAGUGAGGAAAUGGAUGACAUUCAAUGGGAUGAAGGGCCAAGUAACAGAAAUGAGGGAGAGGAAAAGGAAGAUGAAGGGAUUGAAGGGGGUGAAGGGCCAAGUAAUAGAAUUGAGGGAGAGGAAAAGGAAGAGGAGGGGAUUGAAGGGGGUGAAGUGCAAGGAAAACCAAGUGAGGUAGAGGAAGCUCAAAGGAAAAGAAGUGAAGGAGAGCAAGUGAAAAUAAAAAGCAGUAAGGGAGAGAAAACGCAAAGAAAGAGCAGUGAGGGAGAGGAAGUGAAAAGAAAAAGCAGUAAGGGAGAGGAACUGCAAAGGAAAAGCAGUGAGGGAGAUGAUCCGCAAAGAAAAAGAAGGGAGGGCAAGGAAGUGAAAAGACAAAGAAGUGAGGAAAAGGAAGUGUAAAGAAACCAAUGUGAGAAAGAAGAUAAUGAAGUUAUGUUGCUUGGCGAUGACAUUGGCGAGAGCACAGAGGGGACAAAGGUUGAGUUUAGUCUCGGGGACAUUGAUUUGGAUCAACCUACAGCUGUGCUAUCUCAGUUGAAUGUUUGGUUGAAUGAUAAAGGUAAAGCUGUGGAACAAGGGGUCCAAUUACGGAAGAGGAAGAUGAUCAUUCCUAUGUGGAAGAUCAUUGAAGGUAGUGAAUUGGUUUCAAAAACUUUGGCAGAGACAACCGGACUUCAGAUGUUAGACCCAACGAAGGCGAUUCUGUAUGAUGAUCUGGUGAAAUUGCUGAAACUUUGUUGGGAAUGGCGCCAUAACCCAAAGUAAGUCCCUUGUUUUUUGAGAUAAAAGGCAUGAGUGUAUAUAUUUUUUAAUUGUUGUGUUCUAAAACUUUUUUAUAUUCAUAGUUUGGUGAUGCAAUUUGGCAACAUGGAAGCUGAGAUUGAAUUCUUCGCUUCCCUCAUCAAAGCUGAUGGUUGGCUGAAAGGAGAUGUAAGUUUAAUUGAUUAUGCAUUUGUUUUAAUGUACAUAGAUUAUGAGAUUGACAAGAAAAACAUGUUGCAGCACAUUGAUUUGGGGUUGUAUCUCAUCCGGAAGCGACAACAAGAGUUGGAGGAAGUAGAAAUAUCGGACUGGACAAUGACCGAUGUAUUUUUUAUGGUAUGUCAUGGGCCUUGACCAAGUGCUGUUAAUAAUUACAAAUUAUCCAUACUUGUUUUGUGGAGGUGUUUAACCAUUGAUUGUUUUCUAUUUCACAGAAUCACAUUCGUACUUGCUUUGCGGAUAAUAAAAGAAAAAAAGAGCAGGUUUGGUGGAAAAUUAGAAACAGUUUACUGAACGUUGUAAAUGGCAAGGUUCCGGCGUGUGAGAUGGAUUGGCAGAACAUAUAUAAGGUGUAUGCCCCUUGUAUGUUGACGAAGUACAAGCAUUGGGUGGCUGUAAUGAUUGAUCUAGUUUUGUGUGAAAUCCAAGUGUACGAUUCAAAGGUUUCACUUAUUCCAGAUGAGAUCUUAAAGGAAGAACUCGCCCCGCUUUCAAUUACGAUUCCAAAUCUUCUCAACACCAUCGACUUUUAUGAAGAAGGUGUUUACGUAAACAAUUGCAGCCGAGAUUGGUGGUGUCCGUGGCCAAUAGAGCGUGUGGAUGUUCCACAACAGUCUAAUCAGUAAGCACAACUUUUUAUUUAAUUUUAUUACUUUAAAUUGUCAAUUACGUUAGAAUGUCAUUAGUUGAAUUGAUCGAGUUCUUGUUUUGCUUCAGAGGCGAUUGUGGCAUGUUCGUGUUGAAGUACAUUGAGCUUUUGGGCGCUGAGAUUCCGUUAGCUACUUGCACCUCGGAGAACAUGCCCUUUUUUCGGUUGAAAUUGGCUGCAAAGAUAACACGGGGAGAUGCUUACAUGCCAUGAUAUUGGUUGAACUUGGUUUAGGUACAUGAUGAUUAAAUAGGUUUUGGGAAUGUCCAAUUUCAAACUCAUGUAAAUACACAAUAGAGACCUACGGGUCCUUUUCGAAUUCUACCUCUGCUCCUCUAUUCUUCUUCGUCUUUCUCAAUCUUAGUGUAUUUUUGUACAUAAUUUGAGGUUUAAGUUAUUGGACGAUAACAAUUAGAACCAAAAUAGUGGCAAAUAUUAUAGCGGAUGCAUGCUUUCAUUUUGAUUAGUGUGAUACUACGCUACAUUUAUUCUCAUAUUGUGCUAAAUGUAUAUGGAGUUGGAUGCAGAGCAUAGACAGAAAAAUGAAGAAACUGAAAUGGAGAUGCUGAGGCUUGGUGAGGAGAAAAGUAAAUGGAUCUGUAAAUCUAUUGCACGUAGGCAAUCUAAAUGGAUAGGCAGAUGAGUUUUUGAAGUUAGACACUUGUCAUUCCCAUACAUAGAAUGUGCCUAUGGAGUGUAAAGUAUUUUUGGAUUUAAUGAAACAAACUUCUGUGUAAUAUUAGCCUAACUCCUUCACGACAUUUACAUAACCUUAACCAACUGCAUUGAAUUGGGAUUUAAAGACUGCAUAUGUGAAUUGGGAUUUGAAGAUGGCUUUUUAAGUGUAUUACAUCAUUGCAAAGUGAUAUGUCAUCGUUUAUGCAAGCCACCAUUAAUCGCAAUAGGUUGCAUCUUAAUAAGGUAAUUCUGUAAGGGGAAUAAGCGGCUAUGGCCUCGCCUCUAAUGUUUUAUUCAACCAUGCCCUCUUUAUAGAAACACAUGAAAAAAUGUCCCCAGGUGCAAUGCUAUAAAAACUUCCAGUUGGUUCUGUACCGCCCCUCGGGUUUGAAUCCCUCUCUCCUUUAUAAUCGGUUAAUAAAUUCAUUGAUUUUCUUUUUUUUAUUGGUUUUGGGCAGCUCAGUAGCAUAAAAGUAAUGUAUAUUGGUGCGUCUAUAUUGCAUGUCUGUUGCGUCUAUAUUGCUUCUCUAUUGUGUGUAUAUCUUACAUUUAUUGUAUGUGUAUUGAUUGUUUAUUGCUUACGAAGGAAAUAAACAACAAUACACAGGCAACAGACAAACAAUAUAUACACAACAGACAAACAAUAUACACACAAUAGAUACGCAAUAUACAUACAAUAGACAUGCAAUAUACACACAAUAGACAUGCAAUAUACAUCCGUCCCCAAUUACACAAACCAUAAGGAAGUCGUAUUGAAUAGGAAAUUAAACUUAACAGUUGUUCUUCCUACUAAAAGAAAGAAUAAGGUCCGUUUUCCCCCUUAAAUCUUACUUGAGUGGUACUUGUGCCCCCAAUAAACAUCCAAUAUUGGAGCAAUAACAUUCGAUAUACAUGCAGCAAACAAUCAAUAAACCUUUAAUAAACAUUCAAUAUCGGUUCAAUAACAUGCGAAAUACAUGCAGUUAAUAAUCAAUAAACCUUCAAUAAACAUGUAAACAAUCAAUAAACUUUCAAUAAACAUUCAAUAUCGGAGCAAUAACAUGCGAAAUACAUACAGUAAACAAUCAAUAAACCUUCAAUAAACAUUCAAUAUCAUGCGAUUUAUAUGCAGUAAACAAUCAAUAAACUUUAAGUAUACGCAAAUAAACAAUCUAUAUACACUAAAUAAUUAUGCAAUUUUCAAAAAAAAAAAUGUAUUGUCUUGUUAUUGCAUCGUAUUGGCCCUGUAUUGUGAUUUUAUCGUCUUCGUAUGAUUUUAUUUUUUUAAAGUAAGUCUUGGAAAGUUUUUGCUGGGUUUCAAACAAAUAAAUGCUUUUGUUUAAAUUCAAUGCCAAUCCACUUAUUUCAAGAACAAAAAUUACAAAAUGGGUUUGAAAACUCAUUGGUGGUGCGUGCAACAUGUCUUUUUGGGGAGAAAUUUCACAAUCCUUGAAACCGUGCACUUAAUUGAUCAUUAAAAGAACAAAUAAUAUGACAAUUGAUACAACUAAUAAAACUAAUACCAAGUCCUUAAUGGACUUCAGCAUAUUCAGCACUGUAGCAUCAUACGUGUCAUCUUGAUGUUCUGCUUCAGCGGAGGUUACAUCAACCCAUUCGAAUCCAUUGCAACUGGUGGAUCCCUAAUUGCAGGCAUCAUAUAUGCAAAAUAAUUCUGUCAGAGUUAGACAUAGGUUUUUUUUCCCCCACACACAUAUUCUUGAAAUGAAAACUUACAUAGGAGGUUAGACACUUCCAAAAUGGCUUCCCUCGAUUUUUAUCUGAUUUUGAAACCCGAACCACCAUUGUAGCUCCACAAUACUGACACCUUUUUGUUUGAGCAGGAGAUGAAGACGAAGACAUGUUGAAUCUUCUCACUUGUACCUCUUCUCACUCAGAUCUUCUCACUGAAACCUCUUCGGACUCAUACCUUCUCACUCAUAGUUCUCAGUCAUACCCCUUCACUCAUAACCCUAAAUUUCUCACUCAGCUCUCUCUCAUCUCUGCCCAAAUCAAAUUAUAUCCUUCUUUGCUGUGUGUGGGUGGGUUGGUCACGAUCUGGACACCUGUACCGUCAGAAUUGUGACAUCUUUUACCCCGAAAAGCAAUAUAAUAUUUCACUACCAAAUAUUAAUCUGAAAAUUGAGGGGACACUGCUUGAAAUAUAUUAUUUUAUUUAUAUUUCAUUAAGACAACUAGUUGGAUAAGAAUCCAUCAUCAUUGGUUUCAUUUUAAUAACAUUACUAGUGGUAGUUUGGUGUGGGAAAAUGAAAAAGUAUAUGAUGGGACCUUCUGUGACUAGUCAGUAAUCCAUCACAUUUGUAUCAAUGAAUUUGAUGGUGGGAAAAUCCUAAAAAUGGCUAUGCAAAUAGGUUAUUAAUUGAAUUUUUGACUGUCUGACUCUCUAUGCAAUUUUAUGACGUUUUCCCUUCUUUUGUCUCGAGUUUUAGGGUGUCGGGUUCAGUUUCUUUAAAAACGGUCAACUUGGAAAAACCCCAAGUGGAAACACCUUUUAAAAACACUAUAAACAGAGGCUAAAACAAAACCAAAACCCCAUAUAUUCUCAUUUCUGCCCUCUUCCACUCCUCAAAUCGUUCCAUUCCAAAAACAUUUCAAUGAAUUCGAAACAUUUCACUACACUCGGAGGAAAGAGAAGGAAGCAUCUCCAUUUGGAUAUGCCCCAAGCCUUCAUCCCGGAGUUAGCUUGGUUUAAAGUGAUGUUAUACGUGGCAACCCAAUCAUCGGAAGAUCUCUUCCGUAUGGCAUCUGUGUGCCCAUUGUUCCAUACUUUGGCAAACACUCCACAAGUGUGGAACACCAUUUCAGUGGCAAAGUACCCAAACCAUCCUAGCUGGUACCGUGCCAAUCCUGCGGUCCAGCAUUUCUUGCAACAAUGCAGGGCUUGCGAUAACCCUAAGUCGAUAUUUAGAGAAGCAUUCGAAGUGUUUUUUAAGCAGGGUAACGUGGAAGCAUUGUAUGGGAUGCGCAUUACAGCCACGGCAGGCCAUAUAGAAGCGGCAUAUCUAGUUGGACUACUUGACAUGUCCGGAAUUGGUCAGUCAAAAGAGGAUGCAUUAGAAUUCUUGUGUUCUUUGAAUCAAUGUAACAACAUUGAUAUGAAAGGAACCAGGGAUGCUUUGAGACAAAGAUUAAGCCGACCAACAGUUGCAAGACAUAUCCUAGAUAUGUUUGACUAUGGGAAGAUUAAGUUCAAUCACUGCAGCCCUUGUAACAACAAUGAAUGGUGUUUUGUUAUUCAAGGCUGGCCUACUGAAGAAAAGAUAAAUCCUGCCUUCUGGACUUGUUGCAAUCGAUGCAAAUGGCACCGUGAGAGUAUUUUUUGGUUCAAGGUGAUGCGUGUGUAUGUUGUGCGAGGGAAUCCAUACCCUUAUAAUUAGUUGUAGUAUGUUUUUACGGUUUUUAUGCAUUGUGGACUUGCUUCUCUUCAGUUCUAGGUUCGCUGGCUACGUUGUACAAAUGUUGUUUAAAUGUGGGGUUUUAAUCUAUUUUGUCUGGUAUUUGUGCUGUCAUAAACCGUUUUAUAUAUAAAUGUAUAAUAUAUAUUAUAUAGCGGAAUUAUUACUGACAUCAUAGACGGCUACGAAUGACAUUUUACUGACACAGAUAUUUUGCACAACUGCAAUCUUAAUAUUUGGUAAACGAAAAGGCAUGCAUGGAGUAAAUAGGUGUCUUUUCACCAGUGCUUGGGAAUGACAUUUUCCCACUGAGCAUAUCCCAAAUGAUUUGGUUACAAGUUUCUUAAGCAAAACUUGAAUAGUGAAUGACGUUGAAUAAUUUUUUCCUAAUGUUGUAGAAUAGAUGACUUGUAUAUUUCCAUUUUAUUUUUCAAAACAUCCCUUAAACCUAAAAAAUAAAAAAAUUAACAAAUUGAAGAAGAGAGAAACCGAUUAGCACCAGAAAUGGCCUAUUCGCACGGAAAAUAAAAAUUAAAAAAAAAAGUUGGAGUAAAUAUAAUUAACAAAUGGACAGGCUAAAAAGUAAUAUAAUAAUAAUAAAAAUAAUUUAGGAUAAUAAUAAAAUACUAAUGUAACAUAACCAUGAAACAGGGAAUUCAGUAGGAAGAUGAAAUCUCAAUAAGUUCGUAGCAAUUUUCGAAACAUUAUUGGGAUUUUUGUGUAUUUAGUUAUGAAUUUUCCAAGAAAAAGUAAUAAAAUAAUAAUUUAGGGUAAAAUGCAAGGAUGUGGCCAUGUUGACUGACGUACACUUGUGCAAGUGAUGAAAGUUGACGGGCUGAGAUCGUGCCAGGUGUCCUCUUGCAAUUAUUUUGGCUUUUUUAGUGCAAAAAUCUUUGAAAAAAGGUAAUAAAUAGUAGGUCUUGUGACGUUAUAAAACUAGGGGAACCUAUAAAUCAUCCGUCUCGCAAUGAAAAAAUCCAAAUUAUUUUAGAUAACUCACUUUCCUCUUAACCCUAAGUAUUUAUGUUUGUUAACUUUAACUUCAAUAACCUACUUGAACAAUCAUCUCCCGUUAAUGUUCGGAAUUAUUUUUUUAAAAUGUGUAACCAUGUAUCGGGGAAUUCAACAAGGGAGAUUGAGUGUCAAUGAGUUCGUAGCAAUUUUCGGAUCAUUUUUCUAAUUUUUGUGUAUUUAGUUAUGAAUUUUCUAAGAAAAAGUAAUAAAAUAAUAAUUUAGGGUAAAAGGCAAGGAUGUGGCCAUGUUGACUGACGUACACUAGUGCAAGUGGUGAAAGGUGAUGGGCUGAGAUCGCGCCAGGUGUCCUCUUGCAAUUAUUUUGACUUUUUUAGUGCAAAAAUCUUUGAAAAAAGGUAAUAAAUAGUAGGAAAAUCCUAAAAAUGCCCCGAAAAUUACUCGGACCUCCUUGUGAUGUUAUAAAACUAGAGGAACCUAUAAAUCAUCCGUUUCGCAAUGAAAAAAUCCAAAUUAUUUUUACAUAACUCACUUUCCUCUUAACCCUAAGUAUAUAUUUUUGUUCACUUUAACAAUUAUAUUUCCUUAAUAUUCGUUAUAUAAUUUGUAAUAAUACAAGAAUUAGUUUCCUUUCAUAUAUAAGGAUGUAAAAUAAUUUGUUUUGUUAUAAUAAUGUACAUAUAUAAUAAUUGCACAUGCUUUGAAGCCAUCAUUGCAACUACGCCUAGAGCUUUGAACACGUCAGAGGUAUUCAAUAAGUUGUCCAUAUGACGCCGCAUUGGGAAUCAGUAAUAUAUUUUCUAUCAUGUCCAAUCACAUAAAAUAAUGCCAUACUUUUUCUGAAAAACCUCACACAAGUCAAGCAAUUUUAAAAUAUUAGUGAAUAUUUGUCCUAGUCUAUAUGAGUGAUUAUAUAUUCAGUCUGCAUUUUUUCACAGUAUAUGUUAACUUUCAGAGGGAUUCCACAAACAUAUAAUAUAAAGAAAGAAAGAAAUAGUAGGAGAUGAACCAGUACAAAAAACAAUAUAUAAAUGGUACAUAAUAAUUCCAUAACCUUGUCACAAACGCACUCACAAAUGCUUUUCCAUAAACCUUGUCCUAACAUAUAAUAAAUAAAGGCAACAUUGCAUAUGAUGCAACCAUGUCCAAAUCUGAUACGUGAUCACAAAAAAAUGGACAUGGCAGCAACAUAUGACUGAAGUAGAUGAGCUCUUUGCAUCUUGUGUUAUCGUAAUUAAAGACAUCAAAAGAUUAAGGUUGAAAUCUUCCAUAGUAGUAAGCAUCAAAAUAGGUUUGAAGCAGAGUUUAACGAAAAUUCCAAUUCCACUUAUUGGCCUCUGCUCAAACACGAGAACCAAAAUGGUUACUUCCCUUGCUGAGUAUAUUUGUUAACGUCGGAAACAGUAACAGAUGACCAAUCAAACCCGGGUACGACGAGUUUUGCAUAGGAUCGGAAGUAGUCGAAUCCAGCUUGCAUCACACGCUUCUUUGACUCCACUGCAUUAGAUGAGUUCUUGUAUUUUUGAACAGCUACACUCCGAAGUCGUUUGUGUCUACGCUUCAUGCACUGCAAAUUCGCCCUAUCCAGAUUGGCCUGCCUUUUGUCAUCUUCAAUUUGGCCUUCAACAAAUUCCAAACGUGCCCUUGGCCUUUGGAUUUCAUCACCAAGUUGAAGAUGCCUCUCCUUCCAAAAAGCAAGAACUCUUUCAGAUUCAAAACUUCCAACAAAAUGGUCAUUCUGUCUAGGAAUGUGACAUUGCUUGUCUAGUGACUCACUUGCGUUUCGAAGGCAGUCUUUGUUUGGAGGGGUGUUUAUUAUGCUCACAUCAAACUUGGUUAGUAAAUCCAUUUUAUGGGGGGAGUGAGUUUCUAUGGAGGAGAGAGUUUUAGUAGAUGGAGACAGAUUCGGUGAAGGAGUGAGUUUUGUGUGGAGGGAGAAUUUCUAUGAAAGGAGUGAUAGUAAUAGCAAUAAAAGGGUUCCCGCCAAAAAAUAUUUGGUUGACAAUGUAUAAAUUAAUUUUUGGUCUGAUACAAUCUAAGUUUAAUCCUAACUAGUUUGGUUGAGUUCACUAACUAGAUGUCACUUCCAUUGAGUUUCUUUCAACCACUAUCAGUGGUGUAAGGAGAGUGUGAGGUUGACAUGCUUGAAAAGCAAAACCUGACACCUCUUUUUUUAAAAAUUGAAAGAAAGUACAUAUGUUGACUACACACAACCUUUGGUAUGUUGGUCUAUAAACCUAUGUUCCCUUUCUCAAAUGAAAUUGCAUAUGCAAUCCUCAUCCUCCCAAAACAAAUAGGAUUAUUCAAGCAUGUCAACCUCUUCAGGCGCCAACAACACAAUCGAAGAUGACAAAUUGGAGUCGCAGGUUCUAUUUCCACAUUGUACUCACCGACCCCUUCCUUUUUCAACAUCAUUUGGGAGUGAGGGGGACUCCGAUGAUCCAUUAGAGGCAAUACAUGCAGUCAGUAGCAAGCUGGAUUAUAAUUCCAAACUGAUCAAUUCAUGGCACGAGAAAUGUGUUGAAGACGAGGCCAUUUUGGCUGAUCUUAACAUUAGAGUGAACAAAGGGUUCUCCCAAAAGAACAAGUACUUGAAGCUGAGUCAUAAAAGGAAGCUGAAAGCUGAGGAGUUGGAUACAGUAAUAAAUGAUGAAAUUAAAGGUUGUUUGAUGAACCAUAUGCGAUGCAAAGAGCAUCAUAGUGAACUGGAGUUGGCAUUCAACGAAGGAUUUUUAAAAUUUCAAGCAUUUGCGGCAACUACUCAUACAAGUUAUAAUUGGGACUAUGUGUCCCCUGAUGCUGUGAGAGAGAUACUAGACGAUGAUGGUGACAUGAAUGAGCAUAAGCACGUCAAAGCUGCUCGGAAGAAGCCGACCGAUACGACUAAGUGAUUGCGGCUACCGUUGUUCAGUUGGUUGAGGGUGAUCAUGGUAUUGCACAAAUUAGAAGUAUAUUCCCUUAAUGUCAUUAUCUAAUUUAAAAUAACACAAAUAUCAGUUUCAUUUGCUUCAUAUAUAAUUAUUGGGACUAUGUAUUGCAAGUCAUCAUGUGUUCCUUCUGUCUAACAUUAUAUUUUGCAAAUAUCGAAAUAUUAUUCAAUAAGCAGUCAAUAUCACAGCAAGUUGGGAAUCAGUAAACCCCCAUUAUCAUGUACAUUCACAUUAAAGAGCUGGUGUACUUUUUCUCAAAAAACUGACACGUGAGUCAUAAGUAACAUAACAUGUGCUAUACAUUGUUUAGUGAAUGGUUUAUGAUUUAUUUAUAUAUAAUAAAAUUCCAAAUAUUGCUGAAUAUUUAUUUCGUCUAUAUCACUGGGGACAUGAGUGAACAUACGCAUGUGAGACCUGCUAAGAAGAAGCUGACCAAUACGACCGAGGGAUUGUGGCUACCAUUGUUCCGUUGGUUGGGGAGAUCGUGGUAUUGCUAAGAGGGAGCACAUAAUAUGUUUUGCAAUCAAAUUUUCUUUUGUGUGUGGAAUUUUCUUUUAUGUGUGGAAUUAUGAGUAGUUCAAAUGUUAGUGUACCCUUUAAUAUUCUCCAACAGUUCAAAAUGUGAUUAGCUGAAUGUACUUUUUUACACGCUGCUUUCUAAUCACUCUGUUCCAACAAAAGGCUUUAAGUAUCCUUCAGUUACAAAUGUUUACAAAAUCGUGCCCCUAAUAACCAGUCGAGCUUAGAUCUUAAUAACCAGUAAAACACUAGAACAUAACAUUCGGAAAAAGUGAGUACUGUUGGAAAUCAUUACUGGUAAUGGAAACAACAGCUGGCUGCUGGAAAUGCUGCAUUAGCAUGUGAUAUAAUCAAUGAAUCUCUGUUAAAACAUAAUUCACCAUAAACUACCCAUUUUACAUGGUAAAAGUCAUUGCUUCUUCACAUAACUCAAAAUUUGAUACUUUAUCAAAUGUCUAUGAAAAUUUCUAAAUAGGGAGAAGACGUAAAAUUAACAUGUGUCCAAAUUUCAUGCAAGAAUGAAACCAAGCAAAUUUUCAUUUCAAUUACCAGUGGACAUAGUAAGAGCUCAUGGGUGGACAUGAACAAAAUAAUAAUAAUAAUAAAAACUGAAUCUAGAAAACUUCACCUGAUCAUUAGUCUUCAUAACAACCGGAUUUCGUCUAAUAGAAACAUAAAUCAUUCAGUUGGUCCGUGCAUCCUGUCAAAUUCGUCGAAUAAUGGGUCACUACGAUCUAUUGGAGUUGAUUCGUCAUUGUUCGAUGGUGAUGUCCUGCAUAAACAUCAAACAAAAGCACAUAAAAAAUUUACCUAUUCAAAUUUUAGGUGUUAUUAUAAAUAGUGUUAGCAUCUUACGGUGUGUUCAAAUUUCUUGAGCAUUGUCUUCUAUCAUGGCCAAUGUGUCCACACUCCCGACAGUGUCUAAUCCUUCGCUUCAUUGCCUUUUCCUUUGCUCCCGUUACUCGUUUCGACCUUCCUUUGCACCUCACUCUCUUAGGGUCUUUCAUAUAUUGUGUUUGAGAGCUGGACUCUCCAACUUCGUUAUUACUUGGUCCAUCCUUCAACAACUUCAACUUCACCUACAAACUUUUUAGAGUCUCUGACAGUAGCUCACAUCCUUCUUCACUCAUUAAUGCAUCCUCAACCACAUCUGAAGCAAGUCGAGACAUUGUACUCCGCUUUAUUAAAAGACCAGGAUUUGCAGAGUCUUUAAUUUCGUUGCCAUUUGCAUCUGACACCAAUCCAGAUUUCGCAGUUUUCUUCCACCUCUUCAAAAUAUAUUUAUCGGGCAUAUAUUCAAUCUGGUCCCUUCUGAACAAUGCUAAGAUGUGCUUGCAAAUAAUUCCAACAAAUUCAAAUCUUUUGCAGCUACACGAUGCGUGGUCAGAAUCUUUGACAUAUACAACUUCUGCCACUCUUGUUUCCCAAUUUUUCCUUUCGCUCACGUUAAAGACAACUUUAGAAGCAUCCUCUGUUUUGAGCUCUAGGAAACAUGCUGUACUUUGUAUUAGUUCUUGCUCAAACUUUUGAAACAUUGUCCUUGUGUACAAGGUAGCCAUUUGUUUGUUUAUUGGCAUCGGUAGAAUACAUUGAGCCACUUCAAAUGCAUCUAUGUGAUCAGCAACUAACUCUUUUUGACGUUGAUGAGAAAGUGCCCUCUCAAAUCGUAUUAUGAAAUCCAUCAACGAAUUUCUCUUUGAUAUGUAUUGCUUGAAAAAACCAUGAGAACCUUCCGCUAUUUGGCUGCUUGAUAUUCCAGCGGCAAAAAAUUGUCGUGCGUAGGCUGGAACCCAAGAUUCCCUUAAAUCAAACAUUGAACUUAGCCAUGGAUGGUCAGUCAAACCAGCCUUUGUAACCACAAUAUUCCAUUUUGCAUCAAACUCAUCCUUAUUGUCAGUAUCCCAUAUGACUUUCUGAAAUUCACUCCAAUACUCCUUAUAAGCAGAAUGUGGUAACUUAACAGAGAACUUUGAUGUGAUGUGCCAUAUGCAAAGUCGAUGAAAUGUAGUCGGGAAGGCUAUUGAAAUCACUCUGGUCAUUGCCGCAUCUUGAUCUGUAAUGAUCAUUUUAGGUUCGCCACCUGGCAUGGGUUUCUUAAACUCCUCAAACAUCCAAAUAAACGACUCAGUCGUUUCCUUGCUAAAAAAUGCACAUGCUAAGACAAUUGUCUGACCAUGGUUAUUAACUCCCAACAUUGGUGCAAAUGUCAAGUCGUAUCGAUUCGUGUUGAAUGUGGUAUCGAAUACAACAACAUCUCCAUAAAACCCGUACGCCCGUCUAGAAGUUGCAUCUGCCCAAAAAAAUCGACUAAACUUGUCAUGGCCAUCUCCCUCAAUCUUGAAAUAAAAAGCCUCAUUUUUUUCUGUUCAGCCAUAAAAUACUCGGUCACUAGUUCAACAUCGUGGUUCCUCAGCUUCCCAUUCACACUACAUUCAAGAUUGUAGAUAUCUUUUUUGAUAAAUCUGAUUUUAUCCAUUCCUCCGGAUUGCACCUCGAAAAUACUUACCUUCUGAUGAAUGAGAAUAUUAACUGAACCCAACUGUUUUGUGAGUACUUUUGUAGAAUCUGAAAUACGACGGUGUGAUCUUAAUAAAUGCAUUCUUUCUGAGGGUGUCAUCUUAUGAUUGUGUCCCUCUGCAAAAAGAGAGAUGGUAUACUUCUUGCUCCCAUUUGCCUUCACAACUACAAUCUUAGCUUUGCAAUUGCAUCUACUUAUUCCCCGUUGUCUUUUUCUCUCUCAAGUUUCAUCUCUCAUGUAUGCACCUUGUUUGCAACAUACAAAUUCUUUCCUCAAAAUCUCUUUCUUAUUUUUCCCCCAAAAGCUGGAAUGAAGUCGAAUACCAAAGCCAGCCAAGAAUGCAUAUCUAUUAUAGAAAUUGUAAACGAGGUCAAGCGAGUCGAACUUCAUCCCAACUGCUGGUGUUUCCUCAUUUCUUACUUCAGGAAUAUAAACCCUCCCAUUAGCUGUUACACAGUCAUCACUCUCUGAGCCCCCAGACAUUUUAUCUACAUAUAUUAUUGAUCCACUUCUAUAUUACUGCAUAGCAAAUAUUAAUUCAUUAAUCAGUCAUUACUGCAUCACAACAUAUCAAUGCAUUCCACUUACACAAAACAUUGCCCAAAUUGACACAAAACACACAUAGCCUAACUUGUUGGAUUCCGAUUACACAAAACGCAAGCAAAAUUUAAUAAUAGUUACGUCAUCUCUUGUGAAAUAAUCUGGAAAAAAUAACAUUAGAACCAACAUGUUCAACUAAGAACACAAAUGUAAUUCAAACCACCAAUUACAGAACUUCACCCAAUAUCCUCUCCAAAUGCUUACUCCUAAUGUCAUUAAGCCUAAAUUUAGGAUCUUUUACCUACAUUUCAUAAUUUUCCACCCCCACCAAAAACAAUCAACUAAGUAUAUUGAAUAUUCAUAAAGAAAGGACACAUUAUUGACUCCACCAAUGACGCAUUAUUGAUGCCACAAAUGACGAAUUUCCCACCCUCACAAAAAAUAAACCAAAGCCAAUAAAAUCAAUCCAGCAAGUGAACUUACCUCUCAAAAUCAAUCGGGAGCUCCGAAGUCAGUCAGCUUGAGAGAAUGUGGUGGACAUUAGAGAAGACUCUUUGGUAUUUGAGACUCCAUCUCUACCAAAAUUGAGGAACAACUGCUGCUGCGGCAUCUAGCUACAAAAAGAGAUAUGCUACUUUACUUUCAUCUGGAAUCUUGUCUGCUGAAUGAAAAAGAGAAGGGGUUUUCACUUGAGCCAUAAAAUCAAAACAGGGCAACAGCUAGGUAAGAGCCAUUAAUCGCAAUACCGAGGAUACCAUAGAUCGCAGGCCUCCCAAGAAGCUGAUGACAAUGGAGUGACUAUAGGGUUUGGGAGCUUUGGAUCCUUCUAAUUGUGGGUUUUCUUUACAUUCAAAAAGAGAGGAUUAUGUUCUUGAGUUUUUCACAAAGAGGGAAAGAGGGAAAGAUGAGACUGAAGUUGGGUUUCUAACGGGUUAGAUUUCAACCCGAUUCUACAUGCACCCUUUUUAAAAACUCACCGUUGGAUGAAAUCCAACGGCUCUUACAUACCCCUCAAAAACACCCCUUAUAACUUUCCACUCACUAUAGAAGCUCCCAAAAGAAAACAGAUUUGCCAAAAAUCAAAUUUUAAGUCUCUCCUACGAUCGAAAUUUGGAUUUGAUGAACUAAAGUGGUUUUACUUUCUCCAUCAGUGUUUGAUGACUUAAUUUGUUAUUUACUUUUUUUAAAAAAACUUUAUCUUAUAUAUAUUAGUUUUCUUUUUUCCUUCAUAUUCACCACCUUUAUGUUGCUUAAGUAUUUCAGUCUUAACGGGUUUCCAUCUACCACUCAUCUUUGCUCUUCUCAGUGUAAGCCUUUUUUUUAAGCAUAAGAUUAGAGGGGAGGGGGGGGAGGGGGAUUUCUUAAUGUAAGCUUUGCAGUUUCAUAAUUAAUAUUUCCAAUAUCUCACUGUUAGUAAAAUACAAAACAUGAAAAGUAUGAAUAAAAUACGCACAUGUUACUAAUUUAUUGAGAUAAAAUACCAUUUUGCCCCUAGAAUAUUUUAUUAGGUUUAAAGUUGACUUUUUGACCAGGAAGGAAUUUGGGUAUUUCGACUAUAUCGUUGCAUAGAGCACGACGAGGUGAUUCCAUAGACACGUGGUAGGCUCGAAUCGGAGUUGUAAUGAGAGACAUACGAUCAAAAUACCUUCAGUGGCAUAAUCGUAAUUUUGGCUUAAAGGGUUUGAUAAAAUAUGAUUUUUCUUUCUUUCUCUCUCUCUCUCUCCCCGCCCAGUCUCUCUCUCGUGACGGCAGUGAUAGCCGGCCACAUUUUGGCCAGCCGUGCUCUCGUCCGGCCACCAAAGCUGAUGGGGCCGGUACCAAAAUGAUCAGGCCACCAUCCUUUUCCAACCUCAGCCAGGCCCCGCCGCCAGCAGUCGUGGUUUUGCCGGAAAAUGGAGAAGAAGCGGCCGGUUUUGUUCGAACUUCUCCGACUUCGUUCUCCCUCCUCUGGCCACCGAUUCCGAUGAAUGAGGUAUGGUUUCUCACCUACUUUUCAUGCUCUAGCUGCCUGUUGGGUAGGAUUCGAUCAAUCCCUAGUGUAGGUGGCUUGAUUUUCGAAUUGGGUUUCAGCCGAUUUUGGGAUCUCGAUUCCAGCCCCUUUCGAUCAGUUUUUAGGGUAGGUCCCAGAACAAAAGUGGUUCCAAAUAGGGUGUUAUACCUAGGUAGGAACCUUGAGCCGUGAUUUUGAGAAUUUUCUACGAUGCCUAAUCGCUUUGGACACCCACGCGCUACCGGCACGUGGGCACUGUAGAAAAAGGGCAUUGUGUCCCGAUGCGAUCCCCUUGUUGUCUUGAGUGCAUAGGUGUGCUCGGAUUUCAAUUGAAUACCGUUUGAGUCUCGAACGAAUAUCACAUAUUGUGCGUUAUCCGGAGUCGAUAGGUUUGAACCGUUGGAUAGUCUUAGAUUUAUAAUAUGUUAAUCUAGAUAUUCUUAGGAUCAAAAAGGAUUUGACGGAUCGUAAAAUGGAGUCCCGGAUACUCCGAAAAUGCCAACCCUAGGGCUAGGUUCCUAGUAACCGUCCGAUCGUGCAAUCAUGAGCAAUCCGACAGUCCGAUCCGGACCAAACUUGCAGGACGUGUAUCCUAAACCUUGUAGAACCCAUAGGAACUUUCAGAUUAGAAUUUGGAGGUCGUGGGCCCCUUGGGCCCGUUUGACUAAGUUUGGGUAGUUUGACCAUUGGCUGAUCGUGAGUCUUCAAAGGUAGUUUUACCUUCCUAGGAGGAUUAUAAAGACCCUAGUGACAGGUCUUGAGCGUUGUUGAGCUAUGUUGACUAGGUUUAGACUUUUAGAGUGUUUAUUAUUAUCGUAGGAAACUCUUGGAUAUUAUUUUAAUAAUUGAAAUUAUGAAAUUUAUGUUUAUGUGCAUGAUCGUUGGUCUAAAAAUAGCAUUAUUUUCCUGAUAAAAUUACGUUGCAGUAUACUAUAGAAUGGUAUCACUAAAUGGGGAUUACCUCUAUUAUUAGUUUAGAUAAUUAUGAGUAUGUCAGUUUGAAGUGCUAUACGCACUACCCUAAGUACCACCCUGUGAUUGUUAGGUCCCAUGUGGUGUAGGUUAUCCAGUGUAAGGACAGACCCCAUACGUGGCUUCAGAUGUUCUGAAGUAUUGGGGAGAUUAUGUGAUGGUUUUGUCACACGUGGCGUAGGUUAUCCGGCGUGUUGACAGACCAUAUACAUGGAGUUGGAUGUUCCGGCAUAUGGAGAGAUUUUGUGAUUGUUAGGUCCCACGUGGCGUAGGUUAUUCGGCGCGAGGACAAACCCUAUAUGUGGCUUUAGAAGUUCCGGCGUAUGAGGGAGAUUAUGUGAUGGUUAGGUCACACGUGGCGUAGGUUAUCCGGCGUGUUGACAAACCUCAUACGUGGUGUUGGAUGUUCCAGCGUAUGAGGAGAUUUUGUGAUUGUUAGGUCCCACGUGGCGUGGGUUAUCCGGCGUAAGGACAGACCCCAUACGUGGCUUUGGAUGUUCCGGCGUAUGGGGGAGAUCAUGUGAUGGUUAGGUCACACAUGGUGUAGGUUAUCCGGCGUGCUGACAGACCCCAUACGUGGCGUUGGAUGUAACGACCCGGUCCUAAAUAAAUUAGUAAAUAUUAAUUUAUUCAAAGAAAAUACCAUUUUGCCCAUAGAAUAUCUUAUUAGGUUUAAAGUUGAUUUUGUGAUCGGAAAGGAAUUUCAGAAUUUCGACUAUACCGUUGCGUAGAGCACGACGAGAUGAGUCCGUAGACACAUAGUGGGCUCGAAUCGGAGUUGUAACAAGAGAGAUACGAUCAAAAUACCCUCAGUGGCAUAACCGUAAUUUUGGCGAAAAGGGUUGAUAAAAUCAUAUUUCUCUCUCUCGGCCGGAAAUCCCAGUUGACAAAAUCCCGGCCGGAAACCUUGAAUUUCAGCCACAGCUUCGACUGGUUUGAACAGGGUUUUUCCCGGCUUUGCCCCAUCGCCUCCGCCGCCCAAUUCUGGUGAAACAGGUAUGGUUCCUCACCUAUUUUCCGAGAUCUAGCUGCUGUUGUGUAGGAAUUGGACAAUUUUCGUGUUUAGGAACUCGAUUUAGAAUUUUGGUUUUGCCCGAAUUUUCAAAGUGAAAUUUCGGCCACUUCUGCUAGUUUUUGGGGUAUGUCCAAGAACAAAAGUGGUUCCAAAUAGGGUGUUAUACCUAGAGUAGGAACCUUGAGCCAUGAUUUUGAGAAUUUUCGGCGAUGCGUAAUCGCUUUGGAAGCGCGUGGGCACUGUUGAAAAGGGGCAUUGUGUCCCGAUGAGAUUCCCCUGUUGUCUUUAGCGCGUAGGUGUGCUCGGAUUUCAAUUUGGAUACCGUUUGUGUCUUGAACGGAUAUCACAUAGUGUGCGUUAUCCGGGUUCGAUAGGUUUGAACCGUUGGAUAGUUUUGAAUUUGAUAUAUGUUAAUCUAGGCAUUUCUAAGAUCGUGUAGGAAUUCACGGAUCUUGAAUCGGAGCCCUGGAUGUUCCGAUUUAAUAACUUAAAGUUUAUGUUUAUAAUAACCGUCAGAUCGUGCAAUUGUGAGCGAUCCGACCGCCCGAUCCAGACCAAACUUGUUGGACGUAUAUCCUAAACCUUGUGGAACCUAUAGAAAUUUUCGGAUUAGAAUUUGGAGGUCGUGUGCCCCAUGGGCCCGUUUUACCAAGUAUGGGUAGUUUGACCCUUAGUUGACCAUGAGUCUUCCGAGGUAGUUUUACCUUCCUAGGAGGAUUAUAAUGACCCUAGUGACAGGUCUUAACCGUUGUUGAGCUAUGUUGACUAGGUUGAGACUUCUAGAGUGUUUAUUAUUAUUGUAGGAAAUUCUUAGAUAUUAUUUUAAUAAUUGAAAUUAUGAAAUUUAUGUUUAUGUGCAUGAUCGUUGGUCUAAAAAUAAUAUUAUUUUCCUGAUUAAAUUACGUUACAGUCUACUAUAGACUGGUAUCACUGAAGUGGGAAUACCUCUAUUAUUAGUUUAGAUAAUUGAGAGUAUGUCAGUUUGAAAUGCUAUACGCACUACCCUAAGUACCACCCUAUGAUUGUCAGGUCACCCGUAGCGUAGGAUUUUCUGGCGAGAUGACAUACCCCAAUUGUGGCGUUGGAAUUUCCGGCGUAUGGAGAGAUUAUAUGAUUGUCAGGUUACGCGUGGCGUAAGAGUUUUCGGCAUUAUGACAGACCUCAUACGUUGCGUUGGAAUUUCCGGCGUAUAAGGAGAUUAUUUGAUUGUCAAGUCACCCGUGGCGUAGGAUUUUUCGGCGGGAUGACAGACCUCAUACGUGGUGUUGGAAUUUUUGGCGUAUGGGGAGAUGAUAUGAUUGUUACGUCACAUGUGGCGUAAGUUAUUCGACGUGCUGACAGACCCCAUAGGUGGCGUUGAAAUUUCCGGCAUAUGGGGAGAUGAUAUGAUUGUUAGGUCACACGUGGCGUAAGUUAUCCGGCGUGCUGACAGACCCCAUACGUGGCGUUGGAAUUUCCGGCGUAUGAGGAGAUUAUGUGAUUGACAGGGAGAUGAAUAAAGGUAUUGUAUGUGUUUGGAAUGGGGAUUUAGUAGGAAGAACUACGUGUGGCUUGAUCCCUCAGUGAGGGUAUGUAGGUAGCCUAAGGUUAUUAGGUGCAGCCGCGGACAUAGAUGUGAUUGUGUUAGGAGGUUAAAACCUCGUAUGUUGGAAUUGGAAAAGUUAGAUGAUGUAUGUUGUAUUUAGUAUUCAUAAUUCAUAUUUGAGUUUAUUAUUUGCCUUGCUGAAAGCAAUAUGUGACUCAAGAGCUUUGUGGGUAGUUUGGGAUAUUAAAUGUGUUUUAUGCAGGUUGAAAAAUUUGGGGAAUGAUCAAUUUACAGGGGAGACUUUGCCGAAAUUUCGACAGAAAGUCCCGGUCUUUAGUAAGUGGGCCCGGCAUCGGGGUGAUGUCGAGAAUUCCAUAGGAUUCGUAUCGGGUUUCGGGAAAUCUGGGGCUAGUCUUGUCAUUGGAUGUUCCGGCGUAUGGGGAGAUUUUGUGAUUGUUAGGUCCCACGUGACGUAGGUUAUACGACGUGAGGACAGACCCCAUACGUGGCUUUGGAUGUUCCGGUGUUUGGGGAGAUUAUGUGAUUACUAGUGAGAUGAAUAAAGGAUUGUUUAUAUUGGGAAAAAUGUGUUUGUAGAAAGAAUUACGUGUGGCUUGAUCCCUCAGUAAGGGUACGUAGGCAGCCUAGGGUAGUGGUUAGGUGCAGCCGCUGACUAAACGUUAUAAUGUUGUUUUUAGGUUUGAUUAUAUGGUAUUAUGGGCCGAGGCCCCUGGGACUAUUGGUUAUAAUUCAUAGAUGGUAGUUGAUGCAUGCUAGAAAUUUGUAGGAAGUUAUUUCAUGUGGAUUGCAGUGGUACUCGUAAAAUUUAUUUGAGUUCCUGAAUUGCAUUGUUAGUAUAUUAAUUGACUUAAGAGUACUGCUAGUAGUUCUGCCUUGAUUUAUUUGAAGGUUGGAGGCCUUGUCUGUAAACUGUGUGCAAUUACAUUGUGUGUGCUGGCAGUUGGCUUUUUAAAUUGUGAAUUUUGUGCAUGUUGAAAUUUGGGAAAUGUUCAAUUUACAAGGGAGACUCUGUCAAAAUUUCGAUAGAAAGUCUUGUGCCCUUAUUCCUUUUUCGGAAAAAGGAUAUAUAGCUUUAGAAGUGGGCCCGACAUCGGGAUGAUGUCGGGAAUUUCGACAGAAUUCGUCUUAGGUUUCGGAAAAUUCGGGGCGGGUCCGAAAAAGUUGCUUCAGUUUUGGCAAGUAUCGGAAAAGACCAAAAUUUUCCGACUUUAUUAUUACUAGAAACAAAGUCGAAGUAUUCACCAAUCAUGUGGCCUUCCAAGUGCUCAAGGUUAAGCCAGGAACCGUUCCUAUCUGCCGUUUCCUUCCCAACUAUGAUCAUGUUGUCUAGGUUCCAACCCACAAAUCUACAUUGGGCUAUGUAUUUGAAUUUGUACUAAAGCGUGAUCUAUAGUAUGCAUUUAUUAGAUAAGUUUGAGAUGGCAGUGGCUUGGGUGUCCGCCGAGCUUGAACAAGUUUGGGUGUGCUGAGUGUUUCCAUGGGUGCGUUGAUGAUCAUGGUUAUUAGAUUUGUGAUAGUUUGGGCUCAAUUUCAACAGAACUUAUCUCAAGCCUAGUUAGUUGAUUCAUAAGUUUAUCAGGAAAAAAAAAUGAAAAAUGAAAAAUGAAAAAUGAAAAAAUCUUAAGUUAAGCCCAAGGACUUCUCACCAAAGUGUGCAUAAAUUGAAAUAUUUAAUAGAAGCCCAAGAUUUCUGAAGCACAUAAUAUCUACUAAAUUCUACAAAGUGUUAUACUUUACAAACUUCCUAUGUGUACCAAUUUUUACUAAAAUUAAUUUCUCUGCGGUGUUGAGAUUCAUCAUAAUUUUAGUAGAAAUUGGAAGUUUUCAUCAUUUUUGCUUUAAGUCUCUCCUCCACUCACUAAUAAAGAUUACUCAAGUGAGUUUACAAAACAUUUUUUUCUACUCUCUCCUGAAAACUACACUUCUUCUCAAAAGAUUAGAUCACUUCACAUCUUGCAUAUGUGAAAACUAAUGUAAAAAGUUGAAACUUUAUCAUAAAACCUCGACAAAAAUUAGCUCUACUUAAAACGUUAAAUUUGGAUUCGUUGAUUUAAAUGGCAAUUUGACACUUCAUAGAAAUUUUUACAUACAUGUGUUAGUGUUUGAUCACUUCACUUGUUACUUACUAUAUUUAUUCCAUGAUUCUCCCUCAAGUUAGGUAAAUAUUAUUAUCAAACAUUUCAAUUCAUUUGUGAUCUUUCUUGUCCAUCUUUUAAUGUACCCUGAAAUCCAUUAGCCACAUAUGAUGACCAAAAUCCAUACGUUCCUAUUUUUAAUGUAUGUUUACUCCCUAUAAUGUUCCAGUCUAGGGUAAUAACACUGCUAGUUUCAUAUGACAUCCUAUUUCUAAUGUGUAUCUACCCUUGUAAUGUUCCAGUUUAGGGUAAUAACACUGCUAGUUUACUAUCAUGUUGAUUAAUGCUUGUCAUGUUGCUAUUUCUAAUACAUGUCCAACAAAGAAAAGAUGAAGAAAGAACAAACCAGACCAACUCAAAAUAAGUUGAGUCCAAAUAGUUAAUACUAUUAUGUCGUAGAAGUACGUUGUUAAUACUCUGUAAUAGAAGUACAUGGUUAAUACUCUGUCAUAGAAUUACAUUGUUAAACAAAAAUAAGAUCCAUAACUGAAAUAGUAAUAAAAGAUAAGUCGAUCAUCAAAUCUUAAAAUACAUUUCGAAAAUCAACUAAAAUCCGAAGAGAAACACAUAAUUGAAGCAAAAGAUCAAAAAUCUCAAGUCCAAACCAAACAACGACGACGACGACAAUGAUGACGACAAUGACGUGGCGAAGAGGAGUAGAGCUCGAAGAUGAGGAGUAGAGCUAAGAGCAUUUGAUCAAGGUUCGUUUGAGGUCUCGAACAAUCCGAAAAAAAAAAAUCAAUAGAAGCAAGAUUUUAAAACAAGAAUCGAAUGUGAAAUAUUGAAAAUUGUAGAUUAAAGAUGAAGAAUAUAGUUGGACCUGAGACUGAGCUCCAAUGGAAGCUCCUCUUGCUCCAACACCAGAGAAAGCACCAACAAGAAAAGAGAAAAUAAAUAUGAUUUGGAUUUUUGGCAGAUUUGAAUUUUUGGCAGAUCUGGUUUUUUUGGCAAAUUUGAAUUUUUGGCAGAUCUGUGCAGAUUUGUUUUUUUGGCAGAUCUGAUUUUUCUCUCUCAAAUCCAUAUUGCAAGGGCAAUAUAGGUAUUUAACACACACAAAUAAACUAAAAAACAGCUAUUAAAUUGAAAAAUUUGACAGCUAUCAAUUUUGGGUGUGUUUGUAGUUUUUAAAUAGUAUAGGGUUUCUUUAUUAGACUAUGUCUACGAUUGGGUAUAUAAUUAAAUUUCUAUUAUUAAAAAAAAAGGACCCUAGUAAAGCCAUGGGACGAUACUCCUUUUAUAUAUAUUAUAUGAUAUAAAUAUUAUAAUAUAUUAUCUAAUAUUUGGAAUAUUUACUCUAAAAUAAACAAUAUAUUAGGUUCUUUUUGUCUACAAAUUGACCAUUAAACUUCUUAAUCACUCUUAUACUUUUAAUUAAAUCUACUAGGCUAGGUUACGAUAUUUGCACUAAAAACUCCUAAUUGUUUUUUCUUCUCUUUCUCUUGCUCUUUUUUUAACUUAAGCUGAAGUUUUGUAAUUUUUUUUCCCUCCCUUUUUACAUGUAUGAGUAGGGUACUUUAAUAUUGGGAUUUAUGAACUUUUUUUGUAUUUCUUCUCUAUGUUGGAAUAUAAAUUAGAGAUAUUUAGUCAUAUACCCAUUCUUAGCACUAAUAUUAUAAAUAAACCUUACAUCAUUCAAUUCCUAUAAACAAACCCAAAAAAUAAUAGCUGGCCCUAUUGAAUUUAAUUUUGACUAUUAAAUUACUUUGAUGCCCUAUUGAGUGUUUUGGGCUUUUUUUUAUGAGAUUUUGGAGUUGAGUUUGUUUUAAGAAAUCAAUGGCAAUUUUGUAAUUUAAAAAAAAUUAAAAGGCUUUUUGUUAUGUUGUAAAUAGGUUUCGAGUGUGUUUCUAAAGUCCAUUUCAUAUAGGUUUUUUAUAUAUAAUAAUUUGAACUCCUAUAUUGGGUAUAAUAGUGAAUCUCCAUUUAUUAACUUUUGAGUCUUUAAUAGUGUAGAUGAUGAGAUUAAUAUUCAACCAUUUUAUAAUAUGAAAUUAAGGACAAUCAUGAUUGUAAUGAAUGGAUUAUUAAUCAAUAUGAAAUGAUAUUAUGAAGUAGGCUAAAUGGAGUAGUUAGUAUCGUAUUAACUUAUUAACCGGUUAGCGCUUGAGCCCUCUAAUUCAAAUUAUUUUAUAAAAUUUUGUGAAGGGCCCCUUCUAAUGCAAAUUCCUGGCUGCGCCACUGCCUAUAGCAACUUGGUAAUGUGUGUGAAACAUCCCCUCCUUUUGUCGUUUAAACUAUCGGUUCGCUUGUAUUAAUAAAACAAAAAAUAAAAUAAAAGAUAAAAUUAUAAAUAAAACAAAACACAUAUUAAAGCCUAACUGUUAAUAAUGGAUCCAACAUAAGAUCCAGCCCAAGCCCAUGAAUAAAGCCCCCGAAAACGGUUGGUCCCUCAAUUAAAUUAUUCGUUCAAAUGGUCCAUCAACUCUAUAUUAUUCGCUCCAUUGGUCCUACCGUUAUAUUUUGUCAAUAUUUCUGUUAAAUAUGAGGGCAAAUUGGUCAUUAUUUAUCCUAAAAUUAGGUUAAAUCUAACAUAAAAUUAGACGGUAGGAAUUCGGGGCAGGUCAUGUCAAAAAGCUAAUUAGAGGGGCGAAAUUGACAAAUAAAUUUAAUACAAUAGCUAAAUUGGUUGAAAGAUUAAUUCAAGAUGUAGAUUUCAACAAGUGUGAUAAUUCAUGGGGUAUUCGGUAAUUUACUCCUUUUUUUCCCCUUGAUCUUCUAUAUUCAAGUAAUGGAAAUGUGUUCCACAUUUUCCAUUUAGUUGAUUAUAGAAAAGGAAGAGCAAACAUGAGUUAAGCCCAAGGCACCGAACUUAGGGUCAGUUUGGCAUUGUUAUGCUGUGAAAAUAAUCGUUGUCAGAUUUGCUGUGAGAGAAAAUAGUUUGGCGUUUGGUAAAAUUUUUGUUAAAAGUAUUAUUAGUAUUUAUUUUACGCAUAAUCAGAAAAUGAUUGCUGCAUAAUCAUUAAAUCCAGCGCCUUUUCGAAACUGAUUUUUGCAUAAUCAGAAAAUGAAAGCACAUCAUUAGCUGCUUUCCUUUAUAGCUUUCUCUCACAUCAAUUUUUAACAAUAAGUGAUUUUCUCACAGUUUACCAAAUGGAUUGGGCUUCUCAAAAUUUUAAAAAAAUCACUUAUCACCCCAAAUAAGUAAUGCCAAACGGGCACUUAGACUUCUCACCAACGUGAGGAAGAAAAAUAUGACAAAUUGAUAUAUUUAAUACAAGCUCAAACUGUGCACAAAUUAAUAUAUGCAACGGAAGCCCAAGAUUAUUUCUGAAGCACAUAAUUUCCGCAAAAUCUACAAAGUGGUGGGAGGCAGACCAACAAAAAAAAGUAGCGAAGGCUUAUAACUCUGGUAAAACAAGAGUGACUUGGACAGAAUAAUGUUAUGUCGUACUGAAGAUUUUUGGGUUUCUUUAAUUGGUUAAGUUUAUAUACCUUCAUUUGAAGAUUCUUUAUUUGGGUUGCUUUCAAGAUGAAAACCAUAUCCACAACCACAACCACAACUGGCAGACAAUCUUUGGCUGUUCAUCACAAUUGGGCGACAAUGAAGAAGACAGAAAUUGGAGUAAUGUAUGUUACCAGCAAUCCACGAGAAACUGACAUCUGCAAGCUUUCGUAAUAUAAGGAGGAUGGGGAGGCCGUGCAAUACUUAUCACCUUAGCCACCACCUACACCACAAGACCAAUAUGUUGUAGGCCAGGAGGCUUUCCAAUUUUAAUAUAUAUAUAUAUAUAUAUAUAAAAGUAAAGUGACAAAGAAAUUAAUGUAGGGUAAAGGUAGAAUAGAAAAGAGAAUGAACAAAAUUAAUAAAAAAAAGUUUUAAAAAGUAAAAGGGAGUGUAGAUGGAGAAAAGAGGAAUGGGGAAAUUAGCUCCCUAUAUAUAUAUAGAUUGAAAAAUUAAAAUUAAAAUCAAUCUAUUAUCUUAUAUAUUAUAAAAUAAAGAUUAUUGCUCCAAGGAAAUGAGAUCUUUUGUUUUCUGGGAAUUUUCUGAACCAAGAAGAAUCAAGUAAAAUUAAUAAAGCAUAAAUUGGAAAGGGAAAAGAUCCAGAGGAUGCAUUGUAAGAUUGCUGAUGCCAAUAAUUGUACCCUCUAAUUUUAUACAUGGACGGGCAUUCAAAUCGGCAAAUCAGAAAUCCAAGCCAAAUCGCACAGGAAAAAAUCGAGUUGACCAAAUAGUCAACAACCAAUCAAAAACCAUACCGGACCAGUUUGGACCGGUUUUGGAUCCAAUUCUAUGUCUUCAAAAACUGAACCAAGCGGAACCGAACCAGUCAAAUUAAAAAAUAUAUAAUUUCAAUAUAUAUUUAUAUUCAAUGCUAUAUUUUUAGUCUCAUAACUAAUAUUUAUGCAAGUUCAAUUUCAAAACAUCUCUCUUUUCUGGCUUUAAUAUUUAUUUUUAUAUAAAAUUAAAUAAUUUAUUAAUUUUCAAGUCAAAAAAAUAAAAUUUUAGUUGAAAUUUGUAUUAAAAAAUUAUUUGAAAAAAAUUAAUUUUAAUAAUCCAGUUCAAAACCAAAUCGGACCGGAACCUAAUCAAAAUCGGUUCAACCUGAACCGGACAGUUUUUGAAUUUUUUUUGUUAAAACCGAACCAAACCAAACCGGACAAAUAGUAUCGGAUUCGGUUCUAAUUUGAGACAAAAACCAGUCCAAACCGGACCGUGCCCACCCUAUUUUUUUUGUUUUCAAGUCUUAGAUGACAUGUCGACCUAAAAUUAUUGUUCCUAGCGGGCUCUCCACCCCCACUCAACCUAUUGUGUAUUAUUAUUUUCAAUAUUAUCUUAAAUUUAACUACUUAUGUCCAUUAUGAUUAGUCAUGUAUUUUAUGGACCAUCCAGCUGUGAGGCUUUAUCUCAAAAACAUUCAGUACCUUUUUCCCGCUUGCAACAAUUGUAUUUGAUUCAGAAUUAUGUCCUAUAUUGGUGGGUGGAGUGUUACUUCUGGGUACCCCUCAUCAUUCGUCUAUAAAAUGGUGAAGCCAGUUGCUACUGUUACCAUAAGAGCCAUCUCCGACUUUCUUUAAUUUCUUGCUUCAUAUCCACUAGCUACAUCUGUUGCCAAGUUAAUUUCAGUCCUAAUGGGGUUUCAUCUCCCACUCAUCUUUGCUCUUCUCAGUGUAAGCUCUGCAAUUUGAUUAACAUUUCCAUUAUCUCUCAUUGUACUCUAUAUAAACGAAAGUUUUGCAUUCCUAUAAUCCUCUCUGAUUUUAUUUACCACAUAAGUGUCGUCCACUAAUUAAUUACACUUUGUGAUUUGAUUUUAAUUAGAGUUCGAAUUAAUGUUGCAGCUAGCAGCGGUGGCACUGGCAAACCAUGCUGCUCAACCAGCAGCUCAACUUUACUGGAACUCCGUCCUGCCGAACACACAGAUGCCAAGAACUAUCAGUGAACUUCUGCAUCUUGGUUUGUGUUAAUCACUUUAGAAUCUUAGAUAUUUUUUCUACCUGCCAUUUUACUAAAAUUUGUUUGACCACAUAUUUAUCGGUUAACUACUGUUUUCCAAUUUAUUAUUAACCUCUACAUGAGUAAUUAUAGUAUGGUACUAGAGUACGUACGGCAACAUAUUCACAAAUGUCUCACUGAAUCUUCAAUCGGCUGAUCACUUAUUUUCCAUUAUGACGUUGAUAUAUAAUUUGCCGACUCCACAAAUGAAGAAAAGAGCACAAAUAUCAUGAAUGCUGUUGGGAAUGGAAAGCCAACUGACCACAAGGGAAAACCUGAAAUAAACGCAUUGUUUAGCGGAUACACAAUUCAAGUACAGUAUGCAGGAGUUCCUAAUUCUGACAAUCAACUCCAGUAUUAUAAAAACAUAACUAUUUUCUUCUUGGGGAAGGACAUGCGCCUUGGCGCAACAAUGAACUUCCAAUUCCCUAGAAAUUCAAACACGGCUACUUUCCUGCCACGCGAAAGUGCUCAAUCAAUCCCCUUCUCCUCUAACAAACUAUCAGAAAUUUUCAAACAUUUUUCAGUGAAGCCAACAUCUGUGGAAGCCAAAACAAUUAAGAAAACAAUCGAAGAGUGUGAAGCUCCAGGCAUUAAGGGAGGGGAAAGAUAUUGCGCCACAUCUUUAGAAUCAAUGGUUGAUUUUAGCACUUCCAAGCUUAGAACAAGAAACGUUCAAGCAAUCUCGACUGAGGUAUUGGAAAAAGGAACUGCCAUGUCCAUGCACAAGUAUACAACAAUGCCGGGACUGAAGAAGUUGGCAGGUGACAAAGUCGUUGUGUGUCAUAAGGAGAACUAUCCCUAUGCUGUGUUUUUCUGCCAUGCAAUAAAACAAACAGCAGCUUAUGUUCUCUCCCUGAAAGGCGAUGAUGGGGUGAAGGUUAAAGCAGUAACCAUCUGCCAUCUAGACACAUCAGAAUGGAACCCAAAGCAUUUGGCCUUCCAAAUCCUCAAAGUUAAGCCCGGAACCAUUCCCAUCUGCCAUUUCCUUUCCACAGAUGCUAUUGCAUGAACAUCACUUAGCACUGUACGUAUAAUAAGCUUGCACCCCUGUAUAAUUAUCUCCCUACUCUACUUAUUUCUGCCUCUUCUGUUGAGAUUUCAAUCAGAACUUGCACACACAAUGCAUCAGCUCACACAAAACCAGAUGAAUUUAAGAAAACAGAAAAAUGCAGAGAAAGAAUGGAUUGGCUACUCAGUAAUGCUCAAAGGUUCGUUGCUAUGCACAAAACAUGGCAGUGCACAAUACUCUCAUUUCUAACGGAACCAUUCCUUUUUACAAUGCUGAGAAUGUGAUCUCAGCCUUACAAUUGAUCCAGCAAUGUAAGCUGGACACUUGUCUUAAAUCUGAGUCAUAUAAGUUUCAUCCAACCAAAAUAUUACAUCUGUGAAAUAAAACUUAAACCAGCAGGAAUUUAUAAUUCGACAUUCCCUUCUAAAUUGUUGACUGGUUUAACACCAAGUAGACCUCUUAAGUAAUUGAAUCGAUCCUUAGACAAAGCUUUAGUGAAUAUGUCAGCUGCUUGCUCUUCGGACUUGCAGUAUCUUAGAUCCACCACACCUUCUUGCAAAGCAUCUCGAAUGAAAUGGUAUAUGCGGUUAAUGUGUUUGGUCUUUUGAUGGAAAACUGGAUUCCUUGUCAUUGCAAUGGCAGAGGUGUUAUCUACCAUUAAUGGAGUUGCCUCUGUUUGCUAUUCUCCAAAGUCUUCAAGCACAAACUUCAACCAUAUAGCUUGAGUAGUAGCUUCACUUACACUAACAUAUUCAACUUCAGUUGUGGAGAGAGCAACACUGGGUUGCUUGACAGAUGCCCAAGAUGACACGCCACUUCCAAAUGAGAAAGCAUAUCUAGAAGUGCUCUUCAUGUCAUCUUGACUCCCACUCCAGUCACUGUCACAGUAUCCAAUUAAUACAACUUCUUUUCCCUUCUGGUAUUCAAUACCAUAAUCAAUUGUGCCUUUGAUAUACCUCAACACCCUCUUAGUUGUUCCAUAGUGUUUCUUUUAGGACAAUGCAUGAAUCUAGCUAAUAAGCUAGCUGCAAACAUUAUGCCAGGCCUUGUAGCUGUUAAGUACAACAAACUUCCCACAAUCUGCCUAUAUUCAUUCUCAUCUGCUGGAUCACUUCCAUCUGCUUUGCAUAAUUUCUCACUUGCCACCAGAGGAGUGCUAACAGGUUUACAUUGUUUUAAGCCAAACUUGCUUAACAGAGUCAAAGCAUAUUUCUUUUGACUUAUGAAAAUACUCUUUUCAGUUUGAAUCACAGCCAUACCAAGAAAAUGAUACAAAAGACCUAAGUUAGUCAUUUCAUACCUUCUCAUCAUCUUAGACUAAAAAUCUGCAAUCAAUUCUUCACUGCUUCCUGUAUACACUAUAUCAUCAACAUAUAUCGAUACAAUGAGUGUUCUAGAGUUUUCCUUGGUCUUGCAAUACAGAGUUGCUUCACUAGAGCUCCUUGUAUAACCGCAGUCAAUAAGAUACGAGUUUAUUUCCUCAUCCCAUGCUCUUGGCGCCUGUUUUAGACCAUACAGAGCUUUCUUUAGUUUGUACACUUUGUCUUUAGAGUUCUUAAUCACAAAACCAUCUGGCUGGUCCACAUAUACUUCUUCCUUAAGCACACCAUUCAGAAAAGCAGACUUGACAUCCAAUUGAUACAACUUCCACCCCUUUUGAGCUGCCAAUGCAAUAAAAGUUCUAAUGGUGUCUAAUCGGACUCUGCACCCCUCUCGAUUGAAAACCUAUUGUGUAAAUCUUCAAUCCUAAACGAUGCACCUAAAACACAUGUUGCAAUACACAUCCACCCAUUCUCAGGCCAAUUAUUGCUCAUAGUGGGCUCCCGACCCCCUCUCAAAUUUAAGUGGUCCAUUAUUCUUAACCACAUAUUUUAUGGACCAUCCAGCUGUGAGGUUUUGUCUCAAAAACCUUCGGUACAUUUCUCCCACAUGCCACAAUUGUAUAUUCACAAUUACGUCUGAUACAUCACAUCAUGCCACUUGCCUCAAAUGAAUUUAAGUGAGUGAGGCAGUUGGAAGUAAUUAAGCUCUAUAUUGGUGGGUGGAGUGUUACUUCUGGGUACCCCUCAUCAUUUGUCUAUAAAAUGGUGAAGUCAGUUGCUACUGUUACCAUAAGAGCCAGCUCCGACUUUCUUUAAUUUCUUGCUUCAUAUCCACUAGCUACAUCUGUUGCCAAGUUAAUUUCAGUCCUAAUGGGGUUUCAUCCCCCACUCAUCUUUGCUAUUCUCAGUGUAAGCUCUGCAAUUUGAUUAACUUUUCCAUGCUCUCUCAUUGUACUCUAUAUAAACGAAAGUUUUGUGGUCCUAUAAUUCUCUCUCGAUUUUAUUUAGUACGUACUUAAGUGUUGUCCACUAAUUAAUUACACUUUGUGAGAUUUGAUUUUAAUUAGAGUUCGAAUUAAUGUUGCAGCUAGCAGCGGUUGCACAGGCAAACAAUGCUGCUCAACCAGCACCUCAACUUUACUGGAACUCCGUCCUGCCAAACACACAGAUGCCAAGAUCUAUCAGUGAACUUCUGCAUCCUGGUUUGUGUUGAGCUCUUUAGAAUCUUAGAUAUCUCUUCUACCUGCCAUUUUACUUAAAUAUGUUCGACCACAUAUUUAUCAGUUAACUACUGUCAUUACAUGAGUGACACAUAUUCACAAAUCGGCUGAUCACUUAUUUUCCAUUAUGACGUUGAUAUAUAAUUUGCAGACUCCACAAAUGAAGAAAAGAGCACAAAUGACGUUGGCAAACCUGAAACUUUCCCAUUGGGCAAUCAAAAUUACUCCAGUCAAAAAAAUUAUGGAACAGGCAAUAAACGUUACUGCAGUCAAAAAAGGUAUGGAAGAGGCAAGAAACGUUACUGCGAUCAAAAAAAGUAUGGAAGAGGUGCUUCUCCAUCUGACAAUCAACUACUCCAUUAUAAAGACUUAGCUAUUUUCUUCUUGGAGAAGGACAUGCGCCCUGGCACAACAAUGAAGUUCCAAUUCUCUAGAAAUUCAAACACGGCUACUUUCUUGCCACGAGAAAGCGCUCAAUCGAUCCCCUUCUCCUCUAACAAACUACCAGAAAUUUUCAACCAUUUUUCAGUGAAGCCAACAUCUGAGGAAGCCAAAACAAUUAAGCAAACAAUCGAAGAGUGUGAAGCUCCCGGCCUUAAGGGAGAGGAAAUAUAUUGCGCCACAUCUUUAGAAUCAAUGGUUGAUUUUAGCACUUCGAAGCUUGGAACAAGAAACGUUGAAGCAAUCUCGACGGAGGUAUUGGAAAAAGGAGCCACCAUGUCCAUGCACAACUAUACAACAAUGCCGGGACUGAAGAAGUUGGCCAGUGACAAAGUCGUUGUGUGUCAUAAGCAGAACUAUCCCUAUGCUGUGUUUUUCUGCCAUGCAAUAAAACAUACAGCAGCUUAUGUUCUCUUCCUGAAAGGCGAUGAUGGGGAGAAGGUUAAAGCAGUAACCAUCUGUCAUCUAGACACAUCAGAAUGGAACCCAGAGCAUAUGUCCUUCCAAAUCGUCAACGUUAAGCCCGGAACCAUUCCCAUCUGCCAUUUCAUUUCCACUGAUGCUAUUGCCUGGGUUCCGAACCACAAAUCUGCAUGAUCAUCACUUAGCACUGUACGUAUAAUUAUCUCCUUACUUAUUUCUGCCUCUUCAUCAUGUGGUGUAAGAUAUAUGAUGAGAUGAAGUUUUUGGGAUUAGUGGUUGGGUUGCCUGAAAAACACAGAUUACAGAAACUGCUUGAAAUUAACCCGAUCAUGUUUUCUCUUGUAACUAUAUAGACUUCAACUUGUACUCAUAAUAAAGCAUGCUAUAUUUAUGAAGAGAUAUUAAUCUAUAUAUAUUUUUUAUAUAUGCUUUGGCUUUGUGGUUCUACCCAAUGUUUGAGUGUUGAAUUGUUACGUUGGAAUAGGCUGCUAAUGCAUGUAGUUAGAGAAGCCUUCAUUUAUAUCAAAGUCCUCAAACUAUCAAGAACUAAUGUAUCCAGAAACAUAUACCAAGACGCAAAACAACAUAUUUUCCAUGCUCUGUCUGUAACACCAAAGCAAACUUCCUUGAUCACAAAAGGAUCAAAUUCCAGUACUAAUCUAAUCCAUCAUGUAAAGCAUACAAGUGCCUCCCUAAAUACUAUACUCUUUUUGUUAUUUCCUACUAUACUAUUUAAGAUUUAAAAUUCAGGUCAACCCAUAGAUUUCUCGCCUUUUUCUUCUUCAUCUCGUCGGGCUUGUCUUCUUCUUGAGGAUUGUAUAGGCCAAGGAAAUGCUUUGAGUUAGUUUUUGCGCUUUUGCGUUUUGGGCCUUGGAAGUUGGGACCCAAACCAACUUCACAAAAAGAAAACGCUCAGACUAUAAUGAGUGGAAAGUUAUAAGGGGUAAGUUAUAAGGAGUUCACUUUAUAGCCAUCAGAUCAAUCUAAGGGCUGGGGAGAAUUGAGAUAAAGUUUUAAAAUCGGGUAGGUGAGGAACCCAAACCCGAAUUGAAUAUCCAGCACGUCCGAAAAAGAAGAAGAAGAGGCAAGCACGUCCGAAAAAGAAGAAGAAGAGGCAAGGUCGAAGUUUGAACAGAAAAAACUCAUCUCUUUAAAACCCAUAGCUCUGAGAAACGGUUGAAGGCAACGGUUAACGACGGUUGUUGAAGCCACUCCGUUCUCCAGACCCUGAAAAAGUAUUUAUUUUGAGUAGAAGGGGCAAAUGUGUGGAUUCCGAAACAGUGAAGGGGCGAAGCAGUGGAAGGGGAAGGAGAGAAGCCGUAUUCGUUGGAAGUGGUAGGUUCCAUUUGUGGAGCAAAGCAACACAAAGACCCCGCACAGACACCUUGCGAUUGUUCAAUAACCAGCAUUUGGUGAGUAAUUUAUGGAAUUUGAGUUUAGGGUUAGAGUAAUGGUUUUCCCCAAUUUGUACCAUCAAUUUUGUUGGAUUUGGCAUCUCUUCUUUGUGCUUCAGUUGCAUGUUAAUUUUUGCUUGGGUAUAUGUUAAAAAAAGAAUGAAAAUCAAGUCAAUAACAAGUGAAUAACAUGUCAAUAAUGAUAUGAAUAAGAUAAUGGUGUUGAAUUGGAGGAGGCCCUCAAAACAUUCCACAUUUGAAGCAGUGCAUAGUGCAGAUUAUCUCUCUGGCGCUAGAAUAUAUAUAUAUUUUGAAAUAAAUAUGAUUUCCUUUGUUACUAAAUUUGCCUGAGAAACAUGAGAACAGAUAAUAAUAAACUCAUGAAUAGAAGUGCAAAGCAUUUGAUGAGUAAUUUAUGGAAUUUGAGUUUAGGCCCAGGAAAUUCCUUGACCCCAAAAAAAAAAAAAAAGUUGAUUUAAAAUUCAGGUCAACCCAUAGAUUUCUCGCCUUUUUCUUCUUCAUCUCGUCGGGCUUGUCUUCUUCUUGAGGAUUGUAUAGGCCCAGGAAAUGCUUUGAGUUAAUUUUUGCAUUUUUGCGUUUUGGGCCUUGGAAGUUGGGACCCAACCCAACUUCACAAAAAGAAAACAGAUUUGCCAAAAAUCAAAUUUCAAGUCUCUCCUCCGAUCGAAAUUUGGAUUUGAUGAACUAAAGUGGUUUUACUUUCUCCAUCAGUGUUUGAUAACUUAAUUUGUUAUUUACUUUUUUUUUAAAAAACUUUGGCUUAUAUAUAUUAGUUUUCUUUUUUCCUUCAUAUUCACCACCUUUAUGUUGCAUAAGUAUUUCAGUCUUAAUGGGUUUCCAUCUACCACUCAUCUUUGCUCUUCUCAGUGUAAGCCUUUUUUUUUUUUUAAAGCACAAGAUUAGAGGGGAGGGGGAUUUCUCAAUGUAAGCUUUGCAGUUUCAUAAUUAAUAUUUCCAAUAUCUCACUGUUAGUAAAAUACAGAAAAAGUACUAAUAACAUAUGCACAUGUUACUAAUUUAUUGAGAUAAAACACCAUUUUGCCCCUAGAAUAUUUUAUUAGGUUUAAAGUUGACUUUUUGACCAGGAAGGAAUUUGGGUAUUUAGACUAUAUCGUUGCGUAGAGCAUGGCGAGAUGAGUCCGUAGACACAUGAUUGGCUCGAAUCAGAGUUAUAAUGAGAGAGAUACGAUCAAAAUACCCUCAGUGGUAUAACCGUAAUUUUGGCUUAAAGGGUUUGAUAAAAUAUAAUUUUUCUUUCUUUCUUUCUCUCUCUCUCUCUCUCUCUCUCUCUCUCCUCUCUCUCACGACGGCAGUGAUAGCCGGCCACUUUUUGGCCAGCCAUGCUCUCGUCCGGCCACUAAAGUUGACGGGGCCGGUACCAAAAUGACCGGGCCACCAUCCUUUUCCAACCCCAGCCAGGCCCCACUGCCAGCAGUCGUGAUUUUGCUGAAAAAUGGAGAAGAAGCGGCCGAUUUCGUUCGAACUUCUCCGACUUCGUUCUCUCUCCUCCGGCCACCGAUUUCGAUGAAUGAGGUAUGGUUUCUCACCUACUUUUUAUGCUCUAGCUGCCUGUUGGGUAGGAUUCGAUCAAUUCCUUGCGUAGGUAGCUUGAUUUUCGAAUUGGAUUUCGGCCGGUUUUGGGAUCUCGAUUCCGGCCACUUCCGGUCAGUUUUUGGGGUACAUCCCAAAACAAAAGUGGUUCUAAAUAGGGUGUUAUACCUAGGGUAGGAACCUUGAACCGUAAUUUUGAGAAUUUUCGGUGAUGCCUAAUCGCUUUGGACACCUACGCUAUGCCUGCGUGUGGGCACUAUAGAAAAAGGGCAUUGUGUCCCGAUGCAAUCCCCUUGUUGUCUUGAGCGCGUAGGUGUGCUCGGAUUUCAAUUUGGAUACCGUUUGAAUCUCGAACGAAUAUCGCAUAUUGUGCGUUAUUCGGGGUCGAUAGGUUUGAACUGUUGGAUAGUCUUAGAUUUAUAAUAUGUUAAUCUAGACAUUCUUAGGAUCGAAUGGGAUUAAACGGAUCGUAAAACGGAGUCCCGGAUACUCCAAAAAUGCCAACCCUAGGGCUAGGUUCCUAGUAACCGUCCGAUCGUGCGAUCGUGAGCGAUCCGACCGUUUGAUCCGAACCAAACUUGCAGGACGUGUAUCCUAAACCUUGUAGAACCCAUAGGAACUUUCGGAUUAGAAUUUGGAGGUCGUGGGCCCCUUGGGCCGUUUGACUAAGUUUGGGUAGUUUGACCCUUGGCUGAUCGUGAGUCUUCAGAGGUCUUGAGCGUUGUUGAGCUAUGUUGACUAGGUUUAGACUUUUAGAGUGUUUAUUAUUAUCAUAGGAAACUAUUAGAUAUUAUUUUAAUAAUUGAAAUUAUCAAAUUUAUGUUUAUGUGCAUGAUUGUUGGUCUAAAAAUAACAUUGUUUUCUUGAUAAAAUUACGUUGCAGUCUACUAUAGACUGGUAUCACUAAAUGGAGAUUACCUCUAUUAUUAGUUUAGAUAAUUAAGAGUAUGUCAGUUUGAAGUGCUAUAUGCACUACCCUAAGUACCACCCUGUGAUUGUUAGGUCCCAUGUGGUGUAGAUUAUACAGCGUCAGGACAGACCCCAUACGUGGCUUUGGAUGUUCUGGCGCAUGGGGGAGAUUAUGUAAUGGUUAGGUCAUACGUGGCGUAGGUUAUUCAGCGUGUUGACAGACCCUAUACGUGGCGUUGGAUGUUCCAGUAUGGAAAGAUUUUGUGAUUGUUAGGUCCCACGUGGCGUAGAUUAUCCGGCGUGAGGACAAACCCCAUUCGUGGCUUUGGAUGUUCCUGCGUAUGGGGGAGAUUAUGUGAUGGUUAGGUCACACGUGGCGUAGGUUAUUCGGCGUGUUGGCUAACCCCAUAAGUGCCGUUGGAUGUAACGACCGGUCCUAAAUAAAUUAGUGAAUAUUAAUUUAUUCAGAGAAAAUACCAUUUUGCCCAUAGAGUAUUUUAUUAGGUUCAAAGUUGACUUUUUGAUCAGAAAGGAAUUUGAGAAUUUCGAUUAUACCGUUGCAUAGAGCACGGCGAGAUGAGUCCGUAGACACGUGGUAUGCUCGAAUCGAAGUUGUAACGAGAGAGAUACGAUCAAAAUACCCUCAGUGGCAUAACCGUAAUUUUGGCAAAAAGGGUCGAUAAAAUCAUAUAUAUAUAUUUUCUCUCUCUCUCUCUCUCUCUCUCUCUCUCUCUCUGCGAUAUUGUCCCUCUCUCUCUUUGAUUCACUGCCAUCUGCCCACGGCAGGACUUGAGACUGGUCACGUUUGAACCGGCUCGAUGUCCCGAUCACGUCGCACCCAAAAUGCAAAUGGAAACCUUGAAUUCCAGCCACGGCUUCGACUGGUUUGAACUGGGUUUUUCCCGGCGUUGCGCCACCGCCUCCGCCGCCCAAUUCCGGUGAAACAGGUAUAAUUCCUCACCUAUUUUUCGAGAUCCAGCUGUUGUUGUGUAGGAAUUAGACGAUUUUCAUGUUUAGGAACUCGAUUUAGAAUUUAGGUUUUGGUCGAAUUUUCAAAGUGAAAUUUCGGCCACUUCCGCUGGUUUUUCGGGGUAUGUCUAAGAACAAAAGUGGUUCCAAAUAGGGUGUUAUACCUAGGGUAGGAACCUUGAGCUGUGAUUUUGAGAAUUUCCGGCGAUGCGUAUUCGCUUUGGACACCCACGCGCCGACAGCGCGUGGGCACUGUAGAAAAGGGGCAUUGUGUCUCAAUGCGAUCUGCUUGUUGUCUUGAGCUCGUAGGUAUGCUCGAAUUUCAAUUUGGAUACUGUUUGAGUCUCGAACGGAUAUCGCAUAGUGUACGUUAUCCGGGUUUGAUAGGUUUGAACCAUUGGAUAGUUUUGAAUUUGAUAUAUGUUAAUCUAGGCAUUUCUAGGAUCAUGUAGGAAUUCAGGGAUCAUGAAUCAGAGCCCCGGAUGUUCCGAUUUAAUAACUUAAAGUUUAUGUUUAUAAUAACUAUCAGAUCGUGCGAUCGUGAGCGAUCCGACUGUCUGAUCUGGACCAAACUUGCAGCACGUAUAUCCUAAACCUUGUGGAACAUAAAAAAAUUUCGGAUUAGAAUUUGGAGGUCGUGGGCCCCGUGGGCCCAUUUAACCAAUUAUGGGUAGUUUGAUCCUUGGUUGACCGUGAGUCUUCCGAGAUAGUUUUACCUUCCUAGGAGGAUUAUAAUGACCCUAGUGAUAGGUCUUGACCGUUGUUCAGCUAUGUUGACUAGGUUGAGACUUCUAGAGUGUUUAUUAUAUUAUUGUAGGAAACUCUUAGAUAUUAUUUUAAUAAUUGAAAUUAUGAAAUUUAUGUUUAUGUGCAUGAUCGUUGGUCUAAAAAUAAUAUUAUUUUCCUGAUAAAAUUACGUUGCAGUCUACUAUAGACUAGUAUCACUAAAGUGGGAAUACCUCUAUUAUUAGUUGAGAUAAUUGGGAGUAUGUCAGUUUGAAAUGUUAUACCCUAAGUACUACUCUAUGAUUGUCAGGUCACCCGUGGCGUAGGAUUUUCCGGUGAGAUGACAGACCCCAUACGUGGCGUUGGAAUUUCCAACGUAUGGAGAGAUUAUAUGAUUGUUAGGUUUCACGUGGCGUAGGAUUUUUCAGCGGGAUGACAAACCCCAUACGUGGCAUUGGAAGUUUCAGCGUAUGGGGAGAUGAUAUGAUUGUUAAGUCACACGUGGCGUAGGUUAUUUGGAGUGCUGACAGACCCCAUACGUGGCGUUGAAAUUUCUGGCGUAUGGAGAGAUGAUAUGAUUGUUAGGUCACUUUGGAUGUUCUAGCGUAUUGGGAGAUUAUGUGAUUACCAGUGAGAUGAAUAAAGGAUUGUUAUGUUAUAUUGGGAAAAACAUGUUUGUAGAAAGAAUUACGUGUGGCUUGAUCCCUCAGUAAGGGUACGUAGGCAGCCUAGGGUAGUGCCUUGGUGCAGUCGCUGACUAAACAUUAUAAUGUUGUUUUUAGGUUUGAUUAUAUGGUAUUAUGGGGCAAGGCCCCUAGGACUAUUGGUGAUAAUUCAUAGAUGGUAGUGGAUGCAUGCUAGAAAUUUGUAGGAAGUUAUUUCAUGUGGAUUGCAGUGGUACUCGUAAAAUUUAUUUGAGUUCCUUAAUUGCAUUGUUAAUAUAUUAAUUUACUUAAGAGUACUGCUAGUAGUUCUGCCUUGAUUUAUUUGAAGGCUGGAGGCCUUGUCUGGAAACUGUGUGCAAUUAGAUUGUGUGUGCUGGCAGUUGACUUUUUAAAUUGUGAAUUUUGUGCAGGUUGAAAUUUGGGAAAUGUUCAAUUUACAGGGGAGACUCUGCUGAAAUUUCGGUAGAAAGUCUUGUGCCCUUAUUCCUUUUUGGGGAAAAGGAUAUAGUUUUAGAAGUGGCGAUGUCGGGAAUUUCCACAGGAUUCGUCUCGGGUUUCGGGAAAUUCGGGGCGGGUCUGAAAAAGUUGUUUCAGUUUUGGCAAGUAUCGGAAAAGACCAAAAUUUUCCGACUUUAUUAUUACUAGAAACAAGGUCGAAGUAUUUACCAAUCAUGUGGCCUUCCAAGUGCUCUAGGUUAAGCCAGGAACCGUUCCUAUCUGCCGUUUCCUUCCCAACUAUGAUCAUGUUGUCUGGGUUCCAACCCACAAAUCUACAUUGGGCUACGUAUUUGAAUUUGUACUAAAGCGUGAUCUAUAGUAUGCAUAUAUUGGAUAAGUUUGAGAUCAGUGGCUUGGGUGUCCGCUGAGCUUGAACAAGUUUGGGUGUGCUGAGUGUUUCCAUGGGUGUGUUGAUGAUCAUGGUUAUUAGAUUUGUGAUAGUUUGGGCUCAAUUUCAACAGAACUCAUCUCAAGCCUAGAUAGUUGAUUCUUAAGUUUAUCAGGAAAAAAAAUUAAAAAUUAAAAAAUCUAAAGUUAAGCCCAAGGCGCCGAACUUGGACUUCUCACCAAACUGUGCAUAAAUUGAAAUAUUUAAUAGAAGCCCAAGAUUUUUGAAGCACAUAAUAUCUACAAAAAUCUACAAAGUGUAAUACUUUACAAACUUCUUAUGUGUACCAAUUUCUGCUCAAAUUAAUUUCUCUGUGGUGCUGAGAUUCAUCAUAAUUUUAGUAGAAAUUGGAAGUUUUCAUCAUUUUUGCUUUAAGUCUCUCCUCCACUCACUAAUAAAGAUUACUCAAGUGAGUUUACAAAACAUUUUUUUUCUACUCUCUCCUGAAGACUACACAUCUUCUCAAAAGAUUAGAUCACUUCACAUCUUGUAUAUGUGAAAACUAAUGCAAAAAGUUGAAACUUUAUCAUAAAACCUCGACAAAAAUUAGCUCUACUUAGAACAUUAAAUUUGGAUUCGUUGAUUUAAAUGGCAAUUUGACACUUCAUAGAAAUUUUUACAUACAUGUGUUAGUGUUUGAUCACUUCACUUAUUACUUACUAUAUUUAUUCCAUGAUUCUCCCUCAAGUUAUGUAAAUAUUAUUAUCAAACAUUUCAAUUCAUUUGUGAUAUUUCUUGUCCAUCUUUCAAUGUACCCUGAAAUCCAUUAGCCACAUAUGAUGACCAAAAUCCACACUCUGUUGUUUGCAAACGUUCAAUAUACGACUUGCAUCCACAGUCCUGACCCAAAUGAAAUGCGGAAACUGUCAAGCUAACUGUAGGGAGGACUAUAUUUGAUUUUACCUUAAAGACUGAUCCGAAACCACCUUCUCCAAGUUUAUUGUUGUUUGAAUAGUUUUUGGUUGCACAAACAACAGCGGCCAAGUCAAAUAAUGGCAAUUCCAGAUCUUCCUUUUGGCCGGGCUUCAGUUCUCCUGUGAAGUACGUAGUGAAGUAAAUAAUGUAGCAUGGAACCUUAGCUUAGAAACCAGAGAGGCAACAGCAAAAAUUUUCUAUAGAACUGAACCUACCUAUCUUAGAAAAUGAAGGGGCAGAAGAGUAGAAAAUCAAAUAGCUUACCAUAUUUUUGUUGCUGGUUCUUCCUCACAUAUAAUAGCAGGGUAAGGCCCAGGGUCAGCAGUCCAGUAGACAACACAGUACUGGUUACUAUGAUCUUUGUAUUGUGUCCUUGAUCUAGGAAUGAAGUAUUUGAAAGCAGAAGAUUGAGGAGUCAGAAAUUCAUAAAGAAAAAAUCUCUACUUUUUAUCAUCCAACGAACAAUUAAUGCUAGUUUCUGAGACAGUUCUAAAGAAAUAUUUUUCUAACAAUGUCAAAAGUUUUCUGGCUCUAUCUUGUUUCUAAUCAUGUCACUGUUGGAAGAUUUCUUUCUUCUUUUUUCCUUGGUGGCUUUUAUUUUUCUUUCAAACUUUGUUUUAAACAGCAAGAUGAUUCCAUACCUAGUUCUGACGAAGCCAUUCUUAUGUAAAUAUCUUGCCCAUUUAUAUUGGAAUAUCUUAUAUCAACCAGAUCGCUGAACCACAGCAAGGACCCCCUUCCUCCAUCUCGGAUAUCCAAAUUUGAAAAAGCGGCGCAGGAGCAGUUGUUCAUGCACAUCAUCUCACAUUCCUUGAGGUUCAUAAUUGUGUUAUACUAGGAUUGUUCUGUACUUUAUUUCACCCCAGUGUACUUCUUAAAGAUGUCUCCACUGCAAUUCAGUUGGCUCUUUCUCACAGAUCUAUAUGACCAAUCCACCAAGUCCCAGUCUUGUUGAAAGUCGGUAUAAAUCCUUUCAAGCAGCUACGUACUGGGGACUUGUCAAUACAACAUGCACCAUUCGGACCACAUAUUCCAUAUUUGUCGCAGAUAUCAGUCGUUGCUCUUAGAUAAACAACCCAACCUUGGUUUCCAUCACUCCCGAUGUAGCUCAGCCCAAAUCCAUCUUGAGUUAACGCCAGCCUGAAAAGAGUUGAGCUGUUGAGAAGCUUAUAACCAUAAUAUACUUCAUCAUCAUUAUCCAACACAAAAUCAUAUGUUGGAUUUAAAUUAUGCAUCCCACUAAAUUGGAUUCCAUUCCAUGGUGCAGUCCGAUAUUUUAUAACAGAACCCUCCCUCAGAAUUAAUUCAUGGUACCCAUAAGGACCAAGUUGAUAUGGGUAAUGUCCUUGAGAAGGAUCCUGGGGGCUUUUCCAGGGUGUAAGAUGCCAAUUAAAACCUGUGAUUUUGUUCCUAACAAGCUUCAUACCUGGUAUUAAUGUAUCUCCUGGGUAAUCAAAACUCUGCCAUAAAAUAUUAUCAGAGUCAUUACGACCAUUGCCAUCUAUCACAACAAGAUUUCCGGAAUCCAAAAUCUGUGCCACUGGAUUCUAUGAAGAACUUGAUGUGUUGGAAGACCUGUAGUGUUCUUUGUUGAAUAUUUGGAUUGCAAAGGGAGCAAGAAAUGUACUGAGAGAGAAAGAGAGAGAGAGAGAGAGAGAGAGAGAGAGAGAGAGAGCAGUGAGCCUUAGAUUGUUCUAACAGUUUUCUUACUCUGCAUGAACAUAGCAGCAGAGCUUAUAUUCCUUCAUGACUGUUACAUGUUCUCUCUUACAUCAGUAGAUUCAAAUCUAACGGUUUGUAAUAGUAAGCCAAUGUGAGUAUGACACAUGGCAAUACACAGCUGUCCUAACAGCUGGGAAUUCAAAACAGACUCUAGCAUUGCACCUGGCAUAUAAGCACAAGGCACUCAGCUAACACAAAGAUUAAAAACAGAUUGAAUAUAAACUGACAUAGAACUUACUAACUAAUCUGAAAUUAGCUAGACAGUUUACAUUUUAACACUCCCUUCUAAAGUGCUAGCUGAUUUCACUCCAAGCAUUCUCCUCAAAUAGUCAAACCUGUCUUUGGGAAGAGCUUUGGUGAAGAUAUCAGCAAUCUGCUCUUCUCCUUUGCAGUAGAGCAGUUCAAUCACUUCUUCUUGUAUUGCAUCUCUAAUAAAAUGAAACUUCCUUUUAAUAUGCUUGCUCCGUUGAUGAAAAACAGGAUUUUUAGCCAUUGCUAUGGCUGAAGUGUUGUCACAAAACACAGUUGUUGCAGUGGUCUGUUCUUCCCCAAAAUCUUCAAGAACAAACCUGAGCCAAAUGGCUUGUGAUGUAGCUUCUGCUGCACUCACAUACUCUGCCUCUGCAGUAGAGAGAGCCACACUGUGUUGUUUGACUGAUGCCCAUGAAAAAGCACCACUUCCAAAUGAAAAUGCAUAUCCAGAAGUGCUUUUCAUAUCUUCCUCAGAUCCACUCCAGUCACUGUCACAGUAACCAACUAAGAGUGCAGAUUUUCCUGUCACAUACUCAAUUCCAUAGUCAAUUGUGCCUUGUAUGUACCUUAGAACCCUUUUAGCUGCCCCAUAGUGCAUCUUAGAAGGGUUAUGCAUGAAUCUUGCAAGCAGGCAGGCAGAGAACAUGAUAUCUGGCCUGGUUGCAGUAAGGUACAGCAGGCUGCCUACAAUUUUUCUGAACAAACUUUCAUCUGCAGCAUCACUUCCAUCCUCUCUUUUCAAUUUAUCAGUAGCCACUAAUGGAGUGCUUACUGACUUGCAGUCUUUGAGUCCAAACUUAUCCAAGAGAGUGAGAGCAUACUUCUUUUGAUGAAUGAAGAUGCUCCCUUCAGUUUGUGUUACUCCCAUACCAAGAAAAUGGUGGAGUAAACCCAAAUCAGACAUCUCAUACUUGCACAUCAUUUCAGCUUUGAAUUCUUUCAUCAUUUCAUCUCUACUUCCUGUGUACACUACGUCAUCUACAUAGAUUGACACUAUUAGUGUUCCCACCUUCCUUUGUUCUCACAUAGAGAGUGGCUUCACUUGGACUUCUGUGAAAACCACACUGAUUCGAGUAGGUGUCAAUUUCACUAUACCAGGCCCUUGGAGCCUGCUUCAACCCAUAGAGGGCUUUUCUUAACCUAUACACCUUAUCCUCAUCAUCUUUAACCACAAAACCAUCCGGUUGAUCAAUAUAAACUUCUUCUUCAAGGACACCAUUUAGGAAGGCUGACUUGACAUCCAAUUGCCAUAGUUUCCAGCCUUUCUGAGCAGCAAGAGCUAUGAGAGUUCUAAUGGUGUCUAACCUUGCUACAGGAGCAAAGGUUUCAUUGAAAUCAAUCCCUGGUUUUUGUGUGUAUCCCUUGGCAACAAGUCUUGCUUUAUGUUUUUGAAUGGAGCCAUCAAGAUUAAGCUUAAUUUUGAAUAUCCACUUCACUCCCACAAUUGGUUUACUACUUGGCCUGUCAACCAAUUCCCAACUGGAGUUUUUCUCUAUCAUAAGUAUCUCCUCAGUCAUAGCCUUCCCCCAAGCUUCAUCUUUGACUGCUUCUUCAAAAUUUUCAGGUUCAAUGAUGCUCAUCUUGCAUUGAGCAUACACUUCACUCAAACUCUUCCAUUUCUUUGGGGUGUUAUCAUAAGUUUCUAAUGGAGCAGAGUCUUGAGUAGCAUGCACAUCAUUACUUGUUUGUGUUUCCAUAGGAGACUGUACAAUCUGUUGCUGUAACAGAUUUGGUUAUGAAUCCAAAUCUGAUACAAUUGAACUUACUCCAUCACCCCAAGACAUAGGGAUUUGCAAUGCCUCAUUGGUUUCCCAAUUCCACAUUGCUUCUUCAUCAAAAAUAACACUCCUAGACAGCUCAAUCUUUUGAGUUCUCAAGUUGAGCACUCUAUACCCCUUUUCACAUACACCAUAUCUUACAAAUACUCCCUUCUCACCUGUGUCUUCCAGCUUGUGCCUUUUCUGUGUGGGGAUGUGAAUAUAGCAUAGAGAACCAAAUAUUCUCAAAUGCUUGACACCUGGUUUUCUUCCACCGAACUUUUCAAAUGGAGUGGAAUUGUCCAGUGCACUUGUAGGACAUCUGUUCUGCAAAUAUACAGCUGUAUUGACAGCUUCUGCCCAAAACUUCAAAGGGAUUUUCUUCUCAUACAUCAUGGCUCUUGCCAUUUCCAUCACAGUACGAUUCUUUCUCUCUGUAACUCCAUUCUGUUGUGGAGAGUAGCCUACUGNNNNNNNNNNNNNNNNNNNNNNNNNNNNNNNNNNNNNNNNNNNNNNNNNNNNNNNNNNNNNNNNNNNNNNNNNNNNNNNNNNNNNNNNNNNNNNNNNNNNNNNNNNNNNNNNNNNNNNNNNNNNNNNNNNNNNNNNNNNNNNNNNNNNNNNNNNNNNNNNNNNNNNNNNNNNNNNNNNNNNNNNNNNGGUGUGGUCAUCAAUGAAGGUGAGGAAAUAUCUGUUCCCUCCAAGAGUGAUGGUCUGCAUUGGACCACAAAUGUCUGAGUGAAUCAGUUCUAGAGGUUGAGUGGCUCUCCAAGCUCCUUCCUUAUCAAAAGAGCUUCUGUGAUUCUUGCUUUCAGCACAACCUGAGCAGACCUUCUCAUGUUCUUGUAAAUUAGGCAUUCCCUGAACCAUAUCUCUCUCUUGUAACAACUUCAAACUAAUAUAGUUUAGGUGCCCAAAUCUUCUGUGCCACAGCCAGGAUGUUUCUCCAACUGUUGCUCUGUUUGCCAUAGGAGGAUUAACAUAGUCAAGAUUUAAAGGAAAACAUUUGUUUCCCUUCAUUGGCACUCUUGCAAUGCAAUCUUCCAACUGCCUAUCUCCAUAGAUAUCAACUGCAUUAUCACCAAAUACAAGCCAAUGCCCAUGUUCUAUCAUUUGACCUACACUUAGCAAAUUUUCAUCUAAACUUGGUACAAUCAUGAUUUCUUUGAUAUAUCUAGUCACACCCUUCAUUUCUAUAGCCAAAGUCCCUUUGCCUAUUAACUGCACUAGAUCACCAGUCCCCAUUUUGACUUUACUCUUCAUACUUUUAUCAACAUUUACAAGUAAUGACUCAUGGGAAGUCAUGUGAUUGCUGCAUGCACUAUCAACAUACCACAUAUUCACAUUCUUUCCAAUUGUUGCAGCAUGACAUGCAUAGAACAUAAUGGCAGGUUCAGUUACCUGAUUUGCAAUGUUAGCAAGUUUCCCUGCCUUGUUUGCUUGGUCACAGUCCUUAACAAAAUGACCAAAUCGAUUGCAGCCAUGACACUUUGGUUUUCCUUUAAACCAACACUCACCAUAGUGUAACUUCUCACAAUGUUUGCAUUUUCCAGAUUUGUCUCCUUGACUUGGUUUUCCCCCUUGAUUGGCACUGUUUUGGGGUUUAGAAUCCCAUUUCUUAUCCUUGGACUUCCAAUUCUUCUUUGAUUUAUUAGAGCCAGAACUAGAACUUGAUUGAGAUCCUUUUGAGUUUAUGCUCAUGCUGCUGAAAGCUUUCUCAGUGGUGCUUUCUGCAUGUCUGUCAAGGCGCUGAGCAAAACCUCUUAAUGCUGCAAUUACCUCCUGCACUUCAAUGGUUUCAAUGUCUCUAGUUUGCUCAAUCACAUAGCAGACUGGAUCAAAUUCCUUGGUUAAGCUUAUUAGCAGUUUUUGAACUAUCCUCCCUUUGGUCAGAUCUUCCCCAUAUCCCUUCAUCUGAUUUACAAGCUCAAGUAACCGAGUGAUGUAUCCAGACAAGAUCUCAUCAUCCUUCAUCCUGGUGUACUCAAAAUCUCGACGCAGACCCUGCAACAUGAUGGAUCUGACUUGCUUAUCACCAUGAAACUCCUGAUGCAAGAUAUCCCAAACACCUUUUGAGGUUUCUUCAUUUGAGAUUCUGGGAAAGAUGUCAUCUGAAACAGCACCUUGGAUAAUACCAAGAGCCUUAGCAUCUUUCAUCAACAAGGACACCAUCUCUGAAUCUGAUGACCCUUCUUUAUCAGCUUUUGAAUCUGGAACUUGAAGGCCUUUCUCAACCAAAUUCCAGAUUCCAUGAGAUUUGAAAAUUGUUCUCAUUCGAAUCUUCCAAAACUCAUAGUUCUCCCCAUUGAAUAUUGGAGCUCUAAGAUCACUCCCUCCUGACCCAGCCAUCUGAGACCAGACUCAAUGAGUUGAGAGUAGGAAAUUUCCCGUUGGAUUUCCAGACUCAGCUCCCACAGCUUCAACGCCCUCUAUCCAGAUCCAACCUGCGCACCUGAUACCAUGUUGAAUAUUUGGAUUGCAAAGGGAGCAAGAAAUGUACUGAGAGAGAGAGAGAGAGAGAGAGAGAGAGAGAGAGAGCAGUGAGCCUUAGAUUGUUCUAACAGUUUUCUUACUCUGCAUGAACAUAGCAGCAGAGCUUAUAUUCCUUCAUGACUGUUACAUGUUCUCUCUUACAUCAGUAGAUUCAAAUCUAACGGUUUGUAAUAGUAAGCCAAUGUGAGUAUGACACAUGGCAAUACACAGCUGUCCUAACAGCUGGGAAUUCAAAACAGACUCUAGCAUUGCACCUGGCAUAUAAGCACAAGGCACUCAGCUAACACAAAGAUUAAAAACAGAUUGAAUAUAAACUGACAUAGAACUUACUAACUAAUCUGAAAUUAGCUAGACAGUUCACAUUUUAACAUUCUUAUGGUCGGCAGGGACAAGAAUUCCAGGGCUGCUCAACUUGAAUACACCUGAUGAACCAGUGAGGGGUGUGUUUCUUUUAGUCUGCACUAUAUAUGCAGGGUCUGACUCUAAUUAGAAGAUAAUUGUAUUAAUUUGGUAAAGCUUUGUCUGUAACUGUCUCGCACCUUAAAAAAAUUUCACAAUUAGCAGCAUUGGCAAUACUUGAUUAGAAAGCAGAAACCCUACAGUAUAUAGUUAAGUUGAGUAGCUGGGAAGACAAUUAGUAAGCUUUCAAUACUAAAGUUGAAUAUUGGGGAGACAAAUUACUAGAGCUUCAAGUUCAGAUAAAUAGGAUGAAUUUCUCUUAAGGGAUCCCCUUUCACUGUAGCUUGGAGUAGAAUUCAUUUUGACACAAUAUCAAUUAUCAAUGUAAACACGUUACUGAUGCACUAUUGACAAUAUCGAUGCACGUCAUAUCAUAUUUGUGGGAGUAAAUUUCCUCACGAGAAUAUUUGGUUCAAAAGAUUCCCCUUUUUUUUUUUUUUGCCGCCUCUUUCUCCUUGCAAAAUAGAACAAAUAAGAGGACCACACCCGGGGGGUGUUGGCCAAAGGCCCUCCGAUGCUAAAUUAGUUCAAGUAUUUGUAAGAAAAAUACUAGCUAACUAGGGUACAGAGGUGUAUUUAAGGUGUAAACCGGGCAGCCGAAGUCUUAUGUAAAAGAGAGAGAGAAAGGAGGUGGCUAGCGUUUGAGAGGAAUUUUCUGCAGAGUUUUUAGUAGAGAUUUCAGACGUACCUCAACCAUUGUGUGUGGCCAUCUUUUUAUAGUGGUCUUGGAGGCUAGGGUUUCAGAGGAAUAAUUCCGUAGAUGGAAAGGAAUUAUUCCUCCCCUAUUUGGAAUUGAUUUGAUUAAUUAGGGAUUUGAUUUAUUAGGGUAAAUCAAAUCCCUAAUUGUGGUAGGUAUCAAAUCAAAUCCUUUUUUAAUUAGGUAACUCCUCAUUUAAUUGGGAAUUGUGGUAGGAAUCAAAUCAAUUCUCAACCUAAUUAGGUAACGUUCAAUUUAAUUGGGUAAUUCCCAAUUAAAUUGAGUAACUCCCAAUUAGGUUGAUUAAUUCCCAAUUAGAUCAAAUAAUCCCCUAAUUGAAGGAAUUAUUUGACCUAGGGUCUGAUUUAAUUCGAUUCCCACAAAUGCCCCCCAGCUUCUGCAUGGUGCAUGGUGGCACGUAGGAGAUGUAAAUUAUCUGUUGGGCUGUCCAGCUGUAACUGGGCUUCCUUCGUGGACCUGGGCUCCCGAGUAGAGGAGGUGUUUGACUUGCCAAUUUUAUGAACACCCAAUUGGAAAGGGUUUGAGAUUCCUUGUAGGUCAAGGAAUUUUGCUCCUUAUAAAUGUAGGGCUCCUCCAAAUUAUUCUCGACAUCAGAAAUCUACUCCUCCAAAUUUGUUAGUGAGAGAGAGAAGACUUUGGAGAAUUUUUCAGCGUGCUUGAGACUUCAUCUUUGCAGCCCAUCCAAGGUAAUUUGAUAGGAAGAAUUUUAUUUUGAGUUGCUAUGACUUUUGGCAGCAAGCUGUGAGACUAAGGGCAUGUCUUGAGGUGCGCGCUAGGGCUUUAGGCAUGGCAAGAGACUCGGAAAGGCUAGCAGGUUCGUUUCCACCUACGCUGGGCUCAAGGAGAAGGCAACAGGGCUUCAGGCCUUGUGGAUGAAGUGGGCUUUCGCUGGGAGCAAGAGGCCUGGAGCUGAGGCAAGGAGACAAUGGGCCUGGUACGAGGUGUGGGCUGAGCAUGCCAGCUUUGGAGCAAGGGGGCCAGGACGACUGCUGGGCAGGAGGUGCGCUGGGCUGCAUGCGCGAGCUGCGCCGAGUGCUGGCUGGAGGAGCGAGCUGGGCUGCGCGCUAGGCCAUUCAUGCUGGGCUACUUCCGUUUUUUUUUUGUUUUUUUUUAAAUUUUAUUUGCUGUUGCUGCUUUUUUUUUUGUUUUUUUGUUUUUUUUUUGUUUGGUAUUCUAACUCGUAAUUUUUUUUUUCUUCUUACAGCUACUUGUUGAUCAACCAUGUCUUCCGGAGAUGGUAGCAAGGCUCCAAGCUCUUAGGUCCUUUUGUAUUUAUGGGGAGGCUCCAUAGUGCAUGGCAAGAAGUUUGUGGUCAACUUGCAUCGCGUCACGACUUAUGCUCAGUUCCAGAAGUGGCGGGCCACUUAUGCGUCUGCCAUUCCAGAUGACGUGCUGGUCAAGCUAUUGAAAUCUCAAACUGAUAACGAGCCUUUGGUGGACGUGAGUGAUCAUGAUGCUAGGAUCAUUACCUUCCGUCCUUUUUACUUCUCUUUAGGCUUCAAAUUCCCGUUGUCAAAGCUCUUCAAGAAGGUGUUCUGUGCCAUGGGGUGUGCUCCGAGCCACUGUACUCAUGUGCUUCAAGAAUUUGAGUCGUUUCUUCAUGUUGGAGCUGACGAUGCGAGAGUUCUUUUAUUUUUUUCGAAGUGAGGCACUUUGAGCGGUACGCCCAAGUUCGUAUCUACAAGGCCAAGCUGUUCCACGGUCUCAGUCAAGGAGAUCACGCUUGACAUGAAGAUGUGUUGGAGGUCAGCAGACGGUGGGAGGGUGACGUCGGUGACGGCCCACCUGUUCCCAUCACCUAUUGUGAUGGUAUGUCUCUUUACGAUUUUUGAUAUGCUCCUUUUAUUUGAAUUUCUUGAAGUGUGGCAGACUAACUUCUAUCUUCUGCUCGUAGUGAGUGACAUUAGCAAGCAAUUGGAGCUCCGACCAGACAUGGCUAAGGUCCGUCGUGCUUUGAACAUCCCUCUAAGGUUUCACGAGUGGCGCUGGCUGUUGAGUGAGUACCGGGAGGAAGACGGUGGUUUUCUCCUUGCCGAGGAUGUCGAAAGGUGGAAGCAGAACGAUCCUGACCCUGAUGAUCUGCUUGGCAGACAGGAAGAAUGUUCUGCUUAAUCGCUCUUAAAGAGAAAGGCUGCUGCCAAAUCUUUGAGAUGUGAAGCUACUUCUUCGCAUGCAAAGGAUGGGUCUCCAUCGAGGAAGAAACCAAGGCUCCCUUCUGCUGAGAAGACUCAAGUGGGGUCUGCUCCCUCAUCAUCUGCCAGGGUUAAGCAUCUCGUGGGUGCAGAUAGCAAGAAGGUUGGUGGUAUGCAUGGUACUCGGGGUGUUCUGCCCAAGCUUCCUGCUGACACGCUCGAAAACCAUGAUAUACUUCGUGAAGUGGCUCGUGCCCAACCUAGUUCUGCCAAGCGUCAAAGAGAUGUAGACAUUCCUCCUAGAAGUUCGAGUUGUCUGCAUCGGUCAAAAGAUGGAGACCGAAGCGGGAGGUCUGCUUAUGAUCCAGCAUUAUUGACUCAUUUGGAGAUGAGGUUGGCGAAGGCUAAGAAGGUGAAAGAGUCAUCUGCCCGGGUUAAGGGUUCUUCCUCGGCGUUGGUAGUUGGUCCCAAGAUGAACAAGUCUAGCUCUGUAGGGGAUGCAUGCGUAUCUGAUCUGCUCAAGAUGAACUUCCUAUCAAACCCGUCCUCUUGUGUUGAGUUGGUUGAUCACAUCCCUCAAGCGGGCGAUCUAGGCACUUUCUCGUGCCUUUCCUUAGAAAAAUGAAGGAAAAUGACAUUCCAUCUGAUUCAAAAAGGACUGGUUUUUGCUACUGAGACUAUUUGGAACUCAUCUGCUAUUGCCCCUCUUCUGUCCAACUCAGCGAGUUGGAGAAGAAGAAUGCUGAUUGGCUAGACAGCUUUCCGCCGAGCAGGCCCGUUACGAGAAGAAGAUGUCUGAUUUGAGGGCGAUGAUAUCUGAGCUGAAAAGCUCCCUUACCGAGAAGGAUUUCGAGCUCAACUCUUCUGCUGCUGAUUUGGCUAGUCGAAAAGAUACCUUCUUUCGUCUUGAGCAUAAGAAUGCUGACAUCUUCCUUAGCUAUAACAAACUCCUGGCUAGAUUUCAUGCCUACCAUAAGUCUGCUAAAGAAUCCAAGACAGAUGGAGCUGCUGAAGGCGUAGCCGGUCAGGUGGAUGCCGAAGAGGCUGCAGCUUAAAAGUCUUCUGCUGGCGUCUCAGAGUAGAUGAAGACUCUUUUUUGUUUCUUUUCAGCUUUUGUAGUUUGCUUUAUUGUUUAGAAUAACUGGUCUUAUUUGACCAUCUUCUUUUUGUUGAACUUGGCUGGUUGGUCUGUUUGUUAGGGAAAUUUCAGUUACAUUUUCCAACUUCAAUUUGCAUAUUUGACUUGUGAACUGCUUAAGUAACCAGCCUGUGUUUUGAUUGCACAUCCCCCUUUAGAGAUUUGUGAGUACCAGGGUCCCCCUUGGAGGACUCCGGCCAUGCACAGUAUAUCUCGUAGGAUGGUUCCCCUUAGGAAGUUGGCGAGUACCAGGGUCCUCUUUGAGAGACUCCGGGUGUGUUCUGCACAUCCCGUAUGAUGCCUUAAUCGUCGCCUUGCUUCUCCCGUAGGACGCUGCUUAUAGGCAACUAUAUGACUAUCCUGCCUUUCUUAGGAAACGGAUAGGAACCUGGAUAUUUCCCGCAUGAAGCAUGGAGACCUCCUUUUAAGAAAUUUUUGGUGCACCAUGCUUCUCCCUUAGGACGCUUUUUUCGCAGGCUGGGUCUCCAAAUGGACGCUUUUAGUCGUUGCCCUGCGUCUCCCUUAGGACGCUCCUUAUGGGCAACUGUGUGACUAUCCUGCCUCCCUUAGGAAAUGGAUAAGACUUGAAUAUUUCCCGCAGUAAGCAUGGCGACCCCCUUUUAAGAAACUCCUGGCGUACCCUGCAUCUCCCUUAGGAUGCUUUUUAAGAGGGCUGCUUCUCCAAACGGACGCUUUUAGUCGUUGCCUAUGUCUCCCCUAGGAUGCUCCUUAUGGGCAACUGUGUGACUAUCCUGCCUCCCUUAGGAAACAGAUAGGAAACUAGAUAUCUCCCUUAGGAAAUUCCUAGCGCACCUUGCGUCUCCCGAAGGACGCUUUUUUAGCUGGCUACGUCCCGAAACGGACACUUUUAGUCGUCGCCCUGCGUCUCCCUUAGAAUGCGCCUUAUAGGCAACUGUGUGACUAUCCUGCCUCCCUUAGGAAACGGAUAGGAACCUGGAUAUCUCUCUUAGGAAAUUCCUGGGGCACCUUGCGUCUCCCGAAGGACGCUGCUUAUGGGAAAAUAUUGUGUUUCGUGGGCAGAUGAGACAUUUUGGAAUGAGAAACUGAACUUAUAUUGAUAUUCAUAAGAUUACAGUCCUUUAUUUGAAAAUGGAAAUAACUUGGUUCAAAAACUUAGAACUUCUAGCAGCUACGAGGAAGCACUAUGGAUAAUACUUUCGGAGAUGGUGAGCAUUCCAUUGUCGUGGUAUUUCCUUCCUAUCCAUGGUGUCCAGUGUGUUGCUUCCUCUGCCCCGGACCUGCUGAUCACAUAAACGCCCUCCCAGUUAGGAUUCACUUUUUUUGACCCGUGUCUUGGUGCAGUAAUGAAAGCCUUAGCACGAGGUCGCCUGGUUGAAACUGUUUGACCUUAGCUCUUUUGUCGUAGUAAGACUUCAACUGCUAGUGAUAGGAGGCGACCCGAAUAAUGGUCUUCUCACGCCUGCCCUCAAGUAAGUUGAGGUUGAGCCUCAUCUGCUCGGAGUUCUGAUCAACACUGCCUACCUUAAGACUUAUAGAGAGGACAGUGAUGUGAGGUGGUAUGAUCACUUCUGUUCCAUAGGCGAGAGAGAAUGGGGUUUCACCAGUCGAUCUUCGCUUGGUGGUGUGAUAAACCCAUGGUACUCUGGGGAGUUCAUCCACUCAUUUCCCUUCAGCGCCUUCCAGCCUUUUCUUUAAGCAGUCCAAUAUGACUUUGUUGGAUGCCUUGGCUUGUCCAUUUCCUUGUGGAUACCUCGGGGUGGACAAGUGUUGUUUGAUCUUGUAUUUCACAAAAAAAGCGGUGAUCUGCUUGCCAAUGAACUGUGAGCCAUUGUCGGUAACCAACGACUGUGGGCAGCCAAACCGGCAUAUGAUGUUUCUCCAGAUGAAUCACUCCACAUCGGCUUCUUUAGUAAAUGAUAGAGCUUCGGCCUCGAUUCAUUUAGUAAAGUAGUCGGUGGGGACGAUCAUCAUUUCUUUCUUGGCGGGCGCUAGUGGCAAGGGAUCCACUAGGUCGAUGGCCCAUUGCAUGAACAGCCAUGGACUGUUUUGCGGAUGAUAGACUUCGGCAGGCAAGUUAGGGAUCGGCUUGUAUUGCUGACAGCGUCACAUUUCUUGGCACAUUCAGCACAGUCGUGACGUAUGGUAGGCCAGAAGUAGCCUAUGUUUAGAACUUUCUGGGCGAGUGACCUGCCCCAGAAUGGUUGCCAUACUCGUCGUCGUGAAUUUUACAGAUAAUCUCAAGUGUUUGAUGGUACUUUAUGCAGGUGAGAUGAAGGCCGGAGUAUGAUCUGUGGAUGAGCUUGUUGCCGUGCAUGUAGUAUCUCUCGGCCUUUUGCUGGACUUUUCUAGCUUCGGACUUGUCCGUUGGCAGGUUUCCAUUCGUGAAAUAGUCGAUGAUGAGGUCUUGCUAGCUGGGGUCCUCGUCAAUCUGCAUGGUAUUAAUCGGCUCUAUUUCUUCAAUGCUUGGUCGGUCAAGGUGUUCGACCUAGAUGGAGUGUUUGAACUGGGUAUCCAGCGUUGAACCUUGGCUUGCCAGUGCGUCUGCAUGCGCGUUCUUUGCCCGGGACACUUGUUGGAUAGUGAAGGUAGGAAAUGCCUUCAACAGCUCUUGGACUCUAUCAAGGUAUAAGAUCAUCCUUGGGUGCUUUGCCAUAUAUUCACCUGAGGCUUGAUUCGUGAUCAACUGUGAGUUUGAGUAGAUGGCUAGCUUUUUGAUUGCGAGCUCCUUUGCCAAGCGUAAGUCGGCGAGUAAUGCCUCGUAUUCUACCUCGUUGUUCGAGACCGAGAAGCCAAGCGUAAUAGCUUGCUCUAACAGGGUUCUAUCCAGGGUGGUGAUAACGACCCCUGCUCCAGCUCCUUUUUGGUUCGACGCUCCGUCUACACGCAACUGCCACAUGUCUCUGGGAUGGCUUGGUUCUGCGGAGGUCCUGUCUGCUUUUGAACUUCCCUCCUUUUGGUUGACUAACUUCUCUUUUUUGGCUGAUGGGGUGAAUUCUGCGACGAAGUAUGCUAAAGCCUGGGCUUUUAUUGCAGUUUUUGGCCCGUAGAGGAGGUCAUAUUGGCUUAGCUCUAUAGCCCACUUCAUGAGUCGCUGAGAAGCAUCAGGGCUGUGGAGGAUUGAUCUCAAAAGAAAGUCAGUCAUGACUAUGACUCGAUGAGCUUAGUAGUAGGGUCGCAGCUUUCUCGCAGAAACUACAAGAGCCAAAAUAAGUUUCUCCAAUUUCGGGUAACGAGUCUCUGCAUCGAGGAGAGCUUUUGACGUGUAGAAUACCGGAUAUUGGGCCCCUAUCUCUUCUCGGAUGAGAGCUGAACUGACAGCUGAGUUGGACUUACCUCACUAGGGACUGGAUUUGAGAGCAUGGAAGGUGAGGUGAGGUAAGUCUUCAGAUUAUGGAAAGCUACUUUGCAGUCCUCAUCCCAUUUCUCUCUUUGUCCUUUCUUCAAAGCUUUGAAGAGUGGUCUGCACUUGUCGGUUGAUCUCGAGAGGAAUCGGUUGAGAACCGCUGCUUUGUCCGUCAGACUUUAUAUCUCUUUCACCGUGGAAGGCGACUUCAUCUCUAGAAUGGCUUUGAUUUGACGUGGAUGUGCCUCGACACCUCGUUGCGUGGCUAGGUAUCCCAAGAAUCGGCCGGAGGAUACACCAAACAGGCAUUUACUUGGAUUCAACUUCAUGCGAUACUGGCGGAGCAAGCUGAAUGAUUGGGUAAGACUUCCGAUGUGAUCUGCACGUUUUGGGGCUUUGACCAGCAUGUCAUCCACGUAGACCUUCAUAGUUUUGCCGAUCUGCUUAUUGAAGAUUUUAUUCCCGAGCCUUUGAUAGGUUGCUUUGGCGUUCUUCAGCCCAAAGGGCAUGACCUUAUAGCAGCAGGUCCCUCUCUCGAUGAUGAAAAAAGUUUUUGCCUUGUCAUCCUCGUGCAUCAGGAUUUGUUUAUAGCUGGACUAGGCGUCCAUGAAGCUAAGCAGUUGAUUGCCAGAAGUGGAAUCCACGAGUUGGUCGAUUCUCGGCAAUGAGAAGUUGUCUUUAGGGCAUGCUUUGUUGAGGUCUGUGUAAUCGACACAAACUCUCCAUUUGCCAUUUUCUUGUUUUGCCACCAAAACAACGUUGGCAAGCCACUCUGAGUAGGAGGCCUCUUCGAUGAAGCCGACAGCUAGGAGUUUGUCAAUCUCGGCCUCGAUGAUAGCAAGUCGCUGGGGUGCGAAGUUGCGUCUCUUCUGCGCCACUGGCUUGCAGGCAGGGUUGAAGUGGAGUCAGUGACAGAUGAUGUUCUUGUCGAUGCCAGACUUGUCUGACGGCAACCAUGCGAACAUGUCUCUGUUGCUCUGGAGGAAGGUGGUAAGCUCCACAUUCUCUUCUGGCCUUAGGCGCGAACCGAUCCACUCUUUCCUAUCUGGUUGGUCAGGAUCCAAGGGUAUUAACUCGACGUCCUCCUUGGGUUUCCAUCCUUCUUCAGGAAAGACCUAUGGACGGAUUUCCUCGACUUGGUCCUGACGCUUUAAUUGCUAUAAGAUAGCAAGAUCCAGUUGCUCAACCUCCUCCAGAUCUGCCUGGCUCACAGGGAGAAACUGCGCUUGUUUACCUUUCUUUAGCCCUUGGGCGGAGCAUUUCCUCGCCAUUGCCUAAUCGUUGUUGAUUUGGCCGACACCGCCCCCAAGGAUUGGGUACCGAAUUUUCUAAUGUGUGGCGGAGGUGAUUGCAUUAAUUUUGCCAAUCGAUGGUCUGCCCAGAAUGCCGUUGUAGGGUAAGACCUUAUUAAUGACCAUGAAGGUUAUGAGCUGAUUAUAAGUGGGGAGUAGACGUCGAGGUCUAUCAUGCCCACGGUAACCGUUGUUGCACCAUUAAAAUCGCUCAGCAACCUAGCUAAUUUGUAAAUCUUUGUCUCCAAUCCCAUCUGUUGAAUGACCUCCAGUUGCAGGAUAUUGGCUGCGCUGCCCUCGUCUGUGUGGAUUCAGUCUACCAUGACCUGAGCAAUUUGAAUGCUGAUGACAAGGGCUUCGUUAUGUGGCAUGUAGAGGCCGAUCAGAUCUUUCUUUUGGAAGCCGAUUACAGGAUCGUCUUCUGCUGGUGGAAGGUCGGUCGAGAUUUGGGAGAUCACAGUGGUCUGUUUGAUCUUCCUCUUUUUUUCCUUUCUGGUCAGCCCAGACUCCUCGGAGUCAGCUAGGAUUGUGUUAAUUCUUAUGACCUUCUGAGGCGGCUCCUUGGCGAUGUCACGAUCUUCUAUCCGCUGGAUGACCUUCUUUGCAAUGAAUUCUGUGCAGUGACCUUCUCUCACGAGUUCUUCAAGAUGUGCUUUCCAAGCGAAGCAGUUGUUCAUAGUGUGUCCGUGCAUUUCAUGGACGGCACAGUAUUUGCUAGUAUUCCUUUUGUCCGGAUCUUCUUUCAAGGGUGGUGGUCUUCUUACCCAAGGUUGUUCUUCACUUGGGCUAAGAUUUGAUGUAUGGAGAUGGUGAACUUGGUGUAGUUCUCUCCUGCCGUAGCAUCCCCUUAUGGGUGCGACCUGCGCUUGUCCUUGUCCCUGUUGCUAAAUCCGUCGCUUCUUUGGCCUGCCCCCUUAGUCGGCUGAUCUUCCUGCUUAGUAGAGUUCUUUGCGGCGAUUCGAUCGUCAUCCCAAAGCGCAUAGCUUUCCGCGGUCUCGUAGACCUCUGCCAAAGUUUGGCUGGGAGUGAUGGUCAGCUCGUGGUACAAGUCGUGCUCAGUCGAAAGGUCUUUCUUGAAAGCAGAGGACGCAAUUUGGUCAUCACAUCCUACAAUGUUGGCCUUUUCUACUUUGAAUCUCUUGAUGUAAUCUCUAAAGGAUUCGUCGAACUUCUUGCGCAGGUUAUACAGGUGGUCAGGGUUCUUCUUGAUUGUUCGGUAAGAGGUGUAUUCUUUGGUGAAUAAGUAAGUCAGCUCCUUGAAGCUGCUGAUCGACCUGGAUGGCAGAGUAUGGAACGAGUCUUGGGCUUCCUCACAAGGUCAUUGCAAACACCUUGCACAUCAGCGCGUCGUCAACCUUGUGGAGGAUCAUGACACUUUUGAAGUGUUUUAGAUGGCUCUCAGGAUCGGAAUCCCCCUUGAAGUGUGUGAAUGUGGGCGUUGAGAAUCGCUUCAGGAGAGCAGCCUGCUCGAUUUUGGCAGUGAAAGGUGUAGAGUAUGCCUGGUCUACCUCAUUUCGUACAUCUUCGAAAUUUCCACCGGUCUUCAAGUCUCGAAGUUGGUCAUUCACAAGCUUCUCUACGUCUUCCGCACACAUUGCUUGUCGGCCACAUUGGCGACCUUCACGAAUUGUUCGAUGCUGACUGACUUCCUCGUUGAUUUCCGAGGAUCGACCUUCUUGUCUGCAUUGCCUAGGUGGAGUGUUGGUGGAUUGCGCCUACGAAAGAUUCUCUGUGGCUUGUCAAUGAGAAUCGGUUCUUCGAGAGUGAGUAACGAAGUGCCUUUCCUCAUGGUCCUUAUUGUGAGGGUUAUCCAGCUGACCUCCCUGGGGCCUAGCCUUUCCUGAAUGCUUCUCUGCGAGUAGACAGUUGAAUGCUUUUCUUCACGAUCCUCGUUGUGAUGGUUGUUUGGCUGACCUCCUUAGGGUCUUAGCCUUUGAUGUACAUUUCCCUGCCUGCCCAAGUAGGUGCGGACGUCGAGUCGUGGGCCCAGCCUUUCGUGCACGUCGUUCCUUAAACUCAAUCUGCUCUGAGUGUGGCUUGCAGAUGCUUGCGACAUGUCGGCAGGUCGAUCACGUUGUUGUCCCUCGACUUGUCUGCCCACUCUUGCUUGACCUGCUUGGUACUCGUUGAGCUGUCUACCGGCCCGUUCAUCCUUCCUUCUUUCCUCGCCUGGUUGUCCAAGGCCAAGGUUUUGAGCAAAGCUUAUUUGGUUGAGGAGCUGCCUCAUUAGAUUGUUUUGGUCGUCCAUUCUUUAAGCUAGCUGGUCAACUCUCAGAUUAAGGUCUGCUUGAUUUCAUGGAUCAGGAGGAGAGAAGUGUGUGGAGCUCAACUGCACAUAGGCUAGGGUUUCAUUAGAGGUGUAUGCGGGAGCGUGUGUCGAGCGUGGAGGCAAUAGAGGGAAUGCUUGGAGUUGCUCCAAGACCGGCCCUAGGUCGGCGGUGGUAACGAGUCCACCUUGAUGGGAAGUUCCACCAUGUUUGGCGGCAGUGACCGAUGCAGUGGUGAGAGGUGGUGGUGCCACCAUGUCGAUCGCGGGAUCGUUGGUGGAGUGGCUUUGGGCCGUCGCAAAUCUAGCCAUCAUGGCGGCUUUGCCUCUCGUGUUCAUGCUUCCAACCAUGGUUGUUUGGAAGGCUUAGGUGGAUUGGAAAAUUAGAGGAACGGAUUCCUUGAGCACGCAUUGAGUAUAACUCGUGCUCUCAAUGAAAGCACCAAUUUGUGGGAGCAAAUUUCCCCACGAGAAUAUUCGGUUCGAAAGAUUCCCCUUUCUUAUUCGCCGCCUCUUUCUCCUCGCAAAAUAGAACAAAUAAGAGGACCACACCCGAGGGGUGUUGGCCAAAGGCCCUCCGAUGCCUAAAUUAGUUCAAGUAUUUGUAAGAAAAACACUAGCUAACUAGGGUAUGGAGAUGUGUUUAAGGUGUAAACCGGGCGGCCGGAACCUUAUGUAAAAGAGAGAGAGAAAUGAGGUGGCUAGGGUUUGAGAGGAAUUUUCUGCAGAGUUUUUAGUAGAGAUUUCAGACGUACCUCAACCAUUGUGUGUGGCCAUCUUUUUAUAGUGGUCUUGGAGGCUAGAGUUUCAGAGAAAUAAUUUCGUAGAUGGAAAGGAAUUAUUCCUCCCCUAUUUAGAAUUGAUUUGAUUAAUUACGGAUUUGAUUUAUUAGGGUAAAUCAAAUCCCUAAUUGUGGUAAGUAUCAAAUCAAAUCCUUUUUUAAUUAGGUAACUGCUCAUUUAAUUGACAAUUGUGGUAGGAAUCAAAUCAAUUCUCAACCUAAUUGGUAACGUUCAAUUUAAUUGGGUAAUUCCCAAUUAAAUUGAGUAACUCCCAAUUAGGUUGAUUAAUUCACACUUAGAUCAAAUAAUCCCCAAAUGGAAAGAAUUAUUUGACCUAAGGUAUGAUUUAAUUCGAUUCCCACAAUAUUUAGAUGCAUAAUUGAAUGCGAAUAAACAUCACUCUCUCCAGUGUGAAAUGGCGAAAAUUCUCUUCAAUCAAAAGUGGGCUUACUUCAAAUUUAGUUGAAGAAUGAUGGUGUGUCUUGCCUGACAAUUGACAAUUAGGUUUAGGAGCGUUCCUCUAGUAGAAAAAUCUAAAUCAUUUGUGGUCAUCCACUCACUUGGUUAGUCUUCCAGAAUCAAAUACCAAAUCAACCCAAAGGAAGCUGCAAUUUUCUGAAUUGUAUACUUGUUUUAAUUCUUCCUAUCUUUUUCUCUCUUUCAUUUUUUUUGUCUCCCUCAAGUUAAUACUUAAGUGAGUUGCCAAAUGGGGGUAAAAAAGAGAGUAGAAGAGAUGAACCCCACAUUUGACUUUAAUAGACAAAUGCCCAAGAGAAGUACCAGUAAGAGCAUCUCCAAUUGGGAGGUGCUAUCCUAUAAUUUGACACACAUUUCUUUUUUCUUUUUUUUCAAUUCUAACAACAUGUCAUCUAUAUCGCAAUAGGCCGUUGUAGUUAAAUUUUCAAAUAACCAAGUUGCUCUCUAUUUUCCAAAGAAGACUAGAAAACAACUUACCAUCUAUCUGGUGCUGCUUCUUCCAAACAUUAGAAAAAACAGAGCUACACCCAGGAGGAGCCCAGGAGAUGACACAAUACUGCCUACUAUGAUUCUUACUUUCUUCACAUUCAAUGAGACUAUAAAAUAUAACCCAAGUGGUCUAACCCCCCAGGGCGGAAAUUGGGUUUAGCAAGUUUAGCACUGAUUGUUGUAUAGUCUUAAACAGUCCUGAUCUCUUGGACCCCUGUAGUCCAAGAGAUUUAUGGUCACCCACCGUUGGAUGUAAAUUCAACGGUUGACUUGAAUCGGGUAAUAAUAAUUUAUGUCAUAUUGCAUUUAUAUAUAUCAUUUUGAACCAUUGGAUUAAUAUCCAACGGUGGGUGACCACAAUCUCUUGGACUCCUGUGGUCCAAGAGAUCGGGACUGUAGUCUUAAAAUAAGUAGUUUAGCGAGUGCAAACUUCGACUUAAAAAAACUCUCAUGUAUAGCCGCGCGGCUAUACUAUUUACAUAUAAAUAUAUAAAAAAGCACCCCCUAGUCACGUGUCACAAAUAGUAUAGUCGAAAACAGUAGAGCCGCGCGGCUAUACUGUUUUUAAAAUAAAAAAAACCAUAUUCGAUUCUCCUUAUAUUUAAAAGGGGUAUAGCCGCAUGGCGAUACUAAUUUUUUUUUUUCAAAAAAAGGGACCCCAGUACUCCUUUUAUAUAUUAUAAUAUAUUGUCUAAUAUUUGGAAUAUUUACUCUAAAAUAAACAAUAUAUUAGGUUCUUUUUGUCUACAAAUUGACCAUUAAACUUCUUAAUCACUCUUAUACUUUCAAUUAAAUCUACUAGGCUAGGUUAUGAUAUUUUCACUAAAAAACUCCUCCUUUUUUUCUUCUCUUUCUCUUCCUGUUUUGUUUAACUUAAGCUUAAGUUUUGUAAUUUUUUUUCCCGCCCUUUUUACAUGUUUGAGUAGGGUACUUUAAUAUUGGGAUUUAUGAACUUUUUUUGUAUUUCUUCUUUAUAUUGGAAUAUAAAUUAUUAACUUUUGAGUCUUUAAUAGUGUAGAUGAUGAGAUUAUUAUUCAACCAUUUUAUAAUAUGAAAUGAAGGACAAUCAUGAUUGUGAUGAAUGGAUUAUUAAUCAAUAUGAAAUGAUAUUAUGAAGUGGGCUAAAUCGAGUAGUUAGUAUCGUAUUGUUGAGACCCAAAAAAUCCAAGGCUAGGCCCAAAUAUAUUAUGAAGUGGGCUAAAUCGAGUAGUUAGUAUCGUAUUGUUGAGACCCAAAAAAUUCAAGGCUAGGCCCAAAUAUAUUUCCGGUCCAAUGCGAUACCUUACCGAGAAGAAACCUUAUUUGGGCACGCGAAAGUUCGUCAUAUGCUCUUGCACACAUGCCAUGCCAAGCAAAUAAGCAACAUGCCACGCUACAAGCUUAAGUGGGCCCAAGCCACGUGAAUGCCUAGGGCCUGCUGAGUGGGUUGUGGUAUGGAUGGUUAUGAGUAUUCACGAGGCCCAUUGAUGGUCUAAGGAGUGGAAGUUUUGGGCUACUUGGGAGCACCAAAACUCAAGCCCAUUCAUUGAGCCCAAACAUAUGGGUAAGCAUGAGAUAAAACCUAGUAGCCCAUCACCUUAAGAAAUCCUAAUAGCCCAUAACAUGUGAGAAAAUCCCACAUCAACCAAAGCUUCCAGCAGUCUGACGAAAUCAAAGGGAACUCACAAGCCGUUGGAAACAAAACAACCCAACACUGUAACACCCCGACCCCAAAUUUCCCCAAAUUUAACCCUUAUUUAAUUAUUUAAGGGUAUUUUAGUCAUAUUUUUAACCGGAGAGAGUUUGGGGCAAUGACUAGUAUUUUUGGAUAGGUCGUACUGAGACGAGUUUAUGGACACGCAGUGAGCUCGAAUCGGAGUUGUAACGAGAGAGAUAUGGUCAAAAGAAGCCCAGUGGCACAAUCGUAAAUAUUUUGAAAUGAGAUUUUUUAUAAAAAUCUGGUUUUCUCUCUCUCUCUCUCUCUCUCUCUCUCUCUCUCUCUCUCUCUCUCUCUCUCGCUAGCGACCUCUCUCUCUCUCCCCCGUCGGUCUCUCCCCUCUUUCUCCUCGUAACUCCGGCCACCGGCCCCGGCUGUGGACGGGGCCGGUACCAAAAUGACCGAGGCGUCGUCCUCUUCCUACCCCAGCCACCUCCCACCGCCAGCCGUCGCGGAUUCGCCGGAAUCUGGAGAUGAAGCGGCCUACGUCGUCCAAAUUUCAAAGCUGCCGAUCUCCCUCCUCCGGCCACCAAUUCCGUCGACCCAGGUAUGGAUUUUGAACUUCUCGAGCUGCUCUAGCUGAUGGUUGGGUAGGAUUAGAUCGAUUCUUAGCUUAGACAACUCGAUUUUCAAAUUGAAAAUCGGCCGAACUUCGGCUGCCGUGAUCGGCCAUUUCCGGCCACUUUUUGGGGUAGGUCCAAGAACAAAAGUGGCUCCAAAUAGGGUGUUAUACCUAGGGUAGGAGUUUGGAGCCGUGGUUUUGAGAUUUUCCGGCGAAGCGUUAUCGCUUUGGGCACCCACGCGCUGCCGGUGCGUGCGGCGGCGCGUGGGCACUGUAGAAAAAGUAGCACUGUGUUCCGAUGAGAUCCUUAGGUUGUCACGAGUGCGUAGGAUUUUGCGGAUCUCAAUUCGGACGUCGUUUGACUAUCGAACGGAUAUUCGCAUAUUGCGCGUUAUUCGGGUUCGAUAGGUUGGGACCGUUGGAUGGACCCAAAUUUAAUAUAUGUUAAUCUAAUUAAUUCUAGGAUCGUGUAGGAAUUCACGGAUUGUGAAUCGGAGCCCCGGAUGUUCCGAAUAAUAAUUUUAAAGUUUGUAUUUUAUAUUAAUUGUCAGAUCGUGCGAUCGUGAGCAAUCUGACCGUUCGAUCUGAACCAAACUUGCAGGACAAGUGUCCUAUACCUUGUAGAACCCAUAGGGACCUUCGGAUCGGAAAUUGGAGGUCGUGGGUUCCGCAAGUCGGUUUGACCAGGGUUAGAGAAGUUUGACCCUUGGUUGACCGUGAGUCUCCCGGAGUAAUCUCACCUUUCUAGGGGAGAUUAUCGGGUACUAGAUGAUUGUGGACACAAUAUUAGAAUUAAUUUAUAUAAUUAUAAUUAUAUAUGGUUGUACAAGGGUACAACAGAGUCUAGAAUGUCAGUUUGGAGUGCUAUACGCACUACUUUAGGUACCUCCCCGGAUGUUGGGAUUUACUACAAGUACCACCAAGUGAAAUUGAGGUCCCGCGUGGCGUAGGUUAUCCAGCGUUGGGAUAGGUCUCAUACGUGGGGUUGGUUGUACCGGCGUAUGGGGAGAUUUGUGAUAUUAUGUUCAGGUCUCACGUGGCGUAGGUUAUCCGGCGUUGAGACAGGCCCCAUACGUGGUGUUGGUUGUACCAGCGUAUGGGGAGCUAUGUGAUAUUGUGUUGAGGUCGCACGUGGCGUAGGUUAUCGGGCGUGUCGACAGACCCCAUACGUGGCGUUGGUUGUACCGGCGUAUGGGGAGAUUUGUGAUAUGAAAUUGAGGUCCCACGUGGCGUAGGUUAUCCGGCGUUGGGACAGGCCCCAUACGUGGCGUUGGUUGUACCGGCGUAUGGGGAAAUAUGUGAUAUGAUGGCAUGGUCGCACGUGGCAUAGGUUAUUCGGCUUGUUGACAGGCCCCAUACGUGGCGUUGGUUGUACCGGCGUAUGGGGAGAUUAUUUGAAAUGCAGAGAAACGAAAUAUGGUAUCGCCCAAAUGUGGAAUUGGGUUUUAGGGAAGAACUACGUGUGGCUUGAUCCCUCAAGGAGGGUACGUAGGCAGCCUAAGGUUAAUAGGUGCAGCCGCAGACUAAAUGUUAGUCAUAAUUGAUAUUUGAAUUGUUUGGUAGUUGGUUAAGAAUUAUUGGAAGGCCGAAGGCCAUUUGUGUGAAUUGCAUGAAAUUAUAUUGUGCAUGCUGCCAGUUGGGAAUAUUAAAUGCGUUUUUAUGCAGGUAUAAAUUUUAGGAAAUGUCCAAUUUAUAGGGGAGACUCUGCCGAAUUUUCGGCAGGAAGUCUCAGUUUUUAGUAUCUGGGCCUGGCAUCGGGAGGAUGUCGGGAAUUCCAAAGGGUCGUCUCGAGUUCUGAAAAAUUCGGUGCGGGUCCUUUCAAACACCUUAUAAAAUAUCCAACGCCGUGCAUCUCUGUUAAAACCAGAUCACAGCCAAACCACCAAAACCAUGCAAACCCAUAUGCUGAUCACCAUUUUUACUAGCACCCUUACCCAUUCUUUCCUCUUCAAGCUUUGGUGAGAAAACAAGAAACAAAAGUGGGCGGAUCUUCACCCACAUGGAGAAAUCCAGCUGCCUGAGGGCCCUGGAACUCCAAAAAACUUCUUACCUACAUGCUCAGGCUAGGGAAGUUUCACCAAAUAAGCAAGAAUGGAAGAAAGUGAAGGAAAAGGGGAAAGGGUGGCUUGACGAAAUUAAGGUUUUCAGCACUUAUAAAAGGAAACACUUUCUAUCCAGCAAAAACAACUCACCCUGGUUGCUGCAAGCCUCCUAGCAACCAUGAGAAUUCAUUGAAGGCAAGCAUCCCCUUUGGAACCCUUCAAUUUCAUGCUUUGUUCUUCCAUCUUCCUCCUUUCUCUCUCUCUCAAAACCCACAUCCAGAGAGAGCAAGCAUCAUCUCUCAUCUUUGGAACCCUUCGAUUUGAAGCCUUGUUCUUCCAUUGCUUCCCAUUUUCUCUUCUGUCAAAUCACCUAGGAGCUUGACGAAACUUUCGUCAAGCUGCUGGAAAUAUGGUAAAGCCACCCAUGCUUCCAUCUUCUUCCUCUCUUUCCAUAAACACACAUCCAAAGAGCAAGCUUCAUCUCUCAUCCUCUAAACCUCUGCAAUUUCAAGCCUCAUUCCUCUAUCUUCUCCCAUUUUCAGCGGUAGUGAGAAUGAUUUCUGCGUGUGCAUGGGAAGGAUUGUAACUCAGAUGAGGAGGAGAUGGUUUGGAGUGGGGUGAGGCAGUUGGAUAGAGCUCUUGGCCUUUUCAAGUUUGGAUGGGAAAGAGCAGGGAUGAAAGAAGCUUUACAACUGCAAGGGCAUAUAUGGUGCGUAGGGGCUGAAGGCAGAACACUUACAUAUAGAGGAAACACAUUUUUUGUCCAUGGGAUUCAUGUUUGACAAACACUUGUCUUAGACUAUGAGUUCAAAUUUCAAAACCUUUUUUUUUUCUUUCUGAAAUCAGGACCAGUGUGGAGAACUAGCAAGGAUUGGAGAAACAGAUUUUUGGGCGUCACUUGACCACAGAUUGUUGAUUGCUCAAAUGUGUAGAAUUGGCCAUCUUAAAUGUCAAAAUGAUUUAUCAAUUGGGGUUUUUUUAGAAACGUUUAUGUUUGUCAAUAGAGACAGAAGUCAGAGAACAUAAACCUUUCUCAGCAAAUUGAAAUUCUCAGUGCAUGCUCUGUUCUUCCAUGGCUUUCAAACCUUCUCUGCCACGGUGAAAUGGAUCGAUAGAGAUAGUUUAGGCCGUUCCAUUUGUUUGAUGAAGCAUUCGUUCUAGGGAUUCUGUAUAUUCAUAACAAAAUCACUAGAAUGAUUCUUAGAAAUUCAUCACUGCUAAAGGCAAUGGGUUCAGCAUAAUAACUUCUUAGUCUUGCUUCUUGGUCCUUUAUUUUCUUUGCAUAAUACUCCAAGUUUACCUGGGUUCUACAGAGAAAAUCUCGUAGAUACCUCUUUUUGUGGUCUUCCAUGGCAUUUAAGUGCUGCUUUCCAUGGUGAAGUGGGCCUAUAGAGACUACCUGAGGUGUGUAGGCUUUGUCAUUUCCACGCCGUAAUCGCUCAGGAACUCUGUAGAUACACCUUCAAGGGGGACAAGGGAGACAAACUAUCCAAUUCCUUGCGCCUUACAAAUAGAUCGCAUGGGUUUUCUAUUUCAUCUGCAGCUUCAUCAAUUCCUUCCAUUUUUCUCCUGAUCAUCAUGCGCGGUGAUUCAAAUAUUUCAUAAUGAACAUUGAAAUGAGAUGCUACAAGCAAACUUAUGAAAAGAAACAGAAAUACCAAAAAGACAAAUCAAUGUAGAUGGUUUAGAAAAUCUAAACAUUGCAAUUAUACUCCUUUGCCCAACUUCUAGGAGCAAACGUACACAAAGACCUUAUUGCUUCCAACUUUUCCAACAGAAUUUCAUAUGAAUUGCUCCAAGUGAAAUCCGUAUGAAAAAUCGGUAGUUGGAUUUUCAUCCUGCUUUAAUAUGAUUAUUUAACUUCUAACAAAAAAACUCUUAUUACUUGAGCAAGUAAAAUACUAUUCCAGGUUUCUCCUAGUUCUAUAUGCGCUUAUAAUUGGUAUACUCUAUAAAUACCAUAAUCUGAAUUUCUCUGUUUUGAUUACUUUAAUUUAUUACUUAUGUUUUAAUUAUUGUUUACUUAGUGAAUUAUUAGUAUUUAAGAGAAGGCCUUCCAUCGAUUAGGCACCACGUGUCUAUAAUAAGUAAAGCCGUCCGGCUAUACUUAAAAAAAAAAAAAAUUGUAGUAUAGCCGACCGGUAUAGCCGCGCGGCUAUACUAUUUAAUACAUUAUAUUUAAACGGUAUAGCCGCGCGGCUAUACUAUUUAAUAAAAUAAAAAACAAAAGAAAAAGAAAAAUUACCCUCCUAUUUCAUUAGUUUGUACUUUAUAGAUACUAGCCCCUUGACACAUGCUCACGCAUGUGCCAAUUGGUUUUCUUUUUCUUUUUUAUUUUUAUUUUUAGAAUUAAGAAAAAAUAACAGGAUAGUUAUGUUCCAUAAAAGUAGGACCUAUUAUCUUAUUUUGUUUUUAAUUUUAAUUUUUUUAAUAUUAAAAAAAUAUGAAUUUACGAUAUUAUCCUCAUUUAAUUAAUAAUUUCAAUUCUUAAUGUUUGAAUUAACAAAGGGCAUUUUCUGGUAUUUUGAAUGUUUCACCAUUCUCUGCCUUUUGCUUUAUAUAUAUAGAUUAAUUUGCCAGUUUCAAGAUAUCCAAAGUACAUAUUAGACUUUCACUAUAUAAAUUUCAAUAUAUAUUUUUUAUAACAUGUGUUGUUCUUAUUCAAUAAUAUGUGAGAAUUAUUUGUAUAAUACGUGAAUUUUGUGUGUCUUACUGAAUUUUUUUAAAUACGUGUAUUAAACGUUACAAAUACGUACAUAUAUGUACAACACGACUAUUGUAAGUUUGCUAUAUAAAAAAAAGUGAGAUGUAUCUAGAACACGAAUGUAUUAUCGAAAAAUAUAUAUGUAUGUAUAUAUAUAUAUAUAUAUGUAAAAGCCUAUAGCCUCUCACCUAUACUAUUUAUUAAAGACAAUUUAAAAAUUACAACAACAAAAAAACCAGUACAGCCACAAAGCUAUACUAUUUUAAAAAAAAAAAAUAGAAAAAAUAUCAAGUACUACACAGGGCAAAGGCCCAGUGUAAAAUAGUAUAGCCGUACGGCUAUACGUUUUUAAGAAGAAUUUAAAAAACUAAGUAUAGCUCACCGACUAUACUAUUUUUUAAUAUAAAAAAACAACCCCAUCCAUUAGGCGCCACGUGUCAACAGAAGUUUAUUUUUAAAAAAAAAAAUUAAAAGACAAGGAGUAUAGCCGGGUGGUUGUACUAUUUUUUUAUUUUAAAAAGAAGACAGUCCAUCGAUUAGGCGCCACGUGUCCAUAAUAAGUACAGCCGCUCGGCUAUAUGUUGGAUAUUUUGAAACUAGCAAAUUAAUAUCAAUAGCCGGUCGUAACCUAUGCUGUCCACGUCACUCAUGUUUUACCAGAGUUAAAGCAUCCACAAUGAGCUCCCCAAACCAUCUCUUUAGACAAAUUUUAGGGAGAAAUUGGAAAAGUACAACUCCAACCAUGCUCCCUAUCCACCAACUAAAAUAGGGAGACCUCUAGGAGCUCCUAAAUCUGAGGAGAGGGAAAGGACUCUUAGUGACUCCCUAUAAUUUAAUGUUGCUUUGUUUUAUGCAUAUUUUAAACUUUUAAUUAAAUCAAAUUAUUAUUUUAUAUUAUUUUGUAUACAGAUGGACCAAUUAUAUUAAAUUAAAAAAUAAUUAAAGUAUUUGUGACUCUCUAAACUAAGGAGUAUGAUUAGAGUUCAAAUUUUAUAAAAAGCUCUUAAAAUAGCUUUUGUGUGUUUUUAGCUAAAUUUUAACUAAAAAAUUUGAAGAUUCUUUAUUUGGGUUUCUUUCAAGACGAAAACCAUAUCCACAACAGACAUCUUUGGCUGUUCAUCACAAUUGAGAGACAAUGAAGAAGACAUAAGGGAGAGGCUGCCAAAUACUUAUCACCUUAGCCACCACCAACACCACAAGACCAAUAUGUGUAGGCCAGGAGGCUUUCCAAUUUUAAUAUAUAUAUAUAUAUAUAUUAAAAAAUAAAAUAAAAAUCAAUCUAUUAUCAUAUAUAUUAUAAAAUAAAGAUUAUUGCUCCAUCCUCCAUGCACUUGCGUGCCCUCUUACAAAGUAUGAAGUAGAUUUUGUUAGCUGGAUUUAUAAGAUCUUUUGUUUUUUGGAAAUUUUCUGAAAUAAGGAAAAUCAAGUAAAAUUAAUAAAGCAUAAAUUGGAAAGGGAAAAUAUCUAGAGGAUGCAUUGUAGGAUUGCUCAAGCCAAUAAUUGUACCCUCUAAAUAUAUAGGGACAUAUUUUUUUUGUUUUCAUGACAUGUCGUCCUAAAAUUAUUGUUCUUAGCGGGCUCUCCACCCCCUCUCGAUUGAAAACCUAUUGUGUAAAUCUUCAAUCCUGAAUUAGAAAAGUACAACUCCAACCAUGCUCCCUAUCCAUCUCCUAAAAUAGGGAUACCUCUAGGAGCUCCUAAAUCUGAGGCGAGAGAAAGGACUCUUAGUGUCUCUUUAUAAUUUAAUGUUGCUUUGUUUUAUGCAUAUUUAAACUUUUAAUUAAAUCAAAUUAUUUUUUUAUAUUAUUUUGUAUACAAAUGGACCAAUUAUAUUGAAUUAAAAAUAAAUUAAAGUAUUUAUGACUCUCUAAACUAGGGAGUAUGAUUGGAGUUCAAAUUUUAUAAAGAGCUCCUAAAAUAGCUUGUGUGUGUAGGGGUCUUUUUCUUCUGGCAACUACAGAUGGGUUGGGCUACCGUAAGGAGCAAACUGAAGAAAAUAUCCCCUGUGUCUGAGUUCAAAGAUUCGGCCCCAAAAUAUUUCGAAAAGGCAGUAAAGCCUUAGGAAACACCUUAGUUACCUUCACCAACGAAAAUGACGGCUGCUUACAGGUAGAUUCUUAGUGCUUACAGAUGAAUUCUUAGCUUAGCAUGAGGAGAUCGUGGCAUGGAAGCAAAGUUAGCAUGAGUUUAGCACUAAAGAGAAAAUUAUGUGUUCUUGGGAGGAAGAAGGGGUGUCCAGGUAAAUGGGAAAAGGUUUUGCAAGUAGAUUUGGCUAAGAGAGAAGGGAGAGAGAGAAGAGGGUGGCUAGAGUGCUUCUUCCGGCAGCUUGACAGUGACUCUGUCAAAUGUUAGAGCAAUCUGCCAUAAGAGGGAAAAUGGGGAAGAAGGAUGAACAGUGCACAAAAUUGCUAGGUUUUUGCAAGUAAGAGAGGAAGCUUGCUCUCUGGAUGUGGAUGAUCCGUUGGGUAGAAGAGGCCCCAUUUUAUAGCCGCUGGAAACUAUCAUUUCUCAAGAAACCCUAAUAGUUUCUACCCAAUUUGGUCAAGCUUUUCCCUUCCUUUCUCAUCUCCUCCCUUGACUUUUCCUAUCUUGGUGAAAUUUCCUCUGUCUAUUUGCACAAAAUCAGGAGCUCAAGGCCUCCCUUUCCCGCAACUGUUCAAUGGGAGACUCCAUUCUUAGCUAUUUUUCUUCUUCUUUCCUUCCUCCUUCCCUGACCAAAUCUGAUGAAGGAAAGCAAAUAGGUGCACACAUUGGUUUGAAGGGUGCUUCUCCUUCUAGCAGCUUACAUGCCAAUAUCCCUUGGGUCCUUGCAUGUUUUUUGCUUUGAAACUUGUUUCUUCCUUCCCGUCAACUCACGUGGUCUUCCAUGCUUCUUCAUGGCUUUAUCUUUCAGCCAAAAGAUGGAGUUUUUACUGCUUGCUACUUUUAAUUGUAUGGGUCUUCUAGGAUAGGAAGUCAACCUACCAAACAAAUGGGCCACCUUUAUCAAAUAUUGGGCUGUUGGGGUUAGUUUUAGUGGGCCAUUUUGACUGGGCUUUUUGGUUGGGUUAUUUAAGUUAUUUUCCCUUUUGUGCUCACCCAUGUAUUUAGGCCUAAGAAAUGGGCUUGGGCUCCGAGUCUCCCAAGCAACCCGGAACCUCCAUUUCUUGGCCCAUUAAUGGGCCUCAUGACAACCUAUUACCAUCCAUACCACAACCCACUCAAGCAAGCCCCGGGCAUUUGAAUGGCUUUGGCCCACUUUAGGCUUGUAGUGUGAUUGGGUGUGGCAUAACGAUUUCUCGCUUGGCAUGGCAUGUUGCUUGGCAUGUUUUUUCAUUACGAUGCUUGAUGGAUUUGUAGAGCUACCUAUUUUUAUGAUCUUAAUCUUGAUUCCUAGCAUGACAAAUUUAUUUAUUUGGCAUGGCAUGCGGAGCGUGACUUGUGCGUGGCGAGUUUUGUAUGCUCCAACUUGGGCCUUUCCUAAAUAAUGUAUCAUUUUGGGUUAUGAAUUCUUUCGGGCCCAACCGUGAAUUUUUUGGGUUUCAACAGUGUGUUUUUAGCUAAAUUUUAACUAAAAAAUAGGGAGCAUGAUUGUAGAUCAUCUUAUAUACCUUAAUUUGAAGAUUCUUUAUUUGGGUUUCUUUCAAGAUGAAAACCAUAUCCACAACUGGCAGACAUCUUUGGCUGUUCAUCACAAUUGAGAGACAAUGAAGAAGACAUAAGGGAGAGGCCGCCAAAUACUUAUCACCUCAGCCACCACCAACACCACAAGACCAAUAUGUGUAGGCCAGGGGGCUUUCCAAUUUUAAUAUAUAUAUAUGGAGUGAAAAAAAUAAAAUAAAGAUUAUUGCUCAUCCUCCAUGCACUUGCAUGCCCUCUUACAAAGUGUGAAGAAGAUUUUGUGUGCUUCAAGUCAUUGACUAGAGCUGAAACAUGGUUAGCUGGAUUUAUAAGAUCUUUUGUUUUCUGGGAAUUUUCAGAACCAAGGAAAAUCAAGUAAAAUUAAUAAAGCAAAAUGGAAAGGGAAAAGAUCUAGAGGAUGCAUUGUAGGAUUGCUCAUGCCAAUAAUUGUACCCUCUAAAUAUAUAGGGACAUAUUUUUUUUGUUUUCAUGACAUGUUGUCCUAAAAUAUUUGUUCCUAGCGGGCUCUCCACCCCCUCUCGAUUGAAAACCUAUUGUGUAAAUCUUCAAUCCUGAACGAUGCUCCUAAAACUCAAGUGUCCCAGGCCAAUUAUUGCUCUCAUACCACUUGUUGCAAUACACAUCCACUCAUUCUCAGGGAAAGAAACCCAUCGAUAUUAUCUCAAAUUUAACCACUUUAGUCUAUUAUGAUUAACUAUGUAUUUUAUGGAUCAAUGCAGUUGUGAGGUUUUAUACCCAAUUAGAUCGACCAAUACAGAGAUCACAUGUGGACUGAAAAGCGCCAUCGGUAGGGGAGUGUUUGGCACCCUUUACUGCCGAGUGCAACACAAGACCCCUUACCAGGAACUUAUCUACUAGGACACGUGAAGCCACCACAAGUAAUAUCAACAGUCCCACAUCGAAGUUUAACAUAACAUGUACACUCCCCAGGACUGAUAAAAGUGGGCACAAGUCCCAAAAAUGGGGGAACUUGGACUUUCAGCAAUUCAUCCAUUAUUAUGUCCAAAUUACUAUACACUCCGUACUUAUUCUUACUUAAGCAUUGGAGAGCCUUCGGCCGGUACCACACCAGUGCCUAAGGGCUUACCGAGCGUUCUCUAUCUUGCAUAUUGAUCGCUCUACUGAAGCCCAUAAAGAGUUAAAGGUCAAGACAUCACUAAGUUGAGCCCAAAAGUGCUGAACCACAUCAAAAAUAUGUAUAGAUUGAAAAAAUAAAAUAAAAAUCAAUCUAUUAUCAUAUAUAUUAUAAAAUAAAUAUUGGAUAAAUUACUCAAAUGGUCCUCAAACUUAUACUCGAUUUACAUUUUGGUCUCUCAAUUAAAUUAUUUGUUCAAAUGGUCCAUCAACUCUAUAUUAUUUCUGCAAAAUCUACAAAGUGGUGGGAGGCAGACCAACAAAAAAAAUUAGCGAAGGCUUAUAACUCUGGUAAAACAAGAGUUACUUGGAUAGAAUAAUGUUACGUCGUACUGAAGAUUUUUGGGUUUCUUUAAUUGGUUAAGUGAAGAUUCUUUAUUUGGGUUUCUUUCAAGAUGAAAGCCAUAUCCACAACCACAACCACAACUGGCAGACAAUCUUUGGCUGUUCAUCACAAUUGGGCGACAAUGAAGAAGACAGAAAUUGGAGUACUGUAUGUUAUCACCCACACCACAAGACCAAUAUAAGGAGGAUGGGGAGGCUGCGGAAUACUUAUCACCUUAGCCACCACCUACACCACAAGACCAAUAUGUUGUAGGCCAGGAGGCUUUCCAAUUUUAAAUUAGAUAAAUCGGAAACUGUUUCGAUAUCCAAUUGUAUUCUAUAAAAUCAAUGAACACGGUGCUUCAAGAAAGUAAUAAAAUUUCAAUAAUUCAAUUGAGUGGUCAAAUUCAAGUGAUUUUUUGUAGUGAUGAUCUUUGAAUGAGUAUCUAUAAAAGAGACGGUUUGGAUUAGUGAAAUACAAUAUGGAGUGGGCCCUACCAGCAAUCCACGACAAAAUGUCUGCAAGCUUUCGUAAUAUAAGGAGGAUGGGGAGGCUGCGCAAUACUUAUCACCUUAGCCACCACCUACACCACAAGACCAAUAUGUUGUAGGCCAGGAGGCUUUCCAAUUUUAAUAUAUAUAUAUAUAUAUAUAUAUAUAUAUAUAUAGGGAUGUGAUUUCUCUACUCCCCUUUUCUCUACUUAUACUCCCUUUUGCUUUUAAAUACUUUUUAAUCAAUUUUUUUUCCGCUUUCCUAUUAAUAUUCUACCAUUUCCCUACAUUAAUUUCUUUUUACUUCACUUUUAUAUUAGUUCUUUUUCUUUAUACUUAAUUUUUCAACUUGCACUCCAUUUUCAUUAUUUUUUUCCUAAUCGAGUAAGAAAUUAAGUUUUUUUUCCCCAUUUAAUACUGAAAAUGGAGUGUAAGUUAGAAAAUUAGGUAUAAAGAAAAAGAAAUAAUAUAAAAGUAAAGUAAAAAAGAAAUUAAUGUAGGGUAAAGGUAGAAUAGAAAAGAGAAUGAACAAAAUUGAUAAAUAAAUAAAAAAGGUUUAAAAAGCAAAAAGGAGUGUAAAUGGAGAAAAGGGGAAUGAGGAAAUCAGCUCCAUAUAUAUAUAGAUUGAAAAAAUUAAAAUUAAAAUCAAUCUAUUAUCAUAUAUAUUAUAAAAUAAAGAUUAUUGCUCCAAGGAAAUGACAUCUUUUGUUUUCUGGGAAUUUUCUGAACCAAGGAAAAUCAAAUAAAAUUAAUAAAGCAUAAAUUGGAAAGGGAAAAGAUCUAAAGGAUGCAUUGUAGGAUUGCUGAUGCCAAUAAUUGUACCCUCAAAUUAUACAUGGACAUAGGGGUGGGCAUUCAAAUAGGCAAACUAGAAAUCCGAGCUGAACCGCACCUAGGAAAACCGGAAAAAAAACCGAGUUGACCAAAAAGUCAACAACUGGUCAAAAAUCGAACCGGACCGAUUUGGACUGGUUUUGGAUUCAGUUUAUAUGCAAUGCUACAUUUUUAGUCUCAUAACUAAUAUUUAUCCAAGUUCAAUUUCAAAACAUCUUUCUUUUUUAGCUUUAAUAUUUAUUUUUAUAUGAAAUUAAAUAAUUUAUUAAUUUUCAAGUAAAUAAAAUAAAAUUUCAGUUGAAAUUUAUAUUAAAAAAAUAAUUUUAAUAAUCCAGUUCAAAACCAAACCGGACCAUCCAGCUGUGAGGUACAUUUCUCCCACAUGCCACAAUUGUAUAUUCACAAUUACGUCUGAUACAUCACAUCAUGCCACUUGCCUCAAAUGAAUUUAAGUGAGUGUGGCAGUGGAAAGUAAUUAAGCUCUAUAUUGGUGGGUGGACUGUUACUUCUGGGUUCCCCUCAUCAUUCGUCUAUAAAAUGGUGAAGGCAGUUGCUAUUGUUACCAUAAGAGCCAGCUCCGACUUCCUUUAAUUUCUUGCUUCAUAUCCACUAGCUACAUCUGUUACCAAGUUAAUUUCAGUCCUAAUGGGGUUUCAUCUCCCACUCAUCUUUGCUCUUCUCAGUGUAAGCUCUGCAAUUUGAUUAACUUUUCCAUUCUCUCUCAUUGUACUCUAUAUAAACGAAAGUUUUGUGUUCCUAUAAUUCUCUCCGAUUUUAUUUAGUACGUACUUAAGUGUCGUCCACUAAUUAAUUACACUUUGUGAUUUGAUUUUAAUUUGAGUUCGAAUUAAUGUUGCAGCUAGCAGCAGUGGCACUGGCAAACCAUGCUGCUCAACCAGCACCUCAACUUUACUGGAACUCCGUCCUGCCAAACACACAGAUGCCAAGAUCUAUCAGUGAACUUCUGCAUCCUGGUUUGUGUUGAGCUCUUUAGAAUCUUAGAUAUCUCUUCUACCUGCCAUUUUACUAAAAUAUGUUCCACCACAUAUUUAUCAGUUAACCACUGUUAUUACAUGAGUGACACAUAUUCACAAAUCGGCUGAUCACUUAUUUUCCAUUAUGACGUUGAUAUAUAAUUUGCAGACUCCACAAAUGAAGAAAAGAGCACAAAUGACGUUGGCAAACCUGAAACUUUCCCAUUGGGCAAUAAACAUUACUCCAGUCAAAAACAUUAUGGAAGAGGCAAACCUGAAACUUUCCCAUUGGGCAAUAAACAUUACUCCAGUCAAAGACAUUAUGGAAGAGGCAAACCUGAAACUUUCCCAUUGGGCAAUAAACAUUACUCCAGUCAAAGACAUUAUGGAAGAGGCAAACCUGAAACUUUCCCAUUGGGCAAUAAACAUUACUCCAGUCAAAAACAUUAUGGAAGAGGCAAACCUGAAACUUUCCCAUUGGGCAAUCAGCAUUACUCCAGUCAAAAAAAGUAUGGAAGAGGUGCUUCUCCAUCCGACAAUCAACCACCAAUUCCAUAGAAAUUCAAACACGGCUACUUUCUUGCCACGAGAAAGCGCUCAAUCGAUCCCCUUCUCCUCUAACAAACUACCAGAAAUUUUCAACCAUUUUUCAGUGAAGCCAACAUCUGAGGAAGCCAAAACAAUUAAGCAAACAAUCGAAGAGUGUGAAGCUCCAGACCUUAAGGGAGAGGAAAUAUAUUGCGCCACAUCUUUAGAAUCAAUGGUUGAUUUUAGCACUUCGAAGCUUGGAACAAGAAACGUUGAAGCAAUCUCGACGGAGGUAUUGGAAAAAGGAGCCACCAUGUCCAUCCAAAACUAUACAACAAUGCCGGGACUGAAGAAGUUGGCAGGUGACAAAGUCGUUGUGUGUCAUAAGCAGAACUAUCCCUAUGCUGUGUUUUUCUGCCAUGCAAUAAAACAUACAGCAGCUUAUGCUCUCUCCCUGAAAGGCGAUGAUGGGGAGAAGGUUAAAGCAGUAACCAUCUGCCAUCUAGACACAUCAGAAUGGGACCCAGAGCAUAUGUCCUUCAAAAUCGUCAACGUUAAGCCCGGAACCAUUCCCAUCUGCCAUUUCAUUUCCACUGAUGCUAUUGCCUGGGUUCCGAACCACAAAUCUGCAUGAUCAUCACUUAGCACUAGUACUGUGCGUAUAAUAUGCCUGUAUAAUUAUCUCCCUACUUAUUUCUGCCUGUUCAUCAUGUGGUGUAAGAUAUAUGUUGAGAUGAAGUUUUUGGGAUUAGUGGUCGAAAUUAACCCGAUCAUGUUUUCUCUUGUAACUAUAUAGACUUCAACUUGUACUCAUAAUAAAGCAUGCUAUAUUUAUGAAGAGAUAUUAAUCUUCAGGCAAAUAGAUAUUAUGAAAACAUAUAUAGCAAUUUAUCCAGAAGAAAUAUUAUGAAAUGAAAAGAAUAAAAAGUAAAAAAACAGAAGGAAAGGAAUUCGCACCUGCUAUGUAUGAAAGGACCAAGAUUGUUUUCCCUUUGGUUAAUGACUAGAAAAGCUCACUUGCAGAUUGCUUUCUCUGACCGUAGAUGCAACAGAAAUUUUCUCUUAAUAAUAGCACAAUGAUCGGGUAAUUGUAAGAACAAGUUGAUUUAAAAUUCCUUGACCCAAAAAAAAAAAAAAAAUCAUUUCAAAUUCAGGUCAACCCAUAGAUUUCUUGCCUUUUUCUUCUUCAUCACGUUGGGCUUGUCUUCUUCUUGAGGAUUGUAUAGGCCCAGGAAAUGCUUUGAGGUAGUUUUUGGCCUUGGAAGUUGGGACCCAACCCAACUUCACAAAAAGAAAACAGAUUUGCCAAAAAUCAAAUUUCAAGUCUCUCCUCAGAUCACUAAUACAGAUCAAAUUUUGGAUUUGAUGAACUAAAGUGGUUUUACUUUCUCUGUCAGUGUUUGAUGACUUAAUUUGUUAUUUACUUCUUUUUUUUUUUUUACUUGAUCUUUGUAGGGGUUUUUUUCUUCCGGUAACUUAAACGGGCUGGGCUGCCGUAAAGGGUAGAUUGAUGAAAUUGUCUCCUUUGUCUGAGUUCGAAAAUCAAGCCCCAAAAGCGCUUCGAAAGGGCAGUAGAGCCUUAGGAAGCGUUCUAGUCAUCUUCACCAACUAAAACAACAGCAACUUACAGAUGAUUUCUUAAGGCUUACAGAUAAAUUUUCUAGCUUGGCAUGAGAGGCUUGUGACAUGGAAGCAAAAUCAGCAUGAGUUUAGCACCAAAGAGGAAAAUAUGGCUUCCUAGGGAGAAAUGGGAGUGUUUAAGGUGAGGAAGAAGAGGUUUGCAGGCUGAUUUGGCUGAGGAGAGAGAAAGAAAGAACAAUGUUCUUCCAGUAGCUUGACAAAGCUUCUGACAGAUGUGAAAGUCGUCUGCCAUAAGAGGAAAAUGAAGAAGAAUGGUGAAUAGUGCAUGAAAUUGCUGGGUUUUUGCAGGUAAGAGAGAAAGCUUGCUCUCUGAAUUUGAGUUGGUUUUUGGUUGGGUAGAAGAGGCCCCCUUUUAUAGCUGCGGGAAACCAUCUUUUUUCAAGAAACCCUAAUGGUUUCUAUCCAUUUUGGCCAAGCUUUUCCCUUCAUUUCUCUUCUCCUCCCUUGACUUUUCCUAUCUUGGUGAAAUUUCCUCUGCCUAUUUGCACAAAAUUAGAGAUUUUGAGGAGCUCAAGACCCCUUUCCCGCAGCUGCCUCAGUGGAGAAUCCCCAUUUUCAGUCAUCUUUCUUCCUUCUUUUCUCCCAUCUUCCAAGGUUAGGUCUGAUGAGGGAAAGAAAUGGGUAUGCACACUGGUUUGAAGGGUAUUUUUGCUUGAAACUUGUUCUCUCCCAUGUGCUGGAGCUUCCCAGCAACUUACACACAUGGAUAUUUUGGCUUUCAUCGUGGCUUUUGUUUUCAGCUAGGUGCUGGAGAUUUCGCAGAUAUUUUCAUGAGUUGCUUGGGCCUUCUAGGACAAUAGGUUGGUUUAUCAAGUGAAUGGGCUAACUUCAUCAAUUGUUGGGCUAUUUUGGUUGAGUUAAUGGACUAUUUUGGUUGAAGUAAUGGGCUAUUUUGGUUGAAUUAAUGGGCUAUUUUUCUCUCUUUGUGCUCACCCACAUAUUUGGGCCUAAGAAAUGGGCUUGAGUUCCGGGGCUCCCAAGCAACCCCGGGACUUCCAUUUCUCGGCCCAUCAAUGGGCCUCAUAUCAACUUAUUACCAUCCAUAUCACAACCCACUCAAGCAAGCCCUGGGCAUCUUGCGUGGCUUGGGCCCACUUAAGCUUGUAGCGUGACGUGUUGCUUAUUUGCUUGGCAUGGCAUGUGUGCAAGCGCAUAUGACGAACUUUAGCGUGCCCAAAUUGGGUUUAUUCUCGGUAAGGUAUCGCAUUGGGCCGAGAAUUUAAUUGGGCAGAACUGUGGAUUUUUGGGCCUCAACAAUCUUAUAUAUAUUGGUUUUCUUUUUUUCCUUAAUAUUCACCACCUUUCUGUUGCAUAAGUAUUUCAGUCUUAACGGGUUUCCAUCUACCACUCAUCUUUGCUCUUUUAAGUGUAAGCUUUUUUUUUUUUUUUUUAAGCACAAGAUUAGAGGGGAGGGGGAUUUCUCAAUGUAAGCUUUGCAGUUUCAUAAUUAAUAUUUCCAAUAUCUCACUGUUAGUAAAAUAUGGAACAGGAAAAGUAUGAAUAAAAUACACACAUGUUUUAUUUAGCAAAAUUUUGACAAGAUACAACUGAAAAGUUUGGCCACUAUAUAAUAUUUUGAUAUAAUUUCUACACUUCUUCUCAAAAGAUUAGAUCACUUCACAUCUUGUGUAUGUGAAAACUAAUGUAAAAAGUUGAAACUUUAUCGUAAAACCUCGACAAAAAUGAGCUCUACUAGAAAAUGUUCAAUUUGGAUUCGUUGAUUUAAAUGGCAAUUUGACACUUGAUAGAAAUUUUUACAUACAUGUGUUAGUGUUUGAUCACUUCACAUGUUACUUACUAUAUUUAUUCCACUCAAGUUAGGUAAAUAUUAUUAUCAAACAUUUCAAUUAAUUUGUGAUUUUUUUAUUAUUUAAUCAAUUAUGAAUUAAUGGAUUCUUCUUGUUGUUUUGAAGACCAAUAAAAAAAAAAGGGUAAGGAUGGCUUAUAACUCUGAUAAAACAACAGUGACGUGGACAGCAGAUGUUACACCGUACUGAAGAUUUUUGAAGAUUCUUUAUUUGGGUUUCUUUCAAGAUGAAAACCAUAUUAUCCACAACCACAAUGAAGAAGACAGAAAAUGGAGUAAUUCAGAUGUUACCAGCCAUCCACGACAAACUGAAGUCUGCAAAGCAUUCGUAAUCUAAAGGGAGACUUUGGAAAAGCCCAAAGGAGAGAGAAAAUUUUUAAAAGAAGCAAAAAUGGACAAAAUUGCCCUUAUUUAUUUUUUGAUUUCCUAAGAAAUCCUUUACAUUUGCAUGUCUUUGGUUUGAAAGUUGAGAGGUUAUUCUGUCUUUUUUCAAAAAGCUUUGGCUUUUUCCAAAAGUGAAAGUUUUUUUAUGGGUAAAACCUAAAUUUACUUAAUCCCUAAAAAGGAUGGGGAGGCUGCGCAAUACUUAGCCACGUGUAGGCCAGGAGGCUUUCCAAUUUUAAUAUAUAUAUAAAUUGAAAAAAUAAAAUAAAAAUCAAUCUAUUAUCCUAUAUAAAAUAAAGAUUAUUGCUUCCAUGGGCAGUGCUAUGCACAGGACAGUGCCUGCCCAGCACAAAUUUUUUUUAAAUAAAAAAAAAAAAUCUACAUAUGUUAUAAGCUCAUCCAAAAAAAUAAAAUAAAAUAAAAGUAAAUUCUACAUAUAUGUUGCCCAUCUAGGUGGUUCCAUAUCUUCUCUCUCCUUCUCUUUUGGCUAUUAGACUUCUUGUUUCUCUCUCUCUCUUUGCUACCUCACAUCAGCAAGUUUCUCCCUCUCUUUUUUUGGGGUCAAAUUCUUCCUCUAUUGACAAAAUCUUCUAUUAUCUUGGGUGGGCAACUUGGCAACAACAUCUUCUCUUCUCCUUUUGUCAACAACAAGUAUUAUUCUCAUUCUCUCAUUUGCUAUAUAUCUUUAAUUAUAGUUUUAAUUUAAAAUUGAGUAUUCUAGGGUUUAAUUAGGGAUGAAUUAUAAUUUUAGAAUUUUGUUGAAAUUAAUUAAGGCUUCGAUUAGGGGUGAAUUAUUCUACUGCUUUGGUUUGGAAUUUUGUUAAAAUUGAGUAUUAUAGGGUUUAAUUAUGGAUGAAUUAUAAUUUUUGAUUUUGGUAUUAUUGAGAUGUUAUUAUGAGAAUUUGUUUCAUUUUUUUAUUGGUAUAUUUGAUUAAAAUUCUUUCUACAUAUUAUUCAUAGGCUAUCUUUUAUUAUGUCGGAUCACAAUCGGAAUCCCAAGAGAACAAAGAAUUUGAAUAGUGUUGUUUUGUAUUGCAUUGCAUUUACUUUUGGUUUUAGUUUUGCUUUUAGUGUAAAUUACUCAAAUGGUCCUCAAAUUUGUACCCGAUUUACAUUUUGGUCCAUAAACUAAAUUAUUCAUUCAAAUGGUGCACCAACUCUUUAUUAAUCAGUGCUUUGGUCCUACCGUUAUGUUUUCUAUUAAAUUUAGUCAUGUGAGCAGCACAUGCUACAUUUGUAGGGGUAAAUAAGACUUUUGACCACUUUAUCACCUAUGUAUCACCACUUUAUAACCUAUUUGGAGAACAUAGGUCAGUUAUGGACGGUUUUACAAUUAUAUUUGACGGCAACAUUAACAUAAUGUAACAGUGGGAUCAAUGGAGCGAUUAAUAUAGAGUUGAUGGACCGUUUGAACGAAUAAUUUAAUUGAGGGACCAAAACGUAAAUUGAGUAUAAGUUUGAGGACCAUUUGAGUAAUGUACCCUUCGCUUUUAUAUUUGUUGAACUUUUAUUUAUGGAUAGAUAUGCAUUUGAGGGUAAGACCCAUUAUGUUCCCCCUGACUUGGUGUAUCUUUUUAUGUUUAUUAAUGAAAUUCACUCGAACUGUUGAGUUUAGUAUGUAAGUUUUGCCUAACCGGCUUUUGAAUCCUAGAACCGCCACUGUUGCUCCAUCCUCCAUGCACUUGCAUGUGCUCUUACAAAGUGUGAAGUAGAUUUUGUGUGCUCCAAGUCAUUGACUAGAGCUGAAACAUGGUUAGCUAGAUUUAUAAGGACCCAUCUCUCUAUUUCCUAGACAUAUACCCAUCUCUCUAUAAAUCUAUAUGUAAAACUCAAUUUCAAACUUAAAUGACCAGUAAGAUAUAAGAGGUCAUAGUAUUCCUAUGUUUUUACAUCGUUGCCACCAGACUUCUUAUUUUAUUUAUAAUUUAUUUCAAGCAUUUCAUUAACUGCCAUAAUUGUAAUUAAUACUCCAUAUUAAUAGCAUAUCAAUCACCCCAUUUCUUUUGAUUGCCAUUCCCUCUAACAUAUCGCCCCUUAAAAUUGAAAACCAAAAAAAAAAAAAAUGUAAAUUACAUAUCCAAUAAUGUACCUAUGAAAAAUAUAAAUAUAAAUAUAUACGUAUAAAAAUAUAGGUUUAUUAUUUACCAAAUAAAAAAUAUAAAAAAACUAGGUCAGUUGCUUUGUAAUUGAAAUUUCUAUACAUUUUCCACAAAUUAAAAAUAGGUACACAAUAAUUUAUAGAAAAUAUAGGUGCAUUAUUUAUCCAUAGGUAAAAAUACCUAUAAAUGCACAUAGGUAAAUUAUUUACCCAUAUAUUAUUUUUUUGCUAAGGAUUUACCUUAGUUUUUAGUAGAUUAAUUUACCUACCUAGAGGCAUAGGUAGCUUAAAAAAAUUGUAGCACCUUAGUUGGUUGCAUACUAAUUUACCUACCUAGAGGCAUAGGUUGCUAAGAAAAAAUGUAGGUAAAUUCAUGUACCUAAACACAUAGGGGUCAAAUAGAGAAUAACAUGUUAUUUCCCUUCGAACAAAUUAAUUUCAAACCAUAACAAUAAUUGAAUUCGGAAAUUGGUAUAAAUAAAAGGAAAUAAAUAAGCUAUCAAUUUGAAAAUUAAAAUAAGAAAUGAUCAAGUAGUCAUAUUUGAAAAAAAAGAAAAGAAUAUAUUCUUGGUUUUUAUAGGAACAACGUGUAUAUUCAAACCAAAUGGCAGUAACUACACCAAGCUUUAAUUACUUUUUUUUAAGGCCAAAAGUCACUUUUGGUCUCUGUAGUUUGACACUUCUAUUACUUUUGACGCUGUAGUUUCAAUUCCGUCAAUUUUGCCAUUGUAGUUUCAUAUUUGUAGCAAUUCAAGGACAUGUUAAUAUUAAUGUCAAUUUGUUUAAUGAUGCAAGGGGUAAUUUCGUCAUCCCAAAAUCCUUGAGCAUAAAAGCUUGUCUGAAAUUCUCCCCAUUUCAUAUUAGGGCUCGAAAUUCAACCACUAAUCCCAAUUUUUGAAGAACCCUAUACCCAAAUGACCAAUUUCAAGCCCUAAUAACAAAUUAGGGAAGUUUUAGAUGAGCUUUUAUGCUCAAGGAUUUUGAGUUGAAGAAAUUGCCCCUUGCACUGUCAAAGAAAUUGAUAGGAAUACUGACUUGUCCUUGAAUUGCUACAAAUACAAAAAUACAGGGUCAAAAUUAACAGAAUUUAAACUAUAUGGUCAAAAGUGGUUAAAGUGCCAAACUACAAGGACCAAAAGUGACUUUUAGCCUUUUUGUUUAAAUAAGGAAAAAACUUACCUAUUAAAUCCUUGGAAUCUAUACAAAAUUGAAACACAGUUAAUCAGCAUUGAAUUGCAGCUAAUUUCUUAAACAAGGGUAUUAUAGGAAUUUAAAAAGUAUAACAUUUAAUCCAUUGAGCUUGAUUAGGAAUCUUGAUGAGUUGGAUCCUAGUUAUAUAGUUUCUCUUAUAAAAAUCGGGUUUUAUUUAUAGACAAAUAAAACAAUGGGUUGUAGGUAAGAAAAUAUUAAUUUGAAGGGAAAGUGUCACAUCCUGGGAUCGGCUCCGCCGUAGCACGAUAUUGUCCGCUUUGGGCCCCCCUCUCUGCCCGCACGGUUUUGUUUCUGGGAGCUCACGAGCAACUUCCCAGUGGGUCACCCAUCCUGGGAUUGCUCUGGCCCCCAACUCGCUUAACUUCGGAAUUCCUAUGACUCCGAAGCCAGUGAGCUCCCAAAAGGCCUCGUGCUAGAUGGAUGCGGGUGUGUACAUAUAAGACACAUCACCCCCUCUCCGUUGGUUGAUGUGGGAUCUUACAGAAAGAGUCAAAUUUACUAAAUUAAUAAAGCAUAAAUUGGAAAGGGAAAAGAUCUAGAGGAUGCAUUGUAGGAUUGCUCAUGCCAAUAAUUGCACCCUCUCGAUAUUGAAAAACCUAUUGUGUAUUAUUAUCUUCAAUCAUGAAUGAUGCACCUAAAACCCAAGUGUCCCAAGCCAACCAUUGCGCUCAUACCACUUGUUGCAGUACACAUUCACCCGUUUUUAAAGAAAGAAAUUCUACCAAUCGAUAUUGUCUCAAAUUUAAUCACAUAGGUCUAUUAUGGUUAACCAUAUGUACUUUUAUCGGCCAUAUAGAGGUACCUUUUUCCAACGUGCAACAAUUGUAUUUGAUUCACAAUUAUGUCUGAUAUACAUCACAUCAUGCCACUUGCCUCAAAUGAAUUUAAUUGAGUGAGGCAAUGGGAAGUAAUUAAGCUCUAUAUUGGUGGGUGGAGUGUUACUUCUGGAACCCUCAUCAUUCGUCCAUACAAGGGAACAAUUCCCUUCCUUCUAUAAAAUGGUGAAGCCAGUUGCUAUUGUUUGUUAGAGUUUUAGGAUCUGAGUGUUAGAUUUUGUGAGAAGAGAGAAGAGAAUUUAGUGAAAACUUCCAAUACUGCUCUGCUAUACGUGUAGCAGAGAGAACAUUCUGUUUUGUUAUAUAUUUUCAGUACAACAACACACACUUGGUGUGAGAAGAAAAAUGACUGUUAUGCACAGUACCAGCUGGAUGCUUUCCAUCAAAGUAAUCUCAGCCAUUCACUAUCUAACCAAUCAAGCUAUGACACCUGGACUAAGUAUAAAGAAAUACAACUAAGCAGAAAACAAGACUCUUAAUCCUGAAAUCAACUUAAGCACUUAUAAUUCAACACUCCCCUUUAAGUCUUGAGGUGAUUUCACUCCAAGCAUGCCUCUGAGAUAAUUGAAUCUGUCUUUGGCCAGAGGUUUGGUAAAAAUGUCAGCCAAUUGUUCAUUUGUAGGACAAUAUUCCAGAUUGAUUACCCCUUCUUGCAAUGCAUCCUUGAUGAAGUGAUACCUCCUGUCAAUAUGCUUUGUCUUCUGGUGGAAUACAGGGUUUUUAGUGAUUGCAAUUGCUGAGAUAUUAUCACAAUGCAAUGGAGUAGCUUCAGUUUGAAGCUCUCUAAAGUCUUCUAGCACAAAACGGAGCCAAAUAGCUUGAGUAGUAGCCUCAGCUGCACUGAUGUACUCAGCUUCUGCAGUAGACAGUGCAACACAGUUCUGUUUCACUGAGGCCCAAGAAAAUACUCCACUUCCAAAACUAAACGCAUACCCUGAUGUGCUCUUGCAAUCACCAACUGAUCCUCCCCAAUCACUGUCACAGUAACCAACUAGAAUUGAUCUUUUGCCUUUCACAUAUUCAAGACCAUAGUCCAGAGUUCCUUUGAUGUAUCUCAAAACCCUUUUAGCUGUUCCAUAGUGUCUAUUUGUAGGACAGUGCAUGAAUCUAGCUAGCAAGCUUGAGGCAUACAUGAUGUCUGGUCUUGUAGCAGUUAAGUACAGCAAGCUACCAACAAUGCUUCUGUAUUGUUCUUCAUUUGCAGCUCAACUCCCAUCAUCCUUAGCUAGUUUCUCAGUGGCAACAAGGGGUGUUGUCACAGGUUUGCACUCAGUCAAACCAAACUUGCUCAACAAGGUGCUAGCAUAUUUCUUUUGAUGUAGAAAUAUACUAGACUCAGUCUGAAUAACUCCCAUGCCAAGAAAGUGAUGAAGUAAGCCCAAAUCAGUCAUCUCAUACUUAGCCAUCAUGUCUUCUUUGAAUUCAGCCAACAAUGCUUGACUGCUCCCUGUAUACACAAUAUCGUCUACAUAGAUAGACACAAUUAGAAUCUCCUUAUCUCCCCUUACUUUGGUAUAUAAGGUUGUUUCACUUAAGCUUUUCACAAAACCACAUUGAGUGAAGUAGCUGUCUAUCUCUCCAUACCAAGCCCUUGGGGCUUGCUUCAGACCAUAAAGGGCUUUAUGCAAACGAUAAACCUUGUCUUCUUUACCUUUAAUUACAAAACCUUCAGGCUGACUGACAUAAACUUCCUCUUGCAGCACACCAUUAAGGAAAGCAGACUUCACAUCAAGCUGGAACAAUUUCCAAUCCUUUUGAGCAGCUAGAGCAAUAAGUGUUCUAAUGGUGUCCAAUCUGGCUAUAGGUGCAUAAGUCUCAUUAUAAUCCAGUCCAGGCUUCUGAGCAUACCCCUUAGCCACUAAUCUUGCUUUAUUCUUUUGCACUGAGCCAUCCAAAUUCAGCUUUGUCUUGUACACCCACUUAACUCCAAUCACUGGUUUUUCAGUUAGUCUAUCUACCAAUUCCCAUGUUUCAUUCUUUUCAAUCAUCUGCAGUUCAUCUUCCAUAGCCUUAAGCCAAGAUUCAUCCUGAGCAACAUCAGCAUAUUUUUCUGGUUCCAUGAUACACAAGUUACACUGAGCUAGAACAUCAUCUAGCCUUCUCCAUUUUAGAGGGGUGUGAUCAUAAGCUUGAGUUCUCCUUUCUUCACUGCUUAUAUCACCUGGAGUUGAUGAAAUGCUCUCUUGCAUAUCCAAAGUUUGAGGUGUACCAGUAGAAUUCUCAUUAGAACUGUCAGAUUUCAAGUCCAAAUCAACUUGGUUUUCAAUUGAGUAUGUUGUCAUAACUGAACCAUUUUUGUUUGUCCAAUGCCAAGCAUUUUCUUCAUCAAAUGUCACAUCCCUUGAUAGUAAAAGCUUGUUAGAAACAGGAUCAAAAACUCUAUAUCCUUUUUCACAAGUUGCAUAUCCCACAAACACUCCCUUUGUACUCUUAGGAUCCCGCUUGUGUCUCAAUUCAGUUGGCACAUGAACAUAACACAGAGAACCAAACACUUUCAGAUGUGCAAUUCCAGGCUUCCUUCCACUAUAUGCUUCGAAUGGAGUAAUGUUGUUGAGAGCUUUGGUAGGACAUCUGUUCAGCAAAUAGAUAGCUGUAUGCACAGCUUCUGCCCAUAGGAAAUAAGGCAUUCCCUUCUCAUGUAACAUUGAUUUUGCCAUCUCAAUGACAGUUCUAUUCUUCCUCUCAACUACUCCAUUCUGCUGAGGAGUAUAGGCCAUUGUAAGCUGCCUUUGAAUGCCAUUAGCUUCACAAAACUCCAAAAAAUCAGUAGACAUAAACUCUCCACCCCUGUCACUUCUUAUGCACUGAACCUUGUGUCCAGUUUGUAAUUCAGUCAUGGACUUGAACUUCUUGAAACAAAAGAAGGCUUUUGACUUGUUUCUCAAGAAGUAUACCCAAAUCAUUCUUGUGAAAUCAUCUAUAAUCAGCAUGAAAUAUCUGUUCCUUGCAACAGACUCAUUUCUCAUGGGACCACAGAGAUCCACAUGUAUUAGCACUAGUACUUUGCUUGCUCUUUGAGCUUGAUCUUUUGGAAAAACAUUUCUGUGCUGUUUUCCAAAUUGGCACCCGUCACACACACCACUUUGUUCUUCCAAUUUUGGUAAACCAUGUACCAUUUCUUUAUCACUUAGCUGCUUCAAUCCUCCAAAAUGCAGAUGACCAAAUCUCUUGUGCCAAAUCCAUGUGGAUUGAAGAAAACUAGUCUUCAUUAGUAACUGUUUUUCAGCUAGAAAAGAGACAGGAUAGCAUCUGUUACUCUUCAUUUGCACCUUUAUGAUGAGAUAAUCCAUGGAUGGGCUAUCAAAUACCCUGCACAUCCCUUCUCCAAACACUAGACAGUACCCAUGUUCAUCCAUCUGCCCAACACUUAGCAGAUUUUCUUUCAAUCCUGGCAGAUACAUUACUUCUCUGAUGUAUUUCCUGCCCUUUGCUGUAUCAAUACUCAGUGAGCCAAUACCAGCUACACUCACUAAUGCACCAGUUGGCAUUUGUACUCUCCCAGCUACAUUAGUUCUCACAUCAACCAGCAAAUCUAAAUUUCCUGUCAUAUGAUUGCUGCAGCCACUGUCAAUGUACCAUUCAUUGGUUUUGAUCUCAGUGGUUGAGCAAUUGGCAUAAAACAGGUUUCCUGUAACCUCCAUUUGAUUUACACAAUUAGCCUUCUGCACAUUUUUGCUCACUGUACAGUCUCUAGCAAGAUGUCCAACUCUGUCACAGUUAUAGCAUUUUGGUUUUCCCUUAUACCUGCACUCACCAAAAUGAUGCUUUGAACACACCUUGCAUUGAGGCUUUGUGUUUUCCUGAUUUGAGAACUGUGUUGAAGUGUGGUUCUGUGCAGAAUAAUUAUUCUGCUGUGUCUUGUCUUUUGCCUCCCAUGACUUCCCUUUAGAGUUCCAGCUUCUCUGUGACUUAGAUGAACCAGACUGAGAAGCAUUUUUGUUCUGACCCUUUGAAUUCACAGUGAAUGAGGCAAAUGCCUUCUCAGCUGUAUCAACACUAUGCAUUUCAAGCCUUUGCUCCCGACUCUUCAAAAUGGCAGUUACUUCCUGCAAAUCCACAGUUUCUAGUGUCUUUGUGUUUUCAAUCACAAUGCAUAUAGGGUCAUACUUCUUACUUAGACUAAUUAACACCUUCUGAACCUACCUCUCAUUUGACAGAACUUCACCAAAUGUUUUCAUUUGGUUAAUCAAUUCAGUUAGUCUAGUAAGAUAUUCAGAUAAGGUUUCACUAUCACGCAUCCUACUGUAUUCAAACUCACGUCUAAGGUUUUGAAGCUUUACCGAUCUAACAUGCUCUCCACCAUGAUAUUCUGAGUACAGCAGAUUCCAAGCCAUCUUUGCAGAGUCAGCAUUGGCAAUUCUGGGAAAAAUCUGAUCAGAAACAGCAUUUUGAAUGAUACCCAAGGCCUUCGCAUCCUUCAUGAGAAUCGCAGCUGUUUUCUCAUCAACUUCUUCUUCUGAACCAUCCUCAGAUUCCUGCUUCGUCUUUGAAUCUGGGAUUAAAAACCCCUUCUCUACCAAACCCCAUAAACCAUAUGAUCUGAAUAUGGUUACCAUCUUAAUCCUCCAAAAUUCAUAGUUCUCACCUGAGAAAAUGGGGAUUCUAGCCUCUGAACUUCCAGAUCCAGCCAUUACGAAUUUCAGAUUCGCCUGGAAACAAGAUGUUUUCAGAUUUGACCCUUGAUCGAGCUCAAUCAGCUUCGUGAGCUUAGAAUGAGCUCACCUCGAUCGAUUUUCUUCACAGAACAACGCCCAGCUUCAGAUAAUCAAACUUGGCUCUGAGGCCAUGUUAGAGUUUUAGGAUCUGAGUGUUAGAUAUUGUGAGAAGAGAGAAGAGAAUUUAGUGAAAAUUUCCAAUACUGCUCUGCUAUACGUGUAGCAGAGAGAACAUUCUCUUUUGCUAUAUAUUUUCAGUACAACAACACACACUUGGUGUGAGAAGAAAAAUGACUGUUAUGCACAGUACCAGCUGGAUGCUUUCCAUCAAAGUAAUCUCAGCCAUUCACUAUCUAACCAAUCAAGCUAUGACACCUGGACUAAGUAUAAAGAAAUACAACUAAGCAGAAAACAAGACUCUUAAUCCUGAAAUCAACUUAAGCACUUAUAAUUCAACAUUGUUACCAUAAGAGCCAGCUCCGACUUUCUUUAAUUUCAGUCCUAACGGGGUUUCAUCUUCCACUCAUCUUUGCUCUUCUCAGUGUAAGCUCUGCAAUUUGAUUAACUUUCCCAUUAUCUCUCACUGUACUCUAUAUAAAGGAAUAAGUGUCGUCCACUAAUUAAUUACACUUUGUGAGAUUUGAUUUUAAUUAGAGUUCGAAUUGAUGUUGCAGCUAGCAGCGGUGGCACUGGCAAACCAUGCUGCUCAACCAGCACCUCAACUUUACUGGAACUCCGUCCUGCCAAACACACAAAUGCCAAGAGCUAUCAGUGAACUUCUGCAUCCUGGUUUGUGUUGAAUAAAUAUAGUAUGUUACUGGAGUACGUAUGGCAACAUAUUCACAAAUGUGUCACGUAUUUUCCAAUAUGACGUUGAUAUAUAAUUGCAGACUCCACAAACGAAGAAAAGAGCACAAAUGUCAUGAAUGCUGUUGGGAAUGGAAAGCCAAUUGACCACAAGGGCAACCUGAAAAUACUGUACUACCACAGCUUGCACGACGCCCAUUUUCUUACAAGAGUGAUGAUCGUCCCACUGACAAUCAACUCCAUUAUAAAAACGUAGCUAUUUUCUUCUUGGAGAAGGACAUGCGCCCUGGCACAACAAUGAGCUUCCAAUUCCCUAGAAAUUCAAACACGGCUACUUUCCUGCCACCAGAAAGAGCUCAAUCGAUCCCCUUCUCCUCUAACAAACUACCAGAAAUUUUCAACCAUUUUUCAGUGAAGCCAACAUCUGUGGAAGCCAAAACAAUUAAGCAAACAAUCGAAGAGUGUGAGGCUCCAGGCAUUAAGGGAGAGGAAAUAUAUUGCGCCACAUCUUUAGAAUCAAUGGUUGAUUUUAGCACUUCGAAUUUUCGAACAAGAAACGUUCAAGCAAUCUCGACAGAGGUAUUGGAAAAAGGUGCCACCAUGUCCAUGCACAAGCAUACAACAAUGCCGGGACUGAAGAAGUUGGCAGGUGACAAAGUCGUUGUGUGUCAUAAGCAGAACUAUCCCUAUGCUGUGUUUUACUGCCAUGUAAUAAAACCAACAGCAGCUUAUGUUCUCUCCCUGAAAGGCGAUGAUGGGGUGAAGAUUAAAGCAGUAGCCAUCUGCCAUCUAGACACAUCAGAAUGGAACCCAAAGCAUUUGGCCUUCCAAAUCCUCAAAGUUAAGCCCGGAACAAUUCCCAUCUGCCAUUUCCUUCCCACUGAUCAUAGUGUCUGGGUUCCGAACCACAAAUCUGCAUGAUCAUCACUUAGCACUGUACGUAUAAUAAGCUUGCACCCCUGUAUAAUUAUCUCCCUACUCUACUUAUUUCUGCCUCUUCAUGUGGUGUAAGAUAUAUGAUGAGAUGAAGUUUUUGGGAUUAGUGGUCGGGUUGCCUUAAAAACACAGAUUACAGAAACUGCUUGAACUUAACCCGAUCAUGUUUUCUCUUGUACUCGUAAAGCAUGCUGUUGUGGUUCUACUUAAUUUCGUUCUCCCCAAUGUUUGAGUGUUUAAUUGUUACGUUGGAUAAUGCUUGUAGUUAGAGAAGCCUUCAUUUAUAUCAAAGUCCUCAACUUGUAAAGAUAUCAAUGGUCCUAGUGCUGCCACGUGUAAGAAGAUUGAAGAAUAAAGCUGUUGAGAUAUUGUUAGACCUGUUAUGCAGUUUAGGAAAACUGUUAGUAUUGAUAAGAGAAGGUUAGAGAUGUUAGAGAGGUUAGAAAACACGUGAACAAGGCUUUAACUCAGCUGAUAUAAAGUCUGUAGUUGUGCUCAGUUGAACUUAAUGAGAAAUACAACAAGUCUCUUCUCUAUCUCUGAAAUUCUCUCUGCUCUCUCUGCUUUACUUCUUUUGUCUCUGCUCUACAUUUUUUUUCAAUCUUCCUAUCUUAACAAAACUAUCAAGAAUUAAUGCAUCCAGAAACAUAUAUACCAAGACGCAAAACAACAUAUUUUUCAUGCUCUGUCUGUAACACCAAAGCAAACUUCCUUUAUCACAAAAGGAUCAAAUUCCAGUACUAAUCUAAUCCAUCAUGUAAAGCAUACAAUCUACAAGUGCCUCCCUUAAUUUGUCCAUUGGAUAUAUAUGUCACUUUUUGGUAAUUUGGUAUAGCAGCACCACGUAGUCUUGAAAUAGUAGUGCGGCUAUACCAAAUAUACCAUUUGCCCCUGCAUUUAACAGAAAAGUAAACAAAAUUGACGGUAGAACUAUUUGUCCUAACGAAACUGCAGUUGAAAGACCAUGAGAACGAUUUUGAAAAUUGAGGGACUCAAAUGAAAAUUGGGUCUAAGUUCAAGAACCAAUAAAACGAUUAACCCAUAGAUUUUGGAUCCAGUACCACAUCCCAAAGAGAAAACCACAAGUUUGCAAGCAAGUUUGUCCAUAAUAACACUACGUACAGUAUGGGCAGUGCGCUAGACUCAUCUCACUUUCUCAACCUAUCCUAUAGUUGUCUAAAAGAGUUUCUAAUUUAAUGUACUGAGAUUUACGAAAGAAAUAUCAGAGAAACAAUUUUCAGGCAAUAAAAAAAUGUCUUGGCAAGAAAAUGUACAAUUUGUUACAUAACUUAUUAAAUAUGAACAGUUGAAAGAAAAAAGAAUCUGGAUGAGGGAUUUGCAAAUUCCUAUGGCCCAAUUACCUUUUUUUCUUUGUUGUUUUUUUUUUUUUUUUUUUGGUUCUUUUGAUCCAGUAGCAUAUUCCAAAGAAUGAAAACCACAGGCAUGCAAUGCAAGCUCUUUUCCCACGUUUUCCUCUGUUUUUCUCCUAUCAUGGAAGUGAUUAAAACACACCUCUAAGCUUGUUUUGCGUUUGGUAGCCGAGUGUAAAAGCUCAAUGCAAGAUAGUUUGAGGUAGAAUUUUCUCCUAUUUUAUUAGGACAAUGAUAAUUAAAAAAAAGUGUGAUUCAUUGAAUAUUUGCGGGGUUUUGUUCAGACCUGACAAAGUUCUAAGUCAACACAUCAAAUUCCUUUUUCCAACAUGCAACAAUUGUAUUUGAUUCCCAAUUUUUUCUGAUAUACAUCACAUCAUGCCACUUGCAUCAAAUGAAUUUAAUUGAGUGAGGCAAUGGGAAGUAAUUAAGCUCUGUAUUCGUGGGUGGAGUGUUACUUCUGGAACCCUAAUAAUUCGUCCCUACAGGACUCUAGAACUCUCAAACUUCUUACAAGGACUACUUAACUCUAUAGCUUAAUGCAUAUAGCAUAUAUAUGCAAACACAAUUAGAAAUUCUACAACAGAAGCAAGAUCAAUCUCACUAUGCCUUCUAAACAAACAAACAAAUAAAACAAGCAUAUUAAUUGCUUUAAUCACUCUACUAACAUCAACACAGCACACUUAGUUUACUAACAGAUGAUAUAGAAAGGAAAAAAAAGGACCAAUAGGGAGAAAAUGGUGAACUAAGGAGAGACUAAUACUUCUGGUCCUUAGAAGGCAUAACAGAAAUAAUAGAGCACACUGCUUGAAUGCAAGUCAGUAUUAGGAGCAAAACAGCUGCAAUGAAAGAAAUAGUUGCCCAAGGUGUAUUGAAAUAAUGUUGCCUCAAAUUUGCCUUCCAUUUGUUCCAAGGCUUUCUGCAGUAGCUAUUAAGGCGCUCAGAAAGAAUAGCAAAGUAGAAGCUUUCACGAUACACUGCAAUUCCUUUUCCGAGGUUGUUAAUCAGAGUGCACACCUCAUUGUAGUCACCAAGCAUAUUUUUGACAAUCCCAUCCUUCAGAAGGAACUCCACAUCCUUUUCGGUGUUCACAAACUCAUCCAUGAGUGAAACAUAAUCACUUAUGUAAUUCUUACGGCAAUGGCACUAUUCAAAGGCAAUGAGGUUACGGAGUGUGAGCUCUGUGUAAUCGUGUAUUUUUAGUUUUGGAAUUUCUAGAAUCCCAUCGUUGAAUUGUGUUAACGCAGCUUUCCUUUCCUAGCCUACACGGAAGUCAACUUCACAAUCUCCUCCUAGCAAUUAGUCUUUCCUGCUGUAAAUCAGAUUUCCUACUGUAAAUCGGAUUGUAUUCAUGUCUAUAUUAUUUCCUACUUUAAGUAGAUAUCUUGUACUAGUAUAAAUAGGGACUUUGUGUAAUCUGUUAAAUACAAGGAAAUAUAUACUCUGCAUGGUAUCAGCCUAACCUAGGGUUCUCUCUCUCUCCCUUAUUCGAUCCUCUUCUCCUUUAGGUCCACCUCAUGGCUUUGUCUGAAUCCACCAUCUCCCUCCCAAGCCCCAACUCUUCUAUUUUAUCAAGCUUAUUGACUCCAACUAUCUUCUUUGGCUCCGCCAACUCAAACCCUUUUUAGUCGGCCAUGACCUCUGGAAAUUUAUCGAUGGCAUUCAUAAACAACCUUCUGCCCACACCUCCACCUCUACCACCGCAACACCCACAACCACCACCACUCUUACCCAAAUCAAUCAUGCCCAUGCUCAGUGGUACCAACAAGACCAACUCAUUGUUAGCUACAUCACCAAUACACUCUCUGAGUCCAUUCUCUUUCUCACUGUUGGUUGCACCUCUGCCCGGGAUCUCUGGGAGUGUCUCCAACGCCACUUCUCUCAAUCCAGUAUGGCCAGUGAAUCUACUCUUCGUUUUAAACUCAUGGAUUUGCAAAAAGGCUCUGAACCCACUUAUGCUUACAUUCGUCAUGCUAAGUCCUUUGCCGAUUCACUGGCUGCCAUCAAUGAACCUGUCUCCCCAAAAGAACUUGUCACUACUGUGCUUUGGGGUUUAAGACCCUAUUGCAACAUCCUCGUCACAGCAAUUCUCAAUUUCCCUCUGCUUCCUAACUUUGCUAAUCUUCGUGCUCGUUUGUUAGCAUUUGACGCACAGACUCCUUGAAUCUCUCCUGAUCAAAACACAGCGCAAAUGGCCACCCAAUCCUCUCCUCACACCACCGGUCAUACUUCCUUCCCUUCUCACCGUGGUGGUGGCUCUUCCAACAACAGGCGUGGUGGCCUCGGUGGCUGGCGCAAUAGCGGCCGGGGUGGCUGGCGCAGCUUCUCAUCUUCCUGGAGCAACCCGUGGAAUGGCUUCCAGCAGCUCCAAUGACCUAAUCAACCAUGGCCUCCUUUUGCUCCAAGUUCUGGAUCUCAAAGCAACUGGCCUUCCUUUCAGCCUCCUUGGGCCUAAUCUGCCGCUUCUAUCAAACACUUUGCCCGGCCCAACUCAGCUCCUGGUGUCUUGGGACCCGCUUGGUGCACUACCUGCAAUACCAAUCACAUACUACUACAAUAUGUCCUCAUCGCUACAAUGGCCCAGAAUCCUUUCUUUGCUAGGGCUCAAUUCAUGUAGCCACCUGACUCUACUUGGUACCCUGACACAAGUACCACUCAUCAUAUGAUUGGUAGUCCUUCUAAUCUCCAAAAUCAAUCCUUCUAAUCUCCAAAAUCAACAGCCAUAUCAGGUUCAUAAUUCUGUAUUUCUUGGUAAUGGAGAUUCUCUCCCUAUCUCUCAUACUAGCUCUCUCUUUUGUCUUCCAUCUCUUCGUACUAAUCUUCUUUUUGUUGCCCAUUUUACUUGUGAUAAUUUAGUUUUCUUUGUCUUUACUCUUGACUUUUAUCAAAUCUAUGACUUAUGUACUGGUUCGUUACUCUUUCAGGGCCCUUCUAAAGAUGGUCUUUACCCACUUUCCAUCUCCUCUCACUCAUCCAUAGUCCCCCAUGCCCUUACCACCGUGCACUCUCCUGCUUGGCAUCAUUGCCUUGGCCAUCCAUUCCAUCGUGUGCUCUCUCAUUUAGCGCCAUCUCUAGGCUUUAAAGUUUCUCAUGCUUUCUGUAAGGAUUGUGCACUUAGCAAAUCCACCAAACUGUCAUUUCUUAGUAAUAAAACCUUUGCCCCAUCUCCCUUUUAUUUAAUUCACUCUGAUGUAUGGAUGUCCUCGGUCAUUUCUGUCACUGGUUAUCGCUAUUAUGUCUUGUUUACAGAUGACUUUUCUCGUUACUCCUGGAUCUAUCAUAUGCACCGUAAAAAUGAGGUCUUUUCUCACUUUCAAACCUUUCUUGCUAUGGUUAAAAAUCAAUUUCACACCACUGUACAAAUUCUUUAAAGUGACAAUGGCACUGAAUAUGUUAAUAAUGCUUUCUCUGAUCUUUGCAGUCAACUAGGCAUCCACCAACGUUUCACAUGUCCCCACACUCCCCAACAAAAUGGCCUAGCUGAACAUAAACACAGACACAUUGCCACCAUGAUCUGUCCCCGGUCAUUUAUUCAACCAUCUUGACCUUUUGCUUGAUCAUUUUCCACAAGCAACCGUCCACGUACCCCAAUAAUUUAAAAGGGCUGAUGAUCUUUAAUUUGGUGAAAGCUUCUAUCUACCUACCGUGCUAUAUAUGAGCUAUGCAAUCGUGACCGUGUUACAUGACGUCCCAAUGUCGUAGGGAUAAAAAAAUAAUAGUCAUGGUUUUCUUAUUAAUGUCAAUACAUUCAUAGCAAAGAGCUUGUAGCUCUAGUGGUUAAGAGCAAUUACCCAUGCACUUGAGAUAUUUUGUGUUUAAAUCCCCUCUUCCCCAAUAUUUCUUGUAUAAAAAUAAAAAUAACAAUAAUAAUGACAUUAAUGUUGUAUUCUAUAAAGUGUUGGACAUGUUUUAUACCCCUUUCUUGCAAAUUACAGUUUGCCACGUGUACAAAAAUAAUAGAUAAGUGUUGGACAUCAAGAGCACUUACAUAUAGGUUUAAUAGGUAAGUUUUGAAUAUUUCUGUAUUUAGCUUUAAAUAUUGAAAAUCAACCUAUUAGCAUAUUAAAGAUUUGUCCAUAUUCGACGUACAUUCUCUUAUUUUUCUCUCAUUGAAGUAAAUACAAAACUAAGCACAUAGUGGGAAAGUGCGUCACGAUUAGGGGUGGGUUUAGUCUAGGUUGGUUCAUUUUUGGGCUCAAUUUGAACACCGAACUGUAAGCUUCGGUUUGGCUAUUUUGGAAACCGAAACCAAACCAUAAUUGAUGAAAACCGACCACUUCGAUUACCUUCUGGUCUUCCAACCAGAAGAAAACUCAAAACUUUAACCAUACCAAGUGCAACAGAAUUACACCAGGCUGGAUUCAAGUUUAUGAUGGUUAAAGAUAAAAACUUAUUUGACAUACAAUUUGAGAAUGGAAUCCUCAAAAUUCCACACCUGCGAAUACGGGGUUUAACAGAAAUUUUCUUCCGCAAUCUUAUUGCCUAUGAGCAGUGUGAGCUUCAUGAUCAUUACAUCAACGACUAUGUCUUCAUCAUGGACCGCCUGGUCGACAGUGCCAGGGAUGUGGAAUUGCUUGUGAAGAGUGGAAUUCUUGAAUCUAUGCUACCGGACAGCGAGGCAGCAGGGGAAUUUAUUAAUUCUCUUGACUUGGGGCCUAUUUUAGGCAAGCUUGAAACAAGACUAUUUCAGUUCACCAUGGGCUGGCCUGUCUAUUAUUGUAGCCGCUAUACUAGUUGUGCUCACAUUUAUUCAAACAGUGUGCUCCGUAAUGGCGCUGUAGGUUCUUCAUUUCCUCAAUUUCAUGUUUAGUGGUUGCAGAUUUGUUGCUCAUGUACGUGUUUAUCUAAAGUUAAAUAAGAGUGAUUGACUGGAUUGACUGUUAGUCUGUUAGUUUGUUUUUCUGGGGUUUUUCCCCCCUGUUCGUCAAAAAAAAAAAUAAAAGAGUGAUGGCUUGUGCCUAUGAAAAUUACUUAGGAGUAUGCUCCACAGAGCCAAAAUAAAUAAACUAGGGAAGUGGAGGUUCUUCUGUUUGUAUAUAAAUGAGCAAUUCAAACUCUCAGUGCCAAGGGAGUUACCCUUGAUACAUUUGUUAAAAAUUAUAUAUUUGGUCUUACAUCAAACAAAUAAUUUGAAGGGCUUUUUUGACAACUGCUGACAGCGUUUGGCAGAAAAGUUUAGAAGCGCUUCUACGCUUCUAGAUCAUAAAAGUGCUUUACCAAAAAGCACUUAGAUUUCUUAUGAAAAUUUCAACAUUUUUAUAAUAAAAGCGCUUGCUAGAAGCACUUAUAAGCAGAAGUGCUUCAUAGAGAAGCAGUCCCAAACGAGCUUGAUUUUCAAAUGUGCUGCUUAAGAAGAAAUUUAAUACGUUUUGAAAACAAAAAAAAAUACGAAAUUUAAUACGUUUGUUUUACAAAUUGUAUUAAUUGUUAUCAAUAAUACUUGUGCACACCCACAACAUACUUCUUUCUUUCUUUAUUUUCCUUCAGUACAGUUCUGCCUUUCUUUAAUUAUUUUUAACGAAUGCAAAGAGUUUGUCACAAAAUCAAGGAUUGAAAAAAAAAGAGAGUAAAUUAUGUGCUAGAGAAACUUUCCUGCAGAAAUUGAAGAACAACUCUAGUUUCUCUCUUUCGCCUUGUACUCCCGCACUGAGGUUAGUAUUGUUAUAAUGUGCAGAUUAUACGGUCACUCUUGUAUAAUGGCGAGAAGGCUCUAAUUAUAUUUUUGAACCUCUUUGACAGGACCCGCCCCGAAUUUCCCGAAACCCAAGACGAAUUCUGUGGAAAUUCCCUACAUCACCCCGAUGUUGGGCCCACUUCUAAAACUAUAUCAUUUUUCCUAAAAAGGAAUAAGGGCACGAGACUUUCUACCGAAAUUUCGGCAGAGUCUCUCCUGUAAAUUGAACAUUUCCCAAAAUUUCAACCUGCAUAAAACACAUUUUAUAUUACCCAACUGGCAGCAUGCACAAAAUAAUAACAUGCAAUUCACAUAAACGGCCUCUGGCCCUCCGGUAAUUCAGAGCAAUGCAAACUAGCAACUCUAAACCUAAUAAAACAACAUAAGUAACAUUUAGCCAGCGGCUGCACCCAGGCACUACCCUAGGCUACCUACGUACCCUUACUAAGGGAUCAAGCCACACGUAGUUCUUUCAUACAAAAUUUCCAAAUCCAUCAACAUGCAAUCAAUUACAGAAUCCCAAACAAAAUCUUUCUCAAACAUCAUUAGUUCCCAACUCAGUAUAAUAAUCCUUAAUUCAUCUCUGUAAUAAUCACAAUAUCUCCCCAUACGCCGGAACUACCAACACCACGUAUGGAGCCUGCCUGUACGCCAGAUAACCAACGACACGUGGGACCUCAUCAUCAUAUCACAUAAUCUCCCCAUACGCCGAAACUACCAACACCACGUAUGGGGUCUGUCAACACGCCGGAUAACCUACGACGUGUGACCUCAACAUCAAAUCACAAUAUCUCCCCAUACACCGGAACUACCUACGCCACGUAUGGGGUCUGUCCACAUGCCGGAUAACCUACGACACGUGGGACCUCAUCAUCAUAUCACAUAAUAUAUUAACGAUCAAGAAAUAUCACUACGGUCAUUUAAUCCUCCUGGGAAGGUAAAACUAUCUCAGGAGACUCACGGUCAACCAAGGGUCAAACUACCUCAUACUUGGACAAACGAGCCCACGGAGCCCACAACCUCCGUUUUACUAUCCAAGAGUUCCUAUAGGUUCUACAAGGUUUAGGAUACACGGCUUGCAAGUUUGGUCAAGAUCAGACGGUCGGAUCGCUCACGAUAGGACGGUUACUGCAAACCUAGCCCUAGGGUUGGCAUUUUCGGAGUAUCCGAAACUCCGUUUUACGAUCUGUCGAAUCAUAGACGAUCCUAAGGAUUUGCAGACUAACUAUAAUAAAUUCAAGACCAUCCAACGGUCUAAACCUAUCGAACCCGGAUAACGCGCAAUAGGCAAUAUCCAAAUUGAAAUCCGAGCACACCUACGCACUCGUGAGGACUAGGAGAUUACAUCGGGACAUAGUGCCCUUUUUCUACAGUGCCCAUGAGCCGCCGCACGCACCAGCAACGCGUGGGUGCCCAAAGCGAUUAUGCAUCGCCAAAAAAUCUCAAAACCACGGCUCAAGACUCCUACCCUAGGUAUAACACCCUAUUUGGAACCACUUUUGUUCUUGGACCUACCCCAAAAACUGAUCAGAAGUGGCCGGAAUGGCUGAAAUGUAAUUCAAAAAUCAAGCUACCAACGCUCAAAAUCGAUGCAAUCCUACCCAACCAUCAACUAGAUUAUGAAGAAUGGAUAAAUUUCCAUACCUUGAUCGCCAACAAUGGCGGCCGGAGGAGAGAGAUCUGAUCCGGCGAAGUUCGAGUGAAAACGGCCAAAAAUCAUCUUUUUCAGGCGGCUGGAGGGCGACCGAUGUCAGGGAAGGGCAGGGUCGUGACGCUAAGGCUGAGCCUGUCCUUUUGGCACCGGUCCCUUCCGCAGCCGUGUCCGGUGGCUGGAGUUUCGAAGAGAGAGAGAGAGAGAGAGAGAGAGAGAGAGAGAGAAAUCUGAUUUUUAUCAAACCUUUUUGCCAAAAUUACGGUUAUGCCACUGAGGGUAUUUUGAUAGUAUCUCUCUCGUUACAACUUCGAUUCGAGCCCACCACGUGUGUACGGACUCAUCUAACUGUGUUGUACGCAACGGUAUAGUCGAAAUUCCCAAAUUAUUUCCUUGUCAAAAAGUCAACUUUAAACAUUAUAAAAUAUUUUAGGGAAAAAAUGGUAUUUUCUCUCAAUAAAUUAGUAACUAAUUUAUUUAGGACUGGGUCAUUAUACUCUUUUUCGCUUCAAUGGAUGGGAAAAAAUUUUAUGUAAUAUCCCACAUCGACCAACGAAGAGGGGGCGAUGUGUCUUAUAUGUACAUGCCCGCCUCCAUCUAGCAUAAGGCCUUUUGGAAGCUCACUGGCUUCAGAGUCAUGGGAACUCCGAAGUUAAGCGAGUUGGGGGCUAGAGCAAUCCCAGGAUGAGUAACCCACUGGGAAGUUGCUCGUGAGCUUCGAGAAACAAAACCGUGAGGGCAGAGAGAGGGGCCCAAAGCGGACAAUAAGGCCUCGUGCUAGAUGGAGGCGGGCAUGUACAUAUAAGGCACAUCACUCUCUCUCCGUUGGUCGAUGUGGAAUGUUAGAAUGGAAUUGUUACCUUUGGUGUGGAGGUGUUCUAUCAUUUGAGCAAGAAAUUCCCACAUAUUCUUCAACUAUUUUUCAAGCAUGCAUAUUCCUCCCUAUCAAUCUUUGGUUUCUUCCUUUACUGUGCAUAGUAAGGAUCCAGUCAGGGACGGACCGUCGCUAUGACUAUCCUGGGCUAUAGCCCAGGCAAAUUAUUUUUUUUUCUAGUCUAAAAUAGCAAUCCCACCGCUUGCUGUAGUACUUGUUCAGUUCGUCACAAACAUGAGCAUAAUAGAAGUUAUCAACAUCUAUAUAGGAACCCCAAUGAAAAGGCUGUUAACUAAUAAUGAAGUUAACCCGUCAAUUUUUCCGCAUAUCAGAUAUCUCUCAGAAUAUGCGAUUCCAUAUUCAAUAAGCCACUCCACAUGCCCUGAGGUUUUCAUCAAACCACCCAUUAAGGAAACAUACUGACUCAUGUAAUUAUCAUUACUCAUCGGGUAAUGCAAUUGUUCAAAGGCAAGGACAUUUCUCAUUAUUUAUGUAGCGAACCCCAAUGGAAAUGGUGGGAUCUUCAGAACCCCAUCGGUGCUACUGAAUUGUAUGUCAAAUAUGUUUUCACCUUGUCACGCCUCAAACUUGACUCCAGCGUGCUGUAAUUCUGUCAAGCUGGGUAUGGAUGAUGGGAGUUUGAUGCAGGAGCAUAGGGGUGGAUCAAGAUAGAUAUUUACUAUUUAAUUAGUUAUUUCAUGAUAUAUUGUUAUUUUCUUAUUUAGGUAGUUUUAUGAUAUCUUUUAUUAUUUAUGUGUGAUUUUAUAAUUAAUUAGUAUACUUUUGGACCAAGUAGCCUUGGUGCUCAAGUCUUGUAAAGCCUAUAAAUAAGGCUAAUGUAAUAGUUGUAGAAUAGAUGUCGAUGAUUAAUAAAAUCGUUUAUUUGUGGCAUGGAUUUGCUACGAUAUAUGUGAGUUUGCACUAGCCCUAGAUUUCAGUGCUCGUGUAUGUGGUUGGUGACCUGUGUCCGGAUCCCGAUCCCCAUCAAUUGGUAUCAGAGCUAUGGCUCAAGAUCUGCUAUAUCGGGGAGGUUUUUGGAUGGAGGGUCGUUUUAACAACUACAACGACAUGGAGGAAAUUAGGAGGAUGCUACGGCAACUUAUGGAACACAUUGCUCGCAUUGAAGCUCGAACCCAGAUAGGUAAGAGUUCUGACGGGGAGGGAUGUGUGAACCCUUAUCUGAACCGAGUAGCUCGCAUCGACACUCUAAGCCGUGAGAGUCUCGACGGGGAGUACGAGGGAGAUAGCCCUUUUCAUUAUUGUGCUCCGCUGUGUGAGUCAAGUGAAGAGGGGCACGGUUAUUCUCAUUGUGUCUUUGAAGGUAUAAAUGAAUUUAGUAAUUUUGGUGCAUCUUGUUAUUCAUCAAAGUUAUUAAAUUUGGAUUUACCUCCAUUAUUUGAUCCUUGCAAUUGUGAAAAUUGCAAUAAAAAUUGUUUGGGUGUUCAAAGCAAUUUUGAUAAGCAAUUUAUUGACCAGAACAGUGAAGAGAUGAGAAUUGAGAAAACUUUCGAAGAUAUUAUUGAUUUUAUGGGCAUUAAUAUUUUCACUUGGAAGGUUGCCAAAAAUCUGGUUGAUUUUGUCAAUCGGUUGAAGAUUCUAGAGAGAAACAUUUGCAUUGCUAGAGGGAGUAAGAAGUCAAGAAUAACGAAAUAUUCCAAAUAUCUUUUUAUUUGGAAAGGAAGGUUUCAAUUGGAUGCUAAAAGAUCCAAAAUUAAUAUGCAGCAAUUGAAGAUUCUACUCGGAUUUUCCUUAAUCAAAGGCUUGAAUUCGAGGACGAAUUCUUUCCAACUAUGGGAGUCUGAUGCAGGAGCAUAGGGGUGGAUCAAGAUAGAUAUUUACUAUUUAAUUUGUUAUUUCAUGAUAUAUUGUUAUUUUCUUAUUUAGGUAGUUUUAUGAUAUCUUUUAUUAUUUAUGUGUGAUUUUAUAAUUAAUUAGUUUACUUUUGGACCAAGUAGCCUUGGUGCUCAAGUCUUGUAAAGCCUAUAAAUAAGGCUAAUGUAAUAGUUGUAGAAUAGAUGUCGAUGAUUAAUAAAAUCGUUUAUUUGUGGCAUGGAUUUGCUACAAUAUAUGUGAGUUUGCACUAACCCUUGAUUUCGGUGCUCGUGUAUGUGGUUGGUGACCUGUGUCCGGAUCCCGAUCCCCAUCAGAGUUCCCCUCCAGCUUUUGAUUCCAACGGUUGAUAGAGUUUAAAUAUUUUCCUGAAAAGAUCAAUAAUAUGUGCCACUGAUCUAAAAGUCUCCAAAUUGUCUUCCAAUUUGUCAACAGGCAAUAGAUGUUCGAAGAAACUGAAAGAAAUACAAAUUAUUGAAAGCCCCUCAGUAAUGCUGUUAUUGUCAGCAUUAGCAGGGAGUGUAAUUUUCUGUGGGUCGAAAAGAUCCUCGAGAAUGAAGAAUGGCAACUGAUUUUCAAGCAACCACGUAUCUGUCCAUGCAUCUUGCAACAUACCUGGUUUGUCAAAUAUGCGGUCAUUUUCGUCCCAAAAUUUGAAGUAGUCCUUCAAUAAGGGCUCAAUAACGAAGGCGGCGCCCACUAGAAUGAUUGUUACAAAUUCAUCACUGCUAAACUUGAUGGGUUCUCCAUAACAACGUCUCAAUCUUGCUUCGUGGUCCUUUAUUUUCUUAAUAUAAUCCUCCAAACUCACAUUGGUCCGACCUAUAAAAUCUUGCAGGUAUCUCUGUUUGUUCUCUUCCAAUACGACAUUCAAGCCUUCCUUUCCAUGGUGAAGUGGACCUAUAGAGACCGACUGCCUGAGGUGUGCAGAGCUUUUCAUUCACACAUACGUAGAUAAAAUGUCUGGGGGCUCAGAGAGUGAUGAAUGUGCAACAGCUAAUGGGAGGGUUUAUAUUCCUGAAGUAAGAAAUGAGGAAACACCAGCAGUUGGGAUGAAGUUUGACUCGCUUGACCUCGUUUACAAUUUCUAUAAUAGAUAUGCAUUCUUGGCUGGCUUUGGUAUUCGACUUCAUUCUAGCUUUUGGGGGAAAAAUAAGAAAGAGAUUUUGAGGAAAGAAUUUGUAUGUUGCAAACAAGGUGCAUACAAGAAGGAUGAAACUCGGGAGAGAAAAAGACAACGGGGAAUAAGUAGAUGCAAUUGCAAAGCAAAGAUUGUGGUUGUGAAGACAAAUGGGAGCAAGAAGUAUACCAUUUCUCUUUUUGCAGAGGGACACAAUCAUAAGAUGACACCCUCAGAAAGAAUGCAUUUAUUGAGAUCACACCGUCAUAUUUCAGAUUCUACAAAAGUACUCACAAAACAGUUGGGUUCAGUUAAUAUUCCCAUUCAUCAGAAGGUAAGUAUAUUCGAGGUGCAAUCCGGAGGAAUGGAUAAAAUCGGUUUUAUCAAAAAAGAUAUCUACAAUCUUGAAUGUAGUGUGAAUGGGAAGCUGAGGAACCACGAUGUUGAACUAGUGACCGAGUAUUUUAUGGCUGAACAGAAAAAAAAUGAGGCUUUUUAUUUCAAGAUUGAGGGAGAUGGGCAUGACAGGUUUAGUCGAUGUUUUUGGGCAGAUGCAACUUCUAGACGGGCGUAUGGGUUUUAUGGAGAUGUUGUUGUAUUCGAUACCACAUUCAACACGAAUCGAUACGACUUGACAUUUGCACCAAUGUUGGGAGUUAAUAACCAUGGUCAGACAAUUGUCUUAGCAUGCGCAUUUUUGAGCAAGGAAACGACUGAGUCGUUUGUUUGGAUGUUUGAGGAGUUUAAGAAAGCCAUGCCAGGUGGGGAACCUAAAACGAUCAUUACAGAUCAAGAUGCGGCAAUGGCCAUAGCGAUUUCAAUAGCCUUCCCGAGUACAUUUCAUCGACUUUGCAUAUGGCACAUCACAUCAAAGUUCUCUGUUAAGUUACCACGUGACGCUUAUAAGGAGUAUUGGCCUGAAUUUCAGAAAGCCAUAUGGGAUACUGACAAUAAGGAUGAGUUUGAUGCAAAAUGGAAUAUUGUGGUUAUAAAGGCUGGUUUGACUGACCAUCCAUGGCUAAGUUCAAUGUUUGAUUUAAGGGAAUCUUGGGUUCCAGCCUACGCACGACAAUUUUUUGCCGCUGGAAUGUCAAGCAGCCAAAGAGCGGAAGGUUCUCAUGGUUUUUUCAAGCAAUACAUAUCAAGGAGAAAUUCGUUGAUGGAUUUCAUAAUACGAUUUGAGAGGGCAUUUUCUCAUCAACGUGAAAAAGAGUUAGUUGCUGAUCACGUAGAUGCAUUUGAAGUGGCUCAAUGUCUUCUACCGAUGCCAAUGAACAAACAAAUGGCUACCUUGUACACAAGGACAAUGUUUCAAAAGUUUGAGCAAGAACUAAUACAAAGUACAGCAUGUUUCCUAGAGCUCAAAACAGAGGAUGCAUGUAAAGUUGUGUUCAACGUGAGCGAAAGGAAAAAUUGGGAAACAAGAGUGGCAGAAGUCGUAUAUGUCAAAGAUUCUGACCACGCAUCGUGUAGCUGCAAAAGAUUUGAAUUUGUUGGAAUUAUUUGCAAGCACAUCCUAGCAUUGUUCAGAAGGGACCAGAUUGAAUAUAUGCCCGAUAAAUAUAUUUUGAAGAGGUGGAAGAAAACUGCGAAAUGUGGAUUGGUGUCAGAUGCAAAUGGCAACGAAAUUAAAGACUGUGCAGAUCCUGGCCUUCUAAUAAAGCGGAGUACAAUGUCUCGACUUGCUUCAAAUGUGGUUGAGGAUGCAUUAAUGAGUGAAGAAGGAUGUGAGCUACUGUCAGAGACUCUAAAAAGUUUGCAGGUGAAGUUGAAGUUGCUGAAGGAUGGACCAAGUAAUAACGAAGUUGGAGGGUCCAGCUCUCAAACACAAUAUAUGAAAGACCCUAAGAGAGUGAGGUGCAAAGGAAGGUCGAAAGGAAUAACGGGAGCAAAGGAAAAGGCAAUGAAGCGAGGGAUUAGACACUGUCGGGAGUGUGGACACAUUGGUCAUGAUAGAAGACAAUGCCCAGCCUUGAACACACCGUAAGAUGCUACCACUAUUUGUAAUAAUAUCUAAAAUAUGAAAAGGUAAAAUUUUUAUGUGCUUGUGUUUGAUGUUUAUGCAGGACAUCACCGUCGAACAAUGACAAAUCAACUCCAAUACAUCGUAGUGACCCAUUAUUCGACGAUUUUGACAAGAUGCACAGACCAACUGAAUGAUUGAUAUUUGUAUUAGACGAAAUGUGGUUGUUAUGAAGAUUAAUGAUCAAGUGAAGUUUUAUAGAUUCAGUUUUUGAAUGUUAUUGUGUUUUUGUUCAUGUCCACCGAUGAGCUCUUACUAUGUCCACUGGUAAUUGAAAUGAAAAUUUUCUUGGUUUCAUUCUUCCAAGACAUUUGGAGACAUGUUAAUUUUACGUCUUCUCCCUAUUUAUAAAUUUUCAUAGACAUUUGAUCAAGUUUGAAAUUUGUAGUUAUGUGAAGAAGCAAUGACUCUUACCAUGUAAAAUGGGCAGUUUAGGGUGAAAUUUGUUUUAACAGAGAUUCAUUUUUCAAUUCCUCAGGGUAAUGCAGCAAUUACAGCAGCCAGCUGUUGUUUCCAUUACCAGUAAUCAUUUCCAGCAGCAGCCACUUUUUCCGACUGGUUAUUAGGGGCACGAUUUUGUACACUUUUGUAAGUGAAGGAUACUCGAAGCACUUUGUUGGAACAGAGCAAAUAGAAACCAGCGGGUAAAAAAAAAACAUAACAUUGCAGCUAAUUACAUUUCGAUACAUAGGUGAAAAAUAUUAAAGGGUACACUAACUUACAUAAAUACUCAUAAUUCCACACACAAAAGAACAUUUGAUUGCAAAACAUAUUAUGUGCUUCCUCAUAGCAAUACCACGAUCUCCCCAACCAACUGAACAACGGUAGCCACAAUCACUGGGUCGUACUCGUCAGCUUCUUCUUAGCAGGUCUCACAUGCUUAUGGCCACUCAUAUCCCUAGUGAUAUACACGAAAUAAAUCUUCAGCAAUAUUUGGAAUUUUAUUAUAUAUAAAUAAACCAUAAACCAUUCAGUAAACAAUGUAUAGCACAUGUUAUGUAACUUAUGACUCACGUGUCAGUUUUUUUUUUAACACAUUAGUACUCCAGCUCUUUAAUGUAAAUGGACAUGAUAAGGAGCAUUUACUGAUUCCCGGCUUUCUAUGAUAUUGACUGCUUCUUGAAUAAUAUUUCCAUAUUUGCAAAAUAUAAUGUUAGACAUUAUAACACAUGAUGACUUGCAAUACAUAGUCCCAAUAAUUAUAUAUCAAGCAAAUGAAACUGAUAUUUGUGUUAUUUUAAGUUAGAUAAUGACAUUAAGGGAGUAUAUGUGCAAUACCACGGUCACCCUCAACCAACUGAACAGCGGUAGCCGCAAUCACUUAGUCGUAUCGGUCGGCUUCUUCCGAGCAGCUUUGACGUGCUUAUGCUCAUUCAUGUCACCCCCAUCGUCUAGUAUCUCUCUCACAGCAUCAGGGGACACAUAGUUCCAAUCAUAACUUGUAUGAGUAGUUGCCGCAAAUGCUCGGAAUUUGUCGAAUCCUUCGUUGAAUGCCAACUCCAGUUCAGUAUGGUGCUCUUCGCAUCGCAUAUGGUUCAUCAAACAACCUUUGAUUUCAUCAUUCAUUACUGUAUCCAACUCCUCAGCUUUCAGCUUCCUGCUAUGACUCAGCUUCAAGUACUUGUUCUUUUGGGAUAACGCUUUGUUCACCCUAAUGUUAAGAUCAGCCAAAAUUGCCUCGUCUUCAACACAUUUCUCGUGCCAUGAAUUGAUCAGUCUGGAAUUAUAAUCCAGCUUGCCACUGACUGCAUGUAUUGCCUGUAAUGGAUCAUCGGAGUCCCCCUCACUCCCAAAUGAUGUUGAAAAAGGAAGGGGUCGGCGAGUACAAUGUGGAAAUAGAACCUGCCACUCCAAUUUGUCAUCUUCGAUUGUGUUGUUGGCGCCUGAAGAGGUUGACAUGCUUGAAUAAUCCUCUUUGUUUUGGGAGGAUGAGGAUUGCAUAUGCAAUUUCGUUUGAGAAAGGGAACAUAGGUUUAUAGACCAACAUACCAAAGCUUGUGUGUAGUCAACAUAUGUACUUUUUGGCGGGAAUUUUUUAAAAAUAGGUGUUAGGUUUUGCUUUUCAAGCAUGUCAACCUCACACUCUCCUGACACCACUGCUAGUGGUUGAAACAAAGUCAAUGGAAGUGACAUCUACUUAGUUAACUCAACCAAACUAGUUAGGAUUAAACUUAGAUUGUAUCAGACCAAAAAAUAAUUUCUACUUUGUCAACCAAAUAUUUUUUGGCGGGAACCCUUUUCUUGGUAUUACUAUCACCCCUUUCAUAUAAAAUCUCCUUCCACACAAAACUCACUCCUCCACCGAAUCUGUCUCCAUCUACCGAUACUCUCUCAAGCAAACAAACUCAUUCCCCCCAAAGAAUGAGCAUAAGCACAACCAAGUUUGAUGUGAGCAUAAUAAACACCCCUCCAAACAAAGACCGGCUUCGACACGCAAGUGAGUCACCGGACAAGCAAUGUCACAUUGCUAGACAGAAUGACCAUUUUGUUGGAAGUUUUGAGUCUGAAAGAGUUGUUGCUUUUUGGAAGGAGAGGCAUCUUCAACUUGGUGAUGAAAUCCAAAGGGCAAGGGCACGUUUGGAAUUUGUGGAAGGCCAAAUUGAAGAUGACAAAAGGCAGGCCAAUCUGGAUAGGGCGAAGUUGUAGCGCAUGAAGCGUAGACACAAACGACUUCGGAGUGUAGCUGUUCAAAAAUACAAGAACUCAUCUAAUGUAGUGGAGUCAAAGAAGCGUGUGAUGCAAGCUGGAUUCGACUACUUCCGAUCCUAUGCAAAACUCGUCGUACCCGGGUUUGAUUGGUCAUCUAUUACCGUUUCCGACGUCACCAAAUAUACUCAGCAAGGGAAGUAACCAUUUUGGUUCUCGUGUUUUAGCAGAGGCAAAUAAGUGGAAUUGGAAUUUUGGUUACACUCUGCUUCAAAGCUAUUUUGAUGCUAACUACUAUGGAAGAUUUAAACCUUAAUAUUUUGAUGUCUUUAAUUACGAAAACAGAAGAUGCAAAGAGCUCAUCUACUUCAGCCAUAUGUUGCUGCCAUGUCCAUUUGUUUUUGAUCACUUAUCAGAUUUGGACAUGGUUGCAUCAUAUGCAAUGUUGCCUUUAUUUAUUAUAUGUUAGGACAAGGUUUAUGGAAAAGCUUUUGUGAGUGCGUUUGUGACAAGGUUAUGGAAUUAUUAUGUACACUUUAUAUAUUGUUUUUUGUACUGGUUCAUUUCCUACUAUUUCUUGCUUUCUUUAUAUUUUAUGUUUGUGGAAUCCCUCUCAAAGUUAACAUAUACUGUGAAAAAAAUAUUAUGCAACUGAUUAUAUAAUCACUCAUAUAGACUAGGACAAAUAUUCACUAAGGGUUUUAAACUUGCUUCACUUGUGUGAUGUUAUUGACAAAAAGUAUGGCAUUAUUUAUGUGAUUUGACAUGAUUGAAAAUAUAUUACUGAUUCCCAAUGCGGCGUCAUAUGGACAACGUAUUGAAUACCUGUGACGUGUUAAUAACUCAAGGUGCAGUUGCAUGUGGACAACUUCUUGAAUACCUCUGACGUGUUGAAAACUCUAGGUGCAGUUGCAUGUGGACAACUUAUUGAAUACGAACUGACGUCUUCAAAGCUCUAGGCGUAGUUGCAAUGAUGGCUUCAAAGCAUGUGCAAUUAUUUUUUAUGUACAUUAUUAUAACAAAACAUAUUAUUGUAUAUAGUGAAACUAAAUAUUGUAUUAUUAGAAAUUAUAUUUCGAAUAUUAUCCGAAAUAUACGUGUUAACGUGAAUUUGGGUUAAGAGGAAAGUGAGUUAUGUACAAAUAAUUUUCAUUUUCUCAUUUUCCGGGCAUUUUUUGGAUUUUCGUAGAAUUUAUUACCUAUGUCCACAGAUUGUUGCACUAAAAAAGCCAAAAUAAUAGCAAGAGGACACCUGGAGCGAUCUCAGCCCGUCACUGAUGACUACUUGCACAAGUGUACGUCAGUCAACAUGGCCACACCCUCCCAUUUUACCCUAAAUUAUUAUUUUAUUACUUUUCCUUACAAAAAUCAGAACUAAUUACACACAAAAUAAAAAAAUUAUCCGAAAAUUGCUACGAACUCAUUGACACUCCAUCUCCGUUGCUGAAUUCUCCGAUUCAUUGUUACGUAUUUGUAAAAUUAAUUCCCAACAUUAACGGGAGAUGCUUGUUGAAGUAGGUUAUUCAAGUUGAAGUUAACAAACAUCAAUACUUAGGGUUAAGAGGAAAGUGAGUUAUGUAACACAAUUUGGAUUAUUUCAUUGCGAGACGAAUGAUUUAUAGGUUCUCCUAGUUUUAUGACGUCACAAGUAGGCCGGAGUAAUUUUUGGGGCAUUUUUACGAUUUUCCUACUAUUUUUUACCUAGUUUCAAAGAUUUUUGAACAAAAGAAUCCAAAAUGUAAAAGAAGAUGACACCUGGCGCGAUCUCAGCCCGUCACUUUUCACUACUUGCACAAGUGUACGUCAGUCAACAUGGCCACAUCCUCUCAUUUUACCCUAAAUUAUUAUUUUAUUACGUUUUGUCUUGGAAAAUUCAUAACUAAAUACACAAAAAUUCAAAAUUAUUUCUGAAAAUUGCUACGAACUCAUUGACACUCCAUCUCCGUUGCUGAAUUCUCCGAUUCAUUGUUACGCAUUUUUAAAAUUAAUUCCCAACAUUAACGGGAGAUGCUUGUUGAAGUAGGUUAUUCAAGUUGAAGUUAACAAACAUCAAUACUUAGGGUUAAGAGGAAAGUGAGUUAUGUAACACAAUUUGGAUUAUUUCAUUGUGAGACGAAUGAUUUAUAGGUUCUCCUAGUUUUAUGACGUCACAAGUAGGCCGGAGUAAUUUUUGGGCCAUUUUUACGAUUUUCCUACUAUUUAUUACCUAGUUUCAAAGAUUUUUGAACAAAAGAAUCCAAAAUUAACAAGAAUAUGACACCUGGCGCGAUCUCAGCCAGUCACUUUUGACUACUUGCACAAGUGUACGUUACCGAACAUGGCCACAUCCUCCCAUUUUACCCUAAAUUAUUAUUUUAUUACCUUUUUUCUUGGAAAAUUCAUAACUAAAUACACAAAAAUUAGAAAAACGAUCCGAAAAUUUCUACGAACUUAUUGCGAUUUCAUCUUCCUACUGCAUUCCCUGUUUAAUGGUUAUGCUACAUUAGUAUUUUAUUAUUAUUUAUCCACAAUUAUUAUAAUUAUUAUGAUAUUACUUUUUAGGCUGUCCAUUUGUUAAUUAUACCACAUCCAACUUGUUGAAAACAAUUUUAUUUUCCGUGCGAAUAGGCCAUUUGUAGUGCUUAUCGGUUUCUCUGUUCUUCAAUUUGUUAAUUUUUUUAUUUUUUAGGUUGAAGGGAUGUUUUGAAACAUAAUAUGGAAAUAUACAAGUCAUCCAUUGUACUCCUUCCACACAAAAAAAUAGUCUACGUCAUUCACUGUUCAACACCCUAGGUUAAGACACGUGUAACCAAAUCCGUUCGGAUAUGCUAAGUGGGAAAAUGUCAUUCCCAAGCACUGGUGAAAAGACACUUAUUUACUCCAUGCAUGACUUUUGGUUUACCAAAUAUGAAGAUUGGGGUCGGUGAGCAAAAUAUCUGUGUCAGUAAAAUGUCAUUCCUAGCCAUCUAUGAUGUAAGUAAUAAUUCCGCUAUAUAAUAAAUAUUAUACAUUUAUAUAUAAAACGGUUUAUGACAAAAUACCAACAUUUGAACAACAUUUAAACUGAGAUAGGUAUAACGUAGCCAGCCAACCUAGAAGUGAAGAGAAGCAAGUCCACAAUGCAUCAAAACUGUAAAUUCGUACUAAAACUAAUGCAAAAAUACGUGAUUCCCUCGCACAACUUACUCACGCAGGAUUUUGCACCAAAAAAUACUCUCACGGUGCCAUUUGCAUCGGUUGCAGCAAGUCCAAAACGCAGGAUUUAUCUUGUCUUCACUAGGCCACCCUGGAAUAACAAAAUACCAUUCAUUGUUGUUACAAGCGCUGCACCGAUUGAACUUAAUCUUCCCAUAGUCAAACAUAUCUACGAUAUGUCUUGCAACAAAUGCUCCGCGACAUCUUCCUGUUAAAGCAUCCCUGGUUCCUUUCAUAUCAAUGUUGUUACGUUGAUUCAAAGAACACAAGAAUUGUAAUGCAUCCUCUUUUGACUGACCAAUUCCGGACAUACCAAGUAGUCCAACUACAUAUGCCGCUUCCAUAUGGCCUGCCGUGGCUGCAAUGCGCAUCCCAUACAACGCUUCCACCUUACCGUCUGUGAAAAAACCUUCGAAUGCUUCUCUAAAUAUGGACUCAGGGUUAUCGCAAGCCCUGCAUUGUUGCAAGAAAUGCUGGACUGCAGGUUUGGCACGGUAGCAGAUAGGAUGGUGUGGGUACUUUGCCAUUGAAAUGGUGUUCCACACUUGUGGACUGUUUGCCAAAAUGUUGAACAAUCGGCACACACAUGCCAUACGGAAGAGAUCUUCCGAUGAUUCGGUUGCCACGUAUAACAUCACUUGAAACCAAGCGGACUCCGGGAUAAAGGCUUCGGGCAUAUCGAAAUGGAGAUGCUUCCUUCUCUUUCCUCCGACUGUAGUGAAGUGUUUCGAAUUCAUUGAAAAGUUUUUGGAAUGGAACGAUUUGAGGAGUGGCAGAGGGGAUAAAUGAUAAUAUUUGGGGUACACGUUCUACUUCCGAGCCUCUGUUUAUAGUGUUUUGAAAAGGUGUUUCCAGUUGGGGUUUUUCCAAGUUGACCCUUUUGAAAGAAACUGAAUCCAAGUGAAUUAAAACUUAAGACAAAAGAAGGGAAAACGUCAUAACGGUGCAUACAGAGUCAGACAGUUAAAAAGUUAAUUAAAUGGCUAUUUGCAUAGCCAUUUUUGGGUUUAUCCCACUAUCAAAUUCAUUGAUACAAAUGUGAUGGAUUACUGACUAGUGACAGAAGGUCCCAUCAUAUACUUUUUCAUUUUCGCACACCCAACUAUCCCUAGUAAUGUUAUUAAAAUGGAACCAAUAAUGACGGAUUCUUAUCCAACUAGUUGCCUUAAUGAAAUAUAAAUAAAUUAAUAAAAUUGAAGCAGUGUCCCGUCAUUAGUCAGAAAAUAUAUUUGGUAGUGAAGUAGUUUCUAUUGCUUUUCGGGCUAAAAGAUGUCACAAUGCUGACGGUACAGGUGUCGACAUCGUGACCAACCCACCAAAUGAUCCCAAAAAAAAGUAAUAUAACUCGAUUUGGGCAGAGAUGAGAGAGAGCUGAGUGACAAGUUUAGGGUUAUGAGUGAAGGGGUAUGAAUGACAACUAUGAGUGAGAAGGUAUGAGUCCGAAGAGGUUUCAGUGAGAAGAUUUGAGUGAGAAGAGGUACAACUGAGAAGAUUCAACAUGUCUUCGUCUUCAUCUCCUGCUCAAACAAAGAGGUGUCAGUAUUGUGGAGCUACAAUGGUGCUUCGGGUUUCAAAAUCUGAAAAAAAAUCGAGGGAAGCCAUUCUGGAAGUGUCUAACCUCCUAUGUAAGUUUUAAUUUAAAGAAUAUGUAUGUGGGUGAAAAAAAACCUAUGUCUAACUCUGACAGAAUUAUAUUCCAUAUAUGAUGCCUGCAAUUAGGGAGCCACCAGUUGCAAUGGAUUCGAAUGGGUUGAUGUAACCUCCGCUGAAGCAGAACAUCAAGAUGACACGUAUGAUGUUAGAGUGCUGAACAUGCUGAAGUCCAUUAAGGACUUGGUAUUAGUUUUAUUAGUUGUAUUAAUUGUCAUUUUAUUUGUUCUUUUAAUGAUCAUUUAACUGCACGGUUUAAAAGAUUGUGAAAGUUCUCUCGCACAAGACAUAUUGCACGCACCACCAAUGAGACCCUAAACCCAUUUUGUAAUAUUUGGUAACUGCAUGUAUUUCGCAUGUUAUUGAAUGUUUAUUGAAGGUUUAUUGAUAGUUUGCUGCAUGUAUAUGGAAUAUCAUUGCCCCAAAAUUGGAUGUUUAUUGGGGCCACAAGUAUCACUCAAGUAAGAAUGAAGGGGAGAAACGGACCUUAUUCUUUCUUAUAGUAGGAAGAACAACUGUUAAGUUUAAUAUCCUAUUCAAUACGACUUCCCUAUGGUUGGUGUACUUGGGGACUGAAGUAUAUUGCAUCAUUAUUGUGGGCAAGGGCAUGUCUAUUGUGUGUGUUAAGGGAGUAUUGUGUGGGCAAGGGCAUGUCUACUGUGUGUAUAUUGCAUGUCUACUGUGUGUAUAUUGCAUAUCUAUUCUCUGUAUAUGGCAGGCCAAGUUUGUGUAUAUUGUUUGUCUGUUGUGUGUGUAUUGCUUGUCGGUGCGUUUGUGAAUUGUGGUUCAUUUUGUGUAUAUUGUCUUUGUUUCUACUUUUAUGCUACUGAGCUGCGGAAAACCUCGCAUGUUUAGACACCUAUUAUGAUGCAACACAUUGCGAUUAAUGGUGGCUUGCAUCAACAAUGACAUAUCACUUUGCAAUGAUGUAAUACACUUAAAAAGCCGUCUUCAAAUCCCAAUUCACAUAUGCAGUCUUAAAAUUCUAAUUCAAUGCAGUUUGGUUAACAAACAUGUAAAUGUCAUGAAGGAGUUAGCGGUAGAAUUCGAUAAGGACCCGUACGUCUCUAUUGUGUAUUUACAUUAGUUUGAGAAUGGACAUUCCCAAAACCUUCUCAUGUACCAUUUGUCAUCUUCAACCAAUAUCAUGGGAAGUAAGCAUCUCCCCUUGUUAUCUCCGCAGCCAAUUUCAACCGAAAAAAAGGCAUGUUGUGCGAGGUGCAAGUAGCUAACGGAAGCUUAGCGCUGAAAAGCUCAAUGUACUUUAACACAAACAUGCCACAAUCGCCUCUGAAGCAAAACAAGAACUCGAUCAAUUCAACUAAUGACAUUCUAAUGUAAUUGACAAUUGAAAGUAAUAAAAUUAAAUUGCAAGUUGUGCUUACUCAUUAGACUGUUGUGGAACAUCCACACGCUCUAUUGGCCACGGACACCACCAAUCUCGGCUGCAAUUGUUUGCAUAAACACCUUCUUCAUAAAAGUCGAUGGUGUUGAGAAGAUUUGGAAGCGUAAUUGAUAGCGGGCCGAGUUCUUCCUUUACGAUGUCAUCUGGAAUUAGUGAAACCUUUGAAUCGUACACUUUGAUUCACACAAUACCAGAUCAAACANNNNNNNNNNNNNNNNNNNNNNNNNNNNNNNNNNNNNNNNNNNNNNNNNNNNNNNNNNNNNNNNNNNNNNNNNNNNNNNNNNNNNNNNNNNNNNNNNNNNNNNNNNNNNNNNNNNNNNNNNNNNNNNNNNNNNNNNNNNNNNNNNNNNNNNNNNNNNNNNNNNNNNNNNNNNNNNNNNNNNNNNNNNNNNNNNNNNNNNNNNNNNNNNNNNNNNNNNNNNNNNNNNNNNNNNNNNNNNNNNNNNNNNNNNNNNNNNNNNNNNNNNNNNNNNNNNNNNNNNNNNNNNNNNNNNNNNNNNNNNNNNNNNNNNNNNNNNNNNNNNNNNNNNNNNNNNNNNNNNNNNNNNNNNNNNNNNNNNNNNNNNNNNNNNNNNNNNNNNNNNNNNNNNNNNNNNNNNNNNNNNNNNNNNNNNNNNNNNNNNNNNNNNNNNNNNNNNNNNNNNNNNNNNNNNNNNNNNNNNNNNNNNNNNNNNNNNNNNNNNNNNNNNNNNNNNNNNNNNNNNNNNNNNNNNNNNNNNNNNNNNNNNNNNNNNNNNNNNNNNNNNNNNNNNNNNNNNNNNNNNNNNNNNNNNNNNNNNNNNNNNNNNNNNNNNNNNNNNNNNNNNNNNNNNNNNNNNNNNNNNNNNNNNNNNNNNNNNNNNNNNNNNNNNNNNNNNNNNNNNNNNNNNNNNNNNNNNNNNNNNNNNNNNNNNNNNNNNNNNNNNNNNNNNNNNNNNNNNNNNNNNNNNNNNNNNNNNNNNNNNNNNNNNNNNNNNNNNNNNNNNNNNNNNNNNNNNNNNNNNNNNNNNNNNNNNNNNNNNNNNNNNNNNNNNNNNNNNNNNNNNNNNNNNNNNNNNNNNNNNNNNNNNNNNNNNNNNNNNNNNNNNNNNNNNNNNNNNNNNNNNNNNNNNNNNNNNNNNNNNNNNNNNNNNNNNNNNNNNNNNNNNNNNNNNNNNNNNNNNNNNNNNNNNNNNNNNNNNNNNNNNNNNNNNNNNNNNNNNNNNNNNNNNNNNNNNNNNNNNNNNNNNNNNNNNNNNNNNNNNNNNNNNNNNNNNNNNNNNNNNNNNNNNNNNNNNNNNNNNNNNNNNNNNNNNNNNNNNNNNNNNNNNNNNNNNNNNNNNNNNNNNNNNNNNNNNNNNNNNNNNNNNNNNNNNNNNNNNNNNNNNNNNNNNNNNNNNNNNNNNNNNNNNNNNNNNNNNNNNNNNNNNNNNNNNNNNNNUUUUCCUCUCCCUCAUCUCUAUUAUUUGGCCCUUCACCCCCUUCAAUCCCUUCAUCUUCUUUUUCCUCUCCCUCAUUUCUGUUACUUGGCCCUUCAUCCCAUUGAAUGUCAUCCAUUUCCCCAUAUCCCUUAAAUAGAUGUGAGACGACACAACGAUUCGUCCUCUGUUUCAGUAAAGCUAGGUCCCUCCUUACUUCCUGCUCAAACUGAGGACCUAAACAUUGGUCCAAUAGUUUUUCCAUCCGUAUGACCUUUAAGUGAAGGACGUCUUUUUCCCGCUUUUCUUGAAACAACUCGGACCUCAACAAGCUUACCACCUUGUUCAACUCAUCAAGAUCACCACAUGAAGAAGGAAUUGACUCUGCCGAGACAACAGCAGGGCGAUCCUGUGGCCAACUCCAAUAUGGCUGUCUCAUUUCCUCUUCACUUAGACAUAGCGCCCGCAACUGAACUGACUGUUUCAGAAUACAGACAAGAGUCAUAUUAAAUCAUUCUACUUCAUAAUUUCAUUCAAUCUUAUCAAUAGUUCUAAGGGCUGCAAACCAAACCUCUUUGCUCUGGAAAAAAUAAUUGUUCAACUUUCUCAUCUCUGGAACAGACGUAGUAGUUCUCCAUCGCAAAAUACGCGGGACAGCGGUCGGAUCAACAACCUUGCAGUAAUUCAGGUCCGCCAUUCUAGGAAUUAAUUCAUAUACCCAAAUCUACACAAUUCACAGGACAAAAGUCAUUAUUUAUGUUUUAAAGAAAAACAAAACAUAACUGACAUGAACAUUAUUACCAUGUACCUGGAAAGCAUACGUGAAACCUUUAAAACUCCAGCCACUCCUUUGCGCUUCACUAUGCUUAUCCUUCUUGCCCUUCUCAUUUCUCCGGCUUGUUCCCGUUACCUUACUUUUCCCCUUCCCUCUUCCCUCUUCAUUUUCCAAGCUUUUCACAUACUUUGUUGGUGCAGAAAAUAGACUGUCUUGGGUUUUGUCAAAGGACACCGAACCCCACGGAUACCUGUUGAACGCAUCCAAGUCCUCUACAAGGGUCAGGUAAUUUAGAUUGAUGUUCAAAUGUUUGUCCCUUCCCAAAACCACUAACUCAGCAAAGUAAACAAGAGGUAGCUUGAAGAUGUCAUCUUCCUCUGUGCACCUCACAAAUGCUUCUUCUAAAGCAUUGCAUGUAAUUCCUUCGUCUAUAAAAUAUCUUUUCUGAAGUCUGAUUUCAUUACUCUCUCCACUGGAAACUUCAGGCACUUCCCCAAAACGAAGCCCUGUGAUCAAACAGAAAUCCUGACGAGUGAACUGAGCAACGUCACACCCUAAUAAGAAACUCAGUCCAUCCAAGUCUUUCACACCCUGCCCCGCUACUCUACGCAACACAACCCCAUGCACAAUCUGUCCGCUAAACUGAAUCUUAUCUAUAUUCAGAAGAUGGCCAAAGCAUGAUGUCUUGAAUUGUUCUAAUUGUUCCGCACUCAACUUCGCUCGAAUUGCAGCUAGAGAUGAAUUUGCAUGUGAGCAGUUGUUCACCCGUGAUGAAUAUACCUCUGCCUCUGGCCAUACCAGCUCCACGUUGGAUCCCAUUUCCUCAAAUACAAUGUGAAAUAACGUGAACAUAUAUACUACCACGUAUUUGCACAAUCACAACUAGUCAACCAGGCACAUUACAACUUUUACAAAGUACAUGAGCAUAUGGAUUACUCAUCACAGGCUUUAACAUCAUCAAAGCAAUAUGACAAUUUUUGUGCAAAUACCUGUUAAUGCAAUGAUUAUGUGAAUUACAAACAAUUUCACGUGUUUUAUUUAUGGAUCCAUACUCGUGUGAGUGCAAUGUAGGCAAGUUCUGCACUUCACACACAUGACAAUUAUUGUCAUCUCAUACACAACCCAAAAUAAAUAAAUAAGAAAUAUAGUGGAAGGAAGCAAAGCAAAGCAUGUACUCUGCUAUCUGCUUGCUAAGCAAUUGCCACAUCCUUCUUUCUUUCUACCUUUUUCUUCAGUCACCCACAAUCGUCAUAGAUCAACCUUCAUUUCAAAUGCUUUGCACUUUUAUUCAUGAGUUUAUUAUUAUCUGUUCUCAUUUCUCAUAGGCAAAUUUAGUAACAAAUGAAAUAAUAUUUAUUUCACAAAAUAUAUAAAUUCUAGUGCCAGAGAGGUACUCUUCACUCUGCACUGCUUCAAAUGUGGAAGGUUUUGAGAUGUUAUUGACAUGUGAUUGACUUUAUUUUCAUUCGUUUUUUAACAUAUACCCAAGCAAAAAUUAACAUGCAAUUGAAGCACAAAUAAGAGAUGCCAAAUCCAACAACAUUGAUGGUACAAAUUGGGGAAAACCAUUACUCUAACCCUAAACUCAAAUUCCUUACAUUACUCAUCAAAUGCUUUGCAGUUCUAUUCAUGAGUUUAUUAUUAUCUGUUCAAAUGUUUCUCAGGCAAAUUUAGUAACAAAGGAAAUCAUAUUUACUUCAUAAAAUAUAUAUAUAUAUAUAUAUAUUCUAGCGCCUCUUCUUAAUCUGCACUAUGCACUGCUUCAAAUGUGGAAGGUUUUGAGGGCCUCCUCCAAUUCAACACCAUUAUCUUAUUCAUAUCAUUAUUGACAUGUUAUUCACUUGUUAUUGACUUCAUUUUCAUUCUUUUUUUAACAUAUACCUAAGCAAAAAUUAACAUGCAACUGAAGCACAACGAAGAGAUGCCAAAUCCAACAAAAUUUAUGGUACAAAUUGGGGAAAACCAUUACUCUAACCCUAAACUCAAAUUCCAUAAAUUACUCACCAAAUGCUGGUUAUUGCAAGGUGUCUGUGUGGGGUCUUUCUGUUUCUUUGCUCCACAAAUGGAACCUACCACUUCCAACGAAUACAGCUUUUCCCCUUCCCCUUCCACUGCUUCGCCUCUUCACUGAUUUGGAAUCCACACCUUUGCCCCUUCUACUCCAAAUAAAUACUUUCUCGGGGUCUGGAGAACGGAGUGGCGAAUCGUUGCCUUCAACUGUCGUUAGCCGUUGCCUUCAUUGGGUAUCUCAGACCUCUGUGUUUUAGAGAGAUGAGUUCUUUCUGUUCAAACUUCGAACUUGCCUCUUCUUCUUCUUUUUCGGACGUGUUUCCCUCUUCUUCUUCUUUUUGGACGUGCUGGAUAUUCAAUUCGGGUUUGGGUUCCUUACCUACCCAAUUGUGAAACUUUAACUCAAUUCUCCCCAGCCCUUGGAUUAAUCUGAUGGCUAUAAAGUGAACCCCUUAUAACUUACCCCUUAUAACUUUCCACUCAUUAUAGUCUUGGCCAGGUAUGGCGGCCAUGCUAGUAAGUGUUGGGUCUUUGACCCAACUUAAGCUAAAUGGGUCAUAAGAUGACCGAUCAUCUUAUCUCAUAAGGAUAUAUAAGUCAUGUUAUGAUUUAGGAUUUUAUAGGGUUUCCUUUGUAAGAGGUAAGAGAGAAACAAGCUCUCUCUCUCUCUACACAAGGAGGUCAGCCAUAGCAAGGGAAAGGCUCCUAGCACUCUCCUCUCUCUUAUUAUAUCAUCCUUCCAAGGACAGCUUUGGUAUGGUAAAGUUGGAGGUUGCACACUUUGUGCACUUUGGUAAGAACUCAUCCAAGGGAGCCAAGAUUAAAUUGGUUAGCUGUUGGAUUAAAUUGGUUAGCACGAUUCAACGGUUAAUAGAUAAAACUUCACAUAAAAGUCAUAUAUAAGGCCCUCACUAUAGAAUGACUCGUUAGUUUAGUCUCUUGUUACAUAUCAAAUGUUAGAGAUAUUUUUUAAUAAGGAUCUGCCAUACCACAUAGUUGGAUAAGACAUUAUACACGGCUUUUGUAAGAGCAUCUCCAGCGCUCCAAACUAGCCCAAGCAGCAGGGGGGCCUAAGUCUAGGAAGCAGCUCCAGCUCGCAAGAUUCAACCCAGGCAAGGUGUGGAACCCACGAGGAGAUCUAGCCCGUCACCUUGCCUUUGGGUUUCAGUCAAGCUGAUGUCAACGAAAGAAUUUCAAAUUUUUUUUACCGUUACAAUGUACGCGCCAACGAUAAAUUUUCUUUGGAUUUCUUGCAUUGAUCCACAGCUACCAAAAACCAACAGCUACAAGCCACGUGGCUUCUCCAGGAGCCUCCGAUCCAAAAAUCAUGUCAAAUCUAACGGCAGUCCAUUUUUUGGCUAAAAAUAUCAAAAAAUUAUGGAAACAUGUUCUAUAAAUUCCUACAAAUAUUAUUCACUUCCCACACCAAAUCUUCAUACAAAUUCAUAUCCUUUCAAUAUUUUUCACUUUCCAUACAAGAUUUUCUACUACUAAGUUUCGUUUGUGUAAAAAUACAAAUGACCUCUUCUAUCGAAGCCGGAGGCGCGUGUACAACCGUGGAAGAUAUUUUGUUGCGUGAGUGUUGGGUCAAAGUUGGUCAUUCCCUGAUCACGGGCAAUGAGAUGAAGUCCUCUCGUAGGAGUUUCUGACAUCGCAACGAAAGUAAGAUGUGAUAUGAAAAUGUAAGGAAUUUGAUGAGAGGAAUGGGAUUUGAGGAGUUUGAUGUAGGAAUUGAUGUAGGAAUUGAAUUUGGGAGGUAUGUAUAUAAGAUUUGAGGGUAUGUGUUUAGGGAUUUUGAUAAGAGGAUUUGAGGAAUUUAGAUUUGAAGGAUUUGGAUUUGGGGAAUUUAAAUAUGAGGAAUUUGAUUAGGGUUUGGGUUUGAAUAUGUGAAAUUUGAUAUGAGAGUUUAGAGACAACAGAUGAUCGAUUGCUCUGAUACCAUGCUAAAAUAUGAUAUGGUUUGAAUACUUUAGGUUGAGUUUUAUUCUUUUCCAUAAAAAGGUAUAUAUAGGAGUUUACAUGAGUGCUUUACAAAGAAAUAGAUACAAUAAUCAAUUAGGAUAAUAUCUCCUAAUUAUACAAUAAUUUGUCAACUAUAUAGAAUAGGAAAGUAAAUUCCUUAAUUAAUCAAGAAAAUAAAUCUCAUUGAUUAAUUAGGAGACUAACGUCAACAUUUAUAAGCCAUAAAAGAGCAGAAAAAGAGGUACUUAGGAGAUUUUAUACGUCGGACUAAGGUAAGCUUAAAGGACUAUAUCAAAAAAAUAAGGGACCAAGAAGCAAGACAGAGAAGUUGUUAUGCAAACCCAUUAAGUUUAGCAGUGAUGAAUUUGUAAAAAUCAUUCUAGUGGAUUCUGCCUUCACUAUUGAGUUCUUAUUGAGGUUCUAUCUGAAAGGAUCUGGACAUGAAGGAGACCGCUUAUUAAACAAACCGUGGAUGUUUACAGCCUGACAUGUGGUUGCUUGAAAAUCAGCUCCCAUUCUUUAUUCUUGAGGAUCUUUAUCACACAUACAUAAUAACCGACUCUUUUAGGAAUUAUUACAGUACUCAUGAUCAUGAGAGGCUUUCAAUAAUUAAUAUUUCUAAGAAUUUCUUCACAGCCGGAAUAUUGAAUUUGGAGGGGAAGGGAGACAAAUGGAACAGAAUAUCAUCUUCUUCUAGUGUUGGAAAUUUUAUAUUAUUUAAUAAUAUUUAAUUUCUAUUGUGAAUGAAAAAUAAGUUUCUUUAAGAAACGUGUGUCUUAGGCCAGUUUUUCUAACUGGUCGGCUUCCUUAGAUUUGUGCCUAUUGCUUUUCAAAGUAUAAUGAUGCAAUGGUUGUAUCUCGUUCAGGCAAAUGGAAGGUAUAUAGCAAUUUAUAGAACAAUACAGUAAUCCAGAAGAAAUAUUAUGAAAUGAAAAGAAUAAAAAGUAAAAAAAGAGAAAGAAAGGAAUUCCCACCUGCAAUGUAUAUGUAUGAAAGGAAGGACCAAGUUUGUUUUAAAAUGGUAAGAACAAGUUGAUUUUAAAUUGGGUUCAGAUCAACUCAUAGAUUUCUUGCCUUUUCUGUUCUCCUUCCUUGGACAUGAACUGUUUAAUCUUGGACUCUUCCCCAUCAUGUUGGGCCUGUCUUCUUCUUGAGGAUUGUAUAGGCCUAGGAAAUGCUUCGGGGUAGUUUUUGUGUUUUGGGCAUUGGGACCCAACUUCACAAAAAGAAAACAAAUUUGACCAAAACACAAAUUUGAAGGACAUUGAAAUUGUACCCGUAGGAUAGAUUAAAACACUAUAAGGGAGGUAAAUAGUACGUUUACAGAGUUUAAGUGUAAUAAAGGAAUAAAAACAUGCCCAGAGAAUUGAUAAGUGAUAUCAAUUCUUGAAUAUACGUGAAAAUUAUUUUAUGUGGUUAAACCCCACCUCUGGGGAAAAUCCACGGAACUUCUUAGUCCAACUUCUAUCACUUAUCCUAGACACAUUCUAGAUAAUGUUUGCCAACCUCUUCGUAACUCAACUUCUGUCACGAGAUGAUCUUUCAACACUUUAUGUCGAACGCAAUACUGGUCACGAUUUCUUCAAGCUCGCCGGAGUUCUUCCAAUUCUCCUUAUAUUGAAUCUGAUACUAGUCACGAUCGAUUCAAGCUCAUCGGAGAAAAAUCGCCACAACAAUCUUGGUGCCCUCAACCGUAUGAGUCACUGAACAUGCAAAUGAAUACAAUAUGAAUGAUAAAAGUGUUUGAUAAAUCACCAAGUUAUGGAACACUUGAUGAUUUAUCUCAAAUAAAAAUUCAGCUUUCCAAAGUUUAUGAAUUGAAAAUAUGACCGUUAAAGCUCUCUAAACAAAGAAGACGAAGGUCUUAUUUUAUAGACUUUUACUUUACAAGAAAGAAAACACGUUGAAAACCAAAUCUCCAAUUUCCAAGGCUUGACAGAAAAUCACAAAAUUAUCUUUCCUAUUCUAGAGAUUGGUCACAUGAAGUCCAACCAAUAGGAAAUGAGAUAUUUAAGAAAGGAAGAUUUUGAUCAAUAUCAAUAUCAAAUGAAUUCUUAUACGCCUAGUCAAUUGUUAUGGGUAUCUUGACUCCUUGAUAUUGUGAUAUGAUUGAAACAUGAUUUCCACGUUAGAAAAUUAAGGGGAUGUUAAAACAUGAAGGUAAUAGGAGAAUCAAAUUGAUUUGGGCCAAAAUUGCCUAAAAAGAAAACACUCCUUAAUAAACUUCAAUUUACUUUUAAAAAUAGUAAAACGUGAUUGAAUCGUUCUUUAAAACAAUUCCCUAAUAUACAUGCAUGAUAGUGAUAUCACUUACCUUUGAAUCAGAUGGCUUUCACGGGUCAAGCCACAAGUUUUUGUCUUGGGGAUUGCUGAGCUUCAUCAAUCCUGCCAAUGUCAAUUUUGCCCCUAAGCUCUCUCAAAGCACGUUUACAACCUAUGCUAACAUAUAUUAGAGUUUAUGUUAGUAUCAAGAAAAUGCCAACACUAAUUUCGUAACACGUAGAAAUUGUUAGAGAUUGAAGUUUUUAUCAUUUUUUCUUCCAGACUCUCCACCACUCACUAAUAUAGUUUACUCAUGUGAUGAGUUUACAAAACCUAUUUCUCUACUCUCACAAAGACUAUACUUAGGGGGGUGUAUUCAAUUAGGAUUCUAAAGCGUUUAAAAAGAUUUUGUUUAAGUGCCAGCUUUCAUAGAACUUGAUGGAACUUUAUAAUUCGUAUAGAACUUGAUAGACUUUCAGAAGACUUCUGUAUAAUUUUUUAAUAAAACUUUCUUAAGCUUUCAUAGAACUUGAUAGGCUUUCAUUCCAAACUUAUGUAGAUGGUAUAUUUCAUUUUAUCCCCAUCCUUGACAUUUAAAGAAAGAAACUUGAAUUUUUUCAAUCAAAUUUGUUUUUGUUACCAAAGCAGCAAAAACAAAAAGUACUUGUUUGCGAUGGAAGAACAUAUGCACAGUUCAAAAUGAAAAGAAUAAGAAGCAAAGUACCUAUUUGACCAAUGAAUGCUGUGUCAACUAGAGAAGCAAUUGGAUCGGCUGUCAAAGCCAAUGCUGCAGGCAAUGCAUCGAUGGUCCAAAUUGCAAUAAAAAAAUAUUUUGAAUAAUGGCUCUUGCAGACAAAGACCACAUAAAUUCUGAACUGGUCUAGCUUGAAUAAUAAGGUUAGAUUAGCCAAUUGAUGAGAUUAAAAGCAAAGCAAGUUGAUGAAUUUAUCAUCAACUAUUUAAUAACCACAGUCCUGAUCUCUUGGACCCCUGUAGUCCAAGAGAUUUAUGGUCACCCACCGUUGGAUGUAAAUUCAACGGUUGACUUGAAUCGGGUAAUAAUCAUUUAUGUCAUAUUGCAUUUAUAUAUAUCAUUUUGAACCAUUGGAUUAAUAUCCAACGGUGGGUGACCACAAUCUCUUGGACUCCUGUGGUCCAAGAGAUCGGGACUGUUAAUAACCAAUAGAGUAUUUAAACAUAAACAACAAUGUUUGAUCAACAAAACAAAUAGUCCAAAUAUCAUCCAAAAAACAAUAACAAAAAAUCAAUCAUUCCAAACAAACUAGUCAUUCUCAAAAACUCUCAAAAAACCCACUCAUUCCAAAUUGUAGGAUAUCCAAUUUGAGCACUCCUCAGGAGACAUUUUCAAAAAUGCAUCCUUUUUUGUGUUACUAUGCAACAAAGAGAGUGCUUUAUAACGAGCAUGUUCAUCCAAAUUUGGGGUCUCCUUAAUGGCAUCCCAUAUAUAACUCCGCUGCUCUCUCUCUUUUUCCCUUUUUGCCAAUAGGUUAUGGACCUCCCGGAAGUCGAUGACAAUUGAAUCAAUGCUAAGGCUAAUUCUUCCCAUAGCUUGCUGGGUGGUCACAUUUGAGAUAGCAUUCCCUUCCAAAUAUGUUCUAGUUCGUUUCCUCUAGUAACAAGCAUAAAUCCUAGUAACAAGCAUAAACCCUAACCCCAACCUAUAACCUAAUAACAAGAAGAAAACCCAACGAGGUAUUGAUCAAAGAAAAAUUAGGGAGCAUACCUUCACAGAUGGAGGAAGGAAGCUGUUCGUCUUCGCAGAGAGAAAAUCUAGGGAAAGAGAAAAACGUCUUAUGAAAUACUUGGGGGGGAGGUUGGAUUUAUUUUGGUCUUUUUUAUUUAUAACUCUCCCCUUAAAACCUACGUAAAUUUAUCACUUAAUGAAAUCCUUCCAAAUAUAUGACCUUUCGAAUACACCUAGAUUUGAUUCAACUUUUUUAUAAUCAUAAUUGAAUACACCCAUAUUUGAAUGGACUUUUUAAAAGUUCAUAUAGGUCCGAAAUGAAUAUACUCAAACUUGUAAAACCUCUUUUAAAGUUUGUAUAAAUCCAAAUUGAAUACACCUGGAUUUUUAAAAUCUUUUUAAACACUUUAUAAUCCUAAUUGAAUACACCCCCCUUAUUCUCAAAAGACUAUAUUACUUUACCUCUAUCUCUGUGAAAUGUAAAAAGUUGAAACUUUAAUGUCAAACCUCAACAAAAGAUGAACUUUCAUCAGUUACGUUGAAUUUGGAUUUGUUGAACUUAAGUGGUUUUAUUUUCUUUGUCAGUGUUUGAUGACUUAAUUUGGUAUUUAUUUCUUCUUUUUUUUCCUUGGAAAUGUGUUCCACCAACGUGAGGAAGAAAAAUAUGCACAAAUUAAUAUAUUUAAUAGAAGCCCAAGAUUUCGGAUGCAUAUAAUUUCUACAAAAAUCUACAAAGUUUUUUACUUUACAAACUUCUUAUGUCUACCAAUUUCUACUAAAAUUAAUUUCUCUGUGGUGCUCAAAUUCAUCAUAUGUGUGUCGUUAAUUUUAUUGAAAAUUGGAAGUUCCCAUCAUUUUUGUUUUUUGGGAAUUUUCUGAACCAAGGAAAAUCAAGUAAAAUUAAUAAAGCCUAAAUUGGAAAGGGAAAAUAUCUAGAGGAUGCAUUGUAGGAUUGCUCAUGCCAAUAAUUGUACCCUCUAAAUAUAUAGAGACAUAUUUUUUUUGUUUUCAUGACAUGUGGUCCUAAAAUUAUUGUGUAAAUCUUCAAUCCUGAACGAUGCACCUAAAACUCAUCCACCCAUUCUCAGGCCAAUUAUUGCACCUAGUGGGCUCUCGACCCCCUCUCAAAUUUAACCACAUAUUUUAUGGACCAUCCAGCUGUGAGGUACAUUCCCCCCACAUGCCACAAUUGUAUAUUCACAAUUACGUCUGAUACAUCACAUCAUGCCACUUGCCUCAAAUGAAUUUAAGUGAGUGAGGCAGUUGGAAGUAAUUAAGCUCUAUAUUGGUGGGUGGAGUGUUACUUCUCGGUUCCCCUCAUCAUUCGUCUAUAAAAUGGUGAAGGCAGUUGCUAUUGUUACCAUAAGAGCCAGCUCCGACUUCCUUUAAUUUCUUGCUUCAUAUCCACUAGCUACAUCUGUUACCAAGUUAAUUUCAGUUCUAAUGGGGUUUCAUCUCCCACUCAUCUUUGCUCUUCUCAGUGUAAGCUCUGCAAUUUGAUUAACUUUUCCAUUCUCUCUCAUUGUACUCUAUAUAAACGAAAGUUUUGUGUUCCUAUUGUUCUCUCCGAUUUUAUUUAGUACGUACUUAAGUGUCGUCCACUAAUUAAUUAUACUUUGUGAUUUGAUUUUAAUUUGAGUUUGAAUUAAUGUUGCAGCUAGCAGCAGUGGCACUGGCAAACCAUGCUGCUCAACCAGCACCUCAACUUUACUGGAGCUCCGUCCUGCCAAACACACAGAUGCCAAGAUCUAUCAGUGAACUUCUGCAUCCUGGUUUGUGUUGAGCUCUUUAGAAUCUUAGAUAUCUCUUCUACCUGCCAUUUUACUAAAAUAUGUUCCACCACAUAUUUAUCAGUUAACCAUUGUCAUUACAUGAGUGACACAUAUUCACAAAUCGGCUGAUCACUUAUUUUCCAUUAUGACUUGAUAUAUAAUUUGCAGACUCCACAAAUGAAGAAAAGAGCACAAAUGACGUUGGCAAACCUGAAACUUUCCCAUUGGGCAAUCAACAUUACUCCAGUCAAAAACAUUAUGGAGGCAUACCUGAAACUUCCCCAUUGGGCAAUAAACAUUACUCCAGUCAAAAACAUUAUGGAAGAGGCAAACCUGAAACUUUCCCAUUGGGCAAUCAGCAUUACUCCAGUCAAAGACAUUAUGGAAGAGGCAAACCUGAAACUUUCCCAUUGGGCAAUAAACAUUACUCCAGUCAAAAACAUUAUGGAAGAGGCAAACCUGAAACUUUCCCAUUGGGCAAUCAGCAUUACUCCAGUCAAAAAAAGUAUGGAAGAGGUGCUUCUCCAUCCGACAAUCAACAACUCCAUUAUAAAGACUUAGCUAUUUUCUUCUUGGAGAAGGACAUGCGCCCUGGCACAACAAUGAAGUUCCAAUUCCCUAUAAAUUCAAACACGGCUACUUUCUUGCCACGAGAAAGCGCUCAAUCGAUCCCCUUCUCCUCUAACAAACUGCCAGAAAUUUUCAACCAUUUUUCAGUGAAGCCAACAUCUGAGGAAGCCAAAACAAUUAAGCAAACAAUCGAAGAGUGUGAAGCUCCAGACCUUAAGGGAGAGGAAAUAUAUUGCGCCACAUCUUUAGAAUCAAUGGUUGAUUUUAGCACUUCGAAGCUUGGAACAAGAAACGUUGAAGCAAUCUCGACGGAGGUAUUGGAAAAAGGAGCCACCAUGUCCAUCCAAAACUAUACAACAAUGCCGGGACUGAAGAAGUUGGCAGGUGACAAAGUCGUUGUGUGUCAUAAGCAGAACUAUCCCUAUGCUGUGUUUUUCUGCCAUGCAAUAAAACAUACAGCAGCUUAUGCUCUCUCCCUGAAAGGCGAUGAUGGGGAGAAGGUUAAAGCAGUAACCAUCUGCCAUCUAGACACAUCAGAAUGGGACCCAGAGCAUAUGUCCUUCCAAAUCGUCAACGUUAAGCCCGGAACCAUUCCCAUCUGCCAUUUCAUUUCCACUGAUGCUAUUGCCUGGGUUCCGAACCACAAAUCUGCAUGAUCAUCACUUAGCACUAGUACUGUGCGUAUAAUAUGCCUGUAUAAUUAUCUCCCUACUUAUUUCUGCCUCUUCAUCAUGUGGUGUAAGAUAUAUGUUGAGAUGAAGUUUUUGGGAUUUGUGGUCGAAAUUAACCCGAUCAUGUUUUCUCUUGCAACCAUAUAGACUUCAACUUGUACUCAUAAUAAAGCAUGCUAUAUUUAUGAAGAGAUAUUAAUCUUCAGGCAAAUAGAUAUUAUGAAAACAUAUAUAGCAAUUUAUCCAGAAGAAACAUUAUGAAAUGAAAAGAAUAAAAAGUAGAAAAACAGAAGGAAAGGAAUUCGCACGUGCUAUGCUAUGUAUGAAAGGACCAAGAUUGUUUUCCCUUUGGUUAAUGACUAGAAAAGCUCACUUGCAGAGUGCUUUCUCCGACCAUAGAUGGAAGAGAAAUUUUCUCUUAAUAAUAGCACAAUGAUCGGGUAAUUGUAAGAACAAGUUGAUUUAAAAUUCCUUGACCCAAAAAAAAAAAAAAAGUUCUUUUCAAAUUCAGGUCAACCCAUAGAUUUCUUGCCUUCGUCUUCUUCAUCACGUUGGGCUUGUCUUCUUUUUGCGUUUUGGGCCUUGGAAGUUGGGACCCAACCCAACUUCACAAAAAGAAAACAGAUUUGCCAAAAAUCAAAUUUCAAGUCUCUCCUCCGAUCACUAAUACAGAUCAAAUUUUGGAUUUGAUGAACUAAAGUGGUUUUACUUUCUCUGUCAGUGUUUGAUGACUUAAUUUGUUAUUUACUUUUUUUUUUUUACUUGAUCUUUGUAGGGGCUUUUUUUUUUCCGGCAGCUUAAACGGGCUGGGCUGCCGUAAAGGGUAGAUUGAUGAAAUUGUCCCCUUUGUCUGAAUUCGAAAAUCAAGCCCCAAAAGCGCUUCGAAAGGGCAGUAGAGCCUUAGGAAGCGUUCUGGUUACCUUCACUAAUUAAAACAACAGCAACUUACAGAUGAUUUCUUGAGGCUUACAGAUAAAUUUUCUAGCUUGGCAUGACAUGGAAGCAAAAUCAGCAUGAGUUUAGCACCAAAGAGGAAAAUAUGGCUUCCUAGGGAGAAAUGAGAGUGUUUAAGGUGAGGAAGAAGAGGUUUGCAGGCUGAUUUGGCUGAGAAAAGAGAAAGAAAGAACAAUGUUCUUCCGGCAGCUUGACAAAGCUUCUGACAGAUGUGAAAGUCGUCCGCCAGAAGAGGAAAAUGGAGAAGAAGGAUGAAUAGUGCACGAAAUUGGUGGGUUCUUGCAGGUAAGAGAGAAAGCUUGCUCUCUGAAUCUGAGUUGGUUUUGGUUGGGUAGAAGAAGCCCCCUUUUAUAGCUGCGGGAAACCAUCUUUUUCCAAGAAACCCUAAUGGUUUCUAUCCUUUUUGGCCAAGCUUUUCCCUUCCUUUCUCUUCUCCUCCCUUGACUUUUCCUAUCUUGGUGAAAUUUCCUCUGCCUAUUUGCACAAAAUUAGAGAUUUUGAGGAGCUCAAGGCCCCUUUCCCGCAGCUGCCUUAGUGGAGAAUCCCCAUUUUCAGUCAUCUUUCUUCCUUCUUUUCUCCCAUCUUCCAAGGCUAGGUUUGAUGAGAGAAAGAAAUGGAUAUGCACACUGGUUUGAAGGGUGUUUUUCCUUGAAACUUGUUCUCUCCCAUGUGCUGGAGCUUCCCAGCAGCUUACACACAUAGAUAUUUUGGCUUUCAUCGUGGCUUUUGUUUUCAGCUAGGUGCUGGAGAUUUUGCAUAUAUUUUCUUGAGUUGCUUGGGCCUUCUAGGACAAUACGUUGGUUUAUCAAGUGAAUGGGCUAACUUCAUCAAUUGUUGGGCAAUUUUGGUUGAGUUAAUGGACUAUUUUGGUUCAAGUAAUGGACUAUUUUGGUUGAAAUAAUAGGCUAUUUUUCUCUCUUUGUGCUCACCCACAUAUUUGGGCCUAAAAAAUGGGCUUGAGUUUCGGGGCUCCCAAGCAACCCCGGGACUUCCAUUUCUCGGCCCAUCAAUGAGCCUCAUGUCAACUUAUUACCAUCCAUACCACAACCCACUCAAGCAAGCCUCAGGCAUCUUGCGUGGCUUGGGCCCACGUAAGCUCGUAGUGGCAAUGUUGCUUAUUUGCUUGACGUGGCAUGUGUGCAAGUGCAUAUGACGAACUUUCGCGUGCCCAAAUUGAGUUUCUUCUCGGUAGGGUAUCGCAUUGGGCCGAGAAUUUAAUUGGGUAGAACCGUGGAUUUUUUGGGCCUCAACAAUCUUAUAUAUAUUAGUUUUCUUUUUUUCCUUAAUAUUCACCACCUUUCUGUUGCAUAAGUAUUCCAGUCUUAGCGGGUUUCCAUCUACCACUCAUCUUUGCUCUUUUAAGUGCAAGCUUUUUUAUUUUUAUUUUUUUAUGCACAAGAUUAGAGGGGAGGGAGAUUUCUCAAUGUAAGCUUUGCAGUUUCAUAAUUAAUAUUUCCAAUAUCUCACUGUUAGUAAAAUAUGGAACGGGAAAAGUACGAAUAAAAUACACACAUGUUUUAUUUAGCAAAAUUUUGACAAGAUACAACUGAAAAGUUUGGCCACUAUAUAAUAUUUUGAUUUAAUUUUUUUUAUUUUUUUAAUAUAUAUUAUUUUUAUUCAAUAAUAUGUGAAAAAUAGGUGUACAAUAUAUGAAAUUUGUAUGUAUUAUUGAAAAAUUCGUAAAAAAAAAACAUGUUAUUAAAUGUGAAAAAUAUGUACGUAUAUGUAUAAAACAUGUAUUGUACAUUACUUUUUAACAAACUUGUAUUUUACCUAGUCUUUAAACCGUAUAUGGAAAACGGAAGUAUUAUUGAAAAAUACAUAUGUACGUAUAUGUAUAAAACAUGUAUUGUACAUUACUUUUUAACAAACUUGUAUUUUACCUAGUCUUUAAACCGUAUAUGGAAAACGGAAGUAUUAUUAAAAAAUACAUAUGUACGUGUAUAAUAUGAGUAUUAAACAAAAAAAUGUGCUAAGUACUUAUCUUUUAAUUUAAUAAUUCAUUUCAUUUUGUGAUCUCAUACGUAGUAAUGAGAGUUCAAAUUAAUGUUGCAGCUGACAAUGGUGGCUCUGGCAAGCCAUGCUUGAUGCAGGAGUAUAGGGGUGGAUCAAGAUAGAUAUUUACCAUGUAAUUAGUUAUUUCAUGAUAUAUUGUUAUUUUCUUAUUUAGGUAGUUUUAUGAUAUCUUUUAUUAUUUAUGUGGGAUUUUAUAAUUAAUUAGUUUACUUUUGGACCAAGUAGCCUUGGUGCUCAAGUCUUGUAAAGCUUAUAAAUAAGGCUAAUGUAAUAGUUGUAGGAAAAGAGAUGUCGAUGAUUAAUAAAAUCGUUUAUUUGUGGCAUGGAUUUGCUACGAUAUAUGUGAGUUUGCACUAGCCCUAGAUUUCGGUGCUCGUGUAUGUGGUUGGUGACCUGUGUCCGGAUCCCGAUCCCCAUCAAUGCUGUUCUCCCAGUACCUCAACUUUACUGGAACUCUUUCCUGCCAAACACAAAUGCCAAGAGCUAUCAGUCAACUUCUGCAUCCUGGUUUCUAUUAAGGGACUUUUCGUGAGCUUAUCAUCUACCCAAAUUUUACUCAUCCGACGUAAUUUUAAAAGUGAUUUGAUCCUUUGGCAAAGUAAUCUUGAACUACAAAAAAGGAGGGCACUCGAAUAGGCAUGCCAUUUGGUAUUACCCACCUCUAAUUUCUUUUAAAAUUUUAGUAAUUGAUUUUUAAGAUUAGAAAAUGGGAAAGUUCAAAACCGAAAAAGUUGUUUCAGUUUUGGCAAGUAUCGGAAAAGACUAAAAUUUUCCGACUUUAUUAUUACUAGAAACAAAGUCGAAGUAUUCACCAAUCAUGUGGCCUUCCAAGUGCUCAAGGUUAAGCCAGGAACCGUUCCUAUCAGCCAUUUCCUUCCCAAGUAUGAUCAUGUUGUCUGGGUUCCAACCCACAAAUCUACAUCAGUACCUGAACUAAUCAGUUCUACAUGAAUAUUCAUUCAUGGCAACCUUGGGCUAAGUAUUUGAAUUUAUGCUCAUAAAGCUUUAAUGCUUUUGAGGGCCAAUCGUUGUCUACAUAUGGUAUUGUAGCAUCUUUAGAUGGAAGAGGUCAGGGGUUCAAUUCUUGUUUUCCACUUCUUUAUUUGUUGGUUUAUCGAGUGUAGAGUGGAGUUGCACCUAUAUGUUCGUCUCUCACCCCAUCAUUUACCAUUGAUAUAUAUUUAAUAGAAGCCUAAGAUUUCGGAAGCACAUAAUUUCUACUUUACAAACUUCCUGUGUCUACCAAUUUCUACUAAAAUUAAUUUAUCUGCGGUGCUGAGAUUCAUCAUAAUUUUAAUAGAAAUUGGAAGUUUUCAUCAUUUUUGCUUUAAGUCUCUACUCCACUCACUAAUAAAGAUUACUCAUGUGAGUUUACAAAACAUUUUUUUUUUCUACUCUCUCCUGAAGACUACACUUCUUCUCAAAAAAUUAGAUCACUUCACAUCUUGUGUAUGUGAAAACUAAUGUAAAAAGUUGAAACUUUAUCGUAAAACCUCGACAAAAAUGAGCUCUACUACAAAAUGUUAAAUUUGGAUUCGUUGAUUUAAAUGGCAAUUUGACACUUGAUAGAAAUUUUUACAUACAUGUGUUAGUGUUUGAUCACUUCACAUGUCACUUACUAUAUUUAUUCCACUCAAGUUAGGUAAAUAUUAUUAUCAAACAUUUCAAUUAAUUUGUGAUUUUUUUAUUAUUUAAUCAAUUAUGAAUUAAUGGAUUCUUCUUGUUGUUUUGAAGACCAACAAAAAAAAAAAAAAGGGUAGUGAUGGCUUAUAAUUCUGGUAAAACAACAGUGACGUGGACAACAGAUGUUACGCUGUACUAAAGAUUUUUGAAGAUUCUUUAUUUGAGUUUCUUUCAAGAUAAAAACCAUAUUAUCCACAACCACAAGCACAUCCGGCAGACAAUCUUUGGCUAUUCAUCACAAUUGGGAGACAAUGAAGAAGACAGAAAAUGGAGUAAUUCAGAUGUUACCAGCCAUCCACGACAAACUGAAGUCUGCAAAGCAUUCGUAAUCUAAAAAGGAUGGGGAGGCUGCGCAAUACUUAGCCACGUGUAGGCCAGGAGGCUUUCCAAUUUUAAUAUAUAUAUAGAUUGAAAAAAUAAAAUAAAAAUCAAUCUAUUAUCAUAUAUAUUAUAAAAUAAAGAUUAUUGCUCCCAUGGGCGGUGCUAUGCACAGGACAGUGCCUGCCUAGUCCAAAUUUUUUUUAAAUAAAAAUAAAAAUCUACAUAUGUUAUAAGCUCAUCCAAAAAAAAAAAAAAAAAUAAAAGUGUUGUAAAUUAUAAGGUGGAGCCCACAUGUUGGAAGGCUUUGCCUACAAAAGGGUUCACACCCUCCCUUUGUAAUUAGACAUUGAGAAUACUAAGGAAGACAGAAAUGAAUAGAGAGAAAACAUUCCCUUCUCUCCAUCUCAAUUCCCUCUCCAAUUCCUCUAGAUUUAUAACACGUUAUCAGCAGCACGAAUCGCUUUCAAACAAUACCAGCUGAAUUUUAUGAUGAAACCCAGAUCUCUCAUCCAUCUCUGCUGCUCCACUACUUCAAAAUAAAUCCCACAGAAAAAGAAAAAGCCUCAAUGCUCUCUCUCUCUCUCUGUCUCGCUUGGGAGACUUGGACAAUUCCUCAUCCCCGUUACUGACAAUUUCAACAGCUUCAGGGGAAGCUAGUUUAUCUUCCUCUGCUCACGAAACCAUGACUCUUUCAGAGCCAAACAACAACACAAUAGACAACGCAUGGAGACCAGACUGGAGCUCGUCGGCUAAGGCACCGACGAUCCGACCCUACCCGUAUGGACCUUCCGGAUGUGGUUCCUGGGUCUUGUCUCAUGUGCCCUCCUCUCAUUUCUCAACCAAUUCUACAAGCAGCAGAGCUUCAAAUCAAACAGAUCAUGGCAUCGCUUUCACACCUCCCCAUCUUCCUCUUCCUCCUGUUCACCGCUUUCUAUUCUACAGCUUCGCAGUCCUUCAUCGGCGCAUCCAAAGGCGACAUACCGGCGCUCGCCUCAGAUCCGAACGCGGCGGCUCAGUGGGUGAACUCGAAUGUCCUCGCCUUCUACUCGGCCAGCAACAUCGACCUCAUCAACGUCGGCAACGAGGUCCUUUUUCUCCAACGACCAGGGCCUCAUCUCGCAGCUCCUCCCCGCCAUGCGAAAUGUCCAAUCUGCCCUCUCCGCCGCGUCCCUCGGCGGCAAGGUCCGUGUCUCCACGGUCCACUGCCUCGCCGGAUCGGGAUCCUUCCUUCAAGUGUUUCUCUGUCUUCGACUUGAAAAAGAAGGUCAUGGCAGGCCUAUGUAAAAAUUGCGAAAAGGAAGGCAAUCUUCAACCUUUUCUCCUGUCUCUCUCUUGAUCAAUUCAUGGAAGGCACAUUUGGGUCUUCCGGGGGCUCAUCAAAUGAGUCAGCAAUGUCAAAGGUGGAGGUGGUGGAGCAAGACUACGUGGGGAUGUCAUAUGAGGCAACCUCAUACCCAGCUGAGGCAGAGCUUGUGCUGGGCCUGGGCCUUGGCCUGAGCCUUCGUGGUGGUGGUGCAGGGAAGCAGCCAAAGCCAUGUGCAUGGGGUGAGCGUGGUAGAAUCUUGACUGCUAAAGUUAGGUGCUGAGUUACACUGUGUUCUCUGCUACUGACCCUAAGAGGAGUGCUAGAAACUUCCAUGUUCCGCCAUCAUUUCGCUUUCACUGUUACAAGGCACUGGAGUAUGUUUAAUUGAAAAGUGAGAUACACAGCAAGUUGAUCAGCCUAGUGGAAAGCAAAGGAUUAUUGCCAGGGAUAUGAACACCCACCGAAAUAAAGGGAUAAGUACUCUUUUUCCCUUCGACCAGUUUUUUUUUGUCCCACUGGGUUUUUACUGGCAAGGUUUUUCACGAAACAUAUUCCGUAUCAUUUGUGGUCUCUAAGAGGGAGUGUUGUAAAUUAUAAGGUGGAGCCCACAUGUUGGAAGGCUUUGCCUACAAAAGGGUUCACACCCUCCCUUUGUAAUUAGACAUUGAGAAUACUAAGGAAGACAGAAAUGAAUAGAGAGAAAACAUUCCCUUCUCUCCAUCUCAAUUCCCUCUCCAAUUCCUCUAGAUUUAUAACAAAAAGUAAAUUCUACACAUAUGUUGCCCAUCCAGGUGGUCCCAUAUCUUCUCUUUCCUUUUCUUUUGGCUAUUAGACUUCUUGUUUCUCUCUCUCUCUUUGCUACCCCACAUCAGCAAGUUUCUCCCUCUCUUUUUUUGGGAUCAAAUUCUUCUUCUAUUGACAAAAUCUUCUAUUAUAUUGGGUGGGCAACUUGGCAACAACAUCUUCUCCUCUCCUUUUGUCAACAGCAAGUAUUAUUCUCAUUCUCUCAUUUGCUAUAUAUCUUUAAUUAUAGUUUUAAUUUAAAAUUGAGUAUUCUAGGGUUUAAUUAGGGAUGAAUUAUAAUUUUGGGAUUUUGUUGAAAUUAAUUAGGGCUUCGAUUAGGGGUGAAUUAUUCUACUGCUUUGAUUUGGAAUUUUGUUAAAAUUGAGUAUUAUAGGUUUAAUUAUGGAUGAAUUACAAUUUUUGGUUUUGGUAUUGUUGAGAUGUUAUUAUGAGAAUUUGUUUGAUUUUUUGUUGGUAUAUUUGAUUAAAAUUCUUUCUACAUAUUAUUCAUAGGCUAUCUUUUAUUAUGUCGGAUCACAAUCGGAAUCCCAAGAAAACAAAAAAUUUGAAUAGUGUUGUUUUGUAUUGCAUUGCAUUUACUUUUGGUUUUAGUUUUGCUUUUAGUGUAAAUUACUCAAAUGGUCCUCAAAUUUGUACCCAAUUUACAUUUUGGUCCAUAAACUAAAUUAUUCAUUCAAAUGGUCCACCAACUCUUUAUUAAUCGGUGCUUUGGUCCUAUCGUUAUGUUUUCUAUUAAAUUUAGUCAUGUGAGCAGCACAUGCUACAUUUGUAUGGGUAAAUAAGACUUUUGACCAGUGGCGGAUCCACGUUGGGACAAGAGGGGUCGGACGACCCCUUGGAAGGCUGGAAAUUUGGCAAGGGAGUCCAUGAAAGCCCCCUUGGACAGCUGCUGGAAGCCCCCUUGUAUGCACACAAUGUGCUCGACGAAAUGCCCCAACGAAAUGUCCUGCGCAGCUGUGCUGCGCCUUGCGCGUAAUUUUUUUUUAAAACCAGCCUUGCCAAACGACGUCGUUUGGUCAAGGCUCAGUCAAAUUUUUUUUUAAUUAACCUGGCCUCAAAACGACGUCGUUUUGGGCCAGGUUUAAAAAAAAAAAAACAGAACAGUACACACGCACAGCAGCUCUGCACAGAUUCAUUUUCUCCAAACCUUUCAUUCCCAAUUCCACAGCCCCUCUUCCCAUCCUCUCAAACCCUAACCUCCCAACCUCCCAACCUUGGACAACCUCCAUCAACUCUUCACCGGUGGCCCAAUGCCGAUCACCACCACCUUCUACCGCCGUCCGCCGCCCAUUUUUUAAACUACAAGUAAGUAAGCAUGGAAAAUCUGAUAUUAAUAAUUAUAGUGAUAAUAUAUAUUGUUGAUAUUGAUAUUUUUUUUUUAUGUAAUGAAAUUUAUGGAUAUGAAUCAUAUUGAUUGAUUGAGUUUAUGCUUGAAAUUUAUGGAUAUGAAUCAUAUUGAUAUUUUUUUUUAUGUAAUUAAAUUUAUGGAUAUGAAUCAUAGUGAUAAUCAUAUUAAUGUAGAUUGAUUGAGUUUAUGCUUGAUUGAUAAUAUGAAUUGAUUGGGUAUAUUAAAUAUUGAUUGCUAUUUGAUAUGAUAAUUUGGUAUAUUGAAUAUUGAUUGAUAUGGGUUUAGGGAGUAUAUUGAAUAUUGAGAGUGGGUUAUUGAAAUUUUCAUAUUCAUAUGAUAAUUAGGAUAAAAAUUAAUGAUUGAUUGAAUUAAUUGAUUUGUAGAUUUAUGGAACGAUUCUUUAAAAGAAAAUUAUCUACGGAUAGUUCUUCUCUGUCUAAUCCGGGUAGUUCAAAUGCAAGACCAAUUGAAGUAGAUGAGAUCUUAGCUAAUCUUCAAGCAGACCCUGGACUAAGAACUCGAAUGGCGGAUUAUAGUCCUAAUAUUAGGGAUGAGAUCCGAAGAGCAUAUCUACAAAAGGGACCUUGUCAACCUAGAAGUUAUAAAUUCCCACAAACUAAUCAAUCAGGAAUUAAUAGACGCUUCAUUGCUCAUUGGUUUGAUGAUCAUGAUUGGUUGGAAUAUAGUAUUGCUAAAGAUGCUACGUUUUGUCUUCAUUGUUAUCUCUUCAAAUCUAAUUUUGAUCAAGUGGGUGGUGAUGCAUUCACUGGGGUAGGCUUCAAUAAUUGGAAGAAGGCGAAAGAAAGAUUUAACCUUCAUAUUGGACCGGUUGGUAGUGUUCACAACCAAGCUAGAGAAGUUGCUUACAAUUUGAUGCAUCAAACUACACACAUUGAAACAAUUGUGCUCAAGCAAACAAGCCAAGCUCGCACGGCUUAUCGCACUUGCUUGAAUGCAUCACUUAAGUGCACUAGGUAUUUGUUGCGGCAAGGGCUUUCUUUUCGUGGUCAUGAUGAAAGUGCACAAUCAAGUAAUAAAGGGAAUUAUUUAGAGCUCUUGCAAUUUCUUGCGGAUCAUGAUGAAAAAGUUAAGGCCGUUGUAUUGGAAAAUGCUCCGGGAAAUUUAAAGUUAAUAGCUCCUUCAAUUCAAAAAGAUCUUGUCAAUUCUUGUGCCAAAGAAACCAUUGAUCUUAUCUUGAGUGAUGUAAAAGAUAGAUAUUUUUCAAUAAUGGUGGAUGAAGCACGUGAUGUUUCAAUAAAGGAGCAAAUGGCAAUGGUGUUGCGUUAUGUGAAUGACAAAGGACAAAUAAUUGAAAGGUUUGUGGGGGUUCAACAUGUAACCGACACUACUUCAAGUGCACUAAAGGAAACAAUUGAUGAAUUCUUUUCUUCCGCGAAUUUGAGCUUUUCCAAGCUACGAGGACAAGGUUAUGAUGGAGCUAGCAAUAUGAGAGGUGAGUUCAAUGGCCUUAAGAGAAAGAUUUUGAGAGAACAACCUUGUGCAUUUUAUGUUCAUUGCUUUGCUCAUCAACUUCAACUAGCUCUUGUUGCGGUAGCAAAGAAAAACAUUGAUGUCAACUCUUUUUUCACAACGGCUAAUAGUUUGGUUAAUGUGGUUGGAGCAUCUUGUAAGCGUCGCGAUGCACUUAGAGCACAAUACCAAGAAGAGCUUGUGAGAGCUUUUGAAGAUGAUUGUCUUAUAACGGGGCGGGGCUUAAAUCAAGAAAGGACUCUCAAACGUGCCGGCAAUACACGAUGGAACUCACAUUAUGGUACGUUGAUUAGUAUCAUUUCUAUGUUCCCAUCUGUGGUGAAUGUGCUUCAAAUGAUUGUUGAUGAUAAUCUUAAUGAUAGUUCGGGUGAAGCCUAUAAGUUAAGGAGAGAAAUACAAUCUUUUGAGUUUGUGUUUCACUUAUUUGUAAUGAAAGCUAUAUUGGGAAUAACAAACACUUUGUCUCUAGCAUUGCAAAAGAAAGAUCAAGACAUUGUGAGUACAAUGAAUUUAGUGAAAACAUGCAAGGAAAACCUGCAGUUGAUGAGGGAUAAUGAGUUUGAAGAAUUGGUUGGGCAAGCAUCCUCGUUUUGUUACAAAUAUGAUAUUAUAGUUCCUACCAUGGAUGAGGAAUAUGUAAUUCCAGGGAGAUCAUGGCGUAAUGCUCCAAUGAAGACAAAUUAUCAUCGUUAUCGUGUGGAGAUCUUUAUUCAUGUAAUUGAUGGGCAACUUGCGGAAUUAAAUGAUCGCUUCAACGAGGUAAGUACUGAGUUACUUACUUGUUUGGCAUGCUUGAGUCCAAAAAAUAACUUUGUGACUUUUGACAAACGAAAGCUAGUUCGUCUUGCUCAAUUUUAUCCUUAUGAUUUUUCGGAUAGAGACUUAUUGAUGCUUGAAGAUCAACUUGGUGUUUAUGUUCAUCAUAUGCGUUCGAGUAGUGAUUUUUCUCAAUUGGAAGGGAUUAGUAGUCUUGCGGAAAAAAUGGUGGAGAAAGGAAUGCAUGAAAUAUUUCCUUUUGUAUUUGCUUCUUACAUUGGCUUUGGUUUUACCGGUUGCAACUGCAUCAGUGGAGAGGGCAUUUUCCGCUAUGAAUAUUAUUAAAAAUCCACUUCGCAACAGAAUGGGAGAUCAAUGGUUGAAUGAUAGCUUGCUUGUUUACAUUGAGAGAGAUGUUUUUGCUUGUAUUGAUAACGAAAUUAUAAUGCAAUGUUUUCAGAAUAUGAAAACUCGUCGUGGACAAUUGUAACUUGUAUUAUUGGUUUUGUUAUGAAUUAUGAAUGAAAGUACUAUCUUUCUAUCUUUUUAGCAUUAUUUUCUUUGUAGAAAAAUUUCAGAACUUUUACACUAAGCCCCCUUGGCUACAUAAUCCUGGAUCCGCCACUGCUUUUGACCACUUUAUCACCUAUGUAUCACCACUUUAUAACCUAUUUGGGGAACAUAGGUCAGUUAUGGACGGUUUUACCCUUACAUUUGACGGCAACAUUAACAUAAUGUAACAGUGGGAUCAAUGGAGUGAUUAAUAUAAAGUUGAUGGACCAUUUGAAUGAAUAAUUUAAUUGAGAGACCAAAAUGUAAAUCAAGUAUAAGUUUGAGGACCAUUUGAGUAAUUUACCCUUCGCUUUUAUAUUUGUUGAACUUUUAUUUAUGAUAGAUAUGCAUUUAAGGGUAAGACCCAUUAUGUUCCCCUGGCUAGGUGUAUCUUUUUAUGUUUAUUAAUGAAAUUCACUCGAACUGUUGAGUUUAGUAUGUAAGUUUUGCCUAACUGGCUUUUGAAUCCUAGAACCGCCACUGUUGCUCCAUCCUCCAUGCACUUGCAUGUGCUCUUACAAAGUGUGAAGUAGAUUUUGUGUGCUCCAAGUCAUUGACUAGAGCUGAAACAUGGUUAGCUAGAUUUAUAAGGACCCAUCUCUUUAUUUCCUAGACAUAUACCCAUCUCUCUAUAAAUCUAUAUGUAAAACCUAAUUUCAAACUUAAAUGACCAGUAGGAUAUAAAAGGUCAUAGUAUUCCUAUGUUUUUAUAUCGUUGCCACCAGACUUCUUAUUUUAUUUAUAAUUUAUUUCAAGCAUUUCAUUAACUGCCAUAAUUGUAAUUAAUACUCCAUAUUAAUAGCAUAUCAAUCACCCCAUUUCUUUUGGUUGCCAUUCCCUCUAACAUAUCGCCCCUUAAAUUUGAAAACCAAAAAAAAAAAAUGUAAAUUACAUAUCCAAUAAUGUACCUAUGAAAAAUAUAAAUAUAAAUAUAUACAUAUAAAAAUAUAGGUAUAUUAUUUACCAAAUAGAAAAUAUAAAAACCUAGGUCAGUUGCUUUGUAAUUGAAAUUUCUGUACAUUUUCCACAAAUUAAAAAUAGGUACAUAAUAAUUUAUAGAAAAUAUAUGUACAUUAUUUAUCCAUAGGUAAAAAUACCGAUAAAUGCACAUAGGUGAAUUAUUUACCAAUAUAUUAUUUUUUUGCUAAGGAUUUACCUUAGUUUUUAGUAGAUUAAUUUACCUACCUAGAGGCAUAGGUAGCUUAAAAAAAAUGUACCACCUUAGUUGGUUGCAUACUAAUUUACCUACCUAGAGGCAUAGGUUGCUAAGAAAAAAUGUAGGUAAAUUCAUGUACCUAAACACAUAGGGGUCAAAUAGAGAAUAACAUGUUAUUUCCCUUUGAACAAAUUAAUUUCAAACCAUAACAAUUAUUGAAUUUGGAAAUUGGUAUAAAUAAAAGGAAAUAAAUAAACUAUCAAUUUGAAAAUUAAAAUAAGAAAUGAUCAAGUAGUCAUAUUUGAAAAAAAAGGAAAGAAUAUAUUCUUGGUUUUUAUAGGAACAACGAGUAUAUUCAAACCAAACGGCGAUAACUACACCAAGCUUUAAUUACUUUUUUUUAAGGCCAAAAGUCACUUUUGGUCCCUGUAGUUCGGCAUUUCUACCACUUUUGAUGUUGUAGUUUCAAUUCCGUCAAUUUUGCCAUUGUAGUUUCGUAUUUGUAGCAAUUCAAGGACCUGUUAAUAUUAAUGUCAAUUUGUUUAAUGAUGCAAGAGGUAAUUUCGUCAUCCCAAAAUCCUUGAGCAUAAAAGAUUGUCUGAAAUUCUCCCCAUUUCAUAUUAGGGCUCGAAAUUCAACCACUAAUCCUAAUUUUUGAAGAACCCUAGACCCAAAUGACCAAUUUCAAGCCCUAAUAUGAAAUUACGGAAGUUUUAGAUGAGCUUUUAUGCUCAAGGAUUUUGAGUUGAAGAAACUGCCCCUUGCACUGUCAAAUAAAUUGACAGGAAUACUGACUUGUCCUUGAAUUGCUACAAAUACAAAACUACAGUGUCAAAAUUAACAGAAUUUAAACUAUAGGGUCAAAAGUAGUUGAAGUGUCAAACUAUAAGGACCAAAAGUGACUUUUAGCCUUUUUGUUUCAAUAAGGAAAAAACUGACCUAUUAAAUCCUUGGAAUCUAUACAAAAUUGAAACACAAUUAAUCAACAUUGAAUUGCAGCUAAUUUCUUAAACAAGGGUAUUAUAGGAAUUUAAAAAGUAUAACAUUUAAUCCAUUGAAUUUGAUUAGGAAACUUGAUGAAUUGAAUCCUAGUUAUAUAGUUUUUCUUAUAAAAAUCAGGUUUUAUUUAUAGACAAAUAAAACAAUGGGUUGUAGGUAAGAAAAUAUUAAUUUGAAGGGAAAGAGUCAAAUUUACUAAAUUAAUAAAGCAUAAAUUGGAAAGGGAAAAGAUCUAGAGGAUGCAUUGUAGGAUUGCUCAUGCCAAUAAUUGCACCCUCUCGAUAUUGAAAAACCUAUUGUUUAUUAUUAUCUUCAAUCCUGAAUGAUGCACCUAAAACCCAAGUGUCUCAGGCCAACCAUUGCGCUCAUACCACUUGUUGCAGUACACAUUCACCUGUUUUUAAAGAAAGAAAUUCUACCAAUCGAUAUUUUCUCAAAUUUAAUCACAUAGAUCUAUUAUGGUUAACCAUAUGUACUUUUAUCUGCCAUCCAGAGGUACCUUUUUCCAACGUGCAACAAUUGUAUUUGAUUCACAAUUAUGUCUGAUAUACAUCACAUCAUGCCACUUGCCUCAAAUGAAUUUAAUUGAGUGAGGCAAUGGGAAGUAAUUAAGCUCUAUAUUGGUGGGUGGAGUGUUACUUCUGGAACCCUCAUCAUUCGUCCAUACAGGGGAACAAUUCCCUUCCUUCUAUAAAAUGGGAGCAAUUCUCUCACUGUACUCUAUAUAAAGGAAUAAGUGUCGUCCACUAAUUAAUUACACUUUGUGAGAUUUGAUUUUAAUUAGAGUUCGAAUUAAUGUUGCAGCUAGCAGCGGUGGCACUGGCAAACCAUGCUGCUCAACCAGCACCUCCACUUUACUGGAAUUCCAUCCUGCCAAACACACAAAUGCCAAGAGCUAUCAGUGAACUUCUGCAUCCUGAUUUGUGUUGAAUAGAUAUAGUAUGUUACUGGAGUACGUAUGGCAACAUAUUCACAAAUGUGUCACGUAUUUUCCAUUAUGACGUUGAUAUAUAAUUGCAGACUCCACAAACGAAGAAAAGAGCACAAAUGUCAUGAAUGCUGUUGGGAAUGGAAAGCCAAUUGACCACAAGGGCAAACCUGAAAAUACUGUACUACCACAGCUUGCACGACGCCCAUUUUCUUACAAGAGUGAUGAUCGUCCCACUGACAAUCAACUCCAUUAUAAAAACGUAGCUAUUUUCUUCUUGGAGAAGGACAUGCGCCCUGGCACAACAAUGAGCUUCCAAUUCCCUAGAAAUUCAAACACGGCUACUUUCCUGCCACGAGAAAGAGCUCAAUCGAUCCCCUUCUCCUCUAACAAACUACCAGAAAUUUUCAACCAUUUUUCAGUGAAGCCAACAUCUGUGGAAGCCAAAACAAUUAAGCAAACAAUCGAAGAGUGUGAGGCUCCAGGCAUUAAGGGAGAGGAAAUAUAUUGCGCCACAUCUUUAGAAUCAAUGGUUGAUUUUAGCACUUCGAAGCUUCGAACAAGAAACGUUCAAGCAAUCUCGACGGAGGUAUUGGAAAAAGGUGCCACCAUGUCCAUGCACAAGCACACAACAAUGCCGGGACUGAAGAAGUUGGCAGGUGUCAAAGUCGUUUUGUGUCAUAAGCAGAACUAUCCCUAUGCUGUGUUUUACUGCCAUGUAAUAAAACCAACAGCAGCUUAUGUUCUCUCCCUGAAAGGCGAUGAUGGGGUGAAAGUUAAAGCAGUAGCCAUCUGCCAUCUAGACACAUCAGAAUGGAACCCAAAGCAUUUGGCCUUCCAAAUCCUCAAAGUUAAGCCCGGAACAAUUCCCAUCUGCCAUUUCCUUCCCACUGAUCAUAUUGUCUGGGUUCCGAACCACAAAUCUGCAUGAUCAUCACUUAGCACUGUACGUAUAAUAACCUUUACCCCUGUAUAAUUAUCUCCCUACUCUACUUAUUUCUGCCUCUUCAUGUGGUGUAAGAUAUAUGAUGAGAUGAAGUUUUUGGGAUUAGUGGUCGGGUUGCCUUAAAAACACAGAUUACAGAAACUGCUUGAACUUAACCCGAUCAUGUUUUCUCUUGUACUCGUAAAGCAUGCUGUUGUGGUUCUACUUAAUUUCGUCCUCCCCAAUGUUUGAGUGUUUAAUUGUUACGUUGGAAUAGGCUGCUAAUGCAUGUAGUUAGAGAAGCUUUCAUUUAUAUCAAAGUCCUCAAACUAUCAAGAAUUAAUGCAUCCAGAAACAUAUAUACCAAGACGCAAAACAACAUAUUUUCCAUGCUGUGUCGGUAACACCAAAGCAAACUUCCUUUAUCACAAAAGGACCAAAUUCCAAUACUAAUCUAAUCCAUCAUGUAAAGCAUACAAUCUACAACUGCCUCCCUAAAUUUGUCCAUUGGAUAUAUAUGUCACUUUUUGGUAAUUUGGUAUAGCAGCACCACGUAGUAUGCAUUUAACAGAAAAGUAAACAAAAUUGACAGUAGAACUAUUUGUCCUAACGAAACUGAAGUUGAAAGACCAUGAGAACGAUUUUGAAAAUUAAGGGACUCAAAUGAAAAUUGGGUCUAAGUUCAGGGACCAAUAAAACGAUUAACCCAUAGAUUUUGGAUCCAGUACCACAUCCCAAAGAGAAAACCACAAGUUUGCAAGCAAGUUUGUCCAUACUAACACUACGUACAGUAUGGGCAAUGUGCUAGACUCAUCUCACUUUCUCAACCUAUCCUAUACUUGUCUAAAAGAGUUUCUAAUUUAAUGUACUGAGAUUUACGAAAGAAAUAUCAGAGAAACAAUUUUCAGGCAAUAAAAAAAUGUCUUGGCAAGAAAAUGCACAAUUUGUUACAUAACUUAUUAAAUAUGAACAGUUGAAAGAAAAAAGAAUUUGGAUGAGGGAUUUGCAAAUUCCUAUGGCCCAAUUACCUUUUUUUCUUUGUUUUUUUUUGGUUCUUUUGAUCCAGUAGCAUAUUCCAAAGAAUGAAAACCACAGGCAUGCAAUGCAAGCUCUUUUCCCAUGUUUUCCUCUGUUUUUCUCCUAUCAUGGAAGUGAUUAAAACACACCUCUAAGCUUGUUUUGCGUUUGGUAGCCGAGUGUAAAAGCUCAAUGCAAGAUAGUUUGAGGUAGAAUUUUCUCCUGUUUUAUUAGGACAAUGAUGAGCUAUAUGUGACAACAAAUUGCUUUAAUAAUGAAAAUUAAAAAAGUGUGAUUCAUUGAAUAUUUGCGGGGUUUUGUUCAGAGCUGACAAAGUUCUAAGUCAACACAUCAAAUUCCUUUUUCCAACAAUCGUAUUUGAUUCACAAUUUUGUCUGAUAUACAUCACAUCAUGACACUUGCAUCAAAUGAAUUUAAUUGAGUGAGGCAAUGGGAAGUAAUUAAGCUCUAUAUUGGUGGGUGGAGUGUUACUUCUGGAAUCCUAAUCAUUCGUCCCUACAGGACUCUAGAACUCUCACACUUCUUACAAGGACUACUUAACUCUAUAGCUUAUUGCAUAUAGCAUAUAUAUGCAAACCCAAUUAGAAAUUCUACAACAGAAGCAAGAUCAAUCUCACUAUGCCUUCUAAACAAACAAACAAAUAAAACAAGCAUAUUAAUUGCUUUAAUCACUCUACUAACAUCAACACAGCACACUUAGUUUACUAACAGAUGAUAUAGAAAGGAAAAAAAAGGACCAAUAGGGAGAAAAUGGUGAACUAAGGAGAGACUAAUACUUCUGGUCCUUAGAAGGCAUAACAGAAAUAAUAGAGCACACUGCUUGAAUGCAAGUCAGUAUUAGGAGCAAAACAGCUGCAAUGAAAGAAAUAGUUGCCCAAGGUGUAUUGAAAUAAUGUUGCCUCAAAUUUGCCUUCCAUUUGUUCCAAGGCUUUCUGCAGUAGCUAUUAAGGCGCUCAGAAAGAGUAGCAAAGUAGAAGCUUUCACGAUACACUGCAAUUCCUUUUCCGAGGUUGUUAAUCAGAGUGCACACCUCAUUGUAGUCACCAAGCAUAUUUUUGACAAUCCCAUACUUCAGAAGGAACUCCACAUCCUUUUCGGUGUUCACAAACUCAUCCAUGAGUGAAACAUAAUCACUUAUGUAAUUCUUACGGCAAUGGCACUAUUCAAAGGCAAUGAGGUUAUGGAGUGUGAGCUCUGUGUAAUCGUUUAUUUUUAGUUUUGGAAUUUCUAGAAUCCCAUCGUUGAAUCGUGUUAACGCAGCUUUCCUUUCCUAGCCUACGCGGAAGUCAACUUCACAAUCUCCUCCUAGCAAUUAGCCUUUCCUACUGUAAAUCGGAUUGUAUUCAUGUCUAUAUUAUUUCCUACCUUAAAUAGAUAUCCUGUACUAGUAUACAUAGGGACUUUGUGUAAUCUGUUAAAUACAAGGAAAUAUAUACUCUACAUGGUAUCAACCUAACCUAGGGUUCUCUCUCUCCCCCUUAUUCGAUCCUCUUCUCCUUUAGGUCCACCUCAUGGCUUCGUUUGAAUCCACCAUCUCCCUCCCAAGCCCUAACUCUUCUCAUUUUAUCAAGCUUACUAACUCCAACUAUCUUCUUUGGCUCCGCCAACUCAAACCCUUUUAGUUGGCCAUGACCUCUGGAAAUUUAUCGAUGGCAUUCAUAAACAACCUUCUGCCCACACCUCCACCUCUACCACCACAACACCCACAACCACCACCACUCUUACCGAAAUCAAUCCUACCUAUGCUCAGUGGUACCAACAAGACCAACUCAUUGUUAGCUACAUCACCAGUACACUCUCUGAGUCCAUUUUCUCUCUCACUGUCGGUUGCAUCUCUGCCCGGGAUCUCUGGGAGUGUCUCCAAUGCCACUUCUCUUAAUCCAAUAUGGCCAGUGAAUCUGCUCUUCGUUUUCAACUCAUGGAUUUGCAAAAAGGCUCUCAACCCAUUGAUGCUUACCUUCGUCAUGCUAAGUCUCUUGCCGAUUCACUAGCUGCCAUCAAUUAACCUGUCUCCCCAAAAGAACUUGUCACUGCUGUGCUUCGGGGUUUAGGACCCGAUCACAAAAUGCUCAUCACAGCAAUUCUCAAUUUCUCUCCGCUUCCAGACUUUGCUGAUCUUCGUGCUCGUUUGUUAGCUUUUGAUGCACAGACUCCUCGAAUCUUUCCUGAUCAAAACACAACGCUAAUGGCCACCCAAUCUUCUCCUUACACCACCGGUCAUACUUCCUUCCCUUCUCACCGUGGUUGUGGCUCUUCCAGCAAUAGGCGCGGUGGCUGGUGCAGUAUUGGCCGUGGUGGCUGGCACAACUUCUCAUCUUCCUAGAGCAACCCGUGGAAUGGCUUCCAGCAGCCCUAAUGACCUAAUCAACUGUGGCCUCCUUUUGCUCUAAGUUUUGGAUCUCAAAGCAACUGGCCUUCCUUUCAACCUCUUUGGGCCCAAUCUGCCGCUUCUAGCAAACACUCUGCCCGACCCAACUCAGCUCCUGGUGUCUUGGGACCCGCUUGGUGCACCACAUGCAAUACCAAUCGACAUACUACUACAACAUGUCCUUAUUGCUACAAUGGCCCAGAAUUCUUCCUUUGCUGGGGCUCAAUUCAUGCAGCCACCUAACUCUACAUGGUACCCUGACACAAGUGCCACUCAUCAUAUGACUGGUAGUUCUUCUAAUCUCCAAAGGAAAUUAAAUGAAGGAGUCCUACGAAGGCUCAAGGCUCGAAAGCACACGAUCCGGCUCUGCUGCGGAGCUCACUCAACUACUGGCUGAGGGGGCGCAAAACAGAAAAUUGUGAGUGGACAAAAAUAAAAAUUCAGUUCAGUGUAAACCAACGUAAUAUAACCCCACCGUUUAGAAAACCAUGCAAGAAAUCCAAAUGCAUCUCAAAACCAUCAUAAUCAUCAAAUCAAAAUCAAAUACUGGAUGCCAAGUCCGAAAUCCAUAAAGAAAGCUUUACAAACCCACCAUCCAAAUCUUACAAUCCCACAACUAAACUCUCGAAAGCGUACCCAUUGGCAGUACCAGCAAGGAAGUAUCCUCACCGAGAAACAAGAACAAAAGAAUAGCUAUAUAUAUAAUUAUAUAAUAUAACCACACCUAGUUGUACCGGGAAAACAAUCCAACCGGGGGAUUGUUUGACUAGUCACCAUGGCAGAGUCAAAGUAAACAAAUUCCUCAAUUCACCAUGUGACUAGGGAACGAGCUGUCCAACUGGGGGACCAACUCUCAGCCAGCAUGUACCGUCGAUAGCCUCAAAACCCGUACGUCUGUGACCAGUCCUACGCGUGCAGACUACCCAAUCAAGGGUUUACAGCAACAUCCCAUCAAGGAUGCCCUAGGUUCCCACAAUUCCAAGUAUCUCAAGUUUGCGUAUCCAAGUUCCAAAUCCGGGGAGGUACAUAGGGUAGUGCUUAUAGCACUCCAAAUUGACAUUCUAUACUCAUCACUUUCCACAAUCUCAUCUCAACAACCUAAGUACCCCACACAUAGCCAAACAUAUAUAGAAAUUCUCAAAAUCCAUAUAUACAUACUCAAGAUACUCAAAUAUGUCAAAAUCCAAAAUAUAUUUCCAAUGCAUCAUAAAAAUAUCACUUUUAACAAUUGAAUAAAUAAUAUAUAUCCAAUAUACCAAUUAAAACAUCAUGCAUAAUAUUUCCCAUCAUAAAAUCAUGCAUAAGAUUUGAAAACAAAGUCCACUCACAAGUAGUCCCACACUGCUUGACCUUGAGAGGGUCCCGCCUACUGCGUAUGCGUGGUUGGAGUACCUAUUUCAGAAUACGUAUACGAGAUUAAUAAGAAGCGUUUCGAACGAGAACUUUGAAUUAAAUAUCCUAAUUUCCCAGGUUUCUAGUAAGUGUACUAGGAACGAGACGUUCUAAGGUUCCACUACCCAAUUCGAACCAUGGAAGAGCUUCGGGAGACACUCGGUCAACCGGCGGUCAAAUUCCCAAAUCGGGUCAACUGGCCCACGGGACCCACGACCUCCGUUUUUAAAAUCCGUAAGUUCCUAAAGGUUUCACAAUGUCUAAGAUACUACUAUCACAAGUUUGGUCCGAAACGGACUGUUAGAUCGCUUACGAUCGCACGAUCAGACGGUUAUUGUAAAACGUAAACUUUAAGUUAUUGAAUCAGAACAUCCGGGGCUCCGAUUCACGAUCCGCGAAUUCCUACACGAUCCUAGGAAGGUCUAGAGUAACAUAUAUUGGAAUGGAGUCGAUCCAAAGGUCCGAACAUAUCGAACCUAGACCGGAUAACUCCUAAUAUGUGAGAUUCGUUCGGGGUUCGAACAUCAACCAAAUUGGAAUCCUAAGGUACCUACGUGCUCGUGACAUUAAGGGGAUCAAUUGGGACAAAAAUGCCCCUCUGCUACAGUGCCCACGUGCCACCACACGCGGCGGUAGAGAGUGGGUGUCCAAAGCGAUUUCUCUUCGCCGGAAAAUCUCCAAAUUACAAGCCACUCUCCUGGCUACAGGUUCUACUCAACGAGUGGAACACUUUAUUCAACUACAGCCAAGUCCAAUUCGGACGGCAAGUGGCCGGAAACUCACGGUUUAACCCGGAACUUCAUGGCUUGGAUUGGGCGACCAUCGUCACCAUUGUCGUGGCACAACCUAGGAAAUAGCUAAAAGGAGAGGAGGGCUACCUAUUCCAAGCGAUGGCGCAGCUCGCGGUAGCCGAAAAUGUAGCCGAUGACGUUGGCAGUUUUGGCCGGUUUUUCACGUCGUUGCCAUCGCCGUUUGUCGAGUUUUCGAUUGGAGAAAAGGGGUGGGGUGAGUAGAGGAGGAAGAGAGGAAGCUUUUGCAAGAAAUGACACUUGUCAGGGAGGGGGGGGUUGGGGGAAGAGAGAGAGAGAGAGAGAGAGAGAGAGAGAAAAAAAAAAAAUUUCAGAUUUUCAUCCAAACCCUUUUCGAAAUAUUUACAAGUUUGCCACUAAACUACUUUUGGUUGCCAAAUCUUCGUUAUAACUCCGAUUCAAGCCUACCACGUGUCUACGGAUUCGUCUCAAUACAACCUACCCAAAAAUACCAGUCACUGCCCCAAACUCUUUUUGGGUAAGAAAAUGACCAAAAUACCCCUACCCCAAGGGUAAAUUCAUAAUUUCACUUCAAUAAUUUAAUAAAGAAUUAAAUUUGGAGUCGGGGUGUUACAUUAACUACCUGUUUAGUAGGUGUGGGGUUUUAUACAAAAAGCAUCGAUGUUAUUGGGAGUGGAACCACUUAUUAUAAGUUGUGAUUUAUUUAGUCAAGUUUCCUAUGUGGGAUUUUCUAUUCUUCAACAAGCCCCCUCAUGUGGGACCACCACAUAGUGGGCCACAUGUAAAGCUAAGUCCACAUCGGAGUCAAUCAUUCAAGCCCAAUACCUAAACACCACGUAUUGUGUGAGGGGUAGGGGUAAACAUUCAAGCCCAACAUGUGAACCACCAAAUAUUAAGUAAGGGUAAAGGCUCAAUUCAGGCCCAAUCAAUGAACCCAUUAUGAUAUCAUGUUAAAUUUCAGAUAGACGGGACUGUGGCCCACCACUAGCAACAUUGAUAUUGUCCCCAACUUAACUACAUGUUUAGUAGGUGUGGAGUUCUAUACAUAAGGUCUCGAUGUUUUUAGGAGUGGAACCACUUAUUAUAAGUUAUAAUUUAUUUAGUCAAGUUUCCAGUCAACCUGACUUUGAUACCAUGUUAAGAUUUUAAAGGGACGAACUCUUGGCACUAUUAGUAACAUCGACAUUGUCCCCAACUUAACCACCUGUUUAGCAAGUGUGGGGUUUUAUCCUAAAGGCCUCGAUCUUAUUAAGAGUUGAGUCAUUUAUUAUAUGGAACUUUCUAUUUUGUUAACUCUGUGUAUUCUUCAUCAAUGUGAACACCCCUAAACCAAUCAUACCUGAUACGAAUUGAAACACAAGUUUGUUUUUUGCCUUUGGUAGAUGAGUAGCUAGAAAAGCUCAAUGCACUUGCUCUUCUGCUACAUUUCAAUAUAAGAACAAGGUUUGGAAGUCAGGUCAACUCCUCAUAGCUUCCUUGCCUUUGCUUUGACAUGUCUAUGCACUUCUUGGGGAAGUUUGAAUAAUCCAUUGCAGGCCCCAUGACAACUAAGGAACCAACAUUUUGUAGAAGGUUUUGUCUAUACCUUUUGACUAUAAGUAAAAUCUUUUGUAUCUGCUCUUAUGUUUCGGUGAAGUUUCUAUGUGUCCUUUGUGCCGAGUUUCUAUGCGUCCUUUGUUGAACCAAAAAAUGAGGUUGUUUCUUACUAGAUUCAAAUACUUAAAAGAAAAAAAGAAAUUGUUGUUUCUUAAUGGAUUUUAUGAUGAACAAUAUCAAACUCUCCUCUUAUACGUCUGUUGGUAAAUUUUAACAACAAUAUUAAAACCUUGCAAGUGCACAAAUCAAAUGAUAGUAUAGUAAGCAAGCAAGGGUCGAUCCCACGGAGAUUGUGAUCUAAAGAGAUGUUUAUCAAUGUCACGCAAUGAAAAUCAAAACAAAGGACUUCCAAACACACGCCAACACCAAGGGGGGUUUUGAUUUGUUUUUGUGAAUCAAACAAAAUAAGGAAAAGGAAACAAAAGAGAAUUUAAAUUAGAGUUUAAGAGAAAUUGGUUUAAAAUCAAUCAAGAUCAAUAGCUAGGACUUACUAUCCACCUCCAAACAAUCAAUCAAUCCAUAAACAACAAUAGAUAAUCAAUUUCUAGUAAGCACACUACUACAAAAAAGCAAAAAGACGACGGUAAAUCACCGUCGUGUAUUCGGUUUUUCAAUGGUCGUGGAAUCCACCGUCAUCUUUUCCCUCAUAAACCACGACGCUAAAUCACCGUCGUUGUUACAAUAUACAACGUCAUCAACAAAUACAAAACGACGUCUUUGUACUGCAAAAAGAUCUAAAAAAGCAAUCGAUGAUGAGAAAAGACGACCAACUCUCUAAACAAACCGUCGUUAAAAAGAAAAAAUAUGACACAUAUUAACAGAACAUGGCCGCAAGAUAGACAUACAACGACGAAAAUUAAAAUAAGACGCCGUUAAAUAUCAUUUUCACGACAAUAAAAAAUAUGUCGUCUUUAAAUACAUUAGAAGACGACGUUAUUGAUACCUACUACGUCGCCUAUAUAAAAAUAACCGUCGUAAAAUAAAUUUUCCACUUCGAUUUUUCUAUAAAAGAUGACGUGGAAAUAGUUGUCAGUGUCAUUAUUUACGACGUAUGUAUUUAUAGAGUAGACGUUGAACAACGAAACAACGUCGGUUACAAAUAUAUGAGAGUCGUAUUACAAAAUUUAUACGUCCUAUUUUCAGAAACAAACAACGACGAUAAAUAUUAGACGUUGUUAAAUAAAACAACGUCGAAAACAAAUAAAAACAGACGUGUUUAGUCUGCUAAAGUUCUAAAAAAUAGUCGAGGAUGAGAAUAGACGACCAACUCAAACAAAUCACCGUCGUUAAAAAGGAAAAAUAUGACACAUAUUAAAAGAACAAGGCCGCAAGAUAGACAUACAACGACGACAACUAAAACACUACGCCGUCAAAUAUAAUUUUCACGACAAGAAAAAAUAUGACGUCUUUAAAUACAUGAGAAGACGACGUUAUUGAAAUAUACUACGUUUCUUAUUUACAAACAACCGUCGUGAAAUAAAUUUUCCACUUCGAUUUUUCUAAAAAAGAUGAUGUGGAAAUAGUUGUCAGUGUCAUUAUUUACGACGUAUGUAUUUAUAUAGUUGACGUUGAAAUGCGAAACAACGUCGGUGGCAUUUAUAUAGUCGACGUUGUAUUUAUAUGUAUUCAUUACUCACGACGCACUUAUUAAUAUAGACGACGUUGAACUUCUAAACAACGUCGGUUCCAAAUAAAUGAGAGCCGUAUUACAGAAAAUAUAGAUGGCGUUGAUUAUGAUGAGAGCCGUAUUACAAAUAACGUCGUUUAAUUGAUAUUAGACGGCGGUUAUAAUGAAUUACCGUCGGAAUUCAUUUCGUUCCUCUUCGUUUAUAAAAGAACUUGCGACGUGGAAAAUGUAUGAUGACGUCGUAUUUUUUAACGUUCAGAUUAUAUAUCUCGUUUUUUAGACGUCGGUAUUAUGGGAUUGGAGUCGUGUUAUUUUGAAUUACAUGGCGGUUCUUAAUCCUUCCCCGACGUGAUAUCCUGAAUAAUUGCUUCAUAAUAGCGUCGUGGUUCUUCAUUGUUACGUUGCUUUAAGACGUCGGUAAAUAUGCUGAAUAACUGGUUCACAAUAACGUCGUGUUUUAUUUGAACGUAGAAAGUGAAGAAAUCACAUUACAAUAUAUUACAAAAUUAAUGUCAUACACUGCCAAUUACAUAAGCAUCAUUCAAUCCAUAUAUCUUCACACCCAUCUCGAAUAUUUUGACCGCCUAACUCACCCACCAGUUCAUCAAAUGUGUCAACAUUUGGCAUCCCUCUAGUAAAUGGCUCACACUCAAUUAUCACAUCACCUAAGACUUCAUCACCAAUAACAUUAUUAUAUUCUCUAUUAGGCAUUGAUAACACUACCGACCAACCACGAUGCAUCGGGUCGUCAACAAAAAAUAUUUGUUUGACUUGAGAAGCCAAAACAAAUUGGUCAUUCCUAUGUCCAAUUUUACUCAAAUCUACAAGGGUAAAUCCAAGUUCGUCGACUACAAGACCAGAACUAUCUAUCCAAUCACACCUAAAGACUGGGAUUGUAAACUUUUGGUAGUCAAGGUCCCAAAUUUCUUGAAUGACACCAUAGAAACCCAUAUUUGAGAGAAUUGAGUUUUUAUCCUUGGCACUAGCAACUUGCAUGGUAUGUGCAAGUAAAUAAACUCCACUAUUUUGAGUUGUCCGCACAUCAUCUUGUGCCUUGAUAUUGAAUUUAAUACCUUUAAUAAGAUAGCUCCUAUAUAAUGGCACAGCCAUGUUUGGACCAGCUGCUAGCCACCUUAAAUUUUCUGAUACGCCAUGAUUGUCUUCCUCAAGUUCACUUUGAACCUGCAAAUUAAUCAUAUAUCUUAAUGCAAUCUAACAUAGAAAUAAGAAGAAAAUUAAAAGAGAAAUAUGUUAUUCAACAACAUAUACCUUGAAGCGUAGCCAUUGAAUGAAAGUGUUAUUGUGCUUAUCCUGCAGCCACUUUGUGAUUUAAGGUAUGACAAUCAUGUGAUUUAAGGCCAAGAAGUCUUGAAUCUUGUAAAGAUACAAGAUUUUUAAUAUUUGAAGAAUAACCUUCAGGGACCUUCAUACCAUAGAAAGAAUUGCAAACCUCUCUCUUCUCUGCUCUUGACAAAUUCCAAGGCCCAGGAGGCAAACGAGUACGUCUUUCUCCAUACUCGGGUUGCAAAUCAGUUUUGACCCCCAUGUUCAAUAAAUCUAAUCGAGCAGCAAUCCCAUCUUUAUUUUUUCCAGGGAUCUCCAGCAAUGUACCAAUGAUACUAUCGCAAACAUUCUUCUCAAUGUGCAUAACAUCUAGGGCAUGCCUCACAGGAAGGUAUUUCCAAUACUCGAGAUCAAAGAAUAUUGAUUUCUUCUUCCAACAAACUCUGUCACCAUUUUCAACCAUGUGCAGCACUUCUUCUCCGGUUAAUGGCUCGGGAGGUAUGCCAUAUUCAGGUUUCCCAUUAAAAGCUGCACGUUGCCUCCUAUAUGGAUGAUUGAUUGGUAACCAUUUUCUAUGCCCAAUGUAACAAAUUUUGUGGCCAUUUUCAACCUGUGACUAGGUGUAUCAUCGCCGCAUAUUGGACAAGCUUUAUAUCCUUUAACAACACAACCAGAUAAGUUUCCAUAGGCGGGGAAAUCAUUAAUUGUCCACAUUAAUGCAGCUCUGAGUGUAAAGUAUUCUCCAUUAUGUGCAUCAUACACUCCUCUAAUCCCAUCCCACAAAGAUUUUAAAUCAUCAAUCAAAGGCUCCAAGUAGACGUCUAUAUCAUUUUCGGGUUGUUUAGGACCGGAAAUCAAUAAGGUUAACAUCAUGAACUUUCGUUUCAUGCACAGCCAUGGAGGGAGAUUAUAUGUAACUAAGAUAACCGGCCAACAACUAUAUCUGCUACUUAGAGAACUGUGGGGAUUGAAUCCAUCAGAUGAAAGAGCCAAUCUCAAGUUUCUCGGCUCAUUACCAAACUCAGGCCAUUUAUCAUCAAGAAGUUUCCAAGACGGGGAAUCCGCCGGAUGAGACAUCUGACCGUCAAUUGAUUUUCUAGCAGCAUGCCAAGUCAAACUCUUAGCUGUCUCAUGUGAUUGAAACAUCCUUUUAAACCUUGGAAUUGGAGGAAAAUACCACACCACCUUCGCUGGCACAUCCUCUUUCAAGAUUGAAUCUUUGCCUUCCUUCCACCUUGAGAUACCACAAGUAGGACAAUUAGUUGAAUCCUCAUACUCCUUCCUAUACAAGAUGCAAUCAUUGGGGCAUGCGUGCAUUUUCUCAUAACUCAGCCCCAAUGCACACAAAGUCUUUUUUGCCUCAUACAUAGAGGUUGGUAUUGUAUUUCCUUCUGGAAGCAAAUCGCCUUGAAGUAUCAAUAAUUCUGUAAAACAGACAUCACUCAUCCCAUGUUUUGCCUUCAAAUUAUACAACUUCACUAAUGCCGAUAACUUCGUGUACUUUCUACAACCAGGGUACACUGGUUGAUCUCCAUCCCCAAUCACAUUGGCAAACUCAUACGGAUCGGAACCAAAAUCACCAAAAUCAUUAUCAUCCAUAUCAAUUUCUUCAGACACAAAACUGUACCUACUAUGGCCAUCAUCUUCUUCAACAUUUCUACUAGCAUUAGUAGUUGCUUCCCAAGGUUCUCCGUGAAAUGUCCAAUUCUUAUAGCUUUGGUCAAUUCCAUUAAAGUAUAAGUGAUCCCUUAUAAUUCCAACCCCAAACAACUUCAAAUUAACACAUUUAACACAUGGACAACGGAUAUGUGUUGUAGUUAGAAGAUUUUCUACAGCAAAGUUCAAAAAUGCUUCCACCCCAAACUCAUAUGCCUUCGAUCUUCUAUCCGAGUGCAUCCAUGACUUAUUCAUCUCCGACACUAUAACCUAUUAUCUAUAAUAAAGUGAAAAUACAGGCAAUGACCAUCACUAUAGCAGAUUAUACAAAGAUCUAAUAGCAAGUAAUACAUAACAGAGACGACGGGUUUUAAACAAAAACAGACGUAUUUGGCAUAUAUAGACGACGGAUUUUCAACAGACGUCGUCUAAUAUAAGUAAUACAAACGACGGUUUAUGAAAAAACCGUCGUGUAUAAGUAAUACAACGACGGUUUUUUCAUAAACCGUCGUGUAAUCGUCGUCGUAUGCCUAAAAAGGCGUCGUGUCUCAGUUUAUUUUCAAGAACCCAAAACCCAUUAAGAACACAACAUAUAUAUGAAACCAAGCAAGAAACCAACAUAUACAUGAAGCCAAGCAUGAAAACAAUAAAUCCAUUCCCAAUUCAACAUAACAUAGGGUGAUUAAAAGAUCCGACAAAAUUAAAACCAUUCCCAAUUCAACAUAACAGAUAAUGUAAUCCAUGAACCCAUUAAACAGAAAAUCCAUGAACCUAUACCUAUAAGCACAUUAUUAACAGAUCGCAAAGCAUAUACCUAAAACCCUUUAACAAAACAACCUAAUAUCAUUCAAUGAAUUUACAAAGGGAAGAUAGGGUUUGUACUUACAGGUUGGACGAGCUCACAGAUUCGACGAAGCCUGGAGAGUGCAACUUUUAAUUAGAGCAGAAGUGAGAGAGCGAAUGUUAUGUUGCGCGAAAUCUGAAAAUUUUAGGGUUCAGGGUUAGAAGUAUAAGAAUAAGAGCCAAAUAUAAAAAAAUUUAGGGCGCGCGAAAAUUUUUAGAGCGCGCGCUCUUUAAAACGUCGAAAGAAAAACCAUGGCGAAAGUUCUACAAGAACCGACGUAAAUGUAAUAUUCCACGACGAAAACACUUAACGUAACGCCGUUUAUUUUGACGUUCAUUUUUCGGAUUAAUUUUAAAUUUAUUUUGAAUAUUUUGAUAUAAAGACGACUGAAAAACCACGUCGAAGUUAAGAAAUUGAAAACGUUGUAAAUUAUAAUAGACGACUUACAUAUUAAAAUGACGUCGUUUAAAGUGGAAACCAUGUCGGAUAUUUUACUGCACGACGUAACAUAUGUAUUCCACGACUCAACCACCGUCGUUAACAAUUAAUACCCUAAACCCUUAAAACUAAAUUAUAUAAUUUUAAAAAUUAAGUUUAUAAAAGGGUUUAUGGUUUUACAGCCUAAUAUAUACCCUAUACUACCCAAAAAUUAUACUUUAAAAAUAAACCCCAAUAAAUAACAACCCUAAUCUCUAAACCCUAGACUCUAAACCCUAAACCAUAAAACUAGAAGUGAUUUUAUGACUCAUCAAAACAAUUUUGUUUUGGAUGGUCAUUUUAAAUUUUUUUUAUUCAAAAUGAAUUUUUUCAAGGUUUAGGGGGAAGAAAAUAUAUCAAUGACUUCAUAGGAGUUGACUUUUCAUUUUUCUGAUUUAUUUUAAAUUUAUUUUGAAUAUUUUGAUAUAAAAAUAAUAAAAUAUUCUUAUCACAAUAACAAACCACGUCGGUGUUAAUAAAUUUUAGACGUUGUAAAUUGUAAUAGACGACUAAGUUGUUAAAAUGACGUCGUUUAAAUGAGAAACCAUGGCGGAUAUUUAACUAUCCGACAUAAAAUAUAUAUUCCACGACUUAACCGCUGUCGUUACAAAGUACUACCCUGAACCCUUAAGAAAUUGAAGACGUUGUAAACCAUAAACGACUCAAUUGUUCAAAGAACGUCGUCUAAAUAUCCUUUUACGUCGGAUUUGGUUAAAACGAAACAACAAAAAACGACGGCUUUUGACUUUAUUACGUCGUUGGAAAAGUAUUACACGUCGGUUACGCAAUUUGUAUGUUUGUUUUUUUUUUUAAUUUAAGAAAACCUCAACAAAUUUUUACAUUAUAUAUUAUAGACAAAAUUUGUACAUUAUACAUAAAUAUCAAGUGUUCAAUAAUUCCCCUAUUCCAGGUGAAGGCAAACAAACUCUGACCAUUCAUUCCGGACUUCAUCAAUUGCUUCUUGGGGGUAUGGCGCUUCCUGUUUUCCCUUGGCAUACUGCAUAAACAAUGACUAUUAGGGUUUAUAAAUAAAAAGAAAUUCAAUCACAGACGACGAUAUUUUUCAUAACCGACGUACUAUAUCUAUUCAACGACGGUAAUUUUACAUGACCGUCGUUGAUAAUACAAAAAACGACGUAAAAUGUAUGAAGGUAAUUUCUUCUUACCUUCUUCUCAAACCCCAAGGAAGGAUCCAUGAUGAUGUCCCUCAUGAAGCGCAUCACAUAAUACCCGCAUUCGACAUUGCUGGGUUGCUUUGGUGUCCCUGACAGAGUUUUCCAAAUGGCUGCCUUACGGCCUGGUCUGGCUAUGUGAGAAUUAUAAAUUUUUAUAGCACUGUUCACAAUGUUUUUGGCCUCUUCAUCGACCACACGAUUUCCUGGCAGAGGAUCCAGAAAAUAGACGGUUUCUCUCUUUGCUCUUACAAUCAGCAAGAUCCAAUGACGGCUGCACAAAAUUAAUAUAAAAACGACGGUUAUUUACAAUAACGACGUAUUAUAAUGUUUCACACGACGAAAUAAAGUAGCAAUCGACGACAUUUUACAUUUAUCACGACGAUAAAUAACUACCGACGUGGUUAGUAGUUUCAAACGACUCAAUAAAAUAAAACACCGACGUGGUUAGUUUAUACGCUGUAAUUUAUUGAAAAUCAUAAAAACAAAAUCCUGUUAAGGAGACUAACCCUGGAUUGUAAGGCAUCAGGAAAAUCUGUUCACCGUCAGUCUUUUGAAGUCGAGCUGCUAGUAAGCGUGAUCUGUCAGCUAUUGUGCCAGAGUUGGCACUAACUGUAGCAAGGUCGAUAAAGCCAACCAUAUUGCACAUAUUUGCUCGUUUCAAAACAUCGUGCAAGUGCCUAAAUAUAUAAAAUAAUAUAAACAAGUCAGCACAAAAAAACACACGACGGUUAUGUAUAACAAAACGACGUAUUAUAAAAUUUCACACGACGUACUGAAAUAGACAACGACGUUAUAAUAUAUUUAUCACGACGGUAAAUACUAACGACGUGGUUAGUUAGUUAAGACGACGUAAUAAAUAAACCAACGACGUAUUAUUUUAGAAUGACAAACCUCAUAUAUACAAAAAAACACGACGGUUAUGUAUAACAAAACGACGUAUUAUAAAAUUUCACACGACAUACUGAAAUAGACAACGACGUUAUGAUAUACUAACGACGUGGUUAGUUGGUUAAGACGACGCAAUAAAUACACCAACGACGUAUUAUUUUAGAAUGACAAACCUCAUAUAUACAGCAAUGACAGUGGCUCCUAUUUCUUCCAUGCCUGCAAAUUGUGUAAUAUCUUCAGGCAGGAGGAAGGUAUCGCGCUCUAGACCAAACACCUCCUUAUCAAUUGUAAAGUGCAGGGUCUUAUCCUGAGGCACGAGUGUCGUUUCCACAUAACGACAAAGGGAGUUUAAAGAAGAUGGCGCCUCCAUAUUUGAAUAAUCAACAACUUUAAUAACCUGUUUAAAGAAAUAUAAAAAAUGACGUGGUAAUUCAAUAAAAACGACGGUUUAAGGAAUAAAACGUCGUCUGAAAAGAAUUUAAACGUCGUCUGAAGAAACCGUCGUGGUGAAUAAUUUAUUACGUCUUAAAAAAAAUUCCGCCGUCUAAGUUGUAAACAAACGACGGUUUAAAGAAAAAUAUCGACGUCUGGAAUUUUGAAAAACAAAUAAAAAAGGCAAAGUUAUGUGAACAUACCUGGUCGUCAUCUUCUUUCUCCUUUUCAUCAUGUUUUUCUUCUGUCUUCCCUUCAUCUAUUACGUCGAGAAUGACUAACUCCGUCGUCUAAAAACCACAAAGUUUUAAAAUAACGACGUUUAAUGGCGUGUAAAACAAGUAAACUAAAUACGACGUGGUAUUGAAAUACAAACGACGGUUUAUGUUUAAAAUCGUGGUGGUAUGUAUUUCAAACGACGGUUUUAUUAAUAAUAACGACAUCUAAUGGUUUUUAAAAAAACAGAGAAUUCAAAGUUCAGAUAUGUUACCUUUUCUUCCUGAUGUUUCCCAUUUUUGGCAGUAUCAUCCUCAAAAUGCUGGGAUCUCACAUCACCUCCAGAGCAGCUUGCUUUGUCAGACAUUGGAUUUUUGGGACUUUGGCUAAUUCUGGGUUUAAGCAUGCUUGGAUCAAAAUUGGGAAUUAAUUGGGAAAGCUGACUCAGGAAAUGCUCCCUCUCAGCCUCUACCAAUUGUUUCGUUCUAGCCUCCAUCCUUAAAGCCUCUUCCCUUGCCUUAGCUUCCAUCUUUUUAGUCUCUUCUUGAAGGAGAACUCUUAAACUGUCCUUCAAACGGUCGUCAAAGCUCACUCUCUGUGGUUUGGGUAAAUUGAAAUAUUGCCUUGGUGAGAUCCCAGCACCUACUCCUCUCACUCUGCCUGGAUGCUCGGGGCCCAAAGCCAUGGUCAGCACAUCAUUGCUGCCAGAAACAGUGACUUUGCCUUCCGAGACUUGUUUUUGCAAUUCAUCCUAAAACAAAGAUAUAUAAAAAAGUAAGAACAAAAACACACGACGGUUAUUUAUAUACAAACGACGUAUUAUAUAAUUUCACACGACGCAAUAACAUAUAAAUCGACGUUAUUAUAAUUUAUCACGACGGUAGUUUUUAAACCGACGUGGUUAGUUUUUAAAACGACGAAAUGAAUAAACCACCGACGUCUUAUGCUUUAUUUACAGAUAACAGAGGGAUGAUUCAAUAUUCACACCUUUAACGACCUUGUUUAAAAUAUUUCGACGUAGUAAUUCAAUACAAACGACGCGAAAAUGAACCACCGACAUCUUAUGCUAUAAUUACAGAAAACAGAGUAGUGAUUCCUGAUUUAGACCUUUAACGAUGUGGUAAUAUCAUUCACACGACGCAAAAUAUAACAUAAGACGUAAUAAGAAUUAUUCACAGUUUAAUAAAAAUUUAAAACAGAGUGAGUAGGCUUACAAUUAAUUUUGCUUUCUCUGCCACCUUUGGAUCCGGGAUGUUACCAUGUUUGUCCUGUCUAGCUCUCUUCCAUAAGGUAGAUCGAUCAAUUUCUACCCCAGGCAUGGUUUCCUCCAAUUGAUCCUCCAAACCAGCAUAUCCUUUUCGAGACAAUCGAUGAUUGUACUCAAGUUUCUCCCUAAUCUGUGCAUGUUGAGAAUGCACAGACUCAAAAUCUUUGGAUAACCUUGAAGCUACAAAGGCAUCCCAUUGUGCUUUCUCUAUGAAUUUAUAUAUUUCAGGGGGUUGGCUUAAUCUCUCCCUGUCAUUAGUGUAUGGAAGGAUAUAUUGCCUCGUUAGUGUAGACUUGAAAUCCUUCCAUUUCUUGGCAGCAGAAGCUAACACAGAGCUCUUGCCCCCUUGACCUACCACAAAAGCAAUGUCAACUGCUUCCCAAAUCUGCUCCUUUAUAUCCUUGGAGAUUUGAGCCUAUUUCAUGUCCACAAGUGGAACUCUGGAGCGUGCCAACACACCAAUGUAGGACUGCAUCUCACUAUGUGCUUGGCCAAUUCCUUUCCCCCUUUUAUUGUACUCAACAAUUGGCCUCAGUUUCUGAAGUUUUCUCUUCACAACAUGAGGCAUUGUGCUCAUACCUCGACCAGACUUUGAAUCAUCAGAGAUUGUUGUCGUGCUGGUUCGUUCUGUCUCAGCAGAUGAUGAAGCAAACUUCAUCUUCUUCGAAGGCUUCACUUGAGGAGGUACCAUUCCAAGGUCCUUACCUCCAUUUUUCUUGGAGCCAGAAUCCUUACUUUGGUCUUAGUGAGAAACCAUUUUUACAGACAAAACUGCAAGUGAAAAUAUUUCAGGAAAAGAUUAAGAACACAAACGACAGUUAUUAAUAAAAUACGACGUAUGAUAUGAUUUUAAACGACGCAAUGAAAUAAUCUCAGACGUAAUAAAUGUUUAAAACCAAGGUAAUUAAACAACGACGAAAUAAUUAACUAUAAACGACGUGAUAAUUAACUAUAAACGACGAAAUAUUUAUAUAACGUCGUGGUAUUGAUGUUCACACGACGUCAGUCGUAAUAUACCGUCGUCUAUAUAAGGAUCCAAAACCCUUCUUUCUUUCUCUGUGAAUGUUUGAUUGCAGAUUUGAUUUUUCUGAACCAUGGUUUUUGUUUUCUAAUUUGAUAAAAUACAAGGCCAAGAAAGAAAGUUUUGGAAUCUUAUAUAGACGACGGUAUUUUAAUAUGACGUCGUGGUAUUAACAUUCACACGACGUAAAACAAUAAGAUACUGUCGUCUAUAUUAGAUACCAACCCUACUUUCUUUUUCUUUAUAUUUUAUCAAAUUAGGGAAAAACAAAAACCAUUGUUCAGAGAAAUCAAACCUGCAAUUAAACAAGCAAAUAAAAAAAAGACUAUAAUUUUAAAAACAACUUUGUCAAUUUUCAGACGACGCUAGAACGACUGACGAACCGUCGUGGUCUACAUAUUUAACCACGUACAUAAGAAGCUACCGUCGUCUUAUUUAGUUGAGGUAGUUGUCUUCAAAGUUGGAAACUUUCCCUCUUUGUCUGUAUAUUUUAUUGAACUUGGAAAGAAGUAAAAUGAUUUUGGCCAGAAAAAAGGUAAAAAGAUUUUUCAAACAAAAAACGUAUGAGCAUGCAAAACAACAACCAAAAUAGUGAAAAUGAAAGCUUACCUUUUGCGUGCAAUGAAAGCAAGAGGAAGAUUAUGUUUAAGUUCAGAGACGACGAAGAAGAAGAGAGGAAGACGAUGAGAUACUCUGACAGUGCUCUGACAAGGAAAAAAGUCUAAAAGUUUUCUCUGGGAGAUUGAACUUUUUAAUCGGGUUUGAAAACGGCGCAUGUGUAUGUCAGGUAGACGAAAAGUUGCUUACAUAUAAAACCAUUUCAAAAAAAUAAUACGGCGGUUACAUAUAACUACGACGUAUAAAUUACAAAAUACGACGGUACAUUUAACUUCGGACGUGGUAAAUAAAUACGACAGUAGUGUUGUAGGUACCGUCGUAGUAAACUCAAAAAUUAAAGUACAUAAGUAAUAACUCGCGUCAUGGUAGAUUAUUUAACACGUCGUUUUUAUUAAUUUACCGACGUGGAUUUCUGUAAUAUACGUCGAUAAUACCGACGUUGAUUUUACAAUUUAAACGGCGGUUUUUUUGUAAGGACCGCCGUUGGUUUUAAAAAUUUAUUCUAUAAAUUUGUCGCUUUCAUUCAUUUUCGGUUUACAUUUAAGGUUCCAAGUUCUUCCUCUCUCAGUCUCUCACGUCUCAAAGACAAUAAUUUGGAUGUCUUUCUCAAAGAGAAAUUGAGCUUACUCGCAUCAAAUAUAUGUCCACAAGAAGAAGCUUGUCAACUAGCCUUCUCACUUCCUUGAUCAAGCCUGAUAGGACACUUAGUGCUUCUGAAUACUCCUUGCUUUCCAUCAAAAGAGAUGCAAGCCUGGCCUCCACUCGCUGUCGAAGGAAAGUUCGCUUCUCAGGGAAAUCUUCUUGAUUUUCUUGGCUAAGAAGAUCCGUCAGAUUUGUGAUAGCCUCUUCCUUUAUCCGUAGAGCUUCAGAAGAAGAAGAUGGGUUUCAAGAAUGCGAUAAAGAAUAGAAAUGGCUUCAGAUGGCCUCUAAAGCAUGAGCAAUCGAAUCAGUAGUUGUUGGGAGAUAUGAUGAAGACAUUGUCAAUGCUUUGAACUAUACAAGUCCUGCAGAAAGAUAAAGGACCAAACUGUUAAAGAAACUGAAACAAUGGCGGUUUUCUGUUCUACCGUCGUCUUUUCUCGUCGUCUAUAUUAAGGUAAGAUGGCGGUAGAUUUAUAAUUACCGACGUAGAUUAUUUUGUUAAACGUCGUUAAGUGUACUACAACCGACGUGGAUUUUAUUUUUAAAUUAUAAAUAGAGUUUUUUUUCCCCUAUUCUUUCAGUUUUAGUUUUCAAUUACAAAGCGUGAUAAAUAGAUUUUUCUUUCCCGAGGAAAUUUAAAAUGAGGGAAAUUAAUGUUCUAGAAUUUGUAAACUAACACGACGCAAUAUUUGCAAAUCUGUGUCAUCUGUUAAGAUUAUGAUGUGGAACAGAGUUCCAUCUGGUAAGAUUUCGUAACCCUUGGGAUCUCAGACAAAUCUGAUUAUGUCGGCGGUUUUCUAUAUAAAUCGUCGUGGUUAUUUCAAUUCUUGUCAUUAAGUAGAUCUACCGACGUAGGAUAAGAAAAUCAAAGAAAAAAAUUGUUAACAAAAAUUCUUAUUAAGACGACGGUUAAAAUUAAAGGUACGACGUAUAAAAUGAAUAAAUACGACGUUAAAUUUUAUUGUACGAUUUAAAGAUAACGUCGUAGAACUAUAAGAGAAUGACGUCGAUAUAUUUAUAUUUUCCGUCGUUGUACAUUAAUUUAAUACGGCGAUAUUUUGUAUUUUAAAGCCGUGGAUUUGUUUGUAAUUAUACGGCGUCUUAUACGAAAACCUCGUCGUGUUAUUUUAUGAGUAAAAACGGCAGUUUUUAUUGAAAUCGUCGUCUUUACUUUCUACGUCGGUCGAUUCAUAACUUCUGCCGUUCUUUGUUGGCAUUGAUUUUACACUGCGAAAAUCUGUUUCAAAUAGACGUCGGUUGUUUAAUUAUGUACGUUGUUGUUUUUGAACAGCCAUUUGAAUCUCCAUUUUUUAGUUGUCUAAGGUUGUAUUACACGACGGUGUUUUUAGAACCGUCGUCUUUUUAAAAACCACGACGGUUUUCACUUAGACCGUCGUUGUUUUCUGGUCGUCUUUUUCACUUUUUGUAGUAGUGGCAUAUGAUGACGACACUCACAACAAGAUCAUGGCAUUUGACUCGAGUUGUAUGAUUCUCUCUUAAGUGUAUGUAAAGUGUAUGACAUUUACAUCAAUACGUGUAUUCUUAAUUGAAAUCUACUAUGGCAUUUACUCAAAUUAACAAUCAAGAAUCCAUUAAGAUCAAAGAGAAUAUGAGUGUCACAAAAACCCUAAAACAUGGCAUUUGUUAUUAGGAAUUCAAGAAUCGAUUUCUCAUAACUAGUUCUUAACCCAAUUAUUCGUUGCAAAUAAGAACACAUUCAAUAUGGCAAUUGACCUAUGUUCUACAACAAUUUAAUUCCAAUACAUGCUUCUAAGUUAGCUACUCAAAGAAACAAAAUAUCAGAAUUCACAUAACAUAUAGAAACCGAAAACAUCACGCUUGUAGAAACUAAAAAUCCAUUAACCUUGUUUAUAAAAUUGAAAUCAUGUUUAGGGCUUCAAGAUUAAGCCCUAACUAACAAGAAAUUAGUUACUCAUGGUCUUGGAUGAACUCAAAAAUAAAUACAUAAGAACUGAAAAUUAAAGAAGGAAGGAAAAGAAAGAACUCGUUCGCAGCUUUCUCCUCUUGCGCUGUUGAUCUCUUUAGGACGUGAAUCCUUUUUAUCAGCCUUGCCUCGUCUUUUAUAUCACUUAUAUCAGAGUUCUAAACCCUAAAAUUGACUGAAAAGUCGUCCAAGAAGUCUUGGUAAACAAGGAAUCCAAAUAGGAAAGUAAAAAUCACAAUUCCUAACUCCACUGGGAAAUACAGCUCAGCCCAAUGUUCACACGAUUUUGGGAUCUUCGACCUUGUAGAAAAAUCAUUAAAAAUAUAUUUUAGAAAGAUAAAUGUCUUAUCUUUCCAACCAUAUAUAGCACGUAACUUGAAAAAUUCGGAAAGGCUUCCGUUUCUUCACAUUCACGUAGCAUGUACGAAACUGUCCUGUCUGCACGUGGGCUAACUUUACUUGUAAUACUGUACCAAUUGGCUCGGUAGAAAAUUCUAGAAAAAUCAUAGAUUGAACUUCAAGAUGUUAGCUUUCAUCUCCAAUCAGGGGCGGCCUUGGGGAGGUGCAAGUGGCGCCACCGCACAGGGCCCCCGAAAAAAAAAAUAUUUAUAUUAUAUAUAUAUAUUAAUAUUAUAUGAAUCGUAUAUAUAAUAUAGCGUCUGGAUAUUUGCACAACAGCGUGUUCAGGGGAGUUGGAUGGAGCACAUCUCUCUUUGGCAAAAGGGCCCGAGUUCGAUGCUCCUUGAUGUCGUUCUACUGGCUAGCCUUUUGUGAUAUUAUUUUUGCAUUCAAACUUUACAUAAUUAUUGAACCAUUGGAUUAAUAUGCAACGAUGGGUGACCACAAUCUCUUGGACUCCUGUGGUCCAUGAGAUCGGGACUGAUAUUACAUGACUUAUUUUAUUAAAUUAUUAUCAUGUUGAUGAUUGGUUGUAUGAGAAUAUAGUUUGUAGAAAUAUUUAUCUAUUUCUUGUUGGGGUUUUCUUCCAGGUUAUAGGGUUUUGGAAUUUUUCUUUGUAAUCUAAACAUGCCACCUACUAGAAAAUACGUUUAUGGAUAUACAAAACGGCUUAGAAAAAGAAAAUUCGAGGAAUUGACUCAAUCUCAAAGAGGAGCUCUUGAUAGAUUCAUUGUUAGAGAAUCACAUGCUACAAUUGAUGAAAAUAUUUAAAUUUUUAUGAAUUUAAUUUCUGAUUUUCAUUGCAUAUUUAUUGAUGGUGAAUUUUAGUUAUAAAAAAAAAUUGUUUAUGACAUUAAGUUAUGGCAAAUUUUUAUAGUAUUUUCGUAUUAGAUUAUGCAAGGCCCCAAUUUAAGUUUCGCACAGGGCCCUCAAAAUCUCAGGGACGGCCCUGUCUCCAAUUGGUCUUGUGCUAAAAUUCCUCCGAAAAGUUGAUUUUCCCUUAAAAACCUUCUAAGAGUGCAGAAAAGCUGAAAAUCAGAAAAAUAAAGUAAUAAGCCAUUUUUAAAUCUAAUUCUCUUACAAAACCAAAGUAAAAAGAGUACAUAAAUGAGUAUAUUUAUGGACUUAUCAACGUCUUCUUCGUUGGACUUGGGGUUGUUUUCCUUAUAUGUCCCCUAUAUAUAUAUAUGGCCUUUAGUUGAGCCCACAAAUACCUUCAGUUAGUUUUUGGGUUUAGGGGCCUACAGAACCUGCACUAAACAAUAAAAGAAAAUACCUAAUUAGUUUAGUACGAAUUUAUAAUGAAGGCUUUAUUAGGUGAAGUUUUAUUUCUUAAUCGUUAGAUCAAAUUGGUUAGCAUCUGAAGUCGCCCAAAGAUUUGAGAGGGAUUCCACAAACAUAUAAUAUAAAGAAAGAAAGCAAUAGUAGGAGAUGAACCAGUACAAAAAACAAUAUAUAAAUAGUACAUAAUAAUUCCAUAACCUUGUCACAAACGCACUCACAAAUGCUUUCCAUAAACCUUGCCCUAACAUAUAACAAAUAAAGGCAACAUUGCAUAUGAUGCAACCAUGUCCAAAUCUGAUACGUGAUAAAAAAAAAAGGACAUGGCAGCAACAUAUGACUGAAGUAGAUGGGCUCUUUGCAUCUCGUGUUAUCGUAAUUAAAGACAUCAAAAUAUUAAGGUUGAAAUCUUCUAUAGUAGCAAGCAUUAAAAUAGGUUUGAAGCAGAGUUUAAAGAAAAUUCCAAUUCCACUGAUUUGCCUCUGCUCAAAGACGAGAACCAAAAUGGUUACUUCCCUUGCUGAGUAUAUUUGUUAACGUCGGAAACGGUAAUAGAUGACCAAUCAAACCCAAGUACGACGAGUUUUGCAUAGGAUCAGAAGUAGUUGAAUCCAGCUUGCAUCACACGCUUCUUUGACUCCAUUGCAUUAGAUGAGUUUUUGUAUUUUUGAACAGCUACACUCCGAAGUCGUUUGUGUCUACGCUUCAUGCGCUGCAACUUCGCCCUAUCCAGAUUGGCCUGCCUUUUGUCAUCUUCAAUUUGGCCUUCAACAAAUUCCAAACGUGCCCUUGCCCUUUGGAUUUCAUCACCAAGUUGAAGAUGCCUCUCCUUCCAAAAAGCAAGAACUCUUUCAGACUCAAAACUUCCAACAAAAUGGUCAUUCUAUCUAGGAAUGUGACAUUGCUUGUCUGGUGACUCACCUGCGUUUCAAAGGCGGUCUUUGUUUGGAGGGGUGUUUAUUAUGCUCACAUCAAACUUGGUUAGUAAAUCCAUUCUAUGGGGGGAGUGAGUUUCUGUGGAGGAGAGAGUUUCAGUAGAUGGAGACAGAUUCGGUGGAGGAGUGAGAUUUUUGUGGAGGGAGAAUUUCUAUGAAAUGGGUGAUAGUAAUACCAAUAAAAGGGUUCCCGCCAAAAAGUAUUUGGUUGACAAUGUAUAAAUUAAUUUUUGGUCUGAUACAAUCUAAGUUUAAUCCUAACUAGUUUGGUUAGUUUGGUUGAAUUCACUAACUAGAUGUCACUUCCAUUGAGUUUCUUUCAACCACUAUCAGUGGUGUAAGGAGAGUGUGAGGUUGACAUGCUUGAAAAGCAAAACCUAACACCUCUUUUUUUUAAAAUUGAAAGAAAGUACAUAUGUUGACUACACACAAGCUUUGGUAUGUUGGUCUAUAAAGCUAUGUUCCCUUUCUCAAACGAAAUUGCAUAUGCAAUCCUCGUCCUCCCAAAACAAAUAGAAUUAUUCAAGCAUGUCAACCUCUUCAGGCGCCAACAACACAAUCAAAGAUGACAAAUUGGAGUCGCAGGUUCUAUUUCCACAUUGUACUCGCCGACCCCUUCCAUUUUCAACAUCAUUUGGGAGUGAGGGGGACUCCGAUGAUCCAUUAGAGCUAAUACAUGCAGUCAAUAGCAAGCUGGAUUAUAAUUCCAGACUGAUCAAUUCAUGGCGCGAGAAAUAUGUUGAAGACGAAGCCAUUUUGGCUGAUCUUAACAUUAGAGUGAACAAAGCGUUCUCCCAAAAGAACAAGUACUUGAAGCUGAGUCAUAAAAGGAAGCUGAAAGCUGAGGAGUUAGAUACAGUAAUGAAUGAUGAAAUUAAAGGUUGUUUGAUGAAUCAUAUGCGAUGCGAAGAGCACCACAGUGAACUGGAGUUGGCAUUCAACGAAGGAUUCGAAAAAUUACGAGCAUUUGCAGCAACUACUCAUACAAGUUAUAAUUGGGACUAUGUGUCCCCUGAUGUUGUGAGAGAGAUACUAGACGAUGGUGGUGACAUGAAUGAGCAUAAGCACGUCAAAGCUGCUUGGAAGAAGCCGACCGAUACGACUAAGUGAUUGCGGCUACAGUUGUUCAGUUGGUUGAGAGUGAUCGUGGUAUUGCACAAAUUAGAAGUAUAUUCCCAUAAUGUCAUUAUCUAAUUUAAAAUAACACAAAUAUCAGUUUCAUUUGCUUCAUAUUGUAACACCCCGACCCCAAAUUUCCCCAAAAUUUACCCUCAUUUAAUUAAUUAAUUAUUUAAGGGUAUUUUAGUCAUAUUUUUAACCGGAGAGAGUUUGGGACCAUGACUUGUAUUUUUGGAUAGGUCGUACUGAGACGAGUUCAUAGACACGUAGUGGGCUCGAAUCAGAGUUGUAACGAGAGAGAUAUGGUCAAAAGAAACCCAGUGGCACAAUCGUAAAUAUUUCAAAAUGGGAUUUUUAUAAAAAUCUGGUUUUUCUCUCUCUCUCUCUCUCUCUCUCUCUCUCUCCCGCGACUUCUCUCUCUCUCCCGUCGGCUCUCUCUCUUUCUCUCCUUGUAUCUCCGGCCACCGACCACGGCUGUGGGCGGGGCCGGUACCAAACUGACCGGGACGACGUCCCCUUCCUUCCCCGACCAUUCCCCGCCGGCAACGCGGCCGUUGCUGGCCGGAAAAUGCAGAAAACCGCCGGGAGGUCGUCGAAACUUCAACGCCGUCGAUCUCCCUCCUCCGGCCACCAUUUUCGUCGACCCAGGUAUGGAUCUUGAACCUCUCGAGCUGUUCUAGCUGUUUGUUGGUUGGGUUUUGAUCGAUUCGAUCUCUAGAUCACUCGAUUUUCGAAUUGAAAAUUGGCCGAAACUUCGGCCGCCGUGAUCGGCCAUUUUCGGCCACUUUUUGUGGUAGGUCCAAGAACAAAAGUGGCUCCAAAUAGGGUGUUAUACCUAGGGUAGAAGUUUGGAGCCGAGAUGUUGAGAUUUUCCGGCGAAGCGUUAUCGCUUUGGGCACCCACGCGUGCGGCGGCGCGUGGGCACUGUAGAAAAAGUAGAUGUGUUCCGAUGAGAUCCUUAGGUUGUCACGAGUGCGUAGGAUUUGGCGGAUCUCAAUUCGGACGUCGUUUGACUAUCGAACGGAUAAUCGCAUAUUAUGCGUUAUCCGGGUUCGAUAGGUUGAGACCGUCGGAUGGUCCCAAAUUUAAUAUAUGUUGAUCUAGGUAUUUCUAGGAUCGUGUAGGAUUUCACGGAUCGUGAAUCGGAGCCCCGGAUGUUCCGAAUAAUAAUUUAAAGUUUAUAUUUUAUAUUAACCAUCAGAUUAUGCGAUCGUGAGAAAUCCGACCGUCUGAUCUGAACCAAACUGGCAGGAAAAGUGUCCUGUACCUGGUAGAACCCAUAGGGACCUUCGGAUCGGAAAUUGGAGGUCGUGGGUUCCGCAAGUCUGUUUGACCAGGGUUAGAGUAGUUUGACCCUUGGUUGACCGUGAGUCUCCCGGAGUAAUCUCACCCUUCCAGGGGGAAUUAUCGGGAGCUAGACUAUUGUGGAGGGUUACACAAUAUUAGAAUUAUUUAUAUAAUUAUAUAUGGUUGUACAAGGGUACAACAAAGUCUAGAAUGUCAGUUUGGAGUGCUAUACGCACUACUUUAGGUACCUCCUCGGAUUUUGGAUUCGCUACAAGCACCACCAAGUGAAAGUUAGGUCCCGCGUGGCGUAGGUUAUCCGGCGUUGGGACAGACCCCAUACGUGGCGUUGGUUGUACCGGCGUAUGGGGAGAUUUGCAAUAUGAUGUUCAGGUCUCACGUGGCGUAGGUUAUCCGGCGUUGAGACAGGCCCCGUACGUGGCGUUGGUUGUACCAGCGUACGGGGAGAUUAUGUGAUAUGAUGUUGAGGUCCCGCGUGGCGUAGGUUAUCCGGCGUUGGGACAGGCCCCAUACGUGGCGUUGGUUGUACCGGCGUAUGGGGAGUUAUAUGAUAUGAUAGUAUGGCAUGGUCGCACAUGGCGUAGGUUAUCCGGCGUGUUGACAGGCCCCAUACGUGGCGUUGGUUGUAUCGGCGUAUGGGGAGAAUAUGUGAAAUGCAGAGAAAGGAAAUAAGGUAUCACCGAUGUGUGGAAUUGGGUUUUAGGGAAGAACUACGUGUGGCUUGAUCCCUCAAGGAGGGUACGUAGGCAGCCUAAGGUUAUUGGGUGCAGCCGCAGACUAAAUAUUAGUCAUAUUUGGUAUUUGAAUUGUAUGGUAGUUGUUUGAGAAUUAUUGGAAGGCCAAAGGCCAUUUAUGAGAAUUUGCAUGAAAUUAUAUUGUGCAUGCUGCUAGUUGUGGAUAUUAAAUGUGUUUUUAUGCAGGUUGAAAUUUUGGGAAAUGUCCAAUUUAUAGGGGAGACUCUGCUGAAAUUUCGGCAGGAAGUCUCGGUUUUUAGUAAGUGGGCCUGGCAUCGGGGUGAUGUCAGGAAUUCCAAAGGGUUCGUCUCGGGUUUUGAGAAAAUUCGGGGCGGGUCCUUAAACAUAUAUAAUUAUUGGGACUAUGUAUUGCAAGUCAUCAUGUGUUCCUUCUGUCUAACAUUAUAUUUUGCAAAUAUCAAAAUAUUAUUCAAUAAGCAGUCAAUAUCACAGCAAGUUGGGAAUUAGUAAAGCCCCAUUAUCAUGUCCGUUCACAUUAAAGAGCUGGCGUACUUUUUCUCAAAAAACUGACACGUGAGUCAUAAGUAACAUAACAUGUGCUAUACAUUGUUUAGUGAAUGGUUUAUGGUUUAUUUAUAUAUAAUAAAAUUCCAAAUAUUGCUGAAUAUUUGUUUUUUCUAUAUCCCUGGGAACAUGAGUGACCAUAAGCAUGUAAGACCUGUUAAGAAGAAGCUGACUAAUACGACCGAGUGAUUGUGGCUACCGUUGUUUAGUUGGUUGGGGAGAUCGUGGUAUUGCUAAGAGGGAGCACAUAAUGUGCUUUGCAAUCAAAUUUUCUUUUGUGUGUGGAAUUAUGAGUAGUUCAAAUGUUAGUGUACCCUUUAAUAUUCUUCAACCGUUUGAAAUGUGAUUAGCUGCAAUGUACUUUUUUACACGCUGCUUUCUAAUCACUCUGUUCCAACAAAGUGCUUUAAGUAUCCUUCAGUUACAAAUGUUUACAAAAUCGUGCAUCUAAUAACCAGUCGAGCUCAGAUCUUAAUAACAAGUAAAACACUAGAACAUAACAUUCGGAAAAAGUGGGUGCUGCUGGAAAUCAUUACUGGUAAUGGAAGCAAGAGCUGGCUGCUGGAAAUGCUGCAUUAGCCUGUGAUAUAAUCAAUGAAUCUCUGUUAAAACAUAAUUCACCAUAAACUACCCAUUUUACAUGGUAAAAGUCAUUGCUUCUUCACAUAACUCAAAAUUUGAUACUUUAUCAAAUGUCUAUGAAAAUUUCUAAAUAGGGGAAAGACGUAAAAUUAACAUGUGUCCAAAUUUCAUGCAAGAAUGAAACCAAGCAAAUUUUUAUUUCAAUUAUCAGUGGACAUAGUAAGAACUCAUCGGUGGACAUGAACAAAAAAAUAAUAAUAUUAAAAACUGAAUCUAGAAAACUUCACCUGAUCAUUAGUCUUCAUAACAACCGAAUUUCGUCUAAUAGAAACAUAAAUCAUUCAGUUGGUCCGUGCAUCGUGUCAAAUUCAUAGAAUAAUGGGUCACUACGAUCUAUUGGAGUUGAUUCGUCAUUGUUCGACGGUGAUGUCCUGCAUAGACAUCAAACACAAGCACAGAAAAAAUUUACCUAUUCAAAUUUUAGGUGUUAUUAUAAAUAGUGUUAGCAUCUUACGGUGUGUUCAAAUUUCUUGCGCAUUGUCUUCUAUCAUGACCAAUGUGUCCACACUCCAGACAGUGUCUAAUCCCUCGCUUCAUUGCCUUUUCUUUUGCUCCCGUUACUCGUUUCGACCUUCUUUUGCACCUCACUCUCUUAGGGUCUUUCAUAUAUUGUGUUUGAGAGCUGGACCCUCCAACUUCGUUAUUACUUGGUCCAUCCUUCAACAACUUCAACUUCACCUGCAAACUUUUUAGAGUCUCUGACAGUAGCUCACAUCCUUCUUCACUCAUUAAUGCACCCUCAACCACAUCUUAAGCAAGUCGAGACAUUGUACUCCGCCUUAUUAAAAGACCAGGAUCUGCAGAGUCUUUAAUUUCGUUGCCAUUUGCAUCUGACACCAAUUCAGAUUUUGCAGUUUUCUUCCACCUCUUUAAAAUAUAUUUAUCGGGCAUAUAUUCAAUCUGGUCCCUUCUGAACAAUGCUAGGAUGUGCUUGCAAAUAAUUCCAACAAAUUCAAAUCUUUUGCACCCACACGAUGCGUGGUCAGAAUCUUUAACAUAUACGACGUCUGCCACUCUUGUUUCCCAAUUUUUCCUUUUGCUCACGCGAAAGACAACUUUAGAAGCACCCUCUGUUUUGAGCUCUAGGAAACAUGUUGUACUUUGUAUUAGUUCUUGGUCAAACUUUUGAAACAUUGUCCUUGUGUACAAGGUAGCCAUUUGUUUGUUCAUUGGCAUCGGUAGAAUACAUUGAGCCACUUCAAAUGCAUCUACGUGAUCAGCAACUAACUCUUUUUGACGUUGAUGAGAAAGUGCCCUCUCAAAUCGUAUUAUGAAAUCCAUCAACGAAUUUCUCCUUGAUAUGUAUUGCUUGAAAAAACCAUGAGAACCUUCCACUCUUUGGCUGCUUGACAUUCCAGCGGCAAAAAAUUGUUGUGCGUAGGCUGGAACCCAAGAUUCUCUUAAAUCAAACAUUGAACUUAGCCAUGGAUGGUCAGUCAAACCAGCCUUUGUAACCACAAUAUUCCAUUUUGUAACAAACUUAUCCUUAUUGUCAGUAUCCCAUACGGCUUUCUGAAAUUCACGCCAAUACUCCUUAUAAGCAGAAUGUGGUAACUUAACAGAGAACUUUGAUGUGAUGUGCAAUAUGCAAAGUCGAUGAAAUGUAGUCGGGAAGGGUAUUGAAAUCGCUCUGGUCAUUGCCGCAUCUUGAUCUGUAAUGAUCGUUUUAGGUCCGCCACUUGGCAUGGCUUUCUUAAACUCCUCAAACAUCCAAAUAAACGACUCAGUCGUUUCCUUGCUCAAAAAUGCGCAUGCUUAGACAAUUGUCUGACCAUGGUUAUUAACUCCCAACAUUGGUGCAAAUGUCAAGUCGUAUCGAUUCGUGUUGAAUGUGGUAUCGAAUACAACAACAUCUCCAUAAAACCCGUACGCCCAUCUAGAAGUUGCAUCUGCCCAAAAACAUUGACUAAACCUGUCAUGGCCAUCUCUCUCAAUCUUGAAAUAAAAAGCCUCAUUUUUUUUUUCUGUUCAGCCAUAAAAUACUCGGUCACUAGUUCAACAUCGUGGUUCCUCAACUUCCCAUUCACACUACAUUCAAAAUUGUAGAUAUCUUUUUUGAUAAAACCGAUUUUAUCCAUUCCUCCGGAUUGCACCUCGAAAAUACUUACCUUCUGAUGAAUGAGAAUAUUAACCGAACCCAACUGUUUUGUGAGUACUUUUGUAGAAUCUGAACUAUGACGGUGUGAUCUCAAUAAAUGCAUUCUUUCUGAGGGUGUCAUCUUAUGAUUGUGUCCCUCUGCAAAAAGAGAGAUGGUAUACUUCUUGCUCCCAUUUGUCUUCACAACCACAAUCUUAGCUUUGCAAUUGCAUCUACUUAUUCCCCGCUGUCUUUUUCUCUCCCGAGUUUCAUCUCUCCUGUAUUCACCUUGUUUGCAACAUACAAAUUCUUUCCUCAAAAUCUCUUUCUUAUUUCCCCCCCAAAAGCUGGAAUGAAGUCGAAUACCAAAGCCAGCCAAGAAUGCAUAUCUAUUAUAGAAAUUGUAAACGAGGUCAAGCAAGUCGAACUUCAUCCCAACUGCUGGUGUUUCCUCAUUUCUUACUUCAAGAAUGUAAACCCUCCCAUUAGCUGUUACACAGUCAUCACUCUCUGAGCCCCCAGACAUUUUAUCCACGUAUAUUAUUGAUCCACUUCUAUAUUAUUGCAUAGCAAAUAUUAAUUCAUUAAUAAAUCAUUACUGCAUCACAACAUAUCAAUGCAUUCCACUUACACAAAACAUUGCCCAAAUUGACACAAAACACGCAUAGCCUAACUUGUUGGAUUCCGAUUACACAAAACGCAAGCAAAAUUUAAUAAUAGUUACGUCAUCUCUUGUGAAAUAAUCUAGAAAAAAUAACAUUAGAACCAACAUGUUCAACUAAGAACACAAAUGCAAUUCAAACCAGCAAUCACAUAACUUCACCCAAUAUCCUCUCCAAAUGCUUACUCCUAAUGUCAUUAAGCCUAAGUUUAGGAUCUUUUACCUACAUUUCAUAAUUUUUCACCCCCACCAAAAAUAAUCAACUAAGUAUACUGAAUAUUCAUAAGGAAAUGACGCAUUAUUGAUGCCACAAAUGACGAAUUUCCUACCCUCACAAAAAACAAAUCAAACCCAAUUAAAUCAAUCCAGCAAGAGUGAACUUACCUCUCAAAAUCAAUCGGGAGCUCCGAAGUCAGUAAGCUUGAGAGAAUGUGGUGGACAUUAGAGAAGACUCUUUGGUAUUGGAGACUCCAUCUCUACCAAAAUCGAGGAACGAACUGCUGCUACGGCGUCUAGCUACAGAAAAAGAUAUGCUACUUUACUUUCAUCUGGAAUCUUGUUUGCUGAACGAAAAAGAGAAAGGGUUUUCACUUGAGCCAUAGAAUCAAAACAAGGCAACAUCUAGGUAAGAGCCAUUAAUCGUCAUAUCGAGGAUACCAUAGAUCGCAGGCCUCCCAAGGAGCUGAUGACAAUGGAGCGACUAUAGGGUUUGGGAGCUUUGGAUCCUUCUAAUUGUGGGUUUGCGUUACAUUCAAAAAAAGAGGAGUGUGUUGUUGAGUUUUUCACAUAGAGGGAAAGAGGGAAAGAUCUUCAACUGAAGUUGGGUUUCCAACGGGUCAAAUUUCAACCCGGUUCUACAUGCACCCUCUUUUAAAAACUCACCGUUGGAUUUCAUCCAACGGCUCGUACAUACCCCUCAAAAACACCCCUUAUAACUUUCCACUCACUAUAGAAGCUCUCCCCAGGAAAUGCUUCGAGGUAGAUUUUAUGUUUUGGGCCUUGGGACCCAACUUCACAAAAAGAAAACAAAUUUGACCAAAAAACAAAGUUGAAGGACAUUGAUAUUGUACCUGUAGGAUAGGUUAAAACACUAAAAGGAAGGUAAAUAGUACGUUUACAGAGUUUAAGUGUAAUAAAGGAAUAAAAACAUGCCCAGAGAAUUGAUAAGUGAUAUCAAUUCUUGAAUAUAUAGAACGUAAAAUAAAGGAAUACGUAGAAAAUUAUUUUAUGUGGUAAAACUCAAUCUAUGGGGCCACGGGACUUCUUAGUCCAAAAAAAAUCCAUUGAACGAUGAUUACAAGAAGUACUCACACACUUAUCCUAGACACAUUCUAGAUAAUUUUUACUAACAUCUUUGUAACUCAACUUCUGUCAUAGGAUGAUUUUUUGACACUCCUUAUGUUGAACGCAAUACUGGUCACGAUUUCUUCAAGCUCGCAGGAACUCUCCUUAUAUUGAAUAUGAUACUAGUCACGAUAGAUUCAAGCUCAUCGGAGAAAAACAGCCACAACGGUCUUGGUGCCCUCAAUGGUAUGAGUCACUGAACAUGCAAAUAAAUACAAUAUGAAUGAUAAAAGUGUUUGAUAAAUCACCAAGUUAUGGAACACUUGAUGAUUUAUCUCAAAUAAAAACUCAGCUUUCCAAAGUUUAUGAAUUGAAAAUAUGAUCGUUAAAGCUCUCUAAACAAAGAAGACGAAGAUCUUAUUUUAUAGAAUUUUUCUUUAUAAGAAAGAAAACACAUUGAAAACCAAAUCUCCAAGGCUUGACAGAAAAUCACAAAAGUAUCUUUCCUAUUCUAGAGAUUGGUCACAUGUAGUCCAACCAAUAGGACAUGAGAUAUUUAAGAAAUGAAGAUUUUGAUCAAUAUCAAUAUCAAAUGAAUUCUUAUACGCCUAGUCAACUAUUAAGGGUAUCUUGACUCCUUGAUAUUGUGAUAUGAUUGAAACAUGAUUUCCACGUUAGAAAAUUAAGGGGAUGUUAAAACAUGAAAGUAAUAGGAGAAUCAAAUUGAUUUCGGCCAAAAUUGCCUAAAAAGAAAACACUCCUAAAUAAACUCAAUUCACUUUUAAAAACAGUAAAACGUGAUUGAAUUGUUCUUUAAAACAAUUCCCUAAUAUACAUGCAUGAUAAUGACAUCACUUACCUCUGAAUCAAAUGCCUUUCAUAGGUCAAGCCACAAGUCUGUGUUUUGGGGAUUGCUGAGCUGCAUCAAUCCUGCCAAUGUCAAUGCUGCCCCUAUGCUCUCUCAAAGCACGUUUACAACCUAUGCUAACAUAUACCCUAAACCCUAGUAUCAAGAAAAUGCCAACACUAAUUUCGUAACACGUAGAAAUUGUUAGAGAUUGGAAGUUUUUUUUCUUCAAGUCUCUCCACCACUCACUAAUACAGAUUGCUCAUGUGAUGAGUUUACAAAACCUAUUUCUCUACUCUCACAAAGACUAUACUUCUUCUCAAAAGACUAUAUCACUUUACCUCUAUCUCUGUGAAAUGUAAAAAGUUGAAACUUUAAUGUCAAACCUCGACAAAAGAUGAACUUCCAUAAGUUACGUUGAAUUUGGAUUUGUUGAACUUAAGUGGUUUUACUUUUCUGUCAGUGUUUGAUGACUUAAUUUGGUAUUUACUUCUUCUUUUUUUCCUUGGAAAUGUGUUCCACCAACGUGAGGAAGAAAAAUAUGCACAAAUUAAUAUAUUUAAUAGAAGCCCAAGAUUUCGGAAGCACAUAAUUUCUACAAAAUUCUACAAAGUGUUCUACUUUACAAACUUCAUAUGUCUACCAAUUUUUACUAAAAUUAAUUUAUCUGCAGUGCUCAAAUUCAUCAUAUGUGUGUCCUUAAUUUUAGUGAAAAUUGGAAGUUUCCAUUAUUUUUGUUUUACGGGAAUUUUUUGAACCAAGGAAAAUCAAGUAAAAUUAAUAAAGCAUAAAUUGGAAAGGGAAAAUAUCUAGAGGAUGCAUUGUAGGAUUGCUCAUGCCAAUAAUUGUACCCUCUAAAUAUAUAGGGACAUAUUUUUUUUGCUCAUACCACUUGUUGCAGUACACAUUCACCCGUUUUCAAAGAAAGAAAUUCUACCAAUCGAUAAUGUCUCAAAUUUAAUCACAUAUUUUAUGGACCAUCCAGCUAUGAGGUUUUAUCUCAAAAACCUUCGGUACAUUUCUCCCACAUGCCACAAUUGUAUAUUCACAAUUACGUCUGAUACAUCACAUCAUGCCACUUGCCUCAAAUGAAUUUAAGUGAGUGAGGCAGUUGGAAGUAAUUAAGCUCUAUAUUGGUGGGUGGAGUGUUAGUUCUGGGUACCCCUCAUCAUUCGUCUAUAAAAUGGUGAAGCCAGUUGCUACUGUUACCAUAAGAGCCAGCUCCGACUUUCUUUAAUUUCUUGCUUCAUAUCCACUAGCUACAUCUGUUGCUCUUCUCAGUGUAAGCUCUGCAAUUUGAUUAACUUUCCCAUUAUCUCUCACUGUACUCUAUAUAAAGGAAUAAGUGUCGUCCAUUAAUUCUCUCCGAAAGUGUCGUCCUGAUUUUAAUUAGAGUUCGAAUUAAUGUUGCAGCUAGCAGCGGUUGCACUGGCAAACCAUGCUGCUCAACCGGUACCUCAACUUUACUGGAACUCCGUCCUGCCAAACACACAGAUGCCAAGAUCUAUCAGUGAACUUCUGCAUCCUGGUUUGUGUUUGAGCACUUUAGAAUCUUAGAUAUCUCUUCUACCUGCCAUUUUACUAAAAUAUGUUCAACCACAUAUUUAUCAGUUAACUACUGUCAUUACAUGAGUGACACAUAUUCACAAAUCGGCUGAUCACUUAUUUUCCAUUAUGACGUUGAUAUAUAAUGUUGGGAAUGGAAAGCCAAUUGACCACAAGGGAAAACCUGAAAAUACUGUACUACCACAGCUAGCACGAAGCCCAUUUUCUUACAAGAGUGAUGUGGGGACCAAAUCUCAUGUAUCAUAGCUUAACCCAUAUGCCACAACUAAAAGACGUGGGAUGAUCGAACAGCAUACCCACAUGGUCAUGGAUCUCUUCAGAUAAUCAAUAUUAAACAACCCAUAAACUUCUCCCUUUGAAGAACAAAUUAAAACCAAUUUCUAGAGGAAGGUUACAAAACAUUUUAGCCCGUGAAGAACAAAUCAAGACAAUAUAACCCAUUUGAUAACAAAAUCAAAAUGAGAUUUACCAAUACUAGAUGACCACGGCGCCAGUAUAAUGGUACGACGGCGGCGUUAUUGUAACGGUGGAGAAGUGGAUGGUAUGACGACGGUGUUAGUGUGACGGUGGAGGAAACGAUAUUAUGAAGGAGGCGUUGCUAUGUUCGGUGGAGGAGUCGUGUGUUUCACAGUUCAAUAUAUCCUUUUUAGUCAUUUUAUAUUAGGGUAAAUCAGUAAUUCAAUAAAUAAUUUGAUAGUAUGGUGUACUCAGUUAAUAUUAGGGUUCAUUUAACAGCACUCAAAUUAACUAGUGUAGAGUCUAUCUAUAUUAUUAAUACUAAAAAUAAAUAUAUGACUAAAUAACUCAAAAAAAAAAUAAAUCUACAAUCUUUUUUUUAAAAAAUUUUUUUUAUAGAAUUUUAUUAGAUUAAUAGGCACUACUAAAAAAUCUCCUUAUAAACUACAAAUACACGCAUAACUUAUACUAAUGUGAGCUACUGACACCACCUGCCACAUGACAGUUGUCCAAGCAUAGUGUUGUCAUUCAUUAUUCCCCACAGCAACUAACAUCCAAUAAAGGGUUGGGGCCCACCCAUACUCCACCUCUCUGUAUGUAGCUCUUUGAGAAUACAGAAGAAAUAUUUUUUAGGGAAAUAGCUUAAAAUGAUACCCAUUUCAUAAUUUUAAUUAAAAAUACCACCCCUUUCCAAUUUUUGUACAACUAUCACCUAUAAAUAUAAAAUUAUUGUCCACUUAUUGCUGAUUUUUCACAAGUUCAGAAAUUUUGGAAAGAAGAAGCUCACACAGCUCUCUCUCUCUCUCUCUCUCUCUCUCUCUCUCUCUAGCACAACUCUCUUUCUUUGGUAUCUGUCUAUCACAGCUCUCUGUGUCUCUCUUGGCUCUCUCUAUCUUGGCUCUCUCUCUCUCUAGCACAACUCUCUGUCUCUCUCUUUGCUCUCUUUCUCAUAGCGCAGCUGUUUCUCUCUCUAGCUUCGUUAUGUCUCUUUCUCCCCUAUUCGAUCUCUUGCUUUCUGUUUGGAAUCGCGAACCCCUCCCUUUAGCUAUGUCUUCUGAAUAGCUGCUUGCAACCUUGAAGCUCUAGUGGAUUGCCGACCUCGAAAAGGUAGUGUUGAUGGUUAUUUUCUUAAUAUCAGUGGGAUUAUGUGAAAUGGGUUAUAGUUUGAUUGUUUGGGUUUGUGUUAAAUUCGUUUUGGCUUUAAUUUCUUUGGGUUAGGUUUUGUUGAAUAUUCAUACUCAUUCAUCUGGGUUUGUACCAAUUGCAUUUAGAUUGGUCUGGAUAUGUGAAUCUUGAAACUUGGGAUUUUCUAUUUGAUGUAGUAGAUCUGUAUAGUGUGAUUCUGUUGUGUUCCUCUUAUUUUACAGUCGUAUUGCUGUUAUAUUGUCAUUAUAUUGCUUAUAUAUUGCUGUUAUAUUGUGGUUAUAUUGCUAUUGUAUUGUUUGGUUAUUGUGGUUAUAUUGUGUUAAUGAAAUGUUGUUUUGUCAUGGUCAGAAAUGGAGACAAUUGUUAUUCUCGUGUGCUACAAUGGAAAAUGGGUCACCUCGAAGAAGAUGUGCAAAUACGAAGGGGGUGACUCAAAAGGCUUAAUAGUUCCACGGACCAUCAAAUUUGUUGAACUGUUGGACCGUGUGCAUUAGAUUGGUAAUACAAACAGCAGGGAAGACAAGGUUUGCUUAAAAUUCUCAGUUUUGGUGGCCUCGAAUGAGUGGAAGCACAUAAAUAUUGAGGACGAUGAUGAUAUCAAUUUUUUUAUGAAGUACAAUUCCGAGGUAACACCUUCAAAACUAGCUCCCUUACUCGUGAGUAUAGAAGAUAAAGGAUUGACAAAUGAUGUAGUUCAUAGUAUGCAUAUCACGACAGAUAGUAGUCGGAUGGGUCAUUCUUCAGUUGCCAUUGUUGAAAGCAAUGAAGUAACUUGGAAUAAUACGAAUGUCACUGAUGUGGGAGGUGAAGUAGGGACAGAUUUUGUGGAUAUGAUUGAUUUUAGCGAGGUGUAGGAGAUGCAUGGUGGUGAUAAUAGUACUGAAAGAAAUGAAGUGUCAGUGUACUCUGCCCCUCCUAAUUUGGGCUGCUUCAACAUAGCUGCCCAGUUGCCAAUAAUGCGUUUAGGAGGAGAAUCUGAACCCACUCGUCAACAUUAUUGGAGUCAAAUAGGUGAACAAAAUCGGUACAAUGCAGCCGGUGUAAAUGAUGAAGAAGCAUAUUUGGACAGCGGGUUUUCACGAAGUGAUUGGAAUCCGAAAAUUACAGUUGGGCAAAUUUUCUCUAGUAAGAAAGCAUUGUUGACGGAGUUACGGUUGACGGCAUUAAGAGGCCACUUUGAAUUUAAGGUGCAAUUCUCUUGCACUAAAAGGUUGCUUGUGGUUUGUUGUCAACGUCCAUGCCCAUGGCGGGUCCGAGCAUCGAGAAUUGGAGAAUACAGCUUCAUGAUUGUGAGGUGUACAACUGUCCAUGAAUGUGAUUUGAGGUUCGUAAGUGACAAGCAUCGUCAAGCAACCGCAGCACUUGUAGCCACUUCACUUAAAAGGAAGUGACAUUAUGAGAGAUGUGAAACACAACUUUGGUUGCACCAUCCAUUAUUCGAAAGCUUGGAAAGCAAAGGAGUUAGCUCUAUUGUCCAUUAGAGGAUCAGCGGAGGAGGCAUAUUAUAUCCUUCCAGCUUAUUGCUAUGAAUUGGAGCGUAUGAAUCCCGGCACAAAAACACACAUCCAAACUGAUGAGAACAAUCACUUUGUGUAUUUAUUUAUGGCGGUUGGCGCAUGUAUUAGAGGGUUCCGUUCUUCCAUGCGCCCAGUGAUAGCCGUGGAUGCCACUCAUUUAAAAUCCAAGUACAAGGGUGUUAUGUUUGUAGCAAAUGCAUUCGAUGGUAAUUGAAAUAUAUAUCCUCUUGCUUUUGGGAUCGGGGAUUUGGAGACGGAUGCAUCAUGGCAUUGGUUUUUCACUAAACUUCAUGAAGCCAUUGGUGAGUGUCCCAAUCUUGUUAUUAUUUCUGAUCGCAAUGUUAGCAUAGAGAAUGUGUGGAACAAAAUUUUUCCAACUGCACAACGUGGCAUAUGCUUUUAUCAUAUGAAGGGGAACAUGAAACGCACUUGCUAGUUGAAAAAGCGUGAUCACAUACUUAUGCACUUUGAGCAGGCUGCGAAAUCUUAUUCCAUUGCUGAAUUUGAUUGUCAUUUUUGCAAGAUCAAGCGAAAGGAACAUGUUGCUCAAUAUCUUGAAGAGACAGGGUUACAUAAGUGGUCUAGAGCUCACAUGGAUGGACGCCGCUACAAUGUAAUGACAACAAAUAUUGCAGAGUCAAUCAACUCAGUCCUUAGGUUUGCAAGGAUGCUGCCAGUGGUUCAUUUGAUAGGGGAAAUUGUUAAUCUCCUUGUGAAAUGGUUCACCGAACGUUGUGAGUUGGUUUUGAAUUGCACAACAACAUUGUGCCCCAAUUUUGGAGAGAAGAAGUUGAGGAACAGGUUGGAGGAUGCUGCAAGGAUGAAUGUGGUUAAAGUAAAUAAUGCACAGUUUAAUGUUUUGGACGGUGAUAUGGACGGCCUCGUAGAUUUGGCGAACAGCAGUUGUAGUUGUAGAAAGUUUCAGCUUGAGCAGCUACCUUGCAAGCAUGUAGUUGCAGUUUGCCGCUUCUUGAAAGUAAAUGUAUACGCAAAGGCUUCUCGGUAUUACACUCAGAAAACCUGGAUGAUGCUUAUUCGGAUAGCAUCUACCCGGCACAACCUCACGGAAUGUGGGAUAUUCCUGAAGAUGUUCGAAGUCGAGUUGUGCUGCCUCCCAUGGCAAGGGUCAUGCCAGGCAGACGAAAGAAGAUCAGAAUUCCCUCGCAAGGAGAGGGCACCAUUAGAAGAAAGUGCUCAAGGUGCGGUUCCGCAGGCCACAAUAAAAGCACAUGUAAAAACAAUAUUCCAUUGCGCAAUGUAUCUUAGACAAUAUGAUUUGUGUUGCUUUGGUAGGUCAUGUAAACUCUACUUUUAUUUGUGGUGGGUUUCGUGUUAUGUUGAAUGGGAAUUCUUUUAAAUUUGCAUAAUUUGGGUUGCAUUGCUACAGCAUGCUGUAUUGCUGACAGAUUGCUAUUAUAUUGGACUUUUAUUGUACUGGUAUUGCUUCCAGAUUGCUAUUAUAAUUUGAGUGCGAAAUUAAAGGGACUGGAAUGUAAUUCCAAAUGGAUCCAAAUCAUUAAAGUUCUUAGAAUUCCUAUAUUACACAGUUACUGUGAUACUCCGACUAUACCUUCUUUUAUGAUUACAAAUUCGGCCAAUGCAUAGGCCAGAUGUGGGGCAAAUACAAGGUGAAAUGUCCUAUGUGUUUGACUACAUAUACUUGUUGAAGGAGCAUUACGAAUGCUAACCUCAAUAGAUUGCUCAUGUCUUGCCAAGAACACUCUUGAAUUUAUGCAAUGUGCCCAAGCCAGUCCCAAAGCUGGACUCACCCGUCUGCCUGAUGUGUCCAGGGACUCCAAGUUUCCCAACCUCACCUCAUUCACUUUAUCAUGUGGCCCAAUAAAAUCCACCACUUGGUUGGUGACAACCACCGCCAACCCAAACUUAUUUGCUAAACCCUUCAAUGUCCCAGAUAUGUUGAAAAAUAUUUCAAACCGCCAUUUCAAAUCUGCUGGUGUUGUCUGAUACUGUGAUCGGAACAAUGCAGCAAUGGAAUCAAUGACAAUGAGUUUCACAGGUAGGUGGGUGUGAUCAAUGGCAAUAAAUGCUUCUAUGUCUCCAAGGACAUGGAUGAGUUGUUGAGCAUCAUGAACACCAUGAACAUAUAUGUCUUCCAAUGGCUCCAACCUUAUUAAGUUGGGGUAUGAUGCAUGAUAAAGGUUGCCUAGUUGUUGCAAUCGACGAAAUGGGAAGCUGAAUUCUGUGAAUAUGUAGACGGUGGAGCCCUCUAGUCCGCCAUGUGAGGGUGGGAGCUGAGCUGGUACCGUAAGUUGGAGACAAAGUUGCGUCUUCCCAGAACCACUCUCCCCUACCAAUUCUGUUAUAGAGUUGCAGGGUAUCCCACCCCCCAAGCAGUCAUCUAGUAUUGGGCAUCCAAUGGAUAAUUGAGGGGUUGAAAGAGGAAGGAGCAUGAGGUUUUAGGGUGUCAUAUUUGUGUAAUUUAGGGGGGGAUGUGAUGGUGCUACAAGGCAUGCAUUAUAUAUAUAUAUAUAUGUAGAGUUCAUUUUGAAGGUCUGUAUUGUAGGCCAUAUGUCUUUUAAGGGAUGUAUAAUCCAUCCUUUUUUCAGGUUGUAAUUAAUUUUUUGUUUAUUUAUUAGUAUUUUUUUGGACCAAAUAAUUUAAAAAACAUUAUGAUGCAGUACGUACUGUAAUAGGAUCAUAUUGUAACUCUAUCAUCACUCUAUUGUACUCUUAUUGACAUAAUAUUGCCGUUAUAUGCAUGUUUAUUAUAUAGUUAUUACUGCUAUAUCGCCACUGAACUGGACACCGAUAAACUGUAUACGCACAAAUACAAAAAGAGGCUUCAUCAUUCCAUAAAAUCCUAUUUCCAAACUUACAUAAUACAACAACAGGCCACCCCAUCGUUACAUAAUACAAAAAUACGCCACCUCAUAGUUCCAUUUCCCUACUGUUGACAAAUUCGAAGUUGCAUACUCUUCAAGUGCGGUGACCGCGACGCAUGAAAUUCAUGACCCCGGCCACAGUGAUGUUGGCCUAGUUUCCUGCCGGAUCCACUAUUUUUGCAAACUUACGAAAUAGUUCGAAUCCGCUUUCCACUUCUUCUUGCUUCAACUUGGCCGUUGCUUCUGAUUCCUUGAAUACCAUAAUUGCAGUGGUAGGGGCAAUUUCAAUUUUUGCUUUCAUUGUCUUUAUAUGUAGGAGAUGCAUGCGCGCAUGAUAACGAGAGCGAAUUGUGCGGUUUUUUAUGACACCCCAUCUAGUUUGGCCCUCCACAAUUUUGAAACUAUGUCUGCAUGAAGAUUUUUCCAAAACAUGGUAUUGCCUCGACAUUGCUGCAUGCCAUGGACCAAGUCUGCAGGGAGUGAAUUGGGUGACUUGGCUUGUGUUUCAGUCUUCUCUCCUUCAGUAAUUGAAAGUGUUGGGUGUGGUGUGAGGUUAUGGUCCAUGGUCUUCGAUAUUUAUUGUAGCCUAGUGUACAACUUAAUUGGAAAAAAAGGGGACUAAAUGCGAUGGGAGUGAAAUCAGUGGGGAAGGUAGUGGCUGUAAGCAGGAGUUAAUGUGAUGGAAGUUUUCAUUUCAAACAACUGGGUUGAUUAAUAUAGGCAAGUUUUAAUGACCUGGAGUAACUCAGAGAGUUAUUGGUGGGAGGGAUUAGAGGGAGUAAUUGGCGGGAGGGAUUGGCGGGAGUCUUAGGCGGGAUAGUAUUGGGCGGGAGUUAUUACCCAGUUGACUGUAUGCCUUUUUGUAAUAUAUUUGUAUGUUGGACGUUCCAAACUUGGUAAUUUUCCCAUUAUGUAAUUCAAAUAAGGGAUUUGCCUAUUUGCCUAAUUGACCAACUCAUUCAAAUUGACCAAUAUGGUUAUUGUCUUAUUUCUCAUUUCAGCAAUCUCAAUUCGUUUCCAUUUUUCCAUUCUUCAUAUUUUCCUAUUUUCCAUGUGUCAUCCAAUUUUCCAAUUUUCCAAUUUUUCAUUAUUUUUGCCUAUUUUUUCCUAUUCCCUAUUUUCCUAUUGUGCAAUUUCCCAAGUUUCCUUUUGUUGUAUUUCUAGUUUUCCAAUUUUUCAAUGUUCCCAUUUUCCCAUUAUGUAAUUUAAAAAAAGUUGCCUGCUUUGCCUAAUUCAGAAAGUAAUUAAAAUGGUCCAAUAUGGUAAUUGUCUUAUUUUCCAUUUCCACAAUUUCAAUUCGUUUCCAAUUUUCUUAUUUUCCAUGUGUCCCUAUUUCCUAUUUCCAUUUUUCAAAUUUUAAGUUUUUGUCCAAUUAUCCAAUUAUCUUUUUUCCAAUUGGACUAUUUUCUAAGUUUCCUUUUUUUCCUAUUUCCAAUUUUCCAAUUUUUCAAUUUGCUAACUUUCCUUUUGUUCUAUUUCCAAUUUUGCUAUUUUCCAAGUUGCCUUAUUUCCUAUUUUUCAAUUAUCCAGUUAUCCAAUAUUCCAAUUUUCCAAUUAUCCAAUUUUCAAUUUUCCAAUUUGCGAAUUUGCCUAUUUUCCAAGUGUCCUUUUUUCCUAUUUCCUAUUUCAAAUUUUCCAAUUUUCAUGUUUUCAGAGUUUCCUUUUUUUUUCCUAUUUUCCAAGUUUCCUUUUGUCCAAUUUCAAAUUUUCCAAUUUUCCAAGUUGCUUUAUUUUCCAAUUACCCAAAUUUCCUAUUUUCCAAGUGUCCUUUUUUCCUUUUUCCAAUUUUCCAAUUUUCCAAGUGUCAUGUAAUCCUAUUGCCUAGUUUCCUCUUUCCAAUUUUUCCUUUUUUCCUAUUUCCAAUUUUCAAUUUUCCAAAUUUCCCAAAUUUCCAACUUUCCAUUUUUUCGUAUUUCCGAUUUGCCAAUUUUCCUUUUGUUCUAUUUCCAAUUUUCCAAGUUUCCUUAUUUCCCAUUCUCCAAGUUUUCACUUUUCCUAUUUUUCAAUUUCGCUAUUUUCCAAUUUUCUGUUCUGAAAUUCGCAAUAAAUGCUUAGUUACACAGUCCUAUUUUGGGUUGAAAUCCACAAUUUUCAAUUUCCCAUUAAGGUUUGCUUUUUUGUCGUUUGGAAGCCAAUUUUAUUGUUGUUAAUGUAAUGUUGUACUGUUGUAAAUUACAGCCAAUGAGUUAAUGAUGUAGUUUGCAAUCCCAUCAAUUGAAUGCACCAACUAAAUACCCAAUAUACUUCAUAUAAGUUCGUACAUAUAACUCAACCUUCCUAUACAGAACUGCAACAGAGGCACCUUCUUAACGGGAAAGGUAAUUAGUCUUACUAAAACGCAAAUAUUCUCCACUACAGCUAACCAAUUGUCGUUUACAACUGGAGACUGAAUCUACCUUUAUUUGUUUUGUUGCAGGCAACAGCUGUGAAUUGUCCCCGGCAAUACUUAAAGAUGUCGGAUGUACGCCCUCCAAAUGAGCAUGUCACAGUUACCCGGGGGACCAGCCGUGGCAUGUGCCAUUCCCAUCUCCACCUCGGACUCCCAAUCAUGAUCCCACUUCAUCUGGAAGUGAGGCUGAGAGCAAUGAUCCGCUUGACAAAAUCUCUGCCGUCAAGCACCACCUCCAAUAUAUGUCAAAGGCAACGGAUUGGUGGGAGAGUAAGUGCGAUAUUCAUGGCCAAGUUAUGGGAAACUUGGCCAACAAGUUGAACAAAGCAUACGCUGGAGAGGUGAAGCAAACUCUAAAAGCAAAAAGUCGGAGCAAAGAGUUAGAGUCCUUGAAGUUGAAAUUGGAAGAGAGAAAGAAAAAUGCUGUCGAAAAAUUCACACAAUCUGAAGAAUAUAACCAUGAAAUGGUUGAAUGUUUCAACAACGGCUUUGAAAUGUUCCGAGAUUAUGCUUCGGUCAUCUCACCAGACUACAAUUGGAGUGAAAUUGAUGUAGCUGGUGUUUGGCAGGUGCUGAAUAUGGGUGCUGAGGGAAUGGCUCAUCAUAGCCUCGUGCAUGCAGCAAGGAGAAAGGACAAAGACUUGGAUCUUUUGAUGGACCUGUAGUAACAGUGAGUGCUGCUUCAGUUCAACUCACCUGAGUACAUGGAUCUUUUGUUGCCUUCAUUUUCCCUUCGCAGGCUAGUAUUGUUAAGGUUCGGUGGCGAUUUCUUUUGCAUGUGUAAAAUGUUGUCUGUAAUGUGUAUGUAUUGUAUGUAGAUUGACUUAAUAUUGUAGUUCUAUUGUAUGUAUAUUGCCUUAAUAUUGCCUUUGUAUAGCAUAGAUAGUGUAUGCAUAUUGCCACCGUAUUGGAUGUAUAUUGUAAAACUAUUGGUAUCGUAUUGCCCUUAUAUUGCUCUAAUAUUGCCUCUAUAGUGCACCUAUAUUGACCUAAUAUUGCUCUUAUAUCGUAUGUCAAUGGCAUGUGCUCUAAUAAGUCUCCAGUUCGUUGAAAGUAAUCCUGAAUUCAAAUAUGAUGGACAAGACAAUUGUUAUCCAUCCUUAUAUUACCAUGAAUUGAUUUGGACCUUUCAAAUGAUAGUUGGAGUUGCACAUGGAUUCAUAUUCAAAAGGAAAGUAAUUCUCUCCCUCAAUGAAUUGUCGUUCAAAAGAAGGCAGCUAUCAAAUUUUGGGUACAAAAAGGCAACAUCCACGGUAAAUUAAUUGGGCACAAACCACAUAUUACAAAACCAGGAUGAUUUUUGGCAUGCUUCAAAAGAGAAGGGCCAAAUACAACAGAAAAGAAAAUCCAUUCAAGCUUGUACAAUAGAAUGCACAAUAACCCUUUUACAUGUCCUUCCAACACCAGUGUUUUGCCUACUUUAGAGUCGCAGGAGGAGAGCUUAUUGCCAUUGUGCAAUUCGAGGGGGCAGUCAAUUUGGAAUGGUGGCAUAAACAUGUUUACUCCACGGAUCACCUAUAUGGGACAGAGCUUCCUUCUUCCCUUGUCGUCUGUAGGUUUCAACUUCACACUUUUUAUAUACAUGUAUGAGAACUUGUGGCUAUUUAUUUAUGGCCUUCUAACACUUGUUCUGCCAUUCCAAAGUGGGUUGGAGACUUUUUGAGUUGAAUGACUGGAAAGACUUCAGAUGACAGAAACUAGAGAGUUUGAAGAAAAAGGGUUACCAAGAACAGCAGUCAUGCCCACGACAUAAACUAAACAUGCUAUAAGCUCCACAGUAAUAUUUACUUCAUCUCCAUAAUCAGAAUAUUGGGAAAAAAAUACCACGGAGAAAUACGUGAAAUGAAAAACAACUCGGCAGUUACUGUGAGAUUGUGUACAUAAAACUUGGAACAACCAAACCAAUUAAAGCUAAGCCAUCUCAUACGUAUACCUACAUCAAAUAACAGUGUAUGGUCAUCUUGUUUAGAAUAUUGCAAUCAACACUUGGUUGAGACCGACCUGCAAAAACAACUGGGUUAAGUACAGAUGAAGCCAUUUAUGAAGGGCAGUUCCAGAAUUAAGACCUACGUUAAUUUGUAACUGCCACCGAAUCAGUUCAUAGUGCCAAAUGCAUCUACCAAGCACACAGAUAUGACCAGCCAAAAGAAAAAAAAGCAAAGUAAAAAAGAUAAAAGAGGCAUGCCAUAAAUGGGAACCUCAGCAGAAAUCAUCAGAUAUGCAUACAAGCAGAUUGAGUAACAUCUCACUAAGUAGAGGUCAUGUUGGUAAUCGCAUGUUGUGUUUGCACACAGACAUUUGGUUUUUGCAAACACAACAUGCAAUUGCAUUCCAUGAUGUGUGUGUUGUGUUUGCACACAGACAUUUGGUUUUUGCAAACACAACAUGCAAUUGCAUGAUGUGUGUGUUGUGUUUGCACACAGACAUAUGGUUUUUGCAAACACAACAUGCAAUUGCAUAUUGUGUGUGUUGUGUUUGCACACAGACAUAUGGUUUUUGCAAACACAACAUGCAAUUGCAUAUUGUGUGUGUUGUGUUUGCACACAGACAUUUGGUUUUUACACACACGAUAUGUAACAUUUAGUUUUACCCUUUUAUUCUUAUUUUCUUCGUUCAAACAUGGUGGUGAGAAAAGCACCAAACCAUCCCAUCAUAUAAAGCAAAACUCAUACAAUAUUUUAGAUGCAAAAGUUAUAUAUUUUAUAUAAAUGCAUCAUCCGCAUGGCUUGAAAUUACAAAUUCACGUUCACAUAUUACUUUUCACAAGCGCACAGACUAACAAUAAUAAUAAUCAACCAAGUAGUUGCGACAUUCAUCCUAUUACGUCCAUAUUGAUAAUGUCAGAAGUUUCAUCGAUAAGCCUCAUCAAACUACAAGUUUUUUAAUUUGAAUUAUGAAUUCAGAACUAAAAGCUCAUGAUAUGCAGAAAAUGACAUACAUUGUCCACAAUCGACUUUUCGAUAUAUUUCUGCUCUAGCAAUUUAUCGUCCAAAUUCUGGACUCUCUGUGUCAGGUGCUUCUUUGUGUUCUAUCCAGCAUAAGAAUAUUUAAUAGUGUGAUUUCAAUUGUUUAUACAAAUUCUAUAAGUAAUAUUGAUGAGUGCUGUAAAUCUAUUUGAUAUUGGGAACAAACAUGGUCCCACUAACAGAAACUCAAACAAAACAGGAAUUUUUUUUUAUUUUUUUUGGCAUAGACAGCCGAAAAGAAACUUACAGCAAUAGCCUCUGUCACGCUCUCCAGACGUUUAUGCAAUUUUGAAACAGCAGCAUUCAUACUACGCUUUGUCACAUACAGAAGAUCUGAGAAUUUUAGACCCUAACCAUUUGUGAAGAGCAAAUAUUAGAUUUGCUUAAAGAAGACAACAACUCACAGAACCAAUGGAUGAAAUAAUAUGAACAUAAAUAUAUCAUUUGGAUACCUUCCACCACAUGUAACCAUAACCCAAUGCCCCCAAGGUAGCUGUUGGCAUUAUUAGUGAUGUCAAACCUAUUAAAAAAAUCAAAAAAAAAAAUAUAACCAAGUAUAAAAUGUUUCUAUUGCAUUAUGAAAUACAUACGUGUAAGGAAUUAAUCGUUUUACAACUUAACCAAAAAGUCAAGGCAGGAGCAUGCAUUCAUUGAGUGGUUAUAAGCAAGAGGAAAAAGCACAAAGCAUGCUAAGAAUUCAUUUGAACACAGAAGAGAAAGUAAGCUACCUUGGAAUUUGGCUGUCAUUCCCCUUCAGGACGGCUCUCUGUAGUGACGAGUCUAGUUGUCGGACCUCAGCUGCCAGUCGGCGCACCUAAAACAAAGUAACACAGGAAAAUUGAUAUCCAUUACAAAAAACAAAAAUUGAACACGAGAAAGCAUCCUUCGACACUAAAUUUAUAGCAGUUUUUCCAAUACCUGUGAUGCGAUCGCAUAAAAGUCACCUUCUGAUUGUUCUCCGGUUCCAUUGAACAAAGGCUGCAAACAAAACAGAAAUAGACACAAAUCCAUCAAUUUUUUGAGCAACAAGACACAAGCUCCGAAAUAAAUAAACUAUCUAACUGAUCAAAACCCUAGUUUACCAAAUGCAUUACAAAAUUAAAAACUCAUACAAAAAUAACACCAAAUACAAAUGUUCUGCGAGUUCCACUAGCAAAGCAGAGUACAAAUCAUGAAAAUGGUACCUGAAGUUCACCGAUCAAUUCAGAUAAUUGACCAUUCUUACGCAGGAUGGUGCUCGUAUACCCUGUAGAAAGAGAACAAUCACUCAGAUCAAAUGUAGCUAAAUACACAAGGAAACUAAUCCAGUAUGCAAGAUGAAAGAGGAGUGAUUGGUACCUACUCCAGCGAAGAUCAGCAAACACAGUAUGAGGUUCCAAAUUCAAAUAACAACAUAAUGCUAAGCAGAGAAGUAGAAUUGCUGCCGAAAUUAUUUAAAACGAACUAAGUCAAAACUAAAUGGAGAAAUGUUAACAAAGUUGUAUGCUUCAGUAAGUCCAGUAACAGAUUCCCAAAACCACAGAGACAAAAUGUGAACAAUGGCUACAAAAGCAUCCAUAAAGAGCAACUAUGUUUAUAUAUGGAGGUGUACAAAAUAGUUAACCUUCAAAAUCGAAACAGUGUGUGUGCCAUGUAAGGCAAUUAGCCACUGCUUCUAGACUAUACAAUAUUACACCUCACAAUAAUAACUAAACCAACUAGCUCUAGCAAAAAGGCAGGAUGACCAUAUAAAGUACCCCCAGCAAAGCAUCUACGUCUGCAUCUUCAUAUCAAGGAGUUCCUGACAUAAGUAAUGAGCAAAGUGAAUUCCCAAGUCAUAAGUCCAGAAUGAGGUGAAUUCACGGACAUUAAAACAUUUACCUCAUAAAUAUGCCUCCCCCCUUAAACCCUCAAUUGCAAGCCUCAGCCGGUAAUAUUUGAUCUUCAAAGGGUCAACUUUAUCUACCGAAAUCCCAGCACUGAGAUGCUCGAUGAAUUUGACGGUCAUGAUUCCGCAAGACGUACUGUGAGACCAAUAAGUUGGGAAAUUAGAACUGCAGUUAUGUAAGAUUUGGAUAAACUGCACUAAAUUCACAAAGCUUACCCAUCUCGUUGUUGUGGCACAUCUGCAAUGCUGCAAACUGAGAAUGGCGUAAACGUCAACAUCUUCAGCCCCUUUUGCUUAACCUUUUCAACCUCAGAAUCUUCAUAAAAGUGCAUAUCGUACAGCACUCGUGCCAGCGUAUCGCUAAUAGGGUGCAGAAGUGUAACCAGCUUCGAACAUUUGGUAAAAGCAACAUAUGAGUCAUACACAGUUGCAGUAUGUCAGACGAAAUCAAUUUCGAUUGCAACCCAGUAAGACCCUUUAAGAUUAUAUGGAAUAUAGACCUUCCGGACUUUUGUCCAAGCUUGGCCAUACCCGUGUUGCCACGUACCGCGUACAAAGUAAUGUAUAUUCUGCAGCUUGCUGGGUGGAAGGUCAACGGUGUUUGAAGCAACUGCCUUCUUCGAUCCACGUUUCUUGGCAGUCGGUUUGAACGGAUCUAGAAAUUGCUGCAUAAAUUGAAAUGAAGGCAUAUUAGAAAAUCACAACCGAAAGCAAAUGAAGCAGCGAAUGUAACAUGGUAACAUGUUUACCUGCAAGCAACAAUCUGCUGUUGUCCAGUCAGUUCCAAAUACCAACGGAUGAGAGAGUUGCCUUUUCCAGAUAAGAAAGGUUGCCAUGUCCAGGUGCUGAAAGUUGACACACAUAAUAUCAGCACAAUUUCAUACAACUGUACACUUAAAAAAGGUGAGAAAACAAUUUAAUUAUCGCAAUAAAGUAGAGCUUUGUGUAUUCUUACCCUUGAGCUAAUCCAUUCCGUUUCAUCGAUAAGUCUGUAGAAAAAAUCAGCGCCCACUGAAAAUAAUUCCAGCUGCACCUCCGCACUACAAAAGGCAAACUUGCAAUGGUUACUUUUAUAGUCAUCUCAUAAUUCUGACUUUGUUGAUGACAAAAAUACACAUGUAUAUUAAAGCAAACUCUACGUUUUCUCAUUAGUCUAUGACUACAUACUAGAAUAGGAUGAAGAUUGGAAUUCAAAGGUAAAGAAUCCUAACCUGAUAUCGUUUUUCCAGGCAGUACAAAACUCUAUUACUGCCUUCACAUCUUCAAUGGGCACGGAUUUUGAUGGAUCAAAACAUGGCGGGGUUGCAGUCGCAGCCAACACACUCAUCGUCCUCUUCUUCCUCAAAGGAUCAGUAAAUGGGCUCAACAAUGUCUGCGCCGGGCGCUUCUGUCUGCACCCUUUACCUUCCACUUCUUUUUUUUCCACACUCGAACUACCUUCUUCAUCACCAGCCAUACUAACUGUGGGUAGACUUGGAGGAUUCAUCGGACCUCCCGAUGGCAUACUCUUAGUCACUUUCCAAUCUUCUAACAGAGACAACACUUUUUGGCAGAUUUCGUCACACCCGGCCACAUCUUCCGGGGUAGGCAGCUUCUCGGAUUGUGCCUGCUCAGCUGCUUCAUGCACUUGUAAGUGAGGAACUGAAGCGGCCAUUUCUGCCUCUUCGACUACCAUGGCUGCGGAAGGUUCGGCUCCAUCACCGGGAACUUGUGUUUCCAUUACCGCCGGUUCUGUAGGCGGACUAACAUGGUCAUGUAAUGGCGACAAGUGAUUGUCGCCUCCUUCAUUCAUAUGAGGACUACUGAGGUCCUCAUGUCCUUUCCCACCUUCAUUCACCCCACCAUUUCGUUUUUUCAGCUGCUCUAUCUCCACAUUAAAAUAAUGCUCCAUUAAAGCCAGGGUGUUGCGGAAAUCCUCCACACACUUUUUAUUUUUUUCGAACUCUCUUUCAACUUUCAAUGACUCCUUCCGUACCAUGUCUUCCAACUGAUGCACUCUGUUGCGAAGCGCUCGAUUUGAUAUGGCAACUUUGGCCAAUUCAUCCUUUGUCCUUUGAAAGUCACGCUUCAAAGUGCGUAACUCUCUGGACGCGACUGUACCCUGCAUUCAGUUAUAAUGCAAGUGUUACAAUAUUUUCAAAAUAUAUUGCAACAAUACAGCAGUUAUUUUCCUAUUGUAUUAUGACGUAUAUCUUGGAAAAAAAUGUAAUGCUUGCCUUAGAAGACGACGGAAGGCUAGCAGUUUCGUCAAUGUCCUUAUCUUUUUCUUCUACAGAGGCAGAAGUGCUGGUUUUUUGUUCAGCGUCAUCGCCAAACAACUGAACAAGUUCUUCAGUGUCGUCAACACUGUCACCCCAAGUCCAAUACGGCUGCUGCUUGUCGAUUACAGAUGGCCGGAGAAGUUGCACAUCAACCUGCAAUUUACACAUACAAUAUACAUAUCAGUAAACUUAUUAUAUUAUAUUUUCAUAUGCCUAACAUUAUCAUUAAAAACUUAACUAACCUCACGGUUCUCGAAUACUUGGCUCAUUAGCUCAUAAAAACACGGCGAACUAUUGCUCCUCCAAUGUAGUAAACGAGGGAUGUAGGCAUUAUCUUCGUGCACCACCAAAUGUAGUGCAGCCAACGCUGGAAAAACCUCAUAAGCCCAAAUCUGGUUUGAGGAAUAAAACGUGAGUCACUGUAAACAAAUGAAAUUUAACUUCAACAUGAAUGGAAAUUUGCUCACCUGAAGUGCAUAGGCAAAACCUUUGAGGUGGUACUCUCUUGGUCUACCAGUUGCCGUUGUUUUUGCUUUCUUUUCAGAUUUUUUUGUUUUUGCAGCUUUUUUGGGCACUUUCACUCGCUGGUAAUCUGUACAAAGUGCCCUCAGAAGUGACACAAUUGUCUUGGCAUAACACACAGCACCCCAUGGAUACUUCCCAAACUCUUCAAGGUCUUCCACCAACUUCAAAUAUCGCAUGUCAAUCUGGACAUGUUUUUCACUGCCCAACAGCACAAACACAGCAAAGUAUACAAAUCUGAGCUUCAAUACAUCGUCCGCAUCAACGCAUUUGAGGAAGGCCUUUUCUAAUUCCAAAACAUUGACAGUUUUAUAGUUGCCAAAGUACUUCCUUUUCAAUGAGCAGUUCUCAUUAGUGGGAAUCGGAAUAAAGGGAAGGUUUCCAAACCUUAGCCCUGUCACGAUGCAAAAUUGCUGCGCCGUGAAUUGGAUCACCUUAUUGCCAACGAUGAAUUUGAUCCCGUUGAGUUGGGAAACUGUCUUUGGAUCAGCUUUCCUCAGCAGCAAGCCGUGGACAAUUGGCGAAGUCCACUUGAGGUCCUCAAUCAGUAGGAGAUGCCCAAAACAACUCUCUUCAAACCUUUGUAGCUGUUGUUCACUGAAUUUCUCCUUUAUCGUGCUGAUUGCAGUCUUCGUAUGGGAUAGGGACAAUGCUUUUCCUUGGAACUUUUCUUCCUCUGCAAUCAUCAACUUCAUUUGAGCAACCAUCUUUCCCUGCAUGCCAAUAUUAUAAAAAAAAAUUCAGUCCGUUGCAAUCUAGACAAUAACAAGCAAUAAACAAUCAGCACUUAUCUACAGCCUAUUAUAGGAUAUUAAGUGAAAACAAAAAAACAAAAAAUACAGGGCAUAAACAAAACCCCAGCUAUUUACAACUGACCUACUAAUUCAAUAGCUCAAAGCCACAUCCCAAGACACCCAGUACUCUACCACUCUUGCAUAAUAUAAUAUCUAAAGACACAUCUCAACACACCAGAUAAUCAUGACACAGCUUCAGCUAGAAUGGGAAUGUGCGGUAGCACAAGCCUAAUUGAGAACAAUUCAAGACUAACGAUAGAAAUCUAUCUGACUAGAAAGAGUUUUAAAAAAACAAGAAGACAUCGGGAAAGAAUUGAUUGACUUCAAGGUAUAAUGUAAUGGAACAUCCUAUGAAUUAGUGGCAACCAUAAUAAUGACUCCACUAUGGCCCUCCUUUCAAAUGUAAGAAAAUGAAUGAAAUUGGCACCAUCCCUUCAGUUUUUUCUUAACAAAAUAAGAGAUUUGUAUGUAUUCUCUGCUUUAUCGAUAUCAAAGAUAAAUUAAUAAAUAAACCAUCAAAACUGUAUAAAAUGUUUGUUAGACAUGUACAAUUACAAAAUUAUAAGUUCUCCUCAGAAACAAAGUUCUCUAAGUACGCAAACAAGAAAAGCAAAAGCUUAAAGAGUUAGCUUAUAGCAAAAUCAAUGUCCCCAUUUCUCUAAACCACACCUGCUGGUGGUAGGUUCCCAUCUUCACUCAUUUCCCGCUUUCUUUUAAACAGACAAUGAUCAAGCACAAAAGAGCAAACUUUUAAAUAACUCAUAUUACACCACAAAUAGUUCUAAAGAAAACUUAUUCAUAUCCAAUAUGCAACCCCUAAAGUUAGUAAACAGAGUUAUAAAAAAAUAUGUCAAAUUAACAAGCAUUAUUCUCAAACAAAAAGUAUGAUAUGGUUGGGAGUUUACAAGUUCAAAAUGAUAUACACAGGUUAAUUGUCUUAGACUUUAGAUAUCAUCUUCAACAAAGAAAAUAGAUACCGAUUAGACUUGUAAGAAGGUUAAAUGCAAUGGUCAUAAAGACCCAUAGUAAGCCACCAAAUACCAAUCAAUAACUGCUAUAAAAACCAUAAUAAAACCAUAAUAAACUAAAAAUACAACAGCACUAAAAUGCCAACACAACAUCACUACAUUAGCAAUAUAGUAGCAACAAAACCACAAUACGACAUCAAUAGCAACAGCAAAACAACAGCAGUGCAAGCAUCAGUCCACAAAGAACAAACCCAUUCACUGUUUCAAACAAGGAAUCAUCAUACUAAGAUCAUUUCAGAGAAACCCCAAAACCAAUUUCAGUGAAACCCCUAAACCAAUUUCAGAGAAACCCCUAAACCAAUUUCAGAGAAACCCCUAAACCUUCAACCAAUUUCGAACAAAUCCCUGAACCAAUUUCAUAGAAAUGCAUAAACCCUAAACCAACUUCAAAGAAACCCUAAACUGUAAGAAAAUGACGAUGAACAGUACCUGUUCAAGGUGAACGAUGGAGUUGAGCUUCGAUGAACAAAUUUCGCUCGGAGAGGAAGAGAGAAGAGAGAGUCAGAGCUGAGCGACGAGAGAUUAAGGGCUGAGCGACGAGAGAGUGAGAGCUGAUCGACGAGAGAUGAGAGAGUGAGAGCAAAGUGACGACAGAGUGAAGAGAAAUUGAGAGAAGGAGCCAAGAGAGAGAGCUGAGAGAGAACUUCAGCAAAACUGAUAGAGAACUUCAGCAAAAGUGAUAUGUGUACAAUAAGGGGACAAUAAAUAUAUAUUUAUAGGUUAUAGUUCCAAAUUUUUUUAAAAAGAGUGGUAUUUUCAGUUACAAUUAUAAAAAUGGUGGCAUUUUGAGCUAUUUCCUUAUUUUUUAUUCAACAUGGACGCAGAAACUGUUGCUAAACUGCAAACUUCUUAAAAUAUUUGUCUCACUUUCUCAACCCUAUAUUUGUCUAACUUUCUAGAUCCAUGUACUGAGAUUUAUUAGGGAAAUAUUGUAGAAACUGAUUAUUUUGAAAUAUUAAAUGUGAAAAACUGAACAAAAAUUUGAUGGGUUACAUAUUUCAACUCAUUUCAGCAGCUUAGAUUUUGAAGACCUCGGAAGAGGCCAUGCAGUGAGCCUAGCUAGUGCACUGUUGAUCACUUCAGUGUCUACCGAUCUGUAAUUUUUCCAGAUUGGUUAUAUUUUCCUUUACAUAUUCUUAUAUUAUUCCCAGCUGUAAGUGUUUUACACACUUGUCUAUUAGAAAAGGGGAGACUUAUAAAUAAAUCCAAAAUGGGUACAGUAUUUAUAAAGAAUGACAAAAUUAAAGUGUUUGGGCAAUAAUGCCCUUAUUCAUUUUGAGAUUGCCUAAGGAAUAUUUUUUCUGAUUUUCAGAAGAUGCCAAAGGACCGUUGUUUGAUGAUUGCCGUAAGGAGCUAAGAAAACUUGCUUUGAUAGUUUUGGACAGAUGCAUGCUACUGUUGCUGGGAUGAUCUCUUCACGUGAAAUGAGGAUGAUGAUGCUUCUACACUACACAAUCCAACGAAUUCACAUGUCUAUUUCAGAUACAAGUAUAAACUAACAAGGCUUUAAAAUAUGGGCUGAUGCACUGUUGUUGAUGUUGCUGACACUGUUACUGUGUUGUUGAUACUGUCACUGCGUUGCUGUUGGAAAAAGCACAAGGACUUCACAUGUUGCUUUCGUCUUUUGUGGAGGAGAGAGACCUAGGACUUGCAUGUCUUAGAUAUUUAAGAUAAGGGGCUUUCGUUCCAUUUUGAAAAUACUUUGGGUGUUUUUGAAAGGUGAUUGUUUCUUUUGGGUUUCUCACUAAAUUUCGCUUUAGAAGGGAAAAUAAUAAUAAUAAUGUCAAACAAAGUAGGGUAAAUAUUCAGAUAUGCUCAUAUUAUUAUUCUUCUCCAAUAUUGAGGUAUUUAUACAAGUACAAAGAUGUGUUAACCCUAAAUAAAAUAGGAAAUAUAUCUAAAUUAUAAUAGGCAGUAAAUCUCUAUUACAAUAGGACUAAAUAAUAAUUGGUAAGUAACCAAAAUUCUAAUGAAAUAAGGAAUCAAAAUCCUAACUAAGUAAGGACUCGCCAACACUCCCCCUCAAGUUAGGGCAAACAUAUUUCGCAUGCCUAACUUGACAAGCGAGUCAUAGAACACCAUACUUGAGAAGCACCAAUUGUAGAGAAGGUCUUUUCGUCAACCACGAGUGAAACAAGUGACAAACUAAAGCAAAGUUCGCAGCGGAAACACAAGAGCGAAUCCUAAAAAAUAGGGCACAUAGCAGAACACAAAAAUCCUGGAGCACGACAGUAGAUAAGGCAGAACACAGAAACCCUGUUAGCACGGCAAUAGGUAAGGCAGAAAAAGUCAAGAGCAAAGGCAAGGUCAACAGGCGUGACCACAACGAAAACACACCAGCAAAGACAUGAGCAACAAUAUUAGCACCAUAAUAGACAUGAGCAACAAUACUGGUACCAACAACAGCAAUACAAGGCACUGGCACCAGCAAGAGCAACAAGGCAUGGACAUAACAUGCAUAAUCAAUAGUAAUCAACAUUGUCCCCAACAAGAGUCAUAAUAGGCAUGAGCAAUAACAUUGUCCCCACUAAGAGACUUAACAGGUAUGAGUAACAGUACUGGCACCAGCAAAGGGCAUAGUAGUCAGCAGCAAUAACAAUGACAAAUACUUCUAUUAUUGCAGAGACAACUUCUCUUCACUCCCCAUCUCCCCUUGAAGAGAAGGGGUCAUCGGAACCAUAAGAAAAGUGGCACUUAAGAAACAGAAGUUGACUGACGCUCAAAUGUAGAAGAAUCAGCCAUGGCAAAUAGGUAGCUGAAUUGCAGCGGAAUAGAUGAGCAGCGGUGUCACUCCCCCUCAUAUCUGAUAAUGUAUGAGAGUCGAGAUUUGGAGAAAGCAAUAUCGAAAAAUAAAGUUGCAGAACCCAAAUAAAGUUGCAUCUAUCUCCCCAUCAAAUCCGACACUGGUAAAGGGUCGAGAUUUGAAAGAGGAGAAAUUGAAAUAAUAGUAAAGAGACUCAAACAUGCAGUCUCAUGGCAGAAACAAAUGCAAGAGGGGAAGAUGGUAGCAUACGGUUGUCCCAUGAAGAAAAAACUUCAGAAAAGGAGAAUAGUAAGGGAGGAAACCUAGCAAAUCAUGAACAGAGACAAAGACAAAGAUGCUCAAACUGAGAAGCGGAAAGGCAACUCAAGAGAGCAACCGAAGAAGACAGAGGCCCGCAGAACAGUCAAAGUUAAGGCUCGGCGAGUGGUGACGAUGCUCGCGGAGGAAAGCAACGGCUCGGUGAGCGGUGAUGAGGCUCACGGAGUAAAGAGACUUGUUAUGAAGUUUCAAAGAUAGAGAAGCUGAGACAUCAAGAAAGACCAUCUGGCAUACAAAGAUGAAAAAUAAAAAUUUUGGAACAGUAGCAAAGAAGCAUGUGAAGGCUGGUGCGGUGAAAACACAUAUGAAAGGAUGAACAAAAGAAGAUGACUAUACAAGAUGAAGACCCAUGAUGGGUUAGGAAUGAGGAGUGCCAACGACUCUCAAUUUGGCAGAGGUUAUCGCAGGUUAGGAACCUGGCUCUGAUACCAUGUCAAACAAAGUAGGGUAAAUAUUCAGUUAUGCUCAGAUAUGCUCAUAUUAUUAUUUUUCUCCAAUAUGGAGAUAAUUAUACAAGUACAAAGAUGUGUUAACCCUAAAUAAAAUAGAAAAUAUAUCUAAAUUACAAUUGGAAGUAAAUCUAUAUUACAAUAGGACUAAAUAAUAAUUGGUAAGUAACUAAAAUUCUAAUGAAAUAAGGAACCAAAAUCCUAACUAAGUUAGGACUCGCCAACAAAUAAUAGUACAACUCUUAUUAGCAACAGGUUACAAACUUCUUCUACAACACACCAACAUGAAUCUAGCCCUGAUCCACUCUUUUACAUACUUGAAAACAAAACAAAACACGAAAAACAAAAAACAAGAAACAAGAUAGGGAGAAAAUGGCUACGGAGAGACUUCCUGCUAAUCAGGGGCGGCCCUGGGGUGGUGCAAGUGGCGUCACCGCACAGGGCCCCCGAUUCUUAAGGGCCCCCAAAAAAUAAUUCUUUAUAUUAUAUAUAUAUAUAUUAAUAUUAUAUGAAUCGUAUAUAAAGUAUAGCGUCUGGAUGAUAAAGAGACUCAUUAUCAUUAUCUUAGUCAUAAGAUUCAAAAUGAAUUGAUACUUUUGUUAGCUUCUGAGCUCAAAAGUGCAAUCAUUAAAAAGAUUGAAGAAGCUAAAUAUUUUUCUGUGAUUCUUGAUUGUACUCCAGAUGCUAGAAACCAAGAACAAAUGAGUUUGAUAGUAAGAUGUGUGGAUGUCUCUACUAAUUCAAUAAAGGUUGAAGAAUUCUUUUUGGAAUUUUUGAUUGUGAAUGAUACAACAGGACAAGGACUUUUUGAAGAGUUGCAAACGGUGUUGCAAAAACUUAAGCUUGAUAUUGAUAAUGUGAGAGGACAAGGCUAUGACAAUGGAUCAAAUAUGAGUGGGAAAUAUCAAGGUGUCCAAAGAAAAUUUUUGGAUGUAAAUCCUAGAGCAUUGUACACACCUUGUGGUUGUCAUAGUCUUAAUUUAACACUUUGCGAUAUUGCAAACUCUUGUGGAAAAGCAAAAGAUUUUUUUGGAAUCAUACAACGUAUUUAUACAUUGUUUGCUAAUUCUACAAAGCGGUGGAAGAUAUUGAAAGAUAAUGUUAAACACUUAACUCUGAAAUCAUUGUCAGUUACACGUUGGGAAAGUCGUAUUGAAAGUGUGAGAGCAAUAAGAUUCCAAGCUGCAGAUUUAAGAGAAGCUUUACUUCAGUUAGCAGAAAGUGACGGUGACUCCAAAAUAACAAGUGAAGCUAAUUCUUUGGCAACAUAUGAACUUGGAAAUUUUGAGUUCUUAUUGGGCAUGGUUAUUUGGUAUGAUAUAUUAGGUGGUGUCAAUGUAGUGAGCAAAAACUUACAAUCUGAAGACAUGCUUAUUGAUGUUGCUAUUGAUAAAGUGAAAGGGUUGAUUACUUUUUUUUUGAAAAGUAUAGAGAAAAUGGGUUUACAGAAGCUAUGUGUACUGCUAAAAAAAUUGCUACUGACAUGGGAAUUGACCCGGUGUUUCCUGAGAAGCGAAAAAUUCGUAGAAAAAAACAUUUUGAUGAGAAUACUUGUGAGCUAUCCCAAUCAGUUCCUGAAUCAACUGAAGAAAAGUUUAGAAUUGAUUAUUUCUUGUAUUUAGUGGACCAAGCUAUUGGUUCUUUACGAAGAAGGUUUCGACAAUAUCAAGAGUAUGAGAAUUUUUGGGUUUUUGUUUACUUCAGAGAAGUUAAAUUCAUUGGAUGAUUGCGAUUUGAAGAAUAGUUGCAGUCAUCUGGAAAGCAUUUUGAAAAAUGACAAGUUUUCUGAUGUCGAUGGGGAGGAUUUAUUUGUUGAGUUGAAAGUUUUACAAGAGCUUUUACCAAAAGUAAAUACCACAGCUACUGCAAUAUUAAAUUUCUUGAAAAGAUUAAAUUGUUUUCCAAAUGCAUUCAUUGCAUAUAGAAUCCUAUUGACUAUUCCUGUUACUGUUGCAUCUGCGGAAAGAAGUUUUUCAAAAUUAAAAUUGUUAAAAUCAUACUUGAGAUCAACUAUGUCGCAAGAAAGAUUAAAUGGACUAGCUUUGAUUUCAAUUGAAAGUGAACUUCUUGAAAAACUUGAUUAUGAACAUUUGAUUGAUGAUUUCUCUUCUAAAAAUUCAAGAAGAUCAAUUUUCAGACAUUAGUAUUGUACUAGCUGUGUUUUUUUUUUUCUUCUAGGGUAAAAGCUCUCAUAAUAAUUUUAAUUCUUCAAAUAAGACAGCAAAUACAAUGUGAUGAAUUUUGGAUAAUCAGGUAUGUUUUUGUUGUUGCUUUUGUGUUUAAUGCAAUAUAAUCUAAUUUUUUUAAUGACAUUUGUGUGCAACUACUCUUUGAUUUGUGAUUGCCAAUUUUUUUUUCUUUCUAUUAAACACAGAUUGCUUAUUGGAGGCAGCAAGAGACCUUAUAGGGGCACAAGGAGCUUAUUUUUGUACAAAACAUUUAACUUUAUCAAAUGGAAACAUUUAAAUUUUUAUGAAUUUGAUUUCUGAUUGUCAUUGCAUAUUUAUUGAUGGUGAAUUUUAGUUAUAAAAAAAAAAUUGUUUAUGACAUUAAGUUAUGGCAAAUUUUUAUAGUAUUUUCGUAUUAGAUUAUGCGAGGUCCCAAUUUAAGUUUCGCACAGGGCCCUCAAAAUCUCAGGAACGGCCCUGCUGCUAAUACUUGAUCAAUAACAGAGAUAAUAGAGCACACUGUUUGUAUGACAAUGAGUAUCAGAAGAAUAAUAGCUGCAAAGAGAGAAAUAGCUGCCCAAGGUGUGUUGAAAUACUUUUGUCUCAAAUUUGCCUUCCGUCUGUUCGUGGUCUUCUUGCAGUACUCGUUUAGUUUGCCAGCAAGAUCACCAAAAUAGUAGUUUCCGUGGUUCGGAGCAACUUUACUGCAAAGCUUGUUAAUCAUAAUGGAAACCUUAUUGUUGUCACCUAGCGUGUUUACAACAAUUCCAUUGUCAACAAGCAACUCUACAUCCUUUGGGGUGUUUACAAAUUUAUCCAGGAUGAAAACAUAAUCGCUUAUGUAUUUAUCCACGCAAUGGCCUUGUUCAAAGGCAAUGAGAUUUCUAUGUGUAAGCUGUGUAAUCAUGUAUUUCAAUUUUUGGAAUUUCCAAGGUGUUUUUCUUGAACUGUAUAUCGAAUAAGUUCUUGCUUGAUCCCACGUUAAACUUAACUCCGGCCUGGUGUAGUUUUGUCAUGCUGGGUGUACUUUGGAGCCCUCCAUUUUUUUUUCUUUUGGCAGAUGUAAAGUUCUAAUAAAAUCAACAAAAUGUAAAGGUUUUUUAGGAUCAGGAGGCAUAAAAGACUUACGGAAGGCUGGUGAGUUCUCCAAGUUUUCUAAACGCAGUGCCUGUUGGAAGAACUUGUAAGAGAGUUCAAUUAUUGAAGGCUCCCCAGUCUGAGCACCUGUGAGAUUGUAAAGAUCCUCGAGAAUGAAAAAUGGCAGCUGAUUUACGAGCAUAAGCAUGUCAGGCAAUAUAUUUUGUAGCACCCAUGGUUUUUUAAAUAUCCAAGCAUCAUCAUCCUGCAAUUUUUCUUCCUGAAAUUUUUCUUCGGAUUUAUUCCUCAACAAUAGCUCAAUGACAAAGGCGGCAUCAACUAGAAUGAUAUUCACAAAAGUAGCAAUGUUAAACUUCUUAGGGCUAGUUUGGCGGCGUUGUGCUUUUAAAAAAAUAUGCUUCUGCUGUGCUGUGAAAAUAAUUAGCUGUGAAAAAAAGCUACUAGGCGUUUGGUAAACUGUUUUUGAAAAACUGCUGUGAGUAGUCAAAGUGUUUGGUAAAUUUUUAUCAGAAGUACUUUUAGUGUGUAUAAUGACCAAAAAGGACAUGAUGAUGAAAUUGUUUGUUAUUUUCUUCAUUCUUUUUCUACUUUAAAAAAAAAAAAAACCCAAUUUCACUACAUAAAUUUUUAUUCUUUUUUAAUUCACACCUUUUUAUCAAAAAAUUUAAUCUACAAUUAACAUACAUAUUUUACCAUAAAUUAUAAAUUACUAUUAUAACAAAAGUAAUUCUAAAUAUUGUUAUAUUAAUAUGGGCUUCGGACAUGACAAAAAUACAAAAAUUGUUCAAUUUUAAAAUGCCCCAAUAGAUCACUACAAUAUAAAAGAAGCUAAUUAGAUGCAUUCAUUAAACUUGUAGCGAUGCUAUUUCUUAAUGCAUUCAUUAGCUUCUUUUUUUGGUUUCCAAUGGUUCUCUAACAAUUUUAACUAAAAAAACAACCAUAAUGCUUUGUGAACAAUAAAUUCAAGUCCAAAUCUGCUAUUGCCCACACCAUACAUAUAUACAUAAUUGUUCCUUUCAUAAAACUUGAAGAUUCAAUAGUAAUUACACAGUUUACCAAUCUUGAUUCCAACUAUAUCCAUAAAAUUAAACUAUAAUUAGAAAUAGAGGAGCUACAUGUGAUUACUCAUAAAUGCUUCCCACUCUCAUCAUCAUCAUCAUCAUCAUCUUCCUCCUCUGUACUUUGCCUUUCACAAAUGGACAAGACCAGAUGGUAACGUACACGACAUGGUCCACAUAUAGAUAAAUUUUGGGUUCACUGGAGAACAUAAAAGAGUUUUUACACGAAUACAAAGUUAGUUAAGUAGUGAAUAAAGUAAAACUAUUCUGUACAAUUCUAGCUGAUGCAGUCCAAAAAGAAUAUAUGUCUAAUAACUUAAAUAACAAUAAAGAGAAACAAAAGCCUCAUGAAAAAUGCUAGAGUAAAAGUUACAUAACUGAAUCGAUGGACAGAGAACUCCACAGGCAGAGAAACAGCAACAAAAAUUGUCAAAACAGUAGCAAGACCAUGUUGGAGUCAAGGCCAAAGAUCAUAUUUCCUGUGUAUCUUCUUCCAUUCUGAAUUAUUCUCGUAUUCAAAUACUGUAACUCUAUUUCAAGUGCACCCCAAAAUACUUAUCUAAGGCCAGUACAUAGGACUUCAUAAAGGGUGCGAUAAAAAAUAUUGCCCCUUAAUUGAUAAACAGAACCAAGAUCCCAACAGCACACCAAAACUAUACCAACCACACCUACAUAAUAUGGACAGAAAAUCCUGUUGUUCCGAUCUCUAACCACACCAAUGACAUUCAUUAGGAAAAUACAAAAGAUGGGUACCCUGCAUUUCUAACAUUUAAGAUAAAAUUCACUGCCAGCUAAUCACAAAUUUGAAAAGAUGGCAAGAAAAUUGGCUAAGCUUUAACAAAAACCAGAGCAGUCCUUGCAUAGACCUGACUUUUUGCUCCAAGCUUUAGCAGAUCACUUACUGGUAGAGAGCAGAGAACAUGUAUGUGAAUAUCUGAAGUUGGAAGGGUAAGCCAUCACAAACACCAAGAGAUCUGAUUCUCAUCUCUUGUUACAACAACAAAUCACAAACACCAAUACAUCUGAUUCAGAAUCUCAUAAACAAUGGAGGAACAAACACAUAUUCACACACAUAUAAAUCCCUAAACAGAAAAAAUAAAAAAUAAAAAAAAAACCAUGAAAGUCAUAGGAGAAUCAAAUUGAUUUGGGCCAAAAUUGCCUAAAAAGAAAACACUCCUAAAUAAACUUCAAUUCACUUUUAAAAACAGUAAAACAUGAUUGAAUCAUUCUUUAAAACAAUUCCCUAAUAUACAUGCAUGAUAAUGACAUCAUUUACCCCUGAAUCAAAUGCCUUUCACUGGUCAAGCCACAAGUCUGUGUUUUGGGAAUUGCUGAGCUGCAUCAAUCCUGCCAAUGUAAAUUCUGCCCCUAGGCUCUCUCAAAGUGCGUUUACAACCUAUGCUAACAUAUACUAGAGUUUGUUUUAGUAUCUAGAAAAUGCCAACACUAAUUUCGUAACACGUAGAAAUUGUUACAUAUUGGAAGUUUUUAUCAUUUUUUCUUCCAGUCUCUCCACCACUCACUAAUACAGAUUACUCAUGUGAUGAGUUUACAAAACAUAUUUCUCUACUCCCACAAAGACCAUACUUUUUCUCAAAAGACUAUAUCACUUUAUCUCUAUCUUUGUGAAAUGUAAAAAGUUGAAACUUUAAUGUCAAACCUCGACAAAAGAUGAACAUCCAUCAUCAAUUACAUUGAAUUUGAAUUUGUUGAACUUAAGUAGUUUUACUUCUCUGUCAGCGUUUGAUGACUUGAUUUGUUAUUUACUUCUUCUUUUUUCCUUGGAAAUGUGUUCCAUCAACGUGAGGAAGAAAAAUAUGCACAAAUUAAUAUAUUUAAUAGAAGCAAAAAUUAAUAUUUACAAAAAUAUGCACAAAUCAAGUAAAAUUAAUAAAGCAUAAAUUGGAAAGGGAAAAUAUGUAGAGGAUGCAUUGUAGGAUUGCUCAUGCCAAUAAUUGUACCCUCUAAAUAUAUAGGGACAUAUUUUUUUUUGUUUUCAUGACAUGUGGUCCUAAAAUUAUUGUUCUUAGCGGGCUCUCCACCCCUCUCGACUGAAAACCUAUUGUGUAAAUCUUCAAUCCUGAAUGAUGCACCUAAAACUCAUGUUGCAAUACACAUCCACCCAUUCUCAGGCCAAUUAUUACUCCUAGUGGGCUCUCCACCCCCUCUCAAAUUUAAGUGGUCCAUUAUUAUUAACCGUAUAUUUUAUGGACCAGCCAGCUGUGAGGUUUUAUCUCAAAAACCUUUCUCCCACAUGCCACAAUUUAUGUCUGAUACAUCACAUCAUGCCAGUUGUCUCAAAUGAAUUUAAGUGAGUGAGGCAGUGUUACUUCUGGGUACCCCUCAUUAUUCGUCUAUAAAUUGGUGAAGCCAGUUGCUACUGUUACCAUAAGAGCCAGCUCCGACUUUCAAAAUAAAAAUUCCAACAACGGUCUUAGUGCCUUCAAUUGUAUGAGUCAUUGAACAUGCAAAUGAAUAAAAUAUGAAUGAUAAAAGUGUUUGAUAAAUCACCAAGUUAUAGAACACUUGAUGAUUUAUCUCAAAUAAAAAUUCAGCUUUCUAAAGUUUGUGAAUUGAAAAUAUAAUCGUUAAAGCUCUCUAAACAAAGAAGACGAAAGUCUUAUUUUAUAGAAUUUUUCUUUACAAGAAAGAAAACAUGUUGAAAACCAAAUCUCCAAUUUCCAAGGCUUGACAGAAAAUCAAAAAAAUAUCUUUCCUAUUCUAGAGAUUGGUCACAUGUAGUUCAACCAAUAGGAAAUGAGAUAUUUAAGAAAGCAAGAUUUUGAUCAAUACCAAUAUCAAAUGAAUUCUUAUACGCCUAGUCAACUAUUAAGGGUAUCUUGACUCCUUGAUAUUGUGAUAUGAUUGAAACAUGAUUUCCAUGUUAGAAAAUUAAGGGGAUGUUAAAACAUGAAAGUAAUAGGAGAAUCAAAUUGAUUUGGACUAAAAUUGCCUAAAAAGAAAACACUCUUAAAUAAACUUCAAUUCACUUUUAAAAACAGUAAAACAUGAUUGAAUCAUUUUUUAAAACAAUUCCCUAAUAUACAUGCAUGAUAAUGACAUCACUUACCCCUAAAUCAAAUUGUCACGCCCCGGACCUGGGGGUCAGUGGAAACCCCACGUUCGGUGCGUGAGAAAAUAAAAAGUAAAAUAAAAUAAAAAGAAUGCCGAAACAAGGGUUUAAAAUAAACUUCUCUUAUAAAAAUAACUCCAAAAUCUUACAACUUUACAAGAAAUAAAUAAAGCCCUAUCAUUCUUAUCUAAUUCAGCCUCAACUGGUUUAGUCCUUGUCUUGCCCACUAAUUCAUCUAAAAAAUGAAGAGUGUUGCUAAACGAACCCUAAAAUUAAUUGAGUACACCCUACUACCAAACGAUUUAUUGAAUUUGUCACAUCUCGGGAUCAACUCCGCCGUAGCACGAUAUUGUUCGCUUUGGGCCCUCCCUCUCUGGCUCGCAUGGUUUUGUUUCUGGGAACUCACGAGUAACUUCCCAGUGGGUCACCAAUCCUGGGAUUGCUCUAGCCCACAACUCGCUUAACUUCGGAGUUCCUACGACUCCGAAGCCUGUGAGCUCCCAAAAGGUCUCGUGCUAGAUGGAUGCGGGUGUGCACAUAUAAGGCACAUCACCCCCUCUCCGUUGGUUGAUGUGGGAUCUUAUAGAAUUACUAAUUUAUCCUAAUAUAAAAUGACCAAAGAAGAUAAAAUAAUAUUGGUAUCUAUUGCUUUGAAUCCAUGCCUUCAAACAAAUUGACUUAAUUUUUAACAAACAACACGGAGUCCAGGAGAAGUGUAUUGAUCCAAGUUGAUUUUUGUAUGCGUAAAACUUAAACAAUCAAUAACACAAAGCAGUUCAUGCUGAAAUAUUGGAAACCCACACCCAAAGAGUUCUCCGCUGCGAGGUUGAAGGCAGGAGAGAUGGGUGACAGAUUUUACUUCCACUGCGAAGUUGGAGGCUAGGAGAGUCUGUGACUGCCAUGGUUGAGGGAGAAGAUGCGUUCAAAAUGCCUAUUGAUAUUUUACAUUAUUGGCUUUUUUCAAAAGUGAAAGUUUUUUUAUGGGUAAAACCUAAAUUUACUUUUUCUAUACAAGUUAACAGUGUUUGUGUAUUGUGAAAAGGUGGAGAGACGUGUCAAAAUUUUAGACAAAGGACAGGAGGAGAUAGGGAAUUUGGGGACAGCAGAUCUCAACUCCCUUGAGACCCUAUUCUCUACGCCACCCCUCCCCCUCAACAACCCUAGUCACCAUUUCUCCUUCAACUCCAACGGCAACUCAUUAAAACCCAAUUCUCAAAUGCAACAAUCUAAUCCCAAUCCCAAUUCAGAUGUUUCUAAAAAACCCAUUGUCGUGGUGGAGAACUGCAAUUCCAGGUGGUGGUGGUGGUACCACAUGGGAGAGAGAAAAAAGAAGAAGAAGAAGCAGGAGAGAGAGAGUUUUUUAUUUUAUUAUUAUUUUACUGUAAUUUUUUAAUUUAAAUAAUUAAAAAAAUUAAAAGUUAAAGAGGAUGUACCAUGGGUAUUUUUGGUAGUUAAAUAAGGUGUACUUAGGGUCAGUUUGGCAUUGCUGUGCUGUGAAAAUAAUAGCUGUCAGAUUUGCUGUGAGAGAAAUCAGCUGUGAGAGAAAUCAGUUUGGCGUUUGAUAAAAUUUUUGUUAAAAGUGUGUUGAUAUUGAUUUUAUGCUUAAUCCGAAAAUGAUUGCUGCAUAAUCAUUAAACCCAGCGCCUCUUCGAAACUGAUUCCUAUAUAAUCAGAAAAUGAAAGCACCUCAUUAGCUGCUUUCCUUUAUAGCUUUCUCUCACAGCAAUUUUUAACAAUAAGUGAUUUUCUCACAGUUUACCAAACGGGUUGGGCUUCUCAAAAUUUUUUAAAAAUCACUUAUUACCCCAAAUAAGCAAUACCAAACGGGCACUUAGUUAAUUUUACAUUUUAAUUUAAACAUUAGGGUGUACUCAGUUAAUUUUAGGGUUCGUUCAGCAGCACUCAAAAUUAAACAAGGUGAGGGAUGAGCAAGUAGGGACAUGAGACAUUGCCACAGUAGAUUGAUAUAACUAAAUAUUAUUAUAAACAUAGAAAUAUAUAAGUAUUAUUAUAAUAGGAUUCAUAAUAAUUAAUAUAAAAGUAUAACAACAAUAUUUACAUUUAUGUACCAAGAUAAUUACACAUAUAAAUAUAACCAAUAUAUAUUUUUAUAUAUUUUAAAAUAUAAGUCUUUACGUAAAUGCCUUUCACGGGUCAAGCCACAAGUCUGUGUUUUGGGGAUUGCUGAGCUGCAUCAAUCCUGCCAAUGUCAAUUCUGCCCCUGAGCUCUCUCAAAGCACGUUUAAAACCUAUGCUAACAUAUACUAGAGUUUAUGCUGUAUCUAGAAAAUGCCAACACUAAUUUCGUAACACGUAGAAAUUGUUAGAGAUUGGAAGUUUUUAUCAUUUUUUCUUCCAGUCUCUCCACUACUUAUUAAUACAGAUUACUCAUGUGAUGAGUUUACAAAACCUAUUUCUCUACUCUCGCAAAGACUAAACUUCUUCUCAAAAGACUAGAUCACUUUACCUCUAUCUCUGUGAAAUGUAAAAAGUUGAAACUUUAAUGUCAAACCUCGACAAAGUGUUCUACUUUACAAACUUCUUGUGUCUACCAAUUUGUACUAAAAUUAAUUUCUCUACAGUGCUCAGAUUCAUCAUAUGUGUGUCCUUAAUUUUAGUGGAAAUUGGAAGUUUCCAUAAUUUUUGCUUUAAGUCACUCUUCUGAAGGAAGUUGAGGUUCCACUUCAUAAUCCAAAAUGUCAGGUUGACUUAUGGCAAACAAUGUAAAUAUGUAGGAGUACUAUGACCUUUUAUAGCAUUUUUAGUUUGAAUUUGGGUUUUAUACAUAGAUUUCAAAAUUAAUAGGUUGAUGCCUAGGAAAUAGAAAUUGUAAGGGCCUAUAUUAGAGUAGCCCUCUUAAAAAUAAUAUUAAUUAAUGAAUAUUUGUUCUUCUUGUUGUUUUGAAGUAGUGGUGGGAGGCAGACCAACAAAAAAAAAAUAUAGUGAAGGCUUAUAAGAGCAUUUACAAUCAUGCUCCCUAUUUUUUAGUUAAAAUUUAGCUAAAAAUAGAAAAAAAGUUAUUAUAGGAGCUCUUUAUAAAGCUCCUUUAUAAAAUUUGAACUCCAAUCAUACUCCCUAGUUUAGGGAGUCAAAAAUACUAUAGUUAUUUUUUAAUUCAAUUUGAUUUUGGUUAAUCUCUAUAAAUAUGAAAAAAUAGUUAGCAUUAAUUAAAAGUUUAAACUAUGCAUAAAACAAAGAAACAUUAAAUUAUAGGGAGCCACUAUGAGUCAUUACUCUCUCCUCAGAUUUAGGAGCUCCUAAAGGUCUCCCUAUUUUAUGAGGUGGAUAAGGAGCAUGGUUGGAGUUGUAUUUCUUCAAUUUCCUCCCUAAAAUUUGUCUAAGGAUGUGGUUUAGGGAGCCCAUUGUGAAUGCUCUAACUCUGGUAAAACACGAGUGACAUGGACAACAUAUGUUACGUCGUACUGAAGAUUUUUGGGUUUCUUUAAUUGGUUAAGUAGCAUCCACACAGCUUCCUAAAUCAUCUCCUUAGACAAAUUUUAGGGAGGAAUUGGAAAAGUACAACUCCAACUAUGCUCCCUAUCCACCAACUAAAAUAGGGAGACUUCUAGGAGCUCCUAAAUCUGAUGAGAGAGAAAGGACUCUUAAUGACUCCCUAUAAUUUAAUGUUGCUUUAUAUUAUUUUGUAUACAGACGGGUCAAUUAUAUUAAAUUAAAAAAUAAUUAAAGUAUUUAUGACUCUCUAAACUAGUGAGCAUAAUUGUAGAUCAUCUUAUAUACCUUAAUUUGAAGAUUCUUUAUUUGGGUUUCUUUCAAGACUUAUCACCUUAGCCACGCCACCUACACGUCUGCAAGCUUUCCUAACAAGGAAGGGGAGGCUGCGCAAUACUUAUCACCUUAGCCACACUACACCAAAUUGACGUCUGCAAGCUUUCGUAAUCUAACAAGGAAGGGGAGGCUGCGCAAUACUUAUCACCUUAGCCACACCAACACCACAAGACCAAUAUGUGUAGUCCAGGAGGCUUUCCCAUUUUAAUAUAUAUUAUCAAAUAAAAUAAAAAUCAAUCUAUUAUCAUAUAUAUUAUAAAAUAAAGAUUAUUGCUCCAUCCUCCAUGCACUUGCAUGCCUCUUACAAAGUGUGAAGUAGAUUUUGUGUGCUCCAAGUCAUUGACGAGAGCUGUAACAUGGUUAGCUGGAUUUAUAAGAUCUUUUCUUUUCUGGGAAUUUUCUGAAUCAAGAAAAAUUAAGUAAAAUUAAUAAAGCAUAAAUUAGAAAGGAAAAAUAUCUAGAGGAUGCAUUGUAGGAUUGCACAUGCCAAUAAUUGUAUCCUCUAAAUAUAUAGGGACAUAUUUUUUUGUUUUCAUGACAUGUGGCCCUAAAAUUAUUGUUCCUAGCGGGCUCUCCACCCCCUCUCGAUUGAAAACUAAUUGUGUAAAUCUUCAAUCUUGAAUGAUGCACCUAAAACUCAAGUGUCCCAGGCCAAUUAUUGCUCUCAUACCACUUGUUGUAAUAAACAUCCAUCCAUUCUAAAGGAAAGAUAACCAUCGAUAUUAUCUCAAAUUUAACCACUUAAGUUCAUUAUGAUUAACUAUGUAUCUUAUGGACCAAUCCAAUCAUGAGGUUUUAUACCCAAUUAGAUCGACUAAUACAAAGUUCACACGUGGAUUGAAAAGCGCUAUCAGUAGGGGAGUGUUCGGCACCCUUUACUGCCGAACGCAACACAAGACCCCUUGCAUGCCUUCACUAAGUUGAGCCUAUCUAUUUUUUAGCAUUAACAAUAUAUAUAGAUUGAAAAAAUAAAAUAAAAAUCAAUCUAUUAUCAUAUAAAAUAAAUAUUAUUGCUCCAUCCUCCAUACACUUGCAUGCCCUCUUACAAAGUGUGAAGUAGAUUUUUUGUGCUCCAACUCAUUGACUAGGGCUGAAACAUGGUUAGUUGGAUUUAUAAGAUCUUUUCUUUUCUGGGAAUUUUCUGAAGCACGGAAAAUCAAAUAAAAUUAAUAAAGCAGAAACUGUACCCUUUAAUUAUAUAUGGACGUAUGUUUUUUUGUUUUCAAGUCUUAGAUGACAUGGGGACCUAAAAUUAUUGCUCCUAGUGGACUCUCGACCCCUCUCAAAUUUAAGUGGUCCAUUAUUAUUAACCACAUAUUUUAUGGACCAUGCAGCUGUGAGGUUUUAUCUCAAAAACCUUCGGUACAUUUCUCCCACAUGCCACAAUUGUAUAUUCACAAUUACGGCUGUUACGUCACAUCAUGCCACUUGCCUCACAUGCAACAAGUCUGUGUUUUGGGGAUUGCCGAGCUGCAUCAAUUCUGCCAAUGUCAAUUCUGCCCCUGGACUCUCUCAAAGCACAUUUAAAACCUAUGCGAACAUAUAUUAGAGUUUAUGAUGUAUGUAUCUAGAAAAUGCCAACACUAAUUUCGUAACAUGUAAAAAUUAUUAGAGAUUGGAAGUUUUUAUCAUUUUUUCUUCCAGUCUCUCCACCACUUAUUAAUACAGAUUACUCAUGUGAUGAGUUUACAAAACCUAUUUCUCUACUCUCGCAAAGACUAAACUUCUUCUCAAAAGACUAGAUCACUUUACCUCUAUCUCUGUGAAAUGUAAAAAGUUGAAACUUUAAUGUCAAACCUCGACAAAGUGUUCUACUUUACAAACUUCUUGUGUCUACCAAUUUGUACUAAAAUUAAUUUAUCUACGGUGCUCAGCUUCAUCGUAUGUGUGUCCUUAAUUUUAGUGGAAAUUGGAAGUUUCCAUAAUUUUUGCUUUAAGUCACUCUUCUGAAGGAAGUUGAGGUUCCACUCCAUAAUCCCAAAUGUCAGGUUGACUUAUGGCAAACAAUGUAAAUAUGUAGGAGUACUAUGACCUUUUAUAGCAUUUUUAGUUUGAAUUUGGGUUUUAUACAUAGAUUUCAAAAUUAAUAGGUUGAUGCCUAGGAAAUAGAAAUUGUAAGGGCCUAUAUUAGAGUAGCCCUCUUAAAAAUAAUAUUAAUUAAUGAAUAUUUGUUCUUCUUGUUGUUUUGAAGUAGUGGUGGGAGGCAGACCAACAAAAAAAAUAUAGUGAAGGCUUAUAAGAGCAUUUACAAUCAUGCUCCCUAUUUUUUAGUUAAAAUUUAGCUAAAAAUAGAAAAAAGUUAUUAUAGGAGCUCUUUAUAAAAUUUGAAUUCCAAUCGUACUCCCUAAUUUAGGGAGUCAUAAAUAUUAUAGUUAUUUUUUAAUUCAAUUUGAUUUUGGUUAAUCUCUAUAAAUAAAUAAAAAUAUGAAAAAAUAGUUAGCAUUAAUUAAAAGUUUAAACUAUGCAUAAAACAAAGAAACAUUAAAUUAUAGGGAGCCACUAUGCCAAUAAUUGUAUCCUCUAAAUAUAUAGGGACAUAUUUUUUUUGUUUUCAUGACAUGUGGCCCUAAAAUUAUUGUUCCUAGCGGGCUCUCCAACCCCUCUCGAUUGAAAACCAAUUGUGUAAAUCUUCAAUCUUGAAUGAUGCACCUAAAACUCAAGUGUCCCAGGCCAAUUAUUGCUCUCAUACCACGUGUUGUAAUAAACAUCCAUCCAUUCUAAAGGAAAGAUAACCAUCGAUAUUAUCUCAAAUUUAACCACUUAAGUUCAUUAUGAUUAACUAUGUAUCUUAUGAACCAAUCCAAUCGUGAGGUUUUAUACCCAAUUAGAUCGACCAAUACAAAGUUCACACGUGGAUUGAAAAGCACUAUCAAUAGGGGAGUGUUCGGCACCCUUUACUGCCGAGCGCAACACAAGAUCCCUUGCAUGCCCUCACUAAGUUGAGCCCAACUAUUUUUUAGCAUUAACAAUAUAUAUAGAUUGAAAAAAUAAAAUAAAAAUCAAUCUAUUAUCAUAUAUUUUAUAAAAUACAUAUUAUUGCUCCAUCCUCCAUACACUUGCAUGCCCUCUUACAAAGUGUGAAGUAGAUUUUUUGUGCUCCAACUCAUUGACUAGGGCUGAAACAUGGUUAGUUAGAUUUAUAAGAUCUUUUGUUUUUUGGGAAUUUUCUGAAGCAAGGAAAAUCAAAUAAAAUUAAUAAAGCAGAAACUGUACCCUUUAAUUAUAUAUGGACAUAUGUUUUUUUGUUUUUUUGCUCUCGACCCCUCUCAAAUUUAAGUGGUCCAUUAUUGUUAACCACAUAUUUUAUGGACCAUCCAGCUUCGGUACAUUUCAAAAAGCUUCGGUACAUUUCUCCCACAUGACACAAUUGUAUAUUCACAAUUACUUCUGGGUACCCCUCAUCAGUCGUCUAUAAAAUGGUGAAGCCAGUUGCUACUGUUACCAUAAGAGCCAGCUCCGACUUUCUUUAAUUUCUUGCUACAUCUGUUGCUAAGUUAAUUUCAGUCCUAAUGGGGUUUCAUCUCCCACUCAUCUUUGCUAUUCUCAGUGUAAGCUCUGCAAUUUGAUUAACUUUUCCAUUCUCUCUCAUUGUACUCUAUAUAUAUAAAUGAAAGUUUUGUGUUCCUAUAAUUCUCUCCGAUUUUAUUUAGUACGUACUUAAGUGUCGUCCACUAAUUAAUUACACUUUGUGAGAUUUGAUUUUAAUUAGAGUUCGAAUUAAUGUUGCAGCUAGCAGCGGUUGCACUGGCAAACAAUGCUGCUCAACCAGCACCUCAACUUUACUGGAACUCCGUCCUGCCAAACACACAGAUGCCAAGAUCUAUCAGUGAACUUCUGCAUCCUGGUUUGUGUUCAGCUCUUUAUAAUCUUAGAUAUCUCUUCUACCUGCCAUUUUACUAAAAUAUGUUCGACCACAUAUUUAUCAGCUAACUACUGUGAUUACAAGAAUGACACUUAUUUUCCAAUAUAAUUUGCAGACUCCACAAAUGAAGAAAAGAGCAAACCUGAAAUUUUCCCAUUGCAGGGCAAUAGAGUUUACACUCAAAGCCAUUAUAAAAAACGUCCUCCUCCUCCAUCUGACGAGGGCAAACCUGAAACUUUCCCAUUGGGCAAUAGCCAUUACACUCAAACCCGUUAUAAAAAACGUCCUCCUCCUCCAUCUGACGAGGGCAAACCUGAAAAUUUCCCAUUGGGCAAUAGCCAUUACACUCAAACCCGUUAUAAAAAACGUCCUCCUCCUCCAUCCGACGAGGGCAAACCUGAAAAUUUCCCAUUGGCCAAUAGCUUUUACACUCAAACCCGUUAUAAAAAACGUCCUCCUCCUCCAUCUGACGAGGGCAAACCUGAAAAUUUCCCAUUGGCCAAUAGCUUUUACACUCAAAGCCAUUAUAAAAAACGUCCUCCUCCUCCAUCUGACGAGGGCAAACCUGAAAAUUUCCCAUUGGCACGUUCUCCUCCAUCUGACAGUCAACUAAAGCAUUACAAAGACUUAGCUAUUUUCUUCUUCGAGAAGGACAUGCGCCCGGGCACAACUAUGAAGUUCCAAUUCCCUAGAAAUUCAAACACGGCUACUUUCCUGCCACGCGAAAGUGCUCAAUCGAUCCCCUUCUCCUCUAAGAAACUACCAGAAAUUUUCAACCAUUUUUCAGUGAAGCCAACAUCUGAGGAAGCCAAAACAAUUAAGCAAACAAUCGAAGAGUGUGAAGCUCCAGGCCUUAAGGGAGAGGAAAAAUAUUGCGCCACAUCUUUAGAAUCAAUGGUUGAUUUUAGCACUUCGAAGCUUGGAACAAGAAACGUUGAAGCAAUCUCAACGGAGGUAUUGGAAGAAGGAGCCACCAAGUACAUGCACAACUAUACAACAAUGCCGGGACUGAAGAAGUUGGAAGGUGACAAAGUCGUUGUGUGUCAUAAGGAGAACUAUCCCUAUGCUGUGUUUCUCUGCCAUGCAAUAAAACAAACAGAAGCUUAUGUUCUCUCCCUGAAAGCCGAUGAUGGGAUGAAGGUGAAAGCAGUAACCAUCUGCCAUCUAGACACAUCAGAAUGGGACCCAGAGCAUUUGUCCUUCCAAAUCCUCAACGUUAAGCCCGGAACCACUCCCAUCUGCCAUUUCCUUACCACUGAUGCUAUUGCCUGGGUUCCAAAACACAAAUCUGCAUGAUCAUCACUUAGCACUGUACGUGUAAUAAGCUUGGUCGGGUUGCACCCUAGGCCUGCAUAAUUAUCUCCCUACUUAUUUCUGCCUCUUCAUCAUGCGGUGUAAGAUAUAUGAUGAGAUGAAGUUUUCUCUUGUAACUAUGUAGACUACUUCAACUUGUACUCAUAAUAAAGCACGCUGUUGGGGGGUUCUACUUAAUUUCGUUCUCUCCAAUGUUUGAGUGUUGAAUUGUUACGUUGGAAUAGGCUGCUAAUGCAUGUAGUUAGAGAAGCCUUCAUUUAUAUCAAAGUCCUCAAACUAUCAAGAAUUAAUGUAUCCAGAAACAUAUACCAAGACGCAAAACAACAUAUUUUCCAUUCUCUGUCUGUAACACCAAAGCAAACUUCCUUUAUCACAUCAUUUAAAGGAUCAAAUUCCAGUACUAAUCUAAUCCAUCAUGUAAAGCAUACAAGUGCCUACCUAAAUUUGUCCAUUGGAUAUAUAUGUCACUUUUUAUUUUUUGAUAGAGAUAUAAAUGUUGAAAAAAUUAGAGUACACAACUCUUAUAGACACUACUACGAUUUACUAUUUGCGCGACGGAAGUUUGCGCGACGAACAUUGUUUCGUCGCGCAAAAAGCACUAUUGCGACGAAAAAAAAAUACCGUAGCGCAAACAACAUAACACAAGCGCGACAAACAGUUUCGUCGCGCAAACAAUCUAUGCGCGACCAAUAUUAAUUUCGUCGCGCAAAGGUAGGGGAAAAAAACCCGGUUUUUUUUUUUUGGCGCCAUAAUCUUGCGCGACAACAACAAUCGUCGCGCAUGACAAUAUUGCGCGACAAUUCAAAGAAUUCGUCAGGUAAAGAUGGACAGAAAAUUGUCUCAUUUUUUUGGCGGUAAAAAACUUUGCGCGACGAAAUUUUUCGUCUCAAAAGACAACUUAGCGCGACGGAAAUAUGUACCGUCGCGUAAAAAAACGAGGGAUACUUAUUUUUGGCGCCAAAAUGCAGGGUGGAUAAAAAAAAUUUUGCGCGACGGAAUUACCUUCGUCGCGUAAAGUGUAAUGCCGGUGCUUUCUUGCGCGACGAAAUAAAUAAUUUGCGCGACGUAAUUUAAACCUUGCGCGACGAAAAGUAUUAUUUGCGCGACGAAAUUUUGUGCGACGAAUAAUAUGUUUCGUCGCACAAAAAAGCAGAUGUCGACAGGUAAUUGCGCGACGGAAAUGUUGUUUUGUGCGAUGGAAAAGUGGGUUUUCGCGACGGCAUUUUGCGCGACGGAUAUUGGUGUUCGUCGCGCAAAGUCCUUCUUCUUCAUAUUAGUAUCUGCCAUUGCAGAGGCAGAAUGCAGAAAUUGCAUUCUGCCUCUCUCUCACUCUCCCUGCCGCUGCUCUGCUGUGAAUUCAAUACGUUCAUUGGGUAUGUAUUUUUUGUCGUUAGUUUAAAUGUAUUAAUGUAAAUUCGUAGUAACGCUAUUAAUUUUGUUAUCGUUAGGGAUAUUUGUGAUUAGUGAUUGGUGGAGAACGAUUGAGAAGGUAUGUUAUUGUAAAAGUUUGUUUGUUAUGUUUGUAAUUUUUUUGUGAAGUUAUAUGUAUAUAAUGUUGUGAAAUUGUGCGUGACAUAGCACAAUGUGUUGUGAUGUACGAAGUUAAUUGAAAUUAACUUCGUACUUUUAUUUUUAUGUUUAGUAACACGUAGUUUCCCGUUCGAGAUUAGUUGGAUUUCGUGCAUGGAUGAGUAAUGCAUGACUGCGGUCCAAUUAAUUCUUGAAUUGUCCCAUUAUUUGGACAGUUUGGUAAUGCAUAGUGUUGUCACAUAAUCUUCGGCUACAGGAUUAGGUUUCGAUUGUGGAGAUUUCGGUGUCAUCUCGGUACGUUCUUCGAGUGGUACGUAGGUAUUUAUACCUAUGCCCACUUCAAGAACUGUGUCGAGAUGCUGCCGAAAUUAAUCCACGUCGAAAUCUAAUCUCAUGUAGCCGUAGGUUACGUGACAGGACUAUGCAUUCCCGAAUGGGAUAGGGCCCUUACCGGAGGCAUAAGGUGACAUUAUAACUUCGUAUGAAGUUGUUGUGAUUGUUGUGUCGUGAUUGUGGUUUCAUGAAUUAUGAGCAGAAGGUGGAUACAUAACCCGAAUAGAUGCGCAGACGAAUACUUGGAUGGAAUCGAGGAUUUUAUUGAGUUUGCACAUAGACACAACCCGGGUGCAAGUAGAAUCCGUUGUCCUUGUAGGAGGUGUAACAACACGUUGUGGGAGACAAUUGAAAAUGUUGGAUUUCAUUUAGUAAGGAAUGGAAUGAUUGAAACAUAUAGCAUUUGGAACCUUCACGGCGAACAUGUAGGCCAUGCUUCGUCUUCAAAUGCCCCAAGAGUGGACAAUGUUGAACCUAUUGUGGAUCCUAAUGAUCAAGUCAUGGGUAUUAUACAGGAUGCUUUUCCAUUCGCAUCGACCAACAUCAAUCAGGAAGGGGAAGAUAACGUGCCUACACCAAUAGACAGUGCGGAGUUUGAACAGUAUGAAAAACUGUUAAAAAAUGCCAACCAAGAGUUAUACCCGGGGUACGAGAGCUUUUCCGUUCUCACUUCUAUUGUGGAGCUAAUGCACGGAAAAAUAAAGUAUCGUAUGUCGAACUUGUGUUUCGAUUACUUUUUGGGGGUUUUCAAGAGAAUGCUUCCGACGGAUAAUUAUUUGCCGAAAGACCAGAAACAUGCACAGAAGGUGUUGCAUGGUCUUGGAUUGGGUUAUGAAAAAAUCCACGCUUGCAAAAACAAUUGCAUGUUAUUCUACAAAGAGCAUGAAACGUUGGAUACAUGCCCUAUAUGCAAUGAGUCGAGGUUCAAAAUGACAUCCCAGAAUAGAACGACUAAGAUACCACAAAAAGUCAUGCGUUAUCUGCCCCUUAAACCUGGGUUGCAGCGAUUGUAUAUGUCGACGCAUACUGCCACAGACAUGAGAUGGCAUAAGGAAAAACGGGUAGACGAUGAUGUGAUGCGGCAUCCUGCAGAUGGGGAGGCAUGGAAAGAGUUCGAUCGAACGUUCCCCGAGUUUGCUGCUGAUCCCCGAAAUGUAAGAUUGGGACUUGCCACUGACGGAUUCAAUCCGUAUGGGGUUCUAAACCAACACCACAGCACUUGGCCGAUUUUCGCAUUCCCAUAUAAUUUGCCGCCUUGGAAAUGCAUGAAAAAAGAAUACAUGAUGAUGACUGUUUUGAUAACUGAGGAUCCUGGCAGGUCAAUUGAUGUGUACUUAAGGCCUCUGGUUGAUGAGCUGAAAGAUUUAUGGACAAACGGUGUUCGCACGUACGAUAAAUCAACUGGGAGGAUGUUCACUUUGCGAGCAGCAAUUAUGUGGACUGUGAAUGAUUUUCCAGCAUAUGCAAUGGUUUCUGGGUGGAGCACAAAAGGUUAUAUGGCAUGUCAUGUAUGCAAGGAAGAUGUAACUUCUGGUUGGCACGCGGGAAAAGUUUGUUACCUUGGUCAUCGGAGAUGGUUGCCAUGGGACCACGAGUGGCGAGAAAAAGAUAAAGAGUUCAACGGGAACACAGAGCGUCGCCUCAGACCUGGAGAAUGGUCCGGUGAUGAGAUCUUGGAACAGCUGAACCGUUUGGAUUUUGGUCCGUUCGGAAAAACAAUUAGUCGGACCAGACCUUCUACACAUUUGAACUGGACGCACAAGCCUAUGUUUUUUGAGCUCCCAUAUUGGUCGAAACUGAAAUUGAGGCACAAUCUAGAUGUGAUGCAUGUUGAGAAAAAUGUAUUCGACACAUUGGUGGGCACGAUUCUAGAUAUCGAGGGGAAGACGAAGGACACGAUCAAAGCUCGUCUUGAUUUGGAAAGAAUGGGCAUACGAAGGGGUUUAUGGAUGAAUAGGGACAGUGAUAAAGCUAGAAGGGAUCUUGCAUUCUUUUCUAUGAAACCGAAUGACAAAAAGGAGUUUCUAAAGUUUGUAUCGUCUGUCAAAUUUCCCGAUGGGUAUGCUUCUAAUAUCGCACGUUGCGUGAAUGUCGAUGGGGGUAAAUUUACUGGACUUAAGAGCCAUGACUGCCAUGUUCCUGUGGGUAUUCGACACCUACUGCCGGAAGAUGUGGUGAAGCCAAUCAUGUUGUUAUCCAGAUUUUUUUCCCAACUGACGGCAAAAACAUUGCGAAGGACAGACAUGUUUCAGUUGCGCCAUGACAUUGUCCAAGUCCUAUGCAAGUUUGAGAUGAUAUUUCCUCCGGCUUUCUUUACAAGUAUGAUGCACGUAAUGGUUCACUUGCCAGAAGAGGCAUUGCUUGCUGGUCCUGUCAACUAUCGCUGGAUGUAUCCAAUAGAAAGGUAUAUAAUCUUUAUCAUUUGUGUAUGCAUCAUUAUCGACACUUUGCUAAUUUGUAUCAUAUCGUUUUAUUUUGGCAGGCUUCUCGGAGAGCUGAAAAAAAGUGUACGCAACAGGGCAAAGCCCGAAGGAUUAAUUAUAGAGGCUUGGGUUCAAUAUGAGUCGCUUACUUUCUGUGGAAUGUAUUUAAAAGAUGUGGAGACGGUUUUCAAUCGUCCUCAACGCAAUAAUGACGGAGGUAUGAGAAAUGAAAAACUUUUUGUUUUUGCCCAAAGCGCAUGACCAUUUGGAGAUCCUGGACGAGGAGAGUCGUUUUCUAGAAAUGACAUGGAGGUAGCGCAUUGGUUCGUACUGAACAAUUGUGAUGAGAUAAUGGCCUACUUAGAUGAGCAUGAACAGAUGAUGAAGCGAGAACAUCCAUCACAUUUGGUUGCCCGGAAACAUCGUGAAUUAUUUCCACAAUGGUUUUUGGAUUCUGUAAGUUAUAACUGUUUUGUAAUUGACAAAUAUAAAUUGUAGUAUUUAAUUUUGUCAGACUAACAUGUAAAUGAUUUUGUAUACUAUUAGGUGAAUAAAUUGAAAUCAUCGAAUUCCCCCACUUACAGUGAUGAGUUAUAUAACUUGGCGUUCGGCCCAAUUCGUGCUGAGUUGUUCUCGGGUUGUAAUGUUAACGGCGUCAAAUUUUUGGGGGCCGCACGAGAUGACAAGUUGUGUAUGCAAAACAGCGGUGUCCAUGUCCCAGGUGGAGGCGAAAGUACGGACAUUGAUUUCUAUGGCAAACUGACAACUGUCGUGCAAUUGCUUUAGAAAGAUCGAUACCAAGUCAUCAUGUUUAAGUGUCGAUGGUUCGAUACCAACCCAAAUAGGGCGGGAAGUGUUAAAAUCGACCAUGGAGUACUGUUUGUGAACAUGGCGUCCCAAAUUGUGUAUCUAGAUGACCCUAAAGCCGGGAGCGGGUGAAAAGUUGUGCAGAAGAUGGAUCAUAGGAACGUGUAUGAUAUACCAGAACUAGACCCAAGUGACAACGACGUCGACAAUGUGGCUGACCAACGUUUAGAAUCUUCAAUGGAAAAUGAUGCGGAAACACUUCGAGAUACAAAUGUUAUACAAGAACCGUUUCAAAUAGAAGGAGUGUCUUCAGUAGAAAUACCGAUUCAGUCAAUUACAAUUGACCUCGGUGAUCUUCCCCGAUACGAUGUUGCAGUGGGUCCUAGCAACGCCGAUGAUGCAGUUAUAGAGGAGGAGGAGGAAGAAGAUUGGGAGACCGAGAGUGAUGAUAGCGAUGAUAACGAAAGUUAUUAUAGUUCAGAUGAUGAAUAAUGAAUUUAUUUGUAAAGUUAUUAUGUUAGUGUAUUCAUUUUGUGUAAUACAAAUCUUUGAAUAUAUGUAGUUGUCCAUAUGUAGUUGUGUAUUCAUUCUCCAUAUUUCAUCACAAACUUCAUUGGAAUGUCAAUACUUUAGUCAAUACUUAUUACGACCCCAUGCUUGUCGAUUGGUUUUUAUUUAUUUAUUUAUUAAUGUCUUUAACUCUUCAAUUAUUAUUUUUUUCUUUUGAGAUAUAGUUAUUUCUUCAUGUUUAAACAAAAAAUAUAAGUUAUUUCUCCAAUAUUAUCUGUGUGCCACUUAUUUUUCUUCACUUUGGUUCAUGAUUAGUGGCAUCAAUCUAGUCAAACCGAUAAAAUCGGUCGAUUCAAAUCUUAAUUAUCAAUUUAGUUUGGUUUUGAUGAAGAAAUACAAAGCCUUUCCAAAAAAUACAGAGCAUAAAAAAUGAUGAAUACAAAACCUUUCCAAAAAAUACAAAGCAUACACAAUUUGAAUUAAAUGAGGAUUUAUGGCGCCAAAUCCUUGCGCAACGAUAAGGAGCCCUUCGUCGCGCAAAUAUAUAUUAGGUAACGUUAUAGUAUAAUAUAUACCCACAUAUAUAUUUAAAAUUGGCGAUCGAAGUAGUUCAUUGUAUUCAUAUGAAGUGUAGGACUGUAGCUGCAAAAAAUCAUCAACAUCGGAGUUAAAAUAACCGUUCAAUCAUCACUUUUUAUUUAGAACCGUCGAAAAGUUUUACCCCGUUACUUAAUCUCUGAAUGUUUUUUUUGUCUGAUUUUUGCUGUCUAUGAUCUCGAAGUAUAACAAAACAAGUUUGACGGCUGGAUGACUGAAGCUAGUUUCGUAGACUGCGUGUGCUAUCAAAAUCAUAUAUUCACCAAAAACUCAAAAAUUUGUUCAUACAUUUGUGAAAAUGUAACUUAAUGUUUAUGUGGUAUCCCCUAGUGUAAAAAUAUGAAAUUGAAGAUCAAAUUCAGUCAUUGUAUUCAUAUAGGGUCAACAAAUGUUGCUGUAAAAAAUGAUCAAAAUCGGAGUUAAAAUAACCGUUAAAUCAUGACUUUUCAUUUAUAACCGUCAAAAUAUUUUGUCCUGUUCCCUGAUAUCUGAAUGUUUGGUCGUUUUGAUUUUUGGCGUAUACGAUCUCCAAGUAUAAACAAAUAAGUUUGCCGGUUGGAUCAUUGAAACUAUUUUAGGGUUUAGGGUUUAGGGCUUAGGGCUUAGGGUUUAGGGUUUACAUUUUAGGGUUUAGGUUUUGCGCGACGAAUAAACAUUCCUUUCGUCGCACAAAGUGAAAGUGACAAAGAUUGCGCGACGGAUAAGUCUUCCAUUCGUCGCGUAAUCUGGGACACACAUUUCACCCCUCCAUACCCUUUGAACACUUAGUGAAAAUUUCAACCGAAUGAAAUUCUUGAACCCGCGCGACGAACAAAGCAAAUACGUCGCGUAAAGUGGACGUGAACAAGAUUGCGCGACGGAUAAAUCUGGUAUUCGUCGCGCAAUCUGGGCCACACUUUCACCCUUCCAUCCCCUUUGAACACUUAGUGAAAAUUUCAACCGAAUGAAAUUUUUGAACUCGCGCGACGAACAAAACAAAUACGUUGCGCAAAGUGGACGUGAACAAGAUUGUGCGACGGAUAAAUCUAAUUUUCGUCGCGCAAUCUGGGCCACGCUUUCACCCUUCCAUCCCCUUUGAACACUUAGUGAAAAUUUCAAGCGAAGCAAAAUCUUCAACUCGCGCGACGAAUAAAAGUAUUCGUCGCGCAAAAGGCACAGGCCUCUGAUUUUUGUUAGCAAACAUUGCGCGACGUUUACUGUCUUCGUCGCGCAAAAGGCACAGACCCUUCAGUUUCAGCCUCCCGCUAAACCCAAAAUUUUCCCAAAAUUUUGGCGGAACGACAGCGUUUUGCGCGACGAACAUAUGACUUUCCGUCGCACAAGGUUAACCUUGCUCGACGUUUACUAUCUUCGUCGCGCAAAAGCACAAACCCUUCAGUUUCAGCCUCCCGCUAAACCCUAAGUCCCAAAAUUUGGGCGGAACGACAUCGUUUUGCGCGACGAAUAUAUGAUUUUCCGUCGCGCAAGGAGAACCUUGCGCAACGUUUACUAUCUUCGUCGCGCAAAAUCACAGUUUCAGCCUCCCGCUAAACCCUAAAUCCCAAAAUUUUGGUGGAACAACAGCGUUUUGCGCGACGAACCAUGUAUUUUUCGUCGCGCAAAAGGCACAGACCCUAAUCCCCAUUCAAAAUUUGGCGUUCUGGGAGACCUUGCGCGACGGAUAUUUCAUCGCGCAAGAUUCAUUAAUACCAUUUUGCACGACGCAUUCUGUUCUUCGUCGCGCAAAGUCGAAUAAAUUUGCAGAAACGGCCCGAUGCCUCCUUCUUCCCCAUUUUCUGGUUUCUCUCCGUUUCUUCCUCUCUCUCCGCCGUCACCUUAGCCCUCUCUCUCUGCCAUCACCUCAGCCACCUCCGCUCGUUCCGUAGCCUCCCUGCCGUCACCGUCGAGCCUGCCGUCGCAAUUUCGUCAGUUUUUCCCGAUUCUUCGCCGGCCGAUUUCUCUCUCCUCCGGCCACCAUUUUCGACGCCUAAGGUAUGAUUUCUCGACUAUUUUUUGUGCUCUAGCUGAUGGUUGGUUAGGAUUUCUUGAAUUUUCGCUAUAGGAAAUAGGAAUUAAAACCCUAGGUUUUGGCCGCUUUGGGAAUUUCAAAUCCGGCCACUUCCGGCCAUUUUUCGGGGUAGGUCCGAGAACAAAAGUGGCUCCAAUUAAUGUUUUCAACCUAGGGUAGGAACCUUGGCCCUUAGUUUUUAGAAUUUUCCGACGAAUGUUAUCGCUUUGGACACCCACGCGCUGCCGGCGCGUGUGGUGGCGCGUGGGAUGUUGUGGCAGUGGGGCAUUGGGUCCCAGAGCAAUCCCCUGUUUGUCACGAGCGCGUAGGUUUGCUCGGAUUUGAAUUUGGUUAUCGUUUGAGUCUUGAUCGGAUUUCGGCUAUUGUGCGAUUUCCAGGUUUGAUAUGUUCGGACCGUUGGAUCGAACUCAAACUCACGUAGUUGUACCUUUGUGUUUCUACGAUCGUUUAGGAUUCGACCGAUCGUUGAUCGGUGUCCCGGAUACUUCGAAAUUCCAAACCCUAGGUGAAGCUAUGCUUUUAAUUAAUUAGUUUAAAUUCUUAAUGAAAUUAUAUGUGCAGAUGUCAGAUUUGAUUAGACGUGGUAGGUCGAUGAUGACUGCACCGAGUUCGGAUCCCCCUGCUCAGUCGGCAUAUGCUGCCACUGCUCCAGCUUUGAUGGAGCACGUGCUGGUUGGUCCCGGGGCGUCCCAGGCGCCUGCGUCAUCUGCGUCAUCCGUCGCGCAGCCAGCUAGUGCUAGGCGGCGGCACCGGCCCGCCGACACGACAUCGACCGACGGUACUGGUGCCUCGGGAUCACAGCCAGAUAUAACUACCAUUUUGUAUUGUUAAUUUUAUAUUGAAAUUUGACAAUGUUGUUUAUUUAACAUUAAUAUCUUUUUUCUUUGCAGCGAAGAAGAACACCUGAGGGCCGUGUCGUCAGCUGAAGACGGCGAAGGUCACCCGGGUGACCAACAGUCGUAUCAGCAUCGGAUACGACGAGCGCCAUCGGGCUGCACCGACGGCGGAGUUGCAUAGCUCCUUGGCCCACGACAUUGGCCACGUCGUGCGGACCCAUUGCCUGAUGCAAUGGAAGUCUUGGAGGGUCAUGCCUGACGAGAUCAAGGUGGAGGUUCGCGGCCAGUUGUCGGUAUGUACCUUACAUUUUCAUUAAUUUUCUUUAAAAUUGUGUAUAUUUCUAUUACUUAACGUAUCUAAUUAAUUGAUUGCAGACGAACUAUAACUUGGAGGAUCUCGACGAAGAGUCGUUGGCGUACGUCAACAGACUCUUCGCUGAGAGGUACAAGCAGUGGAAGAGCGACUUGCACCAUCAUUUUCAGGCCUUUGAUGAUCCGCAAGUCGCUCUUCAGGAGGGUUGCCCGAAGGAGCUUGAGGGGCGGGAGGAUAGUUGGGAGUGGCUCUGCGCUCAUUUUCAAGCGUCCGAAUAUGUGGUAUUUUUUUAAUAAUAUUUGUUUAAUUAUUACUUAUUUCUUAUUAAUGUUUAUUUCAUUUUUUUUAUUUCAUUAUUAUUUAAUUUGUUAUGUUUUAACUAAUACGUUUCAUUUUUUGUAUAACAGAAUAAGGCCCAAGUGAAUAAGGGUAAUAGGAAGAAGAAGACCCUUCUCCACCAUUCCGGCUCCAGGCCCUUUUCGUAUAGGAUGGAUGCCCGGCGACGGGUAAUAAUCACAUAAUUUAUAUUUCAUUUUUAAUGUCAUUUUUAUUAAUUUAUUUUUUUCAUACUAAUAUUUUUCUUCUCUUGUUCAAUUUAGGAGGGGUCCAAGUUCCCAGAGAUCGACGUCUUUGGUGACGUUUAUGUUCGACCCGGGAAUGAGUUGGCCGAGUCCCUUCAUGUAAGUAUUAUUUAAUUUUAAUUCUUAUGUUACGCAUUCAAUUUAUAUGCAUGUUUAAAUUUAUAUUUUAUGUUAUGUUCAACAGACGACGAUGGUGGAGAGGAGCCAGUUGGUUCUUCAGGAGUCCGCCUCCCAGCUUCCUCCCGAGACUCCGAUCGAGUCUGUGGCUCCUCCACAGGAUGCUGGAUUUCAGAUCUUGACGGAGACGUUGGAUCAGACUCUCGGGAGGAGGCCGGGGACAUAUUGUCGAGGGAUGGGGAAUGCCCGGCGGAGGGAACCUAGACCUCGUUCAUCGGCCCAGUCAAACAGUCAGGUGACUGCUUUGACAGCACAGGUGGCCGAGCUUCAGGGUCAGAUGUCGGUGAUUCUACAGUCCCUCGCACAGAGCGGCUUUCCAAUCCCGCAGUUUCGUGCGUCAACCUCCCAGCCCGUCCACCCCGAGUAUGCCCACCAGACCACUGCCCCGGUGGACGCCCAGACCUCCGAGCCGCAUACUGGCGACGACCCGAUUGAUUUUGCUUCAUUAUUUGAUUAGUGUAUUUAUUUUCAUCAUAAACAUUUAUUUUAUUUGUAAUACAUUUAUUUUAUUUUAUAACAAAAUUUUGUUCUAAUUUAUUUUUAUUGCAAUUUCAUUGUUUAAUCAAUAAAAAAACCAAUUUUAUUUAAAAAAAAUAAAAAUAAAUAAAAAACAAAAACAAAAAAAACAAAAAAAAAUUGUAAUAUUAUUUUUGCGCGACGGAAGACAUUUCGUCGCGCAAAACCACAUGUAACAAAAAAAAUUAAAAAAAUCAAUUUUUUAUUACUUUAAUUCUUGCGCGACGAAUACAUACGUCUCGCAAACAUUUUUUGCGCGACGAAAUGUUUCGUCGCGCAACAGCUUUUGCGCGACGACUGAAAUUUUCGUCGCCAAAUAGAUGAGCGACGAAAACUUUCUCAUCGCGCGAAUAGUUCUGCGACGAAUAUAUACGUCUCCCGGACUAGUUUUGCGCGACGAAUUAUUUUCGUCGCGCUAUUCGUUUCGUCGCGCAAAUAUACGUGCGCCGAAUACUUUAUCGUCGCGCAAAUAUUUAUGCGACGAACAGUUGUUUCGUCUCCACACCGUUGGUGCAACGAUGGUUUACCCGUCGCACAAUUAUGCGCGACGAAGUGUUGUACCUCGUCGCGCAAAGGCUUUCUUCACGAUCUUCGCGCGACGGAAGGUGCGCGACGAAUUUUUUGUCGCGCUGAAAUUAGGGCGACUAAAUAAGACUUUGCGCGACGUUUUGUUAUUCGUCGCGCAAAGAGUAAAAUGUAGUAGUGAGACUUGUUGGAGACAAAACAGGUAAACAAAUUACUUGUAUUAGACUCACAAAAUAUUACAACAAGACAACUCUCAAAGAAAAGACAAACUCUCACACUUCUCACAAGGACUACUUAACUUUAUAGCUUAUUGCAUAUAGCAUAUGCAAACACAAUUAGAACAUACCUACGUACACUAUGGGAACACUCGUGUAUAUUUCAACACAAGAAAACAUGUGCACCGUGCACGGUUCACAUGAAGUAAGAAAUGAAGAGGAAAUAAAGAAGAAGAAUACAAAAGAAAAUGGAGAUGAGAAAAAAAAAAAAACCGAAUAAUGAAAAAUGAAUUGACAAUUAUAUAUGGUUGACAUUAGAUCUAAUAUUAUAUGUAACAACUAUUGAUCUAAAAUAAACAUUAAAUCAAACAAUAAUUAAAAGAUUUGACAAUAUAAAAAUUUAUUGAGGACAAAAAAAGGCAAAAACUUAUGAAAAAUGGAAACAAUAAAUAUGAACUGAGUCAUCAACUCACCAUGGUAAGUUUGCUGACGUAUAAAAAUAGUCAAUGGACAUCGAAAAGUAAUUGGCUUACAUCAAAAAUUAAAAUCACGUGGGUUAUUCCUAAGAAACCUUAAUAUUUGCCUUCCAUUUGUUCCAGCAAAAUAAAAGUCAUUGCUACUUAUUGUAACCCCUUUUCCAAGCUUAUUAAUCAAAGUAGACACCUCACUGCUGUCACCUAGCCAAUUUUCAACAAUGUCAUACUUAACAAGCAACUCCACAUCCUUUGAGGUGUUCACAAAACGAUCCAUGAGACUAACAUAAUCACUUAUGUACGUCUCCUCGUAGUGGCAUUGUUCAAAUGCGAUGAGAUUUCUAAUUAAUACCUCUGUAUGAUCGCUUAUUUUCAAUCUUGGAAUUUCAAGAGUCCGGCCAGCAAAUCUAAUAAGGUAUUCAUUGAUCCCUCAUUCAACUUGAACCCUGCCCUGUGUAGCUCUGUGAUGCUGGGUGUGUUUAUAGUUAUGAGUUUCCCGUCAUUAGUUUUUAGGGUUAUUCGUUAUAUGAGUCCCUGAACUUAGACCCGAUUUGCAUUUUAGUCCCUCAAUUUCCAAAAUCGUUCCAGUGGUCCUUCAACUUUAGUUUCGUUAGGACAAAUGGUCCUGCCGUCAAAUGAUUAUAAAGUGGAAAAAACAAGAACAAAAAAGGAAGUGAGUUAAAUUUGCACCUGCUAUGUUCAAACGACAAAGUUCGUUUCCGUUUGGUCGAUUACAAGAGAAGCUCAAUGCAGCUUACUUGGUUCCUCUUGGUAGAUGGAAAUAUAAUUUUUCUCCUAAUAACAAAGGUUUAGUGCAAUCAAUGAUGGGCUGUAUAGAACAACUUUUUUGUUUUAUAUGUUUAUGUGAGACAAGUUUUGCCAGAUUGAAUUAAUGUCUUCUAGCUAUGUACCUUAUCUUUUUGCCGGGCCAUGAGUUGAAUGUAGAGGCAGAGCAUGGCCUUGGGUUUGUAAAAGACAAAAGACUGAACCAGACGUAAUUAUUUAGAUUUUGGAUCCAGUUCCACAUCCCAAAGAGAAAACCACAAGUUUGCAAGCAAGUUUGUCCAUAUUAACACUACGUAGAGUAUAGGCAGUGUGCUACUCAUCUCACUUUCUCAACCUACCCUAUAUUUGUCUAAAAGAGUUUCUAAUUUCGUGUACUGAUUCACUACUACAUUUUACACUUUGUGCGACGAAGAGAAUUUCGUCACGCAAAAUACAUUGGUCGCGCAAAGUUUAAAAAAAAUUUUAAAAAAAUAAAAAAUUCCCGCGUCCAAUUUUUGGUACUUGUCCAAAUUUUUUGAGUUUUGCGCGACGAAUACUAACAUCGCGCAAAUAUUUGCGCGACGAAAUAUUUUUUGUUUUAAAUUUUUUUAAUUUAAAAUAAACUAAUUUAAUAGUUUGCGCUACGAAAUAUUUUGUCGCGCAAGGUUUUUGACUUUUUGUUUUAUUAUUUCUUUAAUAUGAAUUUAUUUAUAUGAAUUUUUUGAAAUUUUUACUUUUUAAAUUUAAUUUAAUUGUAUGAUUUCUUUUUAAAAUUACUUUAAUUUAAAUUGAUAUUAAUUUUUACUUUUUAAAUUUAAUUUAAUUGUAUGAUUUUUUUUAAUUACUUUAAUUUAAAUUGACAUAUUCAAAAUAAAAUUACAUAUGAAAAAUAGUGAUUAAAUUAUCCAAUAAAUAUAUAUAUAUAUAUAAUAUUCAAAAUGUACACAUAAAUUAACAAAGCACAAUAAUAAAAUCCUAAUACAAGCGUAUUGUGGUGGUAGUGUCGGAGGAUAUGUUUUGAUAGCUUCCUAAUCCUCAACUUUAGCCGUCAAAGUCUCGAUGAUUCCCUACAAAAAAAAUAAAUAUGGUCAAAUAACCACAAACAAAAAAAAAAAAAAAAAAAAAGGCAUAAUCUCCCCUAAAAUUGUUAUACCACAAAUCCAACCCAAACUCCAAUCCCUCCCCUUUACUCAACCCCAAAACCCACACAAACUCAAAAUUAACUCCAAAAACACAUAUUAAUGAAAAAAAUUUAAAAUUUGGAGAGAAUAUACCUUUUGGCAAGAUUGAGAGUGAAUGAGAGGGAGAAGUGAGUGUGAGAGAAUUAGAGAAGAUAGUGAUAGAGAGAUGAGAGAGAUGAGAGAGUGAGUGAGAGAGAGUGAGAGAUAGUGAAGAGAGAGAUGAGAGAUUAAGUGAGAGGAGUGAGUGAGAGAAAUGGUGGGAUUUGGGGAGAGGGAAAGAGAAAGGAGAGGUAAGAGUAGAGAAAGGCAUUGAGAAAAUGGUGGAUGAGUUAUUUCGGUUUUAAAAACCGUAUCACUUUGCGUGACGAAAAAUAUUGUUGGUCGCGCAAAGGUUUGCGCGACGAAAAAUAUUGGAAUAUUGAUCGCGCAAACUUUUGAGCGACGAAACAUAUUGGUCGCGCAAAGUCUAAAAAAAUUAUUUAAAAAAAAUAAAAAUCCCCGCGUCCCAUUUUUGGUACCCGCCAAAAUUUUUAAAUUUUUGCGCGACGAAUAUAGGAAUAUUGAUCGCGCAAAGUCUAAAAAAAUUAUUUAAAAAAAUAAAAAUCCCCGCGUCCCAUUUUUGGUACCCGCCAAAAUUUUUAAAUUUUUGCGCGACGAAUAUAGGAAUAUUGGUCGCGCAAAGUCUAAAAAAAUUAUUUAAAAAAAUAAAAAUCCCCGCGUCCCAUUUUUGGUACCCGCCAAAAUUUUUCAAUUUUUGCGCGACGAAAAAUACAUAUUGGUCGCGCAAAGUCUAAAAAAAUUAUUUAAAAAAAUAAAAAUCCCCGCGUCCCAUUUUUGGUACCCGCCAAAAUUUUUAAAUUUUUGCGCGACGAAAAAUACAUACUGGUCGCGCAAAGUCUAAAAAAAUUCCCGCGUCCGAUUUUUGGUACCCGCCCAAAUUUUUGCGAGACGAAAAAUAUAUAUUGGUCGCGCAAAGUUUUGAGCGACAAAAAAUAUUGGUCGCGCAAAGUCUAAAAUUUUUUUAUUUUUUUUUUAAAAUCCAGCGUCCCAUUUUUGGUACCCGUCCAAAUUUUUAGAGUUUUGCGCGACAAACUGUUGGUUGCGCAAACUUUUGAGAGACGAAAAAUUGGUUCGUAACACAAUAUUUAUAAAAAUAAUUGUUAUGAAUAAUAAAAAUAAAAUUAUUUUAUUUUACAAUUUAAAAUAUAAAUAAGGUUAAAGCUGCUUAAGAAAUAUAUAUACUAUUCAAUUUCUUAAGUGUUAUACGUACAAAAUAAAUAAAUUUAAAGGUACUUAAUAAAUAAAUAUAUAUACACACACCAUUCAACGAUCCAACCGUCAGACUUAUUUGUAUAUACUUCAAGAUCGUAUACCCCAAAAAUCACAAAAAACAAACAUUUAGAGAUCUAGUAACGAGACAAAACUUUUCGAUGGUUAUAAAUGAAAAAUUACGAUUUAACGGUUAUUUUAACUCCGAUUUUGAUGAUUUUUUUUUACAGCUACACUCCUUGACCAUAUAUGAAUACAAUGACUGAAUUUGAUCUUCAAUUUAAAAUAUUUACACUAGUGGAUACCACAAAAUCUUAUGUUAUAUCUAACGAACGUAUAAAUAACCUCUUAAUUGUUAGUGAAUAUAUUGUUUUGAUGGCAUAUGCAUUCACCAAAACUAGUUUCAACGAUCCAACCAUCAAACUUGUUUGUUUAUACUUCGAGAUCAUAUACGCCAAAAAUCAGAAAAAAUAAACAUUCAGAGAUCAAGUAAUGGGACAAAAAUUUUCGACGGUUAUAAUGAAAAAUCACGAUUUAACGGUUAUUUUAACUCCGAUUUUGAUGAUUUUUUACAGCUACACUCCUUGACCCUAUAUGAAUACAAUGACUGAAUUUGAUCUUCAAUUUAAAAUAUUUACACUAGUGUAUACCACAAAAUCUUAUGUUAUAUUUAACGAACGUAUAAAUAAACUCUUAAUUGUUAGUGAAUAUAUUGUUUUGAUGGCAUAUGCAUUCACCAAAACUAGUUUCAACGAUCCAACCGUCAAACUUGUUUGUUUAUACUUCGAGAUCAUAUACGCCAAAAAUCGGAAAAAAUAAACAUUCAGAGAUCAAGUAAUGGGACAAAACUUUUCGACGGUUAUAAUGAAAAAUCACGAUUUAACGGUUAUUUUAACUCCGAUUUUGAUGAUUUUUUACAGCUACACUCCUUGAACCUAUAUGAAUACAAUGACUGAAUUUGAUCUUCAAUUUAAAAUAUUUACACUAGUGGAUACCACAAAAUCUUAUGUUAUAUUUAACGAACGUAUAAAUAAACUCUUAAUUGUUAGUGAAUAUAUUGUUUUGAUGGCAUAUGCAUUUACCAAAACUAGUUUCAACGAUCCAACCGUCAACCUUGUUUGUUUAUACUUCGAGAUCAUAUACGCCAAAAAUCGGAAAAAAUAAACAUUCAGAGAUCAAGUAAUGAGACAAAACUUUUCGACGGUUAUAAUGAAAAAUCACGAUUUAACGGUUAUUUUAACUCCGAUUUUGAUGAUUUUUUACAGCUACACUCCUUGACCCUAUAUGAAUACAAUGAACUAAUUCGAUCGUCAAUUUAAAAUAUAUAUUUUCUAACAAAAACCCAAUCUGAACAACAAUAAUAUAUUUUUCUAACAAAAAUCCGAUCCGAUCUAAAAUAAUAAAUUUAAAGCUACUUAAUAAAUAUAUAUACUGUUUAAUUUCUUAAGUGUUAUGCAUACAAAAUAAAAAACAAAAAUAAAUUAGUAUAGGCGACAAAAUGUUUGGAUUACGUCAUGCAAAGAUUUUAAAAUAUAUAUAUAUAUUAUUUUUAUAAGGACUUUGCGCGACGAAGUUCAUUGUUUCGUCGCGCAAAGUCACUUUGAGCGACGAUGUAUUGUUGUCGCGCAAAAGUUUGUCGCGCAAAGUUACUUUGCGCGACGAAUUUUUUUUCAUCGCUCAAAAUUUGGUCGCGCAAGACUUUGAGUGACGAUGUAUUGUCGUCGCGCAAAAGUUUGUCGCGCGAAGUGACUUUGCGCUACGAAUUGUUUUUCGUCACGCAAAAUUUGGUCGCGCAAGACUUUGAGCGACGAAGUUUUGAGUUUCGUCGCGCAAAGUGACUUUGAGCGACGAAUAGUUUUUCGUCGCGCAAAAUUUGGUCGCGCAAGGGGUUUUUUUUUACUAGUAUGAGUUUUAUAUACAAUUUAUAACAAUAUUUUCAGGCAAAAAAAUGUCUUGGCAAGAAAAUGUACAAUUUGUUACGUACUUAACUGGAACGAUUACCUUCAAAUUCCUAUGGCCAAUUACCUUCUUUUUUCUUCCUUUUUUUUUUUUUUUUUUUUUUGGUUGUUGUUGUUCUUUUGAUCAAGUUGCAUAUUCCAAAGAACGAAAACCAGUACAGGCUCUUUUCCAAUGCAAGCUCUUUUCCCAUGUUUCCCUCUGUUUUUCUCCUAUUUUUCUUAUAUGGAAGUGAUUAAAAUACACCUCUAAGCUUGUUUUGCGUUUGGUAACCGACUGUAAAAGCUCAAUGCAGAUAGUUUGAGGUAGAAUUUUCUCCAAUUUUACUAGCACAGUGAUAAGCUAUACUAUAUGUAACAACAAAUUGCUUUAAUAAUGAUAAUGAAAAAAGUGUGAUCCAUCGAAUAUUUGCGGGGUUUUGUUCCAAGUCAACACAUCAAAUUCUUUUACACCAUGAAAUUAAAAAAAAUUUAUUCAACCAUCUCGACCUUAUGCUCGAUCAUUUUGCACAAGCAACCGUCCACGUACCCCAAUAAUUUAAAAGGGCUGAUGAUCUUUAAUUUGGCGAAAGCUUCUAUCUACUUCUACCGCGCUAUAUAUGAGCUAUGCAAUUGUGACGGUGUUACAUGACGUCACAAUGUCGUAGGGAUAAAAAAAUAAUAGUCAUGGUUUCUUAUUAAUGUUAAUACAGGCAUAGCAAAAAGCUUGUAUUUCUAGUGGUUAAGAACAAUUACCCAUGCACUUGAGAUAUUAUGUGCUUAAAUCCCCUCUUCCCCAAUAUUUCUUGUAUAAAAAUAAAAAUAAAAAUAAAAAUAAUAAAGAUAUUGAUAUUGUAUUCUAUAAAGUGUUGGACAUGUUUUAUACCCCUUUACUGCAAAUUACAGUUUGACACAUGUACAAAAAUAAUAGGUAAGUGUUGGACAUCAAGAGUACUUACAUAUAGGUUUAAUAGGUAAGUUUUGAAUAUUUCUGUCUUUAGCUUUAAUUAUUGAAAAUCAACCUAUUAUCAUAUUAAAGACUUAUCCAUGUUCAACGUACAUUCUCUUAUUUUUCUCUCAUUGAAGUAAAUACAAAACUAAGCACAUAGUGGAAAAGUAGGUCACGAUUAGGGGUGGGUUUGGUCUGGGUUGGUUCAGUUUUGGGCUCAACCCGAACACCGAACCGUAGACCUCGAUUUGGCUAUUUUGGAAACCAAAACUAAACCAUAAUUAAUGAAAACCGACCACUUCAAUUACCUUCUGGUCUUCCAACCAGAAGAAAACUCAAAACUUUAACCAUACCAAGUGCAACAGAAUUACACCAGGCUGGAGUCAAGUUUAUGAUGGUUAAAGAUAAAAACUUAUUUGACAUACAAUUUGAGAAUGGAAUCCUCAAAAUUCCACACCUGCGAAUACAGGGUUAAACAGAAAUUUUCUUCCGCAAUUUUAUUGCCUAUGAGCAGUGUGAGCUCCAUGAUCAUUACAUCAACAACUAUGUCUUCGUCAUGGACCGCCUGGUCGACAGUGCCAGGGAUGUGGAAUUGCUUGUGAAGAGUGGAAUUCUUGAAUCCAUGCUACCGGACAGCGAGGCAGCAGGGGAAUUUAUUAAUUCUCUUGACUUGGGGCCUAUUUUAGGCAAGCUUGAAACAAGACUAUUUCAGUUCACCAUGGGCUGGCCUGUCUAUUAUUGUAGCCGCUAUACUAGUUGUGCUCACAUUUAUUCAAACAGUGUGCUCCGUAAUGGCGCUGUAGGUUCUUCAUUUCCUCAAUUUCAUGUUUAGUGGUUGCAGAUUUGUUGCUCAUGUACGUGUUUAUCUAAAGUUAAAUAAGAGUGAUUGACUGAUAGUCUGUUAGUUUGUUUUUCUGGGGUUUUUCCCCUGUUCGUCAAAAAAGAAAAAGAGAAAGAGUGAUUGCUUGUGCCUGUUUGGGCCUAAUUUGACACACCCAAUCCAAAAUCAAAAAGUCCAUGUCAAUUUUGGACAGCCACCAGCAUUCCCUUUGUAAUUAGGCCAAAAACUGCACACCCAACCUAGCACUGGAGCCUAGAACAAACAAGGUAAACUCAGGACCCAAGCAGUUUGAUUUUUUCAUUUAAAUUGGAAUCAAGGGCCCCAAGUCAAAAAAGCCCAAGCCCAAGGCAGAUUUUUUACCAAAAAGACCCAAGGAAGCCCAGUGCAUGCGAAUUGCUUAGCCCACAAUCCCAAAACUCAAAACUAAGUUUGGCAUGAUUAAAUAAAGAUAGAGAGAAGCCCAAAAUUGAAGAAACCCAAAACAGUUUUAUCAAAAUUGUCAGCUCUCUACCCAAGACCUAAAAAGGGUCAAAAAUACCACUAUUGGCAAAAUUGACGCACUCAGCCUUGGAUCACAAAGAAAUCCACGUGACUAUUUGACUUUGAGAAGUCAACAAUUUCAACUAGUCACAAGAGAAGUUGAUUGGAAUUAAUGUAGGCAGGUCAUUACAGAAAAGACUUCUUUGAAACUCUGUAGCCAAAAGAUCAAAAUCCCUUUCUAUAUAAUUCUGCAUCAGAGUAGGUGGUCUUUCCAAGAGAUAAGCAGACUACGUUUUCAAGAGAUAAGUAGAGAAUGAGGGAGUUGUUCAACAAGAAAAGCAAACUAACCAUCAUGAUAGGUUGUGUUCUUUCUCUCUACAAAAAACAAUAGGGAACAAAGAAGAGUUGGUUUUUCUUUCAGAAAAAGGAAGGAAAAGACCUACAUGAAAACUAAUUAUUGAUGGUUCUUCUCUGCCAGAACAGAUAACUUCUCAUUUUCUUUGACAUUUAAAAAUGAAAGGUCUCGCUUUUACAAAAUCUGCCGCCCAUUAUUUAAAGAUUAGAAAACCCACUCCAGCAUUUCCUAUAAAUAUGAGAGGAGGUGAUGUCACAUCACGGGAUUGGCUCUGCCGUAGCACGAUAUUGUCCACUUUGCGCCCCCCUCUCUACCCUCACGGUUUUAUUUUUGGGAACUCACGAGCAACUUCCCAGUGGGUCACUCAUCUUGGGAUUGCUCUAGCCCCCAGCUCGCUUAACUUCGGAGUUCCCAUGACUCCGAAGCCAAUGAGCUCCCAAAAGGCCUCGUGUUAGAUGGAGGCGGGCAUGUACAUAUAAGGCACAUCACCUCCUCUCCGUUGGUCGAUGUGGGAUGUUACAGGUGAACAUAUCAAAGGACAGCCAAAAAAUCAAUCAAAGACAAAAACUCAAAAUGAUCACUUGAUCUCAAAAGCCUUCAAAACACUGAAGCAAGCAAAGCUCAUUGAGCCACAACGAACAAGUCAGCUAGAAUUCAGAAUCUUUAGAGUCAGUUCAGUUUCAGAGAAAUAAUCAAAGAAAGCGAGAUCUCUCUCGUUACAAAUUUGGUUCAGCUUAAAGCCAAAACAAGCAGAGUUCAGGUUCUUACAAAUAUGAAAACCUCAAUAAAUUUAUGGAGAGCCCUGAUCAAGCAAAACAGGUACUACAGUGCAGUUCUAGCUUAGUAAUAAUCAAAUCCACCCACUUCUGCCCCUUCCAGAUUGAGAAGGUCCCAAUUCUGCCCAUUCAAAAAGCCUUCCAAGACUUGAAAUAGAUUAAAGCUCUGCCAAACUCAAAUGUUGGAAUCAAUUCGCAGCUGAAACAUGACAGUUGAAGGUGUUGAUAGUCCAGUCCAGCACAGACAUACCCAGUCUAGCCCAGAUCAGAAGCAUUCACCGAGGCAGAAAUUGAAGUCCAAAGCUCUUUUUGUCUUUUUAGAGUUGGUCUUCCUUUUCUGAGCUUUGUAAAAGGCAAUUCUGCCUAAAACAGUUCACUUUCUUAUCAUUUAUUCUGGCCAGAACUACCAGUUUUGUACUGUGAAAAAUUAUGAAGUCCUCACCAGUCUAAGGCAAGAAAAGAACUUACUUGGGAGAUAUUCCUCACCAAAUUCACAACCGUUUGUUUAGAAAUCAGUAACUUGGUGUAACGACCCGGUCCUAAAUAAAUUGGUAAUUAUUAAUUUAUUCAGAUAAAAGACCAUUUUGCCCAUAGAAUAUUUUAAUAGGUUUACAUGUUGACCCGGGAGGCUUCGGUGAAAUUGUUACAUCUCGGUCCGAAAAAGUGUUAAAAUAAUUAAAGUAGAGUGCUGCUAAAAGAACCCUAAAAUUAACUGAGUACACCCUAUGAUCUAAGUACACCCUAAUAUUUUAAUUAAAAUAUAAAAUUAACUAAGUACACCCUAUAAAACUAUCAAAAAUAACACUGAUACACCCUAAUACUUGUAGCAUUAUUUUAUAGUUGAUUAUUUUAAUAGUGUUUAUAAAUCUUUGACUUUUCAUAUGGAUUUAUGCUUCUACUAAAAUUGUUGCCACUUUUUUUCCAAUUCCAAGUUCUUGCAAUCACCACAUCUUUCGUUAAAAACACAAUAGGACAAGCAAUCUCUUGAUUAGGGUUGAAUAUGGUUAGUAGGGUGUACUUAUUAAUAUUAUAUUUGUUUCACAAUUCCAUAUAUCCUUUUUGGUCAUUUUAUAUUAGGGUAAACCAGUAAUUCAAUAUAUACUUUUAUAGUAGGGUGUACUCAGUUAAUUUUAGGGUUCGUUUAGCAGCACUCUUAAAGUAAGAGAGAAUAAAAUGAAAUAAACAUUAAAAUAAAAUGAUUUGAAUUAAUUAAGGUUUUUGAGAAAUUAAAAUAUUAUUUAAUAUUAUAAGGGGAAAAAGAUCAUUUUAAGUUUGGGAAGGAAUUUGGAAAUUCCAAUUGUACCGUUGUGUAGAGCAUGUCGAAACGAGUCCGUAGACACGUAGUGGACUCGAAUCGUAGUUAUAACGGAGAAAUGGCGAUCAAAAGAAGUUCAGUGGCAUAGCCAUAAAUAUUUCGAAGUUCAGUUUUUUUAAAACCCAAAUUUCUUCUCUCUGGGGAGUGGGAGAGCCAACUUCAAAUGGUGAUUUCUCCCAACUCCGACCACCACACUUCCCUCUUCCUUCAGUUUUGGCAUCAUGAUGGGUUCCAUCCCGGAAUGACACAUUUUCGACGCUAAGGACGUCACAAAUGGUAUUUGAGAUGCUUUGUAAAUUUGUAACCAUGGAAAACACAAUGAACUUUAUGUUCGGAGUUGCAAGAGAACAUUAAGGGGAAUAUGGAGAGUGGGAAAAUAGUAAUAAGUGGAGAUCUGUAUGCUUACUUACUACUGAACUUCCGUCGUGGUGGUUAGUAUGAAAAAGUGUUAGAGAUUAUAGAUUUUAUGGAGGAACAUGGUUGUACACUGAUAAGUAGUCGGUAGGAGUUGAUUUAAGUUCCAAGAGAAAUUCAUUAUGAACUGGGAUGAAUUACUGCAAGAUUCUUGCUGUUUUGAAGUUAUUGAUUUUAGGGGCAUCACCUCUGAAUGAUCAUAAUAACCAUGCGUGGGCUCUGCAUGAGGUUUCUUUGACAUUGUUUGAUUUUGUGUAUUGAUAAUUACACUUAGGGGUGUCACGUUUCUAGAAACGUGUCUAUCCAAAUUGUUGUAUCUCAAUAUCCUAUGGAAGGAAAGCUGAGAAGCUGAAAAUACUGGAUUUAUGGUGGUGAGAUAAAAAUUGUCAGGAACUUUCAAAAGUCAAAUUAUUUCACAAAGGGAAAUACUGGAGAGAAGUAUUAGAGAAUUUUCUUUGGAUAAGUUAUAUAGGAGUGGAGGAGUUGCGAGUUUAACCAAGGAGGGUUGUGACAAUUUAAAUUGAGAAGUAGUGGUGUUGGGUGAAGUAUUAUUUCAUUCGCGUGGGCUUGAAUGCCGCGAUUGACAGGAAUGGAACAUUAGGGUUCUUCUUCCUUGCUCUCUCACGCGAGCUCGCCAUAGAGAGUAUUUCUUGGCGUGGUACUGGCUUCGUCCGACCUCCGAUUACUGUGAUUUUUGAAAGGACCCGGCCCAAAUUUCUCAAAAUCCGAGGCGAAUCCUGUGAAAUUCCCGACAUCACUCCGAUGCCAGGCCCACUUACUAAAGACCGAGACUUUCUGCCGAACUUUCGGCAGAGUCUCCCCUAUAAAUUGGACAUUUUCCAAAACUACCACCUGCAUAAAACACAAUUUAUAUCCCCAACUGGCAGCAUGCACAAGAUAAUUUCAUGCAAAUCACAUAAUCGGCCUGCGGCCUUCAAAUAAUUCAAAACGAAACCACCAAGCACACUAUCAAAUUAAUUCCUACCUUAAACAAGGCAAACAAUAAAUUUAAAUAUGAAUUAUGACUACUAAAUUUCAACAUACGAGGUUUUAACCUCCUAACACAAUCACAUCUAUGUCCGCGGCUGCACCUAAUAACCUUAGGCUGCCUACGUACCUUCACUGAGGGAUCAAGCCACACGUAGUUCUUCCGUAAAACCCAAUUCCACACAUAGGCAAUACCUUUAUUCAUUUCUCUGUAUUUCACAUAAUCUCCCCAUACGCCAGUACUACCAUUGCCACGUAUGGGACUUGUCAACAAGCCGGAUAACCUACACCACGUGCGAUCUCAACAUAAUAUCACAUAAUCUCCUCAUACGCCGGUACAACCAGCGCCACGUAUGGGGCCUGUCAACACGCCGGAUAACCUACGCCACGUGCGACCUCAUCAUACUAUCACAUGAUCUCCCCAUACGCAGGUACAACCAACACCACGUAUGGGGCCUGUCUCAACGCCGGAUAACCUACGCCACGUGAGACCUGAACAUAAUAUCACAUAUCUCCUCAUACGCCGGUACAACCAAUGCCACGUAUGGGGCCUGUCAACACGCCGGAUAACCUACGCCACAUGCGACCUCAAUAUACUAUCACAAUAUCUCCCCAUACGCCGGUGCAACCAACGCCACAUAUAGGGUCUGUCUCAAAUUGGAUAACCUACGCCACGCUAGACCUCAACAUCAUAUCACAAUAUCUCCUCAUACGCCGGUACAACCAACGUCACGUAUGGGGUCUGUCCGCAUGCCGGAUAACCUACGCCAUGUGGGACCUAACUUUCACAGAGUGGUACUUGUAGUGUAACCAAAAUCUGGGGAGGUGCCUAAGGUAGUGCAUAUAGCACUUCAAACUGACAUUCUCUCACUUAUCUAAACUAAUACUAGAGGUCUUCCCAUUUUAAUGGUACCAGUCUAUAGUAGAUUGUAACGUAAUUUAAUCAUAAAAAUAAUAUUAUUUCUAGACCAACGAUUAUUCACAUAAACAUGAAUUUCAUAAUUUCACUAUUUAAAAUAAUAUCUAAAAGUUUCCUAUAAUACAAAUAAACACUCUAAAGAUCCCAACUUAGUCAACACAGCUCAACAAUGCUCAAGACCUGUCAUUAGGGUCAUUAUGAUCCUUCUAGGAAGGUAAAACUACCUCGAAAGACUCAAGGUCAACCAAGGGUCAAACCACCCACAAUUGGUCAAACGGGCCCACGGGGCCCACGACCUCCAAAUUCCAAUCCGAAGGUUCCUAUGGGAUCUACAAGGUAUAGGACACUCGUCUUGCAAGUUAAGCCUAGAUCGGAUGGUCAGAUCGCUCACGAUCGCACAAUCUGAUGGUUAAUAUAAAACAUAAACUUUAAAUUAUUUAAUCGGAACAUCCGGGGCUCCCGAUUCACGAUCUGUUCCUACACGAUCCUAGAAAUACAUAGAUUAACAUAUAUUAAAUUUGAGACCAUCCAACGGUCCUAACCUAUCGAACCCGGAUAACGCGCAAUAGGCGAUAUUCGUUCGAUAGUCAAACGACGUCCGAAUUGAGAUUUACGAAAUCCUACGCACUCGUGACAACCUAAGGAUCUCAUUGAGACAUAUUGCUAUCCCAAAACCGACCGAAAUCCAAUUCGAAAAUCGAGUUACUUACGUUAAGAAUCGACCGAAUCCUACCCAACAGGCAGCUAGAGCAUGAAAAGUAUGUGAGAAACCAUACCUCACUCGUCGAAAUCAGUGGCCAAAGGAGGGAGAUCGACGAUAGAGAAGUUCGGACGAACUGACCGCUUCUUCUCCAUUUUUCAGCGAAACCACGGUAGCUGGUGGCGGGACCUAGCUGGGGUUGGAAGAGGAUGACGCCCCGGUCAUUUUGGUAUCGGCCUCGUGGUCAUCGGUGGCCGGAUGAGAAAACAGCCGGCGAAAAUGUGACCGGCUGCCGUUGCGCACGCGAGAGAGACCACGAGAGAGAGAGAGAGAGAGAGAGAGAGAGAAAUCUGAUUGUGCCACUGAGAUUCUUUUGACCAUAUCUCUCUCGUUACAACUCCGAUUCAAGCCCACCACGUGUCUACGGACUCAUCUCGGUACGACCUAUCCAAAAAUACCAAUCACUACCCCAAAUACUUUUUGGAUCAGAAAGUGACCAAAUUACCCCUACCUCAAUGGUAACUUUGUAAUUUCACUUAAAUAAUUUAAAUAAGGGAUUAAAUUUGGAGUCGGGGUGUUACAAUUUUUGUUGCUAAAUGUUGUCAUCAUUUCUCCUCUACAUCACUCAGUGAUCAUUCACUCCCAUUUCUCUAGUUUACACGGUGAAUUUUAUUUCUAAAAUUUCUUAAAAUUCCGGCCACUGUGAGUUUGACCAGCGACUUGGGUUACUUUUGCCCAUCUUUUUGGAAAUGGAACCGAUUUGAGGAAGAUUAGGAGGAAAGAUACAUAGGCCGCUGAGGCAGAAGUAAAGCCGGAGCUUUACCAUAGACAGAAGUUGUUUUAGAAGUCCUGGAAGAUUGUGAACAGGAAUUGGAAGUUUGCAUGGGGUGAUAGGAUUUUUAGUACUUGUGCAAACAGUGUUAAAAAUCACAUAAAAUACUUGCAAGAAUACAAGGCUAUUGUAGUCUAGAUGCUCAUGCAAGGUCGUUUUCCUCAAGGACUAAUUAGCAAUUUAUGUAAAAAUAAAUUCCAAUUACUACUUAAAAUAAAAAGUCAAGAAAGAUGAUUAUAAAUUUGGUUGAUUCUAAAAAACAAAUAUUAAACAAAAACAAAUACGAUUGAAAGAAAGAGUUUUGAAUAUCAAUUUAUAAAAACACUAGGGUUUCACCAUCACCUAGCAAUCCUAUGAACUUUUACCAAUUACUUAUGAUUUGCACAUGCCACUUUGAAGGUUAGGUUUUCCUAAUGUAUAUUCUACUUAGAACCUCCAACACAGAAUGUAUAUCCAACAUGCAACCCGUCCGGACGUUCGGAUCAAAUCUGAACAUGAAAGACUCAUUAAGUUUUGUGAAAACCCUUUGAAAAACCAUGCAACCCUUAAGACGUGGUGUUCAUCUUAAGUGAAAUUACAAUUAUUAAUCAGAAGAAGCUAGCAUCAAUUUCAGGGAACCUUCCGACCAAAAUUGCAUCCAAUUACUUUUCUAAAGAUCCUAAUGGUGAUCAGGCAUUAAGACAAUUAGAUAGUUUAAAACAGUGAUUAACAAUUCAAAAUACGCAUGCACUCAUCAUAAGCAAUUAAAUAAAAAUCACAUAUUCAUGCUAAGGUUCAAGGCUUCACCCUAGCAAAAGAAAUUUAGUUACGCAUACUCAUAAUUGAAAUCCAAGAAAAUAUCAUUAAGAAGAAAAGAACGAAAACACCUGAAAGUUGUGAAAACCCAAAACCCUAGCAAUUGCUCUCCACAAUGCAAAGUUCAAAAGUGAAAAGGGAGUCCUCCAUUCCUUGUGAGAAAGAGCUUAAAUACCCCUUAAAACCUAGCUGCCAAUGUACAGCUUUUCUAUCCCCACAAGGAAACUAAUUAAAAUAAAAUAAUACUAGGAAAUAAAGUCCAAAUUGGAAUAGGAGAAUCUGCUCAAAAUCUGCCCAGCCACGUUUUGGCCCCAAAUCUCCUCCAAAUCUGGCCCAAGAUAGCUUGUUUUAAAGAUAAAAAAUGUUCUGAACACUUCUUUAGAAGGCCACGAACCCAUCCGAGGUCAUCUUGGGCUCCAAAAACGCAAUAAAAGCCCAACACGUCACUAUUCCAGCACCGCGCACUGCUCCUUUAUUUUGUUGCCAGAAAAUAACCGCUUGGAAGAAAAAUCUGAAAUUUUGAUACGAUCAAGCUAAGUGACUCAAGAACGUCCUCCAACUGGAAUUACUCCAAAAUUCCUCAAUUUGAUUAUGUUUUGCUCCAGAGAGAUUCGAAAGUCCUAUAUUGGAAAUAUAAUUCAAAGUAUCAAAAGUCUUCCAAAAUAAUAACCAAAAUAUACUAAGAAUGAGGUUAAAUAUAUAAUAUAAAAUAUGUCCAUCAAAAUACCCCCAAACUUAGCUUUUGCUUGUCCUCAAGUGAAACAAGACUCAAACAAAAAUAAAAACUUAACAGAUUAGACAUCUGGCUAACACUUAACUAGGACAAAAUUUCCACCUUCAAGUUGCAAUCCAUAGAAAAUUUUAAAAACUAGAACAUCCUUUCAAUAGAUCUAAGUAAUCCCACCACAAAGUCUAAGCUAUUUAGACUCAAUUAGAAAAGAAUUCACAAACUUCUUUCGGUGCAAAGUGAACCAUUAUGGUUAUGGAGACUUGACUAAAACCCUUAACUCUCAUCCCUUUUAUUCAUACUUCACACACUCCACACUUUUUGUUUUUUUUGUUUUUUGUUUUUUGUUUUUUUGUUUUUUUUUCUUUUUGUUUUUAUAGUAACAGUAGUGGUUGUGCAAUGUUGGUUCCCUUAAGCUUUCAAUCCAACCGUGUAGCCAGCUUUAGGUCAAUGUCUCCCAAACCACUCGGGUUUUAGGGCACUAGGUGUAGAACACCCCUAAGGACUUAUUAACUCAAGCUGAAAAGGCUACGAAACCAACUAACCACCCUGCCUCAUGCCAAAACUCUACCUUUUGUCUCGAGAAUCACUGCUGAUUAGGCAGGAUUGACCCGGUUACUAGCAAAGCUUCGGGUGAGGUAAUUAUUACUUUAUAACACAAACUAACUUUAUUUAUAUUGAACAUAAAUUAAAACACAUUUGGACAAAAAGUAAGUAUUCCAAUCUCACUCCCCAAAAACCAUGUUGGUGUGAUGUGCAAAUUUCAAAGUAUAAUUCAUGAAUUAAUGUCUAAGCAACAAUAAAUAGAAAAUACUCUACCGUGGGAUUGAUUUUCACCAUGUCCAUUUGUUCUAACGUUUAAAAUAAUCUAUGGAUAUUGACUGAAAAACGAAAAUUUGUAAACAAGACUCAAAAAAUGAAAAAUAAAAAAAAUUACGUUCCCACCCCCUAACUUAAAUCACACAUUGUCCUCAAGGUGGGGUAAAUAAUCAAAAGAAACAAGAGCAGAAACAAAACGACUAAAACUUAGAAAAUGGAAAUCAAAAAUAAAGAAAAUACUCUAAGAAAAGAAAUUAGGAAGGCAAAGGAUGAGAUCCAGAUGGAUCUGGUAAUCCUAUCCGUAGAGAUGGAAAGAUUCUAUACACGCCAUUGAGACUGGAUUUGGAGAUGAGGAUUUGACCCUACCUUGUUCGACGAAUUCCCUCAAGGGGAAUUAUAGCAAUAAAAUACAUAUGCUUCUACAAACAUUUAAUUGCACUGCUACGACGUGGAAAGAGUGCUUUGGGGUCUCAUCUCAUGUGAACCCGUUCGAGUAGAAAUCUUUCAUUAGAAUCAGAAAUGGGUCAUGGUAAAGAGAGGUAGAUGAUGAUUACAGUUCGGUAAAAAUGAUCAUUUCUGACAUUCCUCUCAAAGAACCGUGUUGGCAAUGUCGUUUAUCGAUUCUAAAGAAAGAAGAAAAAUAUCAACAAGUCAAAGAACGUGGAUUUCUUUUAAGGGGAGAGCUAGAACAAAAUCAAAUCACGAAUGGAAGAGUUUAGCUUUCAGAGGAAGAUUGAGCAUUACAGCAGCUAUUAAAGGAUAUUUUUAGUUGAAGAAUGAGAUUUUUCUUCCUCUGAUUGUUUAGCUAGAGCUUUUGGCUUGACUGCCAACGUGGUUGUGGAGGAAGAAACUUGGGAACCCGAGUAGUAGAUGCGAGCCCACUACCCAUACCCCUUUUGAGUGACAGGUAUGAAAUUUCAAGGAUGAAAUUUUUAUAAGAGGGGUAGAUUGUAACGACCCGGUCCUAAAUAAAUUGGUAAUUAUUAAUUUAUUCAUAUAAAAGACCAUUUUGCCCCCAUAAUAUUUUAAUAGGUUUACAUGUUGACUUGUUGACCGGGGAGGCUUUGGUGAAAUUGUUACAUCCCGGUCUGAAAAAGUGUUAAAAUAAUUAAAGUAAGAGAGAAUAAAUUGAAAUAAACAUUAAAAUAAAAUGAUUUGAAUUAAUUAAGGUGUUUGAGAAAUUAAAAUAUUAUUUAAAAUUAUAAGGGGCAAAAAGAUCAUUUUAAGUUUGGGAAGGAAUUUGAAAAUUUUGAUUGUACCGUUGUGUGGAGCACGUCGAAACGAGUCCGUAGACACAUAGUGGACUCGAAUCGGAGUUGUAACGAAAAAAUGGCGAUCAAAAGAAUUUCAGUGGCAUAACCGUAAAUAUUUUGAAGUUCAGUUUUUUUAAAACCCACAUUUAUUCUCUCUGGGGAGUGGGACGUGCCAACUUCAAAUGGUGAUUUCUCCCAACUCCGGCCACCAAUUCAAGUAAGACCGGCCCCGUUAGAACCACCACACUUCCCUCUUCCAGUCCCAGCCCAUCUCAGUCUCGAUCCGCCGUCGUAGUCGCCGAAAAUCGCCACGAAACAAGGUGGUUUGGAUAGUUUUUGUCGAAAUUUCGUGGAGCUCGUUCUCCCUCCUCCGGCCACCGUUUCAGGCGAGUGAGGUAUCAUUUCUCACCUAUUUUCUAUGAUAUAGCUGAUGGUUGGAUAUGAUUUGAUAAAUUUUGAGCGUUGAUAGUUCGAUUUUCGAAUCAAAGUUUGGCCGAAUUUCGGGAUGAAAUUCCGGCCACUUUCGAUCACUUUUUGGGGUAGGCCCAAGAACAAAAGUGUCUUCAAUUGAUGUCCUGAUCCCAGGGUAAGAGCAUUGGUCGAAAAUUUUGAGAUUUUCCUGCUGGUGGUAUCGCUUUGGGCACCCAUGCGCUGAUGGCGCGUGUGGCAGCGUGUGGGCACUGUAGCAGAGGGCCAUUGUGUCCCAAUGCGACCCCCUUGUUGUCACGAGUGCGUAAGGGUGCUCGGAUUCCAAUUUGGUUGAGGUUUGAACCCCGAAUGGAUUUCGUAUAUUGUACAUUAUCCGGGUUUGAUAGGUUUGAACCGUUGGAUAGUCUUGAAUUUAAUAUAUGUUAGUCUAGACAUCCCUAGGAUCAUAUAGGAUUUCGCGGAUCAUGGAUCGGAGCCCCGGAUGUUCUGAUUUAAUAAAUUAAAGUUUGUGUUUUACAAUAACCGUCCGAUCGUGCGAUCGCGAGCAAUCCGACAGUCCGAUCCGAACCAAACUUGCAGGACGGGUAUCCUAAAUCUUGUAGAACCCAUAGGAGCUUUCGGAUAAGAAUUUGGAGGUCGUGGGCCCGGUUGACCAAGAUUAGGUAGUUUGACCCCUCGGUUGACCAUGAGUCUUCCGAGGUAGUUUCACCCUUCGAGGAGUACUAGAAUGACCUUAUUACAUAGUCUCGACCUUUAAUUGAGCUAUGUUGACUAUGUUGAGAUUUUUAGAGUGUUUAUUAUUAUCGUAUGAAAACUCUUGGAUAUUACUUUUAAUAAUUGAAAUUAUGGAUUUGAUGAGCGUGGGUAAAUUGAUUUGAUGAGUGGUGAAAAGAAGUCGUGGGCUUGGCUAUGACUAUUAGGAAGUGAGGGGACAUUUAUGUUGAAUAUGCAUUAAUUUCAACAAUUGAAAGAACAUGCAUGGAAUGGGUAUAUAUAUAUAUAUAGAUAAAUUGGAUUAAAGAUUGAGAAAUUAAUAAGUUGAGAUAUUAGUAAUAUUUAAUUGAGAAAUGGAUUUUGAGGUGGAAAUUGGAAGGUUGAAUUUGGGGAAUUUUGGAAUUGAGAAUUAUGGGUUAAUACUGAAAGAUGUAGGAUUAUACUAUGUAAGUACCAUCCCCUAGUUACUAGGCUUCCCAUACGUGGAGUUGGAAUUUCUGGCGUGUGGGAAGGAUAUAUGAUUAUUAGAUCUCACAUGCCGUUGGAUUUUCCAGCGUGAGACAGACCCCAUACGUGGGGUUGGAUUUUUCGGCGUAUGGGGAGAUUAUGUGAUGGUUAGGUCACACGUAGGGUGGGAUUUUCCAACGUGUUGACAGACCCCAUAAGUGGCGUUGGAUUUUCCGGUGUAUAGGGAGAUUAUGUGAUGGUUAGGUCACACGUGGCAUAGGAUUUUCCAGCGUGUUGACAGACCCCGUACGUGGCGUUGGAUUUUCAGCGUAUGAGGAGAUUAUGUGAUGGUUAGGUCCCAUGUGGCGUAGGAUUUUCCGGCGUGUUGACAGACUCCAUACGUGACGUUGGAUUUUCCGACGUAUGGGGAGAUUAUCUGAUGGUUAGGUCACACGUGGAGUAGGAUUUUUCAGCGUGUUGACAGACCCCAUACGUGACGUUGGAUUUUCCGGCGUAUGGAGAGAUUAUGUGAUGGUUAGGUCACACGUGGCGUAGAAUUUUCUGGCGUGUUGACAGACCCCAUAUGUGGCGUUGGAUUUUCCGGCAUAUGGGGAGAUAAUGAGAUGGUUAGGUCACACGUGGCAUAGGAUUUUCUGGCUUGUUGACAGACCCCAUAUGUGGCGUUGGAUUUUCGCGCGUAUGGGAAGGAUAUGUGAUUAUUAGGUCUCACAGGUGGCGUUGGAAUUUCCGGCGUAUGAGACACUAACAGUGAGAAGAGAAUGAGAUUAUUUUUCUAUAUCAGAGAAAGGUUAGAGUAUAAAAAGAAAUAUGUUUGGUGUGUGGUAAUUUAAAUUAAAACAGGGAAAGAUAACUUACCUGUACUACUGAAACAGUUGUGUAACAUUUGGAGCAUGAUUAUGGAGUGAAAGAACUACGUGUGGCUUGAUCUCUCAGUAAGGGUACGUAGGCAACCUAGGUGCAGUCGUAGACUAAACGUUAUUUAUGUUGUUUUAUUGAGAUUGGUUCUGACCCUGUCGUUGGUCCUGAAAUUCGGUUGAAAACUAGAUGCGAGUAAAUAAUUGUUCAUACUCCCGUUUCGUUGAGGGAGGAUUGUGUAAAUGUGUUCUGGUCAAGACAGGUAUAAGAACUCGUUUAGGAUUGAUGUACGAUUUGGGCUAAGGCCUUAAACUACUUGUUGUUGUAUUAGGAGAUUAAAACCUCGCAUGUGGGAUAAUUGGGAAAGUUAGAUGAUGUAAAGUGCACUUAGGCAUUCAUAUAUAUGUUUAAAUUUAUUAUUUGUCUUGCUUAACGUAAUUGUUUGACUUAUGGGCUUUAUUGGUGAUUUGCUUCAGAUUAUUUAAAGGCCGAAGGCCGUUUAUGUGAAUUGCAUUUUGAUACAUUGUGCAUGCUACUAGUUGUGGAUAUUAAAUGUGUUUUAUGCAGGUUGAAAUUUUUGGGAUUGUUCAAAUUACAGGGGAGACUGCCAAAAUUUUGAUAGAAAGUCUCGGUCAUUAGUAAGUGGGCCCGGCAUCGAGGUGAUGUCGGAAUUUACACAAGAUUCCUCUCGGGUUUUCAGGAAUUCGGGGCGGAUCCUGUUACUUGGGGUGCAAAUUAUCCAUUUGUUCACCCGUUUUCGUGUUUUACUUCUGAGGUGGAAGGGCGAAGUUUCCCACUGGCUUGGAGACCACUUGUUGGUCGACAAGUCAGCUUUCUUUGGUGUGUGUGAGCGUGCCACUGCUAGCAAUGUAAAUUCUAGCAGACUUAUUUUUUAGAGUGGAUAACUUGCGCCUCAAGUUACUGACUUCUAAAACAAAUGAUUGUGAAUUUGGGUGAGGAAUAUCUCCCAAGUAAGUUCUUUUCUUGCCUCAAACUGGUGAGGACUUUCACAAUUUAUCUCAGUAUCAAAUGGUUGUUCUGGCCAGAAUAGAUAAUAAUAAAGUAGACUGUUUCAGGCAGAACUGCCUUUUACAAAAUUAAGAAGGGAGAAAUCAACUCUAGAAAGGAAAAAAGAUGGCUGGAAUCCCAUUUCUGCCUGGGUAGAAACUUCUGAUCCGGGCUGGACUGGGUAUGUCUAUGCUGGACGGUGCUGUCAACAACUUUAGCUUGCUCGGCUUUAGUUGUAAAUCGAUACCAAAGUUCAAUUUUGGCAGAGCUUCAAUCUACUUCAAGCCUUGGGAGACUUUUGAGUGGGCAGAACUGCAGCUUCUUCAGUUUGAAGGGACAGAAGUGGCUAUUCUCGAGGAUUUAGCAAGCUGGAACUAUGCUAUAAAAUUUGUUGAGGUUUUCAUAUUUGUGAAAACUCAAACUAUGUUUGUCUUGGCUUUUGCUGAACCAAAUUUGUAACGAGAGGGAUCUUGUUUUCAGAAGACUUAUUUUCUAAGUCUGAACUUUGGAAUUCUGAUCUAAAGCUGUUUUCUUGUUUGUUUUUUUUUGAUUGACUGAUGAAUUGAGUGUCCUUUGUUUCUUUGCCUUCUUUCGCUUUUAUAAGAGAUCCUCCUAAGGAGGUCAUUUUUAAUCCUAAACAAUGGGCGGCAAAAAGAUCUCUUAUAAUGUAAAGUAAGAAGGGUUUCUUAUCAAUCAAGGCAGAUAGGUUCUGAGCAGUCACCUCCUAAAAACAGUCCAUUCCCUGGUUUCCUGGGUGGCAGCUUUCUAAUUCAACCAACGCCACCGUCUGUGUGGGCUUUUUAUGGCAGUUUUGGCUCUUUUCUUUUGUAUUUUCUGAGUGGUUCCCUGUUUCCCGUUCUAAUUUAGAAAGCGUGAUUCGUGAAUUCCUUGGGAGAUGGUGUAUUGAUUUGGAGCAAAAUCUUGAACACAGAUGGGUUUUUGAUCUUCAAUUGGCAGUGUUUCAGAGACGUCCCUCUCACAUUUUUAAACUUUAGUUGGAAUUGCUGACUUUUCCAAAGUUGAGGCAAUCACGUGGGUGUGUCUUUGAUCCCUUGGUUUUGAAUCUAUCGAAAAUUACGGGCUGAUCUUUGAAGCCCAUUUCGAAAGUUUCCACAUCUGGGCUUUCUUUGGGCUGAGGCUUUAUUUCCAACAUUCUUGGUGUGAAGCCCAAACUGUCUGGGUCUUAUUUUCGUUUUUCUCAAGUCUCUGGGCUGGGCAGGCAAUUUUAUCAUGGGCCUGUCUUCUGGUCUUGGGCGUGCCGAAUUUGGGCCCAAACAAUGCCCCCUAAGUCUGAAUCGUUUUGGAAUGGUUUCAGACUUAAUGUUUUGCCAUUUAAUUCACGUGCCAGUUUCUUCCGUGUUUUCGCCCACGUCUGCCACGUUUGCCUGCUACGAACUAGAGUUCGUGGGAAAACGGCUAGUUAUUAUCUAGUUACUAGCUAAUAAUCAUCAGGUGCCGUCCCAUCUUCUUCUUCCCACGUUUUCGAGCCCCUCUUUAAAAGAAAUUCAAAUUCAUAGCUUCUGAAAAAAGAAACCCUAAACCUUCCAGCUCUUGUUCCUGCGAGUUCUUUCUUCGAGAUUUCCAAAGCCUUCUUUAGACCUUCCUUUCUUCUGCUUCUUCCCUUGAAUCAGAAAUGUCUUCCCCAAGGUCCCGCGCUCAGUCUUCUUCCGCUUCAGUUCCUCCCGAUUAUAUCACUGGGAGCGGGAUUGAUGCUCACGCGAUAGAAAUCAGGAGCAAGCUUCAUCCCUUUGCCCAGAAGAAUCUGGACGAGAAUGUCCUCCAUUUGUUUGAGAACACCCUGGUGUUAGGGCCUCACUGGUUUGGUCCUGUUCCAGCUGAGAUGGCAGAAUUGCUAAAAAAGGAUGCCGAGGCUCCUUUGUGUUUUGAGAGCUCUUCUGCCCUGGCUUCUUAUUCUUGGGUUAGCAAGAAUUUGAGCCGGUCCUUCCCGUCCAGCGAGGUGAGGAAUAGUCUGGUCAAAUGGGCAGACUGGAUUGAUAGACUUCUCCCGAGAUAUGGGGGUCACUGGAGGAGAGCUGGGAUUUAUGACGCCAUUUUUCUGUCCAAACAAUCGAUUAACAGAGAUGAGAAUCUGCUUGCUGCUGCUUUAUGCUUCUGGAAUUCUGCCAGCAAUACAUUUGACUUCCGCGUGGGUCCUAUGGCGCCAACCUUGCUGGAUAUGGCUCAGAUUUUUGGGUUCAGGCCCCAUGGUAGGCCUGUUGAUGCCAUUGGAGAUUAUCACAGGCGAAGGAAUCAAGAGAAAGUGGCCACCCCUUUUACUAUCCCUCCAGCCGUGAUCAACCAGAACUGCUCUUUCUCCAACUAUCUGAAGAAGUUCAGUGCUGAUAAGGACAAGGAUCAGCAACAUAUGUUGUUCCUUCUGUAUUGGCUGAAUUGGUUCGUUCUCCCCAAUCGGUCUUCUGCAGUUCUGCUAGAGUACAGACACUUGGCAGAAGCACUCCACAAUCACACUGAUGUGGGGCUCGGGCCUACAGUUCUGGCUCACCUUUUCAAGAAUCUGCAUACUUCCACCCUGGAGAACCCAUUGAACCUGUCAGCCCCUGGCGCAUUCUGGAUGAUCCAGAUCUGGCUGCAGGUUUAUUUUCCAGAACUAAGGUUCCCAGACAUAGUUCUGCCUGAAGAUCAAGUCCUGGCUCUUCCUCUGAUGUCGGCAGAAGUGCCCAAGCAUUCUAUUGAGGAGUAUUUGAUGCUCUUCAGGCAUUGUACAAAGAGGUCGGCAGCUCAGUGGCAAGUGGUGAUCAGGAGGACCUAUCCUUGGUUCCAGACCGGAUUUCGGUUGUUUGAGAAGGAGCCAGAAGAUGAAGCUGCCAGAACAGAUUUCAGGAGGAAAUUUCUGAGCAUUACUCUGCCCAGAGAUCUACCCCAUGGUGGGGGCAAACCUCCAAACUAUCAUCUGGGGGCAGAAGUCUACCAUCCCAACUUCUGCGCGAGGCAGCUUGGUUGUCCCCAACUCAUUCCGCUGAAAUCAUAUCGGAGUUGUAACCGGGCCUCUUCUUGGAGGGAUGCAGAUGAUCUGGAGGUGCACAAGGAUGCCCGGUGUGCAGUGAACAAAAUCAACAACAGCACGGAUGCCCUCUAUCCCUCGUGGGAGCUGAAUUCCUGCAGUUCUGCCGACUUUGACGCAUGGUGGAAAGCCAGAUUCCAAAGUCUGCCUGCUUCUGUCACUGCCCUCAAGGUGCUGUUUGAUGGUUGGGAAAACUGGGUCGUUUUUGCGAAUGGGGAUGCCAAGACGCAUAUGAUCCAGACCAUCAAGGAUAUUAACGCGCAAAUUAUAGAAGGUAGAUUUCUGAUUCUGUAUGGGGUUCGUUCUGUCCUGAUGAUUGAUUUCUAAUGUCUAUUCUGCCUGUAUCAGAUCCUUCUUUGACCAGCGUAGGUGGGCAGUCUGUUCAUGCUGGGGAAGUGAUUGGUAAGUCUUUUCUUUUAAUUCUAUUCUGUCUUUUCCUGCUGGAUUGGUCUCUAAUGUCUAAUGCCUUGGUGCAGUCUCUUCCGUUAUUGCUGCCGGGGACUUGGAGCUCCCUUCUGCGGAUGAAGGAGAUGAGGUCCAGACAGAACAAACACCUACCGAGGCCGCUCUUUCUGGCAGAAGAAAAAGGAAAGGACCUGCCCCUCCUUCGGAUAAUCCCACGCGGCCUGGUAUUUCAGGUAAGCUCGUGAUGUUCCAACCAUUCUCUUUAAAUUUAUUAUGUCUUGCCUUCUUUUCCCUAAUACUGCUUUUUGUUCUGUGCAGCUGGAAGUCCUUCCCCUCCUCCUACCAAGUUGAAAAAACUUAAAAAGAGGAGUGAGGAGGAGUAUGUCGCCGCGGAAGAGACGGCAGCAAUUCCCACCACUACCUCCGGGACGGAUGAAGAGCUGCGAGAGGCUUUUGAGGAGGUGGAGCAGGAAAAAGAAUUGGAAGAGCUGGAAGAAACGCCUCAGGAAAAAACGGCAGUGGCGGAAGGAGAGGUAAGUUUUAUUUCUGUGAUUCGCAUCAGUUCCCUUCUCGCCCUGUUUCUUCCGUUCUGACCCUUAUUUUGUAGGAGAAGAUCCCUGCUGAGGUGAUUGCAGAGAGCAUUGCCUUGGCGCAGAAGCAACAAGGGGGUCCAAGGGCUGAGCGGACUAGCUCAGAACUAGCCCUAUUUGAGGAUGCUGAGGCAGAGCAUUCUACUGCCGUUCCAGCGGCUGAGGAUCAGGCGGAACGGUCUGCAUCAGAGCCUGUGGAUCAGGCAGAGCUGUCUGUUGUGGUUCCGGAGGCUGAAGUGGAAACAACCGCCGCUGCCCCUGUGGUUGUGGUAACUUUCUUUCUUUAUCUGUCCACACUCUCCUGCAUUUCUGCCUUGUUCUUUAUUUUUAACUGUUGUAGCCUUUUCAGGUAGAAGUGCCUAAAGCUGUUGGCGUCCUGGCAGCGGUUACCAGUCCCCAGAAGCCUCCCAUUGUUGCUGUAAGUUUUCAUAACUUUUGGGCCUUUAUUUUCCACUUUCUGCCUGGUCUUACCUUAUGCUUUCUUCUUGCAGAUGCCAAUUCAUUCCCUUCCAGGAUCAUCUGCCACGGCUUCUUUUGCUGAUCCAGAACUCGAAGAGUUUGAAGCCAUGGAUCUGGAUGCCCAAUUGGACAGAUUGGAGAAACUCAGCUCUCCUCCAGGCAAGGCAAAAUCUAGGGCAGUGGAGGAGGCCAUGGAGAGGUUGAAAAUCUGGCAGUCUAAUGAGCUGGAGUUUGAUCAAGACAAUGAAGCCUUAAAUCAGCUGAUGAAGGACCUGGACCUGCUUCACAGACAGAACAUGGCUCCAAAACCUAUCCUUGAGAUGGGCCUAAGCUUGGCCAGAGAUGUGCUCAAUCUGCAUGAUCGCUAUGAGGAUCUCAGGCCUACUUUCAAGACUUCUGAAUUCUGCAAGGCCACUCAUGAAGCCAACCUGGCUGAUUUUGCAAAGCAGAAAGCAGAACUGGAUCAGAUGGUGGCCGGAUAUAAGGAAGCCAGGGCCACUGCGGACAAGCUGGAGAAGCCGAUGGAAGAGCUCCAAAAACAACUGGCAGAAUGCAGGGAGGUGCAGAGCAGGCUUGGGGCUGGACUGAGUUCUAAAACUAAGGCCACUUUCCUUGUGCAAAGUAUGGUUGCAGCUUCCAGGACAGCCUUGGAGAUUGCAGAGGCUUCAAUUCACCAGGGGGUGCUGCUCCAGAAAGAGCUUUCUGUCAAGAAAGCGAACCUGCAGGAGACUCUUAGAAAACUAGGAUUUUAGCUUCUUCUUUCCUUUUAUUGUUCGAAUAAUUUGCCGCAAAGGUGGCUAUUUUUAUAUAAGCUUUCAAAGCAUUUUACUGCUUUUCAUUUAUUCUUGAUGCAAUAACUGGAUACGGCUUUGAAAGUAAAAAACAGAACAACUUUAAAGCAAAAAUAAAUCUAAACAAAAUUCUUUUCAAGAAACAAAAAGGUCAAACUUGUUCCUCUUCUAUCCCGGGAUCUGUUUAUACAGCCUGCGAAUCCCACGUGGUUGGAUAGAACUUCUUUAACCAUUUACCAUUGAUUGGGGCAAAAUGAACAACUCCAUCUCGGUCCUGCAACCUGUAUGCCCCCAUUCCGAGGAUUUGGUUAAUUAUAAAAGGGCCUUCCCAUGUAGGUGACCAUUUCCCAUAUCCAGCUAUGUGUGCUCCAAGGGGCAGAAUUGCCUUCCAGACUAUCUCUCCCUCUUCAAAACUCUUGUUUUUGACUCUUUUGUUGUAGGCCCUUGAUACAGCCUGUUUUCCUGCUAAGAGUUUGUUGAGGGUGUCAAUUCUGCUUGCAUCCAAUUCUUCCAAUUCCAGCAACAUGGCUUGAGAGUAAUCCUCCCCAGUGAGACCAUGCUGGUGAGCAAUUCUAAGAGACUGGACCGCUAUCUCCAUGGGAAGAAUUGCAUCGUGGCCGUAGGUUAGAGCAUAGGGGGUCAUGCCAGUUGCUUCUCUCUUUGAAGUUCUGUAUGCCCACAAAGUUUCUGAUAACUUCUCAUGCCAUUACUUUGGAUUCUUCUCUAGCAUCUUUUUGAUGAUAUUGAUAAUCACCUUGUUACUUGAUUCCACCUGUCCAUUAGCUUGAGCAUAGUAAGGAGUAGAUUGAAGCAGUUUGAACUUGAACGUUUCUGCCAUAUCUAGCAUGUCCCUAGAUAUGAAAGAAGAACCCCUAUCGGUUGUGAUUGAUUCUGGAAUGCCAAACCUUUGUAUGAUCUGUUCUUCUAUAAAGGUGAUGAUCUCUUGAGAUGUUGUGGUUUUUACUGGCUUGGCCUCUACCCACUUGGUGAAGUAAUCUGUGGCAACGAUAAUGAAACAGUGCUGCUGGUUGCUGGCUGGAUAGAUUUUGCCAAUGAGAUCCAUUGCCCAUCCCCUGAAAGGCCAUGGUUUUACUACUGGAUUCAUGGGAACCGAAGGAGCCUGCUGGAUUGGGCCGUGCCUUUGACAGGCUUCACAUCCUUUGGAGUAGUUGAUGCAAUCCUUCAUCAUGGUUGGCCAGAAGUAGCCAUACCUUCUGAUUAACCAGCACAUCUUUCUUCCCCCUUGGUGAGCUCCACAGAUCCCCUCAUGGGUUUCUCCCAUGGCUUUCAUAUAUUCUGUCUUCCCGAGGCACCUUAAUAGUACCUCAUCCUUACUUUUUCGGACCAAAUCUUCAUUCCACAUGAGGUAGUUUGUAGCCAUGAUUCUGACUCUUUUCUUAGAGGGCAGAGUGGGAUAUCGUAAGUAAGUCAUGAUAGGCUCCCUCCAAUCAUCUUCAGUGAUCAAGGCAGAAUUGACUUCUAUCUCCAUUCCUCUCGUCAAAACAGAUGGUAGACUUUUCCUUCCUAUCUUGAUGAUCCUUUGGACGCAGUCUUCGGGCAUUUGUAUGCCUGAUGCCACCUGAGCCAGUUCAUUGGCUGCAAAGUUUUCCUCCCUUGGGAUGUUCUCCCAAGUAGCUUCUCUAAAUUCUGUUAGCAGAUUUCUAGCUGCUACUAGAUAUACAGCCAGAGAAGGAUUCAGACACUUAUAUUCUCCAGCAAUCUGUUUUAGGACAAGCAUGGAAUCUCCCAAGAUCUCCACGGACUGGACUCAUAAUUCUACCAACAUCUCGAGCCCUAUAAUCAAAGCCUCAUACUCGGCCAUGUUGUUGGUGCAUUGGAAAUCUAGCUGGAAGGAAUAGCAAUGUCUGACCCCUAAUGGUUCUUCCAGAACAAUCCCUGCUCCUGAAGCCUUGUCUGUCUUUGAUCCAUCAAAAUAUAACUUCCAAGGUGUGAGAUGAAUCGAGUAGAUUGGAUUGUUAAGGCAAACAUGAGCUCUAGUUAGCAGAUCUGCAUUUGCUAUGUCCAAAGAAUCCAUGUUUUCAAUUUCCUCUCCCGAGUGAUCUACCAAGAAGUCUGCCACAGCUUGCCCUUUGACAGCUUUCUGGGGGACAUACCUGAAGGUGAAUUCUGUCAAAGCCAAAGUCCAUUUCCCAAUUCUGCCCCUCAGCAUUGGUCUUGUUAGCAUGUAUUUGAUUAAGUCUGUUUUGGCAAUGAUGUAGAUAGUAUGUGGCAGCAUGUAGUGCCUGAGCUUUACAGCAGUGAAAUAUAAGGCCAGGCAAAGCCUUUCUAUUGCGGAAUACCUUCUUUCCACUUCUGUCAAUGUUCUGCUUAGAUAGUAGGCUGCCUGUUCUUUUCCUUCUUUGUUAUCUUGAACUAUUAGACUUCCAAUGGAUACUUCUGAUGCAGAUACAUAAAGCUUGAGGGGUCUGCCCCUUUUUGGUGGGGACAGAACUGGUGGAUUUGAGAGGUAAUGCUUUAUUUCCUGGAAAGCCUGUUGGUGCUGUUCUUCCCAUUUGAAUGUCUGUUCCUGCUUCAGUCUUAACAGGGAAGAAAAAGGUUGGAUUUUUCCUGCAGAAUUGGAUAUGAAUCUCCUUAGAAAAUUGAUUUUUCCUAAGAGACUUUGAAGUUCCUUCUUGUUCUGAGGUGGUAGAGCUUCUAUGAUGGAUGUUGCUUUAUUUCUGUCAACCUCUAUACCUCUCUGGUGGACCAAGAAUCCUAAGAAAUUCCCUGCUUGGACUCCAAAAACACAUUUUUUGGGGUUCAUUUUCAGUUUGUGCUGCCUCAUUCUUAGGAAUGCCCUUCUCAGGCUUGCUACGUGAUUUCCUUCCUCAGGGGAUUUAAUCACCACGUCAUCUAUGUAUACUUCCAAGGAAUGUCCUAUCAUAUCAUGAAAAAUAGAAUUCAUUGCCUUUGGUAGGUGGCUCCCGCAUUUCUCAAACCGAAAGGCAUUACAGUAUACUCGAAAGCACCUAUAUGUCCUGGACACAUAAAGGCUGUCUUGUGGAUGUCCUGUUCUGCCAUCAUGAUCUGGUUAUAACCUGCAUUGCCGUCCAUGAAAGAUAGCAUCUGGUUAUGAGUGGCUCCAUCCACUAGCAUGUCUGCCAUUGGCAUAGGAUAUUCGUCUUUAGGAGAUGCCUCAUUCAGAUUUCUGUACAAUAUUUGCUAACCAAUCGGAAUAGACGGCUGGCCUGAUGAAUCCUGCCUUGAGCAGCCUUUCUAUCUCUUCUUUGACCUUUAGUUCUGUGUCCAUAGACAUUCUUCUUCUGGCCUGUUUGACUGGAAGGUAGCCAUCUUUAAUUGGCAGCUUGUGCUCCACUCACUGCCUGUCCAAUCCUGGCAUUUCGUGGUAAUGCCAGGCAAAACAAUCUCUGAACUCCUGUAAAAGUGCCAUGAGUUCAGUCUUGAGUGGUUCCUUCAAAAGUGUGCUGAUGAAAGUAGGCCUUGGAUCUUCUUCUGUUCCUAAGUUUAUCUCCUGUAGAGGAUCCUCUACUUCUGGCAGGGAGUCAUCCAGUGCUGCUGGUGCAAAAUCUAAUACUUCCUCCUGUAAAAUUUCCUCCUCUUGCUCUUUUGUGCUUUCAUGGGUGAAUUCUGCCAUAUUGAUGGCUGGAUUCUGUAUGAAAAGCCUCCUUUCUCCCCAGUAUAUCAACAAUCUUUUUGUGAUGGAUCGGAUUGUUGCAGCUCGAUCCUUGUCUAGUUGAUUCGGACUAAACAUCAGAGUUCUGGAAGUUCAGCACAAAAAGGUCUAUUCCAGUCCUCUAGAGAACUGGCUAAACCUUCUUCAAUGAGUCUUUGGGCCGUGACACCAUGUGGACGGCCGUUCUGAUUGACUCCAAGGAAAGUGAAAGGACCGAGGUCAUCAUGAUAAUACCUUGUUUCAAAGCACAUGGCAGAGGGCAGGAAUGGCCGUGGAUCAGCCUCUAUAAUCUCCAUGCAGCCUUCUUCAUUCCAUAGUGCUAACUGCGGGUGGAGGGUGGAAGGAAUACAAAGGCUCUGGUGAAUCCAAUCCCUGCCAAGUAGUGCAUUGUAGGUGGUGGAAGUAGUGUCUAUAACAAAGAAUGCUAUUUUCAACUCUUUGCUUCCGAUUAUGACAUCCACAUCUAAGAUGCCAUGUAUUUUGGUGAUGCAACCAGAAGUUGGUGACGGUCAAUCGUGUUGGAAUCAGAUCUUUCUCUGUCCUGCCCAGCUUGGUCAGCAUUCUGUGGGGUAAUAGAUUAAUGGCUGCACCUCCAUUUACCAUGAUCUUGGAAAUAGGAAUACCCCCAAGAUUUGCCGUUAUAAACAAAGGUCUGAGGUGAAACAAGGUUGCUCUGUAGCUGGUUUAUUGGCUGUUCUGCCUGUCUUGGGGUUUUCUGCUUGUGGUUCUGGUGGCUCCUCUGCUUCUGCCAAUCUACAUUCAAAGCUUUCCUGAGAGAAAACAUCCCCUUCCAGAGUGCUUUCUUGUCCUUCGGCUGCCCUGAAUUUACUUGGUAGGAUGAAUACCAUGUUAAUUCCCAGAUCACCCUGUAGGAGGUCUUCUAAUUCUGCGCCAAAAGCUUCUGUUUCUGGGUCCAAUUCUACACCAAAUUCCAUUAAUUCUUCCCCGUAUUCUUCCGUCCAGUCAUCCUGUUCUGCUACUUCGAGGGGCUCUUUCUGAUCAUCUGCGGAAGGUUCAUAGUCCAAUUGCUCUUCUUCAUAUUCCUCAGUGUAGUCGUCUUCUCCUUGUAACGGGGUAGACCCAGAUUUCUCUGGUGUCUGCGUGGUGUCAGGACGGCUGCUGGACGACGAGGCCACAUGGAUAGGAGACCUGGCUGGGGGUUCUGUUUUCAGCAAUUCCCUUGACUGGCAAGCUUUCUGUUCUGUCUGGGGAAGUGUUUCAGGAUUUUUUCCUUUCCUAGCAGAACUGGGUUGUGAACGUACCUGCGUAUUAUCUUGGCUCUUAAGAUAUGUGCAGUAUUGCCUCUGGAUUCUCCUUUUCUGGGUUCUGGUUAGCUCCAGAGUCGGUCUACCGCUUCUUCCUACGGAAUACCAUCUCCCUUCUAUGAUCGUUGCCAAGGAUCUUUCGUUUCUGGGCAUCUUGACUGGUAUUUCCUUUCUGGGUUGCUCCAUCCUCCUCUCGCUGUAUUGUGUAGGCCUAAGACAGCUCUUCUGCCUUGUUUUGUCUCGGGAUGAGGUUCCAAUUCUGUCAAAGACACUAGGUGUGGGCUGAUUUUGUCUGUCUAGAACCACCUCUAGCUCUGUUUCACAUUUGCACCUACUGCAGAGCACUACCCCAGCCGAGAUGGUCGCUCUUGGUAUUUGACUGGUCUCCCUUAUGAUUCUUCUGCCUCUGCUGCAACCAGCAUCUGUGAUUGGCUCGGUUUUCCUCUGUUCUGGCCAAUUUAAGUUGACCAUAUUGACUUGUGGUUGAGGAAAAGGAUCCGUUGUGACGGAUGGUGGUUUUUCUGCCAGUUUCAACCUUCCUGCCGUUAUCCCUUCUUGUAUUACGUCCCUGAAAACAACACAACUAUUGGUAGAAUGGUUCCAAGAGUUGUGCCACCUGCAGUACUGUCUGCCCUUGAGUUCUUCCGGCUUCGGUAUUCUGUGAGGCGUCUCUAUUGCCUUCUACAGUAGCAUUUCGUGGAACAAGGCAUCAACCUUGGUUAAGUCAAAAGAGUAAACCUUGUUUUACGUUGGUUUGUUUGGAACGAAUCCUCCUGUGAAUGGUGGUGGCUUUUGGUCUUUAGGUGGCUUUGUGAGGGCUUUGCAACUAAUGGGAUGUUUUAGUUUUGCCAUUUCUGCCACUGAAACCUCUUUCUCUUCUGAUUCUUCUGCAUCUUCUUGUGAUUCCACCUCGAUCAGGUGGACUGAAGAAGAAGGGGUUUUAUAGUAUGUACCUUUGGAGGAGUUCCUCCUUUGCUGUUCCUCCCUGAGUAACUCCUCAUAUUUGGAUGCCUUAUCAGCCAGUUCUGCCAGAUCUCCGAACAAUAUCCCGUCGAACCUUUUCCUGAGAGAGAUUUUAAGGGCAACUUGGGCCAUCUGGAUGAAGUGUCUUUCUUCCAUCGGGAUUCGGCACUUCAUUUUGAGCUUUCUGAACCUGGUUAUGAAAUCUUGGGCCGGUUCAUCUUCACUUUGCUUGAGGGCAGCUAGAUCACUGAUGGUGACUUCUGGCUGAAUCCUGUAAUAGUAGUCAUGGAAGACAUUUUCCAUCUGUUCCCAGGUUUGAACAGAGUUAGCUGGCAGGCUGGUGUACCAGGUAAAAGCUUGCCCAAAAAGAGAGUUGCCGAAAAGCCUUAAUUUCAGCAGAGGGUUGCUUUCUAUAGCUAUGCAUUGGACGGAGAACCUGCCUAUAUGUUCAACUGAGGAAGAAUGGGGGUCUUCCCCAUUGAACAAAGUGAAGUUUGGCACUUUGAAACCUGGAGACAACAGUAUUUGAUCGAUAUAGGCUGGGUAUGGCUUUCUGUAAGUAGGCCUUUCCCCUAUUCUAGCCUCGGGUUCCAUGAUUUCUCUGAUCAUUCUUUGCAACGCUCCUAUGUCAUUCAAAGCAUUGACUGGGGGAAGAUUUUGUCCCUGUUCUGGCUGAACGUAAUCAAACCUGGGCUCUGCUCUGUGUGGUCUGGGUGGAACUUCCUCCCUGUGUUCUUCCUGCUCUUCGACUUCUGGAUGAUUCCUCCAGUUUGCCCCCGGUCUAUUCCUGUCAUGAUUAGCAAAAAGGUUGUUCCCUCCUCGGCCUCUCCUCCUUCUUGCAAGUGGAGGGAAUGGAUUAGGGUCCAUCCUUCUGGGUCUAUAUGGCAAUACUGCCGGUGGUUCAGGCAGAAGCGCCAAAGGUUGAUCAUGUGGGAGCACAUGAAGUGGAAUGGGCUGAGGUUCUGGCUGGUUCUGAGCCAGUGCCAGGUUAUCUGGUUGAGCUGGGGCUUCAUGUUUUUGAUUAGGAAGGGCUCCUUCCCUCGGACCAGCCUGAAUUUCUCCGUGGUCUGGCACUCCAGCCAUCUGUGCAACUAGGAAAUUUUCCUGGUAUGGCCAUAUUAGUCCUGGCGGAGGGCCAUAAGGGAGAUCCAACUGCUGGAUUACAGGAUCUGGGUUUGGGUUUCUGGCCAUGGCGGAUUCUCGGUCCUUCCGGAACUGUCUGUUUACCUGCCAUUACAUCAUGGCUGUCAUGUUAUUGAGAGUGUCCUGGCUCCUUCGUACUGUGAUCUCUUGUCGGAGUACUGACUCCUGUAUUUGAUUCAUCCUUUUGGAGCCAGUCCUGGAACGUCUACUUCCUGUACUGCCGUGGGCAGAUUGCCUAGCAUCGCUUUUUUCUGAUUCGAGGCCUUCCCUGAGAACCAUCUUGUUUUUCUCCAUAUCUGGUGUGGGUUCUGACUAGAUCUUCCGGUAUUUGUGAAUCUGUGAAUGAUUCUGUCAGAGUAUAUAUACUGAGAAGUCCCACUGGGUGUGCCAAAUUAUUCACCCGUUUUCGUGUUUUACUCCUGAGGUGGAAGGGCGAAGUUCCCCACUAGCUUGGAGACCACUUGUUGGUCGACAAGUCAGCUUUCUUUGGUGUGUGUGAGCGUGCCACUGCUAGCAAUGUAAAUUCUAGCAGACUUAUUUUUUAGAGUGGAUAACUUGCGCCUCAAGUUACUGACUUCUAAAACAAAUGAUUGUGAAUUUGGGUGAGGAAUAUCUCCCAAGUAAGUUCUUUUCUUGCCUCAGACUGGUGAGGACUUUCACAAUUUAUCUCAGUAUCAAAUGGUUGUUCUGGCCAGAAUAGAUAAUAAUAAAGUAGACUGUUUCAGGCAGAACUGCCUUUUACAAAAUUAAGAAGGGAGAAAUCAACUCUAGAAAGGCAAAAAGAUGGCUGGAAUCCCAUUUCUGCCUGGGUAGAAACUUCUGAUCCGGGCUGGACUGGGUAUGUCUAUGCUGGACGGUGCUGUCAACAACUUUAGCUUGCUCGGCUUUAGUUGUAAAUCGAUACCAAAGUUCAAUUUUGGCAGAGCUUCAAUCUACUUCAAGCCUUGGGAGACUUUUGAGUGGGCAGAACUGCAGCUUCUUCAGUUUGAAGGGACAGAAGUGGCUAUUCUCGAGGAUUUAGCAAGCUGGAACUAUGCUAUAAAAUUUGUUGAGGUUUUCAUAUUUGUGAAAACUCAAACUAUGUUUGUCUUGGCUUUUGCUGAACCAAAUUUGUAACGAGAGGGAUCUUGUUUUCAGAAGACUUAUUUUCUAAGUCUGAACUUUGGAAUUCUGAUCUAAAGCUGUUUUCUUGUUUGUUUUUUUUUUAUUGACUGAUGAAUUGAGUGUCCUUUGUUUCUUUGCCUUCUUUCGCUUUUAUAAGAGAUCCUCCUAAGGAGGUCAUUUUUAAUCCUAAACAAUGGGCGGCAAAAAGAUCUCUUAUAAUGUAAAGUAAGAAGGGUUUCUUAUCAAUCAAGGCAGAUAGGUUCUGAGCAGUCACCUCCUAAAAACAGUCCCUUCCCUGGUUUCCUGGGUGGCAGCUUUCUAAUUCAACCAACGCCACCGUCUGUGUGGGCUUUUUAUGGCGGUUUUGGCUCUUUUCUUUUGUAUUUUCUGAGUGGUUCCCUGUUUCCCGUUCUAAUUUAGAAAGCGUGAUCCGUGAAUUCCUUGGGAGAUGGUGUAUUGAUUUGGAGCAAAAUCUUGAACACAGAUGGGUUUUUGAUCUUCAAUUGGCAGUGUUUCAGAGACGUCCCUCUCACAUUUUUAAACUUUAGUUGGAAUUGCUGACUUUUCCAAAGUUGAGGCAAUCACGUGGGUGUGUCUUUGAUCCCUUGGUUUUGAAUCUUUCAAAAAUUACGGGCUGAUCUUUGAAGCCCAUUUCGAAAGUUUCCACAUCUGGGCUUUCUUUGGGCUGAGGCUUUAUUUCCAACAUUCUUGGUGUGAACUGGACUAAACAGUUAGUCGGACCAGACCGUCUACACAUAUGAACUGGACUCACAAGCCUAUGUUUUUUGAGCUCCCAUAUUGGUCGAAACUCAAAUUGAGGCACAAUCUAGAUGUGAUGCAUGUUGAGAAAAAUGUAUUUAACACAUUGGUGGGCACGAUUCUAGAUAUCGAGGGCAAGACAAAGGACACAAUCAAAGCCCGUCUUGAUUUGGAAAGAAUGGGCAUACAAAGGGGUUUAUGGAUGAACAGGGACAGUGAUAAAGCUAGAAGGGAUCUUGCAUUCUUUUCUAUGAAACCGAAUGAUAAAAAAGAGUUUCUAAAGUUUGUAUCGUCUGUAAAGUUUCCUGAUGGGUAUGCUUCUAAUAUCGCACAUUGCGUGAAUGUUGACGAGGGUAAAUUUACUGGACUGAAGAGCCAUGACUGCCAUGUGUUUAUGCAACGCCUACUUCCUGUGGGUAUUCGACAUCUAUUGCCGGAAGAUGUUGUGAAGCCAAUCAUGUUGUUGUCCAGAUUUUUUUCCCAACUGACGGCAAAAACAUUGCGAAAGACAGACAUAUUUCAGUUGCGCCAUGACAUUGUCCAAGUCCUAUGCAAGUUUGAGAUGAUAUUUCCUCCAGCUUUCUUCACAAGUAUGAUGCACGUGAUGGUUCACUUGCCAGAAGAGGCAUUGCUUGCUAGUCCUGUCAACUAUCGCUGGAUGUAUCCAAUAGAAAGGUAUAUAAUCUUUAUCGUUUGUGUAUGCAUCAUUAUCACAGACUUGCUAAUUUGUAUCAUAUCGUUUUAUUUUGACAGGCUUCUCGGAGAGCUGAAAAAAAGUGUACGCAACAGGGCGAAGCCCGAAGGAUCAAUUAUAGAGGCUUGGGUUCAAUAUGAGUCGCUUACUUUCUGUGGAAUGUAUUUAAAAGAUGUGGAGACGGCUUUCAAUCGUCCUCAACGCAAUAACGACGAAGGUAUGAGAAAGGAAAAACUUUCUGUUUUUGCCCAAAGUGCACGACCCUUUGGAGAUCCUGGACGAGGAGAGUCGUUUUCUAGAAAUGACAUGGAGGUAGCGCAUUGGUUCGUACUGAACAAUUGUGAUGAGAUAAUGGCAUACUUAGAUAAGCAUGAAGAGAUGAUGAAGCGAGAACAUCCAUCACAUUUAGUUGCCCAGAAACACCGUGAAUUGUUUCCACAAUGGUUUUUGGAUUCUGUAAGUUAUAAGUGUUUUGUAUUUGACAAAUAUAAAUUGUAGUAUUUAAUUUUGUCAGACUAACAUGUGAAUGGUUUUGUAUUAUAUUAGGUGAAUAAGUUGAAAUCAUCGAAUUCCCCCACUUACAGUGAUGAGUUAUAUAACUUGGCGUUCGGCCCAAUUCGCGCUGAAUUGUUUCGGGUUGUUAUAUUAAUGGCGUCAAAUUUUUGGGAGCCGCACGAGAUGACAAGUUGUGUAUGCAAAACAGCGGUGUCCAUGUCCCAGGUGGAGGCGAAAGUACGAACAUUGAUUUCUAUGGCAAACUCACAACUGUCAUUCAAUUGCUUUACAAAGAUCGAUACUAAGUGAUCAUGUUUAAGUGUCGAUGGUUUGAUAGCAACCCAAAUAGGCCGGGAAGUGUUAAAAUCAACCAUGGCUUACUAUCUGUGAACAUUAACAGAACUUGGUAUGAUGACGACCCUUACAUUUUGGCAAACAUGGCAACACAAAUUGUGUAUCUAGAUGACCCUAAAGCCGGGAGCAGUUGGAAAGUUGUUCAGAAGAUGGAUCAUAGGAACUUGUAUGCUAUACCAGAACUAGACCCAACUGACAAUGACGUCAACAAUGUGGCUGACCAACGUUUAGAAUCUUCAAUGGAAAAUGAUGCGGAAACACUUCGAGAUACACAUGUUAUACAAGAACCGUUUCAAAUACAAGGAGUGUCUUCAAUCGAAAUACCGAUUCAGUCAAUUACAAUUGACCUCGGGGAUCUUCCAAGAUUCGAUGUUGCAGUGAGCCCGAGCAACGAAGAUGAUGUAGUUAUAGAGGAGGAGGAGGAGGAUUGGGAGACUGAAAGUGAUGAUAGCGAAGAUAACGAAAGUUAUUAUAGUUCAGAUGAUGAAUAAUUAAAUUUUUUAUAUUUUUAUUAUGCUAGUGUACAGACUUUGUGUAAAACAAAAGUUUGAAUAUAUGUAGUUGUGAUAUCCAAACCUUAUAUAUGUGGACAACUGAAACAUUAUUAAAAUAAAUUUAGUUAUAAAACAUCGGUAAAUCAAUAUAUCCAAACCCUUUUAAUAUUCAUUUAAAAUUUUUUUUUUUGACAAAAACGUUUACAAAAUGAAAAUGAUAAAAUAUUUGUUAUAAAACAUUGAUAAAUAAAUAUAUCCAAACCAUUUUCAUACAAAGUUUGAAAAUUAUUGACAACAAACAUUUUUCAAAAAUGAAAAUCCUUGCGCGACGAAGUACACCUCGUCACGCAAAGUUUGCGCGACCCAGUAAACAGUCGUUGUGUAAAGUUAAAACAUUGCGAGACAAAUUAUCAUCCGUCACGCGAUAGAAUUUUGCGCGACGAAUAUUUACUCUCGUCGCGCAAAUGUAUAUUCUUUUAUAAUAUAUUUUAUAUACACAUAUAUAUUCGAAAUUGACGAUCGAGUUAGUUCAUUGUAUUCAUAUAGGGUCAUGGAGUGUAGCUGUAAAAAAUCAUCAAAAUCGGAGUUAAAAUAACUGUUAAAUCAUGACUUUUCAUUUAUAACCGUUCAAAAAUUUUGUCCCGAUACUUGAUCUCUGAAUGUUUUUUUUUUCCGAUUUUUGGGGCCUAAGAUCUCGAAGUAUAAACAAACACGUUUGACGGCUGGAUUAUUGAAACUACUUUCGUAGAAUGCGUAUGCCAUCAAAACUAUAUAUUCACCAACAAUGAAUAGUUUACUUAUACUUUCAUUAAAUAUAACAUAAGAUUAUGUGGUAUCACCCUAGUGUAAACAUCUUAAAUUGAAGAUCAAAUUCAGUAAUUGUAUUCAUAUAGGGUCAAGAAAAGUAGCUAUAAAAAAUCAUCAAAAUCGGAGUUAAAAUAACCGUUAAAUCAUGACUUUUCAUUUAGAUUCGUCGAAAAGUUUUGUACUGUUACUUGAUCUCUUAACGUUUUUUUUGUCAGAUUUUCGGCGUAUACGAUCUCGAAAUAUAAAAAAACAAGUUUGCCGGUUAGAUCAUUAAAACUAGUUUCGGGUUUAGGAUUUCUGCAGUUUAGGGUUUAGGGUUUGCGCGACGAAGCCAUUUCGUUGGUCGCACAAAGCCUGCAAAGAACAGUCUUGCGCUACGAAACUAGGAUUCUUUGUCACGCAAUCUCAACCAGCCCUUUCACCCUCUUCCUCCUUGGACACUUAGCCAAAAAAAGUUGCGAGUUUACAGAAAGCGGCUUUGCGCGACGCUGCCGGUAUUCGUCGCGCAAUAUGUAUGCCAAUAAAACCUAAAUCCCAAAUUUUGGCGAAUUACAACUUUGCGCGACGAAUAUGGGAAGCUUCGCGCAAAGUUUUCAAUCUUUCCCGCUAAACCCUAAGUCCCAAAAUUUUGGCGGAUUGACAACAUUGCGCCACGAAAGAAGGUACUGUGCGUCGCACAAAGUUUUCAAUCUCUCCCGCUAAACCCUAAGUCCCAAAAUUUUGGCGGAUUGACAAUAUUGCGCGACGAAAGAAGGUACUGUGCAUCGCGCAAAGUUUUCAAUCUCUCCCACUAAACCCUAAGUCCCAAAAUUUUGGCGGAUUGACAACAUUGCUCGACGAAAUAUGGUACUGUGCGUCGCGCAAAGUUUUCAAUCUCUACCCAAUAUUUUGCCGGAUUGACAACAUUGUGCGACGAAAGACGAUACUGUGUGUCGCGCAAAAACUACCCUGAUACCAAAUUUUGGGAUUAACAAUAUUGCACGACAGAAGUUAUACUUAUGUCGUCGCGCAAGUGUCAAUUAAAAUAUUUUGCGUGACGCUUUUGUUUGUUCGUUGCGCAAAAUCGAAUAAAAUUGCAGAAACGACGCGAUAGCCUCCUUCUUCCCCAGAUUUGUUUUUCUACCCUAACUCUCUCUCUCUCUCUCCGCCUUCAGCUCAGCCCCCUACCCCAGUGGAUUUUGGACGACGGCGCCACAACAGUGGUACCCCGGAGGUUUCCCGCCGUCACCGUCGAGCCAGCCGCCCUAAUUCCUCGAUUUUCACCGAAUCUGCGCCGCCGUCGUUCUCUCUCCUUCGGCGACCAAAUCCGACACCUGAGGUAUGGUUUCUGUCCUAUUUUUGAUGCUUUAACUGAUGGUUGGGUAGGAUUUGUGUAAUUGUUGCAAUAGGGCAGUGGAUUUGAAACCCUAAAUUUCGACCGAUUUUUGAAUUCCAAUUCCGGCCACUUCUGGCCAUUUUUCAGGGUAGGUCCGAGAACAAAAGUGGCUCCAAUUGAUGUUUUGAACCUAGGGUAGGAACCUUGGCCCUUAGUUUUAAGAAAUUUUCGACGAUUGGUAUCGCUUUGGACACCCACGCUCUGCCAGCGCUUGUGGUGGCGCGUGGGGUACUGUAGCAGUCUUGCAUUGGGUCCCAGUGCAAUCCCAUAUUUGUCACGAGCGCGUAGGUGUUUUCGGAUUGGAAUUUGGUUACCGUUUGAGUCUCGAACGGAUUUUGCCUAUUGUGCGAUUUCCGGGUUUGUUAUGUUCGGACCGUUGGAUCGAACUCAAACUCACGUAUGGUGUACCUUGUAUUUCUUGGAUCGUCUAGGAUUCGACGGAUCGUGGAUCGGAGUCCCGAAUACUCCGAACUCGCAAACCCUAGGUCAAGAAUCUUAAUAAAAUUGUAUGUGCUUUCAAAUAUUCGUAUGUUUUAUUAAUUUGUAUGUGUAUUAAUGAAAUUGUGUAGAUGUCAGACCUGAUUAGACGUCGUAGGGCGGUGACGACUACGCAGAGUUCUGAGCCCCCGGCUCAACUGACAUCUGCUGCCACUGCGCCAGCACUGAUGGACCACUUGGCAGUUGGUCCCGCGGGGUCCCAGGCUCCUGCUUCAUCAGCUUCAUUAGUGGCACAACCUGUUAGCGCCAGGAAGCGUCAUCGGCCUGCCAGCACCACCGACACCACAUCCACUGAUGCGUCGGGGUCACAGCCAGGUAUAGAUUUCCUUAAACUCCAGUUAUUUAUAUUUUUGUUUUUGUUUUUAUUUUUGUUUUUGUUUUUGUUUUUGUUUUUAUUUGUGUGUGUAUUUUAUAGUUAAAUUUGUUAUUUAUUUAACAUUAAUGUCAUCUUUCUUUGCAGCCAAGAAGAACACCCGAGGGCCGUGUCGGUAGUUGAAGACGGCGAAGGUCACUCGGGUGACCAACAGUCGUAUCAACAUCGGAUACGACAAGCGACAUCGGGCUGCACCGACGGCGGAGUUGCAUAGCUCCUUGGCCCACGACAUUGGUGAUGUCAUUCCGAGCCAUUGCCCGAUGAAAUGGAAGUCUUGGAAGGUGAUGCCUGACGAGACCAAGAUGGAGGUUCGCGGCCAGUUGUCAGUAUGUAGGCCUUUUAAUUCUUUUUCUUUCAAAUUUUAUAUUUCUAUUAUUUAAAUGUAUUUAAUUAAUUUAUUGCAGACGAACUACAACUUGGAGGACCUGGACGACGAGUCGUUGGCGUACAUCAACAGACUCUUCUCUGAGAGGUACAAAUAGUGGAAGAGCGACUUGCACCACUAUUUUGAGGCGUUUGAUGAUCCAGAAGUCUCUCUUCAGGAGGGUUGCCCGAAGGAGCUUGAGGGGCGGGAGGAUAGUUGGGCGUGGCUCUGCUCUCAUUUUCAGGCGCCCGCUUUUGUGGUAAUUUGUAAUAUGAAUUUCAAAUUUAUUAUAUUUUUCUUACUAAUGUUUUUUUAAUGUUUUAUAUUUAAUUUCAAUUUCAACUAAUACGUUUUAUUUUUUGUAUAACAGAAUAAAGCCAAAGUCAAUAAGGGCAAUAGGAAGAAGAAGACUCUUCUCCAUCAUUCGGGUUCCAGGCCCUUCUCCUAUAGGAUGGAUGCAUGGCGGCAGGUAAUCAUAAAAAAAAUUUUAUUUAAUUUUUAAUAUUUAAUUAUUCUUAAUUUAUUUUUUUGUACUAAUAUUUUUCUUCUCUUGUUCAAUUUAGGGGGGUCCAAAUUCCCAGAGAUCGACGUCUUUGGCGACGUUUAUGUUCGACCUGGGAAUGAGUUGGGCGAGUCCCUUCAUGUAAGUAUUAUUUAAUUUUAAUUAUUAUGUUACGCAUUCAAGUUUAAAGGUUAUUAUAUGAAUGUUUUAAUUUAUAUUUUAUGUUAUGCUAAACAGAUGACGAUGGUGGAGAGGAGCCAGUUGGUUCUUCAAGAGUCCGCCUCCCAACUUCCUUCCGAUACUCCGAUCGAGUCUGUGGAUCCUCCACAGGAUGCUGGGUUUCAGAUCUUGACGGAGACAUUGGAUCAGACUCUAGGGAGGAGACCGGGGAUAUAUUGUCGAGGGAUGGAGAAUGCCAGGCGGAGGGAAGCCAGACCCCGUUCAUUAGCGCAGUCAAGCAGUCAGGUCACUGCUUUGACAGCACAGGUGGCCACUCUUCAGAGUCAGAUGUCGGACAUUCUGCAGUCCCUCGCACAGUUCGGCAUUCCAGUCCCGCAUUUUGAUGCGCCGACCUCUGAGCCCGUCCAUCCUGAGCAUCCCCACCAGACGACGGCCCUUGUAGACCCCCAGACCUCUGAACCGCAUGUGCCAGACGACAAUGUAGAUUUUGGAACAUUAUGAUUAGUUUUUUUAUUUUCAUAAUUAUUUUUUAAAUAUUUCUCUUGCAGCAUACAUUUAUUUUAUAUAAUAAAUAUGUUCUUUACAAUUCUUUUUUUUAUUGGAAUUUCAUUUUAUUACCCAAAAAAAAAAAACCAAAUUUAUUUUUUUAUAAAAUAAAAUAAAAAGUAAUAUUAAAAUUAAAUAAUAAUUAUAUAUAUUAAUUUUGCGCGACGAAAUCUUUCUCGUCGCGCAAAUUUAUAUAUUACGAAAUAAAAAUGUUUCAUUUUUUUAAAUACAUAUAAUUUAUUCUUGCGCGACGAAUAUUUUCGUCUCUCAAAAAGGAUUUGCGCGACAACAGUUUUUCGUCGCGCAAAAUGUGUUGACACGAAUUGCACGACGAAGAUAUCUUUGUGCCGCAAAUAUCUACGACACGUAUUGCGCGAUGAAAAUGUUCGUCGCGCAAAAAACGUAUGCGCGACAACAAUGUUUCGUCGCGCAAUACGUGUAGACAUGAAUUGCGCGACGAAGAACUCUUGGUGCCGCAAAUGUGUACGAGACGUAUUGUGCGACGAAUAUUAUUCGCCGCGCAUCGUUGUGGCGACGAACCCGCUUUCGUCGCGCAUAAGUUUGUGCGACGAACUAUUGCAUCGUCUCUGAACCUUUUGUGCAACGAAGGGUAACCGUCGCACAAAUUUGCGCGACGAGUGAUACAAUCAGUCGCGCAAAGUCUUUCUUCACCAUCUUUGCACCACAGAUUACGCGCGACGAAUUUUCUGUCGUGCUUGAGUUUGUGCGACCAAAUUUAACUCUGCGCGACGAAAUUGGCUUCGUCGCGCAAAUCGUAAAAUGUAGUAGUGGAAGUUAUCAACAUCUAUAGGAACCCCAAUGAAAAGGCUGUUAACUAAUAAUGAAGUAAACCCCUCAAUGUUUCCGCGUAUCAGAUAUCUCUCAGAAUAUGCGAUUCCAUACUCAAUAAGCAACUCCACAUCCCCUGAGGUUUUCACCAAACCACCCAUUAAGGAAACAUACUGACUCAUGUGUAAUUAUCAUUACUCAUCGGGUAAUGCAAUUGUUCAAAGGCAAGGACAUUUCUCAUUAUUUCUGUAGUGAACCCCAAUGGAAAUGGUGGGAUCUUCAGAACCCCAUUGGUGCUACUGAAUUGUAUGUCAAAUAUGUUUUCACCUUGUCGCGCCUCAAACUUGACUCCAGCGUGCUGUAAUUCUGUCAAGCUGGGUAUGGAUGAUGGGAGUUCCCCUCCAGCUUUUGAUUCCAACGGUUGAUAGAGUUUAAAUAUUUUCCUGUAAAGAUCAACAAUAUGUGCCACUGAUCUAAAAGUCUCCAAAUUGUCUUCCAUUUUGUCAACAGGCAAUAGAUGUUCGAAGAAACUGAAAGAAAGACUAAUUAUUGAAAGCCCCUCAGUAAUGCAGUUAUUGUCAGCAUCAGCAGGGAGUGUAAUUUUCUGUGGGUCGAAAAGAUCCUCGAGAAUGAAGAAUGGCAACUGAUUUUCAAGCAACCACAUAUCUGUCCAUACAUCUUGCAACAUACCUGGUUUGUCAAAUAUGCGGUCAUUUUCAUCCCAAAAUUUGAAGUAGUCCUUCAAUAAGAGCUCAAUAACGAAGGCGGCAUCCACUAGAAUGAUUGUUACAAAUUCAUCACUGCUAAACUUGAUGGGUUCUCCAUAACAACGUCUCAAUCUUGCUUCGUGGUCCUUUAUUUUCUUAAUAUAAUCCUCCAAACUCACAUUGGUCCGACCUAUAAAAUCUUGCAGGUAUCUCUGUUUGUGCUCUUCCUAUACGACAUUCAAGCCUUCCUUUCCAUGGUGAAGUGGGCCUAUAGAGACCACCUGAGGUGUGCAGAGCUUUUCAUUCACACUUCGUAGUCGUUGAGGAACUCUGUAGAUACAGCACUUGGAGGAUGGGGGAGACAAGCUAUUGAACCCUUUUCUCAUCGAAUUUGCUAAUGAAAUGUAUGGGUUUUCUAUGUCAUUUUGAGCAGAUUGAUGGCUUCCUGCCAUUUUCCAGCUCCUGACUAUAUGUGGUGUUCCGAUUGUAACAGAUUACAAUAAUGAUGAGUAUGGAUAACUGAAUUACUGAUAAAACAAUCAAGAAACAUUUCGUUAUUUUCCAUUCCCAAUAACGAAAUCAAAAUGUUCAAGGAAAUAUAAUCAGGAUAUUGCAAUUAUAUAGCCAUUCAUAAGCUGCCUGGCAUGGAAUAAGAGGUGGAAACCAAAUCUACUUAUUGGCCAAAGUUCGAAUUCACUAUAUAUAGAUAUAUAUUUUGCCAAAAUCUAAAACUGACCAACCUUAGAUACAAAAACACGGUACAGCCCGGUUAAAGUAAUUCCAAGUGCGAAGAAAGAAAGGAAUUGAGCGUUUGUACCUCUACAGCUAGCCAAAUUUUCUAUUGAUUCUUUAAAUUUUAGAGAGCAAUUACUCUUAAUUUGGUAGGUGUAGGACUGUGCAACUUCAAGCUUUAAUGAAAGAAGCCAAGUUUAUUCUAAGGGGACAAGUCAGAGACAACGAAAUUUUGCUCAGCUUCAUUUUCAAAUUUGCUGCUUAAGAAGGAAAUUUAAUAUGUUUGUUUCACAAAUUGUAUUGUCAUCAAUGAAACUCGUGCACACCCAACGAAAUUUGCAUGGCUUAUUUUCAAAGGAGUACUGCUAUUUCCAUCCUCUGUCCUAUUUUUCCACUCACCUUAUCUUCAAAAUUUUAAAGACAAAAAUAAACCCCUUUGUAAAAUGCUUAAAAAGAAAUUUAAUAUGUUUGUUUCAAAAAUUGAUAUUGUCAUCAAUGGUUAAAGAAUUGCUGGUGACAACAUAUACUUCUUUUCUACUGUAUUAAUUUCUUUCUUUAUUUUUUCUUCAGUAUAGUUCUGCCUUUCUUUUACAUGUUUAUGCGCAUAUUUGACACGUUCAAGUAUACUUAUAUAACAAAUGCAAUGAGUUUGUAGUCACAAAAAUCAAGGAUUGAAAACAAAAAGUAAUAUUAUGUGCAAGAGAAACUUACCUGCAGAAACUGAAGAACUCCUCUAGUUUCUUCUCUGUCGCUAUGUACUCCCGCGUUCAAGUUAUUAUUCUUACAAUGUACAUACACUAUUAUAUAAUGGCGAGAAGGCUCUGAUUAACCUCCUUUUUGCUUCAUUGGAUGGGGCAAGAAUGGAAUUGUCACCGUGGGUGUGGAGGUGAUCUACCAUUUGAGCAAGAAAUUCCCACAUAUUCUUUAACUAUUUUUCAAGCAUGCAUAUUCCUCCCUAUCAAUCUUUGGUCUCUUCUUUUACUAUUUUUCAAGCAUGCAUACUUUGAUUUUAAAUCAUCUUUUCCGCACUAAUUUGCUUCAAUCAAGAAACAGUUAAUAUAUUUUGUAUCAUCAUUAGAGAACACUUGAAACUGCAUAAGUUAAUUUUGAAGAUGAUGGCAGAACCAAAAUGUGUAUAGCUUAUAACUAUAAUUUCUUGAUUACAACAAGAGGUUUCAAGUUUUCAACAACACAAAUAUGAAUCUCCCAAGCAAAGAUAAACAAUAAAGCAAGCAUACGGAUUGUCAAAUUGCCUUCAAUCACUCUAAAAUACUUCAUACCGUCCGACACUGGCUUCAAUUACUCUACAAUACUUCAAUUCAUAUAUUGUCCUAUUUUCACAUGUACAUCCUGCUUUUACUUAAGGGUUAAUUGUUGAUUUACCCCUUGAACUUGUACUCUACUUUCAAUUUGCACCCUCAACUUUUUUUUUUGAAAAUUAGGUGCAUGAACUAAUUUUUAUUGCCAAUUCCCCCUACCAACAUGUCAUCUAAUAGUCUGUCAAAUCAUUAAAAAAUAUAAUAUUUUUGGAAAAAAUUAAAGAAAAAAAAAUUCCUAAGGACCCACAGACCCAGAACCCACCCUCCGUUGCCCCCGCUUGCUGUUUUCUUCUCCUCCCAGUCCCCCAUGACCACCACCCUCCACUGCCACACCAAUCCCCUACCCAACAGACCCCUCACCCCUUCUUUUUUUUCACCCCCGAACCCAGCAUGAGUUAUUGGUUAAUACCAUUUUCUUAAUUGCCAAAUAAAAAAAAAAAACAGAGUUAACCCUCUGUUAAGCUAGCUGACUAGUGGGGCGAAAUGGAGGAAAAUCAAUAUGGAGACAGCGGAUCCGGUCCCGUGUAAGUGUAUCUGAUGGAAUAAAAGAAUGAUAUUAUUGGUGGUGGGUACGGUUAUGUGGAAGUAAUAAUGGGUAAGAGAAGAAACUUGUUCUCUUGUGAUAAUCAAAAGACAGAAAGUAGUGGGAAAAGACAGAAAGUAGUGGGACACUAUUUUAGAUAUGAUAAUGUUCCUUCCUUGAUUGAUGCAAAUGAAGAGAAAAGGGUGGCUUUAUAUAAUAGCCACUACCGACCUAACACAUUAAAAACACAACUAACACCAAACAUAGUUAAUUCAACUAACUUCUACCACACCAUUAAUUUAACACACAACUACUAACAAACUGCCAACUAUUUCAAAGUUACCAGCCGACUAUUAAUGAAGUCUAGAUUACUUUAACAUCCUCCCUUAAGCUAGACUUCAUUUACGCCAAUUAAUUUUCUCAUCUUGAUGAGCGGCUCUUUCUUCAACGGUUUGGUGAACAAAUCUGCCAGCUGAUCUUGGGACUUGCAAUACAGAACCUCAACUUCUUUAUCUUUGAUUAGCUCUCUGAUGAAAUGGAACUUGAUCUUGAUGUAACACCCCGACCCCAAAUUUUCCCAAAUUUUACCCUUAUUUAAUUAUUUAAUUAUUUAAGGGUAUUUUAGUCAUAUUUUUAACCGGAGAGAGUUUGGGACCGUGACUAGUAUUUUUGGAUAGGUCGAGCUGAGACGAGUUCAUAGACACGUAGUGGGCUCGAAUCGGAGUUGUAACGAGAGAGAUAUGGUCAAAAGAAGCCCAGUGGCACAAUCGUAAAUAUUUCGAAAUGGGAUUUUUUAUAAAAACUCAAAUUUUUCUCUCUCUCUCUCUCUCUCUCUCUCUCUCUCUCUCUCUCUCUCGCGACUCCUCUCUCUCUCUCCCGUCGGCCUCUCCUCUCUCUCUCUUCGUAACUCCGGCCACCGGCCGCGGCUGCGGACGGGGCCGGUGUCAAAAGAACCGGCUCGACCUCGGCAUCACGACCCAGCCCAUCCCCGCCAUCGGCCGCCGCUCCAGCCGCCGGAAAAUGGCGAUUUUCGCCCAGAUGUCGCCGGAACUUCAACGCCGUCGAUCUCCCUCCUCCGGCCACCAAUUCCGUCGACCCAGGUAUGGAUUUUGAACCUCUCGAGCUGCUCUAGCUGAUGGUUGGGUAGGAUUAGAUCGAUUCUUAGCGUAGAUCACUCGAUUUUCGAAUUGAAAAUCGGCCGAAACUUCGGCCGCCGUGAUCGGCCAUUUCCGGCCACUUUUUGGGGUAGGUCCAAGAACAAAAGUGGCUCCAAAUAGGGUGUUAUACCUAGGGUAGGAGUUUGGAGCCGUGGUUUUGAGAUUUUCCGGCGGAGCGUUAUCGCUUUGGGCACCCACGCGCUGCUGGCGCGUGCGGCGGAGCGUGGGCACUGUAUAAAAAGUAGCGAUGUAUUCCGAUGAGAUCCUUAGGUUGUCACGAGUGCGUAGGAUUUUGCGGAUCUCAAUUCGGACGUCGUUUGACUAUCGAACGAAUAAUCGCAUAGUGUGCGUUAUCCGGGUUCGAUAGGUUGGGACCGUUGGAUGGUCCCAAAUUUAAUAUAUGUUAAUCUAGGUAUUUCUAGGAUCGUGUAGGAAUUCACGGAUCGUGAAUCGGAACUCCGGAUGUUCCGAAUAAUAAUUUUAAGUUUAUAUUUUAUAUUAACCAUCAGAUCGUGCGAUCGUGAGCAAUCCGACCGUCCGAUCUGAACCAAACUUGCAGGACAAGUGUCCUACACCUGGUAGAACCCAUAGGGACUUCCGGAUCGGAAAUUGGAGGUCGUGGGUUCUGCAGGUCCGUUUGACCAGGGUUAGAGUAGUUUGACUCUUGGUUGACCGUGAGUCUCCCGGAGUAAUCUCACCCUUCCAGGGGGAAUUAUCGGGAGCUAGACUAUUGUGGAGGGUUACACAAUAUUAGAAUUAUUUAUAUAAAUUAUGUGGUUGUACAAGGGUACAACAGAGUCUAGAAUGUCAGUUUGGAGUGCUAUACGCACUACUCUAGGUACCUCCUCGGACUUUGGAAUUUCUACAAGUACCACCAAGUGAAAGUUAGGUCCCACGUGGCGUAGGUUAUCCGGCGUGUCGACAGACCCCAUACGUGGCGUUGGUUGUACCGGCGUAUGGGGAGAUUUGUGAUAUGAUAUUGAGGUCCCGCGUGGCGUAGGUUAUCCGGCGUUGGGACAGGCCCCAUACGUGGCGUUGGUUGUACCGGCGUAUGGGGAGAUAUUAUGAUAGUAUGGCAUGGUCGCACGUGGCGUAGGUUAUCCGGCGUGUCGACAGACCCCAUACGUGGCGUUGGUUGUACCGGCGUAUGGGGAGAUUUGUGAUAUGAUAUUGAGGUCCUGCGUGGCGUAGGUUAUCCUGCGUUGGGAUAGGCCCCAUACGUGGCGUUAGUUGUACCGGCGUAUGGGGAGAUAUUAUGAUAGUAUGGCAUGGUCGCACGUGGCGUAGGUUAUCCGGCGUGUUGACAGGCCCCAUACGUGGCGUUGGUUGUACCAGCGUAUGGGGAGAAUAUGUGAAAUACAGAGAAAUGAAAUAAGGUAUUGCCCAAGUGUGGAAUUGGGUUUUAGGGAAGAACUACUUAUGGCUUGAUCCCUCAAGGAGGGUACGUAGGCAGCCUAAGGUUAUUAGGUGCAGCCGCAGACUAAAUAUUAGUCAUAAAUUGUAAUUGAACUGUUUGGUAGUCGUUUGAGGAAGUAUUGAAAGGCCGAAGGCCAUUUGUGUGAAUUGCAUGAAAUUAUAUUGUGCAUGCUGCCAGUUGGGAAUAUUAAAUGCGUUUUUAUGCAGGUAUAAAUUUUGGGAAUGUCCAAUUUACAGGGGAGACUCUGCCAAAAUUUCGGCAGGAAGUCUCGGUUUUUAGUAAGUGGGCCUGGCAUCGGGGUGAUGUCAGGAAUUCCAAAGGGUUCGUCUCGGGUUUUGAGAAAAUUCGGGGCGGGUCCUUUCACUUGAUAUGCUUACUCUUGCUGUGAAACAUUGGAUUUUUGGAAAGACAAAUAGCUGAUUUGUUGUUGCAGAACAGCUUUGUAGGUCCUUCUUGAACUUGACCCAUCUCUUCUAAAAUACUUUUCAGCCACCUAGCUUGACAACCUGCUGAUGCAAGAGCAACAUACUCAGAUUCUGUAGUUGAAAGUGCCACUAUAGAUUGCUUUUUGGAGGACCAUGAAAUCGCACUUGAGCCAAUGCUAAAGACAUAACCAGAUGUGCUUUUGCAAGUAUCAACAUCUCCACCCAAGUCACUGUCACUGUAGCCAGUCAAAUUUAGAUUCUGAAUAGGAUAAUAAUGCAAACCAUAAUUGAUAGUUCCAACCACAUAUCUUAGGAUUCUCUUUCCAAGCUCCCAAUGAACAUCUUUUGGUGACUCCACUAAACGGCUGAGGAAGCUUACUGCAUAUGUAAGAUCUGGCCUUGUUGUAGUUAAAUACAAGAGGCCACCCACUAGACUUCGAAACAAAGUUUGAUUUACCAUUGUGCUUCCAUCAUUCUUACCUAUCUUAACACCAACCUCCAUUGGAGUAGCAAUUGACUUUGCAUUUUCCAACCUGAACCUUUUCAACAAUUCCUUUGCGUAUUUCUUUUGAGAAAUAUAGAUACCAUUCUCAUUUUGUUUGACUUCAAUUCCAAGAAAGAAAUGAAGCAAACCAAGGUCUGUCAUUUCAAAUCUUUGUGACAUAAUCAUCUUGAAAUUAUCACACAUUUGAGCAUUACUUCCAGUAAAUAUUAAGUCAUCCACAUAUAAGCAGACAAUCAAAAUCUCACCUUGAGAGUUCUUCUUGGUGUAAAGAGUAUGCUCAUAUGGGCAUUUGUGAAACCCAUACUCUUGGAAGAAUGCAUCAAUCCGACUGUACCAAGCUCUUGGAGCUUGUUUCAAACCAUAUAAAGCCUUCUUCAAUCUACACACUUUUGUUUCUUCAUUUCCCUGCACAUAACCUGGAGGUUGAGCAACAUACACUUCUUCUUCCAAAAAACCUUGCAAGAAUGCUGGUUUAACUUCCAUUUGAAAGACUUUCCAACAAUUUUGGGCAGCAAGAGCUAACACCAUUCGGAUGGUGUCAAAGCGUGCAACUGGAGCAAAAACUUCAUUGUAAUCAAUUCCAUAAUUUUGCUUGUAGCCUUUAGCUACCAAGCGAGCUUUGUAUUUCUCAACUUCUCCUUGAGCAUUCAGCUUGGUCUUAUACACCCAUUUUACUCCUAUAGGCUUCUUUCCUUGAGGAAGAUCAACCAGCUCCCAUGUGUCAUUUUUCUUAAUGGAAUCAAUUUCUUGAUCCAUAGCCUUCACCCAAUUUUCAUCCUUUGAAGCCUCUUCAAACAUAAUUGGGUCUGCAUCUACAAAUAGAGCAAAAUUUGUGCCACCAUUAGUGAUCAAAACAUAAUCACUAGAUGGGUACCUUGUGGAUGGUUGAUGAGCUCUUGUUGAUCUCCUUUGUCCUCUGCAAAUUUCUUCUUCCUCACUGCUAUCACUAGAAGAAGUUGAUGAUGACCCUUGUGAUGAAGAUUCCUAUGAUGAUAGAGUUGUUGGUGGAGUUAAAUCUGGAUUUUCAAGGCCAAUGUCCAACAGUAUUGGACUUUGAUUUUCAGCUUCACUCCAAUUCCAUGCUUCUUCUUCAUUGAACUUGACAUCACGACUAACAAUAAUCUUGUUAGUCAAUGGAUUAAACAACUUAUAUGCCUUGGCCUUUUCACUAUACCCAACAAGAAUGCACUUUUCUGAUUUGUCAUCCAAUUUUCUCCUUGUUUUAUCAGGAAUAUGAGAAUAAGCAAUGCUGCCAAAUAUCCUUAAGUGACUAAUACAUGGCUUGAGGCCACUCUAAGCUUCUUGAGGAGUCUUGCCUUCCACACUAUUGGACGAUGCACGGUUCAAGAGAUAUACAGCACAUGCCACUGCUUCUGCCCAAAAACGAUUAGGCAUUGCUUUUGCCUUCAACAUGCUUCUUGCCAAUUCCAUAACGGUCCUAUUUUUUCUCUCGGCCACACCAUUUUGCUGUGGGGUGUACCGAGCUGUGAACUGAUGCUUAAUCCCAUUUUCUUUUAGAAAAUUUUCGAACACAUUGGAUGAGAAUUCUCCACCUUGAUCAGACCGCAAGGUUUUCAAUGCAAAUCCACUUUGCUUCUCAGCCAAAGCUUUGAAAACUUUAAAGUAAUCAAACACCUCUGAUUUAUAUUUGAGAAAAUAGACCCAUGUCUUUCUGCUAUAAUCAUCAAUGAAUGUAAGAAAGUAGCGGUUACCUCCUGUUGAUGUUGUGUUCAUGGGCCCGCAUACAUCUGAGUGCACCAGCUCAAGAGGAUGGGAUGCUCUCCAAGAAUUUCCUGUAAGAAACGAAUUUCUCUGAUGUUUUCCCAGCACACAUGCUUCACAAACUUGUGUUUGAUGCUGUAUCGUUGGUAGGCCUCGUACCAUAUGUUGUUUCCCCAUCAAUGAUAGUGUAUUGAAACUCAAAUGCCCAUAGCGUAGAAGCCACAACCAUGAGGAAUCCUUGAUAAGUGCACUUAAGCAAGCAAAAGAUUCAUACUUUAUGUUCAGAGAAAACAUAUUGUCUCCUGACAUCUGCACCUUUGUAAUUAGAGAGUUGUACUUGUCUCUAAUUACACACUGGUCUUCCCUGAACUGAAUAUUAUGGCCUUUAUGAAGAAGUUGCCCCACACUAAGGAGAUUGUAAUUUAAAUCUGGAACAUAUAACACAUCAGAGAUUCUUUUUUGUUCUCCAGACUUGGAUAGAAAAAGAAUAUCUCCACAUCCUUUGGCCACUAGCUUUCCACCAUCACCAAUCCUUACUUCUGAGUUGUUGGUAUGCUUGAAAUUGACAAAGGCACUUUUGUUGCCUGUCAUGUGAUUACUACAUCCGCUAUCAAGAUACCAUUUUUCUGCACACACGUUUCCUUCCCUGGCAGCUGCAUAUGCAAGUAGAACCACAUUAUCAUUUUCCCUUUCAGAAGCUUUUUCAUGCACAAAGCUUGAUUCGGCUCCUCCAUUUGUUUUGUUUUUGCAUGUUGACUUGAUGUGCCCAUAUUGCUUGCAAUUGUAGCACUGAAUAUUAGAAAGAGAGGAACCUUGUUCUCUUCCUCUUCCUCUUGAAUAACCACCAUAAUCUCCUCUUCCUCUUGGAUAACCAUAAUCUCCUCUUCUUCUUGAAUAACCAUAAUCUCGUGCAGAGCCUUCAUCAUUAGUUUUUUUUAGGUCAUUUGCAUAGCCACGUCCUUGAUUAUUUCUUCCUCGUCCACGAGUAAAGCCGCCUCUUCCUCUUCUAGAACUUCCUCUGAAUGAGACUUGAGAUUGAAAAGCUUGCUCAACAGGGCCAGAGUCAAACUGCUUCAGUCGUAACUCAUGGGAUUGAAGAGAACCCAUUAAACUGUCAAGAGACAAAGUAGACAGAUCUUUGGAUUCUUCAAUUGCCACCACAAUAUAUUCAAACUUUCGGGGACAUACUUCGAAGAAUUUUUUCAGCAACUCUCUGAUCUUCAAUUUUUUCUCCAUUAAUUCUCAGUUGGUUGACUAGAGAAAUGACACGAUUGAAAUAGUCUUCAACAGAUUCUGACUCCUUCAUACGUAACAUAUCAAACUCACCUCUUAGAGUUUGCAGUCUUGCCAUCUUCACUUUAUCUUCUCCUUUAUAUGAUGCAAAGAGAGUGUCCCACGCCUGUUUUGAUGUAAUGCAUGAUGAGAUUCUUUCAAAGAUAGCUUCAUCCACUGCUUGAAAGAUAAAGAAUAAAGCUUUUUUGUCCUUCUUACGUGUCUCCUUCAGCUCUGUGAGUUGUUGUUGAGUGAGGACUGCUUGAUCAUUUGGCUCCACAAAGCCAUUUUCAACCACCUCCCACAAAUCUUGAGCAGCAUACAACACCUUCAUUUGGAUGCUCCAUUGACUAUAAUUCUUCCCUGUAAACUUUGGAAGCUGGGGCUGUAACAAGUUGUUGUUUGAAGCCAUAUGAUUCUGAGUUUCCAGCUCUGAUACCACUUUGAUGGAAUAAAAGAAUGAUAUUAUUGGUGGUGGGUACGGUUAUGUGGAAGUAAUAAUGGGUAAGAGAAGAAACUUGUUCUCUUGUGAUAAUCAAAAGACAGAAAGUAGUGGGACACUAUUUUAGAUAUGAUAAUGUUCCUUCCUUGAUUGAUGCAAAUGAAGAGAAAAGGGUGGCUUUAUAUAAUAGCCACUACCGACCUAACACAUUAAAAACACAACUAACACCAAACAUAGUUAAUUCAACUAACUUCUACCACACCAUUAAUUUAACACACAACUACUAACAAACUGCCAACUAUUUCAAAGUUACCAGCUGACUAUUAAUGAAGUCUAGAUUACUUUAACAGUAUCGAAUCUAGCUUUAAUAUGUAUUGGGUCCUCUGGACAAGAAUUCUAUCCUUUUCGUCCUAACUAAUAUGUAGGGGAAAAACAAUACAUCAAUUAUCCUUUUCGUCCUAACUAAUAUGUAGGGGAAAAACAAUACAUCAAUUAUGAAUUUUUUUUAUCUGGGUUCGAAAUUAAAUAUGAAUGGAGUUUUGGAGGCUUAAAAGUUAUAAGCUCAAGAAAGGAAGGAAACUAUAUGUACAUUUGGGUCGGAGGCAAAGGUCCAGUCAUCUACCGUCCAGGAUAUACAGUAUCAAAAAAGGCUUAAGAAUUGUAAUAAGGUGACAUACGCCCACAUACGGCCAACGCUAGCAUAUUUCGUAAGUGUAUUAUAUGUCUUCUAAGUAUAUCAUAGUUAUGUGUCAAUUUUAGAUCCAAUUGCACACCCAAAAUACAGAAACAAAAUCAUUGAGAAUACACUUUUUUUCACUUAUAUUUUGAAUAUGCAUUGCCUGUAUUUCAUGUGUAUGAUAUAGGGGCUUCACUUAUAGUUUUUGCACAAAACCUCCCUUGAUGAAGGAUGUCUUAGAUUAAUGACAUCAAUGAUUUGUUACAUUUGGAGUACCCAACAUAACAGCUCUCUGAUUAACAAUAAAGUUAUAAAAUUUCAACAGUUUCAUACCUAACAAGCAUAGAGAAACAAAUAAAACAACCACAUUGCUUCGAUCACUGUACAUGCACACAGCUCACUUUCACUAACUACAGAGGCUAUAUUUUCUACAUAUACACUAACUUUUUCUUUCUCCAGCUCUCUUACACCACCAGGCUGGUGACAAACCCAGCUCGCGUCAUGUGGAGGACCAAAAGGAAAUGACAAGGAGAAAACGGCUAAGGAGAGACUUACUCUCAACACUUAGAAGGCAGAGCAGAGAUAACAGAGCACACUGCUUGUAUAAAAGUGAGUAUGAGGAGAAAAAUAGCGGUAGCAAUUGAAAUAGUUGCCCAAGGUGUGUUGCAAUAGUUUUGUCUCAAGUUUGCCUGCCAUUUGUGCCAAGACGUUCUGCAGUACUUGUUGAGGUCUGCACAAAGAAUAGCAAAAUAGAAGUCAUUAGAGUCCACAAUGACCCCAUCUGCAAGGUUGUUGAUCAGAGUAGACCCUCCACUACUGUCACCGAGCAUAUUUUCGACGAUUCCUUGCUUAACAACCAACUCCACAUCCGUUGCGGUGUUCACAAAGCGAUCCACGAUGACAACAUAAUUGUUUAUGUAAUUCUCCAUGCAAUGGCAUUGUUCAAAGGCAAGGAGGUUUCUGAUUGUAAGCUCUGUCUCAUCACUUAUUGCUAAUUUUGGAAUUUCUAGAAUCCCAUUAGCGAAUUGUAUGUCGAAUAAGUUUUUGGGUGAUCCCACCUUAAACUUGACUCCUGCUCUGUGUAACUCUGUGAUGCUGGAUGUGUUUAAGAGUUUCAAGUCGCCCCUUAGCAGGUGGUUUCAAUGGUAGAGGUAGAUACAAAUUUCUACAAAAAUCUACAAAGUGUUCUACUUUAGAAGUACAUAAUUUCUCCAUAUUGCCAUCCGUUCCCUCUAUGUGCAUUAGAGUUUUGAAGAAAUUGUGGCAAAGGUUAAGCAUCGAAAGCCUCUCAAUAUUGUUAUUGUUAGAAGAGACUUUGAUUUUUUCGGGGUCAAAAAGUUCCUCAAGAAUGAAGAAUGGCAGCUGAUUUUCAAACAACCGCAUGUCAGGCCAUACGUCUGGCAACAGCCAUGGUUUGUUAAAUAUGCGGUCAAUUUCAUCCUGCAAUUCAUCGAAACGAUACCUCAACAAGACCUCAAUGAUGAAGGCGGCAUCCACUAGAAUGAUUCUCACAAAUUCAUCACUGCUAACCUGAAUGGUUUCUGCAUAACAACUGCGCAGUUUUGCUUCUUGGUCUUUUACUUUCUGUACAUAAUCGGCUAGGCUUACCCUGGUCCGACGUAUAUAAUCUUGUAAGUACCUCUUUUUGUGAUCUUCCAUGGCUUUUAGGCCUUCCUCGCCAUGAUGAAGUGGGCCUAUAGAGACUACCUGAGGUGUGUAGGCCUUUUCACUCACACGCCGUAGUCGUUCAGGAACUCUAUAAAUGCAACACAAGGAGGAGAGGGAAGACAAGCCAUCCAACUCCUCACUCAUUGAAGUUACUAAUGGAAUGCAAGGGUUUUCAAUAUCAUGUGGAGCUUGAUCGCUUCCUUCCAUUUUCCGCUGAUGUGUUUGUUGUUGUCAAUCAUAAUGGAUGAUAAUGAAAUGAUAGUCACUGACACAACAAUAAACAAAUUUUUCAAGAUGGCUGAGAAAAUUAAUACAAACAUUGCAAUUAUAAGACCAAACACACAAAGACUUUUGAUCCUUGUAACUCUUACAUACCACACUAGUGCCUUAAGAAUUCGAUUUGAAUGCACCAAAUUCAUUCAAAACUCUUCUGGUCAACUCUGUUUCUUGUAAUUAUUCUUGGAAGAUUCUAAUACAUUUUUGAUUGAAAAAUUCCUACUAAUCAUGUGAAUCAGUACCAAAGUUUAUUUCAAAUUAACAUACAAACCCCACUUUUUUUUUCCUACAUAUAUACUUCUUUAUUUCCCCUCAACUUAUUGGAGCUUCUAAUAAAGCAAAUUCUUUCUGUGAUGAUAUCAGAUAGUAGAUUAUGCUUCCAGUCAAAACAUAGACAAACCAAAAUCCCAUUAGAAGAGAAGAAAAUAAUAUACGACAUUCACAUAACCUUCUGCUCAAUUCCAAUUUCCAACUACAAUGAAACAUAAGACACUUAAAAGCUUCAAGAAAUUGGAUGUGCAAGCAAACAUAGCGAAAUUAUGAAAGACAGAGAAAGGUGUUGGGCAUUGAAAACAUACCUGAUACGUAUUGAAACACAAUUUUUUUUUGCCUUUGGUAGAUGGAGUAGCUAGAAAAGCUCAAUGCACUUGCUCUUCUGCUACAUUUCAAUAUAAGAACAUUGUUUGGAAGUCCGGUCAAUUCCUCAAAGCUUCCUUGCCUUUGUUUUGACAUGCCGAUGCCCGUCUUGGGGAAGUUUGAAUAAUCCAUUGCAGGCCCCAUGAUAGGAUUUUUAGUACUUGUGCAAACAGUGUUAAAAAUCACAUAAAAUACUUGCAAGAAUACAAGGCUAUUGUAGUAUAGAUGCUCAUGCAAGGUCGUUUUCCUCAAGGACUAAUUAGCAAUUUAUGUAAAAACAAAUUCCAAUUACUACUUAAAAUAAAAAGUCAAGAAAGAUGAUUAUAAAUUUGGUGGAUUCUAAAAAACAAAUAUUAAACAAAAACAAAUACGAUUGAAAGAAAGAGUUUUGAAUAUCAAUUUAUAAAAACACUAGGGUUUCACCAUCACCUAGCAAUCCUAUGAACUUUUACCAAUUACUUAUGAUUUGCACAUGCCACUUUGAAGGUUAGGUUUUCCUAAUGUAUAUUCUACUUGGAACCUCCAACACAGAACGUAUAUCCAACAUGCAACCCGUCCGGACGUUCGGAUCAAAUCUGAACAUGAAAGACUCAUUAAGUUUUGUGAAAACCCUUUGAAAAACCAUGCAACCCUUAAGACGUGGUGUUCAUCUUAAGUGAAAUUACAAUUAUUAAUCACAAGAAGCUAGCAUAAAUUUCAGGGAACCUUCCGACCAAAAUUGCAUCCAAUUACUUUUCUAAAGAUCCUAAUGGUGAUCAGGCAUUAAGACAAUUAGAUAGUUUAAAAUAGUGAUUAACAAUUCAAAAUACGCAUGCACUCAUCAUAAGCAAUUAAAUAAAAAUCACAUAUUCAUGCUAAGGUUCAAGGCUUCACCCUAGCAAAAGAAAUUUAGUUACGCAUACUCAUAAUUGAAAUCCAAGAAAAUAUCAUUAAGAAGAAAAGAACGAAAACACCUGAAAGUUGUGAAAACCCAAAACCCUAGCAAUUGCUCUCUACAAUGCAAAGUUCAAAAAUAAUUAAGAAGUCCUAAAUUCCUUGUGAGAAAGAGCUUAAAUAUCCCUUAAAACCUAGCUGCCAAUGUACAGCUUUUCUAUCCCUACAAGGAAACUAAUUAAAGUAAAAUAAUACUAGGAAAUAAAGUCCAAAUUGGAAUAGGAGAAUUUGCCCAAAAUCAGCCCAGCCACGUUUUGGCCCCAAAUCUCCUCCAAAUCUGGCCCAAGAUAGCUUUUUUUAAAGACACUACUACAAAAAGUGAAAAAGACGACCAGAAAACAACGACGGUCUAAGUGAAAACCGUCGUGGUUUUUAAAAAGACGACGGUUCUAAAAACACCGUCGUGUAAUACCACCUUAGACAACUAAAAAAUGGAGAUUCAAAUGGCUGUUCAAAAACAACGACGUACCUAAUUAAACAACCGACGUCUAUUUGAAACAGAUUUCCGCAGUGUAAAAUCAAAGCAAACAAAGAACGGCAGAAGUUAUGAAUAGACCGACGUAGAAAGUAAAGACGACGAUUUCAAUAAAAGCCGCCGUUUUUACUCAUAAAAUAACACGACGAGGUUUUCGUAUAAGACGCCGUAUAAUUACAAACAAAUCCACGGCUUUAAAAUACAAAAUAAUCUUAACAGAUGACACAGAUUUGCAAUCAGAGAGACAAUUUUUUGGAAGUUGAUCAACGUCGUUGAAAAUUUGCAAUCAGAGAGACAAUUUUCAACGACGGUUAUAUUAUACCUAACGACGUUUAAAAACAAAUCAACGUCGCUCAACAAAUAUAUUACGUCGUCUUAGUCUUACUUAAGACGACGAAAAACGACGACAGUAGUAAAAAAACAGUCGUUGUUUUUAUAUUCUUAUUUUAUUUAAAUCUGUCGUGUUAGUUAAAAACGACGGCAUAACAAAAAACCGUCGUUUUGUUUCAAACUGAAUUAAUUUAAAAUUUCUUCAGGAAAGCAAAAUCUAUUUAUAAUUUCCUCGGGUUAGUAAUAUUGUGUCGUGUUAGUUUACAAAUUCUAGAACAUUAAUUUCCCUCAUUUUAAAUUUUCUCGGGAAAGAAAAAUCUAUUUAUCACGCUUUGUAAUUGAAAACUAAAACUGAAAGAAUUCUGGAAAAAAAACUCUAUUUAUAAUUUAAAAAUAAAAUGCACGUCGGUUGUAGUACACUUAACGACGUUUAACAAAAUAAUCUACGUCGGUAAUUAUAAAUCUACCGCCAUCUUACCCUAAUAUAGACGACGAGAAAAGACGACGGUAGAACAGAAAACCGCCGUUGUUUCAGUUUCUUUAACAGUUUGGUCCUUUAUCUUUCUGCAGGACUUGUAUAGUUCAAAGCAUUGACAAUGUCUUCAUCAUAUCUCCCAGCAACUACUGAUUCGAUUGCUCAUGCUUUAGAGGCCAUCUGAAGCCAUUUCUAUUCUUUAUCGCAUUCUUGAAACCCAUCUUCUUCUUCUGAAGCUCUACGGAUAAAGGAANNNNNNNNNNNNNNNNNNNNNNNNNNNNNNNNNNNNNNNNNNNNNNNNNNNNNNNNNNNNNNNNNNNNNNNNNNNNNNNNNNNNNNNNNNNNNNNNNNNNNNNNNNNNNNNNNNNNNNNNNNNNNNNNNNNNNNNNNNNNNNNNNNNNNNNNNNNNNNNUUUUUUUUGGGGUUGGUUUUUUAUAGUAACCAGUUAUAACAGUAGUGGUUGUGCAAUGUUUGGUUCCCUUAAGCUUCGAUCCAACCGUGUAGCCAGCUUUAGGUCAAUGUCUCCCAAACCACUCGGGUUUUAGGGCACUAGGUGUAGAACACCCCUAAGGACUUAUUAACUCAAGCUGAAAAGGCUACGAAACCAACUAACCACCCUGCCUCAUGCCAAAACUCUACCUUUUGUCUCGAAAAUCACUGCUGAUUAGGCAGGACUGGCCCGGUUACUAGCAAAGCUUCGGGUGAGGCAAUUAUUACUUUAUAACACAUACUAACUUUAUUUAAAUUGAACAGAAAUUAAAACACACUUGGACAAAAAGUAAGUAUUCCAAUCUCACUCCCCAAAAACCAUAUUGGUGUGAUGUGCAAAUUUCAAAGUAUAAUUCAUGAAUUAGUGUCUAAGCAACAAUAAAUAGAAAAGACUCUACUGUGGGAUUGAUUUUCACUAUGUCCAUUUAUUCUAACGUUUAAAAUAAUCUAUGGAUAUUGACUGAAAAACGAAAAUUUUAAACAAGACUUAAAAAAAACUAAAAAUCUAAAAUUUACUUUCCCACCCCCUAACUUAAAUCACACAUUGUCCUCAAGGUGUGGUAAAUAAUCAAAAGAAACAAGAGCAGAAACAAAACGACUAAAUCCUAGAAAAUGAAAAUCAAAAAUAAAGAAAAUACUCUAAGAAAAGAAACUAGGAAGGAAAAAUAGAAGAAUAAUAAAAUAAAAUAAAAUAAGAAAGAAAAGGAGAAAAACAACAAUAGAAAAGAAAUAGGAAAGAAAAUACCCAAAAAUGAGACACCUUGGGGAUUCAAAGGCAGGACCAGGCGGAGUGUUGCGAAAAAGCGCUGACCAACUCAACCACGUCCACACUGGCAUCAAAUAGGAGCGACAGCUACAAUAUAACCUGCUGUAGCUGCUGCAUCUGUCAUUUGAAAAAUAUUGGAUUCCCUUCUCCUACCCCGAGCUCAGAGCCGAAAGGCUCUCUUCUGUCCAUUCCCAUUUUGCAGAAGAAAAAAGAAUAUUGCUGGAUAAACCAAAGCCUCCGCUGUGUCCAGAGAAUCAGAAAAGGUCUCUGAUUUCUCUCUUCUCAAGGCCAUCCAUCUCCGCCUUCACUCUUCUUCAUUCUCUCCAACACUCACGAUCCUUUCCUCUCUUUCAACCCAAUUACACCAGCGUUUUCAUCUGCGUGAGGAGGCCACAUUUGCAGCAAACACAACCAGUGAGGUUGAAUUAUCUGAUGCACCUGAAUUUUUGGAUGGUUUUGGAGUCCCUAGAUUCCUCAAAUUCAGAUCUGUCUCCAUCCAUGUCACCAGAUGCUAACUUGUUCCAAGAUGAAAACAAGCUGAAGCCGAACAAGAGUCUAUUCUCCACCAGUAAGGACCCCAGAUCUGUGCAUCCCGUAGGUAAACUUUCGAACCCCAGAACUGGUUUUUUUUUUUUUUUUUUUCCGUUUUUUUUUUGUUUUGAAAAUAAAAGAAGUAAAGAGUUUAGAAAAAUUGGGUUGCCUCCCAAUAAGCGCGCUAUUUUAAGUCUGUAGCUAGACUUUGCAGAAGCCUGGUGGUCAAAUCACUGGUUCCUUCAGAGUCAAAGACUCGGCUGCAAUGUCAAAGGGUGUCUCCACGUAGGGUUUUAGCCUAUGACCAUUCACCUUGAACGUGUUGCCUUUAUCUUCAUUAGUGAUUUGAACUGCUCCAUGAGGAAAAACUUGAGUCACUAGGUAGGGUCCAGUCCAGCGAGAUUUUAAUUUCCCUGGAAACAACUUGAGCCUUGAACUAAAUAACAGAACCUUUUGCCCUGGCUGAAAUUCCUUCCGUAAAAUUUGACUGUCAUGAAAUGCCUUAGUUCUUUCCUUGUAGAUGCGAGAACUAUCAUAAGCACCUUGACGAAUUUCCUCUAGCUCAUUUAACUGCAAUUUCCGCUUUUCCCCAGCUGAGUCAUAUGCAAAAUUUAACUCUUUAAUGGCCCAGUAAGCUUUAUGCUCCAGCUCCAUAGGUAGAUGACAGGCUUUCCCAUAAACAAGUCGGAAUGGUGACAUCCCAAUAGGAGUUUUAUAAGCUGUCCUGUAUGCCCACAAAGCAUCAUUUAGUUUGAAACUCCAAUCCUUGCGUGUAGAGCUCACUGUUUUCUCCAAAAUACGCUUUAUUUCUCUGUUUGAAACUUCAACUUGACCAGAUGUCUGUGGGUGGUAUGGUGUAGCCACGCGAUGAUUAAUCCCGUAUUUUGCCAGUAGGUUAGCAAAUGGUUUAUUAAUAAAAUGCUUCCCCCCAUCACUAAGAAUAACACGCGGUAUUCCAAAACGUGGAAAUAUAACCCCCUGGAGGAACUUCAGGACCACUGAUCCUUGAUUAGUUGGUGCUGCAAUGGCCUCGACCCAUUUUGAAACAUAUUCCACAGCCACUAAAAUAUAUUGGUGCCCAUUAGAAGAUGGGAAUGGCCCCAUGAAAUCAAUACCCCAAACAUCAAAUAGUUCAACAAUUAGGAUACUUUGUUGGGGCAUUUCAUUCCUUCUGGAUUGAUUGCCGACCCUUUGACACCGAUCACAUGCCUUGCACCAAUUCUGUGAAUCUCUAAAAAGUGUUGGCCAAAAUAACCCACUCUGUAGGAUUUUCUCUGCUGUCCUUUUCUGCGCAAAAUGUCCUCCUCAAGCAUAGUGAUGAGCAAACUUUAAAACACUUUCUUGUUCAGCCUCCGGAAUACACCUGCGAAUAAUCUGGUCUGCACAAUACUUGUAUAAGUACGGUUCAUCCCAGAAAUAGUGCUUUACAUCAGAUAAAAACUUCUUUUUCUGCUGGUAGGAAAAAUCUGGAUGCACCACACCCUUAGCCAAAUAAUUGACAAUAUCUGCAAACCAAGGUGUGUCAAUUUUGACAGCAAAUAGCUGUUCAUCUGGGAAACUUUCACUCAAUGGUAGAGAAUCUGCCUCUGUAGCUGCUGGAAUAAUUAAUCUAGAUAAAUGAUCAGCCACAACAUUCUCACUGCCCUUCUUGUCUUUAAUCUCUAAGUCAAAUUCUUGAAGUAAGAGAACCCAACGAAUCAAUCUAGGCUUUGCAUCCUUCUUAGACAACAAGUAUUUUAGUGCAGCAUGAUCUGUAUAGACAAUUAUUUUAGCCCCAACCAAAUAAGACCGAAAUUUCUCUAGUGCGAACACAACUGCCAACAAUUCCUUCUCUGUAGUUGCAUAGUUAAGCUGUGCAUCAUUUAGAGUACGACUUGCAUAAUAGAUGACAUGGGGAAGCUUAUCUUUUCGCUGCCCUAAAACUGCCCCGACAGCAUAAUCUGACGCAUCACACAUUAGUUCAAAUGGUAAAUCCCAAUUUGGUGCAGCAAUGAUGGGUGCCGAAGUUAGGAGUGCUUUCAACUUGUUGAAUGCUUCUAAACAGGCCUUAUCAAAAUUAAAUGGUGCAUCCUUAGCCAAUAAAGUGCACAAAGGUCGACUAAUCUUGGAGAAAUCCUUGAUGAACCGACGAUAAAAACCUGCGUGUCCUAAGAAGGACCUCACACCUUUUACUGAUGUAGGAGGUGGCAGCUUUGCAAUAACUUCAAUCUUUGCCUUGUCAACCUCGAUGCCUUUGCUAGAAAUUGAAUGACCCAAGACAAUUCCCUGUUCAACCAUGAAAUGCCACUUUUCCCAGUUUAGCACUAAAUUUGUCGCUUGACAUCUCUGAAGAACUAAUGAUAAAUUCUGUAAGCAUUGAUCAUAUGAAUCCCCAAAAACAGAAAAAUCAUCCAUAAAAACUUCCACAAUAUUUUCGACCAAGCCAGAAAAAAUACUCAUCAUACAACGUUGAAACGUAGCAGGUGCAUCGCAUAAUCCGAAUGGCAUCCUCCGAUAAGCGUAAGUACCAAAUGGACAAGUGAAAGUAGUCUUCUCUUGAUCCUCUGGUGCUAUUGGAAUCUGAUUAUACCCAGAAUACCCAUCAAGAAAACAGUAAAAAGCCCGCCCAACCAACCUUUCUAACAUCUGGUCAAUAAAAGGCAAUGGAAAAUGGUCUUUUCUCGUCCCUGUGUUAAGCUUCCGAUAAUCUACACACAUUCUCCAACCCGUAGUCAAUCGUGUAGGAACUAACUCAUUAUUAUCAUUUUUCACCACUGUAAUACCGGUCCGUUUAGGCACAACUUGAGUCGGGCUAACCCAUUUACUGUCAGAAAUAGGAUAAAUCAUACCUGCAUCAAGUAAUUUCAUAACCUCUGUUCUAACCACCUCUUUCAUAAUUGGGUUAAGGCGGCGUUGAGCAUCAACUGUUAGCUUUACGUCGUCUUCCAUUAAUAUUCUGUGCAUACAUAGUGCUGGGCUGAUUCCCUUGAUAUCCGCAAUUGUCCAUCCCAAUGCAUCUUGAUAUUUUCUCAAUACACGAAGCAAUUUAUCCUCCUCUGUCGGUGUUAAAUCUGCUGCAAUUAUAACUGGCAACGUCUCUGCAGCUCCUAAAUAUGCAUAUUUAAGAUGUUGUGGUAAAGGCUUCAGCUCCAAUUUUGGCGGCUGCUGUCUGGAUGGUUUAAGGGGCUGUUUGGGCUCCCCUAAACUCUCAUACACAUUCCUAAAUUUUGGCAACACUGUGGGCAGACUGUUCAAUGCGUGUAUGUACUCAUGAACACCUUCAUCUUCAAAAUCUGUCUCAAAUGCCCCCUGUAAAACAUGCAACAACUGAUCUGUUUUUGAAUUAGCAUAAAAUCUGUCCUGCACCAUACUGUCUACCAUGUCAAUACGCAUACAAUCUAGCUGUUCAGCAGGACGUUUUGUUGCCGCAAACAAAUUAAACACCACAGAUUGGUCCUGAACCCGUAAAGUCAAUGUUCCAGCUUCCACAUCAAUUAAGGUCCUAGCUGUUGCCAUAAACGGCCUCCCCAAAAUAAUAGGUGUUUGAAGGUCUUCAUCCAUGUCUAAAACCACAAAAUCUGCCGGUAGAUAAAGAUUAUCAACCUUAAUAAUUAGAUCUUCAAUAACACCUCUUGGAUAAGUGAUUGAACGGUCAGCUAGUUGAAGUAUAAUUGAUAUAGGCUUUAAAUCUCCUUGCCCCAAUCGCUGAAAAACAGAAAAAGGCAUCAAAUUAAUACUUGCACCCAAAUCAAUUAAAGCACUCUUAAAAUUAGAAUUUCCAAUAGUGCAAGAAAUAUUAAAACUCCCUGGAUCUUUUUUCUUAGGUGGUAGUUUGUGUAGCAAAACUGCAUUGCACUGUUCUGUCAAAAUAACUUUUUCCAAAUCUGAAAGCUUCUUUUUGCUGCUGCAAACUUCCUUCAAAAAUUUGGCAUAUGAUGGAAUUUUCUUGAUUGCAUCCAGUAAGGGAAUGUUGAUUUGAACCUUGGAUAAUGUCUGCAUAAAGUCCUUGAGUUGCUGAUCUUUUACUUUUGGCUUCAAACGUUCUGGAUAUGGAAUUGGGGCCUCAUAAACACGCUCAGGUACUUGUUUUGGAACAGUUUCUAGAUCUGCCAUAUUAUGUUUUUCUACAGGUUUGGCAGGUUCUGCUGCUGCAAAAUUUUCUGUAUGAUCCUCCACUGCAUGCUGCUCCUUUUCAAUGUUAUUUUCACGAUUGUCAUAGCUUUUUCCACAUCGUAAAGUCCGAACAACUUUGCAAUCUUCACGUCCAUUUGGAUUAGGAAUUGUUUGACUAGGAAAUUUGCCCUUUUAUCUGUCUGAAAUCUGUGUAGCUAGUUGUCCAAAUUGUUGCUCCAAACUUUUAAUAGAUGCUUCAACAUUUUGAAAUCUUUGAUUGUUGCCCUCGAUGAAUGAUUGAGUUGUUGCUGCCAGUUUAGCAAGUUGAUCUUCCAUAGAUGGUUUGGAGGGAACAAAAGGUUUUUGUGCAUGCUGGAAUGGUUUGGCAUUAGUCUGAUUGUCACCCCAUUUGAAAUUAGGGUGAUCCCUCCAUCCAGGAUUGUAAUGAGUUGCAUAUGCAUCAUUCCUAGGCCUUUGAUAGCUGUUCAUCAUAUUGACAUGUUGUUCAACAAGCUCUGGGUAAGAGUCUCUAUGUGGGCAGCCCAUUAUGUCAUGUGUAGCCAUACUGCAUAUAGUGCAAACUGUUGAUGUAGGUGGCUGCUGUGUAGAACUUGCUAUAUGUUGUAGAAGCAUAUCAAACUUUGCAUCAAUUUUCUUAUCCAUUUUUUCCAUUUGUGCAGACAUGUUGGGAGAACCUACUGAUAACUCAAAAAUGCCCCUUUUCUGUGAAUGUUCUGCUGCCCAUUGCUGAGAUUCUGUAGCCAUCAUAUCAAACAGUUCAAAUGCCUCUCUUGCAGAUUUAUUUGAUAAUGAUCCUCCAGCUGAUGCAUUCACAUGGCUCUUAGAUGUAGGAUUAAGCCCAUCAAAGAAAAUAUUCAUUUGUGUAUCUGAAUCAAUUUUAACAUGUGGACACUUUAUGUACAUCUUUGUAUAUCUCUCCCACGCUUCAUGAAACUCUUCAUUAGGCUUCUGUGUGAAUGUCAAAAUCUCCCUCUUGUAAUUCAAUGUCUUGGAUGCUGGAUAAUAUUUGUUCAGGAAUUUUGUGUGUAACUGCUGCCAAGUAGUAAUGCUAUUAGCUGGUAGAGUGAAUAACCAAGUUUCUGCCUUGUCCUUCAAAGUGAAAGGGAAAAGACGUAACUUAAUAGCCUCAGCAGAAAAACCCCUAAUCAAAAUAUUCUUGCAACCCACAAUAAAUUUUGCAAUAUGUAUGUUUGCAUCUUCAUUAGGCAAUCCCCGAAAAGUAGGUAGAAUUUCAAGCAUAUGGUGCCUGAUCUCGAACGAAUCACCCUCUUCUUGUUCAGGAUACACAAUGCAAUUGGGAACAUCAGUGGCACGGGCUUCCAAUGACUCCCUGAGUGGUCUACCUGCCGCAGGUAAUUCUAACGCCAUGUUACUCUCGUUUGCAAACAGAUCCUGCAGAAAAGUGCCCUGCAGUGAACAGUCCCAAGCCCAAGUAACUUCUCUCCGCUGUCUAUGCAGUGUGCGCUCUGGUUCUGGAUCAAAUUGUACAAUCUGUGUAGUUCCUGAUCUGGUCUGGACCAUGCAGUCUGCAAAAUCUGCAACAGAAACAAAAUUGUUCAAUUUCAAUUUUUUUUUUUGGACGAAAAUUAAAAAUAAAAUAAAAUGAAAUAAAUCAGAAAAAGGUUAAACAAAAAUUGUCUAAAAUAGUCCCCAGCAACGGCGCCAAUUUCUUGAUAGGAUUUUUAGUACUUGUGCAAACAGUGUUAAAAAUCACAUAAAAUACUUGCAAGAAUACAAGGCUAUUGUAGUAUAGAUGCUCAUGCAAGGUCGUUUUCCUCAAGGACUAAUUAGCAAUUUAUGUAAAAACAAAUUUCAAUUACUACUUAAAAUAAAAAGUCAAGAAAGAUGAUUAUAAAUUUGGUGGAUUCUAAAAAACAAAUAUUAAACAAAAACAAAUACGAUUGAAAGAAAGAGUUUUGAAUAUCAAUUUAUAAAACCACUAGGGUUUCACCAUCACCUAGCAAUCCUAUGAACUUUUACCAAUUACUUAUGAUUUGCACAUGCCACUUUGAAGGUUAGGUUUUCCUAUUGUAUAUUCUACUUGGAACCUCCAACACAGAACGUAUAUCCAACAUGCAACCCGUCCGGACGUUCGGAUCAAAUCUGAACAUGAAAGACUCAUUAAGUUUUGUGAAAACCCUUUGAAAAACCAUGCAACCCUUAAGACGUGGUGUUCAUCUUAAGUGAAAUUACAAUUAUUAAUCACAAGAAGCUAGCAUAAAUUUCAGGGAACCUUCCGACCAAAAUUGCAUCCAAUUACUUUUCUAAAGAUCCUAAUGGUGAUCAGGCAUUAAGACAAUUAGAUAGUUUAAAAUAGUGAUUAACAAUUCAAAAUACGCAUGCACUCAUCAUAAGCAAUUAAAUAAAAAUCACAUAUUCAUGCUAAGGUUCAAGGCUUCACCCUAGCAAAAGAAAUUUAGUUACGCAUACUCAUAAUUGAAAUCCAAGAAAAUAUCAUUAAGAAGAAAAGAACGAAAACACCUGAAAGUUGUGAAAACCCAAAACCCUAGCAAUUGCUCUCUACAAUGCAAAGUUCAAAAAUAAUUAAGAAGUCCUAAAUUCCUUGUGAGAAAGAGCUUAAAUAUCCCUUAAAACCUAGCUGCCAAUGUACAGCUUUUCUAUCCCUACAAGGAAACUAAUUAAAGUAAAAUAAUACUAGGAAAUAAAGUCCAAAUUGGAAUAGGAGAAUUUGCCCAAAAUCAGCCCAGCCACGUUUUGGCCCCAAAUCUCCUCCAAAUCUGGCCCAAGAUAGCUUUUUUUAAAGACACUACUACAAAAAGUGAAAAAGACGACCAGAAAACAACGACGGUCUAAGUGAAAACCGUCGUGGUUUUUAAAAAGACGACGGUUCUAAAAACACCGUCGUGUAAUACCACCUUAGACAACUAAAAAAUGGAGAUUCAAAUGGCUGUUCAAAAACAACGACGUACCUAAUUAAACAACCGACGUCUAUUUGAAACAGAUUUCCGCAGUGUAAAAUCAAAGCAAACAAAGAACGGCAGAAGUUAUGAAUAGACCGACGUAGAAAGUAAAGACGACGAUUUCAAUAAAAGCCGCCGUUUUUACUCAUAAAAUAACACGACGAGGUUUUCGUAUAAGACGCCGUAUAAUUACAAACAAAUCCACGGCUUUAAAAUACAAAAAUAAUCUUAACAGAUGACACAGAUUUGCAAUCAGAAGAGACAAUUUUUGAAGUUGAUCAACGUCGUUGAAAAUUGCAAUCAGAAGAGACAUUUUCAACGACGGNNNNNNNNNNNNNNNNNNNNNNNNNNNNNNNNNNNNNNNNNNNNNNNNNNNNNNNNNNNNNNNNNNNNNNNNNNNNNNNNNNNNNNNNNNNNNNNNNNNNGGAAGUUGAUCAACGUCGUUGAAAAUUUGCAAUCAGAGAGACAAUUUUCAACGACGGUUAUAUUAUACCUAACGACGUUUAAAAACAAAUCAACGUCGCUCAACAAAUAUAUUACGUCGUCUUAGUCUUACUUAAGACGACGAAAAACGACGACAGUAGUAAAAAAACAGUCGUUGUUUUUAUAUUCUUAUUUUAUUUAAAUCUGUCGUGUUAGUUAAAAACGACGGCAUAACAAAAAACCGUCGUUUUGUUUCAAACUGAAUUAAUUUAAAAUUUCUUCAGGAAAGCAAAAUCUAUUUAUAAUUUCCUCGGGUUAGUAAUAUUGUGUCGUGUUAGUUUACAAAUUCUAGAACAUUAAUUUCCCUCAUUUUAAAUUUUCUCGGGAAAGAAAAAUCUAUUUAUCACGCUUUGUAAUUGAAAACUAAAACUGAAAGAAUUCUGGAAAAAAAACUCUAUUUAUAAUUUAAAAAUAAAAUGCACGUCGGUUGUAGUACACUUAACGACGUUUAACAAAAUAAUCUACGUCGGUAAUUAUAAAUCUACCGCCAUCUUACCCUAAUAUAGACGACGAGAAAAGACGACGGUAGAACAGAAAACCGCCGUUGUUUCAGUUUCUUUAACAGUUUGGUCCUUUAUCUUUCUGCAGGACUUGUAUAGUUCAAAGCAUUGACAAUGUCUUCAUCAUAUCUCCCAGCAACUACUGAUUCGAUUGCUCAUGCUUUAGAGGCCAUCUGAAGCCAUUUCUAUUCUUUAUCGCAUUCUUGAAACCCAUCUUCUUCUUCUGAAGCUCUACGGAUAAAGGAAGAGGCUAUCACAAAUCUGACGGAUCUUCUUAGUCAAAAAAAUCAAGCAGAGGAUCAGGCACAUCUGAUCUUCAGAUUUCCCUGAGAAGCGAACUUUCCUUCGACAGCGAGUGGAGGCCAGGCUUGCAUCUCUUUUGAUGGAAAGCAAGGAGUAUUCAGAAGCACUAAGUGUCCUAUCAGGCUUGAUCAAGGAAGUGAGAAGGCUAGUUGACAAGCUUCUUCUUGUCAACUAGCCUAAAUGUAAGCUCAAUUUCUCUUUGAGAAAGACCUCCAAAUUAUUGUCUUUGAGAUGUGAGAGACAGUGUCUCUGAGAGAGGAAGAACUUGGAACCCUAAAUGUAAACCGCGAAAAUGAAUGAAAGCGACAAAUUUAUAGAAUAAAUUUUUAAAACCAACGGCGGUACUUACCAAGAAACCGCCGUUUCAAUUGUAAAAUCAACGUCGGUAUUACUGACGUAUAUUACAGAACUCCACGUCGGUACAUUAAUAAUCACGACGUCUUAAAUAAUCUACCAUGACGCGAGUUAUUACUUAUGUACUUUAAUUUUUGAGUUUACUACGACGGUACCUACAACACUACUGUCGUAUUUAUUUACCACGUCCGAAGUUAAAUUUACCGACGUAUUUUGUACUUUAUACGUCGUAGUUAUAUGUAACCGCCGUAUUAUUUUUUUGAAAUGGUUUUAUAUGUAAGCAACUUUUCGUCUACUUGACUUACACAUUAGUUGUUUUUAUAUUCUUAUUUUAUUUAAAUCUGUCAUCCAAAAAAGAAACUUUACAUAUUGCAGAAUAUUAAUUUCCUUCGUUUUAAAUUUCCUCCGGAAAAAAAACUCUAUUUAUAACGCACUGUAAUUGAAAAAUAAACUGAAAGGUCACGGGAAAAAAAAUUCUAUUCAUAAUUUAAAAAUUAAAAUCCACGUCGGUUAUAUUAAACCUAACGACGUUAAAUGAAAUGAUUCCACGUCGAACGAAAAAUAUUUCGUCGUGUUAGUUAAAAACGACGUAGUUAAAUGUAACCGCCGUAUUAUUUUUUUGAAAUGGUUUUAUAUGUAAGCAACUUUUGGACUUACACAUGCACUGUUUCCAAACCCGAUUAAAAAUUUCAAUCUCCAGAGAAACCUUUUCGUCUUUUUUCCUUGUCAGAGCAUUAUCAGAGUUUCUCAUCGUCUUCCUCUCGUCUUCUUCGUCGUCCUUGAACUUAAACAUCGAUCAUCUUCCUCUUGCUUUCAUUGCACGCAAAAGGUAAGCUUUCAUUUUCACUAUUUUGGUUACUGUUUUGCAUGCUCAUACGUUUUUUGUUUGAAAAAUCUUUUUACCUUUUUUCUGGCCAAAAUCAUUUUACUUCUUUCCAAGUUUGAUAAAAUAUACAGACAAAAAGGGAAAGUUUCCAACUUUGAAGACAACUACCUCAACUAAAUGAGACGACGGUAGACCACGACGGUUCGUCAGUUGUUCUAGCGUCGUCUGAAAAUUGACAAAGUUGUUUUUAAAAUAAUAGUCUUUUUUUAUAUGCUUGUUUAAUUGCAGGUUUGAUUUCUCUGAACAAUGGUUUUUGUUUUUCCCUUAUUUGAUAAAAUAUAAAGAAAAAGAAACUAGGGUUGGUAUCUAAUAUAGACGACAAAAUAUCUUAUUGUUUUACGUCGUGUGAAUGUUAAUACCACGACGGUGUAUUACUAUUAACGUCGUAUGAACAUAAAUACCACGACGUUAUAUAAAUAAUAGUUUACCACGACGGUGUAUUACUAUUGACGUCGUGUGAACAUAUAUACCACGACGUUAUAUAAAUAAUGGUUUUAAACAUUUAUUACGUCUGAGAUUAUUUCAUUGCGUCGUCUAAAAUCAUAUCAUACGUCGUAUUUUUUUAAUACCGUCGUUUGUGUUCUUAAUGUUUUCCUGAAAUAUUUUCACUUGCAGUUUUGUCUGUUAAAAUGGUUUCUCAACAACAAACUAAGGAUUCUGGCUCCAAGAAGCUUGGAAUGGUAGCUCCUCAAGACAAGUCUUCGAAGGAGAUGAAGUCUUCGAAGAAGAUGAAGUUUGCUUCAUCAUCUGCUGAGACAGAACCAACCAGCCAGACAACAAUCUCUGAUGAUUCAAAGACUGGUCGAGGCAUGAGCACAAUGCCUCGUGUUGUGAAGAGAAAGCUUCAGAAACUGAGGCCAAUUGUUGAGUACAAUAAAAGGGGGAAAGGUGUUGGCCAAGCACAUAUUGAGAUGCAGUCGUAUAUUGGUGUGUUGGCACGCUCCAGGAUCCCACUUGUGGACAAGAAAUGGUCCCAAAUCCCCAAGGAUAUAAAGGAGCAGAUUUGGGAAGCAGUUGACAUGGCUUUUGUCGUAGGCCAAGGGGGCAAGACCUCUGUUUUAGCUUCUGCUUCCAAGAAAUGGAAGGAUUUCAAGUCUACACUAACGAGGCAUUAUAUCCUUCCAUACACCAAUGACAGGGAGAAAUUAAGCCAACCCCCUGAAACAUAUAAAUUCAUAGAGAAAGCACAAUGGGAUGCCUUUGUAGCUUCAAGGCUAUCCAAAGAUUUUGAGUCUGUGCAUUCUCAACAUGCACAGAUUAGGGAGAAACUCGAGUACAAUCAUCGAUUGUCUCGAAAAGGAUAUGCUGGAUUGGAGGAUCAAUUGGAGGAAACCAUGCCUGGGGUAGAAAUUGAUCGAUCUACCUUAUGGAAGAGAGCUAGACAGGACAAACAUGGUAACAUCCCUGAUCCAAAGGUGGCAGAGAAAGCAAAAUUAAUUGUAAGCCUACUAUCACUCUGUUUUAAAUUUUUAUUAAACUGUGAAUUAUUCUUAUUACGUCGUAUGUUAUAUUUUUCGUCGUGUGAAUGAUAUUACCACGUCGAAAAGUUUUUAAAAACGUCGUUAAAGGUCUAAAUAGGAAUCACUACUAAUUUUCUGUAAUUAUAGCAUAAGACGUCGGUGGUUCAUUUUCGCGUCGUUUGAAUGAUAUUACCACGUCGAAACUUUUUUAAAAACGUCAUUAACGGUCUAAAUAGGAAUCACUACUCUGUUUUCUUUAAUUAUAGCAUAAGACGUCGGUUGUUUAUUCAUUUCGUCGUUUUAAAUAAAUAACCACGUCGGUAUAACUACCGUCGUGAUAAGUUAUAAUAACGUCGGUUUAUACGUUAUUGCGUCGUGUGAAAUUAUAUAAUACGUCGUUUGUACAUAAAUAACCGUCGUGUGUUUUUUUGUUUAUCUUUGUUUUAGGAUGAAUUGCAGAAACAAGUCUCGGAAGGCAAAGUCAGAGUAGAUGGCAGCAAUGAUGUGCUGACCAUGGCUUUGGGCCCCGAGCAUCCAGGCAGAGUGAGGGGAGUUGGUGCUGGUGUUUCCCCAAGGCAAUAUUUCAAUUUGCCCAAACCACAGAGGGUGAGCUUUGACGACCAUUUGAAGGACAGUUUAAGAGUUCUCCUUCAAGAAGAGACUAAAAAGAUGGAGGCUAAGGCAAGGGAAGAGGCCUUAAGAAUGGAGGCUAGGACAAAACAAUUGGUAGAGGCUGAGAGGGAGCAUUUCCUGAGUCAGCUUUCCCAAUUAAUUCCCAAUUUUGAUCCAAGCAUGCUUAAACCAAGAAUUAGCCAAAGCCCCAAAAAUCCAAUGUCUGACAAAGCUAGCUGCUCUGGAGGUGAUGUGAGAUCCCUACAUUUGGAGGAUGAUACUGCCAAAAUGGGGAAACAUCAGCCAGAUGAAGAGAAGGAAGAAGAAAAAAGAGAUGAAGAGAAGGAAGAAGAAAAGGAGAAAGAAGAUGAAGAAAAGCAUGACGACAAGGUAUGUUCACAUAACUUUGCCUUUUUUAUUUGUUUUUCAAAAUUUCAGACGUCGAUAUUUUUAUUUAAUCCGUCGUUUGUUUAAAACUUAGACGGCGGACUUUUUUUAAGACGUAAUAAAAUAUUUAAACGACGGUUUUUGCACCGUCGUUUAAAUGGUUUCAGACGACGCUUUAUUCAUAAAAUCGUCGUCUUUAUUGAAUUACCACGACAGUUUUUUCACCGUCGUUUAAAUACUUUUAAGACGACGUUUUAUUCCUUAAACCGUCGUCUUUGUUGAAUUACCACGUCAUUUUUUUUAUUUCUUUAAACAGGUUAUUGAAGUUGGUGCUUAUUCAAAUAUGGAGGCGCCAUCUUCUUUAAAAACCCUUUGUCGUUUUGUGGAAACGACACUCCUGCCUGAGGAUAAGACACUCCAAUUUACAAUUGAUAAGGAGGUGUUUGGUGGUGAGCGCGAUACCUUCCUCCUGCCUGAAGAUAUUACACAAUUUGCAGGCAUGGAAGAAAUUGGAGCUACUGUAUUGGCUGUAUAUAUGAGGUUUGUACUUCUAAAAUAAUACCUCGUUGGUUUAUAUAUUGCGUCGUCUUAACUAACUAACCACGUCGUCUUAACUAACUACCGUCGUGAUAAAUAUAUUAUAACGUCCUCAUCUAUUUCAGUACGUCGUGUGAAAUAUUAUAAUACGUCGUUUUUUUAUACAUAACCGUCGUGUUUGUUUGUGCUGACUUGUUUAUAUUAUUUUAUGUAUUUAGGUACUUACACGAUGUUUUGAAACAAGCCAAUAUGUGCAGCAUGGUUGGCUUUAUCGACCCUGCUACAGUUAGUGCCAACUCUGGCACAAUAACUGAAAGAUCACGACUGGUAGCAGCUCGACUUCAGAAGACAGACGGUGAACAGAUUUUCAUGAUGCCUUACAAUCCAGGGUUAGUCUCCUUAGGAUUUUGUUUUUAUGAUUUUCAAUAAAUGACAGCUUAUAAACUAACCACGUCGGUGUUUUAUUUUAUUUAGUCGUUUGAAACUACUAACCACGUCGGUAUUUAUUUAUCGUCGUGAUAAAUAUAUAAUGUCGUCGUUAUCUACUUUAUUUCGUCGUGUGAAAUACUAUAAUACGUCGUUUUUGUAAAUAACCGUCGUUUUUAUAUUCAUUUUGUGCAGCCGUCAUUGGAUCUUGCUGAUUGUAAGAGCAAAGAAGGAGACCGUCUAUUUUCUGGAUCCUCUGCCAGGUCAUCGUGUGGUCGACGAAGAGGCGAAAAACAUCGUGAACAGUGCUUUAAAAAUAUAUAAUACCCACAUAGCCCGAGCACGACGUAAAAAUGUAAUUUGGAAAACUCUCUCAGGCACACCAAAGCAACCCAGCAAUGUCGAAUGCGGGUACUAUGUGAUGCGCUUCAUGAGGGACAUCAUCAUGGAUCCUUCCUUGGGGUUUGAGAAUAAGGUAAGAAGAAAUUACCUUCAUACAUUUCACGUCGUUUUUUGUAUUAUCAACGACGGUCAUGUAAAAUUAACGUCGUUGAAUGGAUAUACUACGUCGGUUAUGAAAAAUAUCGUCGUCUGUGAUUGAAUUUCUUUUUAUUUAUAAACCCUAAUAGUCAUUGUUUAUGCAGUAUGCCAAGGGAAACCAGGAAGCUUCAUACCCCCAAGAAGCCAUUGAUGAAGUCCGGAAUGAAUGGGCAGAGUUUGUUUUCCAAAUUAUUAAACAGGGCAAUUAUUGAACACUUGAUAUUUAUGUAUAAUGUACAAAUUUUCUCUAUAAUAUGUAAUGUAAAAAUUUGUUGAGGUUUUCUUAAAUUAAAAAAAAAACAAACAUACAAAUUGCUUAACCGACGUGUAAUACUUUUCCAACGACCUAAUAAAGUCAAAAACCGUCGUAUUUUGUUGUUUCGUGUUUUAAACAAAUACGACGUAAAAAUAUAGUUAGACGACGUUCUUUGAACAAUUGAGUCGUUUAUGGUUUACAACAUCUUCAAUUUCUUAAGGGUUCAGGGUAUCAUCGACGACGUUUAUGUAACGACAGCGGUUAAGUCGUGGAAUAUAUAUUUUACGUCGUAUAGUUAAAUAGCCGCCAUGGUUUCUCAUUUUAACGACGUCAUUUUAACGACUUAGUAGUCUAUUACAAUUUACAACGUCUACAAUUUAUUAACACCGACGUGGUUUGUUGUUGUGGUAAGAAUAUUUUAUUAUUUUUAUAUCAAAAUAUUCAAAAUAAAUUUAAAAUAAAUCAGAAAAUUGAAAAGUCAUCUCCUAUGAAGUCAUUGAUAUAUUUUCUUCCACAUAAACCUUGAAAAAAUUCAUUUUGAAUAACAAAAAUUUAAAAUGACCAUCCAAAACAAAAUUGUUUUGAUGAGUCAUAAAAUCACUUCUAGUUUUAUGGUUUAGGGUUUAGAGUCUAGGGUUUAGAGAUUAGGGUUGUUAUUUGUUGGGGUUUAUUUUUAAAGUAUAAUUUUUGGGUAGUCUAGGGUAUAUGUUAGGCUUUAAAACCAUAAAACCUUUUAUAAACUUAAUUUUUUAAAUUGUAUAAUUUAGUUUUAUGGGUUUAGGGUAUUAAUUUUUAACGACGGUGGUUGCGUCGUGGAAUACAUAUUUUACGUCGUACAGAAAAACAUACGACAUGGUUUACGCUUUAAACGACGUCAUUUUAAUAUGUAAGUCGGUUUAUAUAAUUUACAACGUCUUUAAUUUCUUAACACCGACGUGGUUUUUCAGUCGUCGUUAUAUAAAAAAUUCAAAAUAAAUUUAAAAUUAAUCCGAAAAAUGAAGCUUCAAAAUGAACGGCCUUACGUUCUUAAUCCGAAAAAUGAAGUUUCCGUCGUGGAAUAUUAAAUUUACGUCGGUACUUGUAGAACUUUCGCCUUGGUUUUUCUUUCGACGUUUUAAAACGCGCGAGCUCUAAAAAUUUUCGCGUGACCUAAAUUUUUUUAGAUUUGGCUCUUAUUCUUAUACUUCGAACCCUGAAACCUAAAAUUUUCAGAUUUCGCUCUCUCACUUCUGCUCUAAUUAAAAGUUGCACUCUCCAGGCUUCGUCGAAUCUGUGAGCUCGUCCAACCUGUAAGUACAAACCCUAUCUUCCCCUUGUAAAUUCAUUGAAUGAUAUUAGGUUGUUUUGUUAAAGGGUUUUAUGUGUAUGCUUUGCGAUCUGUUAAUAAUGUGCUUAUAGGUAUGGGUUCAUAGAUUUUCUGUUUAAUGGGUUCAUGGAUUACAUUAUCUGUUAUGUUGAAUUGGGAAUGGAUUUAAUUUUGUCGUAUCUUUUAAUCACCCUAUGUUAUGUUGAAUUGGGAAUGGAUUUAUUGUUUUCAUGCUUGGUUUCAUGUAUAUGUUGGUUUCUUGCUUGGUUUCAUAUAUAUGUUGUGUUCUUAAUGGGUUUUGUGUUCUUGAAAAUAAACUGAGACACGACAAAUUUUAAGGCAUACGACGACGAUUACACGACGGUUUUUUUAAACUACCGUCGUUGUAUUACUUAUACAAGACGGUUUUUUCAUAAACCGUCGUUUGUAUUACUUAUAAUAGACGACGUCUGUUGAAAAUCCGUCGUCUAUAUAUGCCAAAUACGUCUGUUUUUGUUUAAAACCCGUCAUCUCUGUUGUGUAUUACUUGCGAUUAGAUCAUUGUAUAAUCUGCUAUAGUGAUGGUCAUUGCCUGUAUUUUCACUUUAUUAUAGAUAAUAGGUUAUAGUGUCGGAGAUGGAUAAGUCAUGGAUGCACUCGGAUAGAAGAUCGAAGGCAUAUGAAUUUGGGGUGGAAGCAUUUUUGAACUUUGCUUGAGAAGUACUUUCCCCCUUCAUUCUUUGAUAUCAUGGUUCAUCUAGUAGUACAUCUUGUCAGAGAAGUUCGUCUAUGUGGGCCAGUAUAUUUUAGGUGGAUGUAUCCGUUUGAAAGAUAUAUGAAAGUGCUGAAGGGGUAUGUUCAGAAUCGUACUCGUCCCGAAGGUUGCAUUGCUGAGCGGUAUAUAGCUUAAGAAGCGGUAGAGUUUUGUACUCAGCAUUUAUCUGAUGUUAGUACAGUUGGAGUGCCUUCAAGCCAAAAGAUGGGACUUUCAAAGCCAUUAUCAGGUUGCACAGUGAGCGUAGUUGAUCAGGACCUGUUGAAUCAAGCACAUCUAUAUGUCUUGGAGAAUACGGAGGAAGUCCUACCUUAUAUCGAGUACGUAUGAGCUUUAUUCUUUAAGUUUCCAUUUUAAAUUAUUUCUUAUGUUUAUCUUCUAUAUUUGGGACCGUAAUGCUUGAAUUUUUCGUGUCAUGUAGGCAACAUAUGAUCCACAUCAAGAUUGCUUAUCCAAAAUUUAGAAAGAGAACAAAGUGGCUGCAGGAUAAGCACAAUAGCACUUUCAUUCAAUGGCUACGCUUCAAGGUAUAUGUUGUUGAAUAACAUAUUUCUCUUUUAAUUUUCUUCUUAUUUAUAUGUUAGAUUGAAUUAAGAUAUGAUUAAUUUGCAGGUUCAAAGUGAACUUGAGGAAGACAAUCAUGGCGUAUCAGAAAAUUUAAGGUGGCUAGCAGCUGGUCCAAACAUGUCAGUGCCAUUAUAUAGGAGCUAUCUUAUUAAAGGUAUUAAAUUCAAUAUCAAGGCACAAGAUGAUGUGCGGACAACUCAAAAUAGUGGAGUUUAUUUACUUGCACAUACCAUGCAAGUUGCUAGUGCCAAGGAUAAAAACCCAAUUCUCUCAAACAUGGGUUUCUAUGGUGUCAUUCAAGAAAUUUGGGACCUUGACUACCAAAAGUUUACAAUCCCAGUCUUUAGGUGUGAUUGGAUAGAUAGUUCUGGUCUUGUAGUCGACGAACUUGGAUUUACCCUUGUAGAUUUGAGUAAAAUUGGACAUAGGAAUGACCAAUUUGUUUUGGCUUCUCAAGUCAAACAAAUAUUUUUUGUUGACGACCCGAUGCAUCGUGGUUGGUCGGUAGUGUUAUCAAUGCCUAAUAGAGAAUAUAAUGAUGUUAUUGGUGAUGAAGUCUUAGGUGAUGUGAUAAUUGAGUGUGAGCCAUUUACUAGAGGGAUGCCAAAUGUUGACACAUUUGAUGAACUGGUGGGUGAGUUAGGCGGUCAAAAUAUUCGAGAUGGGUGUGAAGAUAUAUGGAUUGAAUGAUGCUUAUGUAAUUGGCAGUGUAUGACAUUAAUUUUGUAAUAUAUUGUAAUGUGAUUUCUUCACUUUCUACGUUCAAAUAAAACACGACGUUAUUGUGAACCAGUUAUUCAGCAUAUUUACCGACGUCUUAAAGCAACGUAACAAUGAAGAACCACGACGCUAUUGUGAAGCAAUUAUUCAGGAUAUCACGUCGGGGAAGGAUUAAGAACCGCCAUGUAAUUCAAAAUAACACGACUCCAAUCCCAUAAUACCGACGUCUAAAAAACGAGAUAUAUAAUCUGAACGUUAAAAAAUACGACGUCAUCAUACAUUUUCCACAUCGCAAGUUCUUUUAUAAACGAAGAGGAACGAAAUGAAUUCCGACGGAAAUUCAUUAUAACCGCCGUCUAAUAACAAUUAAACGACGUUAUUUGUAAUACGGCUCUCAUCAUAAUCAACGCCGUCUAUAUGUUCUGUAAUACGGCUCUCAUUUAUUUGGAACCGACGUUGUUUAGAAGUUCAACGUCGUCUAUAUUAUUAAGUGCGUCGUGAGUAAUGAUGAUAGAUAUAAAUACAACGUCGACUAUAUAAAUGCCACUGACGUUGUUUCGCAUUUCAACGUCAACUGUAUAAAUACAUACGUCGUAAAUAAUGACACUGACAACUAUUUCCACGUCAUCUUUUUUAGAAAAAUCGAAGUGGAAAAUUUAUUUCACGACGGUUGUUUGUAAAUAAGAGACGUAGUAUAUUUCAAUAACGUCGUCUUCUCAUGUAUUUAAAGACGUCAUAUUUUUUCUUGUCGUGUAAAUUAUAUUUAACGGCGUAGUAUUUUAGUUGUCGUCGUUGUAUGUAUAUCUUGCGGCCUUGUUCUUUUAACAUGUGUCAUAUUUUUCCUUUUUAACGACGGUGAUUUGUUUGAGUUGGUCGUCUAUUCUCAUCCUCGACUAUUUUCUAGAACUUUAGCAGACUAAACACGUCUGUUUUUAUUGUUUUCCGACGUUGUUUUAUUUAACAACGUCUAAUAUUUAUCGUCGUUGUUUGUUUCUGAAAAUAUGACGUAUAAAUUUUGUAAUACGACUCUCAUAUAUUUGUAACCGACGUUGUUUCGUUUUUCAACGUCUACUCUAUAAAUACAUACGUCGUAAAUAAUGACACUGACAACUAUUUUCACGUCAUCUUUUAUCGAAAAAUCGAAGUGGAAAAUUAAUUUUACGACGGCUGUUUUUAUAUAUGCGACGUAGUAGGUAUCAAUAACGUCGUCUUCUAAUGUAUUUAAAGACGUCAAAUUUUUUAUUGUCGUGAAAAUGAUAUUUAACGGCGUCGUAUUUUUAUUUUCGUCGUUGUAUGUCUAUCUUGCGGCCUUGUUCUCUUAAUAUGUGUCAUAUUUUUCCUUUUUAACGACGGUUUUUUUAGAGAGUUGGUCGUCUAUUCUCAUCCUCGACUGCUUUUUUAGAUCUUUUUGCAGUACAAAGACGUCGUUUUGUAUUUGUUGAUGACGUUGUAUAUUUUAACAACGACGGUGAUUUUGCGUCGUGGUUUAUGAGGGAAAAGAUGACGGUGGAUUCCACGACCAUUGAAAAACCGAAUACACGACGGUGAUUUACCGUCGUCUUUUUGCUUUUUUGUAGUAGUGAGAUAAAAAUGUUCUGAACACUUCUCUAGAAGGCCACGAACCCAUCCGAGGUCAUCUUGGGCUCCAAAAACACAAUAAAAGCCCAACACGUCACUAUUCCAGCACCGCGCACUGCUCAUUUAUUUUAUUGCCAGAAAAUAACCGCUUGGAAGAAAAAUCUGAAAUUUUGAUACGAUCAAGCUAAGUGACUCAAGAACGUCCUCCAACUGGAAUUACUCCAAAAUUCCUCAAUUUGAUUAUGUUUUGCUCCAGAGAGAGUCGAAAGUCCUAUAUUGGAAAUAUAAUUCAAAGUAUCAAAAUUCUUCCAAAAUAUUAACCAAAAUAUACUAAGAAUGAGGUUAAAUAUAUAAUAUAAAAUAUGUCCAUCACCCCACAACAACUAAAGAACCAACAUUUUGUAGAAGGUUUUGUCUAUACCUUUGACUGUAAGUAAAUCUCUUGUAUCUGCUCCUGUGGUUCGGUGAAGUUUCUUUGUGUCCUUUCUGCGGAGUCUCCCAUGCUUGUUCCAUGAAAAUGUUCUAGGAGAAAAUACGGUUGUUUCUUACUAGAUUCAAAUGAUUAAGAAAAAUAAAAACGCAAGAAAAAAGGUAUUUUCUUGAUGGACUUGGUGAUGAAAAAUAUCACUCUCUUUAUAUGUCGUCUUCCUUGGACUUUGAGACCUUGGGUUUCGAUUCUUCUUGAGGAUUGCAUAGGGUUUCUAGGCCCAAGAAUACUUUGAGUUAGUUUUUGCGUUUUGGGCUUUGAGACUUUGAGACUAUAAUGAGUGGAAAGUUAUAAGGGGUAAGUUAUAAGGGGGUCACUUUAUAGCCAUCAGAUUAAUCCAAGGGCUGGGGAGAAUUGAGAUAAAGUUUCACAAUUGGGUAGGUGAGGAACCCAAACCCGAAUUGAAUAUCCAGCACGUCCAAAAAGAAGAAGAAGAGGGAAACACGUCCGAAAAAGAAGAAGAAGAGGCAAGUUCGAAGUUUGAACAGAAAGAACUCAUCUCUCUAAAACACAGAGGUCUGAGAUACCCAAUGAAGGCAACGGCUAACGACAGUUGAAGGCAACAAUUCGCCACUCCGUUCUCCAGACCCCGAAAAAGUAUUUAUUUGGAGUAGAAGGGGCAAAGGUGUGGAUUCCAAAUCAGUGAAGGGGCGAAGCAGUGGAAGGGGAAGGGGAGAAGCUGUAUUCGUUGGAAGUGUAGGUUCCAUUUGUGGAGCAAAGAAAUAGAAAGACCCCACACAGACACCUUGCAAUAACCAGCAUUUGGUGAGUAAUUUAUGGAAUUUGAGUUUAGGGUUAGAGUAAUGGUUUUCCCCAAUUUGUACCAUAAAUUUUGUUGGAUUUGGCAUCUCUUCGUUGUGCUUCAGUUGCAUGUUAAUUUUUGCUUAGGUAUAUGUUAAAAAAGGAAUGAAAAUUAAGUCAAUAACAAGUGAAUAACAUGUCAAUAAUGAUAUGAAUAAGAUAAUGGUGUUGAAUUGGAGGAGGCCCUCAAAACCUUCCACAUUUGAAGCAGUGCAUAGUGCAGAUUAAGAAGAGGCGCUAGAAUAUAUAUAUAUAUUUUAUGAAGUAAAUAUGAUUUCCUUUGUUACUAAAUUUGCCUGAGAAACAUUUGAACAGAUAAUAAUAAACUCAUGAAUAGAACUGCAAAGCAUUUGAUGAGCAAUGUAAGGAAUUUAAGUUUAGGGUUAGAGUAAUGGCAUCUCUUAUUUGUGCUUCAAUUGCAUGUUAAUUUUUGCUUGGGUAUAUGUUAAAAAAUGAAUGAAAAUAAAGUCAAUCACAUGUCAAUAACAUCUCAAUAACAUGUCAAUAACAUGUCAGUAAUGAUAUGAAUAAGAUAAUUGUGUUAAAUUGGAGGAGGCGCUCAAAACCUUCACAUUUGAAGCAGUGCAGAGUGAAGAGUACCUCUCUGGCACUAGAAUUUAUAUAUUUUGUGAAAUAAAUAUUAUUUCAUUUGUUACUAAAUUUGCCUAUGAGAAAUGAGAACAGAUAAUAAUAAACUCAUGAAUAAAAGUGCAAAGCAUUUGAAAUGAAGGUUGAUCUAUGACGAUUGUGGGUGACUGAAGAAAAAGGUAGAAAGAAAGAAGGAUGUGGCAAUUGCUUAGCAAGCAGAUAGCAGAGUACAUGCUUUGCUUUGCUUCCUUCCACUAUAUUUCUUAUUUAUUUAUUUUGGGUUGUGUAUGAGAUGACAAUAAUUGUCAUGUGUGUGAAGUGCAGAACUUGCCUACAUUGCACUCACACGAGUAUGGAUGCAUAAAUAAAACACGUGAAAUUGUUUGUAAUUCACAUAAUCAUUGCAUUAACAGGUAUUUGCACAAAAAUUGUCAUAUUGCUUUGAUGAUGUUAAAGGCUGUGAUGAGUAAUCCCUAUGCUCAUGUACUUUGUAAAAGUUGUAAUGUGCCUGGUUGACUAGUUGUGAUUGUGCAAAUACGUGGUAGUAUAUAUGUUCACGUUAUUUCACAUUGUAUUUGAGGAAAUGGGAUCCAACGUGGAGCUGGUAUGGCCAGAGGCAGAGGUAUAUUCGUCACGGGUGAACAACUGCUCACAUGCAAAUUCAUCUCUAGCUGCAAUUCGAGCGAAGUUGAGUGCGGAACAAUUAGAACAAUUCAAGACAUCAUGCUUUGGCCAUCUUCUGAAUAUAGAUAAGAUUCAGUUUAGCGGGCAGAUUGUGCAUGGGGUUGUGUUGCGUAGAGUAGCGGGGCAGGGUGUGAAAGACUUGGAUGGACUGAGUUUCUUAUUAGGGUGUGACGUUGCUCAGUUCACUCGUCAGGAUUUCUGUUUGAUCACAGGGCUUCGUUUUGGGGAAGUGCCUGAAGUUUCCAGUGGAGAGAGUGAUGAAAUCAGACUUCAGAAAAGAUAUUUUAUAGACGAAGGAAUUACAUGCAAUGCUUUAGAAGAAGCAUUUGUGAGGUGCACAGAGGAAGAUGACAUCUACAAGCAAGCUCUUGUUUACUUUGCUGAGUUAGUGGUUUUGGGAAGGGACAAACAUUUGAACAUCAAUCUAAAUUACCUGACCCUUGUAGAGGACUUGGAUGCGUUCAACAGGUAUCCGUGGGGUUCGGUGUCCUUUGACAAAACCCAAGACAGUCUAUUUUCUGCACCAACAAAGUAUGUGAAAAGCUUGGAAAAUGAAGAGGGAAGAGGGAAGGGGAAAAGUAAGGUAACGGGAACAAGCCGGAGAAAUGAGAAGGGCAAGAAGGAUAAGCAUGGUGAAGCGCAAAUGAGUGGCUGGAGUUUUAAAGGUUUCACGUAUGCUUUCCAGGUACAUGGUAAUAAUGUUCAUGUCAGUUAUGUUUUGUUUUUCUUUAAAACAUAAAUAAUGACUUUUGUCCUGUGAAUUGUGUAGAUUUGGGUAUAUGAAUUAAUUCCUAGAAUGGCGGACCUGAAUUACUGCAAGGUUGUUGAUCCGACCGUUGUCCCGCGUAUUUUGCGAUGGAGAACUACUACGUCUGUUCCAGAGAUGAGAAAGUUGAACAAUUAUUUUUUCCAGAGCAAAGAGGUUUGGUUUGCAGCCCUUGGAACUAUUGAUAAGAUUGAAUGAAAUUAUGAAGUAGAAUGAUUUGAUAUGACUCUUGUCUGUAUUCUGAAACAGUCAGUUCAGUUGCGGGCGCUAUGUCCGAGUGAAGAGGAAAUGAGACAGCCAUAUUGGAGUUGGCCACAGGAUCGCCCUGCUGUUGUCUCAGCAGAGUCAAUUCCUUCUUCAUGUGGUGAUCUUGAUGAGUUGAACAAGGUGGUAAGUUGGUUGAGGUCCGAGUUGUUUCAAGUAAAGCGGGAAAAAGACGUCCUUCACUUAAAGGUCAUACGGAUGGAAAAACUGUUGGACCAAUGUUUAGGUCCUCAGUUUGAGCAGGAAGUAAGGAGGGACCUAGCUUUACUGAAACAGAGGACGAAUCGUUGUGUCAUCUCACAUCUAUUUAAGGGAUAUGGGGAAAUGGAUGACAUUCAAUGGGAUGAAGGGCCAAGUAACAGAAAUGAGGGAGAGGAAAAGGAAGAUGAAGGGAUUGAAGGGGGUGAAGGGCCAAAUAAUAGAAAUGAGGGAGCACAUAAGGAAAAGGAGGGGAUUGACGGAGAGGAAAAGGAAGAGGAGGGGAUUGAAGGGGGUGAAGUGCAAGGAAAACCAAGUGAGGUAGAGGAAGGGCAAAGGAAAAGAAGUGAAGGAGAGCAAGUGCAAGUAAAAAGUAGCAAAGGAGAGGAAGCCCAGAGACAGAGCAGUGAGGGAGAGGAAGUGAAAAGAAAAAGCAGUAAGGGAGAGAAACUGCAAAGGAAAAAAAGGGAGGGCAAGGAAGUGAAAACACAAACAAGUGAGGAAAAGGAAGUGCAAAGAAACCAAUGUGAGAAAGAAGAUAAUGAAGUUAUGUUGCUUGGGGGUGACAUUGGCGAGAGCACGGAGGGGACACUGCUUGAGUUUACUGUCGGGGACAUUGAUUUGGAUGAACCUACAGCUGUGCUAUCUCAGUUGAACGUGUGGUUGAAUGAUAAAGGUAAAGCUCUGGCACAAGGGGUCCAAUUACGGAAAAGGAAGAGGAUCAUUCCUUUGUGGAAGAUCAUUGAAGGCAGUGAAUUGGUUCCAAAAAUUGGGGCACAGACAACCGGACUGAAGAUGUUAGACCCAAUGAAGGCGAUUUCGCAUGAUGAUCUGGUGAAAUUGCUGAAACUUUGUUGGGAAUGGCGCCAGGACCCAAAGUAAGUCCCUUGCAAUUAUAAGAUACAAGCAUGACUGUAUAUAAUUUUUUAUAUACAGUGUUCUAAAACUGUUUUAUAUUCAUAGUUUGGUGAUGCAAUUUGGCAACGUGGAAGCUGAGAUUGAAUUCUUCGCUUCCCUCGUGAAAGCUGAUGGUUGGCUGAAAGGAGAUGUAAGUGUAAUUGAUUAUGCAUUUGUUUUAAUGUACAUACAUUAUGAGAUUGACAAGAAAAACAUGUUGCAGCACAUUGAUUUGGGGUUGUAUCUCAUCCGGAAGCGACAACAACAGUUGGAGACAGAUUCGGUAGAAGUAGCGGACUGGACAACGACCGAUGUUUUUUUUAUGGUAUGUCAUCGGCCUUGACCAAGUGCCGUUAAUAAUUACACAUUUUCCAUACACACACUAGUGGAGGUGUUUAACCAUUGAUUGUUUUGUAUUUCACAGAAUCACAUUCGUACUUGCUUUGCGGAUAAUAAAAGAAAAAAACAGCAGCUUGGGUGGAAAAUCAGGAAAAGUUUACUAACCGUUGUAAAUGGGAAGGUUCCUCCGUGUGGGUUGGAUUGGCAGACCGUCUAUAAGGUGUAUACCCCAUUUAUGUUGACGAAGUACAAGCAUUGGGUGGCUGUAAUGAUUGAUCUGGUAUUGUGUGAAAUCAAAGUGUACGAUUCAAAGGUUUCACUAAUUCCAGAUGACAUCGUAAAGGAAGAACUCGGCCCGCUAUCAAUUACGCUUCCAAAUCUUCUCAACACCAUCGACUUUUAUGAAAAAGGUGUUUAUGCAAACAAUUGCAGCCAAGAUUAGUGGUGUCCGUGGCCAAUAGAGCGUGUGGAUGUUCCACAACAGUCUAAUGAGUAAGCACAACUUGCAAUUUAAUUUUAUUACUUUCAAUUGUCAAUUACGUUAGAAUGUCAUUAGUUGAAUUGAUCGAGUUCUUGUUUUGCUUCAGAGGCGAUUGUGGCAUGUUUGUGUUAAAGUACAUUGAGCUUUUCAGCGCUGAGCUUCCGUUAGCUACUUGCACCUCGCACAACAUGCCUUUUUUUCGGUUGAAAUUGGCUGCGGAGAUAACAAGGGGAGAUGCUUACUUCCCAUGAUAUUGGUUGAAGAUGACAAAUGGUACAUGAGAAGGUUUUGGGAAUGUCCAUUCUCAAACUAAUGUAAAUACACAAUAGAGAAGUACGGGUCCUUAUCGAAUUCUACCGCUAACUCCUUCAUGACAUUUACAUGUUUGUUAACCAAACUGCAUUGAAUUGGAAUUUUAAGACUGCAUAUGUGAAUUGGGAUUUGAAGAUGGCUUUUUAAGUGUAUUACAUCAUUGCAAAGUGAUAUGUCAUUGUUGAUGCAAGCCACCAUUAAUCGCAAUGUGUUGCAUCAUAAUAGGUGUCUAAACAUGCGAAAGGUUUUCCGCAGCUCAGUAGCAUAAAAGUAGAAACAAAGACAAUAUACACAAAAUGAACAACAAUUCACAAAUGCACCGACAAGCAAUACACACACAACAGACAAACAAUAUACACAAACUUGGCCUGCCAUAUACAGAGAAUAGACAUGCAAUAUACACACAGUAGACAUGCAAUAUACACACAAUAGACAUGCAAUAUACACACAAUACUCCCUUAACACACACAAUAGACAUGCCCUUGCCCACAAUAAUGAUGCAAUAUACUUCAGUCCCCAAGUACACCAACCAUAGGGAAGUCGUAUUGAAUAGGAUAUUAAACUUAACAGUUGUUCUUCCUACUAAAAGAAAGAAUAAGGUUCGUUUCCCCCCUUCAUUCUUACUUGAGUGAUACUUGUGGCCCCAAUAAACAUCCAAUUUUGGGGCAAUGAUAUUCCAUAUACAUGCAGCAAACUAUCAAUAAACCUUCAAUAAACCUUCAAUAAACAUUCAAUAUCGUUUCUAUAACAUGCGAAAUACAUGCAGUUACCAAAUAUUACAAAAUGGGUUUAGGGUCUCAUUGGUGGUGCGUGCAACAUGUCUUGUGCGGGAGAACUUUCACAAUCUUUUAAACCGUGCAGUUAAAUGAUCAUUAAAAGAACAAAUAAAAUGACAAUUGAUACAACUAAUAAAACUAAUACCAAGUCCUUAAUGGACUUCAGCAUGUUCAGCACUCUAGCAUCAUACGUGUCAUCUUGAUGUUCUGCUUCAGCGGAGGUUACAUCAACCCAUUCGAAUCCAUUGCAACUGGUGGCUCCCUAAUUGCAGGCAUCAUAUAUGGAAUAUAAUUCUGUCAGAGUUAGACAUAGGUUUUUUUUCACCCACAUACAUAUUCUUUAAAUUAAAACUUACAUAGGAGGUUAGACACUUCCAGAAUGGCUUCCCUCGAUUUUUGUCAGAUUUUGAAACCCGAAGCACCAUUGUAGCUCCACAAUACUGACACCUCUUUGUUUGAGCGGGAGAUGAAGAUGAAGACAUGUUUAAUCUUCUCAGUUGUACCUCUUCUCACUCAGAUCUUCUCACUGAAACCUCUUCGGACUCAUACCUUCUCACUCAUAGUUGUCAUUCAUACCACUUCACUCAUAACCCUAAACUUGUCACUCAGCUCUCUCUCAUCUCUGCCCAAAUCGAGUUAUAUUUCUUUUUUUUGGGAUCAUUUGGUGGGUUGGUCACGAUGUCGACACCUGUACCGUCAGCAUUGUGACAUCUUUUAGCCCGAAAAGCAAUAUAAACUACUUCACUACCAAAUAUAUUUUCUGAAUAAUGACGGGACACUGCUUCAAUUUUAUUAAUUUAUUUAUAUUUCAUUAAGGCAACUAGUUGGAUAAGAAUCCGUCAUUAUUGGUUCCAUUUUAAUAACAUUACUAGGGGUAAUUGGGUGUGGGAAAAUGAAAAAGUAUAUGAUGGGACCUUCUGUCACUAGUCAGUAAUCCAUCACAUUUGUAUCAAUGAAUUUGAUAGUGGGAUAAACCCAAAAAUGGCUAUGCAAAUAGCCAUUUAAUUAACUUUUUGACUGUCUGACUCUGUAUGCACCGUUAUGACGUUUUCCCUUCUUUUGUCUUAAGUUUUAAUUCACUGGGGUUCAGUUUCUUUCAAAAGGGUCAACUUGGAAAAACCCCAACUGGAAACACCUUUUCAAAACACUAUAAACAGAGGCUAAAACAAAACGUGUACCCCAAAUAUUAUCAUUUAUCCCCUCUGCCACUCCUCAAAUCGUUCCAUUCCAAAAACUUUUCAAUGAAUUCGAAACACUUCACUACAGUCGGAGGAAAGAGAAGGAAGCAUGUCCAUUUCGAUAUGCCCGAAGCCUUCAUCCCGGAGUCCGCUUGGUUUCAAGUCAUGUUAUACGUGGCAACCGAAUCAUCGGAAGAUCUCUUCCGUAUGGCAUCUGUGUGACGAUUGUUCCGAACUUUGGCAAACAGUUCACAAGUGUGGAACACCAUUUCAAUGGCAAAGUACCCAGACCAUCCUAUAUGGUACCGUGCCAGACCUGCGGUCCAGCAUUUCUUGCAACAAUGCAGGGCUUGCGAUAACCCUGAGUCCAUAUUUAGAGAAGCAUUCGAAGGUUUUUUCAGGCACGGUAAGGUGGAAGCGUUGUAUGGGAUGCGCAUUGCAGCCACGGCAGGCCAUAUGGAAGCGGCAUAUGUAGUUGGACUACUUGGUAUGUCCGGAAUUGGUCAGUCAAAAGAGGAUGCAUUACAAUUCUUGUGUUCUUUGAAUCAACGUAACAACAUUGAUAUGAAAGGAACCAGGGAUGCUUUGACAGGAAGAUUUCACGGAGCAUUUGUUGCAAGACAUAUCGUAGAUAUGUUUGACUAUGGGAAGAUUAAGUUCAAUCGGUGCAGCGCUUGUAACAACAAUGAAUGGUAUUUUGUUAUUCCAGGCUGGCCUAGUGAAGACAAGAUAAAUCCUGCGUUGUGGACUUGUUGCAAUCGAUGCAAAUGGCACCGUGAGAGUAUUUUUUGGUGCAAACUGAUGCGUGAGUAUGUUGUGCGAGGGAAUCACGUAUUUUUGCAUUAGUUUUAGUACGAAUUUACGGUUUUGAUGCAUUGUGGACUUGCUUCUCUUCACUUCUAGGUUGGCUGGCUACGUUAUACCUAUCUCAGUUUAAAUGUUGUUCAAAUGUUGGUAUUUUGUCAUAAACCGUUUUAUAUAUAAAUGUAUAAUAUUUAUUAUAUAGCGGAAUUAUUACUUACAUCAUAGACGGCUAGGAAUGACAUUUUACUGACACAGAUAUUUUGCUCACCGACCCCAAUCUUCAUAUUUGAUAAACGAAAAGUUAUGCAUGGAGUAAAUAGGUGUCUUUUCACCAGUGCUUGGGAAUGACAUUUUCCCACUUAGCAUAUCCGAAAGGAUUUGGUUACACGUUUCUUAACCUAGGGGGUUGAACAGUGAAUGACGUAGACUAUUUUUUGUGUGUGGAAGGAGUACAAUGGAUGACUUGUAUAUUUCCAUAUUAUGUUUCAAAACAUCCCUUCAACCUAAAAAAUAAAAAAAUUAACAAAUUGAAGAACAGAGAAACCGAUGAGCACUACAAAUGGCCUAUUCGCACGGAAAAUAAAAUUGUUUUCAACAAGUUGGACUAAAUAUAAUUAACAAAUGGACAGCCUAAAAAGUAAUAUCAUAAUAAUUAUAAUAAUUGUGGAUAAAUAAUAAUAAAAUACUAAUGUAACAUAACCAUUAAACAGGGAAUGCAGUAGGAAGAUGAAAUCGCAAUAAGUUCGUAGAAAUUUUGGGAUCGUUUUUCUAAUUUUUGUGUAUUUAGUUAUGAAUUUUCCAAGAAAAAAGGUAAUAAAAUAAUAAUUUAGGGUAAAAUGGGAGGAUGUGGCCAUGUUCGGUAACGUACACUUGUGCAAGUAGUCAAAAGUGACGGGCUGAGAUCGCGCCAGGUGUCAUAUUCUUGUUAAUUUUGGAUUCUUUUGUUAAAAAAUCUUUGAAACUAGGUAAUAAAUAGUAGGAAAAUCGUAAAAAUGGCCCAAAAAUUACUCCGGCCUCCUUUUGACGUCCUAAAACUAGGAGAACCUAUAAAUCAUUCGUCUCGCAAUGAAAUAAUCCAAAUUGUGUUACAUAACUCACUUUCCUCUUAACCCUAAGUAUUGAUGUUUGUUAACUUCAACUUGAAUAACCUACUUCAACAAGCAUCUCCCGUUAAUAUUGGGAAUUAAUUUUACAAAUGCGUAACAAUGAAUCGGAGAAUUCAGCAACGGAGAUGGAGUGUCAAUGAGUUCGUAGCAAUUUUCGGAUAAUUUUUUUAUUUUGUGUGUAAUUAGUUCUGAUUUUUGUAAGGAAAAGUAAUAAAAUAAUAAUUUAGGGUAAAAUGGGAGGGUGUGGCCAUGUUGACUGACGUACACUUGUGCAAGUAGUCAUCAGUGACGGGCUGAGAUCGCGCCAGGUGUCCUUUUGCUAUUAUUUUGGCUUUUUUAGUGCAACAAUCUGUGGACAUAGGUAAUAAAUUCUACGAAAAUCCAAAAAAUGCCCGGAAAAUGAGAAAAUGAAAAUUAUUUGUACAUAACUCACUUUCCUCUUAACCCAAAUUCACGUUAACACGUAUAUUUCGGAUAAUAUUCGAAAUAUAAUUUCUAAUAAUACAAUAUUUAGUUUCACUAUAUACAAUAAUAUGUUUUUUUUAUAAUAAUGUACAUAAAUAAUAAUUGCACAUGCUUUGAAGCCAUCAUUGCAACUACGCCUAGAGCUUUGAAGACGUCAGUUCGUAUUCAAUAAGUUGUCCACAUGCAACUGCACCUAGAGUUUUCAACACGUCAGAGGUAUUCAAUAAGUUGUCCACAUGCAACUGCACCUAGAGUUAUUAACACGUCACAGGUAUUCAAUAAGUUGUCCAUAUGACGCCGCAUUGGGAAUCAGUAAUAUAUUUUCAAUCAUGUCAAAUCACAUAAAUAAUGCCAUACUUUUUCUCAAUAACCUCACACAAGUGAAGCAAUUUUAAAACCCUUAGUGAAUAUUUAUCCUAGUCUAUAUGAGUGAUUAUAUAAUCAGUUGCAUAAUAUUUUUUUCACAGUAUAUGUUAACUUUGAGAGGGAUUCCACAAACAUAAAAUAUAAAGAAAGCAAGAAAUAGUAGGAAAUGAACCAGUACAAAAAACAAUAUAUAAAGUGUACAUAAUAAUUCCAUAACCUUGUCACAAACGCACUCACAAAAGCUUUUCCAUAAACCUUGUCCUAACAUAUAAUAAAUAAAGGCAACAUUGCAUAUGAUGCAACCAUGUCCAAAUCUGAUAAGUGAUCAAAAACAAAUGGACAUGGCAGCAACAUAUGAUUGAAGUAGAUGGGCUCUUUGCAUCUUCUGUUUUCGUAAUUAAAGACAUCAAAAUAUUAAGGUUUAAAUCUUCCAUAGUAGUUAGCAUCAAAAUAGCUUUGAAGCAGAGUGUAACGAAAAUUCCAAUUCCACUUAUUUGCCUCUGCUCAAACACGAGAACCAAAAUGGUUACUUCCCUUGCUGAGUAUAUUUGGUGACGUCGGAAACGGUAAUAGAUGACCAAUCAAACCCGGGUACGACGAGUUUUGCAUAGGAUCGGAAGUAGUCGAAUCCAGCUUGCAUCACACGCUUCUUUGACUCCACUACAUUAGAUGAGUUCUUGUAUUUUUGAACAGCUACACUCUGAAGUCGUUUGUGUCUACGCUUCAUGCGCUGCAACUUCGCCCUAUCCAGAUUGGCCUGCCUUUUGUCAUCUUCAAUUUGGCCUUCCACAAAUUCCAAACGUGCCCUUGCCCUUUGGAUUUCAUCACCAAGUUGAAGAUGCCUCUCCUUCCAAAAAGCAACAACUCUUUCAGACUCAAAACUUCCAACAAAAUGGUCAUUCUGUCUAGCAAUGUGACAUUGCUUGUCUGGUGACUCACUUGCGUGUCGAAGCCGGUCUUUGUUUGGAGGGGUGUUUAUUAUACUCACAUCAAACUUGGUUGUGCUUAUGCUCAUUCUUUGGGGGGAAUGAGUUUGUUUGCUUGAGAGAGUAUCGGUAGAUGGAGACAGAUUCGGUGGAGGAGUGAGUUUUGUGUGGAAGGAGAUUUUAUAUGAAAGGGGUGAUAGUAAUACCAAGAAAAGGGUUCCCGCCAAAAAAUAUUUGGUUGACAAAGUAGAAAUUAUUUUUUUAGUCUGAUACAAUCUAAGUUUAAUCCUAACUAGUUUGGUUGAGUUAACUAAGUAGAUGUCACUUCCAUUGACUUUCUUUCAACAACUAUCAGUGGUGUAAGGAGAGUGUGAGGUUGACAUGCUUGAAAAGCAAAAGCUGACACCUAUUUUUAAAAAAUUCCCGCCAAAAAGUACAUAUGUUGACUACACACAAGCUUUGGUAUGUUGGUCUAUAAACCUAUGUUCCCUUUCUCAAACGAAAUUGCAUAUGCAAUCCUCAUCCUCCCAAAACAAAGAGGAUUAUUCAAGCAUGUCAACCUCUUCAGGCGCCAACAACACAAUCGAACAUGACAAAUUGGAGUCACAGGUUCUAUUUCCACAUUGUACUCGCCGACCCCUUCCUUUUUCAACAUCAUUUGGGAGUGAGGGGGACUCCGAUGAUCCAUUAGAGGCAAUACAUGCAGUCAGUGGCAAGCUGGAUUAUAAUUCCAGACUGAUCAAUUCAUGGCACGAGAAAUGUGUUGAAGACGAGGCAAUUUUGGCUGAUCUUAACAUUAGGGUGAGCAAAGCGUUAUCCCAAAAGAACAAGUACUUGAAGCUGAGUCAUAGCAGGAAGCUGAAAGCUGAGGAGUUGGAUACAGUAAUGAAUGAUGAAAUGAAAGGUUGUUUGAUGAACCAUAUGCGAUGCGAACAGCACCAUACUGAACUGGAGUUGGCAUUCAACGAAGGAUUCGACAAAUUCCGAGCAUUUGCGGCAACUACUCAUACAAGUUAUGAUUGGAACUAUGUGUCCCCUGAUGCUGUGAGAGAGAUACUAGACGAUGGGGGUGACAUGAAUGAGCAUAAGCACGUCAAAGCUGCUCGGAAGAAGCCGACCGAUACGACUAAGUGAUUGCGGCUACCGCUGUUCAGUUAGUUGAGGGUGACCGUGGUAUUGCACAUAUACUCCCUUAAUGUCAUUAUCUAACUUAAAAUAACACAAAUAUCAGUUUCAUUUGCUUGAUAUAUAAUUAUUGGGACUAUGUAUUGCAAGUCAUCAUGUGUUAUAAUGUCUAACAUUAUAUUUUGCAAAUAUGGAAAUAUUAUUCAAGAAGCAGUCAAUAUCACAGAAAGCCGGGAAUCAGUAAAUGCUCCUUAUCAUGUCCAUUUACAUUAAAGAGCUGGAGUACUAAUGUGUUCAAAAAAAACUGACACGUGAGUCAUAAGUAACAUAACAUGUGCUAUACAUUGUUUACUGAAUGGUUUAUGGUUUAUUUGUAUAUAAUAAAAUUUCAAAUAUUGCUGAAGAUUUAUUUCGUGUAUAUCACUAGGGAUAUGAGUGGCCAUAAGCAUGUGAGACCUGCUAAGAAGAAGCUGACGAGUACGACCCAGUGAUUGGCUACCGUUGUUCAGUUGGUUGGGGAGAUCGUGGUAUUGCUAUGAGGAAGCACACAAUAUGUUUUGCAAUCAAAUGUUCUUUUGUGUGUGGAAUUAUGAGUAUUUAUGUAAGUUAGUGUACCCUUUAAUAUUUUUCACCUAAGUAUCGAAAUGCAGUUUUUGAAUGUUAUGUUUUUUUUUACCCGCUGCUUUCUAUUUGCUCUGUUCCAACAAAGUGCUUCAAGUAUCCUUCACUUACAAAAGUGUACAAAAUCGUGCCCCUAAUAACCAGUCGGAAAAAGUGGCUACUGCUGGAAAUGAUUACUGGUAAUGGAAACAACAGCUGGCUGCUGUAAUUGCUGCAUUACCGUGAGGAUUUGAAAAAUGAAUCUCUGUUAAAACAAAUUUCACCCUAAACUGCCCAUUUUACAUGGUAAAAGUCAUUGCUUCUUCAAAUCUUUUGCAGCUACACGAUGCGUGGUCAGAAUCUUUGACAUAUACGACUUCUGCCACUCUUGUUUCCCAAUUUUUUCUUUCGCUCACGUUGAACACAACUUUACAAGCAUCCUCUGUUUUGAGCUCUAGGAAACAUGCUGUACUUUGUAUUAGUUCUUGCUCAAACUUUUGAAACAUUGUCCUUGUGUACAAGGUAGCCAUUUGUUUGUUCAUUGGCAUCGGUAGAAGACAUUGAGCCACUUCAAAUGCAUCUGCGUGAUCAGCAACUAACUCUUUUUCACGUUGAUGAGAAAGUGCCCUCUCAAAUCGUAUUAUGAAAUCCAUCAACGAAUUUCUCCUUGAUAUGUAUUGCUUGAAAAAACCAUGAGAACCUUCCGCUCUUUGGCUGCUUGACAUUCCAGCGGCAAAAAAUUGUCGUGCGUAGGCUGGAACCCAAGAUUCCCUUAAAUCAAACAUUGAACUUAGCCAUGGAUGGUCAGUCAAACCAGCCUUUGUAACCACAAUAUUCCAUUUUGCAUCAAACUCAUCCUUAUUGUCAGUAUCCCAUAUGGCUUUCUGAAAUUCAGGCCAAUACUCCUUAUAAGCGUCACGUGGUAACUUAACAGAGAACUUUGAUGUGAUGUGCUAUAUGCAAAGUCGAUGAAAUGUACUCGGGAAGGCUAUUGAAAUCGCUAUGGCCAUUGCCGCAUCUUGAUCUGUAAUGAUCGUUUUAGGUUCCCCACCUGGCAUGGCUUUCUUAAACUCCUCAAACAUCCAAACAAACGACUCAGUCGUUUCCUUGCUCAAAAAUGUGCAUGCUAACACAAUUGUCUGACCAUGGUUAUUAACUCCCAACAUUGGUGCAAAUGUCAAGUCGUAUCGAUUCGUGUUGAAUGUGGUAUCAAAUACAACAACAUCUCCAUAAAACCCAUACGCCCGUCUAGAAGUUGCAUCUGCCCAAAAACAUCGACUAAACCUAUCAUGCCCAUCUCCCUCAAUCUUGAAAUAAAAAGCCUCAUUUUUUUUCUGUUCAGCCAUAAAAUACUCGGUCACUAGUUCAACAUCGUGGUUCCUCAGCUUCCCAAUCACACUACAUUCAAGAUUGUAGAUAUCUUUUUUGAUAAAACCGAUUUUAUCCAUUCCUCCGGAUUGCACCUCGAAAAUACUUACCUUCUGAUGAAUGGGAAUAUUAACUGAACCCAACUGUUUUGUGAGUACUUUUGUAGAAUCUGAAAUAUGACGGUGUGAUCUCAAUAAAUGCAUUCUUUCUAAGGGUGUCAUCUUAUGAUUGUGUCCCUCUGCAAAAAGAGAAAUGUUAUACUUGUUGCUCCCAUUUGUCUUCACAACCACAAUCUUUGCUUUGCAAUUGCAUCUACUUAUUCCCCGUUGUCUUUUUCUCUCCCGAGUUUCAUCCUUCCUGUAUGCACCUUGUUUGCAACAUACAAAUUCUUUCCUCAAAAUCUCUUUCUUAUUUUUCCCCCAAAAGCUAGAAUGAAGUCGAAUACCAAAGCCAGCCAAGAAUGCAUAUCUAUUAUAGAAAUUGUAAACGAGGUCAAGCGAGUCAAACUUCAUCCCAACUGCUGGUGUUUCCUCAUUUCUUACUUCAGGAAUAUAAACCCUCCCAUUAGCUGUUGCACAUUCAUCACUCUCUGAGCCCCCAGACAUUUUAUCUACGUAUAUUAUUGAUCCACUUCUAUAUUACUGCAUAGCAAUUAUUCAUUCAUUAAUCAGUCAUUACUGCAUCACAACAUAUCAAUGCAUUCCACUUACACAAAACAUUGCCCAAAUUGACACAAAAUACGCAUAGCCUAACUUCCGAUUACACAAAACACAAGCAAAAUUUCAUAAAAGUUACGUCAUCUCUUGUGAAAUAAUCUGGUCAAAAUAACAUUAGAACCAACAUGUUCAACUAAGAACACAAAUGUAAUUCAAACCACCAAUUACAGAACUUCACCCAAUAUCCUCUCCAACUGCUUACUCCUAAUGUCAUUAAGCCUAAGUUUAGGUUCUUUUACCUACAUUUCAUAAUUUUUCACCCCGACCAACAACAAUGAACUAAGUAUAUUGAAUAUUCACAAGGAAAUGACACAUUAUUGAUGCCACAAAUGACGAAUUUCCCACCCUCACAAAAAAUAAACCUAACCCAAUAAAAUCAAUCCAGCAAGUGAACUUACCUCUCAAAAUCAAUCGAGAGCUCUGAAGUCAGUCAGCUUGAAAGAAUGUGGUGGACAUUAGAGAAGACUCUUUGGUAUUUGAGACUCCAUCUCUAUCAAAAUCGAGGAACAACUGCUGCUGCGGCUUCUAGCUACAAAAACAGAUAUGCUACUUUGCUUUCAUCUAGAAUCUUGUCAGCUGAAUGAAAAAGAGAAGGGGUUUUCACUUGAGCCAUAGAAUCAAAACAGGGCAACAGCUAGGUAAGAGCCAUUCUUCGUAAUACCCAGGAUACCAUAGAUCGCAGGCCUCCCAACGAGCUAAUGACAGUGGAGUGACUAUAAGGUUUGGGAGAUUUGGAUCCUUCUAAUUGUGGGUUUGCUUUACAUUCAAAAAGAAAGGAUUGUGUUCUUCAGUUUUUCACAGAGAGGGAAAGAGGGGAACAACUGAAGUUGGGUUUCUAACGGGUUAGAUUUCAACCCGAUUCUACAUGCACCCUCUUUUAAAAACUCACCGUUGGAUGAAAUCCAACGGCUCUUACAUACCCCUCAAAAACACCCCUUAUAACUUCCCACUCACUAUAGAAGCUCCCCCAACUAAAUCCCAAAAGGGAAACAGAUUUGAACAACAUACAAAUUUGAAGGACACACAAAUAUGAAUCUCAGCACCGGUGAGAAAUUAAUUUUAGUUGAGGUUGGUAGGUAGGCAUUGGAAGUUUUUAUUGUUUUUGCUCCAAGUCCCUCCUCCACUCACUAAUACAGAUUACUCGCAAAUGAACUAAAGUCUGCAGGGAUAUAUGGACUCCCCUGUCCAUACGAAUGUUGGAAGAAAUGUGUGUUAAAUUUUAGAGAGACGGGUCUGUGACCCACCACUAGCAACGUUGAUAUUGUCUCCAACUUAACUACAUGUUUAGUAGAUGUGGGGUUUUAUACAAAAAGUAUUGAUGUUAUUGGGAAUGGAACCACUUAUUAUAAGUUAAAAUUUAUUUAGUCAAGUUUCCUAUGUGGGACUUUCUAUUCUUCAACAAGCCCCUUCAUGUGGGACCACCACAUAGUGGGCCACACGUAGAGCCAAGUCCACAUCGGAGUCAAUCAUUCAAGCCCAAUACCUAAACACCACGUAUUGUGUGAGGGGUAGGGGUAAACAUUCAAGCCCAACAUAUGAACACUGUAACAUCCCAACUCCAAAUUUAAUCCCUUAUUUAAAUUAUUUAAGUGAAAUUACAAAUUUACCCUUGGGGUAGGGAUAUUUUGGUCAUUUUCUUACCCGAAAAGAGUUUGGGGCAGUGACUAGUAUUUUUUGGUAGAUCGUACUGAGAUGAGUCUGUAGACAUGUAGUGGGCUCGAUUCGGAGUUGAAACGAAGAAGUUACGAGCAAAACAUCACCAAUGGCAAAACCGUAAAUAUUUCAAAAUGAAUUUUUAAUAAAAAAAACCUGAAAAACCCUCUCUCUCUCUCUCUCUCUCUCUCUCUCUCUCUCUCUCUCCUGCGCACAGCCCCUUUCCCCCCUUCGUUUUUUCUUUCCGUGGCUUCCAAGAGCCACCAUCGCCACCACGAAUCACCACCGGCCAUGAGGCCGGACUCGUUCGAACUGCCGCCGCAUCCUCUUCCUGUUCCGGUCGCUCCCAGUCGCUGCCAUCCGCUGUGCUGGCCGGAAAUCGAAGAAAACCAGCCGAUUUUUGUCAAACUUUCGGCCGCUCGUUCUCCCACUUCCGGCCACCAUUUUGGCCAUCCAGGUAUAGAUUUUGAACCUCUCGAGCUGUUCUUGCUGCCUGUUGUGUUAGAUUUGGGAGAUUUCCGCGUUUUGAAGGUCGAUUAAACGAUGGAAGUUUGGCUGGUUUUUGGCCUCCGAUUCCGGCCACUUUCGGUCACUUUUUGGGGUAGGUCCAAGAACAAAAGUGGUUCCAAAUAGGGUGUUAUACCUAGGGUAGGAGUCUUGAGCCGUGGUUUUGAGAUUUCUCGGUGAUGCGUAAUCGCUUUGGACACCCAUACGCUACCGGCGCGUGUGGUGGCGCGUGGGCACUGUAGAAAUGGGGUAUUGUGUCCCGAUGCGAUCCCCUUGUUGUCACGAGUGUGUAGUGUGCUCGGAUUCCAAUUUGGUUGACAUUCGAACCCCGAACGAAUUUCUCCUAUUGCACGUUAUCCGCGUUUGAUAGGUUUGAACCGUUGGAUAGUCUUGAAUUUAAUAUAUUUAAUCUAAGCAUUUCUAGGAUCGUGUAGGAAUUCACGGAUCAUGAAUCGGAACCCCGGAUGUUCCGAUUUAAUAAUUUAAAGUUUAUGUUUAUAUUAACUGUCAGAUCGUGCAAUCGUGAGCGAUCCGACCUUCCGAUCCGGACCAAACGUGCAGGACGUAUAUCCUAAACCUUGUGGAACCUAUAGGAACUUUCGAAUCAGAAUUUAGAGGUCGUGGGCCUAGUGGCCCCGUUUGACCAAGUGUGGAUAGUUUGACCCUUGGUUGACCUUGAGUCUUCCAAGGUAGUUUUCCUUCCUAGAAGGAUUAUAAUGACCCUAAUGACAGGUCUUGAGCGUUGUUGAGCCAUGUUGACUAGGUUAAGAUUUUUAGAGUGUUUAUUAUUGUCGUAGGAAACUCUUGGACAUUAUUUUAAUAAUUGGAAUUAUAAAAGUGAGUUUUGGGUUCGGCUAUGACUUUAGUGAAUGGACUUUAUUUUUAAAUGAAUAGCAUGGCUUUGUGAUGGAAUUUUUAGGCAUGUGAAUUUAAUGGUUUAUUGAAAUUCAUUUUUAUAAUUAAUAGUUAAUUUAGCAGUUUUGGUAAAGUAUUAGUGAUGUGUGGGGUACUUGGGAUUUUGUUGAGGUUUAUACAAUAUUAGAGAUUAACUUAUAUAUUUAAAUAUAGGUAUGAAUGUAUGAAAAGAGUUUAGAAUGUCAGUUUGAAGUACUAUACGCACUACCCUAGGUACCUCAUCGGAUUUUGAUUACACUAUAAGUACCACCCUGUGAUUGUCAGGUCACCCAUGGCGUAGGAUUUUCCGGCGGAAUGACAGACCCCAUACGUGACGUUGGAAUUUCCGGCGUAUGGGGAGAUGAUAUUAUGAUUGUUAAGUCACACGUGGCAUAGGUUAUCCGGAGUGCUGACAGACCCCAUAUGUGGCGUUGGAAUUUCCGGCAUAUGAGGAGAUUAUGUGAUUGUUAAGUCCCACGUGGCGUAGGUUAUCCGGCGGGAUGAUAGACCCCAUACGUGGGGUUGGAAUUUUCGGUGUAUGGGGAGAUGAUAUAAUGGUUAGGUCACAUGUGGCGUAGGAUUUUCCGGCUUGAUGACAGACCCCAUACGUGGCAUUGGAAUUUCUGGCAUAUGGGAGAUUAUGUGGUUAUUAGAGAGAUGAAUUAAGAUUAUUAUACUGAGUUGGGAACGAAUGAUGUUUGAAAAAGAUUUUGUUUGGGAUUUCUGCAAUUGAUUGCAUGUUGAUGGACUUGGAAAUUUUGUAUGAAAGAACUACGUGUGGCUUGAUCCCUUAGUAAGGGUACAUAUGCAGCUUAGGGUAGUGCCUAGGUGCAGCCGUGUGCUAAACUUUACUCAUGUUGUGUGAUGGAGAUUCGUUCGGACCUUGUUGUUAGUCCUGAAUUUUAGGUGAAAAUGAGAUGCAGUCUUGUUAGGAGGUUUAAAUUUUCUACGUUUAAUAUUUGGGAAUUUAGAUGAUGGAAAUCGCAUUUGGCGUUCAUAAAUGUGUUUGAGUUUAUAUUUGCAUUGUUUAGAGUUAGUUGGUGGUUUCGUUUCGAAUUAUUUGAAGGCCGAAGGCUGAUUAUGUGAUUUAUAUGAAAUUAUCUUGUGCAUACUGCCAGUUGUGAAUAUCAAAUGUGUUUUAUGCACGUUGAAAUUUUUAGGAUUGUUCAACUUACAGGGGAGACUGCCGAAAUUUCGGCAUAAAAUCUCGUGCCCUUAUUCCUUAUUGGGAAAAAUGAUUUAGUUUUAGAAGUGGGUUCGACAUCGGGGUGAUGUCGGGAAUUUUCACAGGAUUCAUCUCGGGUUUCGGGAAAUUCGGGUCGGGUCCUGUCAAACACCACGUAUUAGGUAAGGGUAAAGGCUCAAUUCAGGCCCAGUCAAUCAACCCAUUAUGAUAUCAUGUUAAAUUUCAGAUAGACGGGCCUGUGGCCCACCACUAGUAACAUUGAUAUUGUCCCCAACUUAACUACAUGUUUAGUAGGUGUGGAGUUCUAUACAAAAGAUCUCGAUGUUUUUAGGAGUGAAACCACUUAUUAUAAGUUGUAAUUUAUUUAGUCAAGUUUCCAGUCAACCUGACUUUGAUACCAUGUUAAGAUUUUAAAGGGACGAACUCUUGGCCCACCAUUAGCAAUAUCGACAUUGUCCCCAACUUAACCACCUGUUUAACAAGUGUGGGGUUUUAUCCUAAAGAACUCGAUCUUAUUAAGAGUGGAGCCAUUUAUUAUAUGAAACUUUCUAUUUUGUUAACUCUGUGUAUUCUUCAUCAAUGUGAACACCCCUAAACCAAUCAUACCUGAUACGGAUUGAAACACAAGUUUGUUUUUUGCCUUUGGUAGAUGAGUAGCUAGAAAAGCUCAAUGCACUUGCUCUUCUUCUGCUACAUUUCAAUAUAAGAACAAGGUUUGGAAGCCAGGUCAACUCCUCAUAGUUUCCUUGCCUUUGCUUUGACAUGUCUAUGCACUUCUUGGGGAAGUUUGAAUAAUCAAUUGCAGGCCCCACGACAACUAAGGAACCAACAUUUUGUAGAAGGUUUUGUCUACACCUUUUGACUAUAAGUAAAAUCUUUUGUAUCUGCUCUUAUGUUUCGGUGAAGUUUCUAUGUGUCCUUUGUUGAACGAAAAAAUGAGGUUGUUUCUUACUAGAUUCAAAUACUUAAAAGAAAAAAAGAAAUUAUUGUUUCUUAAUUGAUUUUAUGGUGAACAAUAUCAAACUCUCCUCUUAUACGUCUUCUUCGUUGGACUUGGGGUUGUUUUCCUUAUAUGUCCCUUAUAUAUAUAGGGCCUUUGGUUGAGCCCACAAAUACCUUCAGUUAGUUUUUGGGUUUAGGGGCCUACAGAACCUGCACUAAACAAUAAAAGAAAAUACCUAAUUAGUUUAGUACGAAUUCUAUAAUGAAGGCUUUAUUAGGUAAGAUUUUAUUUCUUAAUCGUUAGAUCAAAUUUGACAGGACCCGUUCCUGAAUUUCUCGGAAAUCAGAGCGAACCCCGUCCUUGUUUCGACAUCACCCCGAUGCAGGGUCCACUUACUAAAAACCGAGACUUUCUACCAAAAUUUUGAUAGAAUCUCCCUUGUAAAUUGAGCAAACCCAACAAAAAUUUCAGCCUGCAACAUACAUAAAAAUAAUCCCAACCAGCAGCAUGCUUACAACAUACAACAAAACGUACUAAAUGGCCUCCGGCCUCACAAGUAAAAUUUAACAUGGGUAAUCUACUGAUGUAAACGAUUCGGCCUUCGAACACUGCUUGCAACCUUCCUGAAGCGACUACUGGCUAAGGGGCGCAAAACAGAAAACAUGUGAGUGGACAAAAACAAGAUUCAAUUAAAACAACAUAGUAACCCCACCGUGUAAAAAUAAUGCUCAAGACAUGUAGGUUUACAAUUCAUAAUUAAAUAUUCAAAAACAAAUUUCAUUUAAAAUUCUUUAAAACCACAAAUCACUCCAUCCAUAAAACCUCAUGCCCACAAUUUUACUGCUCCUACCAACCCACUGUAUAGACUCUAAUUUCUUCACAAUCACAACUAUAUAUAAAUAUAUAAAUUGUAUCAUACAACAUACUCCUCACACUACUUAGGUACAGGGGAAACAAUCCAACCGGAGGAUCGUUUAACUAGCCCGCAGGAUUUUCAGGUGCUAUCCUGAGUCUAGGAAUGAGUGGUCCAACCAGGGGACGAAACUCUAUAGCUCACACACCGGAACAUCCAACGCCACGUGUAGCUCCAAUACUAAGUCCUACAGGCACAGACUGGAUCACCACACACCGGAACAUCCAAUGCCAUAUGUGAUAAUCCCAAGCAAUAUACAGAGUCUUCCCAUACGUCGGAACAUCCAACGCCGCGUAUGGAAAGUGUUCACACGCCGGAACAUCCAACGCCACGUGUGGGAAGCCUAUUAACUGGGGAAAGUACUUACAUAGUGUAAUCAUACAAUUUCUCUCAACAACUCCUCAUACUCAAGUUCUUCCACAAACUCACCUCAACAAUCCCAAGUACCCCACCUAUAGACAAUAUAUAUAUAACUUCCCCAAAAUCUAUACAAAACAUACUCUCGAUAUCCAAAUAUGCCAAACUCACAAUAUAUUGCCAAAGUGCAAUACAAACAUCAAAAUCAACACAUGAAUAUAAUAUAUAUUCAAUAUACCAUUUAAAACAUUAUGCGUAAAUCUUUCAUCAAUAAAACCAUGCGUAUGAUUGAAAACAAAGUCCACUCACAAGUAUUCCUACGCUGCUUGACCACGAGAGAGUCCUGCCUGCUGAGUACGUGCAGUAGGAGCACCUAUUUUGAGAUACAAACCUUUAAUUAAUAUAAAAUUACUUCAAAACGGAAAACACAAAUUAAAUACUUAAAUCCCCAAGUUCCCAGUACAUGUACGUUGAACGAGGUAUCCUAAGGUCUAGUUACAAGUUUGGGAAUCGCUCACGAUUGGACGGUUAUCGCUAACCCACAAAUUUUGAAUUAUUGAAUCGGAACAUUCGGGGCUCCGAUUCACGAUCCGUGAAGUCCUACGUGAUCCUAGGAAUACCUAAAACAACAUAUUUUAAUUGGAAAACGCACAAUAUGCGAAAAUCCGUUCGAUAGUCAAACGAUGUCCGAAUUGAGAUUCGCAAAAUGCUACGCACUCGUGACAACCUGAGGAUCUCAUCAGGACAAAGUGCAACUUCACCACCCUCACCCACGCGCCGGCAGCGCGUGGGUGUGUAGAGUAAAUUCCGGCGAUGGAAAAACUCCACACCUACUUGAGGUCAGGAUCUCAUCACUCAACUACAGGGAGGUUCAAUUAGGACGGCAACUGGCCGGAAUUUCACUUUGAAAUCCAGCCAAAACUUAGGUUUUCUAAUCGGUUCCUAGACAACAAAUCGAUCUAAACCUAUGCAACAGUCAGCUAGACUAAGGAAAAAGAGGAAGAAACCUCACAUUUUUCACUGGAAUCGGAAGGGAGAGGCGACGGGGCGACGUCGGGAAGACUCGGGUUUGAACCAGUCGAUGCCGUUGACGAUUCUCGCAUUUUUCGGGGGGACUUUGGGUGGUUCGGGUUAGUGGCUUCACGACGAGUCGAACGGGACCGGUCUCGGGGGCUGGGGUGGUCGGGUGUGGUGGCGGUGUGGUGGUUUUCGUCUCGGUGAACAGUAACAGGGGAGGGUUUCGCACGCGCAGAGAGGGACUCGGGAGAGAGAGAGAGAGAGAGAGAGAGAGAGAGAGAGAGAGGAGAGAAAAGAAAAAUUAGAUUUUUACUCUCCUCUUUUCAAAAUAUUUACAAGUUUGCCACUAAUGAUGUUUUGAUCGCCAUUUUCUUGUUACAACUCCGAUUCAAGCCUACCGCAUGUCUAGGAAUUCAUCUCAGUACCACCUACCCAAAAUUACCAGUCAUGGUCCCAAACUCUUCCCGUAACAGAAAAUGACUAAAAUACCCCUACCCCAAGGGUAAAUUCAUAAUUUCACUUAAAUAAAUUAAAAAUAGGAAUCAAAUUUGGAGUCGGGGUGUUACAAAAUUGGUUAGUACGAUCCAACGGUUAAUAGAUAAAACUUUACAUAAAAGUCAUAUAUAAGGCCCUCACUAUAGAAUGACUCGUUAGUUUAGUCUCUUGUUACAUAUCAACUGUUAGAGAUAUUUUUUUAAUAAGGAUCUACCAUACCACAUAGUUGGAUAAGACAUUAUACACAACUUUUGUAAGAGCAUCUCCAGCGAGCCAGGCCAGCCCAAGCAGCAAGGGGCCUUAAGCCCGGUAAGCAGCUCCAGCGCUCAAGAUUCAGCCCAGGCAAGGUGUGGAACCCACAAGGAGAUCUGGCCCGUCACCUUGCCUUUGGGUUUCAGUCAGGCUGAUGUCAACGAAAGAAUUUCAAAAAAAUUUUGCCGUUGCAAUGCACGCGCCAACGAUAAAUUUUCUUUGGAUUUCUUGCGUUGAUCCACAGCUACCAAAAACCAACGGCUACAAGCCACGUGGCUUCUCCAAGAGCCUCUGAUCCAAAAAUCUUGUCAAAUCUAACGGCUGUCCAUUUUUUGGCUAAAAAAAUAUCAAAAAAUUAUGGAAACAUUUUCUAUAAAUACCUACAAAUAUUAUUCACUUCCCACACCAAACCUUCAUACAAAUUCAUAUCCUUUCAAUAUUUUUCACUUUCCACACAAGAUUUUCUACUACUAAAUUUCAUUUGUGUAAAAAUACAAGUGGCCUCUUCUAUCAAAGCCGGAGGCGCGUGGACAACCGUGGAAGAUAUUUUGUUGUGUGAGUGUUGGGUCAAAGUUGGUCAUUGCCCGAUCACCGGCAAUGAGAUGAAGUCCUCUCGUAGGAGUUUCUGACAUCGCAGCGAAAGUAAGAUGUGAUAUGAGAAUGUAAGGAAUUUGAUGAGAGGAAUGGGAUUUGAGGAGUUUGAUGUAGGAAUUGAUGUUGAAUUGGAUUUGGGAGGUAUGUAUAUAUGAUUUGAGAGUAUGUGUUUAGGGAUUUUGAUAGGAGGAUUUGAGGAAUUUAGAUUUGAGGGAUUUGGAUUUGGGGAAUUUAAAUAUGAGGAAUUGAUUUAGGGUUUGGGUUUGAAUAUGAGAAAUUUGAUAUGAGAGUUUAGAGACAACUGAUGAUUGAUUGCUCUAAUACCAUGCUAAAAUAUAAAUAUGGUUUGAAUACUUUAGGUUGAGUUUUAUUCUUUUCCAUAAGGAGGUAUAUAUAGCAGUUUACAUGAGUGUUUUACAAGGAAAUAGAUACAGUAAUCAAUUAGGAUAAUAUCUCCUAAUUAUACAAUAAUUUGUCAACUAUAUAGAAUAGGAAAGUAAAUUCCUUAAUUAAUCAAGAAAAUAAAUCUCAUUGAUUAAUUAAGAGACUAACGUCAACAUUUAUAAGCCAUGGAAGAGCAGAAAAAGAGGUACUUAGGAGAUUUUAUACGUCGGACUAAGGUAAGCUUAAAGGACUAUAUCAAAAAAAUAAGGGACCAAGAAGCAAGACUGAGAAGUUGUUAUGCAAACCCAUUAAGUUUAGCAGUGAUGAAUUUGUAAAAAUCAUUCUAGUGGAUGCUGCCUUCACUAUUGAGUUCUUAUUGAGGUUCUAUCUGAAAGGAUGUAGACAUGAAGGAGACCGCUUAUUAAACAAAUCAGCUCCCAUUCUUUAUUCUUGAGGAUCUUUAUCACACAUACAUAAUAACCGACUCUUUUAGGAAUUAUUACAGUACUCAUGAUCAUGAGAGGCUUUCAAUAAUUAAUAUUUCUAAGAAUUUCGUCACAGCUGGAAUAUUGAAUUUGGAGGGGAAGGGAGACAAAUGGAACAGAAUAUCAUCUUCUUCUAGUGUUGGAAAUUUUAUAUUAUUUAAUAAUAUUUAAUUUCUAUUGUGAAUGAAAAAUAAGUUUCUUUAAGAAACGUGUGUCUUAGGCCAGUUUUUCUAACUGGUCGGCUUCCUUAGAUUUGUGCCUAUUGCUUUUCAAAGUAUAAUGAUGCAAUGGUUGUAUCUCGUUCAGGCAAAUGGAAGGUAUAUAGCAAUUUAUAGAACAAUACAGUAAUCCAGAAGAAAUAUUAUGAAAUGAAAAGAAUAAAAAGUAAAAAAAGAGAAGGAAAGGAAUUCCCACCUGCAAUGUAUAUGUAUGAAAGGAAGGACCAAGUUUGUUUUAAAAUGGUAAGAACAAGUUGAUUUAUAAUUGGGUUCAGAUCAACUCAUGGAUUUCUUGCCUUUUCUAUUCUCCUUCCUUGGACAUGAACUGUUUAAUCUUGGCUCUUCCCCAUCAUGUUGGGCCUAUCUUCUUCUUGAGGAUUGUAUAGGCCCAGGAAAUGCUUCAAGAUAGUUUUUGUGUUUUGGGCAUUGGGACCUAACUUCACAAAAAGAAAACAGAUUUGGCCAAAAAACAAAUUUGAAGGACAUUGAAAUUGUACCUGUAGGAUAGGUUAAAACACUGUAAGGGAGGUAAAUAGUACGUUUACAUAGUUUAAGUGUAAUAAAGGAAUAAAAACAUGCCCAGAGGAUUGAUAAGUGAUAUCAAUUCUUGAAUAUAGAGAACGUAAAAUAAAGGAACACGUAUAAAAUUAUUUUAUGUGGUAAAACCCCAUCUCUAGGGAAAAUCCACGGGACUUCUUAGUCCAAAACAAAUCUAUUAUAGAACGAUGAUUACAAGAAGUACUCACACACUUAUCCUAGACACAUUCUAGAUAAUGUUUACUGACCUCUUCGUAACUCAACUUCUGUCACAGGAUGAUCUUUCGACACUUCUUAUGUUGAACGCAAUACUAGUCACGAUUUCUUUCAAGCUCAUUGGAGAAAAACCGCCACAACAGUCUCGGUGCCCUCAAUCUUAUGAGUCACUGAACAUGCAAAUGAAUACAAUAUGAAUGAUAAAAGUGUUUGAUAAAUCACCAAGUUAUGGAACACUUGAUGAUUUAUUUCAAGUAAAAAUUCAGCUUUCCAAAGUUUAUGAAUUGAAAAUAUGAUCGUUAAAGCUCUCUAAACAAAAAAAACGAAGGUCUUAUUUUAUAGACUUUUUCUUUACAAGAAAGAAAACACGUUGAAAACCAAAUCUCCAAUUUCAAGGCUUGACAGAAAAUCACAAAAGUAUCUUUCCUAUUCUAGAGAUUGGUCACAUGAAGUCCAACCAAUAGGAAAUGAGAUAUUUAAGAAAGGAAGAUUUUGAUCAAUAUCAAUAUCAAAUGAAUUCUUAUAUGCCUAGUCAACUAUUAAGGGUAUCUUAACUACUUGAUAUUAUGAUAUGAUUGAAACAUGAUUUCCACGUUAGAAAAUUAAGGGGAUUUUAAAACAUGAAAGUAAUAGGAGAAUCAAAUUGAUUUGGACCAAAAUUGCCUAAAAAGAAAACACUCCUAAAUAAACUUCAAUUCACUUUUAAAAACAGUAAAACUUGAUUGAAUCGUUCUUUAAAACAAUUCCCUAAUAUACAUGCAUGAUAGUGACAUCACUUACCUCUGAAUCAGAUGCCUUUUACGAGUCAAGCCACAAGUUUGUGUUUUGGGGAUUGCUGAGCUGCAUCAAUCCUGCCAAUGUCAAUUCUGCCCCUAGGCUCUCUCAAAGCACGUUUACAAUCUAUGCUAAUAUAUACUAGAGUUUAUGCUAGUAUCUAGAAAAUGCCAACACUAAUUUCGUAACACGUAGAAAUUGUUAGAGAUUGGAAGUUUUUUUCAUUUUUUUCUUCCAGACUCUCCACCACUCACUAAUACAGUUUACUCAUGUGAUGAAUUUACAAAACCUAUUUCUCUACUCUCACAAAGACUAUACUUAGGGGGGGUGUAUUCAAUUAGGAGUCUAGAGCGUUUAAAAAGAUUUUGUUUAAGUGCCAGCUUUCAUAGAACUUGAUGGAACUUUAUAAUUCGUAUAGAACUUGAUAGACUUUCAGAAGACUUCUGUAUAAUUUGUUAAUAAAACUUUCUUAAGCUUUCAUAGAACUUGAUAGGCUUUUAUUCCAGAAUUAUGUAGACAGUAUAUUUCAUUUUAUCCCCAUCCUUGUCAUUUAAAGAAAGAAACUUGAAUGUUUUCAAUCAAAUUUGUUUUUGUUACCAAAGCAAAAACAAAAAGUACUUGUUUGCGAAGGAAGAACAUAUGCACAGUUCAAAAUGAAAAGAAUAAGAAGCAAAGUACCUAUUGGACCAAUGAAUGCUGUGUCAACUAGAGAAGCAAUUGGAUCGGCUGUCAAAGCCAAUGCUACAGGCAAUGCAUCGAUGGUCCAAAUUGCAAUAAAAAAUAUUUUGUAUAAUGGUUCUUGCAGACAAAGACCACAUAAAUUCUGGACUGGUCCAGCUUGAAUAAUAAGGUUAGAUUAGCCGAUGGAUGAGAGUAAAAGCAAAGAAAGUUGAUGAAUUCAUCACCAAUUAUUUAAUAACUGUAACAUCCCACAUUGACCAACGGAGAGGGGGUGAUGUGCCUUAUAUGUACAUGCCCACUUCCAUCUAGCAUGAGUCCUUUUGAGAGCUCACUGGCUUCGGAGUCAUGGGAACUCUGAAGUUAAGCGAGUUGGGGCUAAAGCAAUCCCAGGAUGGGUGACCCACUGGGAAGUUGCUCAUGAGCUUUAGAAACAAAAAUCAUGAGGGCAUAAAGGGAGGCCCAAAUUGGAUAAUAUCGUGCUACGGCGGAGCCGAUCCCAGGAUGUGACAAUAACCAAUAGAGUAUUUAAACAUAAACAACAAUGUUUGAUAAACAAAACAAAUAGUCCAAAUAUUAUCCAAAAAACAAUUCUAAAACCAAUCAUUCCAAACAAACUAGUCAUUCCCAAAAACUCUCAAAAAACCCACUCAUUCCAAAUUAUAGGAUAUCCAAUUUGAGCGCUCCUCAGGAGACAUUUUCAAAAAUGCAUCCUUUUUUGUGUUACUAUGCAACAAAGAGAGCGCUUUAUAAUGAGCACGUUCAUCCAAAUUUGAGGUCUCCUUAAUGGCAUCCCACAUAUAACUCUGCUGCUCUCGCUCUUUUCCCCUUUUUGCCAAUAGGUUAUGGACCUCCCGGAAGUCGGUGACAAUUGAAUCAAUGCUAAGGCUAAUUCUUCCCAUAGCUUGUUGGGUGGUCACAUUUGAGAUGGCAUUCCCUUCCAAAUCUAUUCUAGUUCGUUUCCUCUAGUAACAAGCAUAAAUCCUAGUAACAAGCAUAAACCCUAAUCCCAACCUAUAACCUAAUAACAAGAAAAACACGAUGAAAAAAAAAUCAUGGAAAAAGAAAACCCAACGAGGUAUUGAUCAAAAAAAAAAAUAGGGAGCAUACCUUCACAGAUGGAGGAAGGAAGCUGUUUGUCUUCACAGAGAGAAAAGCUAGGGAAAGAGAAAAACGUCUGAUGAAAUACUUUGGGGGGAGGUUGGAUUUCUUUUGGUCUUUGAUAUUUAUAACUCUCCCCUUAAAACCUACAAAAAUUUAUCACUUAAUGAAAUCCUUCCAAAUAUAUGACCUUUCGAAUACACCUAGAUUUGAUUCAACUUUUUUAUAAUCCUAAUUGAAUACACCCAUAUUUGAGUGGACUUUUUAAAAGUUCAUAUAAGUCCGAAUUGAAUACACCCAGACUUGUAAAACCUCUUUUAAAGUUUGUAUAAAUCCAAAUUGAAUACACCCGGAUUUUUAAAAUAUUUUUUAAACGCUUUAUAAUCCUAAUUGGUACAUCCCCCUUAUUCUCAAAAGACUAUAUCACUUUACCUCUAUCUCUGUGAAAUGUAAAAAGUUGAAACUUUAAUGUCAAACCUCGACAAAAGAUGAACUUCCAUCAGUUGCGUUGAAUUUGGAUUUGUUGAACUAAAGUGGUUUUACUUUCUCUGUCAGUGUUUGAUGACUUAAUUUGGUAUUUACUUCUUUUUUUCCUUGGAAAUGUGUUCCACCAACGUGAGGAAGAAAAAUGUGCACAAAUUAAUAUAUUUAAUAAAAGCCCAAGAUUUCGGAAGCACAUAAUUUCUACAAAAAUCUAGAAAGUGUUCUACUUUACAAACUUCUUAUGUCUAUCAAUUUCUACUAAAAUUAAUUUCUCUGUGGUGCUCAGAUUCAUCAUAUGUGUGUCCUUAAUUUUAUUGGAAAUUAGAAGUUUCCAUAAUUUUUAUUUUUUGGGAAUUUUCUGAACCAAGAAAAAUCAAGUAAAAUUAAUAAAGCUUAAAUUGGAAAGGGAAAAUAUCUAGAGGACGCAUUGUAGGAUUUCUCAUGCCGAUAAUUGUACCCUCUAAAUAUAUAGGGACAUAUUUUUUUUGUUUUCAUGACAUGUGGUCCUAAAAUUAUUGUUCCUAGCGGGCUCUCCACCCCCUCUCAAAUUUACGUGGUCCAUUAUGAUUAACCAUAUAUUUUAUUGACCAUCCAGCUGUGAGGUUUUAUCCCAAAAACCUUAGGUACAUUUCUCAAUUAUGUCUGAUACAUCACAUCAUGCCACAAUUGUAUAUUCACAAUUAUGUCUGAUACAUCACAUCAUGCCACUUGCCUCAAAUGAAUUUAAGUGAGUGUGGCAGUGGGAAGUAAUUACUUCUAGGUGCCCCUCAUCAUUCGUCUAUAAAAUGGUGAAGCCAGUGGCUAUAAGAGCCAGCUCCAACUUUCUUUUAUUCGUCUAUAAAAUGGUGAAGCCAGUUGCCAAGUUAAUUUCAGUCCUAAUGGGGUUUCAUCUCCCACUCAUCUUUGCUAUUCUCAGUGUAAGCUCUGCAAUUUGAUUAACUUUUCCAUUCUCUCUCAUUGUACUCUAUAUAAACGAAAGUUUUGUGUUCCUAUAAUUCUCUUUGAUUUUAUUUAGUACGUACUUAAGUGUCGUCCACUAAUUAAUUACAGUUUGUGAGAUUUGAUUUUAAUUAGAGUUCGAAUUAAUGUUGCAGCUAGCAGUGGUUGCACUGGCAAACCAUGCUGCUCAACCAGCACCUCAACUUUACUGGAACUCCGUCCUGCCAAACACACAAAUGCCAAGAUCUAUCAGUGAACUUCUGCAUCCUGGUUUGUGUUGAGCUCUUUAGAAUCUUAGAUAUCUCUUCUACCUGCCAUUUUACUAAAAUAUGUUCGACCACAUAUUUAUCAGUUAACUACUGUCAUUACAUGAGUGACACUUAUUCACAAAUCGGCUGAUCACUUAUUUUCCAUUUUACAUGAGUGAUAUAUAAUUUGCAGACUCCACAAAUGAAGAAAAUAUCGUGAAUGCUGUUGGGAAUGGAAAGCGCAAACCUGAAAUUUUCCCAUUGAGAAAUAUAAAUUACGUUCAAAGCCAUUAUGGAGUGUUAAAUAGAAAUUACGUUCAAAGCCAUUAUAAAAAACGUCCUCCUCCACCUGAAAAUAUCCCAUUUGCAAAUCGAAAAAAGUACGCACUAGGUUCUCCUCCAUCUGACAAUCAACUACUCCAUUAUAAAGAGUUAGCUAUUUUCUUCUUCGAGAAGGACAUGCGCCCUGGCGCAACAAUGAAGUUCCAAUUCCCUAGAAAUUCAAACACGGCUACUUUCCUGCCACGCGAAAGUGCUCAAUCGAUCCCCUUCUCCUCUAACAAACUACCAGAAAUUUUCAACCAUUUUUCAGUGAAGCCAACAUCUGUGGAAGCCAAAACAAUUAAGCAAACAAUCGAAGAGUGUGAAGCUCCAGGCACUAAGGGAGAGGAAAAAUAUUGCGCCACAUCUUUAGAAUCAAUGGUUGAUUUUAGCACUUCGAAGCUUGGAACAAGAAACGUUGAAGCAGUCUCGACGGAGGUAUUGGAAAAAGGAGCCACCAUGUCCAUGCACAACUAUACAACAAUGCCGGGACUGAAGAAGUUGGCAGGUGACAAAGUCGUUGUGUGUCAUAAGGAGAACUAUCCCUAUGCUGUGUUUUUCUGCCAUGCAAUAAAACAAACAGCAGCUUAUGUUCUCUCCCUGAAAGGCGAUGAUGGGGAGAAGGUUAAAGCAGUAACCAUCUGCCAUCUAGACACAUCAGAAUGGAACCCAGAGCAUUUGUCCUUCCAAAUCCUCAACGUUAAGCCCGGAACCGUUCCCAUCUGCCAUUUCAUUUCCACUGAUGCUAUUGCCUGGGUUCCAAAACACAAAUUUGCAUGAUCAUCACUUAGCACUGUGGUGUAAGAUAUAUGAUGAGAUAAAGUUUUUGGUAUUAGUGGUCGGGUUGCCUGAAAAACACAGAUUACAGAAACUGCUUGAAAUUAACCCGAUCAUGUUUUCUCUUGUAAGACUUCAACUUGUACUCCUAAAGCAAGUUAUAUUUAUGAAGAGAUAUUAAUCUAUAUAUAUUUUAUGUAUAUAUAUAUAUAUAUAUAUAUGCUUUGGCUUUGUGGUUCUACCCAGUGUUUGAGUGUUGAAUUGUUACGUUGGAAUAGGCUGAUAAUGCGUGUAGUUAGAGAAGCCUUCAUUUAUAUCAAAGUCCUCAAACUAUCAAGAACUAAUGUAUCCAGAAACAUAUACCAAGACGCAAAACAACAUAUUUUCCAUGCUCUGUCUGUAACGCCAAAGCAAACUUCCUUUAUCACAUCAUUUAAAGGAUCAAAUUCCAGUACUAAUCUAAUCCAUCAUGUAAAGCAUACAAGUGCCUCCCUAAAUUUGUCCAUUGGAUAUAAAUGUUGAGAAAAUUAGAGUACACAACUCUAAUAUGAUAGUUGUACACAACUCUAAUAUCAUAAAGCAAACAAAAUUUCUAAGUUAGUUUGCUUUAUGAUAGUUGUUUUUUGAAGGGGUCCUUAGAUCCUAUCUCAAAAAGUUUGGCUUUUAUUAGGUUUAACUCUGGUUUUUAUCUCUACCCACUAACUUUUAUCUCUCAUUUUUAUUACCCAUUUUACCCUUUAAAAUAAAUAGGGCAAUAAACUAAAAAUUCUGAUUUAAUGCAUGUUUUACUCAUAAGAGAACUAAAAACUAAAAAUUCUAUACUCUAACACAAAAAAUGAAAACUAAAAACUAAAAUUGAAAUGGUUUCAAGCAAUUGCAUGUCAGGCGCUAUAUAUAAUGUAUUAGCCAUGGUUUGUUUAAUACGCGGUCAUUCGUCAUUUUCCCAUUCAAAAUAUUGAAAUUACGAACUACAUACCAUGAAAGAUAAGAAACUAAAAGCUUCAAGCAAAUAGAAAUGUGCUACAAACAUAGUAAUGAAGAUGUGGAAGCAUUAUCUCAGACGAAUGAUUCUGAAGUGGAAAAAACAAGAACAAAAAAGGAAGUGAGUUAAAUUUGCACCUGCUAUGUUCAAACGACAAAGUUGGUUUCCCUUUGGUCGAUUACAAGAGAAGCUCAAUGCAGCUUACUUGGUUCCUCUGGUAGAUGAAAAUAUAAUUUUUCUCCUAAUAAUAAGGGUAUAGUGCAAUCAAUGAUGGGCUGUAUAGAACAACUUUUUUGUUUUAUGUGUUUAUGUGAGACAUGUUUUGCCAGAUUGAAUUAAUGUCUUCUAGCCAUGUACCUUAUCUUUUUGCCGGGCCAUGAGUUGAAUGUAGAGGCAAAGUAUGGACUUGGGGUCAAGUUUGACUUGUAAAAUAAUUAGGAAUUGAAUGGCUCCUACGUUCAAUUAUUUUAAUUUUUUUUCCCGAGCCAUUCAAUUCCUAAUUAUUUAGAUUUUCGAUUUAGUGAGCAUCCACAAUCAUGCUCUCUAUUUUUAAGUUAAAUUUUAGUUAAAAACAUAUAAAAGUUAUUUAGGAGCUCUCUAUAAAAUUUAAACUUCAAUCGUUUUCUAUAGUUUAGGGAGUCAUAAAUGUCAUAACUCUUUUUUGAUUGGUCCAUCUCUAUUAAAAAAUAAAAUAAAAAAUAGUUAGCAUGAAAUAAAGGUUUGAAAUACUCAUUAAAUAAAGCAGCAUUAAAUUAUAGGGAGCCACUAAGAGUCCUUUCUCUCUCCUCAAGUUUAGGAGCUCCUAGAGGUCUCCCUAUUUUAAGAGGUGGAUAGGGAGUAUGGUUGGAAUUGUAUUUUUACAAUUCCUCCCUAAAAAUUUUCUAUGGAUAGGUGGUUUUAAGGAACCCAUUGUGGAUGCUCUGAUCUCAAAGAAAGAAAACCUCGAGUUUGCAAGCAAGUUUUCUACGUAUGUAUAUAUGAAAAACUGACAUUUAUGAAAAUAAUAAAUCCAUAUUUUUAUGUAAGCCAACUUUCUAAAUCCAUGUACUAUAUUUAUUAGGGAAAUAUUGGAGAAACUGAUUAUUUUGAAAAAUUAAAUGUGAAAAACUGAACAAAAAUUUGACAGGUUACAUAUUUCAACUCAUUCAGCAGCUUAGGUUGUGAAGACCUCAGAAGAGGCUAUGCAAUGAGCCUAGCUAGUGCACUGUUGAUCACUUCAGUGUUUACCGAUCUGUAAUUUUUCCAGAUUGGUUAUAUUUUCCUUUACAUAUUCUUAUAUUUUUCCCAGUUGGGGAGACUUAUAAAUAAACCCAAAAUGGGUACAAUAUCUAUACAGAAGGACAAAAUUAAAGUGUUUGGACAAUAAUCCCCUAUUCAUUUUGGGAUUGCCUAAGGAAUUCUUUUUCUGAUUUUCAAUGAUGCAAAGGACUGUUGUUUGAUGCUUGCCGUAUGGAGCUAAGAAAACUUGCUUUGAUAGUUUUGGACAGAUGCAAGCUACUGUUGUUGGUAGGGGUGGGCACGGUCCGGAUUGGUUCGGUUUUACUCUCAAACCACAGCUGAACCAAUAAGAAAAUAACGGUUCGGUUUGGUUCGGAUUAGCCUAAAAUCAUAAUGGAAACCGAACCAAUCCAAACCACUUGUAAUCGGUUUGGUUCGGAUUGGUUCGGCCGGUUUGUGCCUAACACAAAACCAUGCAUUUUUCAACCUGCUCUUACAUUAUAAUGCUAACAUUUUGCCAUUAUAUCAUUCCAUUCCAUUCCAUCAAAGGCUAAUACAACAUCAUUCCAUUUAUUCAAAGGUUGUCCAAUGUCUAGCAUGCAUCUAAGUUCACAAUUUCCAUCAAAACAAACAUAUACAUAAUUUGCAUUAACCAAGUAGCAUUACAUUUACUCAUUGCAUUCAUCACAAUUCAUAAGAGAUGAGAACGAAUCAAUUUUACUUUAACAUAUUAAACAAAUGCAUUCUUUGUAAUAGUUAAACAUUCUCACAUCAUGAAUAUCGGCAAGCUUAUAAAGCUGCUGCACCAACUUGCUAAUUGAUUCGUCUGUACCAGGAACAACAGUAGUAAUGCGAGAGAACCCCUCAACUUCUGCAUGGCCAACAGCUAAACUCUGGAAACGAGAAACCAGCUCAAUUAUAACAAAUGCCUAAAACUUCUACCUUAACAGAAGACAAAGGAGGAAAUAACAGCAGAAGGAAACCAAAUUUCUCAAUUUAAUAACUGAUAUUUCCAAAGGAUUCUUAAGUCUAAAAUUCGACCAAGACUUGAUUAACUAUUCCAAUGUCUAGCAUGCAUCUAAGUUUAUAACUUUGUUCCUUCUUUAACAAAAAGAACAAGGAGAAAAAGCUAAUAAUAAGGUAUCCUUCUUUAACAGGCAUCAAGCAUAUCACAUAAGCAACAUUUUAUAUACAUUAUUCUAUGAACAAAACUAAAUCAAAGCAAGGUAUGCUACAGUCUUUUUGUACAAUAAAAUAGAUUAACAUAUUUUAUAACCAUAAAAAUGAAAAAUUAGGCCUCAUAGAAAAUACCAUUUUAUUUUUCAACUCUCUAACUUUUUAUAUAACCAGUUAUUGGAGACAAUACAAAAAAUAAAGUAGUAGACAGAACUAGCAUAUUUUACAAACCCAGCUGAUGAUGACGAUCCACCACCAACAAUAUUCCCAUAAUCAAUCCUUGCAUAACCUGAUGGUCGAUGAUGGAACUUGGGUUUUGUAGAGAUGGAUUUCGCUGAGGACAAAUGGGUGGGUUUCGCCGAGUUCGAAUCAUGUUGGCUUGAGUUAGCGUCGAGGGAGAGGGAGAGGGAGAUGUAGCAGAGAGACAAAGAGAGAGGGAGAGGUAGCAGAGAGAGAUGGAGAAAUAAUGAGAGGGAGUUGCGGCUAGGGUUAAGAGACGAAGGAAGGGAGAUAGGAGAGAGGCUCUUCUGAGGGAGAGAGAAUGGUUAGAUAACUUAGAUGUGUCCGUGAGUUGUAGUUUUGGAGUCCAAUCAAGUGUUGCAGGGUACAUGGUACACUCUUAAAUAACCACUCAAACCUUGCCACAUGUAAACUAAAUUAAAUAAAUAAUAAAUUGAUUUAUAAUCGGUCCGGUUCGGUUUAGGACAGUUUUUAAAACUCUCAAACCACAGCUGAACCAAACCAAACCGGUUCGGUUCGAUUUUUCAAAAUGUUGACUUUUUCUUUGGUCAAAACCAAACCAAACCAAUCCAAUAUAAUCGGUUCGGCUGGAUUGACCUGAUCGGCCAGAUUGAUGCCCACCCCUAGUUGUUGGGAUGAUCUUUUCACGUGAAAUGAGGAUGACGAUACUUCUACACUACACAAUCCAACGAAUUCACAUUUCUAUUUCAGAUACAUGUAUAAACAGACAAGGCUUUAAAAUAUGGGAUGCUGCACUGUUGUUGCUGCUGCUGACACUGUUACUGUGUUGCUGCUACUGUUACUGCGCUGCUACUGGAAGAAGGACAAGGACUUCACAUGUUGCUUUCGUCCUUUGUGGAGGAGAGAGACCUAGGACUUGCAUGUCUUAGAUAUUUAAGAUAAGGGGCUUUCGUGCCAUUUUGAAAAUACUUUGGGUGUUUUUGAAAGCUGCUUGUUUCUUUUGGGUUUCUCACUAAAUUUCGCUAUUAGAAGGGAAAAUAAUAAUAAUAAAAAUACAGCUCUUAUUAGCAACAGGGUUACAAAUUCUUCUACAACACACCAACUGUUGUAAAAGUUUGAAGGUGGAGCCCACAGAGGAAGUUUCCUUGCAUCUUCCAGGAACUUUCCCUUCCCUGUAUUUAUCAAUUCAGGAAGUUUCCUUGCAUCUUCCAGGAACUUUCCCUUCCCUGUAUUUAUCAAUUGAGGAAGUUUCCUUGCAUCUUCCAGGAACUUUCCUUCCAUGUAUUUAUCAAUUCAGGAAGUUUCCUUGCAUCUUCCAGGAACCUUCCCUUCCCUGUAUUUUACCAAAACCUUAGCCUAUAAAUAGGCUUGCUCAUUCACUUGUAAUACACACCAAAAUGAAGAGAAGAAUGAGUGAGGAAAGAAAGAAAGGAAGAGAAGGAAGAAAGAGGGUGAGUAAGUAGAGAGAAAAAUAGAGUGGAGAGAAAUUAGUGAGCCACAUAUAUUGUAAACACUAAAGUUGUAGCCCUAUUAUUUUACAUAGUGGAAAAGUUACUACUGCUGCUCUCCGGGGACGUAGGCAUAGCCGAACCUCGUUAAAUACUGUGUCUCAUUUACUUUACGUGCAGCUCAAUAUUCAUACAUAUUCCAGGUUAUUUUUAUAACACGUUAUCAGCACGAGAAGCUCUCAGGUAUAAUUUUUGUGCUGCACUAUUAUCUAUACUACUAACCACUAACAAAAAUGGACCCUUGGUAAUACUAAACAUAUUAUCAGUGGGAGACCGUUACUAAUACUAACUUUUUCUUAUUUUAUUCGGUGGUGGUUUUAACCCCACAUUUAUUUACUGUAUGGUGUAGGUUUAUUACCCAUACAUGCACCUUUACUUUAUCGCAAAUUUAUUUUACCGCAUAUUUAUUUUAUUUACUGUAUGGUGUAGGUUUAUUACCCAUACAACAGUAUUUAUUUAAAAGGGUGGUGCGAGUUUAUCGUCCACGCCUUUGCUUUUAUUUAAAUGUAUGGAGCAGAAUUAGUGCCCAUACAAGCACAAUUUACUUUACCGCACAUUUAAUUUUAUUUAAAGUAUGGUGCGGGAUUAACGUCCAUACAGCAAGCAAUUUAAUUUAUGAAUUUAAUUUACCGCACAUUUACAUUUAUUUAAAAGGGUGGUGCGGGUUUAUCGUCCACGCCUUUACUUUUAUUUAAAUGUAUGGAGCAGAAUUAAUGCCCAUACAAGCACCUUAACUUUAUGAAUUUAAUUUACUGCACAUUUACAUUUAUUUAAAGUGUGGUGCGGGUUUAUCGUCCAUACCAGUAAUUUAUUUAUCAGCAAUUUAUUUUAUGGAUUAAUUGUUUAUUUAUCAGCAAUUUAUUUUAUGGAUUAAUUGUGCUGUAUGAUGAGUUUUUCCAGUAUGCAGAUCAGGACCAGAAGUUCCUUGAUCCUCAUCAUACAAUUACAUCAGGACUUGAAGAUCCUUGAUGAUGAUAUUAAAAUGAGAGCUGGCAGUCUCACCGGUACUGUAUUUGUAAACAUGUGAUUGGACUUAAAGGUCCUUGAUCCCUGACAUGUAAAUAAGGACCUAGAGUUCCUUAAUGAUGUAACAGUACCGUAUUGGUUCAUAGUGCCGUACACAUUGAUGAUAACUGUACUGGCAGAUGAAUAGAUACGUAUUCAUGACUUGAUGAAUAGUACUAUUCACAUGAAUAGUGACGUAUGCAUAAAUAUUAACCAUUUUGGGUAAACCGUCACUAUAUACAAAAGGGAACCUGCAGUUCCUUAAACUCAUGGAUGAGCAAUUAAAUGAGAUGCCAGAAGUUCCUCAAAAUAUGGACAAUUAUGUAAGGGCUUGAAGUCCCGAAAUAUGUACAGAAAAUUGUAAAAAUGUCCAUACCAUGAGAAUAUGUGGCUUUGGCCUGAAGUUCCAAAUUUAACAGUGUUGAGAACCUGAAGUUCCAACAAUUAAAUGGACAACCCUUGAGGUAUUAUUGCAAAUUGUGGUAUGCCACAUAUUUCUUUGGCAUAAGAAGAUGAUGAAUUUAAUAAAGUUCGAUUUUGUUAUAAUCGACACCUCAAGGAAGAAAUAUAUUUUGUGAAUUCCGGUUGUUAAGAAUACACCGCGAAAUGGAUAAUAUUAAUAUAAACCUCAAAUAAUGAAUUGAGACUCCCCACAUAUUUUGUUAUAUCUGGGCCGGAAGCCCAUGGAUCCAAAUAUAUGAGAGAUCCUAAACUUGAAGUUGUGGGUAUAUAGUAGUUAAUGCUCUUCACUACUAUAUUGCGAUAUUAUCAUGGCUUUUACUCAAUUCAUAUUUCAUGUCCAUUUGAAAAGGGCAAAUAAAUUCUGAGUUUGUGCCCAGGCCAUAAGUUCCGGGCUACCAUACGUUGAAAUAUGAAAUUUGGGAGAGUCGAUGUGGUUAUUUGAACCUAUAAGGCACAAGGUUCCAAAUCGUCAUUUUGAAAAGACGUAAAAACCAAAGGUGCAAGUUUAAGAAUGUGCGCAAUUAUUAUUACAGGAACAUACAACAGAUAGAUUUUUUCCACUUGCAAUGAAGGUGCAGGCCCUGUAAAAUCUAUAAAAUUACAUUAUGUUCUGGAAGCCUCUGAAGGAAGAGGACGGCGCCUCUUAAGCUUAGCCAUGAGCUUCUCAUGGUCUCCCAAAAUUCUUUCAUUGGAGACCUGCAGCAUGUCUAGCCUUCUCAGUGUAUCAACAGAGUACGAACUCACCAGUUUCAACAAGGAAUUAUUCUCUCCUUUAAGUUUCUCAACCUCCUGUUGAGACUCAUGAAGCAUUCUUUGGAGAGACGAAUUUUCAGUUGUUAAAUUCUCAACCUCGUUUGCUCUGGCACGCAAACGAUCAGCCAUGUUAGAAACAGAAACAGCACUCUGAAUGCUAAAAGCCAUUGAGUCAUCAAUAGCCUCUUCCUCUGAUCUCCCCGUCAACAACAUUUCAUCCAUUGGAGUAAUGAAAUUCCUAGCUACUAUGACAGCAGUAGCAUCAUUCAUCAUCACAGAAUCAUUAACUGUGAGAUGACGAUUUUUGGAUACAAAGGAUGGACGCCAAACUUGGGCGUCACUGGUAGUUGUGGGAGUAUCAUUUAAAUUGAAAUAAUUUGGGCAGGAAGAAGAGGAAGCCAUUUUUAAGAAGGUUUCGAAGAAAGCCUUAGGAAAACUAAAGUUUCAUAAAAUGAAGGAAGUUAAGUUGAAACGCAAUUGCUCCAAUCAAGUUUUGCAAAGGCAAUAUCUAUAGACGAAAAUAUGGCAAUAUCUUCAGGAUUCCAAUAUCUUCUCGAAUCCCCAUAUUAUCUUUUUCUUUCCCAGAGUCCAAAACUUCACGUGGCCUCUAAUAAUGCCUGUCGGCACUUUCGGCGUUUUUCAAAGUAUUAUUUUCAAAGCCGAUCUUGCUUUACGGAUUUCACGGAACUACUUUUUCAAAAGUAUCCCGAGAAUCUCGCAAUUUUCCUAUGGUUAAUUUGAAAUUCACCGGUUCUACCUAUUUAUUGUAUUUAUGUAUAAAUGUGUUACUAACGAAAUUUUCUUUGCAAAAGACAUCCAGUUUUCUCCAUACCUAGUGAUGCGAUAUCUACUUAUUUUUCUUAUCAGUGAGCACUUAAUAUGCCUGAGAAGCAAGACUAUCUCUGAUCAUACAUUCAGGAAGCAAGACUAUCCCUGAUCAUGUUUCCGCUACAUUAGGGAACUGUGAAGGUGACCUUAUGCUCCAAUCUCCUGAGGUCUUUCUAGACUAGGAGAAAUGAGAGCUUGUUGUUUGCUCCCACCAGCUUCCUUCCUUGAUUGCUUACCUUACCUUGCAAUCAAUAUCACAAUCUUUUUGCAUUUUUUCUCUUUUUAUAACUCUCUGUUCAUAAGAGAUUUUAUUUCUUUAGAAUGAACAUCUGAAGAAUGAAUCCAUGAAGUAAUCCUAACUAUGAGGGUUAUUUGUUUUGACAGAGGCAAAAGAGUUGUGAUUUUUGCUCUUGCAGGAUAUAACUAGAUCAUCAAGCGCUACAUUAUAUUUACUGGGCUGAUAUGAGCUUGAAUGAUACUUGAGAAAAGUUUCUCCCACCUAAGGAUGUAAGCAAUACUUGUGUUAUUUUAUGCUUAUAUACCUAUUUGAUAUUUUAUCUUGAAAGGUAACUAAAUGGGGAGAUAAGUCCGUUCCAAAAGAAUGACUUGUAUGUAUCCAUGAAUUAUUAAUGCAAAUUUUACAGAUUGCAAGUUGGAUACAUUGAUAAUACACUGCACAGAUUAAAGUCCCAUAAGAACAGAAUAUGGGUAUAGCAGUGAUCAAUAUGAUGCACGCCUAUUGCGUAGCAAAUGAUAUGGAUUGAAGUCCCGAAAGGACAAUCCUUUGACAUUUCAAUAUUGAUAUUAUGCACGCCUAAUGCGUAGCAAAUUAUAUGGGUUAAAGUCCCAUAAUAUGGGUUAAAGUCCCAUAAAUUAAUUGACAUGUAUGUAUUAAUCUGUGGCAUGCCUGCAGCAUGACAGAUAUAUGGGUUCUAAAUGUUCCAACUCCCUAAAUGGAGAUUAUCCACGCCCUACUAUAAAAUAACGCUCCAUUGGAGGUUAUAAUCCACAUUCUCACAUAAUAAAAGCCCCCUGCAGUGGCUUGGGUACCCAAAAGCAAAGAAAUGCUUAUAAUUGAUGCAUGCGCAUGCACAUGAGAAUGGUGGGAUCAUGAAUUGAUGAAUGACAAUUUUUGAUCAUGAAUUGAUGAAUGACAAUUUUUGGUUUUAGAGUAGCUACUCAAAUCAUCAAUGGGCUGUGUUGAUUGGAACCACGUUCAAUUAUUAAAUGUCGACAAUAUCAUUGGCCAAAAUGGAACGAGGUAAUUCCAUUAUAAAUGAGAAUGAACGUGAAAGAACAAACCCACAAUACGAACCCCAAAAUUUGUUAAUACUAAAAGUUAUACUUGGGUGUUCGGAAUAAAAGGAAAUAUAUCUACUUUGUAUGACACACUGUUUCUGGCAGAAACAAGGAAUGUUGGGUUUUCUCCAUAUUUACAGAUUCAAUUGUGCCCCCCUUAUUACACAAUUACGGAGACCAACAUAUUAUCUUUAAGGGUUAUUAAUGCACAGAGCAUAUCGCCAGAAGCGAUUUCCUAAAGAUGUAUAAAUAGCUGGGUAAAAGCUAUAUAAUGUGUCAUAAAGUUUAAUCCCUUUUAACCAAAAUCUGUUGAGAGGAUUGAUAUUGCAUAGAGCAAGUCCCUAAAGAACAUGUGCUUGAAGCACAAAAUUUGUACUCAAUAUUAAUAUGCAUAAAUUACCUCAGUGAGUACAUUGAUUAUAAUGUGAUUGCAACACAUUAAAGCUUCUGCAGAAUUCAUGAAAUAUUUGUCUCGAUCGAGCAUUAUGCCAACGAGAUUCUUGCUUAUACUAAGAAAGUAUUAAAGUAUUUUUAUGAGGAUUAUCCGUUGGACACUUUAAUGAUUUUCCGGAAGUAUAUUGGACCGGACAUCAUAUUUUCCAGAUAGGGCUCAACUCCAUCACCAUCAUUUUGGGAUGAUGUGAGGUAUAUUUGAUGCUAUCUAAGCAUAACACCAUAUAGGGGCAUAUUUUUUUAGUGAACUUAUAAAUAGCCCAAGUGUUCUAAGAUAUGCGGACUCAGGAAAUCUCUAUGGUCGCUUACUGGAAAAAGCUAGUCAUGAAGUUUUCAGGGGGAGAUAUUCAUCAGGGAGAGCAUGGUAUUAAUAAAGACCUUCAUACACUAUUGACUCACAGCAGCAGUGUCAACUAUGAUAUUCAGACAGAUGAUCAACAGUAUGGCUUAAAGAUAUUUUGCCAAGCAUCAGGGGGAGCGUGCUGUCAAUACAGACCCUUACCCACUGUACUCUUUUUCCUUCGUCCAGGUUUUUAUCCCACUGGGUUUUUCCUGGCAAGGUUUUAACGAGGCAGUGUCGCACGCGCGUCAAUAUACACAGAAUUUUAUGUUACACGUGAUUAUGUACUCUUUUUCCCUUCGACCAGUUUUUGUCCCACUGGGUUUUUACUGGCAAGGUUUUUAACGAGGCAUAUUCCAUAUCAUUUGUGGUCUCCAAGGGGGAGUGUUGUAAAAGUUUUAAGGUGGAGCCCACAGAGGAAGUUUCCUUGCAUCUUCCAGGAACUUUCCCUUCCCUGUAUUUAUCAAUUGAGGAAGUUUCCUUGCAUCUUCCAGGAACUUUCCUUCCGUGUAUUUAUCAAUUCAGGAAGUUUCCUUGCAUCUUCCAGGAACCUUCCCUUCCCUGUAUUUUACCAAAACCUUAGCCUAUAAAUAGGCUUGCUCAUUCACUUGUAAUACACACCAAAAUGAAGAGAAGAAUGAGUGAGGAAAGAAAGAAAGGAAGAGAAGGAAGAAAGAGGGUGAGUAAGUAGAGAGAAAAAUAGAGUGGAGAGAAAUUUCUCCAAGAGAGAAAAAUUAGUGAGCCACAUAUAUUGUAAACACUAAAGUUGUAGCCCUAUUAUUUUACAUAGUGGAAAAGUUACUACUGCUGCUCUCCGGGGACGUAGGCAUAGCCGAACCUCGUUAAAUACUGUGUCUCAUUUACUUUACGUGCAGCUCAAUAUUCAUACAUAUUCCAGGUUAUUUUUAUAACACCAACAUCAAUCUAGCCCUGAUCCACUCUUUUACAUACUUGAAAACAAAACAAAACACGAAAAACAAAAAACAACAGGGAGAAAAUGGCUCCGGAGAGACUUACUGCUAAUACUUGAUCAAUAACAGAGAUAAUAGAGCACACUGUUUGUAUGGCAGUGAGUAUCAGAAGAAUAAUAGCUGCCCAAGGUGUGUUGAAAUACUUUUGUCUCAAAUUUGCCUUCCAUAUGUUCGUGGUCUUCUCGCAAUACUCGUUUAGUUUGCCAGCAAGAUCACCAAAAUAGUAGUUUCCCUGGUUAAUCAUAAUGGAAACCUUACUGUUGUCACCUAGCGUGUUUACAACAAUUCCAUUGUCAACAAGCAACUCUACAUCCUUUGGGGUGUUUACAAAUUUAUCCAGGAUGAAAACAUAAUCGCUUAAUUAUUUAUUAACGCAAUGGCAUUGUUCAAAGGCAAUGAGAUUUCUAAGUGUAAGCUCUGUGUAAUCAUGUAUUUCAAUUUUUGGAAUUUCCAAGGUGUUUUUCAAGAACUGUAUAUCGAAUAAGUUCUUGCUUGAUUCAACGUUAAACUUAACUCCGGCCUGGUGUAGUUUUGUCAUGCCGGGUGUACUUUGGAGCCCUACAUUUUCUUUUAGGGUUGGAUCUGGCAGAUGUAAAGUUCUAAUAAAAUCAACAAAUUGUACAGGUUUUUUAGGAUCAGGAGGCAUAAAAGACUUACGGAAGGCUGGUGAGUUCUCCAAGUUUUCUAAACGCAGUGCCUGUUGGAAGAACCUGUAAGAGAGUUCAAUUAUUGAAGGCUCCCCAGUCUGGGCACCUGUAAGAUUGUAAAGAUCCUCGAGAAUGAAAAAUGGCAGCUGAUUUUCUAGCAUAAGCAUGUCAGGCAAUAUAUUUUGUAGCACCCAUGGUUUUUUAAAUAUCCAAGCAUUAUCAUCCGGCAAUUUUUCUUCCUGAAAUUUUUCUUCGGAUUUAUUCCUCAACAAUAGCUCAAUGACAAAGGCGGCAUCAACUAGAAUGAUAUUCACAAAAGCGGCAAUGUUAAACUUCUUAGUGUCUUCAUAAUAAUGACGGAGUUCAACUUCUCUCUCCUUUAGGUACCUGAGUUUGUGAUCUUCCAUGGCUUCUAAGUUUUUGCUGCCAUGGUGAAGUGGGCCUAUUGAGACUACUUGUGGUGUGUAGGCCUUUUGUUUUACGUUCCGUAGUCGCUCAGGCACCCUGUAGAUACUGCAGGCAGGGGACAGGGCACGGAAGUUUGUCAACUGAUUUUCCAUGGAAGUUGCUUGGUUUUCUAUGUCAAAAGAAGCUUCAUUGCUGCUUUCUUCCACUUUCUUCCUCCGCAUUAUGUGUUGUUCUGAUUGUAAGUGACGAGGAUGGUGAUGAUUCUAGACACCAUAAUCAACAAAUGUUUCAAUCAUAAUUGACAUUUCAAGAUGCUCCGACAAAAAAUUAGAAAACAUUCAUCACAAAAUGCGAACUCAUACAACAGAUGGGUUGAGAAGAUCCACACAUUGCAAUCAUACAAUCCAAUUGAACAGGGAUUACUCCCUAUUCUCCUCUCUCUCUAAAAAAGAUUUUCAUAUCGAUAACAUCUUAUUGCAAGGGACUUGUACAUCAAGUGGUGAAGAACAGAAAUUCAUAUUCUUUCAAUCAACAAAUUUCGAAGAAGUUUGUUUGUUUUAUUUUUGGGGGAAAAAAAUCUGAGCAUAUAUAGAUGCAUAUUAUACGUAGACCUAAGGUGAAAACAUACCAGAUUUUUACUCCAUUUUUCAUGAGGUUUAAGUUCUUGAUGUAUAUAUUUAUCUCAAGUGUAACAUCCCACAUUGAUCAACGGAGAGGGGGUGAUGUGCCUUAUAUGUACAUGCCAGCCUUCAUCUAGCACGAGGCUUUUUGGGAGCUUAUUGGCUUUGGAGUCAUAGGAACUCUGAAGUUAAGCGAGUUGGAGCUAGAGCAAUCCCAGGAUGGGUGACUCACUGGGAAGUUGCUUGUGAGUUCCCAGAAACAAAACCGUGAGGGCAGAGAGGAGGGCCCAAAGCGACCAAUAUCAUGCUACGGCGGAGCCGAUUCUGGGAUGUGAUAAUUUGGCAUCAGAGCUACUCUGCCGUGUGGUGUGAGUGUGCCGACGAGGACGCCGAACCCUUGAGGGGGGUGGAUUGUAACAUCCCACAUUGACCAACGAAGAAUGGGUGAUGUGCUUUAUAUGUAUAUGCUUGCCUAUAUCUAGCACGAGGCCUUUUGGCAGCUUACUGGCUUCCGAGUCAUAGGAACUCCGAAGUUAAGUGAGUUGGUGCUAGAGCAAUCCUAGAAUGGAUGACCUACUGGGAAGUUGCUCAUGAAUUCCCAGAAAAAAAAAGCUGUGAGGGCAGAUAGGGGGGCCCAAAACGGGCAAUAUCGUGCUACGGCAGAGCCGAUCUUGGGAUGUGACAUCAAGAAUUUAUAUCCUCCCUUUUCAGAUCUCAUGUUCCAGUCAAUACAUAACGAAACAUAAGAAACUAAAGUCUUGUUUAUACCCAUCCUCCCACCCACCCACGGCCAUCCACCCCUACCCCCUAUCUCCAUUAAAUCUACAAGUAGCUCAUCAAUUUCUCCACCAUCCCAAGUUCAAUAUACCACCCAACAACCAUCUUACCCAUCUUCUCAUUGAUCUUCCACCCAACAUCCAACACUAUCUUCAUAAACUCUUUAGCUUAAUCUCUCUGUUGCUUUUGUUUUUUGUUUUUUAGAAAUUAAAUUUUUUAGUUUAUUUUUUUGUUGGUACAAAUUCAAUGAUAAAGAACAUCGAACUCGUCGCAACAUCCUGUUCUAGAUCCAAGCUCUACCACCAUCACAACCCUCUCUUGACCUCCGACCAACCUUAACACCCAACUUCAAAUCUAGGUUGUUUGAAACCCAGCCCCCAACAACCCCCCCAAGUCAUCCCAUUGCAACUGACUUGUAGAUGAAGUAGUAAAGAACAAAAAGUCAUAUUCUUCCAAUCAAAACGUAUCAAGUCAAACAAAAUUUCUAGUUAGUUUGCUUUAUGAUAGUUGUUUUUUGAAGGGGUCCUUAGAUCCAAUCUCAAAAAGUUUGACUUUUAUUAUGUUUAACUCUAGUUUUUUGCAAUUUUUUUUUAUCUCUACCCACUAACUUUUAUCUCUCAUUUUUAUUACCCAUUUUACCCUUUAAAAUAAAUAUAGUAAUAAACUAAAAAUUCUGAUUUAAUGCAUGUUUUGCUCAUAAGAGAACUAAAACCUAAAAAUUCUAUACUCUUACACAAAAAAUAAAAAAUAAAAACUAAAAUUAAAAUGGUUAUCAAACAGACCCUUAUAUUACAAAAAACCUUAACUGACCACCUUAUAUGGCAACUGAUNNNNNNNNNNNNNNNNNNNNNNNNNNNNNNNNNNNNNNNNNNNNNNNNNNNNNNNNNNNNNNNNNNNNNNNNNNNNNNNNNNNNNNNNNNNNNNNNNNNNUAGCAUUCUAAAAAAAGUGGCCUCAUGGCAGCAUUCAUUAAUUGACAUGGCAUGACACAUCAGUUGCCACAUAAGGUGGUCAGUUAAGGUGGUCAAUGUUGUGUGUCCAAAUAGCAUUACUAAAAAAAAAUCAAAUAUUGAACUCAUCAUAAGAGAACACAGAAAAACCUCACUGCUUGCAACUCUUACACCACCACUACACGAACAGAACAACUGCUAAUUAAAAUGAGUCACAUGUCACAUGUCACAUGUGGUACUUAACUCUAAAAACUUAUUUAGAUUAUAUAUCCAUAUUUAUAUAUCCUACUCCUCGAUCAAAACAACCAUGAAACAUAAGUGACUUAAACCUCUAGGCAAAUGGACGGUAUAUAGCAAUUUAUAGAACAAUACAGUAAUCCAGAAGAAAUAUUAUGAAAUAAAAAAAAUAAAAAGUAAAAAAAGAGAAGGAAAGGAAUUCCCACCUGAUAUGUAUAUCUAUGAAAGGAAGGACCAAGUUUGUUUUGCCUUUGGUUAAUGACUAGAAAAGCUCACUUGUAUAUUGCUUUCUCCGGCCGUAGAUGCAAGAGAAAUUUUCUCUUAAUAAUAGCACAAUGAUCGGGUAAUCGUAAGAACAAGUUGAUUUAAAAUUCAGGUCAACUCAUAGAUUUCUUGCCUUUUCUAUUCUCCUUCCUUGGACACGAGCUGUUUAAUCUUGGAAUCUUCCCCCAUCAUGUUGGGCCAGUCUUCUUCUUGAGGAUUGUAUAGGCCCAGGAAAUGCUUGGAGGUAGUUUUUGUGUAUUGGGCCUUGAGACCCAACUUCACAAAAAGAAAACAGAUUUGACCAAAAAAACAAAUUUGAAGGACAUUGAAAUUGUACCUGUAUGAUAGGUUAAAACACUGUAAGGGAGGUAAAUAGUACGUUUACAGAGUUUAAGUGUAAUAAAGGAAUAAAAACAUGCCCAGAGCACUACUACAAUUUUUCCCUGUCCUGGCAACCCUUUGUGAUCGGUAAAAACACCAUUAUUGACGGAACUUCGUCAGUAAUUGCUUCUUGACGACUGCAGCGACGAAAAUGAGUAUAGUCAGUAAAAGUCCCGUCAGUGUUACUAUUACUGACCAACUUUUGCAACUUAUUCGUCAGUAGAGGUGUGUCUCUGACACAAGUCAUGAAGUGACUCUAAAUUAUUACUGACAAAACAAAUAGCCACUAUUAAACAAGCUUUUGUCAGGAUUAUUAUUUUAGGAUGGAGUACUAGUGGCAAAGAUUUGUCAAUAUUGUUUUCAACAAAAAAAAAAAUUCAGUCAAUUUGCUUCUGAGCUGAUGCGCCUUUAGAUAUCCUUUUCUGAAAUGUCUUUUGUUUUCUAAUAUAAUGGAUGUUUUUCUUUAAUAAAAAUUUAAUGGAUUCUGAAAAUGUAAUAACAAUUAUAAAUACUCAUAGAUUGAACCAUUCAACCCCCAUCCUUAUAAAUAUAAACUACCAAUGUCGAUUACAAUAGCCAAAUAUUACAAAGUCUGCCUACAUCAGUAGAGUUCAAAAACUUUAGGUGCCCUUACUAUACAAAAGUAUGCAAUUCCAAAUAUUCAACAAAUACACUACAAAAGCAUGCAUACCCCAAUAGGGUCCAAAAUACAACGUCAGCAACUAUAUAUACCAAAAAUGCAUAACACUAAGUAACUGCAUCUAUUCAAGUCCAUGAGUACCUUGAUCUGAUUCUAAAAAGUCUGUCUCACUUGGGUAUGCAUCCCCCCUCAGCAAUCCAGUUAACCCACCAAUAGGAGUAACUGACCUGGCUUGAUAAGGCAUUUGAUGGAACAUCUGCGGCGAGUAAUAUGACAUAUGGAAUGGGUUUGGCAGCUGCUGGUACAAUGGGUGAUGCGAAGCUGACGAGCACGAUAACAUCUGCCUCAUUUCCUCAAUCUCUUGCUGGUUAUGCUUCAGCAACUCUUGCGUCGCCUUCAAUUCAGAACGCCAAUGAUCCUGGUCAUGUUUGUACCUUUCUUGUAACUCUACAUACUGUGACUCAAGGUGAACAUAGUCGUGCCCUCGCAAUCUCUUGGAUGACCCUGCUUUCGUUUGAAUCCAAGGCACCUGAUGGGGUUUCACCCCAAGUCCUUCACCACGAACACUAUUAUUUGUCUCAGGACCCAUUGCCUCAACAUAAGCCCUUCUUCGUGUCUCUAAAUUAUCAGGACAUUCAUCUUCAACCAAUUCCUUCAACUUUUCCUGCAUUUCAGCCUAACAAAAACAAAAUAUAUAUCCUUCUCCAUCAAAUUGUGGUCAUCAUAGAACUAGCCCAAUAAACUCUACAAUGAUGAAUUGCAUUAUGUAAUAAAAAUUUAGGCCAAUUAGUCUUCUGGACCUCUACUGUUUUGUUUUUCAUAUGCUUAAACAAAUAAAAGAACAUAAAGAAUAGUGAACAAGAAAAAAAAACUACCUCCAAACAACUUUCCAUAUGCUUAAAAAAAAAAAAAAAAAAAAGUCAACCAAAACAAAAUAAGAGAAACAUCCUGGACUAUGGCUAACAAUUCCUCAUGAAAAUGAACUUAUAUAUAAUUAUUCCAAUAUAUAGUCCAUAUGCUUACAUAUUUCUGCUCAGCCACCAAGUUAACCCAUGAUCGAUCUUCGUCACGCCGUGUAUGCUUAUCUUGGAAAAACCAAAUAGGAUCGGGGUCUUCACCAUGUUUCUUAUUCUUAGCAUGCAAUCAAUAAAAUAAAAUAAGAUAAUCAAUUAGCUAACACGACCUCAUAUGCUCAAUAUUUGAAUAUAGUAAAGAGUAAACAUUCAAGUGCAUCAUCAAAACUGACAUAUUGUGCUUUGCUGCGAGCAUAAGACUUUGUUCUAGAUGUGUGAUUCAAUGUUUGUUUACUCCGAUUUUCAACAUUUCUUUUAGCUUGCUCCUUUUAUUAGCAAAAACAAAACAUACUUAAUCAUUGCACAGAUUAUAUAUACUGAGUGUUGUGUAAUAAUACGUACUGCAAUCUCAUCUUUUUCCCAAUGUUCAACCAACACCCUCCAUUGAUCUGGGUCUACACGAGAAUCCCCACAUUGCCACCGUCUUUUACUUCCUGUGAAAGGCUUAUAAUAAGCUUUCUUCAAAUCACUCUUGAAACUUCUCCACAAUUUUUCAAUAUUCUUCAUUGUUACAUCCUUGAAGACAUGAAUCAUAGGUUGUUGUUCAGGACGAAAUUCAAUGGUGCCCUGCAUCCACAAUAAGGUAGUCUUACAUCAAGUUGAAAUAUACCUAUUAAACUCAAUUUCAUGCAAUAAGUAUUCAAUAAUUUUAGGAAAACCAAACCCGUAGAGUGUCCCAGACAUCAAGUUUGCAAGAGUCUGGUACUUUUUCCCAUUUUAAAUACUUGAUCGGAAUUAGAUUGGCAUCCCGCGCCAAAAUACCCAUGUAUCUAGAAAAAUGGGGACUAUUGUCACUAAUAACUCUGCCAAAUGGAGAUAAAUCAACUGACUCUUUUUUGUUAUUUAGAAACCAGUUGCAUUUCCCUUGACCUCGACCUUGCUUCGCCUCCUUGCCUACAUGAAAAGUUAAUUUUAACUGAUCAAUACAACAAGAAAAUAAUAAGAAACUGUAAGGUAAUAAGUUUCUCACACAUUAUUCAAAUGAAAAAUUAGCAUAGCUAUUUGGAGAUGAUGUGAUCGUGAAACAUCCCAUAUUCAAUACAUUUGUAUAUGAUUAAAACAUACCAAUUUAUUAAAAGAAAAAGGAAAAGAAAACCAACAUACCAGUAGCACUUAUAGAACCAUCUCCCUCUAGACUAUCCCUAAAGUCAGCGUUGGGCCCUUCUUGUGAACUAUCUUGAGAACUGCUCAUCUAAAAAAUUUGAUAUGCAUAACAGUGAAGGGGUAACAAAUUAAUCAGACAUCAUUGGUAAAAGAAACUAUUACUUCAACAUUCUAAUACAAAACAAUCUACUAAAGAAAUUCUUGUACAAUAUUCUUAAAAUUACGUAGUCCAUUUAAGCUGACAGCUCAUCAAAAUACAUGAAAAAUUCAAUACUCCAUGUCAUCAUAAAGCUCAUCCUCGUUUUCAGUAGAGAGAUCGUCUGAAGACUGUUCAUCUUCUUCAUCCUCAUUUCCGGGCUCAUGCUCAUCUACCAUCUCAUCCAUAUCAACCCUAAUAUGAAAUUCCUCAUUGUCUAGCAGCUGAUCAUCAAGAUUCGGAAUGGCAUAAUUAUCAGUAGCACUUAAAAGGGUUAUCUAUAGUUGGAGCUAGAUCACUAUCUUCUAGCACAUCAAAAAAAUCUCUUGGUUGAGUUUGGGUUGGCACAUGCCAAUGACUGUCUUCUGGAUCUACAACAUAAAACACUUGUGUAGCUUGAGAAGCCAAUAUGAAAGUGUGUCUUUCGUUUGUCGCAACCGAUUGAAACUAACCAAAGGGAAACCAUACCCAUCAAACCUCAUCCCCCUAUCACUAGCAGUAUCAACCCAAUCACAGUUAAAUAAUGUAAUUUUCCGACCAUUAUCAUUCUGUUCUAUUUGACCCCCGUAAUUAAGUUCAUAAAUCUCUUUAAGAACACCAUAAUAAUCAACAUUGCCAAUUACUGGAUUGCGAUCUCUUGCGCUUGAGUAACUAGAUGUCUCUGCACAUUGAAAUACACCACUAUUCUGAUUCUUCUUUUUAUCGUCUACUGAUUUAAUCCGGAACCUACACCCAUGAAUUAUGUGAUUCUUAUACUUGUUCACAAAUCUACUAGGACCAAUUGAUAGCCAACGCAAGUCCUCAGAUAUUGACAGAUCAUGGGCUGUGUACAAUUUAGUAACCUAUAAUUUAAAACAACAACUAAAGUAAAUAACUUUAAUUAAAAAUAUGGUGCAGCAACAUAAAAUGAAUCAUAUUACAACUAAACAUACUUACAUGAUCCUUGAACCAAGUUGGAAAUAUCUUAUUUCUCAUCCCCUCAAUUUCCUGUAUGGUCUUCCGUCGAUUACUUUGUCUCAAUUCUUGGAAGCAUUUUCUGUUUUACAAUAUAAUAUAAUGACUUGUUAGUUAUUAAUUCAUAAUUGAGGAUUGAAAAAAAAAAAUAUCAACAACUUGCUUGUUUUUAUUCAUAAAUAUCUUACUCUAAAAAAGGGGAAACUUCAUCGCAAUUGAACAAGACCACUCUGCGACAUUGGUCCCAAACAUCUUUGUCAAGAUAUAUUUGUUCAGCUGAACCCUUAGAAUGACAUGAAGAGUCAAAAACUUUUAGCUCCCCAAUGACACCACGACCAAUACCAUCAGCAUUUCGACCCUUUCGAUUCCUUCGAGUCUCAACGUUGCUAAGAUACAUGGUACACAUAGCUAAUCCCUCGUCGACAAGAUAUCCUUGUUCCAUACUUCCUUCAGGAUAACUCUUAUUCUGAACAUAUUUCUUUAAUGUUUGUAGGUAUCUAAAGAUAUGGCAAAAUUGAACAUGUUAAUUUACAAUUAAAAUGGAAAACUAGAAAUAAUAAAUAAGAUUUGAACUAAUUACCUUUCAAUGGGAUACAUCCACCGGUAUGGGGCAGGCCCUGCGAUUGCAGCCUCAUCUGCCAAAUGCAUGAUUAAGUGUACCAUCACAACAAAGAAGGAAGGAGGGAAUAUCUUUUCCAUCUGGCAUAAUGUCACUGCAAUCCGAGGUUUUAAAGCCAUGUAUGACGCUUCAUAUUCCUUCUUACUACAUAACCGUCUAAAAAUUGCACUUAGCUCAAGCAAAACAAUGGUAACAGCUUUUGGUAAUACUCGUCGUAUUGCAAGGGGCAGCAGCUGUUGCAUUAUAAUAUGAUAGUCAUGACUUUUCAAUCCGUGUAUUUUUCUCUCAUUCACAUUAACACAUCUAGACAGAUUUGCAGAAUACCCAUCAGGAACUCUCACAUUUGCCAAGACUUCGCAAAACAUUGUUUUUUCCCUUUUCCUCAUGUCAAAAAGUGCUGGAUCAAAAACUUCCUUACCUUUCCCAUUUAUAUAAGGGUGCUGUUUUCUCCUUAUAUUCAAAAUUUGAAGGUCCUUACGAGCUUUUAUUCCAUCCUUUGUCUUCCCAGGAAUAUUUAACAGUGUACCUAAAAUGUUUUCACAAACAUUCUUUUCAAUAUGCAUUAGAUCAAGGUUAUGCCGUAUCAAAAGAUAUUGCCAAUAUGGUAACUCAAAGAAUAUGCUUUUCUUCUUCCACUGAACUUUGUUACUAUUUAUAUUCGUUGUGGGAUAGGUAUUUGUAUUCCUAAUGGGACAAGAACAUUUUUUGGGUUUUCCUUGCCCAACAAAAACAGCUGACUUCUUUUUGGGUUUUCGAAAUGUGAAUGUCAAACUUGACAAUUUUUCUAAACACUGUGAACCUGUCAAGGGAAUAGGUGGAAGAGCAUGUUCUUCCUUACCGUUAAAGGCUGCUUUAUCUCUUCGAAACCUAUGUUGUAUAGGUAGAAAUCUCCGAUGACCCAUAUAACACAUCUUACUACUAUUUGCCAAAUGCAUUGAGACUGUAUCAUCCAUGCAAUGCGGACACGCUUUCUUCCCCUUCGUGCUCCAUCCUGAAAGAAUUGCAUAUGCGGGAAAGUCAUUAAUCGUCCAUAACAAUGCAGCCUUCAUUGUAAAAGUUUGGUUGGCAAACACAUCAAACGUCUUAAUACCAACCUCCCACAACUCUUUCAACUCAUCGAUUAAAGGCUUCAAAUACACGUCAAUAUUAUUGCCAGGCCCAUCAGGACCAGGAAUUAUUAACGAUAACAAUAAAUUUGGUUGCUUCAUACACAUCCAUGGAGGCAAAUUAUAAACUGACAGUACAACAGGCCAUGUACUAUGGGGUUUGUUCAUAUUUGAAAAGGGAUUAAACCCAUCACUUGCAAGCCCCAAUCGCACGUUGCGUAUCUCCGAAGAAAAUUCAGGGUAUAAGGAAUCUAAAUGCUUCCAUGCACGAGAAUCUGAUGGGUGCCUCAUGAAUCCAUCUUUAGGACAUUCGGUUGCAUGCCAUCUCAUAUCUUCAGCGGUAUGCUUCGACAUAAACAAUCUUUGCAACCUUGGUUUUAAUGGAAAAUACCGAAGAACCUUGGUUGGAACCUUAGCUGAUGUGUUCUUACUCAAAGAACCUCCCACAAUAUUGACUUUGUACCUUGAGGCACCACAAAGUGCACACUCAGUCAAGUCUGAUGUAUCUUUCCAAAACAGCAUACAAUCAUUGGGGCAAACAUCAAUCCUCUUGACUGUAAGUCCCAACUCCCUAAUGAUUUUUUUAGCAUCAUAAUUAUUUUUUGGUAAACAAUUCCCCUCUGGCAACAAUUGUUUAACCAAUUGUAACAGCAUUGUAAAGACAUUAUCGCUUCCCUAAACAUUUAAUCUGGAACAGUCUUACAACAGAAUACAAUUUCUUAUAUUUACACCUAGGGUACAACUCCAUAUCUGCUUCUUCAAGUAACUUAUAAAAUAUUUCAGCCUCAGGUGUUUGGCCAUCAAAGAUAGGUGGCUCUGUCGAAGUCCCAACAGUUUCUCCAAUUAUUGGUUGCACAAAGGCUUCAUUGAGAAAAUCAUGAAUGUCAUCUAUACAAACUUCUUCAUUAUGAACUGAUUCUAUAUCCUCUUGGAAUGGUAAAUUUGUCAUGGGCUCCCCAUGAUGCCUCCAAGGGCCAUUCAUAUAUGUGGGAUCCAUUCCUUUUUCUAUAAGAUGAAGCUGGAUGAUGUUUCUUUCAUAGUGAUAACGGUUACAACAUUUUUUGCAAGGACAUAUGACCCUCUCUCCAAAACCCACUUUGGCAAAGACGUCAUCUAAAAACAUUCUCAUUCCGUCUGCGUAUUCCUUACAAUUUCUCCUUAAAUGUACCCAACUUUUAUCCAUAGUUCACCUAUAUUGAGUGCAAGGCACCAAAUACAAUUAUUCAGCACAGAUCAUCCCUCAUACUUAUUGUCUAUAAAUUCCUAUCAGGUGGGUCAAUUUAUUAUCCAUUAGAUGACCCUCAUGACCAUCUACAUCAAUUCACAAGAAAAACCAAAUUAAAAUAACAAAAACCUGAGUCUAAAGAAUAUAUUAACUAAGAAAUUGCACAUUCAUUCAACUGAAGAAAAGAACUAUAACACCAAACAACUAGACCCACUUAAUAGCUAAAGAAACUCACGUCAUAACAACAAAGUAUACAUAUUAAACAACAUAUCAACUCAUAGAUAAAAGCCCGAUAAUCUCAAUACUAUGAACAAUCUUAUUCAAAAAUAAUAAGAUAACAGCAACAUAAUAGAAAAAAGUAAAGGGAAACACACCUGGAUUCUAAGUUUCCAACAACAAUUCAACACUCCUGCAGUAGAUUAAUACAUACAUACCCACAUAUCAAACUUCACCAACAAAUAAUAAAAAAUUAAAACAAGAGCUUUGAAAAAUCAAAGGAUUCGUGUCACAUCCCGGAAUCGGCUCCGCCGUAGCACGAUAUUGUCCGCUUUGGGCCCCCCUCUCUGCCCGCACGGUUUUGUUUCUAGGAGCUCACGAGCAACUUCCCAGUAGGUCACCCAUCCUGGGAUUGCUCUAGCCCCCAACUCGCUUAACUUCGGAGUUCCUACGACUCCGAAGCCAGUGAGCUCCCAAAAGGCCUCGUGCUAGAUGGAUGCGGGCAUGCACAUAUAAGGCACAUCACCCCCUCUCCGUUGGUUGAUGUGGAAUCUUACAAUCCACCCCCCUUAAGGACCCGACGUCCUCGUCGGCACACUCGCACCACACGGCAGAGUGGCUCUGAUACCAAAUUGUCACAUCCCGGAAUCGGCUCCGCCGUAGCACGAUAUUGUCCGUUUUGGGCCCCCCUCUCUGCCCGCACGGUUUUGUUUCUAGGAGCUCACGAGCAACUUCCCAGUAGGUCACCCAUCCUGGGAUUGCUCUAGCCCCCAACUCGCUUAACUUCGGAGUUCCUACGACUCCGAAGCCAGUGAGCUCACCCCCUCUCCAUUGGUUGAUGUGGGAUCUUACAAUUCGUUUAUAUCUUGGAAUAAAAUCAGUAUUCUAAUUUUUAUAUCUAAUUGGAAGGAUUCAUGGGUCAUUACCUACACUAAAAUACUUGAAAAAAUAAAAUAAACAAACAAAAUAAGAACAAAAAUUUCACCAGAACAGAGGCACAAAAAUCUCACCAAAACAGAGGGCCUCUUUAAUGAAGGACAACCAAGUCAGCCCCAAUUGAAAAGAGCAAAGAACCCCCAGAUUUAAUCUCUCUCUCAAUCUGAAUCAGCAACCCCAAUUGAGAAAAGCAAGGAAAACCCCCCAAAUUUAAUCUCUCUCUCUCAAUCUGAAUUAGCAACCCCAAUUGAGAAGAGCAAGGAAAACCCCCCAAAUUUAAUCUCUAUCUCUCUCAAUCUGAAUGAGCAGACACGAAAAUCACUACCACACAUGACUCCAACUCCAUUAGCUAUGAGGAAGAAUACAAUUCAUUCUUCAAUGAAAAGAAGAGGGAAGAGAUGGCCGGUUUGGAGGAAGUAGAAAAGCUCAAGUAAACAAUUGAAGUUUUUUAUAUAUCAAUAGGAAAAUUUUGAAGUUAAAAAUUAUAUUUAAGAAUAGUAUUGGCAAUCGAACUCGUCAGAAAAAAAGUUGGCUUCCUGGUGUCUGAAAAUUUAGGCGCUUAUGUUUUCACUUCCCGCGUUAAAAGAGACUGGCGCAGUGUCUCGUCAGUAAAGGUAGUAAUGACAAAAGACUUUGUCAGUAUUAUUUACUAGUGAAAAAUCACUUUAUUUUGCUAGUAUUUGGUCUCAGUACUGACUAAGCUGCUCUUUCAUCAGUAUUAGUCCGUCAGUAUAAGCUAAAAUUGUAGUAGUGAGAGGAUUGAUAAGUGAUAUUAAUUCUUGAAUAUACAGAAUGUAAAAUAAAGGAACACGUAAAAAAUUAUUUUAUGUGGUAAAACUCCAUCUCUGGGGAAAAUCCACGGGACUUCUUAGUCCAAAACAAAUCCAUUAUAGAAUGAUGAUUACAAGAAGUACUCACACACUUAUCCUAGACACAUUCUAGAUAAUGUUUACUGACCUCUUCGUAACUCAACUUCUGUCUCGAGAUGAUCUUUCAACACUCCUUAUGUUGAACGCAAUAUUGGUCACGAUUUCUUCAAGCUCGUCAGAGUUCUUCCAACUCUCCUAAUAUUGAAUCCGAUACUAGUCACGAUUGAUUCAAGCUCAUCGUAGAAAAACCGUCACAAUGGUCUUGGUGCCCUCAACCGUAUGAGUCAUUAAACAUGCAAAUGAAUACAUAUAUGAAUGAUAAAAGUGUUUGAUAAAUCACUGAGUUAUGGAACACUUGAUGAUUUAUCUCAAAUAAAAACUCAGCUUUAAUGCUUUCUAAACAAAGAAGACGAAGGUCUUACUUUAUAGACUUUUUCUUUACAAGAAAGAAAAUAAGUUGGAAACCAAAUCUCCAAUUUCCAAGGCAAAAUCACAAAAGUAUCUUUCCUAUUCUAGAGAUUGGUCACAUGUAGUCCAACCAAUAGGAAAUGAGAUAUUUAAGAAAGGAAGAUUUUGAUCAAUAUCAAUAUCAAAUGAAUUCUUAUACGCCUAGUCAACUAUUAAGGGUAUCUUGACUCCUUGAUAUUUUGAUAUGAUUGAAACAUGAUUUCCAAGUUAGAAAAUUAAGGGGUUGUUAAAACAUGAAAGUAAUAGGAGAAACAAAUUUAUUUGAACCAAAAUUGCCCAAAAAGAAAACACUCCUAAAUAAACUUCAAUUCACUUUAGUAAAACAUGAUUGAAUCGUUCGUUAAAACAAUUCCCUAAUAUACAUGCAUGAUAAUGACAUCACUUACCCCUGAAUCAAAUUUGUUAAUGUAUGCAUUUUGAGUUUUUUUUUCUUUUGGCUUCCCUUGACAAUUUUGUAAUAGGAAAAUCAUUGUAGUUUCUCAAGCUCUAAGUUUAGAUUAAGAAUUACUUCUCUAGGUGUUCUUAUCUGCCUACAUUCUGAUGGAAAACAAUGCGUUUGACAAAGGUAAAUUCUGCAUUACACUACAUUGCAUUCACUAAAUUUCUUAAGAUUAUGACUAGUCAUCUUUCUUUCGUAUGACUAGUCAUCUUGCAUUCGUAUGACUAGUCAUCUUUCCUUCGUAUGACUAGUCAUCCUUUGUUUCAAUUAGGAUUUCCAGCUCACUGUUUCCAGCUGGGGCUUAAGCAUUUUUUUGUCCUUUUCUACGAAUUUCUCAGCUUCCAUGUGUCUAUUCUGACCUAGGAAUUUUUGGUAAAAGCCAUAGAAUUCCUCAUUUGGCAGCCGUCACUUUUGGGGACAAGUUGUGGAAAGUUUCAUAGCAAACUUUCGCUUCUUCUUCCUCAAGAGUAACCUUCAUAUUUUUCAUCUUUGAGUUCUCUAAAUUGUUUCUUUUUGAAAACUGCAUUUGAAAUAUGAAAACUUCAUCUUGCUAGAUCAAACACUCUAUCAUAUACAUCUAGGUCAGAUUCAAGAUUGAUUUCUUCAAGAGUAUGGUUUCUUGAAGAAAUUGGUCAUUUUCUCCAUGAAUCCAAAUUUCAUUUCUGUCUGAGUUAGAGCUUGCAAGCUGGUGCCAUGGGAUGAAUGAGCUGAAGAAGGAGCUGCCAUUGCCAUGAAGAACUGAGCUUCAAGCUUUGCUAAGUUGGAGAAGAAGAUUGCACAAAGGAGAUAUAGCAUCUUCCUAAAUAGACCUAGGAAUUUCUUGAGCUUGCUAGUGUUCUUUGUAAGAAUCUUUUUGCUUAGUGGAUUGCCUGGUCGGUUGAUGACCCCCAGUUUUUCCCAAUGGUGGGUUUCUGGGUGAACAAUAUCUGGUUUCCAUCUCUGUAGAUUUUUUGGGUUUGUGUUCUUGAUAGUUGACUAGUCAUCUGAAUUUGUGUGGUUGACUAGUCAUCUUUUUCUGCUGUUUGGUGUUUUCUUGAUUAUGUUGUCUUCACACACUUUUACCAUAGUUGUUGCUAGCACAAGGGAUGCCUAGAUUGAUGGGUCCUUCUGAGUGCCUAGGUUGUCACUAGUAAUUCUCUAGGCCUGCAGGUACAUCUUGGUAUGCUUUGUGUAUGUUAUUGUUUGGUUUAAUUCAUAUCUAACAGUUGACUAGUCAUAAGAGUAUUUGGUCAAGGUCUAGAGUGUGUGAAGUUUGUUGCGUUCUUGAUUGAAUAUCUUUUAAAUUUACCCUUCGUCACCUAAUUACCAAUUUGCAGACUCCACAAAUGAAGAAAAGAGCACAAAUAUCGUGAAUGCUAUUGGGAAUGGAAAGGGCAAACCUGUUCAAAAAGGGUAUGGAGGGGGCGUUAGACUUUACGUUCAAAAAGGGUAUGGAAAACGUCCUCCUCCAUCUGACAGUCAACUACUCCAUUAUAAAGACAUAGCUAUUUUCUUCUUCGAGAAAGACAUGCGCCCUGGCUCAACAAUGAAGUUCCAAUUCCCUAGAAAUUCAAACACGGCUACUUUCCUGCCACGCGAAAGUGCUCAAUCGAUCCCCUUCUCCUUUAACAAACUACCAGAAAUUUUCAACCAUUUUUCAGUGAAGCCAACAUCUGUGGAAGCCAAAACAAUUAAGCAAACAAUCGAAGAGUGUGAAGCUCCAGGCAUUAAGGGAGAUGAAAAAUAUUGCGCCACAUCUUUAGAAUCAAUGGUUGAUUUUAGCACUUCGAAGCUUGGAACAAGAAACGUUGAAGCAGUCUCGACGGAGGUAUUGGAAAAAGGAGCCACCAUGUCCAUGCACAACUAUACAACAAUGCCGGGACUGAAGAAGUUGGCAGGUGACAAAGUCGUUGUGUGUCAUAAGGAGAACUAUCCCUAUGCUAUGCUAUGUUUUUCUGCCAUGCAAUAAAACAAACAGCAGCUUAUGUUCUCUCCCUGAAAGCCGAUGAUGGGGAGAAGGUUAAAGCUGUAACCAUCUGCCAUCUAGACACAUCAGAAUGGAACCCAGAGCAUUUGUCCUUCCAAAUCCUCAACGUUAAGCCCGGAACCGUUCCUAUCUGCCAUUUCAUUUCCACUGAUGCUAUUGCCUGGGUUCCAAAACACAAAUCUGCAUGAUCAUCACUUAGCACUGUACGUAUAAUAAGCUUGGUUGGGUUGCACCCCUGUAUAAUUAUCUCCCUACUUAUUUCUGCCUCUUCAUCAUGUGGUGUAAGAUAUAUGAUGAAAUGAAGUUUUUGGGAUUAGUGGUCGGGUUGCCUGAAAAACACAGAUUAUAGAAACUGCUUGAAAUUAACCCGAUCAUGUUUUCUCUUGUAACGAUAUAGACUUCAACUUGUACUCAUAAUAAAGCAUGCUAUAUUUAUGAAGAGAUAUUAAUCUAUAUAUGCUUUGGCUUUGUGGUUUUACCCAGUGUUUGAAUGUUGAAUUGUUACGUUGGAAUAGGCUGCUAAUGCAUGUAGUUAGAGAAGCCUUCAUUUAUAUCAAAGUCCUCAAACUAUCAAGAACUAAUGUAUCCAGAAACACAUACCAAGACGCAAAACAACAUAUUUUCC